This 479441-nucleotide long non-coding RNA is filed under the name Gossypium barbadense (sea-island cotton). RNAcentral describes it as "long non-coding RNA (GBAR_LNC016635)". Lineage: Eukaryota; Viridiplantae; Streptophyta; Magnoliopsida; Malvales; Malvaceae. The record is from RNAcentral.
UUGCGGAACUCAAUCUGUUGGAAUUUAAGUAAAGAUAUCCCAAAGAAGUAAUAUUACCCAAACAAGAGGGUAUGGGUCCAUGCAGCUUAUUCAACCCUAAAUACAUCUUGUAUAGUCUCUCCAAACCACAGAGGCUUUCGGAGAUAGGCCCUCCUAAUUUAUUAGAGGAAAGAAAUAGACCUUGGAGAUUUCUCAUUCCUCCUAUUGAUGCUCGAAUCAAUCCACUUAAUUUAUUAUAGCCAAGUUGUAAAAGCAAUAGGUUGGUUAAGUUACCUAUUUCCAUAGGAAUAAUGCCUUGAAGCUCACAAUUAUGGGCAUAAAAGUAUUGAAAGGAUUUUGAAAGGUUCCCGAUAUAAGUAGGAAGAACGCCACUCAAUGGAUUUCCUGAAACCGCUAUUUUUCUCAAAUGCCUGCAAUUCGAUAAAGAAGAAAGAAAGCUCCACUCAUGAUCAGUAGCAGAUCCUGUGAUGAAAUUAUUGUUUACGAUUCGGAACCGUUCAAGGUGUCUUAAGUUGCCAAGUGUUUUAGGGAUUGGACCAGAGAAUAAGUUAUGUGACAACUCUAGUUUCUUAAGCAUGGAAGCAUUGGAGAUAGAGUUGGGAAUGUUUCCGCUAAGUUUAUUUCCCCACAAAAAAAGAAACUCAAGCUUUGGAGCAUUGGUGAUGGGUGGUAAAUUACCUGUAAAAUAGAAUCUUUUAGUAUACAAAUUCACAAAAUAUAUAAUACAUUAAAGUAAAAACUGUAAAACUUUAAAUCAAUUAAGAAUAAAAUUUUGGCAUGGAAAAAUGUGAUGAAAUCAAUUAGAAAGUUGAGACAUAAUAAGAAGUUUUGAGUAGUAAUUAGUCCUUGUGAUUUGUAUAGACAAAACAUAUAAUACACUAAUAAUUUUUUAAAAUAUUGUAAAACUUGAAAUAAAAUAAAAAUAAAAGUUUGGCAUGAGAACGUGGCAUCUAAUCAAUCUUAAAAAUGAGACUGAUACUGAAUAAUAAUUAGUUAUGAUUUGGGAAACAAAAAUGUUAAAGUCAUUGUUUUUAAUGUAAACUGGUAUGAUUUUGACCUAUUAGGUUAAUUAUUUAUUUUUAUUAAAUUAUAGUGUAAAAUUUAAAGAUUAUUAUUUGCUCAAAAUUUUUGUGUUUUUCGUAUAUUUGAAAUUUAAUCUUUAUAUUUUUUAUUUUCUGUGAUUUAGUCUCUCUACUUUUUGAAUUAAAAAUUUUAGGUUCAUUUAUUAACACUGUUAAAAAAGUUUUUCUGUUAGUAUGGCAUUUUGAAAAAUAAAAUAAACUUGAUAUCUAUGUUUUUAAUUAUUCCAAAUAUUGUUUCACUAUUUCAAGAUAAAUUAUUUGUGUUUAGACCAAUAUCUUAAGAACUAUUGUUGCAUGUUUAAUUAUUCUAAAGAAUUGUUGAUUGAGUCUUAGCUGAAGUGCACUAUUCUCCUAUUUAUGAAUUGGGGAGUUGGUAAAGUAUUAAAUUUUGAUAUAUUUUAAAAUAUUAAAAAUUUAUUAAAAUAUUUUUUAUAAAAAUUGAUUAUACCACAAUAUACAAUUUUAAUAUCAAAUUUUUAUUUUUUUUUAAAAUAUUAGCGAAUAUAUACUUUAUUUCAAGUUACACAAUUUUUACUAGUUUUUAAAUUUUUUUAAAAAUUUUUAUCGUCUUUUAUAAUUUCUAAUAAUUUUUUAUAAUUUUUUACAAUAUUUACAAUUUCUAACAAUUUUUAAUAAUUUUAUUAUUUAUUACAAAUUUAAAAAUUAACAAAUUUUUAUUUUUUAAAACAAUUAUAUAUUUAUAAUGUAGUUGUUUUUUUUAUAAUUUUAUUUGAAAUUUUAAAGAUUUUUUUUGGUUUUUUUUAGAUGAUGAUGCCAUCAUGAUGUCAUCAUAUGUCACAUGGCAAUUUAUAAUUAGUUGAAUAUCUCAAUCUAUUUUAUUAACGUCCAAUAGACUAAAACAAGAACACCUGAUAAUGUUAGAGACUACACUAGGAAUGUUUGAUAAUAUUAGGUACUAAAGUGGGCAAAAAAAAUUAAGGACUAUAUUAAAAAUAUAUCUAUAAUAUAUAUAAAUGCAUGGAUUUUGAGAAACUUUUGAAAUGAUAAUUAUAUAGUCUUUGUUUUUUUUUUCUAUAUUAUUGAAUUUUUUAUUUUAAAUAUUUUUUUAUUACUUUUAAGAUUUAUCAUAUGCAUGGAUAAGAAUUUUGGUUUUACUAAAAUAUUUGGUUAAAUAAAUUCACUUCAUAAGAAAAUUUAGGAUCCUUAUAAAUAACAAUUUUGAUUCUAUUAAAAAUAUUAUUUUAAAAAAUAUAUAAUAAAAAUUUAAAAUUUAUAUUGAAUUACUUUAUACUUAAAUUAUUAUUAGAAACUUUAUCAUACACAUACAUAUAUGAGAAGCACGUAUUUAGAACAUAAAUUUGUGUUUUAAAAUAACUUAUGAUAAAUAAUGAAAUGUAUAAUUUGAAACUAUUUAAUAAUAACACAUGGCAUAUCUACCAUAUUAAAAUAAAAAUAGAUUAAAUUGUAGGUAAAACAUAAUUUAAACAUAUGAAUACAUCAAAUUAAGAAUACUAAAUGAAUACAGUUAUUUAUGAUGAUGUUGUUGCCAAUUCUUAACUUGGUGUCGAGUUAAUUUGUGACAUCAUAAAUUUAAGUGGUAAAUUUAAGGUUUUAUGUAUUGAUGUGGAUUCAAAUAUCACCAUAAUUUUUUUUAAAAAUAAAAAACUAAAGUACCCUCAAACAAUAUAACUUAUAUUAAAUAUGAAAGGGUAUUUUUAUAAUUUCUUUAACCGAGUUGAUGCCCGGUUGACUCAUGACACCAACUCAAUCAAAAGCUUCAAUAAUAAUAUAGAUAUUCACGUUAAAAAAACCAAAAAAAGUACUUUAGUUCCAAAUAAUUAUAUAAUAAGUAAAUUUAUAAUUGAUGAAUAAAUUUAUAAAUAAUAUAUUUAUAUGAUCUAAUAUAUUAUAUAUAUUAAUUAUAUAUCAUCUACAAACUUUGAAGAUCAAUUUAUUAAGUAUCAAGAAAAGAAAAAAUGAAAUUGAAUUAACACUAAAUCGAUUUUUAGAUUUUGUCCAGAUGAUUUAAUGAUGAUAAAAAAAUUAUUAGCACUAUUUUUGAAUUAACAAAAAAUUAGUGAUAUAUUUUAAUUAUAUUUAUUAUUUAUUAGUUUUAAUAAUGUUUUUUUAAUUAUAUGAAGUAAAAUUAUAUCGUAUACUAAAUAUGGUACAUAUACUUUAAUUAUAACUUGAAAAAUUAUUAUAUAAAUUAAUAUAUUUUAAUUAUAUUCAACCAUUUGAAUAACAAAAUUAAAAAAAAACUAAUUAGAAUUAUUUACUUUUUAAAGUUUAAUGGAAAUUAAAAAAUUAAAAAUAAAUCAAUUCAUAUAAAUCUUAUUGUUUAUUAUCAGAUUAAUAUGAUAAAAGUAUAUGACAUAAAUAGAAGAAACAAAUUCAACACAAUGUUUUUGGAGUUUGGAAAAAAUUAAAGUGAAAAACAUACCUUCUAAUUUGUUGUUAAAUAGCUCUAUACCUUCGAGCGUAGUUGAAUUAAAAAUACUUGAUGGAAUCUGGCCUGCACACAUAGUCGAAAAUUGAAGUGAAAAAUAUACCUUCUAAACUGUUCAACUAAAAAUACUUUAAGCAUCUUUUUUUCCAUCAAAUUAGUUAUCUAUUACAAAUCAAACUCUUUUAUGAAAUGUUGAAGAUGGAAGAUGGAACCUGACCAGAUAAUUGAUUGAAUCCCAAGUUCAAGAUCUCUAGAUUAGACAUGUUAACAAGUGUUUCAGGGAUUGUGCCUGUAAAGUUAUUAUUCUUCAUUUCCAGCCUUCGAACUCUUUGUAAGUUCCCAAGCCAUGAUGGAAUUUCCCCAUUCAGACGGUUGUAGCUUAAUUGAAGGAUCCUCAAACGAUGCAAGUGGCCCAAUUCUUUAGGGAGAUGGCCAUAGAAAUGGUUGCUACUCAAGUCUAGAGAGAGUAGAAAUGAAAGAUUUCCAAGGUGUGGAGGGAUAGUACCCCUAAGAUUCAUGCUUGUAAGAUUCAAAGCUAUAACUCUUUUAUGGAGGAUGCCACAAGAAACACCAAUCCAAUUGCAAACAGAGGUUGAGGCCGUCCAAUUGUUUGCCAUGACAUUUUGAGGACCGGCAAUGCGAUCCUUGAACUCGAGAAGUGCAAAUUGAUCAGAGUUGAGAUUCCUGACUGUUAUAGCCAAGCAAAGUACGGAACAUGGUAUGAAUAAAGCUAAAAGAAGAUGAAAGCAAGUGUUGUAGUCCAUGAUUGCAAGACGGAAUAAGGCAAGAAAAUAAAAAAAAAAGUAGGAAAAGGGAAGUUGAGUUGAUAAAAUAGUUUGGAUGAUGAAGAAAAGCCCAGAGAGCAUGCUUUAAUAUGUUUCAACCCUCGCACACUUGAUAAACUUGAUAAAUUUAAGACUACUCUAAAAAUUAAAAAGGAAAACAAAGUUUUGAUGAAAUUUCAAAAUAAAUGUCAAGUAUUCUUCUUUUAGAAAUACGUAUAAAGAAGUGAAUUUUCAAAAUUUCUCCUAAAUUUUCUUCACAUUACUCCACAUAAUCCAUUAAAAAAAACUUAAAAAAUAUAUUUUAUUAAUUACUAUAUAUUCUUUUAUUUUCAGAAUAAUAAAUUGUUUAAAAUAUGCUACUAGUCCCUGUAAUUUAAAAGUUAAAAAAAAUCCAAUCCUCCUAUUUUUUUAAUUUAAAAAUUCUAGUCCAAUCAUUUUUAAUUCCAUUAAAAAAUUUCAACUUAAUAGAUUUUUUAUUAUCAAUCAUAUGCAACAUUAUAUGAAGGCAGUCUACUCAGUAUAUAUCCAAGUUUACAUAUUUUAAUAGAAAAUACUUACAAUCCUAAUGAUAGGACUAAGUUUUUUAAACUAGAAAAGUACAAAAACUUAAAUUUUAACUUUUUUAAGUACAAGGAUUAAAUUUUAAAUGUUGUCAAAGUACAAGCACUAACAAAAUAUUGUGAUCUAAUAAAUGUAAAAAGCAUUUUAAACAAAAGAUGGUUGAAAUAAUCUAUUUGUCCUUAUACUUUGAUAAAAUUUGAGAUACCAUAAAAUUUGUAUCUUUUUUCGAAUUAUUUAAUGCCAUUUCAACAUUUUCAUUAAAAAAAAAACAUAUCAUUUUGAAUUUGAUCUUUUUCAAGAUGAAAAUAUUGAAAUGAUGUUAAAUUAUCGGAAAGAGAUACAAGUUUCAUGGUAUCUCUCUAAGAAAGCUGAUGUAAGAUAUUAAUGACAUCAUUUGAACAAAGUUUUAGGUCAAAUUAUUCAUCUAGUCCUUGUAAUUAUUCUUUAAGGUGAAUUUCAUUAUUAUUCUUUUAUUUUCUUUGGCUUAAAUAAACAUUUACCCCUAAUUUUAUCACAUUCUCCUUAAUUGGUAUUUAUAGUUUAGAAAAUUUUACAAAUAUAUUAUUUUUUAAGAAAUUAUAAGAAGAUUACAAAAAUUCCAAAAUAAUAUAAAAAAGCUAAGAAAAACCUAGAAAUUCAAAAAACAAAAAAAUAAUGUUUUUACAAAUUGGGGUAUGCAAUCAAUUUUAAGAUGGUUUUUGGAGUUCAUCUCACUUUAGCAUUGACUUACUUUUCUACAGUUAGUCUUCUCCAACAAGUUAAAUAUUUCAAUUUUAACAACAUUGACAGGUCUUAGGGGUAGGGUCGAGCAAAACUCAAUAGAAAUAGAUGAUAUAGGUUGAGUUGGCUCGGCCAAGUCGAGUCGACUUGUUCAAAUUUGUUAAAUUAGUAAAUUUUGGGGUGCAGUUAGAAUUUUUUUGUUUUGAGAUGCUAAGAUUAAAAAAAUUUGAGUUUUGAAAACUUUGACUCCUUUUUGCUUUGAGAGUUGAUUUGAAGAGAAAAGAGCUUGAAGGUGCUUUUGUAGAAAUAGGACAAAUUUUAAAAUAAGGAGUAAAUUGGAAAAAAAAAUUUGGGUUGGGCUAAUUUGAAAAUUUGACACUUUUGUGGGAUAAAAAUAGAAAAAUAUUUUGGUUGAAUACACAUAAGGAGUUACGAACUUGAGACUUAUAGGUAGGCUAAGGCCUUACCACUUAACCAACAAGCUCAUUAUUAUUAUCUUUUAACACAAAUAAAUUUUAAGGCAUACUAAGGGCUUGUUUAGCAUUGCAGUGAAGAAGCAUUUUGGCUUAAAAAACACUUUUGAGAGAAAAGUGGUUCUAAGCUAGUAACUUUUGGCUAAGAUUUUGGCUUUUCAAAAGCAAUUUUGGCCAAAUGGAGAAGUUAAAAUUAUUAGCUUUUCUUACCCAAAAGCAGUUUUGAGUGCUUAAUUACUAAUUCAUCCCCCCAAAAACACAAUUUAAAAUAAAAUAAUACAAAUAUGUUAAUAUUUAAUUACAAAUAUUUAAUGGGUAUAUUUAAAUAUUUAAAAUAUAAUUUAUAUAUUCUAAUUAAAUUUUAUAAAUAAUUAAUAUUUGUUGCUUAAAAAUAUUUAAAAUUUAUAUUUUAUAUAUUAAAAUAUUAACAACAAAUUAUAAUAAAUUAUUUUUUAUAUUCUUACUAAAAUAUCAUAAUAUAAAUUAAUUUUAAUAUUAUUUAAAUACAUAUUUGUUACUUUAUAAUAUCAUGUCUAAGAUUGACGUUUUAUUUCUCAAAAGCACUUUUUGAAAUUAAUACUAAACACUUAAAUUUUAAACUAAACUUCUCAAAGAUACUUUUCUACAACACUUUUAAAAGCACUUUCCAAAAUCAAUGCUCAACUACCUCAAACUCUCUUACCUUAUACUUUAAAAGAGAAAAAAAAAAGAUUUUAAAUUUUAUCCCUAUUUCUUUUAACCCAAUUUUUAGGAUGUCAAACAUUUAUAAAUAAAAUAAGUAAAAGGAAAAAAAAGCAUAUACUUUAUUUUUAUCGCAGGUAAAAGUUUUAAUGGAGAGGAUCAUGUAAAAUUAUGAUCUGAAUAAUUUUAAACAUUUCAUCAUUGCAAAAAUGAAAUAAUAGAAAAGAAUGACUAUUCGAAUUUGCAUUUGUGUUCUUUCUUUCAAUAUUUGCUUUCAAAACUGUGGGAAAAUUUUAAAUUUGAUGAAAUUUUAAAAUUGCAGUUCAGUAAAAUAUAAAUUUUAUGAAUUUGGAGUAGCCAUUUUAUUUAUAAUUUUCUGUGUUUUCUUCUUUGCUGACUUUUUUAAUGUCAUUUUCUAUCAUGAAAGAAACUUAAAGAUUCACUAUGUAUUUCUCAACCACUAUGAAAUUACUUGACUACGGGGGUAGAAUUUUCUCACCAAUUUUCUAACAUUAGAUUUUUUGAAUGAGACAAAUAUUCAAUUUUAACACAUUUCCCAUAAUUAGUCACCCCUAUUUGUGAGUGAUUUGGGGAUAAAAGCUUAAACAUUUAUGGAUCACAUUGCAUUUAAGACGGGUGUUUGGAGUUAUAUGAAAUUUUAACAUAGACUGGCUUUUCUAUAAAGAGUACUCCUUGCUUUACUAUUGUCAUGAUACGAGGAGAUACUGAAAAUUAUUGUACUAUGAAAUUUUAAUUCACUCGAAAAAUAAGUGUUUUAUUUCAAGGGAUUAAUAUUAGCUUUCUCUUUUUUAAAUUUUGAAUUUUUUUUGACAACUGCGUAAUUAAGAAUAUAUCAAUUUUAGGUGUUAUAGGGGUGUUUUAACCUUCCCUAUGUGUAAUCGACUACUGAAACUUUUUUAUUCUUUAGAAUUCAACACAUACCUCAAAAUUUUCUUUUUAAAAGAUUUUUAAAAUCUCUUUAUAAAAGAUUAUCACACUUAACAAAGAUGAUCAGUGACUACUUUUCUUUAAUAAAAUAUUAUGUUUUUGCAGAGACCAAAAUUUUCAUAUUUUUCAAGAAUUCCUCAAUCUAAUUUUCUUUUUGAAUUUUUAUUUUCAAGAGGAAAAUGAUCCCUACAAUUAAUAUUUAUUUUCCUUAUUUUUAAUUUCUUUUUAAGGGAGAUGAAUAGUGGAAUGAUAAUUUUUAGUUAUGGUAAAGUAAAUUUAAUUAUCCACAACCUUCAACUAUUAAUUUUUUCGAUUUAAUUACACAAUUUUUUGAAAUUAACACUCUUUUAUUAGUUGUCGCUAGGUGAUGGACGAAAAGUUGAUUUGGACUUUUUGUUGACCUAAUAACAAAUUUAGAUAUUCAAAGUUUACUUAUUCUAUCAAUUUAAUGCUAAAUUUAAAAAAUUCAACAAAUCCUAUCAAAAAACAAUUGGACCUUGAGUACACAGGCUGUGAGAUUUUCACAUGGCUGUGUCUACACUGCACUCUAUUUUAUCAAAUUCGGACAAAGAGUUACACAGGCUGUUCACACGGGCAUGUGCCUCCUUCACAUGGGGCGUGUAGACCUCCACACAACUUAGGAACUUCCACAUGGCUGGGGCACACGGUCAUGUGGCCUUGUUUUGUAGAUUUUUGUUCUGUGUUAGAUUUUGACUCGUUUUGUGCCUGUGUGUAUUCUGACCUCAGUUAAGACUUAGUAAGAAUGUUUAGGACUCUGAUUAGUUCGAAUUUGUGCAUUUGUUUGUAACUAAUGUGUUAAUUUAUUAGUUUGAUUAAAUGUUAUGUGAUGUUAUUAGUAAAUAGUUACAAACCUAAUUGAUUCUAAAUCUGAUUGAUUGAACUUGUGUGUUUCGUUUUCUGUAUGGAUGUUUGUAUGUUGUGUGCAUUUUGCAAUAGCAUAAAAAUUUUACUAUUGAUUGACUGAAUAUGAACUUCUAUAUCUGUGACACUAUUAGUGUUUGAUGUGCAUUCAUACAUAUGCAUAAAAUUAGGGUUUUGGUUAUGAAGAGAAGGGAGCCUGUUUCGGUAGUUCAACUGUAAUAUUUCUGAACAGCAGUUUACCGCAUGAUUCUAUAUAUAUGUCAGCUUAGCUGCAUAUUAUGAUUUCGAGUGGCUUAUUUUCCUUAUUGUAGUGUGUAGGGUGGAUGAACCUUUUAUAGUUCUUGUAAUAGGCCCAAUUUGUAUGGGCCCAAAAAAAUAAGUUACAAACCCAAAAUAAACAUUACAAGCCCAAAAAUUAAAAAAAAAACUAACGGCCCAAGUGGCCCAAAACCUAACCCUCUUUAGUCGCCACUUCUCUCACGCGAGCCAACCUCCUCACGCGUGCCACCACGUCAGCACCUCCGUACCCUCCACGCUCUCUCUCUCUGCCACCAUAGCAUGCGUCCUUGCCCGGUACUUGCAGACCAAGCAAAAGAGAGCACAACAGUAAAGAGAAAAACAUUGUAUUUUUCGGCUAUAAAAGCCAUGAACAAAUCAAUGUAAAUUUUUUACGACAAAAAUAAAUACAAAAAAGGCAAUUGGAAACAAAAAAAAGGUGGUUCUUUUUUUGUUUUUAUUUCUUUUCUACUUAUAUUUCUACUAGUUUUUAAGAAAAAUAAAAAAGAAUGGAGUCGAAUCUUACCCUUUUCUCGCAUGUGCGCCGUCGUGGGGGGUCGAGGUUCGUCUUUUCCAAUGAAAAAUGACAUUUUUUGAGUUGAGGAAGUCGAAAAGUCAAAAAAUGGCCUUUUUUCGAUUUUUUGGCCACCGUGGAUGGCGGCGCCGUCACCGACGACCGACGGCCGCCACGACGGUCCGUCGGUUGGAGCCAUGGCCGGAGAGGGGAGUUGGGAGAAAGGGGGAGAGUGAUUUGAGUGUUUUUUUUUCAGAGAAUGGGGAGAAAUGAAAAAUUAAAAAAAAAGGUUUUUAUAGAGGAUUGAAAUGGCAUCGUUUUGGGCCUUAACCCCAGUGGCCAAAACGACGUCGUUUCACCCCUUUAAUCUGCGCGUGGACCCGACCCGCAAGAGGAUCCGUGUGUUUUUGUGGAAGGGUCUAUUUGCGUGUUAGACCCUUCCACAUUUUUCAAUUGUCUUAAUCCAGUCCUUUUUUAUUUUCUAAUUUGUACUUCAAAUUUUAUUUUAUUUUUGAUUUGGUCCUAGCAAAACGGCGCGUUUCAGAGGGCGGGGAUAUUUCCCCAAUUGGUCCCUCUUAGUUAUUCGCGCCUUUCAAAUGGGUCCUCUACCUUAUUUUCAUUCUCGAUUUUUACCCAGUUUUCUGAUUAAACUUCAAUUUAGUCCUUCUGCAUCUAUUUUAUUAUAAUUUUAGCCCCUCUUAUAUUCAUAAACUUAUUUUAUUAGGAUUUGGACUCUUAAUUUUAUUUCAAUGUCAAUUUAAUCCCCUUUUAUCUCAGUCUAGGUUUUAUUUUCUUUUUUUUUGUUGUGCUUUAUUUAUUUUAUUUAUUUGCUUACCAUUUCUUUUUUUAUUUUGAUUUUCGUAUUUAAUGAUGCUUUUACUUUAUUUAUUUUAUUCUUGACUUUCAUUGUUAUUGUUGUUGUUGUUGUUGUUAUUUUUAUGGUUUUUUAUUAUUUCAUUUAUUUACAUAUUUUAUUCCAAAUUGUUGCUUUAAAUUUUGUUUACAUUUUAAUUCGGUUCUUUACUUUCAAUAUUUUUUUAUAAACUAUUUUCCCUUACAUUAUUUAUGUAUUUAUUUUAUUUGUUUUUUUUAAAGUUGGUAUUGUCCUUUUAUGUGCAUACUUUGACAUUAUUACCAUUGUUAUUAUUUAUUUUAUUUAUCUUUUGAUUAUUCAUAUUAAUGUUAAAGUAGUGUAUAUUAUAUGAUUCUCGUAAAUUGUCUUUAUUAUAUUCAUUAUUGUUAUUUAUUAAUGCAACAUUUCAUUCAUGUAUUAUUUUAAAUAUUACACAUUUUUACCCAAAUUUGUAAAAAAAUAUAAAAAUUAGAAAAUAAGCAAUAUUUCGUAUUUUGGAAUUUGAAAAGUCGUUCCCUAACUUACGGGGUUUCAAUUUUUUUGAUAAAUCCAAAUAUACGAGCUAUUUUUCAAAAACACAUUUUUAAAAUUAUCUCGAGAAUUAAAAAGAUCGUUUUUCAACUUUUGGAAUAUGAUUUCUUUUCUAAAACUGAGAUAAUAAAAAUUUUCUAAAAAUAAAUAAAAUUUUUGGUGUUUAUUCUCGUUUUGAGAUUUAAGGUUAUGUCCUAACUCACAGGGUAUAAUUCUUUUUCUCGGUUGACAUAAAAUAUGCCCUUUUUAAAAUUCUUUUAGGUAAUUUUAAUAAAAGGAUCGUAUUUUAAGUCUCUUCAAAAUUUUCAACUUUCGACAUUAAGACAUUAAUUAAUCAAUUAGGUAUCAAUUUUGGGCGUGACGAGGGUGCUAAUCCUUCAUCGCACGUAACCGACUCCCGAUCCAUUUUUCUCGAAUUUCGUAGAUCAAAAUCAUUGUUUUAGUAAAAUCGAAACGUUUUGUUAAAAAGAUUGAAUUGCAAGGUGAUCCGAUCACACCAAAAAAAAAUAUCGGUGGCAACUACAGUUUUUUUCGUUUUUAUUUUUAUAAUAAAAGUCGACCCCUUUUUUAUUAAAAAAUGGCUUCGAUAGUUCUAUGUGGUGUGAGGGUAGACGGGCCUUCUAUAGCCCUAAUGUGGUGUGCAGGGUGGUCGAAGUGGUGUUCAAAUGGUUGGGUGGGUUUUUAACUUAUUGCAUACGGUUUGCAUUAGGCAUAUGUGUCUGAUUAUGAUUCUUUUUAAAAUUAUUUGCAAAUGUUUGUACUAAUUUGAUUAUUACAUGUGUUAGAGACAUUGCUUAUGCAGUUUGAUACUAUAUAUUGACUUAUUGAUGUAAGAUUUUCGUAAGUGACCAUCAUAUAGUGCUUGUCUGAAAUAUUUAUGGAGUUAUCCCCUCUUUUACCGACUGUUGUGUUUUGGACUCACACUGAGCUCGCGUAGCUUACCACCUUAGUUUUCUCCCUUUUAGAUACUCUCGUGUUCUGUAGCUAGACUCGACAUAUUAGAAGGCUCAGACGGAAGAGGUGAGAUUUGAUUUAAUAAAGUGUUUCAAUUCAAUUUUAGUUUUUCUAACUUCUUGGGACUAUAAGUGUUAAUAGGGACUGUAGUAUAAGUUUUACUUCUGGAUUUUCGUAAAUUUUUAUUUUGGGACUGAACUUUUGAAAUUGUGGAAUUAUACUUUCUAUUGUUUUUAACGUAAUUUAAAAUCUUUGUUUGAAUCCUGAAUGGUUAAACGACUUAGUUUGAUUUUAGCAAAAAUGAGUUAUAAAUGAGAUGUUAACAAUUCAUUUUGUAAAAUUAUUUUUAGAUCACUUCGGUGUUCAAAGUAACCUCUGAGAUUCGAUCCAUACUUCUAGGCCGAGUUUUGGGGUGUUACAUUAGUUUUCAAGAGGAGAUUGGUGAUCUACUUGAAGAUAGAUUGAUUUUGAAAACUUUGACUCCUUUUUGCUUUGAGAGUUGAUUUGAAGAGAAAAGAGCUUGAAGGUGCUUUUGUAGAAUCAGGACAAAUUUUAAAAUAAGGAGUAAAUUGGAAAAAAAGGGUUUUGGGUUGGGCUAAUUUUAAAAUUUGACACUUUCGUGGGAUAAAAAUAGAAAAAUAUUUUGGUUGAAUACACACAAGGAGUUACGAACUUGAGACCUAUCGAUAGACUAAGGCCUUAGUACUGAACCAACAAGCUCAUUCUUAUUAUCAUUUAACACAAAUAAAUUUUAAGGCAUACUAAGGGCUUGUUUAGCAUUGCUGUGAAGAAGCACUUUUGGCCUAAAAAACACUUUUGAGAGAAAAGUUGUUCUAAGCUAGUAACCUUUGGCUAAGAUUUUGGCUUUUCAAAAGCACUUUUCGCCUAAUGGAGAAGCUAAAAUUUUUAGCUUUUCUUACCCAAAAGCACUUUUGAGUGCUUAAUUACUAAUACAUCCCUCCAAGAACACAUUUUAAAAUAAAAUAAUACAAAUAUUUUAAUAUUUAAUUACAAAUAUUUAAUGGUUAUAUUUAAAUAUUUAAAAUAUAAUUUAUAUAUUCUAAUUAAAUUUUAUAAAUUAUUAAUAUUUGUUGCUUAAAAAUAUUUAAAAUUUAUAUUUUAUAUAUUAAAAUAUUAACAACAAAUUAUAAUAAAUUAUUUUUAUAUUCUUACUAAAAUAUCAUAAUAUUAAUUAAUUUUAAUAUUAUUUAAAUGCAUAUUUGUUACUUUAUAAUAUCAUGUCUAAAAUUGACGUUUUAUUUCUUAAAAGCACUUUUUGACAUUAAUACUAAACACUUAAAUCUUAAACUAAACUUCUCAAAGAUACUUUUCUACAACACUUUUUAAAAACACUUUCCAAAAUCAAUGCUCAACUAUCUCAAACUCUCUUACCUUAUACUUUAAAAGAGAAAAAAAAGAUUUUAAAUUUUAUCCCUAUUUCUUUUAAUCCAAUUUUUAUCCCAGGUAAAAGUUUUUAUGGAGAGGAUCAUGUAAAAUUAUGAUUUGAAUAAUUUUAAACAUUUCAUCAUUGCAAAAAUGAAAUAAUAGAAAAGAAUGACUAUUCGAAUUUGCAUUUGUGUUCUUUCUUUCAAUAUUUGCUUUCAAAACUGUGGGAAAAUAUUAAAUUUGAUGAAAUUUUAAAAUUGCACUUCAGUAAAAUAUAAAUUUUAUGAAUUUGGACUAGCCAUUUUAUUUAUAAUUUUCUGUGUUUUUCUUCUUUGCUGACUUUUUUAAUGUCAUUUUCUAUCAUGAAAGAAAGUUAAAGAUUCACUAUUUAUUUCUCAACCACUAUGAAAUUACUUGACUAUGGGGGUAGAAUUUUCUCACCAAUUUUCUAACAUGAGAUUUUUUGAAUGAGACAAAUAUUCAAUUUUAACACAAACAUAUCUUUAGUUAUUGAGUCACCCCUAUUUGUGAGUGAUUUGGGGAUAAAAGCUUAAACAUUUCUGGAUCACAUUGCAUUUAAGAUGGGUGUUAGGAGUCAUAUGAUAUUUUUUCAUAGACCGACAUUUCUAUAAAGAAUCCUUGCUUUACUUUGGGUAGAUUCUUCCAAUUAGCGUGGUCGUUGGUAUUACUCUCCAACAAUUAUUGUACUGUCAUCCUUAUUCCUACUCCUCCUAGCAGAGAAGUUUCAUAAGUGUUUUAUUUCAAGGGAGUCAGCACUUAGCAACCCCUUGGGGGAUUCAGCACUUAGCAACCCCUUUUAUAUUCAAUGUACUCCGGCUUAUUCCGAGUGUUCAACCGGAAAUCUUGUUUGCAAUAUUUUACCAUUUUUUCCAACUUAACCACAUUUUUAGGAUCUAUGGCAAGUAUUUAUUCUACGUUCAAUUAAAUCUCCUCAUAUAAUGAAUAAUAUCAAAAUAAUGCAUUAAUUCACAUGUUUACUUACCUUGGUGCAAAAUAUUGUAAUUUUGCAAUUUACUCCACAAUUUUCUCUUUUCCCCGAUUGAGGUUGUCUCCUCGUCUUUCUUGAUCUAUAAUAGCAAUUUUAGCUUAUUUAAUAUUCACAUUUAUUAAAACAAUCCUCGACUCACAUUUAUUAAACUUGCUAUUUAAUAUUCACAUUUAUUAAAACAAUCCUCGACUCAACUUUUUACAAAAUUAUGAUUUUGCCCCCAAACUUUUGCAUAUUUACACUUUUGUCCCCAAGCUCGAAAAUUAAAUUCCACUCCUUAUUCUUAUGUUUUACAACAUGCUGAAUACUUUUCCCUUCUAUGGCAACAUCAAAUUCUCACUCUAACAUACACUCAUGAACAUUAAAUAUUUUUACCGAUUAUGUCAAUUUACCCGUUUCUACUUAAAAUUGCUUAGUAAAAGUUGUUUAACAUAAUUCUAGCUCCAUAUUCUACCAUAAAACAGUAAAAUAAACACAUUUCACCUAUGACUAUUUUUCCAAAUAUGAACCCUAGGUUAAAUUAUGUGUUUUGUUCUUCCAAAUGUGUUUUGUUACGAAAUUGAAAACCAAAAUUUAUGUAAAUUUGUCAUGAUUCCUCAAUAGAAAAAUCUGUAAAUUAUCAAAACGUAAAUGUGAACAUAUUAAUUAUUAACUUAAAAAAAACCUAGUCUUGUACAAUCAAAAUUCAAAAAUCAUUUGCCUUGUAAAACUUGUAAUUUUCAUUAAAAUUUUUGCAGCGAAAACUUUUUAUUUAGCCUAUUGAGCAUAUUUUUAAAUUUACGUUUUUAACUUUCGUAAAAUCCCAAUUUGUAUUUUUGUGGUGGAAAAUUUUAUAAUUUUGAAAACCUAGCCUUGAUUGUUGGUUAACACAAAUCAUGCAGAAAAAAAAAACCUUUAACUAAGCCAAAGAAAUCCAAAGCCAAAUUAAAUCGGAGAAAUUCAACCAAAAGCCAAAAGUCCAGUAAAUCAAUUUAUUAACCAGAGCAAACAUUUAAUGAAAGAAUCAAUCCGAGACCCCGCAAAUUCUAACUUUCCGAUUACCUGAAACAUCAUAAAUAAAAUAAAGGGGAGAGCUAUAAAGCUCAGUGCAUAACUAAAACAGAAGCUGAGAUCACAUACAAUACAAUAUACAAAUCAUAAAAUCAUAGAAAAUUUCAUAACAAACAGUCAAACAGAAUUGAGUAUACAUGAUUAUGCCAAUGCGGUAUUUUUCAGAAAAUCUUAAUGCAAAUUUUUCAGAAAACGUCCUACCCAAAUCCUCUACACACUUGAAUAGAGUUCUCCAGAACUUAUCCAUAAAAAAAACACACCAAUUAAGUCAUCCCAGGUUGCCCAAAAACGAUGACUCACCACCAUGGGAUGCCCGACAACGAUGGCUUAUCAAUAUGUAAUUAAACUGUUAGAUCAGAUAUUUGUGGUCAAGCCAUUGAAUUGCAUCUCAGCUACUUAAACAAAAAUAUGUAGUGAAGCCACUAUAUUGUAUCCAAGUUGCCAAAUAAAAAUAUGUGGAUAAACCACCAGAUAGUGCAGACCAUUAAACUACCAAAACUUCCUCCCUGCCAUAUUAUCCCAACCCCAUGCAAUGUGACAUGACAUGCAUUUACAUAAUCAAAACGACAAGCAUGUAAGACAUGUAGUCGUACCAUAACACAAUUUAGCAAGCAUGGCAUUCCACUCUUUUACAGAACAGAUGUAUCAGAAAUUCAACAUAAGCAAGUUGGUAUGCUAUAAAGUCACAUGCAUGAUCACAUAGCAGAAUCAGAAACAUAAAAAUAACGUAACCAAACCUCAUAUACACAAAUACAAACAUAACAAUACAAAUCAUGCUACCAGAUUCAUUAGAAAACAGUUCAUGCACACUAAUUUCACAUACCUUAUUCAUAUCACCUACAAUAUCAAAUUAUCAGAUAUUACAUUUUCAAAGUCAAUUUUACACAGUACGAACCCUACAAAGUGGCUAAACAUGAUUCACGAAUCAAAAGGGGCCUAAACGAAAAUUUUUAAAAGAUGGGCCAAUAUGGCCCAAUUAGCCUAGGCCGUAUGGCGUCGACAGUCCAAUUUUUGACUUUCAGCUGUUCAUUAUUUUUUGACUUUUUUGAUAUACACCUUACUAUUUUCCGAAGCAAAAUCAUGGCAAGAAUUCCAAAACUUAAAAUCCAUAUUCAACCCACUCAAAUUAGUAAUGAAACCCAAAACUAAAUCAUUAAACAACCAAAACUGCUACCAAUAAACCUUAUCAAACCAGGAAUCAACCUUUUGGCAUCUGACUACUAACCCAAAAUAGUAGCAGUAGUACUAAAAAUCUCUCAAUUCAUCGGAAGACUAUUUGUUACAGAAACGUCACCUAAACCAAAGAUUUCAGAGUAAUCAAAAUCGCGUCACACAAAGAAGGAAACAAAUUAACCCUAAAAUCGUGAAACUCAACAAAAUACGAAUCUUUUCACAUAUUCCUUACCACCAACCGUCAAGAUUGGUCAAAAACCACUAAUGACACCGACCAUCGCAAGGUUAAAUUGAAACCAAAAGGCAACUAAAGAUGGAACAAAGGUUGUUAUAAAAAAAAUUAACAAAGACUUAUUGCAGCAAAAAUGGCAAAAAAUCAAGAAUAGGGAGAUUGGAAAAAAAUAAUGAAACGGCAAAGAGAAGGAGUGGGAAAGUGACGGCAGUUUGUGGAGAGAUUUUGGGUAAAUAAAAAGUAACUCACCACUCAACCCAUUAAAUCUGAUUACCCUCUAGACAGAUUCCCUUAGAGUUUAAAUUCAACCCAAAUACCGCUACAUGGGCGGCAUAGUGUAAGGAAAUAAAAAUAUUUCUACUUUGCACACACGCGGUCUUGAACACGAAGCCUUAGGGUAAUUUGAAGCCUUACCACUAAAUUAGUAGGCUCAUCCUUGAAAUUAAUUGAACGAAAAUAUUAUUUAUGUCAGAUGAUCAGGGAUAGAGGUUAAGACCAAAGAUGACAAAAAUUCAAAGGAAAGAUUUAAACCUAGAACCUCACACACACAAGCAUAACACCUAUCCACUGAACCAUAUUUACUCCACUGACAUAAUUUUCACAAUAUUAACUAAAAAUUCAGAAUAUGGUCACUCUUGGUUUCACUUACCUAAUUUCUUCUAACCUGAUUUUUGUGAUGUGACAACUCUCCCAUCCUUAAAAGAAUUUCAUCCUCGAAAUUCCUAUUAUGACACCAUACACUUAACUACAAAAUCUAAAAUUCCCUAGUCCAAACCAACCACCAGGCUAUCAUUGUACAACUCUAAUCUCCAUUCAAGUCUGAUCCAGACAAUAUUUCAGAGGAAUUUCCUAUUCACUACCUCGAAUUACCUCAAUAAGCUUUCCACAGAAACAUCACUAAUGAUCCUUUACCCCAGACUCUAAAAAAAUCACUUACCACAAAAUACAGGUACAAACAAUUCUUAUCAAUGCAUAGUACAUUUGGAACAUAUCAUAAAAGUACCUGUAUCAUUGUCAAAUGCAUCACGGCUCGCUUGAUACCUAGUUGCAUAUCCCCAUCUCAAAUUUUGUUUUUAUGUCGAAGCUUGUACCCGUAAAAUAGUGUCAUGAGCAAUCCCAAACUCGAUGCUCAACUGACCUACAUCUAAAACACGCUCUCAUUUUCCUCCAACAAUCGUCCGAAUGGUGCCUAUCACAGUAAGUAUAAAUCAGAAGCUCAACCGCAUUCACAAUUGCCUCACCCCGCUGAAGCCUGUCUAUUUUAGCCCGUUUCCUUGGUCAUGGAUUCAAGUCAAUAGAACCAUCACUCAUCUUAUUUUGCACUUUAUUCAUUACUUAUUCUCUCCCUUGGAGCAAUUACUCUCUACCGCUAACUUGACUUGAUACGCUUGAGGUCACUCAAUCACAGACUCUUGUCUCAUACAUCCAAAUUGGGUUCCAUCGAUCCUUUGCAAAUCUCUAAACACCUCUUGGAACACUGAAACGUCCCCUACUUCUAAACUGCCCUCAGAUUUGGGCGUCAUAGCAAACUUAUUUAUUUUCAAAUUGGGCUUACUGCCCCGAGAAGAGAACUCAACUCGAGUCACCCAGCUACGUCCACCACGCCCUCGCACAUCAUGACCUCGAGUACUCAUUAUACUAAUCUACAGUUUGCGAAAUUUUAUGAAUUAGCUUAGGUUUAUUAAAAAUUAUAAGUCUAGAGUUUUAUCAAAGUUUCUUACAUAAUUACCAUAGUCUUUAGCUAGAGUAGAGUAAUCCUAGCACUUAAGUUUUGUUAGUUUGUCUAGUAUAGCUAAAGUAAAGAUACUUACAGGAUCGACGAUGUAGUUUUGGAUUCUUUUUGAUAGAAUCAAAUAUAAAAAUAAUCAAAAUCUAAAUACCCAUUUUAGAAACCCAAAGUAUAAUAAUUAAUCAAAAAUUCAAUUUAUUUAAAGCAUAUUUAAUGGAGAUUUUCAAACCCAGAAAUCAUAGCCUGAGUUUUGUUACCUUGCUCUGAUACCACUAAAUGUAACACCCAAAACUUGGCUUAGACAUUAUGGCCAAAUCUGGAAGGUUACAUUAGUACGAAAAAAAUGAUUUUUCCAAAGUGUGGUUUGUUACGAAAUUGAAAACCAAAGUUUAUGUAAGUUUGUCAUGAUUCCCCGAUAGGAAAAUUUGUAAAUUAUCAAAACGUAAAUGUGAACAUAUUAAUUAUUAACUUAAAAAAAACCUAGCCUUAUACAAUCAAAAUGCUAAAAUCAUUUGCUUUAUAAAACUUGUAAUUUUGACUAAAAUUUUUGCAACGAAAAUUCCAAACUAAUAUUCGUAAAUUGUAAUUUUGUCAAGUAAAAACGUUUUAUUUAGCCGAUUAGGCAUAUUUUAAAUUUACGUUAUUAAAUUUUGUAAAAUCUCAAUUCGUAUUUUUGUGGCAAAAAAAUCUUGGCUCGUAUAAUUUUGAAAACCCAACAUUGAUUGUUCAGUAACACAAAACAUACAGAACAAAAGACUUUAACUAAGCCAAAGAAACCCAAAGAAAAAUUAAAUUUGAGAAAUUAAACCAAAAUCCAAAAGUCCAAUAAAUCCAUUUAUUAACCAGAGUAAACCAUUUAAUUAGAGAAUCAAUUCGAGCUUCCACACACUGCCCGAUUCUAAGUUAUCGAUUAUUUGAAACAUCAAAAAUAAAACAAAUGGGUGAGCUAUAAAGCUUGGUGCAUAACUAAAACUCAAGCCGAGAUCACACACAAUACAAUAUACAAAUCAUAAAAUCAUAGGAAAUUUCAUAACAAUCAGUCAAACAAAAUUGAGCAUACAUGAUUAUGCCAAUGCGGUAGUUUUCAGAAAAUCAUAAUGCAAAUUUUUUCAGAAAACAUCCUACCCAACACCACCACACACCCAAAUAUAGUUUCCCAAAACUCGUCCAUCUAAAAACACACCAAUUAAGUCAUCUCAGGUCGCCCGAAAGCGAUAACCUACAACCUCGAGUUAGUCGGCAAUGAUGACUUAUCAAUUUGCAGUUAAACUACUAGAUCAGAUAUUUGUGGUCAAGCGAUUGUACUGCAACUCAGCUGCCAGAUUAAAUGUUCCUAGUGUAGUCCCUAACAUUAUCAGGUGUUCUCGGCUCAGUCCUUUGGACAUUAAAAAAAAUAGAUUUGGAUAUGCAAUUAAUCAUAAAUUGCCAGGUGGUAUAUGUUAAAGUUACGAUAACAUCAUCAUCAAGAAAAAAACCAAAAAAAUCUUUAAAAAAUUUCAUAAAAUUCAAAUAAACUUAUAUAAAAUUAACUACAUUAUAAAUAUAUAAUUGUUAAAAAAUAAAAAUUCUUAAUUAUUUUAAAAUUUGUAAAAAAUAAUAAAAUUAUUAGAAAUUGUUAAAUAUUGUAGAAACAUUAUAAAAAUUAUUAGAAUCAUAAAAGACGGUAAAAAAUAAAAAGUUAAAAUACUAGUAAAAAUUGUCUAACUUGAAAUAAAGUAUACAUUUGGUAAUCAAAUUUAAAAUAUUGAAAAUUUAAUAUUAAAGUUGUAUAAUUUUUAUAAAAAAUAUUUUAAAAUAUUUUAAUAAAAAUUGAAUAAAUUUUAUAUCUAUUUUUUAAUAUUUUAAAAUACAUCAAUUUUCAGUACUUUACCAACGUUACUGGCAACAAGUUUUUUCGACUUGACUCCCUAUUUAUUGUCUUAAGUAGCUUCCUGCAUCCACCAUUUUGCACAUGGUUUUUCUAUUUUAUACCAAAGCUCUUUAGAAUAGUUAAACAUUCGACAAUAGUUCUUAAGAUAUUAGUUUAGAGACAAAUAAUUAUCUUGAGAUAGUAAAAAAAAAAGAAAUAAUUAAAUAUAUUAUUUACUUGAAAUAAUAUUAUUUUUCAUUAUUUAAAUUAUUUGAGAAAAAAACUUAUUCAAGUUUAUCACGUAAAAAGAUCUACCAAUUAUAAAUUUUGAUUAGUUGAACCAUAAGACAAUUGUUAUAGGUAGUAUCAUUCCAAGAGACAAUUAUCACAUGUUCAAACUCUAGUUAAUGUGAUUUAUAAAAUUUUAAAAAUAUUAAAAUAUCUAAUAUAUUUUUGAAAUUUAUGUAAAUUUUUAUAUUUUACACAGUUUUUUUUUCUAUUUUUAAAUAAUUUUGAUAAUUUUUCUUUUAUAAUUUUUGUCAUUUUUGAAGAUUCUUUAAGGGUUUUUGUUGAUGAUUUCAUUAUGAUAUCAUCAUACGACAUGUGGUAGUAUAUGAUUUGUUGAAUAUUCCAAAGAAUUUUUUAUUGACCAAUGAACUAAACUAAAAAUUUUUAAUAACAUUAGGGACUGAAGUGGAUAAAAAUAUUUUAAAAACUAAAGUUAAAAAAGUGAUAUACUUGCAUUAACAUUUUCUAAAAGAUGGAAGUGUUUUUCUGUUUUAAGGGAAUAGAAUUUUUUUGAGUGAAUAUAGUUUUGUGAGGGAGUAGUGAUAUUAUUAUUAGAGACAAGGCAUUUGAUUUUUAUAUAACUUUUUAAUUAAGUCAAUAUCACUCAUCGAGUAAAACCCAACAUAUUAAGCACAUUAUUAUACUAAUUUAGAUUAAUAGGAAUCAUCAAAUUUACAAUUAAGGAUUAUAAAUUUAUUUAAUUCCAAUCUUCUACCUUUUCUAAAUUAUAAGAAUGGUUUUGCCUUAUAUUUUCUUCAAAUUGAGAUUUAAUUUAUAAUUUUAAUUUUGAUAUAAUUUAGUUUAUCAAUUUUUAUAAUGCAAUUAAUUAGUUAAUACUUUAUUUUAAUCAAAAUAAUUAUAUUAAUUUUAAAGAAUUAUUAUCACCGUUAAAAUUCUUUACUAACAAUGAUUUAAAAUUAAGUUCUAUUGCUUUUGUUUUAGAUUACACAUAAAUGUUUACAAUAUGAAAUUCUUUAUAAUUUUCAAUACAUAUUACUUAAAUAAAUAGAAAAUAGAGUUUUAAUAAUGCACAACCAAAUAAAUUUUAGGGUAAACGACCAAAAUAGUCACUUUUGUUUGCCUUAGGUUACAUUUUAGUCACUUAUGUUUGAAAUGUUACGUUUUAGUCACUUACGUUAUCGUGUUGUAACAUUUUAGUCACUGAGUCAUUAAUUGUCGACAAUGGUGUAAUGGUAAGUUGAUGUGGCACGUUAAAUCAUCAUUUCAAACGAAAUUUUUAGGUUAAAUUCUACAAUUGGUCCCUAUAUUUUUCAUUUUCAACAAUUUAAAAAAUUUCUUUUAUGUUCUUCUAACUUUUUUUUUUCCAUUCUCUUAUGCUUCUCCCUCUAUUUUCCUCCCUUCUUCAUUUCUUUUAACAUAGUUUUUCUAUGAUUUCCAUUUGUAACUAGUCCACAAGCUCGCCUCACUCGAAAAAAUUAAAUUGUUCAAAAAAUAAAACAUAGAAUAACUACGUUGAAAGAAAUGGAGAAGGGAGGAAAACAAAGGGAGAAACAUAAGAGAAUGGAAAAGAAAGAAAGUUAAAAAAACAUAAAAGAAAAAAUUAAAUUGCUCCAAACGAAAAAAUAUGGGGACCGAUUGUAUAAAUUAACCUAGAAUUUUUGUUUGAAAUGAUGAUUUAACGUGCCACAUCAGUUUACUGUUACACCGUUAAUAGAAACUAACGGCUCAGUGACUAAAAUGUUACAACGUGAUAACAUAAGUGACUAAAACGUAACAUUUCAAACAUAAGUGACUAAAAUGUAACCUGUGCCAAACAAAAGUGACUAUUUUGGUAGUUUACCCUAAAUUUUAUUGAUGUUCUAUUAUUUUGAUUUCUUAGACUUGUAUAUAGGGAAAAUAAAGGACUAUUGCCAUUUAAUUGCUUUAAAACAAUUUUAAUGAGCUCUAGUCAUGCAAGAUUACCAUUAAAUAGAAUACUCAUAUAGAAGGAUUUACUAUUUUUGUUUCUCAAAUCACAACUAAUAAUUGUUCAUAAUUUCUUAUUUAGUGUCAUUUUUAAGAUUUAUUAGAUGACAAUUUUUCAUGCCAAAGUUUUAUUUUUAUUUCAUUUAAAGUUUUACAAUAUUUAAAAAAUUAUAUAUUUUGUAAAUUUGACAUUUAAUCAAUUUUAGAUCUAAAAAGUAAUAAUGAUUUCAACCCAAGGCCUGAGCUAGGAAUAGUUUUAGUUUGGAGUACUAUAUAUAUAUAUAUAUACUAAAAGAUGCAAUUUUUAUAAAUAACUUACAAAUCUAUCAUUAAAUCAAAUACUGGUAUGAAAUGGUUUAAUUAUUUGAUCACAUUUUUCCAUGACAAAAUUUUAUUUUUAUAUGAUUUAAAAUUUUACAAUUUUUAUAUUGUGAAUUUGGUGUACUAAAAGAUGUAAUUUUACAGGUAAUUUUAAUACCCAUCACCAGUGCUGCAAAGCUUGAGAUUCUUUUAUUGUGGGGAAAUAAACUUAGUGGAAACAUUCCCAACUCUAUCUCCAAUGCUUCCAUGCUUAAGAAACUAGACUUGGCAGAUAACUUAUUCUCUGGCCCAAUCCCUAAAACUUUUGACAACUUAAGACACGUUGAAUGGUUCCAAAUUUCAAACAAUAAUUUGAUCAAAAGACCUGCUACUGAUCAUGAGUGGACCUUUCUUUCUUCUUUGGCAAAUUGCAAGCAUUUGAGAAUAAUAGAUGUUUCAAGAAAUCCAUUGAGUGACGUUCUUCCAACUUAUAUUGGGAACCUUUCAAAAUCCCUUCAAUACUUUUAUGCAUCUAAUUGUGAGAUUACAGACAAUAUUCCUAUGUAAAUAGGUAGCUUAAGCAACCUAUUACUUUUACAACUUGGCUAUAAUAAAUUAAGCUUUAUUCCAACACCGAUAGGAGGACUGCAAAAUUUGCAAGGUUUACAACUUUCCUCUAAUAAAUUAGAGGGGCCUAUAUCAGAAAGCCUUUGUGGUUUGGAGAGAUUAUACUACUUGUAUUUAAGGCUGAUUAGGUUGCAUGGAUCCAUACCCUCUUGUUUGGGUAAUAUUUCUUCUUUGAGAUAUCUUUACUUAGAUUCCAACACAUUGAGUUCUACAAUACCCUCAACUUUGUGGAAUCUUAAAGAUAUCUUAGAAAUAGAUUUAUCAUCAAACCAUCUUUACAAUUCACAUGCUAUAUUGAUGUUGGAGAUUUGAGGAGUCUACUAAAACUAAAUUUAUCAAGGAAUCUUCUCAUGGGCAAUAUCUUCUCCACAUUUAGGGGUCUUCAAAUUUUGAUUUCAUUAGAUUUAUUAAAUAAUAUACAACAUGGCCAUAUCCCUGGAUCAUUAGGUGGUUUGAUUAGUUUGGAAUUCUUGAAUUUAUGAAAUAACAAUCUCUCUCGAGCCAUUCCCAAAUCUUUGGAAAAGCUUUUAGAUCCAAAGUAUUUUAUUGCGUCUUUCAAUAGACUUGAAGGGGAAAUUCCCGCCAAAGGAUGUUUUUCAAACUUCUCUAGCACAUCAUUCAUGAAGAAUUUUGCACUUUGUGGUCCACCUAGAUUGCUAGUCCCACCUUGCAAAAACAAUAUCCAAGAAAACUCCCAAAUGAAUAUAUUGCAUGCUUUAAGGUAUGGUUUACCAACAGUUGGUAUUGUUGUAGUACUAAUAGUCUUAACUAUUGUAAUCACUGAAUUUUGUCCGGCUCGAUUUGGUUUUUUUUAAAAUUUUUUUUUAAAUACAAAAAAUAAAAAAUUGUAUUUUGACCCCUAAACUUUUUUUAAAAUUACAUUUUACCCCUAAACUUUCUCAAAAUUACAUUUUGACCUCUAAACUUUCUCAAAAUUAUGUUUCGACCCUAAUACUUUUCCUGCAUUUGCAGUUUAGUCCUUCUGGCAGCAACUUGCACACCUACCCCCGUGAUUUCCGGCCACUGGCCUAGGGCAUGGCCUCCCUCUCCCCUAGCCACCUAAUCCCUGCAAAAAGGAAGAAAAAACAGCUAUAAAAUGGGUUAAAAAACCCCAAAAAUCGGACCCCCCACGAAAAAAUAAAAAAAAAACUUGCAAAAAAGAGAAAAAGAAGAGGAAAAAGGAGAGAAAGAGAGGAGAAAGGAGAAGAAGAGGCCGGCCAUCGGCGAACCACUGGCAGCAGCACGAGCAGCGACGUCGACGGCGGCGAAGGAGACCGAACGGAGAAGAAGAAGGAGAAAAGAGAAGAAAAAGAGAAAGAAGAAAGGAAAAAGAAGAAGGAAGAAAAAGAAAAAAAGAAAAAAUAUUUUUUUUAACAGUCGGGUCAAACCGACCCGACCCAACUCUGACCCGAACACCGCGACCCGACCCGGCACCUGCAUACCCAGGCCAAGCCCAGCAGCCUAAAGAAAAAACAAAAAAAGAGGCAAAAGCAAAAAAAGAAAGAAAGAAAAGGAAACAGGCCAAAAACAGCCCAAGCGCAGGCCCAAACCAACGCCAGGCCCAACAGCAGGCCUAGCAGGCCAACCAACCCAACGCUAGGCCCAACAGCAGGCCUAGCAGGCCAGCCAGCCCAACGCCAGCAGCAGGCCCAAUAGCACAGGCCCAAAAGGCAGCAGGCCAAAAAAAAAGAAGAGAAAGAGAAAAAAAAAGAAAAAAGAAAAAAAGAGAAAUAAAAGAAAAAAAGAAAAAAAAAAGAAGAAAAAAGGGGUUUCAAUUUGAACAACCCGUUCGGCGAAGCUCGUGUUUUAGAUUUUUCGGUAAUUUUAUUUAUUUCUCUUUUAAUUUAAUGCUCGUAUUUUUAUGUUAUUUCAUUUUAAUAUUAUUAGCAUUUUAUGCAUUUUUUAUAUUUUUAUAUUUUUGUAUUUAUAUUUUCAAUUUAAUUCAAUUUUAAUUUUAUUUUAUUUUAAAUAAUUUUAAUAAAUAAGGCAACGGAUCGAUUUAUCAUAAAAUUGUUGAUUUCAUCGCUAUGUUGGGUGAAUAUCACCGGUUUGUGUUAAACUCGAUACGCUCUUUUAAAAAUAAAAAAUAUUCAAAAAAAUUGUAUUUUCAAAAAAAAAUCCUCGGGUUUCGAAAUUUGCGUGUCUUCAAAAUAAUUUCUCGUGUUUUCAAAAAUAAGGUAACGAAUCUAUUUGACACUAAUUCGUUGAUUUCAUUGCUAUGUUGAGUGAAUAUCACUGACUAGUGUUAAAUAUGAUACGUGCUUAAUAAAAAAAUCAGAAAAUUUUUCGUGUUUUCAAAAAUUUCCGUGUUUCAAAAAUUUUCAUGUUUUCAAAAAUUCUCGUGUUUUCAAAAAAAUUCCAAUUUUCAAAAUUUUUCGUGUUUUCUAAAAACUUCUGUGUUUCAAAAAUUUUCGUAUUUUAAAAAUUUUUGUGUUUCUAAAAUUUUCGUAUUUCAAAAAUUUUCUUGUUUUCAAAUUUUUCGUAUUUCAAAUAUCCUCGUGUUUUCAAAAAAUUUCGGUGUUUUGAAAAUUUUCUUGUUUUUCAAAAAAAUCUCGUGUUUCAUAAAUUUUUGUUUUUUUUUAAAUUGUGUUUCCAAAAUUCUCGUGUCUAAAAAAAAUUCUCGUGUUUUAAUCGGAUCAGGAUUAAAUAUUAAAUUGAACUCGUAUUUUUGAAAGUGAAGACAACUCGCAUUUAACGAGAUACCAAUUUCGGGCGUCGCGAGGGUGCUAAUACCUUCCUCGCGCGUAACCGACUCCCGAACUCUAAUUUUCUCUGGAUUUUCACGUAGACCAAAAAUUACCUCUUUUUUAGAAAAAUUUAAAAAAUAAAUUUUCCUUCUAAAAAGAGAAUUUAUUAGGUGUCCAAUCACACCUAGGAAAAAAAAGAUCGGUGGCGACUCCUUUUUCAAAUAAAAUCGAAACACCGUUUUCAAAUUUUCAACAAUCAUUUCGAUUAGCGCCCGUGCACGAAAUUUUUAGGUCGCUACAACUAUUAUGUAUAGAAGAUGCCAAAGUAGGAGUACAACUCUACCAAUUCAGGAUGAUUUGUUUUCUUUGAAAACGCUGAGUGGAAUUUCACAUGCUGAACUUUCACAAGCAACUAAUGGAUUUGAGGAAAACAAUAUGCUUGGUUCAAGGAGUUUUGGAUAUGUAUAUAAAGAAAGGCUUUCAGAUGGAAUGGAAGUUGCAAUAAAAGUUUUCAAUUUGCAAACAGAAGAAGCAUUUGGGAGCUUUGACAUUGAAUGUGAUGCUAUGCGAAAUAUAGAUCAUCAUAAUAUUGUGAAGGUCACUACUUACUGCUCAAGUGUUGACUUCAAAGCCUUGGUGCUUGAUACAUGUCUAAUGGAACUACAGAGAAAUGGUUAUAUUAUUAAAACUAUUUCCUUGAUAUCAUACAAAGGGUUGACAUAAUGAUAGAUGUUGCAUCAGCUAUAGAACAUCUCCACAACGGGCAUCCAACACCUAUAAUUCAUUGUGACUUAAAACCAAGCAAUAUUUUACUAGAUGAAGACAUAGUUGCACAUGUGGGAGAUUUUGGCGUUGCCAAAUUGUUGGGAGAAUGUGAUGUAAUGAAGCAGACCAUGACUCUUGCAACAAUCGGGUAUAUGGCACCAGGUGAAUUUUUUAUUUUUGUAUUAUUAUUUGUCUAAUAUGCAUUUUAUAUUUUGUUUCAUCUGUAUGUGGAUAUAUAUUUGAAUAAUCAUUUUAGAAAUAAUUAAAGAUUAAUGAUGCUCUAAUUUUACUUGAAAUGCAAAAUUUGGAUCAACGGGAAUUGUUUCUAUAAAAUGUGACAUCUAUAGUUAUGAGAUUGUCCUUAUACAAACUUUCACAAAGAAAAAGUCAACUGAUAAUUUUUUUGCUGAAUAAGUGACUAUAAAGCAUUGGAUGGGAAGUUCAUUGCCAAAGGAGCAUGAAAAUCCCCAAAACCUAAAUUCUUUCCUUCUAGCAAUGAAGAGAUGGUGAGGGGAAGGGGAAAAAAUCACGUUAAAUGAAAAGAAAAAGAAAAAGAACAAAAUUAAAUUUGACGUGAAAAUUAUUUUAAUACUUUUAAUUUGAGUUGGAAAGGUUGAUGAUGUAGCAUAAAAUAAUUGGAUAGGACCAUAUUUGAGGUAGUGGGUGUAACACCCCUUACCUGAGACCGUCGCCGGAAUCGAGUACGAGAUGUUAUCCAAUUUAACUUACCAAUUUGGAGCAUAAAAAUUUGCUUUGUAAAUUACUUUCACAAUUUACAGCAAAGCUGUCCACCUGCGCGACUGUCACUAAUUUAAUUAUAACUCGAGUUACGAAACUCGAAAUUUAAAUCCGUAAAUUUUCCAUGAAACUAGACUCAUAUUUCUACGUACCAUAAAAUUUUUAGAAUUUUUGACUUAUCCAAUUAGUACAGUUUAUUCAUUAAAGUAUCCCCUGUUUCACAACUUGACAGAUCUGACCUCUUGGCACUAAAAAUCAAUUAUCUCACUGUACAAAAUUCAUAUAAGGUUAUCAUUUAUUUCUCUUGAAAAUAGACUCACUAAGGAAUCUAGAAAUAUAAAUUAUGACCCAUAAUUCUUUCUGUACAAUUUAUAAUGAUUUUCUAAAGUCAGAACAGGGGACUUUAAAAACCAUUCUGACCCUGUCUCACUAAAAUUCAAAUAUCUCAAAAUAUACAAUUCCUUUGCCUACACCGUUUCUUUCAUAUAAAAAUAGACUUGAUAAGCUUUAAUUCCAUCUAUAAUUCACUCUCUAAUUCCAUUUAUACUAUUUAUGGUGAUUUUUCACAUUCACGUCACUGCUGCUGUCAAAAAAACUGCUUCUUUAUAUUAGUUCCAUUUACACAUACAUACCACCAAAACAUAAUCUCUACUAACCACUUCAAUAGCUAAUCUUAGCCAUAUCAUAUGAACAUACUCAAAAUGAUUAAGACUCUAUACAUGCCAUAGUUUAAACAUUUUGGAAAGCACACAAUACCGAGAUGAUUAUGAUAGUGUGAUACGAGCUCCGACGAUCCCCAAUUCGAUCAAGUUCAAAUCACUAUAAAACAAAGGAAAUAAGAAAAUGUGUAAGCUACAAUUAGCUUAGUAAGUUACAUGUAAAUAAUAGAUACUCAUUUAAUAAUUAACACUUUUAACUUAUAACUAAUCAAAACAUUUCUUGGCAAUUUCAAUCACUUACACAUGCACAAUCUUACCAUUUCACUUACAUAUACAUUUUCACACUUAACCUUUACCACUUUUGAUCAUUAUUUCAAUUGUACCUGCAUACACACUUCAUUUCAUAUUCACUUUAACACAUUAUUAAUCCCGUUGAACACUUGGAAUAUACACGGAUACAUAGAGAUUUAGCACAUAAGUGCCACACUGAUAUGUAGCCGAAGCUACCACUGAUAUGUAACCGAAGUUACCACUGAAUGUAGCCGAAGCUACCACUGGGAUGUAACCGAAGCUACCACUGAUCAAUAACACUGGAAAUGUCCACGGGCCUGCUCACACAAGCUGUCAGGUGUCUGCAACACAUGCUAGAUCACCCAGCACCCGGGACUCACUGUAACACUGUAACACUGGUCUCUAGUGACAUGUCACUUGUAUCCAUUUCUAUUCCUAAGUUCAACUGGGAAUUUACACUUAACACUUUAUUUUCAACACUUUAUCACUUGAAUAAUUCAUGAAUAUUUUUCCUUCCACAUUCAAUAUUGAUUCACAUAUCAAUAAAAUUCACAAUUUAUAAAAAUGUAUUACUAUUAUUUACACAUAACUUACCUCGGAUGCAAAACGACUAUUUCUGUAAUUUAGUCGAUAACUUUCUCUUUUCCCCGAUCACUUGCACUAUUUCUUCUUUCUUGAUCUAUAUUAACACAAUUUAAUACAUUUUAUCAACAUUUCAUUCAAAUACAAUUCAUACACAACAUUUUGGCAAAUUUACAUUUUUCCCCAAAACUUUUCAAAAAUUUCACUUUUGUCCCUAAGCUCGUAAAAAUAAAAUUCACUAAAUUCUUAAAUUUCAAACUUCACUAAAUCAUAUUUCAUGCUCAUAACAGCCCUCAAUUUCACAAAAUCACAACUUUAUGCACACUUUACCAUCUUUCACAAUUUAGCCCUUUUUCAACAUUUUCAUUGAAAUUCAUCUAGUAAAACUUGAAAUUAACACUUCAAACAUUCAUUAUCUAACAUCACUAAUCACUUUACAAUUAUAUCAUGAAUGGGUCAAUUUUUAAACUUUAAUUUCACUUAAAUUAAAUGGUAGAAACAUGAAAUUCAAGCAUCAAUAAGCAUAAAAAUACGAAAAUAAUUAAAAACGGGGCAAGAAAUCACUUACAAUUGAGCUUAGAAAAAUCAAAACCCUUAGCUAUGGUAACAUGAAACUUUCGGCAGCAAGCUUCUGAUUUUUGAAGAAGAUGACACUUAUUUUCUCUUAUUUUGUCUUUUUGGACAAAAAUGCCCUUGACCCAUUACUUAGAUAUUUUUCUAGAAUUACCCUUUUGUGUCCAUAUCACUAAUUUAUGGUCUAAUUGCCACAUAAACACUUCCAAUUUCAUGCAAUAAUUCAAUUAAGUCAUUUAAUCACUAAUUAGACACACUUUGCAAUUUUCUCGAUUUAGUCCUAAAAAUUCAAUUAGGCACUAAAUCAUUAAAAUUUCCUAUCCAUAUUUUCACACAAUAUUUCAAUCAAUCAAUAACUAAUAAAAAUUUAUAAAAUUAAAAUAUUUCACUUCGGAUUUGUGGUUACGAAACCACUAUUCCAAUUAGGCCCUAUUUCGGGCUAUCACAGUGGGAAAGGUCCAUGAAAUAAUUUUUCUAUGUUAUCAAAUAGAUGAAUGAUGGUUAUUGGGAUCAAACUAAUGAUUUUGAGGAUGUUAAUGGUUAAUUUGGUGGAGAGGGUGGAAAAGAAACAAAUAAUUCAUUAUAUGUCAUAUAAUUAUGCAAUUCAAGUUGUAAUACCCAAAUUUUACCCGGCCUACAAAAACAGUCCAAAUUACAAUGGGCUUAUGUGGCCCAAAACCUGAAAUGAACAGAGGCCCAAAACAAUGGCCCAAAACAAUGUCAGAAACUCCUAGGGUUUCUAAGGAAACUUUCCCGCCGCAGCCACCAAGCACCACGAGCCGAAAUCUUCACCUGCGCAGAAACAACGGAAAUGGCAAGAAAAUCAAAGAUUGCGAAUCAAAUAUGAGCAAGAUUUGAUUCUUUAUAUUAUUAUUUUCAUUAUGGCUAUAAAAUAGCCAUUGAUAUGCUGUAAAAAAGGAGGGGAAGACCAAAAGAAAUACAAAGACCAAUAGGAAAUUUUCUUUUUUUUGAAAUACAAAGGUUUUCUUUUCUGUUUUACCUCAUUGUCGAUUAUUGUUCUUUUAUUUUUUCAUUUAUACAUAUACAUAUUUGAUUUUUUAUAGUUUCUCUAUUUUUUUUAUUUAUUUUUGCUUAAAAUAUAAAGAAAAGAGGAGGGAUUUUACCUUUUUUUCGUCGAAGUUGUCGAACGGUGGCCAUCUCCGUCGCGAUCGGAGUGUUGGCACAGGCGAACAGCGGCGCAAAAGGGGUUAAGAAAAAACCCUAGCAGAGCAUUUGUGUUUUUUUUGUUUUUUUUUAUGUGGGUUAUUGAUUUUUAUUUUUUUAAAGAAUUUUCGUUUAAAUAACAUUAGCAAAACGACGCCGUUUUAGGGGAGCAGGAUCCGCGCGUUGACCCGACCUGCAGGCAGGGUGCACGUUCUGGCCUUGAAUGGGGUAUUUGUGCAUUUAGUCCCUCCUCUUUGCGACGCACUUCAAUAAAACCCAUUUUUCUUUUUCUUUUUUUAAAUUUAGCGGCAUAUUUCAUUUUUGUUUCAAUCGAGUCCGUCACUGCGCAGCGUUUUGGAAGUCGGAAUUAAUUUCCCUUUUGGUCCUCUAUUGUUGCUUGCGCAUUCAAGUUGGUCCCUUCUUUAUAUUUAUUGCUAAUUUGCCCCAUUUUUUCGCUUUUAGUUCAGUUUAGUCCAUUUUUUUAGCUAUUUCAUUAUUUAGUUAUUUUUUUAUUUAUUAUUAUUAUUAUUAUUAUUAUUAUUAUUAUUUCUAAAUUUAUACACGCAUUUUUUUAUGGUAUAUAUAUAUAUGCAUUUUUUUUGUAUAAUAUAUAUUUUUUAACUUUUAUAAAUACAUGCAUAUACUUCAUACAUAUUUGUUUAUUAUUAUUUUGAUUUCAAAACUUUUAUAUACUUUAAAUUUUAUAUACAUACAUAUACAUUUUAUAACACAUAUACAUUUUCCACGUUUUAUAAUUUAAAAUACACAUACAUUUUCUAUAAUAUAUUUAUGUAUACGUUUUUAUUCUUUAUAUUUUUUUUGGUUUAUUUCCUUCGUCUAUUCAUUGAUUUAGGUUUUCAUUUACAUUUUAAAAGAAUGUCCUUUUUUUAUAUUGCUUAUUCAUUUUAUAUUUUUGCAUUGUCAUUGUUUAUUUUUUUAUUUUAUAUUAAUUUCGUUUAUUUACUAUUUAUAUUAUUUCUAUACAAUUGUCGUAUUUAUUAUUGCAACAUUUAUACAUACAUUCCAUAUAACAUUACAUCAUCUUUUACUCGAAUUUAAAAAUAGAAAAUUUUCAAAAUAGAGAUAAUACUCGUAUUUAGGAUUUUCAAGAAAAUUGAGCCCUAACGUAUUGGGUUCCGAUUUUCUUCGUUAAAUCUAACAAUCGAGAAUUGCUCUUUGAUAAAAAAUAAAAUAAAAACUUGUCAUCGGGAAUUCAAUAUGUUGUGUCCUAACAUAUUGGAUGUGAUGCGUUGAUUUCUCGAGAUAAAGAUUUUCUAAACAAUAAAAGAAAUAUUCAAUGUUUGGGAUUUUAAGAAAUUGUGCCUUAACGUAUUGGGCUGUGAUUUCUUCAUAAAUUUUAAACAAUUAAAUAUUUUCUUAAAUUUUAUUACACGAGUUUUUUGGACCAGCUCAUCUUAAAAAGAAUAAAAUAUUGUGCCCUAACGCAUUGGGUGUGAUAUUUUCUUUUUUCAAAAUGAGAAAGUCUUAACAAAAAAUUUAAUUUAACUAAGGAUCGUAUUUAUUAACUCUCGACAUUAAGACACUGAUUAAUCAACUCGGUACCAAUUUUUGGGUGUUACGAGGGUGCUAAUCCUUCCUUGCACGUAAUUUACUCCUAAACCCGUUUUUUAAAACUCGUAGGCCAAAGUCGUUUUUUGGUGAUCCAAUCACACCUUAAUAAAAGAUUGGUGACGACUCCAAUUUUCAUCGACAACUAAUUUUUGUUUUUUUUCAAAAUAAAAAUGGUUUCGACAGCUUGGCGACUCCGCUGGGGACACAUACGAGAGUCGAGCCACAAAGUUGAUUAAUUUCUGUCUUAUUGGCGAGAAAAUAAAUUUUUUUAAAAAAAUCAUGAAAUCAUUGUGCAUUCAUUCAUUUUCUUGCUUAAUUGAUCUUUGCAUUAUACAUUACAUGAGUUGAAUGAUUUUACCCUUCUAAGUGGGAGUGAGAAACUAUUCCUUCGUGAGGUUUUCACCUCCGUAUAGGAUAGUGGAUCGCUUUCGGGAUACAUCUGUACCUAUGCCUUCUUGAGAUUUUCAUCUUCGUAUAGUCAUAGGGAAAAUGUAUUCCCCUGAACCGAACUUGAUCUAUAUGAGCCUAUAAUGGGUGAAGAUUGAGGAAUCUGCUGGUUUGGGUACCUUUGCCCUAGAAGUCAAACCACAUAUAGUGAACCUUAGGAACUUGCCCUAGGUAGGGAUAUGCCAAACCCCUAGUGGUCACCCGAAUAGGUUUUCUAUUUAUUCUUGCUUUAGCUUUGUACCAACCUGUUUUCUUUUUGGUUGUGAUUGCAUUGCAUUUUCAUCAUAAAAAAAGAGAGAGGUGUUGAUUCACAUUCAGUUGCUAAAUAGAUAGCUUGUCAUAAGAAAAUGAGUUUCUUGAUAAAAUGGAUGAUAAUAUGGUUGUCCGAAUAUGGUCCAAGAAAUGUGAUAAGAGAAGGAUGAUAGUUUAAUGGAGGACUACACGACUAUGGCUCCAUUGCCCAAGGAUUCAAGAUAACAAAGAUUAUUCGAGAGCCGCUAAACUUUCUUAAAGAGAAACCAACAAGCAUCACAAGGAUGAGUGAGCAACAAAUUGCGGCCUGGAUCAAGCAAAAAGGAGAUAGAAGAGACUUCCUUUUUGAAAAGUUCGUGAGAUUUAUCUUAACGCUUGAAUGAAGAAGAGGAUCGAAUGUCUUCGCCUAUGAGGGCAAGGCUGUAUAAAUAUUCAUUUUAUGUAAAGAGAUUUGUUUUCUAGUAAAGUUCUCUAAAUGGAAUUGAAUCAGAAUCAACGUCCCUUUAUGCAUUCAUUUCCUGCAUUCGCAUUACAUGAUAUCAUAGCAUUAAAAUCCACUAAAAGAUUCUAAUUAAUAUAAAUCAUUCCUCAGUUAAUCUGGAAACCAACCAACCCAUCACACACCACUACGGUACUCGAUCAAAAACUAAAGACAUGGACCAAAGGAUGGAAAGGUUAGAACAGUUCCAAAAAGAAAUGCAGUAUCAACUUCAAUAACAAAUGAAUGAACAACUUGAGAAAAUUCAGCAAAAAAUGAUGGACAAAAUGAUGGAAUCUCAAGAGAGUAUGAUGGCUCAAUUAACUCAGUUGUUGACCAGAGGAACUAAUAAAGGAAAAGGCUCUGUGCUCAAUAUGGAAGAAGGAGACAGUGAGGGACUUCUUUAUCCUCCAGGCUUGACCCCUCAGCAUGGGCAGACCCAAGUAGAGGUAUAUCCGCACAAAUCCUCUAUCACCAUCAAGCCUCAGCAGUUUCAGGCCGGUGCUGUAACACCAAUGAAUUUUCCAGCUAGAUCAGGCCCUAACCCCAGAGACGACCUUGUUAAUCCUGAUAUCCCUGACUUCGAUGAAACAGCUGAAAAAGAGAAAAUGAAUGGUGAAUUGCCAAAACAGCUCGAAGAAAAGUAUAAAUGGCUGGAGGAAAAACUUAGAGUGAUGGAAAGUACUAAGAGCUACCAUGGAAUUGACACUAAAGAAUUGAGCUUGGUUCCGGAUUUAGUACUCCCUUAUAAAUUCAAAAUUCCUGAGUUUGAGAAGUACAAUGGAACUAAUAGCCCCGAAGCUCAUAUUACCAUGUUUUGUAGGCGGAUGACUGGGUAUGUUAAUAAUGACCAACUGCAUAUACAUUGUUUCCAGGAUAGCCUUGCAGGGGCAGCAUCCAAGUGGUACAACCAACUGAGCCGUACCAAGAUUAAUUUAUGGAGAGAUUUAGCAUAGGCAUUCAUAAAGCAGUACAAUCAUGUAACUGACAUGGUACCUGAUAGAAUCACUCUACAGAACAUGAAAAAGAAGCCUGGUGAAAGUUUUAGGCAGUACACACAGAGGUGGAGGAGGUCGCAGUCCAAGUUCAGCCACCGCUUCUGGAAAAGGAAAUGACAAUGCUAUUCAUAAAUACAUUGAAAGCUCCGUUCAUCACACAUAUGUUAGGGAGUGCUACAAAAAGCUUUUAUGGCAUAAUCAUGAAUGGUGAAAUGAUUGAAAGCGCCAUAAGGAGCAGAAAAAUUGAUGCUGGAGGGAAUAACAGAAGGCAAGCCUCAAAAGAAAAAGAAAAUGAGGUGAACAGCGUGAAUACGUACAGAAAAUCGAUUGCUAAUCAGUAGGGUUCAUCAAGACAAGAAUCAUGUGUGAAGCAAGGUACUGAAAAACUCUAGUUCACUCCAAUUCCAAUGUCGUACAAGGAGCUGUAUCAAAGCUUAUUCGAUGCGCAUAUUGUUUCUCCUUUACAUGUGAAGCCUCCACAGCCUCCGUAUCCCAAAUGGUACGACGCAAGUGCACAAUGCGAUUAUCAUGUGGGAAUUACGGGACACUUAAUAGAGAGUUGCAUUACCUUCAAAAAGCUAGUUGAAAAAUUCAUCAACAUGGGUAUCGUCAAGUUGAAUGGCUCAUUUAAUGCAGAAAAUUUACUACCCAAUCAUGAUUGACAAUGGGGUGAAUGCAAUAUAUGAAGAGAUGUUAGGAAGUGUUCACAUCAAUGACAUAUAGGAAUACACAAAUGAAAGGGGGACCUUGUUAGAUAUCCGCCCUUAUAAAUCUGGGAGUGUUUAAAAUAAUUGGAUUGCGGAAGAAAUAUCUAUAGUCUUUAGAGCGUAUUUAGAGUAAUGUUCAGAACAUUCUUGUUGUUUUUAGCCUAAAAAUGAUAGGAAUUCCUUUGUGAAAUAGACUCAUGUCUGAUGAUCAUUAUUAUAAUAAAAUACAUCUUUGUAUUUAUUUUUGAGCCAACAUUCUUUCAUUCUUUGCGAGUAAUUAUUUUGUCAUUCUUUUGGAUUUUCUUCCACAUCAUUCUUUCAUUCAUAAUUAUAUUAAAAAAAUAAUUAUUCGUAAAUUCACACAUUCUUUUGCGCUUACUAUGGGACCCCAAAUAUCAAUGACAUGAGUGACGCUGUACUGACUCAAAAUCUCCUUCUGAGCGAGACAUGUGUUUAAAGGGAUCUCAUGACUUUGAAGAUGACAUAGAUCGUAGCCUAUUUCUGGACCUAUUAAGGAUGGUAGAACAAGUCGAGAAACGAAUCUUACCCUACAAAGAAUCAUUGGGAUAUAUGACUUCUCCUUAUGUGGGGCAUGAAGGUCAUUUGGUCGAUCUCGCCAAAAGAGUCUGACGGUCAUUGAUUCAUCUUUGUGAUCGUCAAUUACUUUACUAAAUGAGGGGAAGCUGCUUUAUAUGUCAAUGUCACAAAGUUGACAGUUAGCAAAUUCUUGAAGAAUCAUAUGGAACGUCAAAAGGAUCAUAUCUGACAAUGUACUAAAUUUGAGCAACAGCACAAUAUCAAAAGUUUGCAGUCUAUUCACGAUUAAUGCCAUAUCACCAAAAAAGAUGGCGCAAAAAAAAGAGAGAAAAGAAGAAAGAAAAUGGAGAGGCCAAAGUGAAAACCCGCAAAGGGCACCUUGAGACCAAAGGGGAUUUGAGUUGAAAACCCGAAACAGGCGGCUCAAAUAUUGAUCAGAAUAGGGCAUGAGGUGAUUAGAGCAACUCGAAUUUUAACCAGAUUGGGGCAUGUGGUGAUCUUGUUAUACCUGAAUUAUCAGGAAAGGGUAGGCAACAUCUUGGGGCAUUGGCAGAGUACUGUGGAUCUCCUAAACACAUGUCAAACUCAGAAGGAUCUUCAAAAAGUUUGUACGGAGAAAUUCAAGCUGCGAUAUCUGGGGCACCCAAUUUUCAUACUAUUGAAUUUGUUAUUCUUAGAAUACUUCAUUCUUUUCAAAGAUACACAUUCCCAAUCAAUUUCUUUGUUAUCCUUUUUACUAUUUUUGAUAAUUUAUUCCUUUCGAGCUAUGCUCAGAACUAAUUUUAUUCUUAUCCAUUGUUAUGACCUUUUUGCAUGCAUAUUGCAUUGGAAUAAUGAUCAAUGGACUAAUAAAACUUUCACAAGGGAAGUUUUGCAUAUUACUCUAGAAGUUUCUAAAUAAUAUAGGAGCCUGAAACAGGACUAUUAUUUAGAACGCACUAGGUUUAAAGGUUGGAAAUCUAAAAAGGAAGAGUCUAAACUAGGACUUUCUCUUUGGAUUUUGUUGUCAAAAAUCAUUAGUUGAACAAAAUAAUAAGAUGUCGUGUUGAUGACAAAGCUUAAAUCAACAAGCAAGUAAUGAUCACCAGGCAAUAGAAAGAGGUUACCUCGGGGAAGAGAGCCCUCAUUUGCUCAUGAGCCUUUGGUACGACACCCUAGGAAUGGUGUAAGAGACAAGAAAGAUUUAGAUCCUGUAUCCUUGAAUUGUGAUAGGAGAGGAUUGAAGAAAAGCCAUAUACCCUUGGGUUACAGUGGGAGAACGAUGGUAUGAAUUUUUGCGCCCCAAUGGAUUAAACUUUGAGGUUUACAGUGGGGGCAACCUGACUAAAUGUUUCUUCAGAAAAGCCAGCCAAGCAAGAAGGCAUUGUAGCACGUUAGUGUUAAAGCCUUAAUAAUCUUCGAACAAUGACAACCUAGGUGGGAUCAUUCUCGAAAAAAAAACUAUGCAUUCAUGCAAACACCAUUCACAGAUGUCUAGUUAGGAGCAUUUGAUUCAUUUUAUGCCAUCCUAAUCAUUAGGCAUAAAUAGGUUCAUUAUACAGGUCAUGUUCCCCAGAGAGCAGAUCAGUAAAAAUAGCAGAUCUUGCCUUCCUACACCGACAGUGAAACAGAUCAAAGACACCAGCCAUGCCUCCCUGGGUUGCAGUGGAGUAGGUUAAAAAUAGCAGAUCUUGCCUUCAUGCACCGACAGCGAAGCAGAUCGAAGAGACCAGCCUUGCCUCCCUGGGUUGCAGCGGAGCAGGUUAAAAUAGCAGAUCUUCCCUUCCUGCACUGACAGCGAAGUAGAUUGAAAACACCAGCCUUGCCUCCUUGGGUUGCAGUGGAGCAGGUUAAAAAUAGUAGAUCUUGCCUUCCUGCACCGACAGCGAAGCAGAUCGAAGACACCAACCUUGCCCCCUAGGUUGCAGUGGAGCAGGUUAAAAAUAGCAGAUCUUGCCUUCCUGCACCGACAGCGAAAUCGAAGACACCAGCCUUGCCUCCCUGGGUUGCAGCGUAGCAGGUUAAAAAUAGCAUAUCUUACCUUCUUGCACCGACAGCGAAGCAGAUCGAUGACCCCAGCCCUAUUUCCCUGGUCAGCAGGGGAAUAAGUUGAAGAUUGAGAAUCUUAUCUCCCUGAAGUUGCAGUGGAGUAGAUUAAAGCCAAUAAUCCUAUCUCCUUAAAUUUGUAGUGGAGCGGAUUAAAACCACAGAUCUUAUCUCUCUAAAGUUGCAGAGAGCAGAUCGCAUCUGGUCUUAUCUCCCAAAAGUUGCAGUAGAGCAGACUGAGUAAGAAAGUCUUAUCCCCCUGAAAUUGCAGUGGGGCAGACUAAAUGAACAAAUCUUAUCUCCCUAAAGUUGUAGUGGAGUGGAUUAGAAUGAUGGGUCUUAUCUCUCUGAAGUUGCAACAGAGCAGAUCACAUCAAAUUCAUCUUUAAGUGACAGCAGAUCAAGUUGAAGCUAUAAGUCUUAUCUCCCUGAAGUUGCAGUGGAGUAGAUUGAAGCACUAGUUCCUAUACCUUUGAAGAUGCAGUAUGAAGGAAUGAGGCUACUUGAAGAAGAAGACUACCUAGGUCCAGCACGAUCGGGUAAAAUUGGGCAUUUUUAAAGUCUUUACUCCAUUCCUGUUACACGAUAACGAGUAAAGAGGGGCAGCUGUAAUACCCAAAUUUUACCGAGCCUACAAAAACAGUCCAAAUUACAAUGGGCUUAUGUGGCCCAAAACCCGAAUGAACAGAGGCCCAAAACAAUGGCCCAAAAUAAUGUCAGAAACUCCUAGGGUUUCUGAGGAAACUUUUGCGCCCAGCCACCAAGCACCACGAGCUGAAAUCUUCACCUGCACAAAAACAACAGAAAUGGCAAGAAAAUCAAAGAUUGCGAAUCAAAUAUGAGCAAGAUUUGAUUCUUUUUAUUAUUAUUUUCAUUAUGGCUAUAAAAUAGCCAUUGAUAUGCUGUAAAAAAGAGGGGGAAGACCGAAAGAAAUACAAAGACCAAUAGGAAAUUUUCUUUUUUUGAAAUACAAAGGUUUUCUUUUCUGUUUUACCUCAUUGUCGAUUAUUGUUCUUUUAUUUUUUCAUUUAUACAUAUACAUAUUUGAUUUUUUUAUAGUUUCUUUAUUUUUUAUUUAUUUUUGCUUAAAAUAUAAAGAAAAGAGGAGAGAUUUUACCUUUUUUUCGUCGAAGUCGUCGAAUGGUGGCCAUCUCCGUCGCGAUCGGAGUGUUGGCACAGGCGAACGAUGGCGCAAAAGGGGUUAAGAAAAAACCCUAGCAGAGCAUUUGUGUUUUUUUGUUUUUUUUAAUCUGGCUUAUUGAUUUUUAUUUUUUAAAAAAAGAAUUUUCGUUUAAAUAACAUUAACAAAACGGCGCCGUUUUAGGGGAGCAGGAUCUGCGCGUUGACCCAACCCGCAGGCAGGGUCCACACGUUCUGGCCUUGAAUUGGGUAUUUGUGCAUUUAGUCCCUCCUCUUUGCGACGUGCUUCAAUCAAACCCAUUUUUCUUUUUUUUUUUUAAAUUUAGCCGCAUAUUUCAUUUUUGUUUCAAUCUGGUCCGUCACUGCGCAGCGUUUUAGAAGGCGGGAUUAAUUUCCCUUUUGGUCCUCUAUUGUUGCUUGCGCAUUCAAGUUGGUCCCUUCUUUAUAUUUAUUGCUAAUCUGCCCCAUUUUUUCGCUUUUAGUUCAGUUUAGUCCAUUUUUUUAGCUAUUUCAUUAUUUAGUUAUUUUUUUAUUUUUUUGUUAUUGUUAUUAUUAUUAUUUCUAUACUUAUUAUUUCUAUAUUUAUACACGCAUUUUUUUAUAGUAUAUAUAUAUAUAUGCAUUUUUUAUAUAUAAUAUAUAUUUUUUAACUUUUAUAAAUACAUGCAUAUACUUCAUACAUAUUUGUUUAUUAUUAUUUUGAUUUCAAAACUUUUAUAUACUUUAUAUUUUAUAUAUAUACAUAUACAUUUUAUAACACAUAUACAUUUUCCACGUUUUAUAAUUUAAAAUACACAUACAUUUUCUAUAAUAUAUUUAUGUAUACGUUUUUAUUCUUUAUAUUUUUUUUUUGGUUUAUUUCCUUCGUCUAUUCAUUGAUUUAGGUUUUCAUUUACAUUUUAAAAGAAUGUCCUUUUUUUUAUUUUGCUUAUUCAUUUUAUAUUUUUGCAUUGUCAUUGUUUAUUUUUUUACUUUAUAUUAAUUUCGUUUAUUUACUAUUAUAUUAUUUCUAUACAAUUGUCGUAUUUAUUAUUGCGACAUUUAUACAUACAUUCCAUAUAACAUUACAUCAUCUUUUACUCGAAUUUAAAAAUAGAAAAUUUUCAAAAUAGAGAUAAUACUCGUAUUUAGGAUUUUUAAGAAAAUUGAGCCCUAACGUAUUGGGUUCCGAUUUUCUUCGUUAAAUCUAACAAUCGAGAAUUGCUCUUUGAUCAAAAAUAAAAUAAAAACUUGUCAUCGGGAAUUCAAUAUGUUGUGUCCUAACGUAUUGGAUAUGACGCGUUGAUUUCUCGAGAUAAAGAUUUUCUAAAAAAUAAAGGAAAUAUUCAAUGUUUGGGAUUUUAAGAAAUCGUGCCCUAACGUAUUGGGCUGCGAUUUCUUCAUAAAUUUUAAACAAUUAAAUAUUUUCUUAAAUUUUAUUACACGAGUUUUUUGGACCAACUCAUCUUAAAAAGAACAAAAUAUUGUGCCCUAACUCAUUGGGUGUGAUAUUUUCUUUUUUCAAAAUGAGAAAGUCUUAAUAAAUAAUUUAAUUUAACUAAGGAUCGUAUUUAUUAACUCUCGACAUUAAGACACUGAUUAAUCAACUCAGUACCAAUUUUUGGGUGUUACGAGGGUGCUAAUCCUUCCUCGCACGUAACUGACUCCCGAACCUGUUUUUUAAAACUCGUAGGCCAAAGUCAUUUUUAGGUGAUCCAAUCACACCUUAAUAAAAGAUUGGUGGCGACUCCAAUUUUCAUCGACAACUAAUUUUUGUUUUUUUCAAAAUAAAAAUGGUUUCGACACAAGUAAUAGUAAGUUUCAUACAAGGUUCAAAGGCAAUUAAAUGACUUGUAAGUUUGUUGAACUUCUUUGAAAGGCCCAAAGGCAAUUGAACAUUUACAAAAUAGUCUCUAUAUACUGUAGAGACAAAUCAAAUCCAUGGGAGCAUUACAGUUAGUUAAAUUGAGCAUUGGCAGAAAUUCCAUCAUAGGAAAUAUUGGCAAAAUCGUCUAUUUAAUUAGAAAAACAACAUAAUUCAUGAAACAUAGAUAGCCCAAUAUAAAUGUCAUCGAGAAAAAAAGUCUGUUUGUUUUAUAGCACAUGAUAGUAAAGCAUGCGAAGUUUCAUUCUUCUUAUUGGCCUCCUUUAGUUUUCCUUGAUCAUCAACCACUAGCCAAAAACACAAUUAGAUUAGAUUAUAAAUGAAACAUUCAAUUAUGAUAAAAUUAAAUAGAAAACACCCUAAAUAACUCUAGAUAAAUGAAUAGUAGCAAAUUACCUGGUGAGGCAAGCUAGCUCAAUUAAGAUCAUUGUGUUAGACUUGUGUAUGCAUUAAACAAUCUAAAAGAAAAUGAAGGAAAAGACUUAGAAAACACUUGAAAAUUGACAAAAUUUAUAUGCCAUUGACUGGUUAAACUAUGAUCACCCAUAACAGACCUUGUAUUGGAGUUUUUGUUGAGGGAGAUCAAGUCCUUCAAGAAAAGUCUUUUAAGUGUUGUUUGUUACGUAAUCGCUGCUACCCUCAACAAAAGGUAUUGUCCUCAUGUCAAGAUUUUAUCCUCAGCCUUUAUGGAAUAAUCAUGGAGAUUACAUGUGCAAGGAUUCAAACCACCAACCAAUGCAUAUGUAGUAUUUACUUUGGAACCAUCUCCGUGAACCCACGAGGUUCUUUGCAGAAUCAAGAGACAAAACCCCAACACAAGAAUAAUACCAUCUAUUGAGGGUCCUUUAACACAACAAAUGAAAUUCAUACAUUUAUUUAAUAAAAGUAAAUAUCAUAUUUAAUUGGGGAAAAGCAACAAAAAAUCCAACAAUAAAAUCCUUAGCAAAAGAUUAAAACACAGUUAUAUCGUAAAUGACAUAAGAAACUAAGAAAAUCCAAUCUGACAAAGAAAAUAACUUGAUGCUCCAAAGCUACCAUAUACCGUAAUUCAUGGGAAGGUCUGAUGCUCAUUUUAUUGGUUUCCAUCUUGAUUUUGCAAAAGAAGUUUGAAUUUUGAAGAGAGCAAAAGAUUGAGCGAAAGAAAAAAAAUUAGUUUAUUAAUUUUCACAAUUUAUAAGACAAACCUUAUGGAGACAAAUAAUGACAUAUUAGAUAUUUGUGAUUAAAAUUCUAGAAUAGAUUUAAAAUGUUGAAUUAAUGAUGAAAUUAAUAGUGAAUUAAUAACAACAAGCGUACUGAUUACUUAGCUUCUUUGUUAAACAUGUUCGAUGUUGUUUAACAGCCUUUGUUUGAUUUUCUUUAGCUCAACCACAACAUCUUUCAUAUCUUUUCUUUCUUCUGGUAACUCAGCUGAACAAUUCAAAGCCAACUCCAUGAUGGAUGAAAUACAAUUUGCUUUAACAACAAAGUACUCAUCCUUUCUUCUUAGUAAAUCAACAUCUGCAAUUUCUAUCGCUCCUUUAGGCAACGAACUUUCCAUCCAAUGCGUUAUAGUCAUUUCUUCAGCAAAAAAUUUAUCAGUUGGCUUUUUCUUUGUAAAAGUUUCUAUAAGGAUGAUCCCAUAACUAUAGACGUCACAUUUUAUACAAACAAUUCCUGUUGAUCCAAAUUCUGCAUUUCAAGUAUAAUUAGAACAUCAUCAAUCCUUAAUUAGUUCUAAAAUGCUUAUUCAAAUAUAUAUCCAUAUAUGCAUGAAACAAAAGUAUAAAAUGCAAAUUAGGAAAAUAAUGAUACAAAAAAAAAAUUCACCUGGUGCCAUAUACCCGAUAGAUGCAAGAGUCAUGGUUUGCUUUAUUACAUCACCUUCUCCCAACAAUUUGGCACAACAAAAUCUCCCACAUGUGCAACCAUGUCUUUAUCUAGUUGUAAUAGCCCAUUUUGCCCGGGGCCCAAUAAAACCCAAAACAAACCAAAAUAAUAAAACAUUCACAGUCCAUUUACAAUAAAUAAACACACUACCCAUAUCAAGCCCAAUUAAACCCAAAUCUCAAAGCCCAAAACAAAACAACACAACCCGAGCCCAUAAACUAAAAAUUUUCAGCACAAAAAACCCUAGCCCUAAGCCUCCAGUGCCGCAUGUGCUCCACCGCCGCCGCUCGCCUAUCACCGGCCAUCCACGCGUCUGGCACCACCUGCAAGAGCAAACAACACGCAAAAGAAGAGGCCAACCAGUAACAGACAAGAACAAAGAAAUGAAACAAAUUUUGUAAUUUUGGCUAUAAAAGCCCGAAUAUAUCUUUGUAAUUUCUUCUUCCGUUUUACGAACAUCUAGUAAAAAAAAGAAGAAAAGCAGAGAACAGAUUUUCGAGAGGUGAAACCUUUUUUUCGGUUCUUUUUUUUCAUUAUAUUUUAUUUUUUUAUUUUCAUUUUUUAUAUCAAACAAUGAAAUAAAAAAAAGGAGAAAGAAAUGUAGCAGAAUCGACCCUUAGCCCCGCCGUCGGUGGUCUUUUCCCCGGCAUCGAAAUUGGCGAGAAAUGAGGCAAAGGUCGAAUCUUUUUCAUUUUUCUUUACUUUUCAGUCAUUUUCCUUGUAGAUCUAAAAUCUACGCUUAAAACGGGCUAAAAAUAAAAAGUUUUGGGUUCUCCGGUCACCGUGGGCUGCGACACCGUCGCCGACGAUCGGCGGCCGCCACGGGGGUCAACGGCCGGCCCUUUGCCCGGAAUCGAAGAGAAAUUUUAAGAGAAAAGGGAGCUUUGGAAAUUUUUUAAAGCAAAUGGCUGAAAUGGGGUUUCAAAAAAAUGUUGGCUUUUAUAAUACUAUUAAACGGCGUUGUUUUGCAACUGAAGGUCAGGUGCCAAAACGACGUCGUUUUGGCCCUUACCCGCUCGCGCUCCCGACCCGCUCCUGGGGGAUCCGCGUGUUUUUGGCGUUUGGGCUAUUUGCACUGCGGAUCCUUCUGCAUUUCGCCCAGUUUAUGAUUUAGUCCCUUUCGUUAGAUUUCUUUUAUUUUUAAUUUCGCCUUGAAAUUUUGUUCUGAUUUUAUCGGAGUCCCGCAAAGUGCUGCGUUUUGGAGGGCAGGGAUAUUUUCCCCUUUGGUCCCUCCUUGUUAUUCACGCACUCGAUUUGGUCCCUUUCUUUUAUUCAUUUGCGAAUUUGCCCCCAUAUUUCUGUGUUAAGUUCAAAUUAGUCUCUUUUUUAUUUAUUUUUGCUAUUAAAUUAAUUAAUUUUGAUAAUAUUAUCAUUAUUAUUAUUAUUAUUAUUAUUAUUAUUAUUGCUAUUAUUAUCUUCGUAUUAUUAUUAUUGUUUGCUUUAUUAUUAGUAUUAUUAUUAUUUUCAUUAUUACUAAUAUUAUUAUUUUUAUUUUACUACUCUUAUUAUUAUAUAUUGUUAUUAUUUUUAAAUUGUUUUACCUAAUAUUCCCUCGUUUAUUAUUUAUAUUCACUCGUUCAAAUUUUCAAUCAUUUUCAAUUAGUUACUUCUUUUUUUAAAUCAGUUUGUUUUAUUUUUUAUUUUCAUUUUAUUAUUUCAUUAUUUUAUUGUUUUUAUUAUUUAUAUUAUUUUUGUUUUUACUCUUAUUAUUCCUUUUUAUUUUGGUUUAUUUCAUUUCAACUUUUGCGCUCAAAUUUUUUUUGUUAUUUCGUCAUCUAUUUAUUUUCGUAUUUAUAUUUUGUUAUACAUACAUUCAAAUCUCAACUAUUCAUUAUCAUUAUUAAUUUUAUUAUUAUUGUUAUUUAUAUUUAUUAUUGACAUCCUCAUCAUGUUGUUGCACACAUUAGCAUUGUAAUCCAUUUUACAUUUUACUAUAAAAUCGCGUUAUGUUAACCUUCAUCCAAUACAUUUUAUAUUAAGCAAUUUUGUAACUCAAAAUUCCAGAAAUCGUACCCUAACUUACUGGGUUUCGAUUUUCCUCGACGAGUCUAAAGAACCAAUCCUUUUUUUAAAAAAUCAAAGCAUAAGUUAAAUAAAAACUUAUCCUCAGGAGUUCAAAAUGUUGUGUCCUAACUCACUGGAUGUGACAUUUUGUUAUCUCAAGGUAAAGAUUUCUAGAAACACAAAGGCAAUAUUUUGAAUUUGGAAAUUCGAGAAAGUGUGCCCUAACGUGCUGGGUUUCAAUUUCUCGUUUGACCAAAUAGCCAAAUAUCCUCUUAAAACUUCAAAGUAUGGGUUUUUCAAACCAUAAGGUGAUCUUUGUUUCGAUGGUUUAAAGUAUCGUGUCCUAACGUGCUGGAUGUGAUAUUCCUUCGGAAUAAGAGAAUCUUAAAUUUCAAUCCAUGUUAUUCAAAUUUUUUUUAAGGAUUGUAUAUUUUUUUAAACUCUUCAAAGUUUUCAAUCUUCGACAUUAAGACACUAAUUAAUCAACUAGGUACCAAUUUUUGGGCAUUACGAGGGUGCUAAUCCUUUCUCGUACGUAACCGACUCCCGAACCUGUUUCUUUGAAUUUCGCAGACCAAAAGAAUUGUUUUAAUAAAUCUAAAUUGUUUAUUAAAAACAAUCGUUUUACGAGGUGACCCGAUCACACCUCAUCAAAAAAGAUUGGUGGCGACUCCCGUGUUUAUUAUCAUUUUCAAAACCCAAGUCGACCCCGUUUUCACAAAAAAAAUGGUGCCAACACUAGUAAAAUAUUGCUUGGUUUUAAGUCACAAUGAAUUACAGAUGUUGGAUGUCCAUUGUGGAGAUGUUCUAUAGCUACCGCAACAUCUAUCAUUAUGUCGACCCUUUGUAUGAUAUCAAGGAAGCAAAUUUCGGAAUGUAACCAUUUCUCAAGGUUUCCAUUAGACAUGUUAUCAAGCACCAAGGCUUUAAAGUCAACACUUGAGCAGCAAGUAAUGACCUUCACAAUAUUACGAUGAACUAUAUUACGCAUAGCAUCACAUUCAAUGUCAACACUCCUAAAUGCUCCCUCUGUUUGCAAAUUAAAAACUUUUAUUGCAACUUCCAUUCCAUCUGAAAGCCUCUCUUUAUAUACAUAUCCAAAACUCCUUGAACCAAGCAUAUUGUUUUCCUCAAAUCCAUUAGUUACUUGUGAAAGUUCAGCAUGUGAAAUUCUUCUCAGCGUUUUCAAAGACAACAAAUCAUCCUUACUUGGUAGAGUUGUACUCCUACUUUGGCAUCUUCUAUACAUAAUAGUUAAGACUAUUAGUAAUACGACAAUACCAAUUGUUGGUAAACCAUACCUUAAAACAUGCAAUAUAUUCAUUUGGGAGUUUUCUUGGAUGUCGUUUUUGCAAGGGGGGACUAGCAAUCUAGGUGGACCACAAAGUGCAAAAUUCUUCAUGAAUGAUCUACUAGAAAAGUUUGGAAAACAUCCUUCGGUGGGAAUUUCCCCUUCAAGUCUAUUGAAAGACACAAUAAAAUACUUUAGAUCUAAAAGAUUUUUCGAAGAUUUGGGAAUGGCUCCAGAGAGAUUGUUAUUGCAUAAAUUCAAGAAUUCCAAACUAAUCAAACCAUCUAAUGAUCCAGGGAUAUGACCAUGUAGUAUAUUAUUUAAUAAAUCUAAUGAAAUCAAAGUUUGAAGACCCCCAAAUGUGAAUAAGAUAUCGCCUGUGAGAAUAUUCCUUGAUAUAUUUAGUUUCAAUAAACUCCUCAAAUUUCCAACAUCAAUAGCAUGUGAAUUGUGAAGAUGGUUUGAUGAUAAAUCUCUUUCUAAGAUAUCUUUAAGAUUCCACAAAGUUGAGGGUAUUGCAGAACUCAAUUUGUUGGAAUUUAAGUAAAGAUAUCUUAAAGAAGUACUAUAACCCAAACAAGAGGGUAUGGAUCCAUGCAAGUUAUUCAACCCUAAAUACAUCUCGUAUAGUCUCUCCAAACCACAAAGGCUUUUUGAGAUUGGUCCUAAUUUAUUCGAGUGAAAAGUUAGACUUUGGAGAUUUCUCAUUCCUCCUAUUGAUGCUGGAAUAGAUCCACUUAAUUUAUUAUACCCAAGUUGUAAAAGCAAUAGGUUGUUUAAGUUACCUAUUUCCAUAGGACUAUUGCCUUUAAGCUCACAAUUAUUGGCAAAAAAGUAUUGAAGGGAUUUUGAAAGGUUCCCGAUAUAAGUAGGAAGAACAUCACUCAAUGGAUUUCCUGAAACAACUAUUCUUCUCAAAUGCCUGCAAUUUGCCAAAGAAGAAAGAAAGGUCCACUCAUGAUCAAUAGCAGAUCCUGUGAUCAAAUUAUUAUUUAUGAUUCGGAGCACUUCAAGGUGUCUUAAGUUGCCAAGCGUUUUAGGAAUUGGGCCAGAGAAUAAGUUAUCUUCCAAGGCUAGAUUCUUAAGCAUGGAAGCAUUGGAGAUAGAGCCGGUAAUGUUUCCGCUAAAUUUAUUUCCCCACAAUACAAGAUUCUCAAGUUUUGGAGCAUUGGUAAGGGUGGUAGAGUACCUGUAAGAUAGCAUCUUUUAAUAUACAUAGCCAUUGGAUACCAAAUUCACAAAACAUAUAAUACAUUAAAAUACAUUUUUAAAAUAAAAAUUGUAAACCUUUAAAUCAAAUAAAAAUAUAAUUUUGGCCUGGAAAAAUGUGAUCAAAUCAAUUAGUCCCUUGUGAUUUGUAUAAACAAAAAAAUAAAAUAAAACCAUUCCAUACCAGUAUUGUAUUUGAUUUAAUGAUAGAGUUGUAAGUUACUUGUAAAAGUUACAUGCUCUAGCAUAUAAAUUUUGUCCAAGCCUUGGGUUGAAAUCAUCGUUACUUUUUUAGAUCUAAAAUUGAUUGAAUAUCAAAUUUGUAAAAUACUGUAAAAUUUUGAAUCAAAUAAAAACAAAACUUUGACAUGAAAAUGUGGCAUCUAAUCAAUUUUAAAAAUGACAUUGACACUGAAUACGAAAUUAUGAAUAAAAAUUAGUUAUGGUUUGGGAAACAAAAAUAUUAAAUUAUUCUGUAUGAUUUGGUAUUAGUUAUUAUUUUGAAUAAUAUUGUUAAUUUUUAAUUACAUAAAACUAUUGUAUGUUAAAUAUGGUUUUAAUUAUGCCUUGAAAUUUUAUUAUUAUAUUUCAACUACCAUAUAAUAUUUUAAUUAUGUUUAGCCAUUUGAAUAACAAACCAAAAAACUAAUUAAAAACUAAUUACUUCUUUAAGUAUAAUGGAAAUUAAAAGUUUUCAAUUCAUAUAAAUUUUAUUGUUUAUUAUCAAAUUAAUACAUUUUAAUAGAUGAUAAAAUAUAUGAGCAAAAAAGAAGAAACAAUUAAAGAGAAUGUUUUUGGAGUUUGGAAAAAAUUAAAGUGAAAAACAUACCUUCUAAUUUGUUGUCACAUAGAUCUAUUUCUUCGAGCGUAGUUGAAUAAAAAACACUUUCCGGAAUCAGCUCACUGAAUUGAUUUGCUGCUACGAAUUCUAAAGCUUGUAACAUUCACUUAUACUAGAUGGAAUGUUACAGAUAAUUCAUUUGUAUCCAAGUAAAGCCCCUCAAACUUGGGAAGAUGUUGACACAUAUCAUUAAGUAAACUACCUGAUAGGCUAUUGCAGGAGAGAUUAAUAGUCUUCAGAGAAGAAAUAUUGAAGAUAGAAGACGGAAUCUGACCUGUAAGGUAUUUAAUUACUGUAAUACUAAGCAUUUUCAAACAUUACUAAUAUAAAUAGUUCAUGGAAGUAAGAAAGUGUGCAUAAUAAAACCAAAUUGUAUAAAAAAUUUAAAAAAUUUUGAUUAAUCAAUAAAUUUAAGAUUUUAUAUAUUGAAGUGGGUUCAAAUCUCACUAUUAUUUUUUGUUUUGUUUUUUUUUUAAAAACCAAAGUACCUCAAAUAAUGUAACUAAUUUUAAAUACGAAAAGUUAUUUUUGAAAUUUCUCUAAUCGAGUUGGUGCUCAUUGACUCGUAACACAAUCCUAAUCAGAUACUUAAAUAACAAUAUAGAUAUUCACAUUCACCAAAAAAGUUCAAAAAAAUUGUUACUUUAGUUUCAAAUAACAAAUUUUAAUUAUUUAUAUAACAAGUAACUUUAUAAUUCAUGUAUAAAUUUGACUAUUAAGAAAAGAAAAAAUGAAAUUAAAUAAUGAAUAAUUUAAUUGAAAAUAUAUCAAUUUUUAUAUUUUCUACAUAUGCUUUAAUGAUGAUGGAUUUUUUUUAUUAUCACUAUUUUUGAAUUAAAAGAAUUUAUUAAUAUAAUUUAAUUAUAUUUUGAAUAAUGUUACUCUUUUUUAAUGACAUGAAGUAAAAUCAUAUUAUAUAUUAAAGAGGGUACAUAUGCUUUAAUUAUAGCUUGAAAUUUUAUUAUUACAUUUGAGUUAUUAAAUAAAUUAAUAUAUUUUAAUUAUAUUCAGCCAUUUGAAUAACUAAUUAGAAUAAUUUUAAAAAACAUUAUUUAAAAGCUAUGUAUAUAAAUGUAUAUGUAUAUAUAUGGUUGUUUCAUAUUUUUAAAAUAAAUAUAUUUUCAAUGUUGGUUUCUUUUCUUCCACACACAAAGUAUUUCUAAUGUUUUUUUUUUAUAACUUUUACUUAUAUAAAAUAGAUUAGUUAAUGCAAUAACAAAUUAAUUACUUUUUUUAAACUUAAUGGAAAUUAAAAUAAAUAAAUUCAUAUAAAUCUUAUUGUUUAUUAUCAAAUUAAUAGAUGAUAAAGUAUAUGACAAAAAGAAAAGGACAAAUUAAAUUCAAUAGAAUGUUUUUGGACUUGUGGAAAAUUUUAAAGUGAAAAACAUACCUUCUAAUUUGUUGUCAAAUAGAUAUAUUUCUUCGAGAAUAGUUGAAUUAAAAAUACUUUUUGGAAUCAGCCCACUGAAUUGAGUUGUUGCUAAAUUCAAAACCUGAAGCUUGUUACAUUCACCUAUACUUGAUGGAAUCUGACCUGCACACAUACUUGACAUAAGUCAAAGAGGUUUUCUUUUCUAUAAUUUGGAGAUGUUAUAUUUUAAUAUAUUUAAUCAUAUUUUUUCUUCAAAUUAACUAUUUUGAUUUUAAUGAAAUAAAAAGCUCUUACUUUUUCUUUUAUAAAAAAAAAAUACUUUAAACUAAAGAAACCAAAGAAAUUUAGUACCUUCUAGAUUAUUAAACACCAAAUAUAAAUGUCUAAGUCGUGUCAAGUUUCCAAUACUUCUUGGAAUGAUACCUGUGAAUUGAUUAAUGGACAGUGACAAAAUUUGAAGGUUGCAUUUGUCUAUACUUAAUGGAAUGUUACCAGAUAAUUCAUUCAAACUCAAGUGAAGCCCUUCAAGCUUAGGAAGAUGUUGACACAUAUUAUCAGGUAAUCUACCUGAUAGGAUCAAUAGCCUUCAGAGAAGAAAUGUUGAAGAUAGAAGAUGGAACCUAGACAGAUAAUUGAUUGAAUUCCAAGUUCAAGAUCUCUAGAUUGGACAUGUUAACAAGUGUUUGAUGGAUUGUGCCUGUAAAGUUAUUAUUUUUCAUUUCCAGCCUUUGGACUCUGUGUAAGUUCCCAAGCCAUGAUGGAAUUUCCCCAUUAAGACCAUUGUAGCUUAAUUGGAUGAUCCUCAAACGGUGCAACUGGCCCAAUUCUUUAGGCAGAUGGCCAUAGAAAUUGUUGCUACUCAAGUCGAGAGAGAGUAGGAAUGAAAGUUUUCCAAGUUGUGAAGGGAUAGUACCUCGAAGAUUCAUGUUUGUAAGAUUCAAAGCUACAACUCUUUCAUGGAUGAUGCCACAAGAAACACCAAUCCACCUGCAAACAGAGCUAGAGGCUAUCCAAUUGUUUUCCAAGACAUUGUGAGGAUCGACUCGAUCCUUAUACUCGAGGAGUGCAAACUAAUCGGUGGUGAGAUUCCUGGCUGUCAUAGCCAAACAAAGUACGGAACAUGGUACGAAUAGAGCUAAAAGAAGAUGAAAGCAAGUGGUGUAGUUUAUGAUUGCAAGACGGAAUAAGGCAAGAAAAUAAAAGAGUAGGAAAAGGGAAAUUGAAAUGAUAAAAUAGUUGGAUGAUGAAGAAAAGCCCAGAGAGCCUGCUUUAAUAUGUUUCAACCCUCCCACACUUCUCCUAAUUAAAUUCACUCGGCUGGGGUUACAACAUUAAUUUUCAAAAUAAAUGUCAAGUCUUCUUUUAAAACACAUCCAAAGAAGCGAAUUUUCUCCAAAAUUUCUUCACAUUACUCCACAUAAUCCAUAACAAAAUUAAUAAAAUAUAAUUUUUUAAUUACUAUAUAUUCUUUUAUUUUCUUCACAAUAAUAAGUUGGUUAAAUAUGCUAUUAAUCCCUGUACUUUUUAGAAUUUGAGAUUUAGUCCUUAUACUUUAAAAGUUAAAAAUUAAUUCAAAGAUAUUCUUUUUUCUAAACUGAGUGAAUUCACAAGCUUUGUUUUCCUUUAACAAAUAUUUUUGGUAUUUUCGUGGAUAUGAGGAGAUACUGAAAAUUAUUUUACUAUGAACUUUUAAUUCACUCAAAAAAAUAAGUGUUUUAUUUCAAGGGAACACAAUUAAACAUUAGAUUUCCCAUUUUUAUGUUUUGAAUAUUUUUGACAACUGCAUAAUCAACAAAGUAUCAAUUUUGGGCGUUGUGAGAGUUUUAUAACCUUCCAUAUGUGUAAUCGAUUUUUGAACCCACUUUUUAUUUUAGAAUUCAGGACAUACCUUAAAUUUUUCUUUUUAUAAGUUAUUUAAAAUCUAUUUGUAAAAAGCGAAUUUUUAAGUGACCGAUCACGCUUAACAAAAAUGAUUGGUGGCGACAAGUCCUUUUUGAUAAAAUCUUGUUCUUGGAAAGACCAAAGUUUUCAUUUUUUUAAGAAGUUUUCAAUUUAAUUUUCUUUUUGAAUUUUUAUUUUUAACCAGAAAAUGGUCCUUACAGUUAUUAUUUAUUUCCCAAUUUUUAAUGGUUUUUUUCAAGGAGAUGAAUAGUGGGAUGAAAAUUUUUGGUUAAGGUAAACUCAUUAUGUAUAGUUGAUUCUUUUUUGAUCCUUCAAUUAUUAAUUUUUUUGAUUUAAUUACAUAUUUUUUUAAAAAAAAAUUAACACUCUCUUAGUUGCCUCUUAAUUGAGGGACAAAAAACUUAGACAUUUUUUAAUCACAAUUAAUUUAAUUGCGUUUAGGAUCACAUAAUUUUCUUUUAUUCUUUUUAAAUUAUAAACUGUUUCAAAAAUUCCGUCAAUAGCUUAAGUGAAAUUAUCCUUUUUUGAAAUAUCAAUUUCACUUAAGCUAUUGACUUAAUUUUCAGCUAUUAGUCUUUUUUCCAAUCAAAUUGACUCUUAGCAGAAAUGCAAACUGCGCAAAAGAGUGUAAACAAAGAAGUUGAAUUUAAUUAUUUUCUGAGUCUAGUUUCAAAAGACAUAAUUAAUAAUAAACUUAUAACUAGCCUUAUUUAUUUAACAUGUUAAGAAACCUUUGCUUCAUUUUCUUGAACUCAACCACAACAUUCUUCCUAGCUUUUCUUUUUUGACGUAAUUCAGUUCAACAUUUCAAAAGAAAUUCCAUAAUCGAUGAAAUACAAUUUGCUUUAACAAUAAAUCUGCAUCCUCAAAGUCUAGUAGUCCUUCCAACAAUGAGCUUUGUAGGGCCCAACUUCUGCCCCGGGCCCAAAUAAUAAAAACCAAAAAUAAUCCAAAGUUAAACAGUCCAGUUACAUUAAACCCAAAUACAAGCCCAACUACCCAAACCCUAAGCCCAAACCUAAUAGCCCACAACAAACUUUCAAUAGCAGCAAAACGUGCAACACGCAACAAAAAGAAGCAACCAAAUCGCAAAACAACAAAAAACAGGCAUCAAAGAGUUGUUUAGAUCGGCUAUAAAGCCAAAAAUCAGAGACUUGUAGUUUUUCGGCUUCCUUUUUUAACACACAUCAGAAAUAAAAGAUCAUAUAAACUUCUAAAAGGUUGCUGUUCUUUCUUUGUUUUUCUUUUUAUUUCACUUAUUUUAUUUAUUUUUUUUACUGAUCCUUUUUUACAAAUAAAAAACGAUUAAUAAAAGAAAAACAAGAAAGGAAGAGAAGGGGAAUAGCUAGAAUCACCCGCAAGUCCCAUUGCCGGAGCCCUUUUGCGGCCACCGGAGUCGUGCUGGGAGGGUGCGGGGUCUCCUUUUCCUCUGGUCUUUGGGCCAAGAAAGGCACCGUCACCAAAAGGCCUUUUAAAUCGGUUUAAAAUAGACCUUCGGGUCGCAGGCCACCGCCCGCGGCGGAUCUAUGGCGGCGCGAGUGACGGCCAUGUUGGCCGAAUUUGGGGGGACCGAGAGAGAAACCUUACUCUCUCUGUUUUUUCUAGAAAAUUGAAGGAAAUGAUUUCUUUUUUAUUUUUUUUGUAUUUAUAUAUGCUAUAAUACGGCGUCGUUUUGGCCUUAGCAUCAGUGGCCAAAAACGGCGCCAUUUUGAUGUUUGACCCGCGACCCGACCCAGUAACGCUAAAGAUCCGCGCGUUUUCGUUUAAGGGUCUAUUUGUGCAAUAGGUCCCUCCACCUUUGUUGCGUGUUUCAAUGUGCUUUUUUUAUUUUUUUGAUUUUGGCCACCAGAUUUUUAUUCUGUUUUAAUUUGGUUCUGGGAUGCGCAGGCCCCAGUAUUGCGAACGGCCCCGUUCAGGUGGCAUGGGAUUAUUUCCCUUUCGACCCUACGUCUAUGUGCGCAUUUCGCUCAGGUCCUGAAUGUUCUUUUGUUUUUCAAAUUUUACCCUUUAAUUUUAUUUUAACUUCAAUUCGGUCCUUUAUCCUAUAUUUUAUUAUUUUGAAUGCUUACCUUGAAAUAUCAUUUAGUUUCCAAUUUAAUACAUAUAUCCCACAUGUUUUAUGAUCCAUAUAUAUUCAUACGUCUUUUAUAUUUUAUAAUUUUAAAAUUUGUACAUGCAUACGUAUAUUUUAUAAUUUCUAUAUGCGUAUAUAUAUAUCUACAUAUGUAUUUUUUAAAUUUUUUUUUACAAAUAUACACAUACUUAUACAUACUCUUUAUAUUUUAAAAUCUAUAUUUUUCUUAUGUAUUUUCCAUAGUUUAUAAUUCAUGUAUACAUAUUUUUAGAAAUUUUACAAUGCAUACAUGCACAUAAUAUAUAUAUAUGCGUUUUAUUUUUAUAAAUACAUAUACAUUACCUACCUUUAUAUUUUAUAUCUUCCAUGACUUUAUAUAUAUAUAUACAUGAAUGUACACAUACAUACUUACAUAUUUUUUACGUACAUAGAUUUUUCAUAUUUUCAUAAUUUUAUGCACACACAUAUAUAUCUUUUUACUUUUUCAUAAUUUUAUUUAUUAUUUAUUUAUUUCAUUUUUAUUAUUGAUUUGAGGAAAUGUUUUAAUUUUAUUUGCUUGUAUACAUUGUUAUUUCGGACGUUAUUGAUUUGUACUUUUUAUUUAUCUUAUAUUCGUUGCUAUUACUCGUAUUAUUUUUACAUCAUCGUAUUCAAUAUUGUUUUGUUACGAACAUUAACAUCGUGUUUUAUUUUUACUAUUUGGUGUUAGAUUAUUUUUAUUCAACACAUAAAUUAUGAUUUUUUGAAUAAGCAAAAUCUCGUGUUUAGAUUGGAGAAGGUUGUACCCUAACUUACUGGGUUUCGAUUUUCGCAAUGACUUUAAAUACGUGAAUCUUUUCAAACUCAAGUUUUAAAUGAUCUUGGGAUUUAAAAAAGAUCGUGUCCUAACUUACUGGGCAUGAAUCCUUUUUAAAAAAAAAUCUGAGAUAGCUAAAUAUCUUUUAAACAAGCAAAUUUUUAGCAUCCAUUCGCGUAUCGGGAAUUCGAGAUAUUGUGUCCUAACUUACUGGAUAUGAUUCUCUUUCUCGAUUAACGUGAAAUAUGCCCAUUUUCCCAAAAAUUUUCAACAUUUUAAUACAAGGAUCGUAUUUUUUAAAAUUCUUUAAAGUUUUCAAAUUUCGACCUCAAGACAUUAGCUAAUCAACUAGGUACCAAUUUUUGGGCGUUACGAGGGUGCUAAUCCUUCCUCGUACGUAACCGACUCCCGAACCCGUUUUUUGAAUUUUGUGGACCAAAAUUAUUGUUUUAAUAAAAUCUAAAUCGUUUAUUAAAAACAAUCAUUUUAUGAGGUGACCCGAUCACACCUCAUCAAAAAAAGGAUUGGUGGCGACUCCCAUUUUUGUUUUAUUUUUGAAAUUUAAGUCGACCCCGUUUUACCAAAAAAUGGUGUCAACAGCUUGGCGACUCCGCUGGGGAAGAGAUAUGUGAGUCAAGCCACGUGUUGAUUACUUUUUGUCUUUUUGUCGAAAAUCGAGAAUUUAAUUUAAAUUUACGAUCCGUUCAUUGCAUUUCAUUCGUCUUUAUUACGAUCUUCAUCAUUGUGGUUUUAUAGUUGUGUUGGUUUAAGUCUUGAUAUAUUUUUGCACAUUGCAUUGCAUGACCGUUGGUCACACCUUUUAAGUGGGAGUGAGAAGCUAUUUCCUUCGUGAGGUAUUCACCUCCGUGCAGGAUAGCUGAUCACUUUCGGGAUACAUCCGUACCUAUGUCUUUGUAAGAUUUUCAUCUCCGUGCAGCCAUAGGGAAAUGUAUUCCCCUGAACCGAACUCGGUCCGUAUGAGCCUAUAAUGGGUGAGGAUCGAGGAACCUACUGGUUUGGGUACCUUCGCUUUAGAGCCGAACCACAUGUAGUGAACCUAAGAGCCUACCUUAGGAAGAACCACUUCAAACCCCUAGUGGUCACCCGAGUAGGUGUUCUAUUUAUUCUUGCUUGCUUUUGCUUUGUACUAACCUGUUUUCUUUUGUUUUGAUUAUGAUUGCAUUGCAUUAUCAUCAUUAAAAAGAGGUGUUGAUUCACGUUCAGUUGCUAAAUAGAGAGCUUGUGAUAAAGUGGAUGACGAUACGAUUGUCCGAAUAUGGUCCAAGAAAACGUGAUAAGAAAAGGAUGAUAGUUUAAUGGAGGACUACAAGACUAUUGCUCCGUUGCCCAAGGAUUCAAGAUGACAAAGAUUAUUCGAGAGUCGCUGAACCUUCUUAAAAAGAAGCCAAUGAGCAUUACGAGGAUGAGUGAGCAACGAGUCGCGGCCUAGAUCAAGCAAAAAGGAGAUAGAAGAGACAUCUUUUUGAAGAGUUCGUGAAAUUUAUCUUAACGCUCAAAUGAAGAAAAGGAUCAAUUGUCUCCGCAUAUGAGGGCAAAGCCGUAUAUAUCCGUUACAGAGAUUUAUUUUCUAGUAAAGCUGUUCUAAUAGAGUUGAAUCAGAAUCAACAUCUCUUUUUGCAUUCAUUCCAUGCAUCUGUUUUACAUUUCAUUGCAUCAUUUGCAUUAAAUUUCACAAAAGAGCCCUACUUAAACGAGAUUAUUUCAGUUAAUCUGGAAACCAACAAGAAUCUACCAACCAAAUAUCACUAUGGUACCCGUCGCAAAACAAAAGUAAUGGAUUAGAGGUUAGAAAGAUUGGAACAAUUGCAAAAAAAGAUGCAAGAUCAGAUGCAGGAACGACUAGAUAAAAUCCAGCAAGACAUGCAAGAAUCCUAGAACACUAUGAUGAACAAAUUGGAGCAGUUAUUGGCUGGAAGGAAUGAUAAAGGAAAAAGCCCUUUAGUUGAUUCUGGAGUUGAUCAUGAGGACCCUAUUUAUCCUCCAGGUUUUACCCCAAUAGGCAUCCAGGCACAACCGGAUAUAUGCCCGCAAAGAGUACCUGUCAUUAUCAGACCUCAAUAUACGGUUGGUGCCUCAGUGCCAAUGCAUUUUCAAACGGGCUUGGGUUCUAAUCCCGGAGACAACCCUACCAAUCCUGUGGUCCCUAAUCUCGAUGACGUGGAAGAAAUAGAAAAAGCAAGAAUGGACCUGCCAAAACAACUUGACGACCGAUGUAGAUGGCUAGAGGAAAAAUUUAGAGCCAUGGAAAACACCGACUACCAUUGUGGAGUUGACGCCAAGGAUCUGAGUUUGGUCCCUGAUUUAGUGCUCCCGCCUAAGUUUAAGAUGCUGGAGUUCAAAAAAUACAACGGGACUAGUUGUCCUGAAGCUCAUAUCACUAUGUUCUGUUGAAGGAUAAUAGGAUACGUCAAUAAUGAUCAACUAUUAAUCCACUGUUUCCAGGAUAGUUUGAUCGUGUCUGCAGCCAAGUGGUACAACCAAUUGAGUCGUGCUAAAGUUAGUUCAUGAAGAGACUUGGCACAAGCUUUUAUGAAGCAAUACAGUCAUGUAACAGAUAUGACACCUGAUAGAAUUACGUUACAGAAUGUGGAAAAGAAGCAAAAUGAGAGCUUUAGGCAAUAUGCCCAAAGAUGGAGAGAGGUAGCGACACAAGUCCAGCCACCUCUUCUGGAGAAAGAAACCACAGUGCUUUUCAUUAACACUCUGAAAGCCCCAUUCAUUAACCACAUGUUGGGAAGCACUACUAUGAGCUUCUCAGAUAUGGUAAUGUCUGGCGAGAUGAUUGAAAACGCCAUAAGAAGUGGGAAGAUAGAUGCAAGGGAAGGUGCCAAAAGAUCAACCCCAAAGCACAAAGAAAAUGAAGUGAGCAACCUGAGCUUGUAUAAUAAAGGGUAUUCAAAAUUAGUCACUGUAGGCCAGCCAAGGACGGUAGCAGCUAGCUAUCAAGGCCCCUCAAAGUAAGAAUCCAACUCGAGGCCAAACACAGAAAGACUCGAGUUCACACCUAUCCCGGUGAUGUAUAAGGAGUUAUAUCAAAAUCUGUUUGAUGCGCAUGUAGUAGCUCCGUUCUACUCAAAACCCAUGCAACCUCCAUACCCCAAAUGGUACGACGUAAAUGCUCAAUACGAGUAUCACGUAUGAACUACGGGGCACUCGAUUAAAAACUACACUACAUUUAAAAAGUUAGUCGAAUGGUUCAUUAAUAUGGGCAUCGUGAAGUUUGACGAUCCAUCUGGACCUAAUGUGGCAGGAAGUCCGUUACCCAGUCAUCCAGACCCAGGAGUAAAUGCGAUAGCUGAGAAUGGAGGAAAAAAAACCAAAACAAAUGUUGCAGAAGUAAAACCCCCACUAAAAUGGGUUUUGAAACAAAUGAUGGACAUGGGAUUAAUCAUUCAGAAUUUGGAGAAGAGACCAAAAUGGAUGAGGAGCUACUGUGAGUUUCACGCUAAAGAAGGCCAUGAAAUCCAGGAGUGCACUGAAUUCAAAGCUUUGGUGCAAAGUAUAAUGGAUAAUAAAGAGUUGGAAUUCUUUGAAAAAGUCAAAGGCCUAGAAGAAAUGUUGGGAAAUUUAAAUGUUAACGAUGUAUCCGAAGAGGGAACUGAGGAAGAUAAUUUAUGAGGCAUCGGCCCUUAACGCAUUUGGGAGUGUUUUGAACAAUGAGAUUGUGGAAGAGAUCCCUAUAUUUUUUUAGAUCUAUUUCAAAGUAAUGUCCAAAACACGCUUAUUGCUCUAAGCCUAGGAGCAAUAAGAAUCCUUUUGUGAGAUAGACUUAUGUUCAAUAUCUUUAUUUUAAUAAAAUGCAUCUUUGUUUCUCACUUCGAGCAAAUAUUCCUUUAUUAUUUCCAUUUCAUUCAUAAUCAUACUGUACAGAUAAAUAUUCUUAGAUUCUUUUUAUUCUUUGGAUUUGCUUUCGUCCCUACAAUAGGUCUCCAGAUAUCAAAGAUAUGAGUGACACUACUACUGACUCAGAAUCUCCUUUGAGCAAGAUAUGUGUCCAGAUGAGCCUCAGGACUUUGAAGAUAACUGAGACUGUAACUUAUCCCCUGAUUUGUUAAUGAUGGUAGAACAAGAUCCUACCUUACAAAUAAUCAAUGGAAGUCUUGACCUUUCUCUAUGUGGGGUACGGAUGUCAUUGAACCAAUCUCGUCUAAGGUUUUGGCGAUCAUCAAUUCAUCUUUAUGGUCGUUAAUUACCUCACUAAGUGGGUAGAAGCUGCUUCAUAUGCCAAUGUCACAAAAAUGACGGUCAGUAAAUUCGUAAAAAAAGAAAUCAUAUGUUGGUAUGGGAUGCCGAAAAGGAUCAUAUCUGAUGAUGCACCAAAUUUGAAUGAUAGCACGAUAUCAGAAGUUUGCAGUCUGUUCAAGAUUAACACCAUGUCGCCCAAAAUGAAUGAUUCAGUGGAGGAAAAAAAAAGGAAACCAAACAAAAAACAAAACAAAAAAAACAAAAAACAAAAAUAAAAAAACAAAAAAUAAAAAACCUCUACCGGGGUAACUUAUUUCUCAUUGGUAUAUAGAAUAGAGGCAAUUUUACCCAUCGAAGUUGAUAUUCCUUCCCUUCAAGUCUUGUUAGAGCUGAAGUUGGAUGAAGCAGAAUAGAUCUAGGCCUGAUAUCAUCAGUUAGAUUUGAUUGAUAAGAAAAGGUUAAAAGUUAUCUGUCAUGGUCAAUUGUACCAAAAGCGAAUGAUGCGAGUUCACUAAAAGGUUCGCCCAGAGAAUUCCAUGAGGAGGACUUGAUAUCGAAGAAGAUCCUUCUCAAACAAAAGGACUUAAGAAGAAAGUGAAUGCCAAAAUGGAAAGGACCUUAUGUGGAAGGCCUUAUUUGAAAAAGCGUUGAUAUUGACCAAGAUAGAUGGUAAGAACCUGCCCAAUCUUGAGAAUUCUGAUUCCAGCAAUAAAUACUUCACUUGAAAAAAGAAACGAAAAGAAAAAAGAAAAGAAGAAGAAUGAAAAAAGAAAAAGGAAAGGCCAAGGUGAAAACCCGCAAAGGGCGCCUUGAGACCAAAGAGGUUUUGAAUUGAAAACCCAGGAAUGGGCAGUUCAAAUUUUGAUCAAAGGUGGGGCAUGCAGUAGUCUUGUCGUCUCUGAAUUAAUAAGAAGGAGAGAUGCUACAUCUUGGGGGCAUCAAUGAAGUCUUCUAGGACUUCUAAACACAUAUCAAGUUCAAAAGGGUCCUCAAGAAGUUUGGGGCAGAGAAGCUCAUGCCACGAUAUCUGGGGCACCUCUUUUCAUUUAUUCUUUUUGUAUUUGUGACAAAAUACGCCAUCUUGAUUAAUUUAUUCUCAUUUUGUAUUCUAGCAAAAUUUGCUAUCUUGAUUAAUUUAUUCAUUCAGAGCUUUGCUCUCAAUAAUUUUUCAUCUUAUCCAUUGUGAUAAUCCUUUCAUCUUAUUCAUCUCAUAUCUUAGCAAAAUUUGCUAUCUUGAUUGAUUCAUUCAUUUCAAGCUUUGCUCUCGACAAAAUUUUAUCUGGUCCAUUUUGAUAAUCUUUUUCAAGCAUUUUUCUUUGAAAUAACGAUUAUUGGACUGAUAAUGUUCAAGCAAAAGAAGUUUUGCAUAUUACUCUGAAAGCUUCUAAAUAGUACGAGGACCUAAAGCAGGGCUAUUGUUUAGAACUAACCAACUUAAGGGUUAGAAGCAUUGGAGAAAGAAUAAUCUAAAUUGCGACUAUUUCUUUGGUUUUUCUAUCAAAGAUACCACUGAAUAAGAAAGCAUCGGUGAUAAAACCUUGAUGAACAAUAAAGAAUGACAAUCUAAGCAUUAAAAAUGGAUCAUUCUCAUGACAUUCUACAAAUAUCAUACAUACACAUCUAGUUAGGAGCAUUUUAUUCAUUCUAAUCAUGACAUCCUAAAUGCUAGGCAUAAAUAGGUAUAUAAAAUGGAUUUUACAGGUCAUGUUCCCCAAGGAACAGAUCAAUGAAGUUACCCAUACCCCUGAAGUUGCAGUGGGAUGGAUUGAAGUCAUCAUAUCCAACAUUAUCUCCCUGAGCAACAGUGGAGAAGGUUGAAGAAAGCAAGUCUUGUCUUCCUGUAUUGGCAGCGAAGUAGACUGAAGAUAGCAGAUCUUGUCUUAUUGUAUUGGCAGCGAAGUAGACUGAAGAUAGCAGAUCUUAUCUUCCUGUAUUAGCAGCAAAAUGGAUCAAAGAUAGCAGAUCUUGUCUUUCUGUAUUGGCAGUAAAGUGGAUCAAAGAUAGUAGAUCUUGUCUUCCUGUAUUGGCAGCGAAGUAGAUCGAAGAUAGCAGAUAUUAUCUCCUUGAGCAGCAGUGGAGUAGAUCGAAGAUAGCAAGUCUUGUCUUCCUAUAUUGGCAGCGAAGUAGACUGAAGAUAGCAGAUCUUGUCUUCCUGUAUUGGCAGCGAAGUAGACUGAAGAUAGUAGAUCUUGUCUUCCUGUAUUGGUAGCGAAGUAGAUCGAAAAAAGUAGAUCUUGUCUCCCUGAGUAGCAGUGGAGUAGAUCGAGGAUAGCAAGUCUUGUCUUCCUGUAUUGGCAGCAAAGUAGAUUGAGGAUAGCAGAUCUUGUCUUCCUGUAUUGGCAGCAAAGUAGACUGAAGAUAGUAGAUCUUGUCUUCCUGUAUUGGCAGCGAAGUAGAUCAAAGAUAGCAGAUCUUGUCUCCCUAAGCAGCAGUGAAGUAGAUCGAAGAUAGCAAGUCUUGUCUUCCUAUAUUGACAACGAAGUAGACUGAAGAUAGCAAGUCUUGUCUUCCUGUAGUGGCAGUAAAGUAGACUGAAGAUAGGAAGUCUUGUCUUCCUGUAUUGGCAGCGAAGUAGACUAAGGAUAGCAGAUCUUAUCUUCCUGUAUUUGGCAGCAAAGUAGAUCGAAGAUAGCAAGUCUUAUCUUCCUGUAUUGACAGUGAAAUAGACUGAGGAUAGUAGAUCUUAUCUUCCUGUAUUGGCAGCGAAGUAGAUCGGAGAUAGCAAGUCUUAUCUCCCUAAGCAGUAGCAGAGCAGACAGAUGAAACCAAUCCUAUCUCUCUGAAGUUGCAGUGGAGCAGAUUAAAAUGAUGAAUCAUAUGCCUCUGAAAUUACAGUAGGUCGAAUUAGAUCAUAUCACAUCAAACCUUAUCUCCCUGAAGUUACAGUGGAGCAGACUAAAACCACGAAUCUCAUCCCCACGGAUUUACAACAGAGUAGAUUGAAGUCAUAUCUCUCUGAGGAUGCCGUGAAGAGGAUCAAAGUCAUAAGGCGCAGUGGGCUAGAAAGAGACUACUUGAAGAAGAGGAGUAUCAAGAGAUCAAGAUUCGUGCGACCAUUGAACGUAAAAUCAAAAUGCUUAAAGUGUAUGGAGAUUCCGCGUUGGUGAUAUACCAACUCAAAGGAGAGUGGGAAACCAAAGACCCUAAAUUGAUCAAUUAUAAAGAACUGGUUCUUGAAUUGAUUUACGAGUUUGAUGACAUCACCUUCAGUUAUCUCCCAUGAAAGGAAAACCAAAUGACUGAUGCAUUGGCUACUCUAGCUUCGAUGAUUCAGGUGAACAGGCUUGAAGUAAUGAAGCCUAUUCAGAUGAGUAUCUACAAAACCCCAGCUCAUUGCUACAAUAUUAAGGGGAAGGGAAAAGACAAUCACCCUUGGUAUCGGAGUAUCCUACAGUAUGUGAAGAAUCGGGAGUACCCUAGCCAGGCAACAGAGAACGACAAGAGAACUCUGAAAAGAAUAGCCAUCGAAUAUAUCUUAGAUGGGGAAGUGUUAUACAAAAGAAGGAAAGAUCAGGUAUUGUUAAGAUGUGUAGAUGCCGUAGAAGCUAAGAAAAUUUUGGAGGAAGUCCAUGAGGGUAUCUGUGAGACGCACGUCAAUGGCUUCACCAUGGCCAGAUAGAUCAUGAGAUUUGGGUACUAUUGGUCCACUAUGGAAGGGGAUUGCAUUAAUUACGCCAAGAAAUGCCAUAAAUGUCAAAUUUAUGGAGACAAGAUGCAUCCCCCCUUCGCUACUUCAUGUUAUGACCUCUCCAUGGCCAUUUUCCAUAUGGGGUAUGGAUGUCAUUGGGCCGAUAUCGCCAAAGGCUUCUAACGGGCAUCGUUUCAUCUUCAUAGUCAUUGAUUACUUCACUAAGUGGGUAGAAGUUGCUUCUUAUGCAAAUGUCACGAAGUCAGCAGUUAGUAAAUUCUUGAAAAAUGAGAUUAUUUGUCGAUAUGGAAUGCCUGAGAGAAUCAUAUCCAACAAUGCGCUGAAUUUGAACAAUAGCACAAUAGCAGAGGUUUGCAGCCAAUUUAAGAUCAAGCAUCAUAACUCAUCGCCGUAUCGUCCAAAAAUGAAUGGUGCAGUAGAGGCGACCAAUAAGAAUAUUAAAAGAAUUGUGGGGAAAAUGACUGAGACUUACAAAGAUUGGCAUGAGAAGUUAUCAUUUGCUCUCCUUGCCUAUCGAACAUCUGUUAGAACUUCUACUAGGGCAACACCUUUUUCUCUAGUUUACGGAAUGGAGGCAAUAUUACCCAUCGAAGUUGAAAUCCUCUCUCUACGGGUAUUAUCCGAACUCUAGUUGGACGAGGCUGAAUGGGUCCAAUCUCGUUAUGAUCAGUUGAACCUAAUAGAGGAGAAGAGAUUAAAAGCUAUUUAUCAUAGGCAAAUGUACCAGAAACGAAUGAUGUGAGCCUAUGAUAAAAAGGUUCACCCCAGAGAAUUUAGUGAAGGAGAUUUGGUGCUAAAAAAGAUUCUUCCUAUGCAAAAGGACUUUAGAGGAAAAUGGAUGCCAAAUUGGGAGGGUCUUUAUGUCGUAAAGAAGGCCUUUGAUGGUGGAGCUUUGAUUCUAAGUGAGAUAACUGGAAAAGACUUGCCCAAUCCCGUAAAUUCAGACUCAGUCAAGAAAUACUUCACUUGAAGAAAAGGGACCAAAGUGAAAACCCGCAAAGGGCGCUUUGAUCCCUAAAAAAAAAGAAAUGAUGAUGAUAAAAAUGGAGAGGCUAAGGGGAAAACCCGCAAAGGGCACCUUAGGCCAAAGGGGAUUUGAGUUGAAAACCCGAAAAGGGCGGCUCAAAUGUUUGAUCAGAAUGGGACAUGAAAUGCUUAGAGCAGCUGGUAUCUUGAUCAGAUCGGGAUGUGUGGCAAUCUUGCUAUGCCUGAAUUAACAAGAAGGGAUAGGCGAUAUCUUGGGGCAUUGACAAAGCAUUGAAGAUCUCCUAAACACAUGUCAAACUCAGGAUGGCCUUUAGAAAGUUUGUACAGAGAAAUUCAAGCUGCGAUAUCUGGGGGAUUUAAUUCCCCUAUUAUUUUGUAUAUAUUGAAUUUUGUUGAUUCUUGGAAUAUUUUCUUUCUCUUUUCCAAGAUAUAUAUUCCCAAUCAAUUUCUCUACUAUUUGUGAUGACUUAUUUAUUUUUAGCUAUGUUCAGAACCAAAUUUAUUCUUAUAUAUUGUUAUGACCUUUUCUGCAAACAUGUUACAUUAGAAUAAUGAUUAAUGGACUAAUAAAACUUUCACAAAAGAAGUUUUGCAUAUUACUCUGAAAAGUUCCUAAAUAAUACAGGAGCCUAAAACAAGACUAUUGUUUAGAACACACCCAAUUUUAAAGAUUGGAAAUUUGAGAAGGAGUUUAAAUUUGGACUUUCUCUUUGGAUUUUGUUGUCAAAUGCAUUGAUUGGCAAGAUGCCAUGUUGAUGACGAAGCUUAAGUAAACAAGCAAACAAUGAUCACCAGGCAAGAGGAAGAGGUUACUUUGAAAAAGCCUUCAUCUACACAUAAGUUUCUAGUAUGACACCUUCAAAAUUGUGUGAGAAACCAGAACGAUUCAGAUCCUAUAUCCUUGAAUUGUGGGGAUUGAGGAAAAGCCACAUAUUUCUACCCUUGGAUUACAAUGGGAAAGUGGUGGUACAAUUUUUUUGCGCCCCAAUGGUUUAAACUUUAAGGUUCACAGUGGGGGCAAUCUGACUAAGUGAUUCUUUGAAGAAGCCGGUCAAGCGAGGAGGCGUUACAGCACAUCAGUGUUAAAGCCUUAAUAAAUUUCGAGUAAUAAUAACCUAAGCGGGAUCAUUCUCAAAAAAUAAAAUUCUGCAUUCAUGCAAACACUAUCCACACAUGUCUAUUUAGGAGCAUUCGAUUCAUUUUGAUCAUGCCAUCCUAAUCAUUAGGCAUAAUUAGGUUCAUUAUACAGGUCAUGUUCCCCAGAGAAUAGAUCAAUAAAGAUCGAAAACAAAGCCUUGCCUCCAUCGGUUGCAGUGGAGCGGAUUAAAAUAAAGGAUCUUAUCUCUCUGAAGUUACAGUAGAGUAGAUCGCAUCAGAUUGAAGCCAAAAAUCUUAUCUCCCUAAGAUUACAGCGGAGCAGAUUGAAGCUAGAAAUUCUAUCUCCCUGAGAUUACAGUGGAGCGGAUUAAAAUAAAGGAUCUUAUCUCUCUGAAGUUAUAGUAGAGUAGAUCGCAUCAGAUUGAAGCCAGAAAUCUUAUCUCCCUGAGAUUACAGUGGAGCAGAUUGAAGCUAGAAAUCCUAUCUCCCUGAGAUUACAGUGGAGCAGAUUAAAAUAAAGGAUCUUAUCUCUCUGAAGUUAUAGUAGAGUAGAUCGCAUUAGAUUGAAGCCAGAAAUCUUAUCUCCCUGAGAUUACAGUGGAGCAGAUUGAAGCUAGUAAUCCUAUCUCCAUGAGAUUACAGUGGAGCGGAUUAAAACAAAGGAUCUUAUCUCUUUGAAGUUACAGCGGAGUAGAUCGCAUCAGAAUGAAGCUACAACAGCAAAUCUCACUACCCCGACCUCACAAUUAAGCAGAUUAAGGUUACGAGUUACAAAUCCUAUCUCCCUGAUGUUACAGUGGAGUGGAUCGAAGCACCAAUUCCUAUACCUCUGAAGAUGUAGUAGGUUGAAAUGAGUCAACUCGAAGAAGAAGAGCACCAAGGUCCAAACACGACUGGGCAAAAAGGGGCUUUAGUCUUUGCACCGUUCCCGUUACACGACAACAAGCAAAGAGGGGUAGCUGUAAUAGCCCAUUUUUGCCCGGGCCCGUAAUAAGUAAACCAAAAUUAAAAAUUAAAAAUUAAAGUCCAAAAAAUAAUAAUAGAGUCCAUUUUUUACAAUAGGCCUAAUAGCCCAAAUCCACUACCCAAACCUAAUUAGCCCAAAUCCACUACUUAAACCCAACUAGCCCAAAUGCCCAUGACCGAACACUAAAUCUGAUUAGCCCAAUUACAGUGGCCCGACACCUAACCCAAAACCCGAUUCAGCCCAAUUAGCCCAUUUUGAAAAAGCAUUCCAGAAAUCACUAGGGUUUCUAGAACCCUUCAGCCGCCAUUGCCACGCACGGGCUCCCCUUCGAGCCACUCCUCACGCGCGUGAUGCCUUCGUACGCCACGCAUGCCUCCGUACGGCCACCUCUGUACCUCUAGGCUGGCCGAGUACCUGCAAAUACAAGCGAACACACGGAAGCAGCAACAAAUAGAAAAACAACAGCAUUUUUAUUUUAUUUUUUUAUUUUCUGUAAAUGGGGCUAUAAAGAAGCCAUUCGAACACUGUAAACGAUUUACACGCAUUUUCAGAAUACAGAAAUCAAAAAAAGUUCCAAAAGGUGAUUUUCGGUUCUCUUUUCUUUUUCGCAGAUCGUUUUCCUUCUUUCCUUUUGUUUUUACAUACAUUAGUCAUCUGUUAAAGGAGAAAAGGGGAACCAAAAGGGAAGAGGGGCAUACCUGAGGGCCGGAUUUUUGCUCACUCCGCAGCCAUCGGAGUUGGGGCGAAUAUUGGGAGUCUUUGGAGGCAAUGAAUCCCCAGAGCGGCGACGAGCCUUUCUUUUUGUUUAGGUUUUGCUAAUGUAAACCCUAGGUUUUAGGAUUUAUUUAGUUUUUAAGUGCAUGAAUUAAAACGACGCCGUUCAGAGUCAAUGCAAUGGCACUGAAAUGACAUUGUUUUGGAGACUCAACCCAAACGAUGACCCGAUCCGGGAAGGAUCCGCACAAUAUGGGUCGAAUGGUUUAUUUGCUAAAUAGGUCCCUGUGUGUUUAUUGAGAUUACGUUUUGUUUUUUUAUUUAAUUGUAAUUUGUACGGCACAUUUAAUUUUGUUUCCAUUCAGAUCCGACUUGAUACGGUACCGUUCUGCGGUUGAUUGUUAUUGUUUAUAAUGCUUGCGUUUAAUUGUUGGUUUAGUCCUCCAAGGUUAAAAAGGAUUUCGAUUUGAUACAAAUUUAGAUUUUUUUACUCAAAAUGCCUUUAAUUAUAAUUAAUCCUACUUUUAUAAACGGAUUUCAUUAUUGUUUUAAUUUUAUCUAAGCUUCGAUUUUUAAAAGAAUUUGUUGAUUAUUAUUUUCAAUGUCAAAAAAUGCCUUUUAUGUUAAUUUUGAUUUAAAAAGUUUUUUUUAAAUAAAUCAAUUUUUAAUAUUACUUUAAUAGAUAUUUUUUUCAAAUUUAUUAUUAGCACAAAUUCUAUUUUUUAAAAAAAAUAUAAUAAUAAUAAUAUAUUUUUUAAUUGUUAUCAAUAUGUUUUAAAUGUAUCAAUAUUAUUUAAAAAUACAUAUAAUUUAAAUUAGACUAUUUUAGUAUAUAUGUACAUAGGGUAUAUCGUUAACUUCAAAUUAACCUUUUAUUCACAUAAUUUUUUAUACAUAAUUGUUUUAUUUCUUAAACCUUAUUUAUUUUAUUCGUUUUGGUGGGUUGUCAAAUUAUUAAUAUGGAUGUUUGUAUAAUAUGAUUAAGGUCAAUGUUAGUAUUUGCCUAUUAUUUGUUUAAUUGUUUCUAGUUUAAGUUUAAAUUGUUAUUUAUAUUUUGCAUUACAAGUUGUUAUUCAAUUAUGUUGGUUGUAAAAAUUUCAUUUCGUUAAAAUAUUAUAAUCGUUUCAUUUCAAAAGUUCAAAAAAGAGGCUUGGUGUUAAAUAAUUCUCGAGAGAAUUGUGCCCUAACUUACUGGGCCUCAAUUCUUCUCGAUGAAUUUAUAUCAUCAAGUAUCCCUUUCUUUAAGACAUUUAAAAAAAAAUUCUUUAGAUUUCAAAAUGUUGGAUCCUAACUUACUGGAUGUGACAUUUUGUUAUCUCGUUUUUAAAUAAAGGAAAUAUUUGGUGUUUAAGGAUUUUAAGAAAAUUGAACUCUAACUUACUGGGUUUUGAUUUUCUCGAUCGAUUUAAAUAACCAAAUAUCCUUCUCAAAAUGUAUGAAUUUGUUUUAAAUUUUAAAAAGGGACGAAUCUAACUUCGAAGAUUGAAUCGUUGCACUCUAACUUACUGAAUAUAACGAUUUAUUUCUUUAAAGUAGGUAAGUCUUAUUUCCCAAUCCGAUUACUCAAAUUUUCUUUUCAAAGGAUUGUAUUUUAAAAUCCUUUCAAAGUUUCGACAUUAAGACAUUAAAUAAUCGAUUCGGUACCAAUUUUGGGCAUUACGAGGGUGCUAACCCUUCCUCGUGCGUAACCGACUCUCGAACCUUAUUUUUUUCAAAAUUCGCAGACCUAAAAUUAUUUUCAAGGUGAUCUGAUUACACCACAAUAAAAUAUCAGUGGCGACUCCCAUUUCCGUUUUCAUUUUAAAAGUCGAUCCCCGUUUUUUUAAAUUUCAAAAAAAAUGGUUUCGACAAGAAACAAAUGAUUCAUUAUAUAUAUAAUAUAAUUAUGAAAUUCAAGCCAUAUAUUUUAUGUUUCAUACAUAAAAAUUUCAUGGGAGGCCCAAAGGUAAUUAAAUGACUUGUAGGCUUGCUGAAUUUCUUUGAAAGGCCCAAAGGCAAUUUAACAUUCACAAAAUAAUCUCUAAAUACUGUAAAGACAAAUCAAAUCCACAGUAGCAUAAGAGUUGAUUAAGCUAAGCAUUGGCAAAUAUUACUAUGAUUUUGCAUGCAAUAUUGGCAAAACCUCCUCUUACAUUAGAAAAACAACAUAAUCCAUGAAACAUUGAUAGCCCAAUACAAAUUUCAUCGACAUGAAAGUCUCUUUGUUUUGUAGAACAUGAUAGUAAAGAUGUGGAGUUUCAUUCUUCUUAUUGGCCUCCUUUAGUUUUCCUUGAUCAACAACCACUAGCCAAAAACACAAUUAGAUUACAUUAUCAAUGAUACUCUCAACUAUGACAAUAUUAAAUACAAAACACUCUAAAUAACUCUAAAUAAAUGGAAAGCAGCAAAAUUACCUGACGAGACAAGCUAGCUCAAUUAAGACCAUUGUGUUAUACUUGUCUCUGAAUUGAAAAUUUUAGAAGGAAAUAAAGAGAAAGACUUAGAAAAUACUUGAAAACAGGUAAAACUUAUAUGUCAUUUAAAAUAAAAAAUUUCUAUAUAAGCCAUUUAAAAUUUUUAAGAUUUUUAAAAUUUUAAAAUGAUAAAGGUAAAAUUGUACUUUGGCAUCCCAAAAAUGACAAAACUUUGAUUUAAUUCUUUAGAAAUUAUAAAAAUAUAGGCUAUUAAAAUGGUGAAAUUAUAUUUUUACUAUAGUAAAAAAUUACAAUUUAAUUUCACCCCUAAAAGGACUUUCUCACUUCGCCCCUAAUAAAAUCUUUUGCAAAAGAUUAAAAUAAAAUUAUACAUAAGAAAAUCCAAUCUAACAAAGAAAAUAACUUCUUGUCCAAAAGCUACCAUAAACCGUAAUUCAUGGGAAGGCUUGUUGCUUAUUUUAUUGGUUUCCAUUUCGAUUUUGCAAAAGAAGUUUGAAUUUUGAAGAGAGCCUACUACGUGAGAGCAAAAGAAAAAAAAAGUUUAUAUGAUUAAAUUCCAGAAUAGAUUAAAAAUGUUGAAUUAAAGAUAAAAUUAAGUGUGAAUUAAAAAAAUUUCUAUUUAGGCCCUUUAAAAUUUUAAAAUGAUAAAGAUAAAACUGUACUUUGGCACCCAAAAAAAAUAAAAUUUUAAUUUAAUCCUUUAAAAUUUAUAAAAAUAUAGGUUAUUAAGUGUGAAUUAAUAACCACAAGUGUAUUCAUUACUCACCAUCUCUGUUAAAAAUGUUGGAUGUUGUUUAGCAACCUUUGUUUGAUUUUCUUCAGCUCAACCACAACAUCUUUCAUAUCUUUUCUUUCUUCUGGUAACUCAGCUGAACAAUUCAAAGCCAACUCCAUGAUAGAUGAAAUACAAUUUGCUUUAACAACAAUGUACUCAUCCUCUCUUCUUAAUAAAUCAACAUCUGCAAUUUCUAUCGCUCCUUUAGGCAAUGAUCUUUCCAUCCAAUGCCUUAUACUCUCUUCUUCAACAAAAACAUUAUCAGUUGGCUUUUUCUUUGUGAAAGUUUCUAUAAGGACGAUCCCAUAACUAUAGAUGUCAGAUUUUAUAGAAACAAUUCCUACUGAUCCAAAUUCUGCAUUUCAAGUAUAAUUAGAACAUCAUCAAUCCUCAAUUAUUUCUAAAAUGCUUAUUCAAAUAUAUAUCCACAUCCACAUGAAACAAAAAUAUAAAAUGCAUAUUAGGAAAAUAAUCAUACAAAAAUAAAAAAGAAUUCACCUGGUGCUAUAUACCCGAUAGUUGCAAGAGUCAUGGUUUGCUUCAUUACUUCACCUUCCCCCAACAAUUUGGCAACGCCACAAUCUCCAACAUGUGCAACCAUGUCUUCAUCUAGUAAAAUAUUGCUUGGUUUUAUGUCACAGUGAAUUAUAGGUGUUGGAUGUCCAUUGUGGAGGUGUUCUAUGGCUACCGCAACAUCUAUCAUUAUGUCGACCCUUUGUAUGAUAUCAAGGAAACAAUUUUCAGAAUGUAACCAUUUCUCAAGGUUUCCAUUAGACAUGUAAGCAAGCACCAAGGCUUUGAAGUCAACACUUGAGCAGCAAGUAAUGACCUUCACAAUAUUACGAUGAACUAUAUUACGCAUAGCAUCACAUUCAAUGUCAAAACUGCUAAAUGCUCCCUCUGUUUGCAAAUUAAAAACUUUUAUUGCAACUUCCAUUCCAUCUGAAAGCCUCCCUUUAUAUACAUAUCCAAAACUCCCUGAACCAAGCAUAUUGCUUUCCUCAAAUCCAUUAGUUGCUCGUGAAAGCUCAGCAUGUGAAAUUCUUCUCGGUGUUAUCAAAGACAACAAAUCAUCUUUAAUUGGUAGACUUGUACUCCUUCUUCGGCAUCUUCUAUACAUAAUAGUUAAGACUAUUAGUACUACGACAAUACCAAUUGUUGGUAAACCAUACCUAAAAGCAUGCAAUAUAAUCAUUUGGGAGUUUUUGUGGAUGUCAUUUUUGCAAGGGGGGACUAGCAAUCUAGGUGGACCACAAAGUGCAUAAUUCUUCAUGAAUGAUGUGCUAGAAAAGUUUGAAAAACAUCCUUUGCUUGGAAUUUCCCCUUCAAGUCUAUUGAAAGACACAUUAAAAUACUUUAGAUAUAAAAGCUUUUCCAAAGAUUUGGGAAUGACUCCAGAGAGAUUGUUAUUGCAUAAAUCCAAGAAUUCCAAACUAAUCAACCCAUCAAAUGAUUUAGGGAUAUAACCAUGUAGUAUAUUAUUUGAUAAAUCUAAUGAAACCAAAGUUUGAAGACCCCCAAAUGAGGAUAGGAUAUCGCCCGAGAGAAGAUUCCUUGAUAAAUUUAGUUUCAGUAGACUCCUCAAAUUUCCAACAUCAAUAGCAUGUGAAUUCUGAAGAUGGUUUGAUGAUAAAUCUAUUUCUAAGAUAUCUUUAAGAUUCCACAAAGUUGAGGGUAUUGUAGAACUCAAUUUGUUGGAAUUUAAGUAAAGAUAUCCCAAAGAAGUAAUAUUACCCAAACAAGAGGGUAUGGAUCCAUGCAGCUUAUUCAACCCUAAAUACAUCUCGUAUAGUCUCUCCAAAUCACAAAGGCUUUCUAAGAUGUGCCCUCCUAAUUUAUUAGAGGAAAGAUCUAGAGCUUGGAGAUUUCGCAGUCCUCCUAUUGAUGCUGGAAUGAAUCCACUUAAUUUAUUAUGGCGAAGUUGUAAAAGCAAUAGGUUGGUUAUGUUACCUAUUUCCAUAGGAAUAAUGCCUUGAAGCUCACAAUUAGAGGCAUAAAAGUAUUGAAGGGAUUUUGAAAGGUUCCCGAUAUAAGUAGGAAGAACGCCACUCAAUGGAUUUCCUGAAACUCCUAUGGUUUUCAAAUUCUUACAAUUCGUCAAAGAAGAAAGAAAGCUCCACUCAUGAUCAGUAGCAGACCCUGUGAUCAAAUUAUUGUUCAUGAUUUGGAACCAUUCAAGGUGUCUUAAGUUGCCAAGCGUUUUAGGGAUUGGGCCAGAGAAUAAGUUAUCUUCCAAGUCUAGUAUCUUAAGCAUGGAAGCAUUGGAGAUAGAGUUGGGAAUGUUUCCUCUAAGUUUAUUUCCCCACAAUGCAAGAAUCUCAAGCUUUGGAGCAUUGGUGAUGGGUGGUAAAUUACCUGUAAAAUAGCAUCUUUUAGUAUACAUAUUCAUUGAAUACCAAAUUCACAAAAUAUAUAAUACAUUAAUAAUAUGAAGUUUCGAGUACUAAUUAGUCCUUGUGAUUUGUAUAGAAAAACAUAUAAUACGCUAAUAAAUUUUUAAAAUAUUGUAAAACUUGAAAUAAAAUAAAAAUAAAAUGUUGGUAUGAGAAUGUGGCAUCUAAUCAAUUUUAAAAAUGAGACUGACACUGAAUAAUAAAUAGUUAUGAUUUGGGAAACAAAAAUAUUAAAGCCAUUGUUUAUCUUUAUUAAAUUAUAGUGUAAAAUUUAAAGAUUACUAUUUGCUCAAAAUUUUUGUAUUUUUCGUAUAUUUGAAAUUUAAUCUUUAUAUUUUUAUUUUCUGUGAUUUAGUCUCUCUACUUUUUGAAUUGAAAAUUUUAAGUUUAUUUAUUAAAACUGUUAAGAAGUUUUUGGGUUAGUAUGGCAUUUUGAAAAAUAAAAUAAACUUGAUAUCUAUGUUUUUAAUUAUUUCAAAUAAUGUUUUACUAUUCCAAGAUAAAUUAUUUGUGUCUAGACCAAUAUCUUAAGAACUAUUGUUGCAUGUUUAAUUAUUCAAAAGAAUUGUUGAUUGAGUCUUAGCUUGAUUGACAUGUGUAUUGUUACCAAUGUAAGAGAAUGUGGGUUCAAGUAUGCUAAAGUGCAUUAUCUUCUUAUUUAUAAAUUGGGGAGUUGGUAAGGUAUUAAAUUUUGAUAUAUUUUAAAAUAUUAAAAUUUUAUUAAAAUAUUUUUUAUAAAAAUUGAUUGCACCACAAUAUACAAUUUUAAUAUCAAAUUUUUAAUUUUUUUAAAAAAUAUUAGCGACUAUAUACUUUAUUUCAAGUUACACAAAUUUUACUAGUUUUUAACUUUUUUUUAAAUAUUUACCGUCUUUUAUAAUUUUUUACAAUAUUUAAAAAUUUCUGCCAAUUUUUAAUAAUUUUAUUAUUUAUUACAAAUUUAAAAAUUAACAAAUUUAAAAAUUAACAAAUUUUUAUUUUUUAAACAAUUAUAUAUUUAUAAUGUAGUUAUUUUUUAUAUAAUUUCACUUUAAAUUUUAAAGAUUUUUUGGGUUUUUUUUUAGAUGAUGAUGCCGUUAUGAUGUCAUCAUAUACCACAUGGCAAUUUAUGAUUAGUUGGAUAUCUCAAUCUAUUUUUUAAUUUCCAAUGGACUAAACCAAGAACACCUGAUAAUGUUAGAGACUACACUAGCAAUGUUUGAUAAUAUUAGGUACUAAAGUGGGCAAAAAAAUAUUAAGAACCAAAGUAAAAAAAAAAAAAAGAAGAAGAAGCAAUAUGCUGUAGAGAAUAAACUAUGCAUUAAGCCAUUAAAAAUAUAUCUAUAAUAUAUAUAAAUGCAUGGAUUUUGAGAAACUUUUGAAGUGAUAAUUAUAUAGUCUUUGUUGUUUACUAUAUUAUUGAAUUUGUUAUUUUAAAUAUUUUUUUAUUACUUUUAAGAUUUAUUGGAUAAGAAUUUUGGUUUUUACUAAAAUAUUUGGUUAAAUAAAUUAACUUCAUAAGAAAAUUUAGCAUCCUUAUAAAUAACAAUUUUGAUUCUAUUAAAAAAUUAUUUUAAAAAGCAUAUAAUAAAAAUUUAAAAUUUAUAUUGAAUUACUUUAUACUUAAAUUAUUAUUAGAAAUUUUAUACUUAAAUUUAUGAGAACCACAAAUUUAGAACUUAAAUUUGUGUUUUAAAAUAACUUAUGAUAAAUAAUGAAAUGUAUAAUUUGAAACUAUUUAAUAAUAACACAUGGCAUAUCUACCAUAUUGAAAUAAAAAUAGAUUAAAUUGUAAGUAAAACAUAAUUUAAGCAUAGGUAUACAUCAAAUUAAGAAUACUAAAUGAAUACAGUUAUUUAUGAUGAUGUUGUUGUCAAUUCCUAAGUUGGUGUCGAGUUAAUUUGUGACAUCAUAAAUUUAAGUGAUAAAUUUAAGGUUUUACGUAUUGAUGUGGAUUGAAAUAUCACCAUACUUUUUUUAAAAUAAAAAACUAAAAUACCCUCAAAUAAUAUAACUUAUAUUAAAUAUGAAAGGGUAAUUUUGUAAUUUCUCUGACUGAGUUGGUGCCAGGUUGACUCAUGACACCAACUAAAUCGAAAGCUUCAAUAAUAAUAUAGAUAUUCACAUUAAAAAAAAGUACUUUAGUUCCAAAUAAUUAUAUAACAAGUAAAUUUAUAAUUGACGAAUAAAUUUAUAGAUAAUAUAUUUAUAUGAUCUAAUAUAUUAUAUUUAUAUUAAUUAUAUAUCAUCUACAAACUUUGAAAAUCAAUUUAUUAAGUAUCAGGAAAAGAAAAAAAUGAAAUUGAAUUAACACUAAAUCAAUUUUUGAAUUAACAAAAAAUUAGUGAUAUAUUUUAAUUAUAUUUAUUAUUUAUUUUUUUAAUAAUAUUUUUUUAAUUAUAUGAAGUAAAAUUAUAUUGUAUGAAGUAAAAAAAAUAUAUUUUCCGCAUUGGUUUCUUUUAUUCUACAGACAAAGGAUUUCUAAUGAUUUUUUAAAAAAAAAUUACUUAUAUAGAAUAGAUUAGUUUAUGCAAUAAAAAAUAAUUUCUUUUUUUAAAGUUUAAUGGAAAUUAAAAAAUUAAAAAUAAAUCAAUUCAUAUAAAUCUUAUUGUUUAUUAUCAUAUUAAAAUGAUAAAAAGUAUAUGACCAAAAUAGAAGAAACAAAUUCAACACAAUGUUUUUGGAGUUUAUUAUCAUAUUUCUAAUUUGUUGUUAAAUAGAUCUAUUUCUUCCAGCGUAGUUGAAUUAAAAAUAUUUGAUGGAAUCUGACCUGCACACAUAGUCGAAAAUUGAAGUGAAAAUUAUAUCUUCUAAACUGUUCAACUAAAAAUACUUUAAGCAUAUUUUUUAAGGUUAUUGCAUUUACCCAUGCCAAAUGGAAUGCUACCAAAUAACUCAUUGCUAUGCAAGUAAAGCCCUUCAAGCUUGGGAAGAUGUUGACACAUAUCAUUAGGAAAUUACCUGAUAGGCUAUUUUUGGAGAGAUCAAUGGUCUUCAGAGAAGAAAUGUUGAAGAUCAAAGUUGGAAUCUGACCUGUAAGGCCUUUAAUUGCUUGAAUAUUAAGCAAUUCCAAACCAUGAAGAUUACCAAUUUCCUCAGGAAUUUGACCUGCACACAUAGUCGAAAAAUCAAGGUGUCAAACUACCUAUUUUGUUAGCAUAAGUCAAAGAGGUUUUCUUUUCUGUUCUAUGGUAAUUUGGAGAUGUUAGAUUUUCAUAUAUUUCAGCAUAUGUUUUUCAUCAAAUGAAAUAAAAACUUUUUCCUUUUGUUAUCUAUUACAAAUCAAACUCUUUUAUAAAAAAAAUACUUAAAAUUCAAGAAAUCAAGGAAAUUGAUUACCUUCUAGAUUAUUAAAUCCCAAAUAUAAUUCUCUGAGUUGUGUCAGAUUUCCAAUACUUCUUGGAAUGAUCCCCGUCAAUUGAUUCAAGGACAAGGACAAAUUAUUAAGGUUGCUGCACUUGCCCAUACUUGACGAAAUGUUACCAGAUAACUCAUUGCUCUGCAAGUAAAGCCCUUCAAGCUUGGGAAGAUGUUGACACAUAUCAUUAGGUAAACUACCUGGUAGGCUAUUGCUGGAGAGAUCAAUGGUCUUCGAAGAAGAAAUGUUGGAGACCGAAGUUGGAAUCUGACCUGUAACGCCUUUAAUUGCUUCAAUAUUAAGCAAUUCCAAACCAAGAAGAUUACCGAUUUCCUCAGGAAUUUGGCCUGCACACAUAGUCGAAAAAUCAAGGUGUCAAACUACCUAUUUUGUUAGCAUAAGUCAAAGAGGUUUUCUUUUCUGUUCUAUAGUAAGUUGGAGAUGUUAGAUUUUCAUAUAUUUCAGCAUAUGUUUUUCAUCAAAUGAAAUAAAAACUUUUUUCUUUUGUUAUCUAUUACAAAUCAAACUCUUUUAUAAAAAAAUACUUAAAAUUCAAGAAAUCAAGGAAAUUGAUUACCUUCUAGAUUAUUAAAUCCCAAAUAUAAUUCUCUGAGUUGUGUCAGAUUUCCAAUACUUCUUGGAAUGAUCCCCGUCAAUUGAUUCAAGGACAAGGACAAAUUUUUAAGGUUGCUGCACUUGCCCAUACUUGACGGAAUGUUACCAGAUAACUCAUUGCUAUGCAAGUAAAGCACUUCAAGCUUGGGAAGAUGUUGACACAUAUCAUUAGGCAAACUACCUAAUAGGCUAUUGUUGGAGAGAACAAUGGUCUUCAGAGAAGAAAUGUUGAAGAUCGAAUUUGGAAUCUGACCUGUAACGCCUUUAAUUGCUUGAAUAUUAAGCAAUUCCAAACCAUGAAGAUUACCGAUUUCCUCAGGAAUUUGACCUGCACACAUAGUCGAAAAAUCAAGGUGUCAAACUACCUAUUUUGUUAGCAGAAGUCAAAGAGGUUUUCUUUUCUGUUCUAUAGUAAUUUGGAGAUGUUAGAUUUUCAUAUAUUUCAGCAUAUGUUUUUCAUCAAAUGAAAUAAAAACUUUUUCCUUUUGUUAUCUAUUACAAAUCAAACUCUUUUAUAAAAAAAAUACUUAAAAUUCAAGAAAUCAAGGAAAUUGAUUACCUUCUAGAUUAUUAAAUCCCAAAUAUAAUUCUCUGAGUUGUGUCAGAUUUCCAAUACUUCUUGGAAUGAUCCCCGUCAAUUGAUUCAAGGACAAGGACAAAUUAUUAAGGUUGCUGCACUUGCCCAUACUUGACGGAAUGUUACCAGAUAACUCAUUGCUAUGCAAGUAAAGCACUUCAAGCUUGGGAAGAUGUUGACACAUAUCAUUAGGCAAACUACCUAAUAGGCUAUUGUUGGAGAGAACAAUGGUCUUCAGAGAAGAAAUGUUGAAGAUCGAAUUUGGAAUCUGACCUGUAACGCCUUUAAUUGCUUGAAUAUUAAGCAAUUCCAAACCAUGAAGAUUACCGAUUUCCUCAGGAAUUUGACCUGCACACAUAGUCGAAAAAUCAAGGUGUCAAACUACCUAUUUUGUUAGCAUAAGUCAAAGAGGUUUUCUUUUCUGUUCUAUAGUAAUUUGGAGAUGUUAGAUUUUCAUAUAUUUCAGCAUAUGUUUUUCAUCAAAUGAAAUAAAAACUUUUUCCUUUUGUUAUCUAUUACAAAUCAAACUCUUUUAUAAAAAAAUACAUAAAAUUCAAGAAAUCAAAGGAAAUUGAUUACCUUCUAGAUUAUUAAAUCCCAAAUAUAAUUCUCUGAGUUGUGUCAGAUUUCCAAUACUUCUUGGAAUGAUCCCCGUCAAUUGAUUCAAGGACAAGGACAAAUUUUUAAGGUUGCUGCAUUUGCCCAUACUUGACGGAAUGUUACCAGAUAACUCAUUGCUAUGCAAGUAAAGCACUUCAAGCUUGGGAAGAUGUUGACACAUAUCAUUAGGCAAACUACCUGAUAGGCUAUUGCUGGAGAGAAUAAUAAUCUUUAGAGAAGAUAUGUUGAAGAUGGAAGAUGGAACCUGACCAGAUAAUUGAUUGAGUCCCAAGUUCAAAAUCUCUAGAUUAGAUAUGCUAACAAGUGUUUCAGGGAUUGUGCCUGUAAAGUAAUUAUUUUUCAUUUGUAGCCUUCGAACUCUCUGUAAGUUCCCAAGCCAUGAUGGAAUUUCCCCAUUCAGACGGUUGUAGCUUAAUUGAAGGAUCCUCAAACGAUGCAAUUGGCCCAAUUCUUUAGGGAGAUGGCCAUAGAAAUGGUUGCUACUCAAGUCGAGAGAGAGUAGAAAUGAAAGAUUUCCAAGGUGUGGAGGGAUAGUACCCCUAAGAUUCAUGCUUGUAAGAUUCAAAGCUAUAACUCUUUUAUGGAGGAUGCCACAAGAGACACCAAUCCAAUUGCAAACAGAGGUUGAGGCCGUCCAAUUGUCUGCCAAGACAAUUUGAGGACCGCCAAUACGAUCCUUAAACUCAAGAAGUGCAAACUGAUCGGAGUUGAGAUUCCUGACUGUCAUAGCCAUGCAAAGUACGAAACAUGGUAUGAAUAAAGCUAAGAGAAGAUGAAAGCAAGUUUUGUAGUUCAUGAUUGCAAGACAGAAUAAGGCAAGAAAAUAAAAAAAGUAGGAAAAGGGCAGUUGAGUUGAUAAAAUAGUUUGGAUGAUGAAGAAAAGCCCAGAGAGCAUGCUUUAAUAUGUUUCAACCCUCGCACACUUGAUAAACUUGAUAAAAAUAUUUUGAUCUAAUAAAUGUAAAAAAAAAUUAAACAAAAUAAGGUUGAAAUAAUCUAUUUGUCCUUAUAUUUUGAUAAAGGUUGAGAUUAGUCCUUAUACUUAAAAGGUUAAAAAUAAAGUUUUCUUGUUUUUAUUUAAAAAUCUUAGUCCUAUCGUUAAUUUUUUUUGGGCAAAAUUUGUCAACUGGACAUAUUAAUUUGGUUUCCCUUAUAUGUCGUUGUAUAUGACUAACACAAAAUAAGCAAGUUGACAAAUUAUGACAAAAAAAUAUCAAAGAUGAUAAUAAUUUGAUUAAAAUUUUUAAAUUGAAUUAAUAACCUUUAACAUAUAAGGAAUGGAUAUCAAAUAUUUAUAGGAAUAAAGGGACAAACAACAUAUUUUAACCACAAAAUAAUAUGAGUGAUUAGAAUGAAUCUAAAAGAGACUAACAACAUAUUGAUAACUUUGAAAUCUCCUACGAUCAUCCUUUUUCUACGUAGAAAAAGAAAAUUAAUUAGCAUCUAAAGUGUCAAUUAAUGAAACCUUCAAAAGAAAAUGUGAAAGUGAUUUACCAAACAAUAAUAUUCUAACUUAUAAUAUAUUUAAUUACAUUUAGUACUUUAUCAAUCAAAACUUAAUUAACAUCCAUCAAUACUUCAUACAUAAGUAAAUUUACCAUUUAACUCAGAUUUAACUUUGCAAGUAAACUUGAAAUUUUAUUUAAUUUUGUCACUAAAUUUAAUUUGCUCAAUAUAGAUUUUGGUGACUUAAAACAAAAUUAAUAAAAAAUUAUUCUUUCAGACAUCUUUUUAAUGUUUAAUAAUAAGUUAAUUUAUAAAAUAUACUUUCAUUGGACACAAGCCUCCAAGGCAGUGAACCACUAAUCAAAUUAAUUUGGAGAUAUCUUUUUUUUCCAAAUAAAAUGGAUAUCAAGAGAUACCAAAAAUUAUUUCACUAAGAAAUUUUAAUUCACUCGAAAAGUUAGUGUUUUAUUUCAAGGGGUCAUAAUUAUAAAUUUUGAACUUUUUGACAAUUGCGUAAAUAAUAAAUACCAAUUUUGAGUGCUGUAGGGCUAGGACAAUCUCCCUUACACAUAACCGACUCUUGAACCUACUCUUUUCUCUAGAAUUCAACUCAGACCUCAAAUUUAUCUUUUGAAAAGAAUUUUAAAAUCUUUGUAUAAAAGGUGUAAAAAUAUAUAUUUUAUUAAUUACUAUAUAUUCUUUUAUUUUCAGAAUAAUAAAUUGUUUAAAAUAUGCUACUAGUCCCUAUAAUUUAAAAGUUAAAAGUAAUUGGGAUCUUGAGUGCAUCAAAUUCCUCCUUUUAUUAUUAAAUGUUUUAUUUUAGUUACUCUAAUUAAAUAUAUCCAAAUUGUAAUAAACAUUUAUUAUAUAAAAAAUAUUUUAAAUUUAUUUCAAUUGCAAUUUAAUUUUAGUAGAAAUAUUUCAUUUAUAAAAUCAUAAAAUUUUAAAAUAUUAACUUUAUUAAAUAAAAAAUAAUUUUUUUUAAACAGUAAAUGUUGACUUUAUUAACACAAAUGGGUCUUUAGGGUUAAACUUCAGUAACUGACGAGCUCUUCCACAAACUGUGGAUGAUUUGGGGAUAAGAACUUCAAUAAUUCUAGAGUUAAAGUGUAAAUUUACUACUAUAUUAUAAGUAAAUAUUGAAAUUUAUCACUAAAUUUUAAUUGAUACUUGUCAUUACACUUUGAAAAUAUAAGUAAAUUUACCAUUUAACUCAUAUGUGAUUGAGCUUUGCAAAUAAACUUAAAAUUUUAUUUAAUUUUGUCACUAAAUUUGAUUUAUUUAAUUAAAUUUACAACUCAAUAUAGAUUUUGGUGACUUGAAUUAAAGUUAAAAAAAAAACUAUUCUUUCAAAUAACUUUUAAUGUUUACUAAUAAGUAGAUUUAUAAAAUAUACUUUCAUUGGACACAAGCAUCCAAGGCUGUGAACAAACCACUGGUCAAAUUAAUUUGGAGAUAUCCUUUUUGCGUUUUUCUUUUUUUUUAAAUAUUUUUAAUAUUUUUGUGGGUAUCAACAGACACCAAAAAUUAUUUCACUAAGGAAUUAAUUUGUAUUUUAUUUUAAGGGUUCACAAUUGAACAUUAGAUUUUUUAUUUUUAAAUUUUGAAUUUUUUGACAGUUGCGUAAUUAACAAGUACUAAUUUAGGGUGUUGUAGGGUUAUUACAACCUUCCCUACACGUAACAGACUCUUGAACCUACUUUUUUUUCUCUAGAACUCAACACAAACCUUAAAUUUAUCUUUUUAAAACAAUUUUAAAAUAUCUUUAUAAAAGGUUAUUUUUUUACCCAUCACACUUAACAAAAUUUUAAAAAUUAUUAAUUUCUUUUUGAAAUUUAAAGUGAUCUAAAAAUAUAUUUUUAAGUGCUUUAGACCCUGCGGUGCUGAUUUCUUUAUUGUAUUAAAUGCUUGCAAUCACUCCUGAUAUCUUAUACUUGAGUUGUAACAAAACCAAUUAUCAUGUUCCAUAAUGUUCUAUUGAUGCUGAAACUGAAGUUUUUGUUAUAUUAAUAGAGCUUGUCCUUCAACACGUAUAACGGGUGUUUGUUAUUUUUUUCUUCAAAUUGUAUGAUCUCAUUCAUUAAAUGAAUUAAUGAAUUUCCCUUUAAAAAAUAUAAUUUUAAAAAUUAAAUACUUUAUAAGAUAUUUAAAACUAUUUAAAAAUUGUAAGCGUUAAAACAAUCAACAAGAUAUAUUUUUCUUUAAAAAAUCAAUAAAAAUAUGUUUAAAAUUUUAUAUGAAAUUUACAAUUUUUUAACAAUAAUAUAUUUUAAAAUUAUUUACACCUUUUUUAUAUAUUUUUCCUAACAUAUAUUUUCAACACUAUCGUAAUCCUGUUUUGAUAACUCCCUUUCCAUACAUCCUUUUUCUACAUAGAAUUUCGAAAGAAAAUGUGAAUUAAUGCAGACGUGAGAAGACUUAGAGGUAAGUCACCCAAUGAAAGUGACCUACUUAUGGAAAAAUCAAACAAUAAUUUUGUAUCUUAUAAUAUAUUAAAUUACAUUUAUGAGGUUAUCAAUCAAAACUUAAUUAAAAUCCAUCAAUAAAGUUGUUGAUUGUAUAGCUAAGGCAGAUGGAGGCAUAAUUGAGCAGUUAGUUAUCUUGGAAAAUCCUCCGCAUUAUGUGAGAUGUUGGCUUGAAGAAAAUAUUAGACAGUCGUUGGUCACUGAUGAUAAUUUUUAUUUGGAUUGAAGCUGGCUUAAUUUUCUAAGUUUAUGUUCAACUAGAAAAAAAAUGUCUAAAUUGUAAUUGAAUUAACAUUUAGUGUAUAAAAAAUAUCUUAAAUUUUUUUUUUCAAUUGCAAUUCAAUUCCACAAAUACCGACGAUGAACCCUAAAACGGACAUGAAAAUUACAAAAAGAAAAAAAGCACAUCUAUUAUCAAACCAGCAAUACAUGCCUAAACUAAUAGAGAUGAACCCUAUGAUAGAUUGUGACCCCCCAAAGUCGACCGGGAUAGACCAGCCUGAAUUCAAAGCAUUACAUUAGCCACCUAAAUGACUCUCCAGCUAACGACCACCCAAGGCACACCCCAACCUUAUAACACCUCAAUUUUAUCUAAUUAUUAGUUAUUUAUUAAUGCCAAAGUAAAUUAUGAGCCAAUUUUAAACUUUUCCUAAGUAAUUUAAUCUAUGGGCAUUUACGUUAUUUUACCACCUAUGGUAAAACUAACUUGAUUUUAGAUCUAAGUGUUUACUCACCUUCUUUUAGUCAAAUUAUGCAAGUCUAAAAUUUCCAGGUGAAUUUGAGUUUGUUUACUAUGUCUAAUUCAAGUUUUAUUAUUUAGGAUUAAAUUGUAACUUAAACAAAUUCGAAUACCAAUUUAAAGAGGCAAAAAUUCAAAACCCAAAACAGACACAAGCAUGUGCGUAAAUGACACGGGCGUGUGAAAACUGGAACUAUCACAUACGGACGUGUGGGAUUGAAAAAUAUAAAAUAAAUUAAUCCACUCAAUUUUCCAAUAGCCAUGCUAUACUACCAAACCAAAAAAUGCUUGAAGCUUUGAAUAGGGGUGAAUCUAAAAAAAAAAUUAGAAGAAUUAGAAUUAAAUUAUAAUCUAAAAAAAAUUAGAAGAAUUAGAAUUAAAUUAUAAAACUUUGAGAAGUUAAAAUAUAAUUUUAUCAUGUAUUAAUUUAUUAUUUUUAAAAUGGUCUUAAUUGAAUUUUUUUUUCCAUUUUUGUUGGGCCAAUACCCCUGCUUGCCUCUUUGAAUUUGCUCCAACCCUAAACCCAAUAAUCAAUUUGGAUUAACAACAAUAUAUAGGUUAGUAUUUGUGGGAGUUUGACAAUAAAAUUUUUUUUAAAAGGUUUAAAUUAUAAAUUUUUGAAAGAUUAAAAUAAAUUUGUAUUUUUUAUUAACAAAAUAUAAAAGAAAAAAACAUGUUUAGACAAGCCAAGAGACCUUUGGGAUCAUACGGGUGAUUUUGAUGAUGUUAAUAGUUAUUUUGGUGGAGAGGCUGAGAAAGAAACAAAUGAUUCAUUAUAUAUAAUAUAAUUAUGAAAUUCAAGCCAUAUAUUGUAUGUUUCAUACAUAAAAAAAAUUGGAGCAAUUUAAUCCCUAUCAAUUUUGAAAGUGAGCAACUAAGAACAAUGAAUUAUGGUGUUUCCUUCUUAAUUUCACAAUUGCGCAAAUUAGUCCCUCUCAAAAAAAAUUGGAGCAAUUUAAUCCCUAUCGAUUUUGAAAGUGAGCAACUAAGAACAAUUAAUUAUGGUGUUAAAUUCUUCCAUCAAUUGUACAUAAUUUUGAUUGGUAUAGUAAUAAAUUUAGCCUUCAAUGUUUAAAUAUUUUGUCAUUUUGGCCUUAAUUUUUUUUUAAAAAAAAUUCAAGCAUUUCAACCUCAACAUUUAGAUAUUUACACAAACGUUGCGGGAAAUUUUUGUUAAAUUUAGACCAAAUUGCAAGUAUAAAUUUUGAAGGCUAAAUUUAUUAUUAUACCAACCAAAAUCAUGUACAUUUUAUGGAAAAUUAACAUCCUGAUUAAUUAUUCUUAGUUACUCACUUUCAAAAUUAAUAGGGACUAAAUUGCUCUGAUUUUUUAAGGGUGACCAAUUUCCUCAAUUUGGAAAUUGAGAGAGACUAUUCAGAUAUUUUACAUAUUUUUUUAUAAAUAUAUUUUUUUAAUAUAAAAUAUAUUUGUUCACACAUAUUGUGAGUAUGAUAAAAUAUUUUUAUUAUUGAUUGAGUUGGUGUCAAAAAUUAACUCGACACCAACUCAAGAUUAAUAAUAACAAUAUGAUAAAUAAUUUAUUUAUUUAAUAUUCUUAAUUUAACAUAUUGAUGUAAAUUUUAAGACAUGCAUGUCUUGUAGAAUUGAGAUUAUACUAUUUGAGUAUUGAGUCAGUUUUCCACAAUGGUGGGUCUCGAGCAACAGCACAAUUUCAACAUUUCUUCAUCUCGCUUAAUCCAAAUGCAUUUAGGAUUUUUUUUUUAUAUCAUUGUUUCAAAAACGAUAAAAAAAAACGUGGACAUUGAAUUUUCUGUUUCACAUUCAAUUUUUGGAGAAGUAGAAUUUUCUAACUUAUUUUCCAUCAACUUCACUUCAAUUUUCAAUCACAAUCUAUUGUAUUCAAGAGUACCACAUCUUUUUGGAUGAAACAAACCUCUCAAUCUUAAGAUAAACGGAAUCUAUUGCAUUCAAGAGCACCACAUCUUUUUGGAUGAAACAAAGCACUCAAUAUUAAGAUAAACGGGUCUUUAGGGUUAUUAACUGAGGGCAUUUUCCACAAAUGGCAUCGUUAUUUGAAGGUGAUUCGGGGAUAAUAACAUCAACAUUUCUGUAUCACAUUUAAUUCAAUUCCACAUUUAACUUUUAAUUUUUGGAGAGAUGAUUGGGCUACAACAAUGGUUUGAAGUGAAGAUAUUUCAAAAGAAGGCAAAUAUAUCAAUUUUUUUAAGGGGUCUUUGGAGUUAUAUGUGACUUUAGCAUUAUUGACCGAUUUUUUUAUGGUUAAUCUUUUAUAAUAAGGUAAAUAUAUCAAUUUUAAUAACAUCGGCAUGUUUUUUAGUAGGGUCGAGCAAAACCCAAUUAAAACCUUUCAUCACUGCAAAAAUGAAAAUAAUAGAAAUGAAAGACUAGCCAUUGUAUGAGAUUUAUAAUUGUAACUGUCAACGAAAUUGGGAGAAAUUUUUAAAUUUUAUGAAAUUUUAAAAUUUAACUGUCAAUAAUAGAAAAUUGCCUGAGUAACUUGAGAUAAGAGGUUGAACAUUUCUGGAUCACAUUACAUUUAAGAUGGGUCUUUAAGGUUAUACUUUAGUUAUUGAGAACAUUUUCCACAAGUUACCGUCGUUAUUUGUGGGGUAAGUGGUUGAACACUUCUGGAACACAUUGCAUUUAGGACGGGUAUCAUUCAUAGACUGACUUUUCUAUAAUUAGUCCUUGCUUUACUUUAGGUGGAUUCUUCCAACUAGUCCAAGAAUUAUUGUACAGUUACAAUUAAUCUUUUUAAAUGAGACAAACAUUUCAAAUUUGUCGUUACUAUUUGUGAGUGAUUUGGGGGUAAGAAGUUUAACACUUCUGGAUGUCUUAUAGAAUUGUGAUUAUACUUUUUGAGUAUUGACUCAGUUUUCCACAAUUGUGGGUCUCUAUUUGAGCAAAACAAUUUCAACAUUUCUUCAUCUCGUUUAAUCCAAAUGCAUUUAUGCAUUUCUUAUAUCAUUGAAUUUGCUGUUUCCCAUUCAAAUUUUGGACAAGUAGAAUUUUCUAACCUAUUUUCCAUCAAGAAUUUUCUAACCUAUUUUCCAUCAACUUCACUUGAAUUUUCAAUCACAAUCAAUUGCAUUCAAGAGCACCACAUCUUUUUCGAUGAAACAAAACUUUCAAUUUUAAGAUAAACGGGUCUUUAGGGUUAUUAUUCAUUUAUUGAGGGCCUUUUCAACAAUUGCCAUCAUUAUUUGUUGGUGAUUUGGGGAUAAUAACUUGAACAUUUCUGGAUCACAUUGAAUUCAAUAUUCUUAUACAAUAGUAUUUUAUAUAUAUACGUACAUAAUUUAUAUUAAACUAUUUUUAUUUUAUAUAUUAUUGAUUUCGUAUUAUUAUAACUAUUGACCUUAUGUUUAUAUGUUUUUUUAAAACCUAUUUUUUACAUAUACAAUUUACUUCUUUUAAAAAAACCCUACUUCAUAUACUUGGUUUAUUUCAAAUUUCUACAUAUAUUAUUAUGCAUAUAUAUAUAUAUUAUCAUUUGUAUUGUUAUUAAGCUUUUCAUUUCAUAUAUAUUAAUUAUUUAGGUUAAUACAUACAUUAUUUUGUACAUUACCUAUUUUGAUUUUAUUCUUAUGCAAAAUUUACUUUAAAAUUUGUUUACAUAUUAUUGUUUCACAUAGUAUUUAUUUUUAACUCUAUUUUUGGUCUAUUUCGAAUUUUCAUGUACAUUAUUUAUUUUUAUACUUUUUGGAUUUACAAUUUCCUUUCUUUCAUGCCAUUUUUUAAUUAUUUCAAAACUUAUACAUUGGAUUUGCAUUUGUGUUAAUUUGUUUGCUUUUUAGGUUUUACUAGCUUUUAAAUAUGGAUGUUAGUAGUUGCAUAAUGUGUAAUAUAAGAUUGUUGCCCUUAUGUAUGUUGUAUUGUUUAUUUGUAUUUUAUUGAUCCUUUGUUGCUCAUUAGCUUACAUUUAGCUUACAAAUUGUAAGUGUAACUUUUGAGGGCUAAAUUUAUUAUUAUACCAACCAAAAUCAUGUACAUUUUAUGAAAAAUUAACAUCUUGAUUAAUUAUUCUUAGUUGCUCACUUUCAAAAUUUCUCUGAUUUUUUUUGGGUGACCAAUUUCCUGAAAUUGGAAAGUGAGAGAGACUAUUGAGAUCUUUUACGUAUAUUUUUUUAUAAAUAUAUUUUUUAAAUAUAAAACAUAUUUGUUCACACACAUCAUGAGUGUCGAAACCAUUUUUUUAAUAAAUGGGGGUCGACUUUUAUUUUGAAAAUGAAAAUAAACAAAUGGGACUCGCCACUGAUCUUUUGUUUAGUGUGAUCAGAUCACCUUGAAAGCGAUUUUGGUCUACGAAAUUUGAGAAAACAGGUUGGGGAGUCGAUUACGCACGAGGAAGGGUUAGCACCCUCGUAACACCCAAAAUUGGUACCUAAUUGAUUAAUUAAUGUCUUAAUGUCGAAAUUUUAAAAAAAAAAUUUAAAAUACAAUCCUUCUAUUCAAAUGAACACUUGUAUGAAUCAGAUUGCGUACUAAGACCCUCUUGUUUUGGAGAAAUAGAAUGCCACACACAGUGAGUUAGGAUAUGACAUUUUCACAUCUUCCAAAAAUGAGCUGGCCUUUUGAUUUUUUUUUUUAAAAAAAAAACUCUUGCAGUGAAGUUUAAAAAAAGGAUACUCUAUUGUUUUGGUUAGAUGAAAAUAAAUGAAUAAAUGAAUAGCAUACAAGAAAGGAAAUUUAAAAUUAUCAAUACAUAAACAAUAAAUUAUAUGCAUUAACUUUUAAAAUAAACAAUAUAUAUACGAGUUUGAAAUAGAUCAAAAAUGAAGAUAAAAAAUAGAUACUAUAUGAAAUGAUAAUAUCAAAAUGAAUUUUAAAGUAAAUAUUGAAUAAAAAAAAUCAAAAUAUGUAAUAUACAAAAUAAUAUAUAUUAAUCUAAAUAAAUAAUAAAUAUGGAAUGAAAAAUUCGAAAUAGAUAAUACUAUAUAUAUAUAUAUAUAAAUAUAUGUGAAAAGUCGAAAUAGGUAGAAUAUAAUAAAAUAGGUUUUUUAAAGAAAUAAAUUAUAUAUAUAUGGAAAUAGGUAACAAAGAUAUAUAUAACAGCAUGAAAUCAAUAAUAUAUUAUAUAUGCAUAUAUGUAUAAUAAAAAUAGUUUAAUAACACUUGUAUAUAUAUGUAUAAAAUAGUAAUAUGAAAGAGCAUUAUCGUAUAAAUCUUUAAAACAAAGAAGUAUAUAUAAGUGCAUUUUAAAAAUGUAUUUAAAAUAAAACCAUUAAAAACGUAUAAAUUAUAUUGAAAUUGCAUAAAAAGUAUAUAAAAUAAUAGAUGGAAAUUAAAAUAAUAAUAUAUGAUAAAUUUUAAAAAAAAAGUAAUUAUACAUGAAAAACUUAGAAUAAUAAUACAUAAAAAACUUAAAAUAAUAAUACAUGAUGAAUUUAAAUAACAAAUACAUGAUAAAUUUAAAUAAUGUUAAUGAUAAAUUUAAAAUAAUAAUAUAUUACAAAUUGAAAUAAUAUUGAUGAUAAAUUUAAAAAUAAUGUUAAGCUUAAACAUAAAAAUAAUAUUAGAUUUAAAAUUAAAUAUAUAUUUUUUUAAAAAUAACAGGAUAAUAAAUAUUUAAAAAAAUUGAACACGUUAAAUUAAACAAAUACGGGUUAAAUUGUAUUUAAUACAAAAUUAAAAGAAAAAAUGAAAAUAAAAUAAAAUAGAGGGCCAAAAUGCAGCACACGAAUAACAUGGGGGACUAAAUGGGGAAUAUUCCCUGCCCACCAAAACGCUGUGUUGCAAUAUGGAUCAAAAUGAACAGUAUUCAAAUUAAACGAGGUAAAUUUAAAAAUAAAAAAUGAAAUUAAAAUAGUGAAAGAAAAUAAAAGGGUCAAUGGUGCAAAUAUCCCCUUUUAGACCCAAAACACGUGGAUCUGACCUUGCUCGAGUCGGGUCAUUAGAUCUCUUAAACCUAAACCAUUGAAGCAAGGCCCAAACGGUACCAUUUCAUGGUCUUCUUAAAACAAAAACCUAAACCACUAUUUGGUUGUUCUUAAAUCAGAUUAGCCAAAACCCUAGCCGCUCGAAUGCUUUGCCGAUAUUCAACCUUACAGUCCUCGCUUGAGCUCCGAUUACGACAAAGUGAAUGGGGAUACAAUGGCGCUAUCUUAUAGGUAAAUCCCUCUCCUCUCAUUCAUUUCUCUUUCACAAACAAGUAUAACAAACAAAGAUUGAGGAAACAGAAAAGAAAAAAGAAAUCUAAAGAUAAAGAAAUGGGAUUUUUUUUCAUAACGGCUAAAUCAUUCAACUCAUAGUUUUUGUUAAAUGAAGAGGUCAAUUGAUUUUUUUGGAAUCAUUGAGUACUCAAUUGGUGCACUUUUUUCAUAAAGGCUAAAUUAAUUUUUUAAUUUGUUACUGUUGAGGGCUAUAGCAAUAAAAAAAAUUGAGGUAAAAUGGAAAAAAUGUUAGAGCUAAAUUUAUCACUAUGCCUAAAACCAAAAUUUUUUGAAAAUAAAAAAAAAUGGAAAAUCACAAAUUUUGUCACUUAUGUUAGCUUAAAAUUAUAGUUUUGGUCACCAAUCUUUUGAAGUAAAUAUCUGGUCAACAAUAUUAUCCAUUUGUUACUUUGUAAUAACUCACCUUAAAGUUAUAUCCCUGCGCAAGAAAGGAUUAAAUGACAAACUUGUAUCUUUUUUUAUUCAUCCAAUGUCAUUUCAACAUUUUCAUUUAAAAAAAUUGACAUAUCAUUUUGAAUUCCAUCUUUUUCAUGAUGAAACUAUUGAAAUGAUGUUAAAUUACUGGAAAGAGAUACAAGUUUAAUCUUAUCUAUCUAAGAAAGCUGAUGUAACACAUUAAUGACAUCAUUCCAAACAAAGUUUUAGGUCCAAUUGUUCAUCUAGCCCUUGUAAUUGUUUUUAGGUGAAUUUCAUUAUUAAUCUUUUAUUUUCUUUGGCUUAAAUACACAUUUACCCUUAAUUUUAUCACAUUCUCCUUCACUGGUAUUUAUGGUUUAGAAAAUUUUACAAAUAUAUUAUUUUUUAAGAAAUUAUAAGAAGAUUACAAAAAUUCCAAAAUAAUAUAAAAAAGCUAAGGAAAACCUAGAAAUUCAAAAAAAAAAUCAUGUUUUUACAAAUUGGGAAAUACCUAAAUUUGUUUUCAUCAAUUAAGAAAUUAAAAAAAUUGUUGAGAAAUAUCUUUUUAGAAAUAUCAUAAUUGCAUUUAAGACCUCAUGAUUAUCUUUUAUAAUUUCAAGGUUAUCAACUAUUUUGAAAACAAAGACAAAAACAAAAACAAAAACGUCGACAUAUCACUUUAGCAUUGACUUACUUUUCUACAGUUAGUCUUCUCCAACAAGAUAAAUAUUUCAAUUUUAACAACAUUGACAGGUCUUUGGGGUAGGGUCGAGCAAAAGUCAAUAGAAACAGAUGAUAUAAGUUUAAAUCGGCCCGGUCAAGCCGAUGUCCUGGUAAAAUCAAUUUUAAAAUUAAUUAUAAUAGUUUAAGCGAAUUGAUUAUUAAGUAAUGAAAUACUUAAUUCAAACAAUUGAUGUAAUCAAAUUAUAAUAAAUAUAUAUUUACUUUUAUGGGAUCCUUCAUCUCCUUUUUAGAGUUUGUGGCAAUAUUUAUUUUAAGCUUCAAAUUUAUAUUUUUUAUUUAUGAGUACAAUGUGUUUUACAAUUACAUCUACAGUGUAUAUUUUUUAUUUUAAAACAUAUAUUAUAAUAUAUGAAAAACAUAUAUGUCGAAACCAUUUUUAAUAAUUUUGAAAAACGGGGAUCGACUUCGAAAAUAAAAUGGGAGUCACCAUCGAUCUUUUAUUGAGAUAUGAUCGGUUCACCAUUAGACGUAAUUUUGGUCUGCAAAUUUUGAGAAAACAAGUUCAGGAAUCUGUUAAGCACGAGGAAGGGUUAGCACCCUCGUAACGCCCAAAAUUGGUACCAAAUUGAUUGUUUAAUGUCUUAAGGUCGAAAUUUUGAAAAGAUUUUAAAAUACGAUCCUUUGAAGUUUAAAUUUGAAUAAACCAAAUUGAAUAAUAAGACACACUCAUUUCGAAUAAAUAAAUUGUCACACUCAGUGAGUUAGGAUGCAACAAUUCAAUCAUCAAAAUUAAGUAUGUCUUUUUUAAUUUUAAAAUUUUAAAAUUCAUGCAUUUUGAGAAUGUUGUUCGGUUAUUUAAGUCAAACGAGAAAUCAGAAUUCAGUAAGUUAGGUUUCGAUUUCUUGAAGUUCUUAAACAUCAAAUAUUGUCUUUAUUUUAAAAUCAGGAUAUCAGAAUGUCACAUCCGGUAAGUUAGGAUCCGACAUUUUGAAAUCCUAAAUGCUUAGUUUUAAAAUGGUAUGGUUUUAAUAAAAUAAGCAUAUAGCUAUUUAAAUUCAUCGAGAAAAAUUGGAACCCAAUAAGUUAGGGCACAAUUCUCUCGAAAAUUAUAAAUGCUAGACCUUUUUUAAUAUGAAAUAGAAUAAAAAAUUUAAAAGAAGUAUGAAAUGUAAAAGAUGAUUGAUAAUUCAAACUUAAACUAAGAAGUAGCAAAUAAGUGAUAAAUAAAUACAAAUAAGGAAUAGCAAUAAUAGUUUUAAUAAUAUUAUAUUAACGCUAACAUUGACAAUCAAACAUCAAAUUCUAAAGUAUAUCCAAGAUGAUAAAAGGGGAAUUUCACCUCACGAAACUUAUGCACACAAGUUCUAAAAGAUUUAUUCACAAAAUCAAAAUAGAUUCGAAAUAAAAUAAUAAUAACAUUGUAUAAUAGCAUUUCGAAAUGAGCUUGAAACAAAUAAAAUAUAUUUAUUAAUCCACCUUAAAUAAUACACAUAAAAUAACUAUGAAAGGGUCUCAAUGCAUGUAUGAUUUAAAAGAAAUAAGUAAUUACCCAAAUAGGUUUUCAAAGAAAUAAAUUAUAUAAAUGAAAUCGACUUAAAAUUCAUAUAUGCAUAUAAAAAUACUUUGAAAAUUUAUAAUCAUGAUGAUAUUAAACAUCAAAACAAUAAUAUAUAUAUUUUUUGAAAUAAUUUAAUAUCACAUAUAGUAGCAUUUAAAAACAUUAUAUUAAAAGAAAAUUAAGUUAUAACACAAAAUGAAUUACUAAAAUAUGUUCAAAGUAUGUCAAAUUGCUAUAAAACAUUUUUACAUAUAUAGAUGAUGAAACAUAUAAUGAUAUAGAGUUUUAAAAUAAAAAGGAUAAAUUUUAAAAAAAUGUUAAUAAACUCAAAACAUGUUAAUAAUAAUUUUAAAUAACAAUAUGUUGUACCUUAAAAUUAUAAUAAAAAUGUUUGAAAACAGUGUUAAUCCUAAUAUUUAAAACUUAUUAAAAAUAAACAUAUUAAAAAUACUAAGCUAACUUUACAUUAUGUUAUAUAUAUAAAAAAAAACUAAAUUUGAAUGAAAUUUGUAGAAGCCCAAAUUUGCCGGGCCCAUACCAACAAAAUAACCCAAACAAUAAACCCGAAGCCCAACUACCCCAGCCCAUUAACCUAAGCUCAGCAUUCAGAAACCCUAAUCCCACUAACCCUAGCCACCUACCCCCACUUGCCCACUUGCCCACUUGCGCCGAACACCACCAUGCCACUAUCGGCCAUGGCCACCUGCAAGAAGCCAAGUAGAAAUAAACAAAUAGAAAAUAAACAUUUGUAAUUGGUUAUAAAAACCGAAAAUCUCACCAUUGAUAAAGGGGAUUUUUUAUUUUUUGCUAUGAAAACAAAAGAUUUUCUUUCAAUAUUAACAGAUUCAAUACAAGAACCAUUCGAAAAUAUAUAUACUAUCAGGGGCUCUAACACCAAAUCGGAGAAUCAAAUCUAAAACCUAAGGUGAACCUAAGGUGACUCUUUCUUUUUUUUUUCUUUACUGUUUUGAGUUUAUUUUCUACAUAAAAAUACUAAAAAAUAUUAAAACAUAAAAAUAUAUGCAUUAUUAAGCAAAAAAAAAAAGAAAAAAAGAAAAAAAAUAUUUUUUUUACCUUUUCCGGCCACCGCCGGCGAGCCUCCGGUGGCCGUCCGGUGACCGGCCCCCUGGCCGGAUUCCCCUUUCCCCCUCCCUUCUCUCUCCCUUCUCUCUUCCCUCUCUCUCUUCUUUUUUUUCUUUCCCUCUCCCCAAAGGAUUUUUUUGGCUAUUUUAGGCCUUUAUAUAGCCCUCCAAAACGAUGUCGUUUUGGGGGCUACACUUAAGCCUCAAAACGACGUCGUUUUGACCAUUGCCCGACCCAUCCGACCCGACCCGCUAGAGGAUCCGCGUGUUUUCGUUUGAAUGGGAUAUUUAUGCGCGCAGUCCUUCCGCUUUUUCAAGGUUUUGCAGUUAAGUCAUUUUUCUUGUUUCCAAUUUGGCCCCAUAAUUUCUCGCGCUUUUCGAUUUAGUCCCCGCUAAUGUGCUGUGUUUUAAUGGAAUGGAAUAAUUGUUGUUUCGGUCCUCCUAUGUUUUGUGCGCGCUCAAAUAAGCCCAUUUCUCUUUAUUUCCUUUCACAUUUGCCCCACAACUUUGUUUUUAAUUCAAUUUUAGUCCUUUUUCGUUUAUUUUUAUAUCUUUAUUAAAUAUCAUUGUUAUUUUAUAUUAUUAGUAUUAUUAGUAUUACUAUUAUUAUUAUUAUGUAUUAGUAUAUAUUUUUAUUAUGUACGCGUAUACAUGUAUAUAUAUUUUCAUAUUUAAUAUUUUUAUUUCAUUUUUUUCUAAUAUUUUAUUAUAAUUUAUAUAUAUAUACAUAUACAUAUUCUUUAUUUAUUUUAAGUAUAUAUUUUUUAUAUUUCAUAUUUUCUACAGGCAUAUAUAUACUUAUAUAUUUACAUAUUUUAAUUCAUAUACUUAUAAAUGUAUGUACAUACUUACGUUAUUUUAUUUUUAUAAUAUACAUAUUUAUAUUUUUUUGUCUUUAUGUAAUAUAUAUACAUACAUGCGCAUGUUAUUUAUAUAUAUGUAAUUAUGUUUUCAUAUUUUAUAAUUCUUGUACAUACAUAUAUAUAUAUAUAUGUAUAGACAUACAUAUUUUCAUUAUAUAUAUAUACCUACAUAGUUUUUUUUUUGUAUUUUAAAUCUUUUAAAAUUCAUACAUGCAUUUUUAAAACUUUUAUAAUUUUAUUCAUUUCUUUAUUAUUAUUAUUGUUUUACUUUAUGUUUAUCUAUUUAUUUAUGUGUCCAUUAUUAUUUUUUUUAAAAAAUGUUUUAGUUUUUUUUAUUUUGUUUAUUUACUUGUUAUUGUAUAUAAUUGAUUUUUUAUAUAUUUAUUUUUGUUAUCUUCGCUCGUAUUAUUUUUACUCGCAUUAUCGUAAUUGUUAUUCCGUCACAUCAAUUUUUACCCAAAUUCGUAAAAAAGGGAAAAUUUUGGAAAUAAAGGCAAUACUCGAUACUUGGGAUCUUCGAGAGAAUUGGGCCCUAACGUGCUGGGUUCUAAUUUUCUGUUGAAUCUAAAUGCUCGAGAAUGCUCUUUAAUAUAAAACAUAAAUAAAAACUCAUUAUCGGGAUUUCAAUAUGUUGUGUCCUAACGCAUUGGAUAUGACACGUGGUUUUCUCGAUAUGAGGAUUUUUUUUUUCGAAAGUAAAGACAAUAUUCCGUAUUUAGAAAAUUCGAGAAAAUCAUGCCCUAACUUACUGAGCUUCGAUUUUUCUCGUUGAUUCUAAGUAAUCGGAUAUCCUUUUAAAAUUAAAAUAAAUGAGGUUUAAAUAAAAAAAUGAAAGGCAAGUUUACUCUCGAAAAUACGAGGUGUCGUGUCCUAACUUACUGGAUGUAACAUCUUGUUACUUCGAGAUAAAGAGGCAUUUUCCAUUUUGAUUUAUUCGAGUAUUUUUAAAAUAACACGAUAUAAGGAGGGAUCAUAUUUUUAAGAUUCUUUUCGAGUUUUUAAUUUUCGACACUAAGACACUAAUUAAUCAACUAGGUACCAAUUUUGGGUGUAUCGAGGGUGCUAAUCCUUCCUCGUGCAUAACCGACUCCCGAACUCAUUUUUCUGAAUUUCGUAGACCAAAAUCGUUGUUUUAAUAAAAUUAAAUCAUUUAUUAAAAACAACCACUUUUUGAGGUGACCCGAUCACACCUCAUCAAAAAAGGAUUGGUGGCGACUCCCAAUUUCGUUUCAUUUUCAAAAUCCAAGUCGACCCCGUUUUCAUCCAAAAAAUGGUGUCAACAGCUUGGCGACUCCACUGGGGACAAUAAGAGAGUCAAGCCACGUGUUGAUUAUUUCUUGUCUUUCUGUUGAAAGUGGAAAAUUCGAUUUAAAUUUACGAUCCUCUCAUUACAUCUCUUUUGUUUUGAGUUAUAUUUUUAUUGUGUUCUGUAUUUUAUUUUAUACCUCUGCACAUUGCAUUGCAUGACCGCUGGUCAUACCCUUUUUAAGUGGGAGUGAGAAGCUACGCCUUCGUGAGGUUUUCACCUCCGCAUGGGAUAGUGAAUCGCUUUCGGGAUAUAUCCGUACCUAUGUCUUCGUGAGAUUUUCAUCUCCGCAUGGCCAUAGGGAAAUGUAUCCCCCUGAAUCGAACUCGGUCCAUAUGAGCCUAUAAUGGGUGAGGAUCGAGGAAUCUGCUGGUUCAGGUACCCUUACUUUAGAACCAAACCUCAUGUAGUGAACCUUAGGAGCCCACCCUAGGUAGAACCACCUCCAAACCCCUAGUGGUCACCCGAAUUGCUUUAUUUGUUAUUUAUUCUGCACUAACGUGUUUUGUUUUUUUUUUGUUUAUAAUUGCAUUGUAUUACAUCAUCCUAGGAAGGAGGUGUUGAUUUAUAUUUGAUUGCUAAAUAGAACAGUUUGUCAUAAGAAAACAAAUUUUUUGAUAAAGUGGAUUAUAACACGGUUGUCUAAAUAUGGUCCAAGUGAAUACAUGAAAGAAGGCUGAUAGUCCGUGAAGAAAUACAAGACUUUGCUUCAUUGCCUGAAGACAGAAACUAACAAAGAUUAUUCGAGAGCUGUCAUGUCUUGACUUUCUUAAAGGAGCUGAAAAGUAUCAUAGAAAUAAGUGAGCAACGAGUCGCUGCCUGGAUCCAGCAAAAAAGCAGUUAAUAUAGACAUCUCUUGGAGAAUUCGUCAGACUCGACCAUAAGAUCCAGAUAUGAAGAGGAAGAAAGGUGUCUUCACUUGGAAUAUGAGAGAAAGACCGUGUAUGUAGUCCGUUUUAUGUAAAGGAAUUUGUUUUCUAGAAAAGUUGUUCCAAUGAAAUUAAAUUUAGAAUCAAUGUCUUCCUUUCUUUUUGCAUUCAUGCAUUUGCAUUACAUUACAUCAAAGAAAAGAAUGUGUUGAUUCGAAAUUCGAUUCCUAAAUAGAAUAGUUUGUCAUAAGGAAACGAAUUUCUUGAUAAAGUGGAUUAUAGUGCGGUCACCUGAAUAUAGUCUGAGUAAACACGAUGAGAGAAAGCUGGUAGUUCACGGAGGAAUACAUGAUGUAAUUUCUAGAGAUUCAAGCCAACGAAGGCAUGACGAGAGAAAGCCGGAAGUCCACGAAGGAAUACAUGACUUGAUUUAAUUGCCAACGAAGAUUAUCCAAGAGCCGGCACUUUUUGAUGAAUAUCAUGGAGAUAAGCGAGCAAGAGAUCGAGGCUCAGGUUAAGCAGUAAGGAGCUAGCAAAGGCAUCUUUUGGAGAAUUUACAGGGUUUAACCAUGAAGAAAAUAUCAGCGUUUACUUGGACUAUGAAGGGCAAUACCACAUAUGUAAACUAUUUUCAUGUAAAAAAAUUUGUCUUCUAGAAAAAUUAUUCUAAUAGAAUUAAAUUUAGAAUCAACGCAUUCUUUUUCUUUGCAUUCUUUUCAUGCAUUGCAUCACAUCAUAUGCAUUAAUGACCAUUUAAAAAGAACUUAAUCGAAUAAAAUCAUUUCAGUUAACCUGGAAAACCAACAAAGUUACGGCACCCGAGCUAAGGCAAAAGUUAUGGACCAAAGGUUGGAGAAGCUAGAGCGACUUCAAAAAGAAAUGCAAGACCAGUUGCAGGCGCAAAUGAAAGAGCAAAUGGAAAAGAUUCAGCGUGACAUGGUGCAAAAGAUGGAGGAGUCCCAAAAUGAUCUGGUGGCUAAGAUGACGCAAUUAUUGAAGGGAGUAGAUAAGGGUAAAGGUCCUGUGAUUGUUAGUGAAGAAGAAAACAAUGGUGAACCACUUUAUCCUCCAGGUUUCACGCCUCCGCAUGAGCAAGUACAGACUGAGCUGCAUCUGCGGAGACCCUCUGUGUCGGUUAGGCCCCAGCAGUUCCAAGGCGAUGCUUCAAUCCCAAUGAAUUUUCAACCCGGAGCGGGCUUUAAUCCCAGUGAUAGCCCGAAUAAUAUUGUUGUCCCAGAUCUUGAUGAGAUGGUUGAAAAGGACAAGGCGAAGGAGGAAUUUCCAAAACAAUUUGAGGAGAAAUGGAAAUGGAUAGAAGAAAAGUUUAGGGCAAUAGAAAGCAUCGAAAGCUACGGAAUAGAUGCAAAGGAUCUGAGCUUGGUUCCGGACUUGGUGCUCCCUUACAAAUUUAAGAUGCCGAAAUUCGAGAAAUACAACGGGACUAGUUGCCCAGGAUCCCAUAUUACUAUGUUUUGUAGAAGAAUGACGGGGCAUAUUAAUAAUGAUCAAUUAUUAAUACAUUGCUUUCAGGAAAGUCUUACGGGAGCGGCGUCAAAGUGGUACAAUCAGCUGAGCCGAGCUAAAAUUGCUACUUGGAGGGAUUUAGCACAGGCUUUCCUGAGACAAUACAAUCAUGUCUCAGAAAUAAUGCCUGACAGGAUAACUCUGCAAAAUUUAGAGAAGAAAUCAAACGAAAGCUUCAGACAAUAUGCGCAGAGGUGGCGAGAGGUGGCAGUUCAGGUGCAACCACCGCUUUUGGAAAAAGAGAUGACAACGCUUUUUAUUAAUACUUUGAAAGCCCCGUUCAUCACUCACAUGUUGGGAAGCGCUUCAAAAAAUUUCUCGGAUAUAAUCAUGAAUGGUGAAAUGAUUGAGCAUGCCAUUAAAAGUGGAAAAAUAGAUGGAGGAGAAAAUAAUAGGAGGGCACCCCUGAAGAAAAGAGAAAAUGAAGUGAAUAAUGUGAAUGCUUAUGGUAGGUCAAUUACCGUGAAUCAACCAAAGAAAGUGGUUGCUAAUCAACAGGGAUCAUCAAGACAAGAGUCGGGAGCUAGGCAAACUACUGAAAAGCCCUAAUUCACGCCAAUCCCGAUGUCAUACAAGGAGUUGUAUCAGACUUUAUUCGAUGCACAUGUUGUUGCUCCUCGUUACUUGAGUCCUCUACAACCCCCGUAUCCAAAAUGGUAUGAUAUGAACGCGCAAUGUGAUUAUCAUGCGGGAAUUUCUGGGCACUCGAUAGAAAAUUGUACUGCCUUCAAGAAGGUAGUAGAAGGACUUAUCAAUUUAGGUGUCGUCAAACUUGACGACUCACCUAACGCAAAGAAUCCGUUACCUAAUCACGCAGAUAAAGGGGUGAAUAUGGUUAGCGAAGAUACGGGAGAAGAAGCCAAGACUGACAUUGCUGAAGUAAAAACUCCAUUGAAACGGGUCUGGAAAGAAAUGGCGAAAAGAGGUUUGGUUAUUUCAGAUUCUGAGGAAGGGCAUGAGAUGGGAAAUUAUUGUGAAUUUCACCAUAAAACAGGGCACGAAAUCCAAGAAUGUGAAGGAUUUAAGGCUUUGGUUCAAAGCAUGAUGGAUAACAAGGAGAUGAGGUUUUACGAAGAUGCGAAAGAAAUGAGGAGCAUAUGCGCGACAGAGUUGGGAACAAAGGCUCCAAAUCAUCCUGUGGUCAUUAUCUCACGCCCUAAGGGUAAGGAGGUUAGGGCUCAGGUAACACCGAAAAUUGUAAUCCAGAAACCAUCAAAUUUCUCUUAUAGGGAUAACAAAAUGGUACCGUGGAAUUACGGGUGUAAUGUGACCAUUUUGGGAAAAGAAGCAGAAAGAAAUCAGGAAAUAGGUUCUUACACGCGCAAUAGAAAAAGAUAUGACGCUCAAGCAGAGUCGUCCAGGGAAGAGAAUUGGAAGAAAGAACAGAGGAAAGGGAAAGCAGUAGAAGUUGAGCCAUUGGUAAAUGAACCAAAAAAAGAAGAGGAGGCAAAGGAGUUUUUGAAGUUUUUGAAACACAGUGAAUACAGUGUUGUGGAGCAACUACACAAACAGCCAGCCCGCAUUUCUGUAUUAGCUUUACUCUUAAACUCGGAAGUACAUCGGAAUGCACUAUUAAAGGUGCUAAACGAAACAUAUGUGGCUGACGAUAUUUCGGUAAACAAGCUGGAUCGGCUGAUCAACAAUAUUGGUGCUGACAAUUUUAUCUUCUUCAGUGAUGAUGAAAUACCAUCCGGAGGAAGAGGUUCUACUAAAGCCCUGCAUGUUACUGUCCGAUGCAAAGGGUACACACUCCCGGGGGCCUUGGUUGAUAAUGGAUCUGCACUAAAUGUAUUGCCUUUGUCCACUCUUAGUCGAUUACCAAUAGACAGUUCGCACAUGAAAGCAUGCCAGAACAUAGUAAGGGCAUUUGAUGGAACAAAAAAGGAGGUUAUGGGGAGAAUUGAGGUACCAUUAAGGAUUGGCCCAGUCACUUAUGAGGUGGAUUUCUUGGUAAUGGAUAUUAAACCCUCCUACAACUGUCUAUUGGGGAGACCGUGGAUACACUCAGCAGGGGCAGUACCUUCAUCAUUACAUCAGAAGGUGAAGUUGGUAUCGGAGGAUCGGUUGGUAACAAUAGAUGCAGAGGAGGAUAUUAUCGCAAUGAUGACUAGCGAUGCACCUUAUGUGGACAUCAACGAUGAGGCACUAGAAUGUUCUUUUCGGUCGUUAGAAUUUGUGAACGCGAUGUUUAUUGCGGAGGGAAAUAGAAUUCCAGUACCAAAAAUAUCCAGGACCACUGAGAUGGGAUUGCGAUUGAUGGUAGGAAGAGGAGCCUUACCCGGGAAAGGAUUGGGAAAAUAUCUUCAGGGAAGGAUUGAGGCACCAAUGCCGAAGGAAAAGUUUGAUAGAUUUGGUUUAGGGUACAAGCCAGACAUGAAGCAGAAGAAGAAAGAAGUAGAGAAGAGACAAGAGAGAAGAAGGGCGCGUUUGAAUGGACAUGAAGCUAAGUGUGAGCCUUUAACCUUUCCCCACAUAUCUACAUCUUUUGUGUCGGGAGGAUUUAUUCAUUCUGAAUGUGGAGUGUCCGGUAGCGGCAUGGGAGGAAUGUUGGAAAACGUUUAUACCAACGCCAUAGAAGCAACGGAAAGGAGGGCCUUGUUGGAGAUCUGCCCUUAUGAGCCUGGAAGCGAGCUAAACAAUUGGACUGCUGAAGAAAUCCCUGUAGUCUUUAGGGCUUAUUCAGAGUAAUGCUCAAAACAUUCCUGUUGUUUGUUGGCCUAGAAACGAUAUGAAAUCUUUUGUGAAAUAGGCAUUGGGCCUAAAUAUCAUUAUUUUAAUGAAAUACGUGUCUACGUUCAUCUCGAUCAGUCACUUUUUUUUCCUUUCAUAUUUUUCAUUUGGUUGAUUGUCUUACAAAUAAUUCUUUCAUUUGUAAUUCUUUUGCACAAACAUAUUCAUAAAUUUAUAUUCUUGGUAUAUUCUUUGAUGCGCCCUCAUAGGUCUUCAGAUAUCAAUGACAUGAGUGACGCUGCCUCAAACACGGAGCCUAUUUUUGAGCAAAAAGUGUGUUCAGAGGGAUCCCACGACUUUGACGAAGAUUAUGAUGCAUCUCCGGACUUGUUAAGAAUGAUGGAACAAGAGGAUAAGCAUAUCCUACCUCAUAGGGAAUCGUUAGAAAUAGUGAGCCUAGAGGAUGGAAAGGAGGUGAAAAUUGGAUCUGAAAUCACCGCAAAGACAAGGCAAGACCUCAUUAAUUUGCUCCGAGAGUUCAAGGAUGUUUUCGCGUGGUCGUACCAAGAUAUGCCUGGGCUAAGUACUAACAUUGUGGUGUAUCGUCUGCCCAUAAAGGAGGAUUGUAAACCCGUUCAACAGAAGCUUAGGAGAAUGAGACCUGACAUUGUGUUGAAAAUAAGAGAAGAAGUCAAAAGACAAUUCGACGCUGGAUUCUUACAAGAAGUCAAGUAUUCGGAUUGGGUAGCCAACAUCGUCCCAGUUCCCAAAAAAGAUGGAAAGGUACGAAUGUGUGUGGAUUAUAGGGAUUUAAACAAGGCUAGUCCAAAGGACAACUUUCCACUGCCUCAUAUUGAUACUUUGGUAGAUAACACGGCGGGCUAUUCAUUGUUUUCUUUCAUGGACGGUUUUUCUGGAUACAAUCAAAUAAAGAUGCAUCCUGGAGACAUGAGGAAAACCACAUUCAUUACCUUAUGGGGAACAUUCUGUUACAAGGUAAUGCCCUUCGGAUUGAAGAAUGCGGGAGCAACAUAUCAAAGAGCUAUGGUGACUUUGUUUCACGACAUGAUGCACAAAGAGAUCGAAGUCUAUGUUGACGAUAUGAUCGCGAAGUCUAGAACGGAAGAAGAGCAUGUUCAGGUCUUGAAAAAGUUAUUUUUGAGAUUAAAGAAAUUUCAGCUCAAGCUUAACCCGGCCAAAUGCACGUUUGGAGCCAGAUCAGGGAAGUUAUUAGGCUUCAUAGUUAGCAAAAAGGGGAUCGAGGUUGACCCAGACAAAGUAAAGGCAAUACGAGAUUUACCUCCCCCGCGCACUCAGAAGGAGGUUCGAGGUUUCCUAGGGAGGCUGAAUUACCUUGCUCGGUUCAUCUCAUAACUGACAGAGAAAUGUGAUCCAGUAUUCCGGCUCUUAAAGAAACAUAAUCCGGGUGAAUGGGAUGAAGAGUGUCAGAGGGCUUUCGAUAAGAUAAAGCAGUACUUGGCUAAUACCCCAGUCUUAUCACCUCCAAGUCCAGAUAGGCCAUUGAUAUUGUAUCUAACAGUGUUGGAGAAUUCCAUGGGAUGCGUAUUGGGCCAACAUGAUGAGAUAGGAAAGAAAGAAAGGGCAAUAUACUACCUCAGUAAGAAAUUUACCGAUUGCGAAAUGAGGUACUCAUCAAUUGAGAAGUUGUGUUGCGCUCUAAUCUGUGCAACCCGAAGACUGAGGCAGUAUAUGUUGUAUCACACGACUUGGCUGAUUUCAAAGUUAGAUCCUUUAAAGUAUAUGAUGGAAUCGACUGCUUUGAACGGGAGAAUGGCUAGAUGGCAGAUCUUGCUCUCAGAAUUUGAUAUAGUAUAUGUCAGUCAGAAGGCCAUAAAGGGAAGUGCAAUAGCCGAUUUCCUAGCUAGUAGAGCCUUGGAGGACUAUGAAUCUUUGAAUUUCGAUUUUCCAAACGAGGACUUGAUGUAUGUGGCGAAUACUGAAGAAAAUCCUUAAAUGGAUCGCGUAUGGAAGUUAAAUUUUGAUGGAGCUUCAAAUGCUACGGGUAAUGGAGUUGGGGCAGUUUUGGUAUCCCCAAGUGGAGAUCAUUAUCCUGUUGCUAGCAAGUUGGACUUCGAUUGUACAAAUAACAUGGCAGAAUAUGAAGCAUGUAUUAUGGGCAUUCGUGCAGCCAUUGAACGGAACAUCAAAGUACUGAGAGUAUACGGGGAUUCAGCGUUGGUGAUAUACCAACUCAAAGGGGAGUGGGAGACUAGGGAUCCUAAGCUAAUCGGUUAUAGAAAACUAGUUCUUGAAUUGGCUGAGGAGUUUGACGAUAUCACCUUCUAUUACCUCCCACGGGAGGAAAACCAAAUGGCUGAUGCUUUAGCUACUCUAGCUUCGAUAAUUCAGGUGAAUAGACUUGAGGCAAUGAGGCCUGUUCAGAUGAGUAUCUCUGAGACCCCGGCUAAUUGCUGCAAUAUUGAGGAGGAGGGAAAAGAUGAUUGUCCUUGGUAUCAGAGUAUCCUACAAUAUGUGAAGAAUCGGGAAUACCCUGAUCAAGCGACAGAGAAUGACAAAAGAACUCUGAGAAAGAUAGCCAUUGAAUAUGUCUUAGAUGGAGAAGUGUUAUAUAAAAGAAGGAAGGAUCAAGUACUGUUAAGGUGUGUGGAUGCUGUGGAAGCCAAGAAAAUUUUGGAAGAAGUCCAUGAGGGUAUUUGUGGGACGCACGCCAGUGGUUUCACGAUGGCCAGACAGAUCAUGAGAUUUGGGUACUAUUGGCCCACCAUGGAAGGAGAUUGUAUUGAUUAUGCCAGGAAGUGCCACAAAUGCCAAAUUUACGGAGACAAAAUGCACGCGCCCCCUUCACCUCUUCACGUCAUGACCUCUCCUUGGCCGUUUUCCAUGUGGGGUAUGGAUGUUAUUGGGCCAAUAUCACCAAAGGCUUCUAAUGGGCAUCGCUUCAUCUUCGUAGUAAUUGAUUACUUUACUAAGUGGGUGGAGGCUGCUUCAUAUGCAAAUGUCACGAAAGCAGUAGUCAGCAAAUUCUUGAAGAAGGAGAUCAUUUGUCGAUAUGGAAUGCCUGAGAGGAUCAUAUCCGACAAUGCGAUGAACUUGAAUAAUAGCACAAUAGCUGAAGUUUGUAGCAAAUUUAAAAUUAAGCAUCAUAACUCAUCGCCGUAUCGUCCCAAAAUGAAUGGUGCAGUGGAGGCGGCCAAUAAGAACAUUAAAAGGAUUGUGGGGAAAAUGACUGAAACCUACAAGGAUUGGCAUGAGAAAUUAUCAUUUGCUCUCCUUGCCUAUCGAACAUCUGUUAGAACUUUUACUGGGGCAACGCCUUUUUCUCUGGUUUAUGGAAUGGAGGCAGUAUUACCUAUUGAAGUUGAAAUCCCUUCUCUACGGGUGUUAUCUGAGCUACAGUUGGAUGAAGCCGAUUGGAUCCAAUCUCGGUACGAUCAGUUGAACCUAAUAGAAGAAAAGAGGCUAAGAGCUAUUCACCAUGGGAAAAUGUACCAGAAACGAAUGAUGCGAGCCUAUAAUAAAAAGGUUCGCCCCCGAGAAUUUCGUGAAGGGGACUUGGUACUAAAAAAGAUUCUUUCUAUGCAAAAAGAUUUUAGAGGAAAAUGGAUGCCAAAUUGGGAAGGCCCUUAUGUUGUAAAGAAGGCCUUUUCUGGUGGAGCUUUGAUCCUAUGCGAGAUGGAUGGCAAAAGUUUACCAAAUCCUGUAAACGCAGACUCCGUCAAGAAAUACUUCACUUGAAAGAAAGGGGAACCAAAGUGAAAACCCGUGAAGGGCGCUUUGCUUCCUAAAAAAAAAAGAAAAAAAAAAACUUUGGGGAGGCUAAGGUGAAAACCCGUAAAAGGCACUUUGAGACCAAAGAGGGCUGGAGUCGAAAACCUGAAAAAGGUGACUCAAGUACUGGGCAGGAUUGGAACAUCAGGAUUUGAGCGGAUCAAAUUUUGAUCGGGGGCAUAUGAUUAUCUUGCUUUACUUGAACCAAUAAGAAAGGAUAUGCAACGUCUUGGAACAUGGACAGAGUAUUCCAGAUCUCCUGAACACAUGUCAAACUCAGAAGGGUCUUCGGAAAGUUUGUACAGAGAAACUCAAGCUGCGAUAACUGGGGCACCUAGUUCUUAUGUGUAUUCUUGAAAAUACAUUUUUUUAUUUUCUUUCUUUCUUCCUUUCUUUUGGUGAAAACGCACAUUCUCAAUCCAUUUCUUUGUUACCUUGCUUUCGCCAUCUUUGAUGUUUUAUUCGAGUUAUGAUCAGAACUAGCUUUAUUCUUAUCCAUUGUUAUGAUCUUUUUGCAAACAUGUUGCAUAGGAAUAAUGAUUAACGAACUAAUAAAACUUUCAGGAAAGAAGUUUUGCACAUUACUCUGGAAAAUUUCUAAAUAAUAUAGGGACCUGAAUCAUGACUAUUGUUUAGAAAAUACCAAGUUUAAAGGGUGAAAUAUCUAAGAAGGAAGAGUCUAAUUUAAAGACUAUCCUUUCAGAUUUUGUUGUCUAAACAUUGAUUGAACAAAAUGACAAGCUGUCGUGUUACAAAGCUUAAAUGAACAAGCAAGCAAUGAUCAUCAGGCAAUAGGAAGAGGUUACCUCGGAGAAGAGAGCCUUCACUUGCGCAUAAGACUUUGGUACGACACCUUGAGAAUGGUGUAGGAAACCAGAACGGUUCAGAUCCUAUAUCCCCGAAUUGUGAUAAAAGAGGACAGAGGAAAAGCCACAUAUUUCUACCCUUAGAUUACUGUGAGAGAAUGAUGGUACAAAUUUUGGCGUCCCAGUGGAUAUAACUUUGAGGUUUACAAUGGGGACAGUCUGGCUAAAUGUUUCUUCAGAAAAAAAAAUCAGUCAAGCGAGAAGGCGUUGCAGCACGUCAGUCACAAAGCCUUAGUAAACUUCGAGUAAUGACAACCUAAGCGAGAUCAUUCUCGGAAAAAUAAAAUUCUGCAUUCAUGCGAACACCAUUCACAUAUGUCUAGUUAGGAGCAUUUGUUUCAUUUUGAUCAUGUCAUCCUAAUCAUUAGGCAUAAUUAGGUUUAUUAUACAGGUCUUAUCUCCCUGAGAUUACAGUGGAACAGACCAAAGAAUUUCAGAUCCUAUCUCCCUGAGAUUACAGUGGAGCGGAUUAAAAUAAAGGAUCUUAUCUCUCUGAAGUUACAGCAGAGUAGAUCGCAUCAAGUCUUAUCACCCUGAGGUUACAGGGGAGUAGACCGAAGAAUUUCAGAUCUUAUCUCCCUGAGGUUACAGUGGAGCAGAUUGAAGCCAGAGAUCUUAUCUCUCUGAGAUUACAGCGGAGUAGAUUGAAGCUAGUAAUCCUAUCUCUCUGAAGUUACAGUGGAGCGGAUUAAAAUAAAGGAUCUUAUCUCUCUGAAGUUACAGUAGAGUAGAUCACAUCAGAUUGAAGCCAGAGAUCUUAUCUCCCUGAGAUUACAGUGGAACAGACCGAAAAAUUUCAGAUCUUAUCUCCCUGAGAUUACAGUGGAACAGACCGAAAAAUUUCAGAUCUUAUCUCCCUGAGAUUACAGCGGAGUAGAUUGAAGAUAGUAAUCCUAUCUGCCUGAGAUUACAGUGGAGUGGAUUAAAAUAAAGGAUCUUAUCUCUCUGAAGUUACAGUAGAGUAGAUCACAGCAGACAAAACCACAGAUCUUAUCUCCCUAAGCAGUUAGUGGAACAGAUCACAUCAAGUCUUAUCUCCCUAAGUAGUAGUGGAGCAGACUAAAAACACAAAUCUCAUCCCCAUGGAGUCGUAGCAAAGUAUAUUGAAGCUACAAGGCGUAUCUGAACUUGAAGUAGAGUGGAUCGAAGCAACAAGAUGUAGCAGGCUGGAAUAAGGCUACUUGAAGAAGAGAAGCACCCAAAGAAGUCAAGCCUCGGUGAGACCAGGCAAAUUUGGUCUUUUUUAGUCUUUGCUCUGUUCUUGUUACACAAAAACGAGCAAAGAGGGGCAGCUGUAGAAGCCCAAAUUUGCCGGGCCCAUACCAACAAAAUAACCCAAACAAUAAACCCGAAGCCCAACUACCCCAGCCCAUUAACCUAAGCUCAGCAUUCAGAAACCCUAAUCCCACUAACCCUAGCCACCUACCCCCCACUUGCCCACUUGCCCACUUGCGCCGAACACCACCAUGCCACUGUCGGCCAUGGCCACCUGCAAGAAGCCAAGUAGAAAUAAACAAAUAGAAAAUAAACAUUUGUAAUCGGUUAUAAAAACCGAAAAUCUCACCAUUGAUAAAGGGGAUUUUUUAUUUUUUGCUAUGAAAACAAAAGAUUUUCUUUCAAUAUUAACAGAUUCAAUACAAGAACCAUUCGAAAAUAUAUAUACUAUCAGGGGCUCUAACACCAAAUCGGAGAAUCAAAUCUAAAACCUAAGGUGACUCUUUCUUUUUUUUUUCUUUACUGUUUUGAGUUUAUUUUCUACAUAAAAAUACUAAAAAAUAUUAAAACAUAAAAAUAUAUGCAUUAUUAAGCAAAAAAAAAGAAAAAAAGAAAAAAAAUAUUUUUUUUACCUUUUCCGGCCACCGCGUGCGGUGGCCGGCGCCGGCGCCGGCGAGCCUCCGGUGGCCGUCCGGUGACCGGCCCCCUGGCCGGAUUCCCCUUUCCCCCUCCCUUCUCUCUCCCUUCUCUCUUCCCUCUCUCUCUUCUUUUUUUUUCUUUCCCUCUCCCCAAAUGAUUUUUUUUGGCUAUUUUAGGCCUUUAUAUAGCCCUCCAAAACGACGUCGUUUUGGGGGCUACACUUAAGCCUCAAAACGACGUCGUUUUGACCAUUGCCCGACCCAUCCGACCCGACCCGCUAGAGGAUCCGCGUGUUUUCGUUUGAAUGGGAUAUUUAUGCGCCCAGUCCUUCCGCUUUUUCAAGGUUUUGCAGUUAAGUCAUUUUUCUUGUUUCCAAUUUGGCCCCAUAAUUUCUCAUGCUUUUCGAUUUAGUCCCCGCUAAUGUGCUGUGUUUUAAUGGAAUGGAAUAAUUGUUGUUUCGGUCCCCCUAUGUUUUGUGCGCGCUCAAAUAAGCCCAUUUCUCUUUAUUUCCUUUCACAUUUGCCCCACAACUUUGUUUUUAAUUCAAUUUUAGUCCUUUUUCGUUUAUUUUUAUAUCUUUAUUAAAUAUCAUUGUUAUUUUAUAUUAUUAGUAUUAUUAGUAUUACUAUUAUUAUUAUUAUGUAUUAGUAUAUAUUUUUAUUAUGUACGCGUAUACAUGUAUAUAUAUUUUCAUAUUUAAUAUUUUUAUUUCAUUUUUUUCUAAUAUUUUAUUAUAAUUUAUAUAUAUAUACAUAUACAUAUUCUUUAUUAUUUAAGUAUAUAUUUUUUAUAUUUCAUAUUUUCUACAGGCAUAUAUAUACUUAUAUAUUUACAUAUUUUAAUUCAUAUACUUAUAAAUGUAUGUACAUACUUACGUUAUUUUAUUUUUAUAAUAUACAUAUUUAUAUUUUUUUGUCUUUAUGUAAUAUAUAUACAUACAUGCGCAUGUUAUUUUUAUAUAUGUAAUUAUGUUUUCAUAUUUUAUACUUCUUGUACAUACACAUAUAUAUAUGUAUAGACAUACAUAUUUUCAUUAUAUAUAUAUACCUACAUAGUUUUUUUUUUGUAUUUUAAAUCUUUUAAAAUUCAUACAUGCAUUUUUAAAACUUUUAUAAUUUUAUUCAUUUCUUUAUUAUUAUUAUUGUUUUACUUUAUGUUUAUCUAUUUAUUUAUGUGUCCAUUAUUAUUUUUUUUAAAAAAUGUUUUAGUUUUUUUUAUUUUGUUUAUUUACUUGUUAUUGUAUAUAAUUGAUUUUUUAUAUAUUUAUUUUUGUUAUCUUCGCUCGUAUUAUUUUUACUCGCAUUAUCGUAAUUGUUAUUCCGUCACAUCAAUUUUUACCCAAAUUCGUAAAAAAGGGAAAAUUUUGGAAAUAAAGGCAAUACUCGAUACUUGGGAUCUUCGAGAGAAUUGGGCCCUAACGUGCUGGGUUCUAAUUUUCUGUUGAAUCUAAAUGCUCGAGAAUGCUCUUUAAUAUAAAACAUAAAUAAAAACUCAUUAUCGGGAUUUCAAUAUGUUGUGUCCUAACGCAUUGGAUAUGACAUGUGGUUUUCUCGAUAUGAGGAUUUUUUUUUUUCGAAAGUAAAGACAAUAUUCCGUAUUUAGAAAAUUCGAGAAAAUCAUGCCCUAACUUACUGAGCUUCGAUUUUUCUCGUUGAUUCUAAGUAAUCGAAUAUCCUUUUAAAAUUAAAAUAAAUGAGGUUUAAAUAAAAAAAUGAAAGGCAAGUUUACUCUCGAAAAUACGAGGUGUCGUGUCCUAACUUACUGGAUGUAACAUCUUGUUACUUCGAGAUAAAGAGGCAUUUUCCAUUUUGAUUUAUUCGAGUAUUUUUAAAAUAACACGAUAUAAGGAGGGAUCAUAUUUUUAAGAUUCUUUUCGAGUUUUUAAUUUUCGACACUAAGACACUAAUUAAUCAACUAGGUACCAAUUUUGGGCGUAUCGAGGGUGCUAAUCCUUCCUCGUGCGUAACCGACUCCCGAACUCAUUUUUCUGAAUUUCGUAGACCAAAAUCGUUGUUUUAAUAAAAUUAAAUCAUUUAUUAAAAACAACCACUUUUUGAGGUGACCCGAUCACACCUCAUCAAAAAAGGAUUGGUGGCGACUCCCAAUUUCGUUUCAUUUUCAAAAUCCAAGUUGACCCCGUUUUCAUCCAAAAAAUGGUGUCAACAAAAUUUUCUUUAAUAUAUUCACUAUAAGAGCCAAUAAUAUUUAUGAAACUUAACAAAACAUUAUGACUAAUGAGAAAUAAAGAUAAAAUUAAAAAAAGAAGAAGCAAUAAUUGAAUCGAAAUUACAGCACUUGGAAGACUAAAUUUGCAAUCAAUCGAAAACAUGAGGACUAAAACCAUAAUUAAACACAAUGGUUCAAACAUUCAAAUUCAGAUAAUGGAAACGUCGCCGUUUAACUAUGAACCAAAUUGAAACCAGAUUAAAUCAUACGGUAUAAAUCGAAAAAUUGCAGAAAAUCGAAUUAGAACAAUACAAGAUAAAAGAGGACUGAUUGCGGAAAUAGUCCAAUGAACCAGAAUGCGCGGAUCCUGCCCCGGGUCGGGUCACCGCGUGGGUCCAAGGACGCUAAACGGCGUCGUUUCUUUCACACUAUAUAAGCUAAAAUAAACCUAAAACCUAAAGCUCUCAGUCAUUUUUUAAGAAAAAAAACCUAAAAGAAAACUAAACUCCUGGCGCCGCUUCAGCGUCGAAAACCCCCCUCGCCUAUUCAAUCUUGGCCUGAACGGGGGAGGGAUUCGGCGACUCACCGAUCCAGGUAAGGUUUCUGAACUGUCCUCCCUUUUUAUUUUAUAUAUAUGCUUAUAUAUGUGAUUACUAGCAAACAGAAAAAAAGAAAAAGCAAUCGGAAAAGGAACAGAACCGAAAAGAGGAAAAAAGAAAACCUUUUUUGUAUUGAUUUCGUUUUUUUUUUAUACAGUCUCCCCUUCCGGAGUACAUGAGAAAAUAAGGCUCUCAUAGCCCGAAAAAUAAAAAAUAAACCCUCUUUUCUCCUUUUUUCUUUUGUUGUUAUCGUUUUUUGCUUUUUUUCUUCUUCUUUUGCUGUUGUCUUGUUAUUUGCUGCAGGUACGGGUACGCGUGACGUGGCUCAACGCGUAUGGAGGCAGAGGCUGGCGUGGAGCGGCUCGGAGGCGUGGCUGCAGCGCUGGAGGCUGAAUGUUGCUAGGGUUUGCUGCUGUGCAUUCUGGUGUUGGGCCAUUUGGGCUGAGUUGGUUUGCUGGGCUUAGAAUCAGGUUUAGGUUUGGGCUAGGGUCUAGGCAAAUUGGGUUUGGUGAAUUUUUUUGUAAUUUGGACUGUUAUUUUAUUUGUUUUUUUAUUAUUUAUUUUAAUAGCGGGCUGGGCAAAUUGGGCCUAUUACAAUAUAUAUAACCAAAUUUUGUAACACCCAUUUUAUGUUAAAAAUAUUUUCUUUAAAAUUAAGUAUAGGUUGGGUGGUAAAGUACUUAUAUUUUAAUACUAGUAAAUACAUGUUCAAUCUUUAGAUUUAUAAUUUAUAAUUCUUUUAAUUAAAGAUGAUAUACAAGUAUGAAAAGACAAAAGUGACAUAGUAAUAAUAUUAAUUAUAAAUUUUAUAAUUUCAUAAUUGAGUUGAUGACGUGGUUGAAGGUGGCACUAACUCUAAAACACUUAAAUAUAAUAAUAGCUUAAAAAUAAGGGGCUUUUGGAAAAUACAUUUCUGAGUUGGUGACCUGAGGGUCACACCAACUCAAUAAAACUCUUAAAUAUUGAUUACAAAUCCUAUCACACACUUAUGUGUAUCAAUAUCACAAAUUUAGAAUAUAAAGAUGUGUUUAAAAUUAACAUACAAUAAAGAAUGAAAUUUAUGGUUUGAAACUAAUUAGUAAUAACACAUGAAAUAUGUAUGAUAUUAAAAUGAAAAAAGAGAGAUUAAAUUGUGCAUAAAACAAAAUUUUAUCCUAUUACAUCAAUAAAGUUAUAUUUAUUACCCUCGCCAAUUAUUUGUCAUUAAGAACAUUAAAGUAUCCUUGAAUGAUAUAACUUAUUCUAAAUAGAGUUGAUGUAUGGUUGGCUUGGGAUACCAACUCAGUCAGGAGCUUAAGAUUAUUAAAAUAUUCUUAUUUUAAAGAGAAAUUAAUAUUAUUAUAAGAGCACGUUUGGUUCGUUGUAUUGGAUUAGAGGCGUAAUGGAAUAGAGGUGUAAUGGAUUAGAGGUGUAAUGGAAUAGAGGUGUAAUAGCAAAUCAACUGUUUGGUUAAAUGUAAUGGAAUAGAGGCGUAAUAGUAAUCUUGUAUUUGGUUGAAUGAAAUAGAGGUGUAAUAGCAUAAUGGGAAAAACUAAAAUGACUAGAAUACCCUUAGCAUAAAUUUGUUAAUGAUUAUUGUUAUUGUUAUUUAAAUUUUAAUAAGAUUAUUAUUAUCAAUAAUAAAUAAUUUAAUCAUAUUUAAACAUAAUUAUUAUUAAAUAUAUUAUAAUUAAAAUAUAUAAUUUAAUAAAAUUCUUAAUAAUCAAUAUUCUUAUAUGAAUUUACUCAAAUCAUAAUAUAUGAUACUAUAAAAUUUAAAUUAACAUAAUUAUUAUUAAAUAUAUUAUAAUUAAAAUAUAUAAUUUAAUAAAAUUCUUAAUAAUCAAUAUUCUUAUAUGAAUUUACUCAAAUAAUAAUAUAUGCUACUAUAAAAUUUAAAUUAACAUAAUUAUUAUUAAAUAUAUUAUAAUUAAAAUAUAUAAUUUAAUAAAAUUCUUAAUAAUUAAUAUUCUUAUAUGAAUUUACUCAAAUCAUAAUAUAUGAUACUGUAAAAUAUAAAUUAAAAUAAUAAUUAUUACAUAUAAUUUAAUAAUAAUAUAUAAUUUAAUAAAAUUCUUAAUAAUUAAUAUUCUUAUAUGAAUUUACUCAAAUCAUAAUAUAUGAUACUAUAAAAGAUAAUUUGAAAUAAUUAUAACUAAUAAAUUAUAUUUUAUGAAUUUGUAUAAUUUAAAAUAAUAAUUAUUACAUAUAAUUUAAUAAUAAUAUAUAAUUUCAUAAAAUUCUUGAUAAUAAAUUUUCUUAUAUGAAUUUAUACAAUUUAAAAUAAUUAAUAUUAAAUAUAAUUUAAUAGUGAUAUAUAAUUUCAUAAAAUUCUUAAUAAUAAAAUGUUCUUAUAUGAAUUUACUAAAAUCAAUAUAUAACUUGAGAAUUAUAUUCUGCAUAAACAUAAUUAACUUAUAUUAAGAAAAGGUUAGAUGAAAAUGAAAUUCUACAUCAUAAUCCAUAUGUUAUAUAGUUUUACAACAUCAAAAAGUUUGAACAUUGAUAUUUAAUGGUGAGAAAGAAAUCUUCUGACCCAUUCCAAUCGGGCAACAGAAGGUAAACUAAAGAAAACGAUCAUUUGAGUUGGAUGAUCUGGAAUUUUACUCAAAGCAUCAUACCGCUGAUCGUCAGUUAAACCUUCAAUUGACCAUAGGGCUGAAUAUAAAUUUGAAGCUUUCUCUUCCAUCUUUUGAUAUUCUUCUGACUUCUGCUGAACUACCACCUCGAAGGCAAUACUCCUACUGAUUUGAUCGCCAACGGCCUGGAUUUUUUCCCCCAACAAAGUGGCAGCCUCAUCAAAUGAAGAAUACACAUUAUCACGAGCAUCAGAUUUCUUCUUUCUCUUGUUUGAAGAUGAGGAACCCCCUUGGUCUCUAUCUCCUCACGGAUCUGUACCAGAAACAUCCAUGUCGUCUAAAGAGACGUCAGCUUCGCAGUCAUAGAAUGUGUUUCUCUCUUCAUUCAUAUCUGUAGUACGUACAUCCUCAGCAUGUAUUUCUUCAAGAACAUCAGCAGCUGUUUGAGCGUCUUUCCCAGUUGCUCGAUCUCUUGCUUAUAUGGUAGUAAGCUGGUCAUAGUAAGAGAAAGUACGAUAUUUGAAUUGAGUGGCUUCUCUGUGACUCUAAAAAAAAUGAGGAAAUCAUAUUAGUCAUAAGUUUGGUAUAAAUAAGAUAAUAAAGACUUGAAAUAAUCUUACCUUUAAAUAGGACUCCCAAACCGUAUCUUCAGCAACAACGAGCUGCCUAUGCUCGUCCCAACCAAAACCGCUAUUGUUUUGGCCAUUAAGCAUGUCAUAAACGAUUGACCACUCCCUUUUUAGUAACCUAACCCUUGAUUCAAUAUUAGGUUUCGCCUUCAACAUUGCAUUUAGUAAAACCGUUUGUAGCAUUCUUUCCAACUCGUUCAAAUAACCGGCUUUGAACCCGGUAUCAGCAUUAAAUGUUCCAACAUUGUGCAGGUCCACCAUGCAGGAAACUAAUGCUGCAUCUUCUUCUGGAACCCAUUUUCUUUUGCUUCCUCGAGAAGCUUGAGAAGAAGCAUUUGAUUCUGGAACACCUGACAUAAUGAUCUUAAGAACAAAAAAAAAACAAAUUAUAUUAAUUACUAUUUUAAUAUCAUGAUUCAAAAGGUCAACACUAUAUAAAAUCUAAGGAAUUAAGUUGAAUAUCAUGAAUCAAAAGCUCCAUACCACAAAAAAUUUAAAAUUAUAACACAUGCUGAAUUAGAAGAAAUUAUAUUAUAAUUCAACAAGUUUAGUACAAUACAAAAAUCAAUACAAAAGUUUCACAAACUAAUUUCUAGAUGCUUGCCAUUCAUCGAACAUUUGGUUGGCUAGUUCCAUCCUCCAAGUAGCCCAAGCAUCUGAUGGAUGAAUAUUUGUGAUAUUCGGUUCAUCGUCAUCCACCACAUUAAUUGUAGGUAAUCCUUCUCCCACCUCCGCUUCAAUGGGAUCAAUACUCAUAUGGGUUCGAAUAAAAUUAUGGAGCAAACAACAUGCAAUAAUAAUUCUAUUGUGCACCCUUACAGGAUAGAACGAUGGACUCCUAAGUAUUCCCCAUCUAAGUUUUAAUAAGCCAAAGCAUCUUUCAAUAACAUUACGUGCUGAGGCAUGUUUCAUAUUAAAAAACUCUUGCGGAGAACUUGGCUGAUAACCCUGACGCCACUCGUUCAAAUGAUAUCGCUGUUCUCUAAAUGGUGCAAGAAAUCCCUCACAAUUUGUGUAUCCAGCAUCAACUAGAUAAUAACAACCUAUAAAAUAAAUUUUUUUUUAAAAUGAUUAAUUCAGCACACAAAGUUUACUAAAAAAAUAAUUCAAAGUCCUCUAACUAUACACUUUACCAUGAGGAACUUUUAAUCCAUGUCUUCUACUAAUGGCAUCUCGAAGAACCCGUCCAUCAGCAACUAAACCUUCCCAACCAGGAAGAACAUAAACAAAUUGCAUCUCAGGUGUACAAACACCUAGCAUAUUUGUUGCUAUGUCACCUUUUCACGUUCGAUAUCUAGGUUUAUCAACUGUUGGAACCCUAAUCUUGAUGUGGGUUCCAUCAAGAGCACCUAAGCAAUUCUAUAUCACAUGAUAUAAAACCUUGAGUUAGAAUACUAAUUUAAAUCUAAAUCAAGUAAAUGUUGUUGAAGAUAUAUAUAAAACUUAGUCCAAUACCUUAAACCAUUUCCACCUUGUGUCAGAAGAAUCAGCUGUAAUUAGCUCUGGCUUUUUAAAUAACACAUCUUGUAAGCGUAUGACAGCAUUUAAAACACUAUGAAAUGCUCUGCUAACAGUUUCCCCGGACCUUCUAAAGUGAUGCUUGAUAACUCGAUUUUUCAGGUGAUGGGAGAUGAUAAGUAAAAACAUUGCUACUUGCUCGUCAACAAGCAUGAACCUUGUCGACUUCAAUCCCCUAUCGAUUCUAACAUCUCACAUUGUUUAAAAAAGGCAGCUCUAUUCAUCCUAACUUGUUCAAUACAGGUCUCGUCACUAGCAUAUACAAGCCUCUUCACAUAAUCCCGUUUUGCAUAAAAAUCUACGGUAUAGGACCUAAUCCUUGGUCUAUGUAGCCUAAGGCUGGCACCCAUUCUAAAUAAGAACCAAAUCGCGAUUCUACAGAUUUCCAACCAUAUUGUCACAGCAAUACCAAUUCUUUUACGCCUCACACUUUGUGCAAUUAAAGGCAGACGAGCCAUUACUGCAACAUUUAGAACACACAUAGUUUAAACUCACGAAUUUAGAACACACGAUAGUUUGAACAUUAAUUAGUUUGAACAUUUCAUUUCGUAUAAAUAUAUUGAUUAGUUAAUUAAAGCAUGUUCAAUGUUUGAACAUUGAUAGUUUGGACAUUUAAAUUUAAAUUUAAAUAUAAUUUCGUAUAAUGAAAUUUAAGAUUUAAUAAAGGUGAGUAUCAAAGUUUGAUCAUUGAAUAAUCUUUUUUAUUGAUGAUUAGUUUAAUUAAGGUUUUCUAAUUUCAAAAUAAAUAAAAUGAAGAAUGAAGAUUUGGUUUAAUAAUGAAGAUUUGGUUUAAUAAAUAAAAUGAAGAAUGAAGAUUUGGUUUUCUAAUUUCAAAAUAAAUAAAAUGAAGAAUGAAGAUUUGGUUUAAUAAUGAAAAUGAAGUUUUAAAAUUUUUAUAACAUUUUAAAUGGUAAUUUUAUUUUGUAAAAAUAUAUAUAACUUUUAUCUCAUUUACAUGUACAAAUUAAUAUUAACAGUAUUGUAUUUGCAAUUAUGAUUGGAAAGAUUGAAAUCUAGUAUUGUAUUUACAUGUACAAAUUAAUAUUAUUUAAGCCCAUUAUUUGUAGGCAUAAUGCUCUUUAAGAUUGAACAUAAUUAAAGGUUGAACAUAAUUAUUAUUAUUUGAAUAAUAUCAAUUAAAGGUUGAACAUAAUUAUAUAUUAGUAUCAAAUUUGUAUGUACUCUUUAUAUGUACUCUUUCACUAAUAAAUUAUAUAUCAAAUUUGUAUCACAUUGAUUUUAUGUACGCUUUCAGUAAUAAGUUAUAUAUUAGUAAAAAGUUGGUGCAUUGGUACACCAAAUAAUUUGAAUACAUACUACUUUCUUUAAAAAAAAUGUUACCUAUUAGUAAAAACAUAUAACCUAUUUGGGAAACAACAAAAGCUGUAAUGACCAUAAUUAUGCAAAUUGGUGAUAAAAAAGAACAAUAAUUAUGCAGCAAUAACCAUAACCAUACAAACAAAAGCUGUAAUGAGCAAUACAAACAUACAAACAAAACCAUAUUCAUUUGGGAAACAACAGAAGCAGCUACAGCAAUACAAACAUAACCAUACAAGGAAAACAUACUAAUAAACCAUGAAUACCAAUGGAAAACUAACCUGUAAUGAGCAAAUCGGGGACGACUGCGAUGUAGAAGUGUUGGAACAAAGAACCUGUAACCAGUAAAGGGAAAUCAAUGUUACAAAAAUAAUCAGUUUAUAAAAUUGAUCAUACACUUUACCAAAGCAGCCUCUCAUUUAGUAACCAGUCCUUUAGAUUAUUAAAUAUACCAACUUGGCAGCUUUGAAUAUAUAUGCAAAGCCAUUUUACUUUAAAAUACAUCCCUCCAUUUAUCCUCUUUAAUGUGGUUCACUAGCACCAAGGAAGGCUUAGCAAUGAGGACUUUACAUUCCCUUUCGAAUUUUAAAAUCCCAGGGUUUACCAUCACAAGAAGAUACAUCCUUAUUCAAUCACACUCACCAACUAUUAUGUAAUUACUAAAAAAUGCAACCAAAAUGGGGUUGGCCUAACAUAAAUCAUACACCACACCAUCAAUUGAAGGUUAAUUCAUGGUAACAUUAGUAUUGAAAGGUUGCGUUGUGGGCAGCCUAAGAGGACUCGCAACACUAGGCUUAAUUGCUGUAACAUAUCACAUUCGGAGGCUGGUUCGGACAGCAUCAAUAAUACAAUAUUUAGACAUCAUUAACAACGCAAUAUUCGAACAACAUCAAUACCACAAUCGGACAGCAUAAACAGGGCAGCAAUUAACAAUACCAACAAGGUAAAAUUCGGACGGCAAUUUAACAGUUUCAACAAUUAUCAAACACAAGAAAAUAGAAGUUCAAGGAAAACUCGCCAAGGUUCCCAACACCAAUUUUACCUAUUUAAUUUACUUCUUCCCUUUUCCGCUACAGCCUUCUCCCACCUUGUUAGCUAAAUACAAUGAACCCAAAAGUUACAAAAAUGGUGUAUAACAACUCAAGCAUUCACUAAAUUCUUUUAACACAAGUGAGAAACUCCUCAUCUUCUAGACAUGCAACGUUUACAACUAGAAAAGAAACUCUUCUCUUCUCCCACACAUUCGGUCAAGCUCAAUUCAACAAUGCAACCAGAAUUUGUCAACGAAAAGCUAUGGGCAAGGGAGAGCUUAGAAGAGUUACAGUUCUACUUGAAAAUUUUAACUUCUAAGCAAGCAAAUUUCAUGGUUUUCCAGUACAUGUAGCCGGCCUCUCCUCUCUAGCUUCAUUUGAAAGAGACAAGGAAGCAAGAUAGAAAAAUAAAAAGUCGAAGUCUUUCUUUCUUACUUACCGUCCAUUUCUCCACCCUUUACCCAUCAUAAAAUGAAAUUUAGCCAAUCAACAAAUCUUAGCCGGCCACCAACCAAAAACCAAAAACCAAAAACCAUAAAAUGAAAAGAAUCAUGUAAAAGUUUAUUCAUACCUCAAAAACCAAACGCCGAGACCGAGAGAAGAAACGAUGAGGACUGAAUCAUCAACGAAAGCAGUGGGAAAUGGGAGGAGAAAUUAUGAGGACAGAAGAUGAGAGGGUCGGGUAGGGAGGGAGGGUAAAACAGAGAGUUGGGGAGGGAAGCCGGACGUAAUACCUAUUACUCGAUUUGGGAAGGGAUUAGAAAAGCAGGGAAUUUGGGGAUUAGGUCGGGAUUGUAUUACGCGCGUAAUACCUAUUACAGCGAACCAAACGCCAGAUUAGGGGCGUAAUGUAAUAGCCGCAUAAUCAGUCAGUAAUGGAUUACCUAAUACACUGAACCAAACAUAGUGUAAGUGUAUUUUCACCUUUUCAUACUUUGAUAUAAUCUUCAAGUAAAACGAUUGAAAAAUAUUAUUUGACGACACAAGACUAAAAAAAUUCAUAUAGAAAAUGCUUACCACUCCACUAGUAAUCAUUUGUCAAUGUAUUUUUGGUAAAAAGACCUCUCCAAUCCCUCUUAAUUUCACAAUUGCGCAAAUUAGUCCCUCUCAAAAAAUUAAAGCAAUUUAAUCCUUAUCAAUUUUGAAAGUGAGUAACUAAGGAUAAUUAAUUAUGGUGUUAAAUUCUUCCAUCAAUUGUACAUAAUUUUGAUUGGUAUAGUAAUAAAUUUAGCCUUCAAUGUUUAUAUAUUUUGUCAUUUUGGCCUUAAUUUUUAAAAAAAUUUUAAGAAAUUCAACCUCAACAUUUACAAUUUACACAAACGUUGCGGGAAAAUUUUGUUAAAGUAAGACCAGCUAAAUUUAUUAUUAUACCAACCAAAAUCAUGUACAUUUUAUGAAAAAUUAACAUCCUGAUUAAUUAUUCUUAAUUGCUCACUUUCAAAAUUAAUAGGGACUAAAUUGCUCUGAUUGUUUUAGGGUGACCAAUUUCCUCAAUUUGGAAAUUGAGAGAGACUAUUGAGAUCUUUUACAUUUUUUUUUAUAAAUAUAUUUUUUAAUAUAAAAUAUAUUUGUUCACACACAUCGUGUGUAUGAUAAAAUAUUUUUAUUGUUGAUUGAGUUGGUGUCAAAAAUUAACUUGACACCAACUCAAGAUUAAUGAUAACAAUAUGAUAAAUAAUUUAUUUAUUUAAUAUUUUUAAUUUAAGAUAUUGAUGUAAAUUUUAAGACAUGUAUGUCUUGUAGAAUUGUAAUUAUACUUUUUCAGUAUUGACUCAGUUUUCCACAAUUGUGGGUCUCUAUUUGAGCAAAACAAUUUCAACAUUUCUUCAUCUCGCUUAAUCCAAAUGCAUUUAGGAUUUUCUUAUAUCAUUGCUUCAAAAAGGGUAAAAAAAAACGUCGACAUUGAAUUUUCUGUUUCACAUUCAAUUUUUGGAUACGUAGAAUUUUCUAAUUUAUUUUCCAUCAACUUCACUUCAAUUUUCAGUCACAAUCAAUUGCAAUCAAGAGCACCACAUCUUUUUGGAUGAAACGAAGCUCUCAAUUUUAAGAUAAACGGGUCUUUAGGGUUAUUAAUUGAGGGCCUUUUCCACAAUUGCCAUCGUUAUUUGCGGGUGAUUGGGUUACGACAAUGGUUUGAAGUGAAGCUGUUUCAAAUGAAUAUGAAUACUCUACCAGUAAGUCAUAAUUUAAAAUUCAGGUUAUGUUUCAUUUCAACUAAGUUAAAUGUUAAGAUUGAAGUUAAACCUUUUAGAGGUUGCUCACAAAAGGAUCAAACCUUUAUAAAAGUGCUUAAAUGAAUGCCAAAUUUUUUAAAAUAGACAAAUAAGGCCCUAACCUUUUAAAAGGUGUUCAAAUAAGGGCUUCUCAAAUGUUGUAUAUCAGGUUAUGUGUUUUACUCUAAACAUAUCAGUAUUUACUAUUUUUUCUACAAAUUGGGUUGAAGUGCAUGAAAAAUUUUAUUUUAGCACUUUUGUAAAGGUUAAACUCUUAUUUGACAAUUUUGAAAGGUUUGAUCCUUAUGUGAGCAACCUUUAAAAGAUUGAGCACUAAUUUAACAAGUUGAGAAAUACCUAAAUUUGUUUUCAUGAACCAAGAAAUUAAAAAAAAAAAAAAAACAUGUUGAGAAAUAUUUUAGAGAUUCUUAGCCUUGACAAGUUCCCUCCACCAUCUCCCUGCCUCCAGUCCCACCUCUUCUCUUAUGCUCCUUCCAGGUUCUUGUUUUUUGUGUAUUGAAAAUUCGACGGAACAAAAUAUCAACCUACAUCAUAAGGCACGAAGGCCAGAACUUUACUUUCUAGCCCGUCCGAUCCAAUGAAAGAAGAACAAAGAGUAUUGAGAUCUGACAACUUUAUUUCAUUUUCAUUUUCUUUGUUAUUUUCUAUGUUUCAUGUCAAAUACAAUGGAAGAAGAACAUAGAAAAAUGUUGCCUAUUUAUUUCCCAAUCAUCAUGAAAUUACUUGCCAUAGUCUUAGAAUUUUCUCACCAAUUUUCAAGCAAUCUCACAUGAUUUCUCAAUCACAAUUAAUUGAAUUCAAGAUCUUUUUGGAUGACACAAACAUUUCAAUUUUAACACAAACCAAUAUUUAGGUUAUACUUCAGUGCUUGACAAGCACUUUCACAUUUGUGGGAUAAUAACUCUAGCAUUUUAGGAUCACAUUUAAUUCAAUUGCAUUUAAGACCUCAUGAUUUUAUUCUAUAAUUUGAGUCUUAUCAACCUUUUGGGAAAUAAUAAAACAUCGACAUUAAACUUGUUGUUGAUGCAUUCAAUUUGAUUUUUUGAGGGGUCGUUGGAGUUAUAUAUGACUUUAGCAUUGAUUGAUUUUUUUAGAAUUAAUCUUUUAUACCAAUUUAAUAACAUCGACAUGUUUUUGGGUAGGGUAGAACAAAACCCAAUUUAAACCGAUUAUAGUGGUUUAGUUGACUCGGUCAAGUCCAUUAGAUGGAUAAAAUCAAUUUUAAAAUCAGUUAUAAUGGAUUAAGGUAAUUAAUUAUCUAGUAAUGAAAUACAUAAUCAAAUCAGUUACGGAAUCCGCCAUGUUAGAUAAUAUGAACAUCCCAUAUAUAAUAAGAAAAAAUUACGUACGAUUAUUUAUUAUCAUAAAUGGUUAGCUUAAAUUUAAAGUAAUCUAAUAUUUUUAUUGAUCUUCAACUAUUAACUAAAGUAUAAGCUAAAUAUGUGUAAAUAUUCUAGAAAUCAUUUCUAAUUGAUGAUAGGCUAAUUCGGAAUUAAGAUUAAUAUAUAAAAACUAGAUAGUAGGGUUAUAGUCCUCAAACUACACCUAAUUUAGUUUUUCCGACAUAUUUUUGAAAAAAUAUCACCUUCUUUAAAAAAAAUUGGUACAAAUUUCAAAAAUUAAAACUAUCAAUAAAUUCAGAUAUAUUAAUAAGUACCAACUAAACAAUACUUAAAUAUAGAUGUGUUUUAUAAAAAAAAAUUAUCAGCUUAAAGAAGUUGCAACAAAAAUUUAAAAUUCAUUUAUCAAAUGAAUAUUUAAAACUUAUAAUCUAAACUCUGACAUAAUAAAAUACAUAAGCAUAACUUGGAUUUACCAAAAAUCUAUGAACUUUUCUAAAACUUAAAUUUUAGUCCCUAUACUUUAAUUUAGAGACAUUGAGUCACUAUACUUUUUUAUUUAAAAAUCUUGGUCCCUUCAUCAAUUUUAUCAUUAUAAUUGUUGAUUUACUUGUUAUAAAAAAGGUAGAAUAACUUUUUUAGCCUUAAACAUUUAUAGUUUUUAUUAAUUUGGUCCUUACUCUUUAAAAUUACAUAAAAAUUCAAAAAUAUUUUAAAAAUUAAAUUUUUUCGUAUUUUUAAAAACAUUUAUAGUUUUUUUUUGUGGUUUGGUAACUUAUCAACUCGACUCUUAAUUGUGACAAACUUUUUUGACCUUUUUCGUACCCUUAACCUAAGUCCCGCUACAACUUUCUAAAGACCUCUUGAUUGGUGUAUCAUCUCGAUUUGUUUUUAUAGUGGUGGAGAUUUGGUUUUGAAGCAAGCCUAUGAUAAUCACAUUUUUCAUUCAACUGUUGAGCACACAAUACUUGAACCUUAAACACUUAGAGUGCUUUGAGUGAAUCUUAGAUAGGGUAUUGAUUAUGGUUGAGUUUGAAUUUCAGGUAAUUAUUGAGAUAGAGGAGACGCCUAUGUUUUUUGUGCUUUACAAAUUUUUGCUUAGAUUGCUUUUAUUCUUUAGUGUUAUGCUAGUUUCAAUUUCUAGUGCGUGAUUAUCUGUAGAUUAUUCCUAAGGAAUUGUCGGUGAAAACAAUAAAUUGAGGGAGAUUAACUUGAAUAAGGGUUGAGAAUUUUGCUUAAGGACAAACAAAUGCUUAAGUGUGGGGAUAUUUGAUAAGUGCUAAAAUUAAUAUGUUUUAACAUCAUUCUUAAUGUGUUUUUGGUUGAUUAUUUGAUGUUAAUUAUGAAUUUUAUGCUCCUAAUUCGUGUUUUUAUGCUUAAUAGAACAUUUGGGAGGAAAAUGAGCUAAAAUGGGGGCAACUAUAGGACCCACACAGGCUGACCUAUUCCAUAUGACCAUGUGGGUCAUGUGGCAGGCCAUUCGAUUUCGUAAAUUUUCACUCUGAACUGCGAAAAAAAAACGAAUUUUAGGUUUUUCAAGCAUUUUAAGGCGUAUAUAUGAAAAACAUAAGAAUAUAGGAGAGAACCUACCUAGAAUAUUUAAGAAAACAACUCCAAAAACACCAUUGAAGUCGGCUCUGAAGUAGAUUUUCAUCAAGAUUGAAGAUUCCCAGUUGAUUUCUUAGGAGAUUAUCAUGAGUUUCUUUAUUUCUUUCGGUUAUACUGCCCUUUGGAUGUUUUUAUUUUUAAGCAUGAACUAAUUUUCUAAAUACCUAAGAGAGAUGAACCCUAUGAUAGAUUGUGGCACCCCAAACCCGAUCGGGAUAGACCGGCCCGAAUUCGAAACAUUACAUUAGCCACCUAAGUGACUCUCCAGCUAACGACCACCCAAGACACAACCCAACCUUAUAACACCUCAAUCUUGUUUAAUUAUUAGUUAUUUAUUAAUGUAGAAGUAAAUUAUGAACCAAUUUUAAACUUUUCCUAGGUAAUUUAACCUAAGGGCAAUUUCAUCAUUUUACCACCUAUUGUAAAACUAACCCGAUUUUAGAUCUAAUUGCUUAUCAACCUUUUAAUCAAAUUAUGGAAGCCUAAAAUUUUUAGAUUCAUUUGAGUUUGUUUACUAUGUCUAAUUCAAAUUUUAUUACUAGGGACUAAAUUGUAACUUAAACAAAUUAGAAUAUCAAUUUAAAGAGACAAAAAUUCAAAACCCCAAAACCUACACGGGCAUGUGGAGACUGGAGCUAUCACAUACGGGCAAGUGAGAUUGAAAAAUAUGAAAUAAAUUAAUCGACUUAUUUUUCCAACAACCAUGCUAUGCUACCAAACCAAAUAAUGCUUGAAGCUUUGAAUAGGGGCGAAUCUAAAAAAAAAAAAAAUAGAAGAAUUAUAAUUAAAGUAUACAAUUUUGAGAAGUUAUCAUGUAUUAAUUUAUUAUUUUUUAAAGGGUCUUAAUAGAAAUUUUUUCCCAUUUUGGUUGGGCCAAUACCCUUGUCUGCCUCUUUAAAUUUGCUUCAACCCUAAACCCAAUAUUCGAUUUGGAUUAACAAAAAUAUAUAGGUUAGUAUUUGUGGGAGUUUGACGAAUAAAAAUUUCUUUUCUAGAGGUUUAAAUUAUAAAUUUUUGAAAGAUUAAAAUAAAUUUGUAUUUUUUUAUUAACAAAAUAUAAAAGAAAAAAAACAUGUUUAGACAAGCCAAGAGACCUUUGGGAUCAUACGGGUGAUUUUGAGAUGUUAAUGGUUAUUUUGGUGGAGAGGGUGAAAAAGAAACAAAUGAUUCAUUAUAUAUAAUAUAAUUAUCAAAAUUCAAGCCAUAUAUUGUAUGUUUCAUCCAUAAAAAUUUGAUGGGAGGUCCAAAGGUAAUUAAAUGACUUGUGGGCUUGCUGAAUUUCUUUGAAAGGCCCAAAGGCAAUUUAACAUUCACAAAAUAAUCUCUAAACACUGUAAAGACAAAUCAAAUCCACAGUAGCAUAAGAGUUGAUUAAGCUAAGCAUUGGUAAAUAUUACUUUGAUUUUGCAUGCAAUAUUGACAAAACCCCCUCCUACAUUAGAAAAACAACAUAAUCCAUGGAACAUUGAUAGCCCAAUACAAAUUUAUUCGAGAAAAAAGUCUCUUUGUUUUGUAGAACAUGAUAGUAAAGAUGUGGAGUUUCGUUCUUCUUAUUGGCCUCCUUUAGUUUUCCUUGAUCAACAACCACUAGCCAAAAACACAAUUAGAUUAGAUUAUGAAUGAUACUUUCAACUAUGACAAUAUUAAAUACAAACCCACUCUAAAUAACUUUAAAUAAAUGGAAAGCAGCAAAUUACCUGACCAGGCAAGCUAGUUUAAUUAAGACCAUUGUGUUAUACUUGUCUCUGAAUUGAAAAAUUUAGAAGGAAAUAAAGAGAAAGACUUAGAAAAUACUUGAAAACAGAUAAAACUUAUAUGUCAUUUAAAAUAAAAUAAAAAAUUCUAUUUAAGCCAUUUAAAAGUUUUAAGAUUUUUAAAAUUUUAAAAUGAUAAAAGUAAAAUAAUACUUUGGCACCCAAAAAUGAUAAAACUUUGAUUUAAUUCUUUAGUAAUUAUAAAAAUAUAGGAUAUUAAAAUGGUGAAAUUACAUUUUUACUAUAGUAAAAAUUACAAUUUAAUUUCACCCCCUAAAAGGAUUUUUUGGCUUCGCCACUAAUAAAAUCUUUGGCAAAAGAUUAAAAUAAAAUUAUACCGUAAAUGGAAAAAGAAACUAAGAAAAUCCAAUCUAACAAAGAAAAUAACUUGUUGUAACCAAAAGCUACCAUAAACCGUAAUUCAUGGGAAGGCUUGUUGCUUAUUUUAUUGGUUUCCAUUUUGAUUUUGCAAAAGAAGUCAGAAUUUUGAAGAGAGCAAAAGAAAAAAAAGUUUAUAUGAUUAAAAUUCUAGAAUAGAUUAAAAAUGUUGAAUUAAAGAUAAAAUUAAGUGUACUCAUUACUCACCAUCUCUGUUAAAAAUGUUGGAUGUUGUUUAGCAACCUUUGUUUGAUUUUCUUCAGCUCAACCACAACAUCUUUCAUAUCUUUUCUUUCUUCUGGUAACUCAGCUGAACAAUUCAAAGCCAACUCCAUGAUAGAUGAAAUACAAUUUGCUUUAACAACCAUGUACUCAUCCUCUCUUCUUAAUAAAUCAACAUCUGCAAUUUCUAUCGCUCCUUUAGGCAAUGAUCUUUCCAUCCAAUGCCUUAUACUCUCUUCUUCAACAAAAACAUUAUCAGUUGGCUUUUACUUUGUGAAAGUUUCUAUAAGGACGAUCCCAUAACUAUAGACGUCAGAUUUUAUAGAAACAAUUCCUGCUGAUCCAAAUUCUGCAUUUCAAGUAUAAUUAGAACAUCAUUCACCCUCAGUUAUUUCUAAAAUGCUUAUUCAAAUAUAUAUCCACAUCCACAUGAAACAAAAAUAUAAAAUGAAAAUUAGGAAAAUAAUCAUACAAAAAUAAAAAAGAAUUCACCUUGUGCCAUAUACCCGAUAGUUGCAAGAGUCAUGGUUUGCUUCAUUACUUCACCUUCUCCCAACAAUUUGGCAACGCCAAAAUCUCCAACAUGUGCAACCAUGUCUUCAUCUAGUAAAAUAUUUCUUGGUUUUAUGUCACAAUGAAUUAUAGGUGUUGGAUGUCCAUUGUGGAGGUGUUCUAUAGCUCCCGCAACAUCUAUCAUUAUGUCGACCCUUUGUAUGAUAUCAAGGAAACAAAUUUCAGAGUGUAACCAUUUCUCAAGGUUUCCAUUAGACAUGUAAUCAAGCACCAAGGCUUUGAAGUCAACACUUGAGCAGCAAGUAAUGACCUUCACAAUAUUACGAUGAACUAUAUUACGCAUAGCAUCACAUUCAAUGUCAAAACUCCUAAAUGCUCCCUCUGUUUGCAAAUUGAAAACUUUUAUUGCAACUUCCAUUCCAUCUGAAAGCCUCCCUUUAUAUACAUAUCCAAAACUCCCUGAACCAAGCAUAUUGCUUUCCUCAAAUCCAUUAGUUGCUCGUGAAAGUUCAGCAUGUGAAAUUCUUCUCGGUGUCUUCAAAGACAACAAAUCAUCUUUAAUUGGUAGAGUUGUACUUCUCCUUUGGCAACUUCUAUACAUAAUAGUUAAGACUGUUAGUACUACGACAAUACCAAUUGUUGUAAACCAUACCUAAAAGCAUGCAAUAUAAUCAUUUGGGAGUUUUUGUGGAUGUCGUUUUUGCAAGGUGGGACUAGCAAUCUAGGUGGGCCACAAAGUGCAUAAUUCUUCAUGAAUGAUGUGCUAGAAAAGUUUGAAAAACAUCCUUUGCUGGGAAUUUCCCCUUCAAGUCUAUUGAAAGACACAUUAAAAUACUUUAGAUAUAAAAGCUUUUCCAAAGAUUUGGGAAUGACUCCAGAGAGAUUGUUAUUGCAUAAAUCCAAGAAUUCCAAACUAAUCAAUCCAUCAAAUGAUUCAGGGAUAUGACCAUGUAGUAUAUUAUUUGAUAAAUCUAAUGAAACCAAAGUUUGAAGACCCCCAAAUGUGGAUAAGAUAUCGCCCGUGAGAAGAUUCCUUGAUAAAUUUAGUUUCAGUAGACUCCUAAGAUUUCCAACAUCAAUAGCAUGUGAAUUGUGAAGAUGGUUUGAUGAUAAAUCUAUUUUUAAGAUAUCUUUAAGAUUCCACAAAGUUGAGGGUAUUGCAGAACUCAAUUUGUUGGAAUGUAACCAAAGAUAUCCCAAAGAAGUAAUAUUACCCAAACAAGAGGGUAUAGAUCCAUGCAGCUUAUUCAACCCUAAAAACAAGUUGUAUAAUCUCUCCAAAUCACAAAGGCUUUCUGAGAUGGGCCCUCCUAAUUUAUUAGAGGAAAGACCUAGACUUUGGAGAUUCCGCAGUCCUCCUAUUGAUGUUGGAAUGAAUCCACUUAAUUUAUUAUAGCCAAGUUCUAAAAGCAACAUGUUGCUUAAGUUACCUAUUUCCAUAGGAAUAGUGCCUUGAAGCUCACAAUCUUCGGCAUAAAAGUAUUGAAGGGAUUUUGAAAGGUUCCCAAUAUAAGUAGGAAGAACGCCACUCAAUGGAUUUUCUGAAACUCCUAUGGUUUUCAAAUUCUUACAAUUCGUCAAAGAAGAAAGAAAGCUCCACUCAUGAUCAGUAGCAGAUCCUGUGAUCAAAUUAUUGUUUACGAUUCGGAACCAUUCAAGCUGUCUUAAGUUGCCAAGCGUUUUAGGGAUUGGGCCAGAGAAUAAGUUAUCUCCCAAGUCUAGUUUCGUAAGCAUGGAAGCAUUGGAGAUAGAGUAGGGAAUGUUUCCGCUAAGUUUAUUUCCCCCCAAAAAAAGAAACUCAAGCUUUGGAGCAUUGGUAAUGGGUGGUAAAUUACCUGUAAAAUAGCAUCUUUUAGUAUACAUAUUAAUUGAAUACCAAAUUCAUAAAAUAUAUAAUACAUUAAAAUAAAAACUGUAAAACUUCAAAUCAAUUAAGAAUAAAAUUUUGGCAUGGAAAAAUGUGAUGAAAUCAAUUAGAAAGUUGAGACAUAAUAAGAAGUUUUGAGUAGUAAUUACUCAUGAUUUCUAUAGACAAAACAUAUAAUACACUGAUAAUUUUUUAUAAUUUUUACAAUAUUUACAAUUUCUAACAAUUUUUAAUAAUUUUAUUAUUUAAUACAAAUUUAAAAUUUAACAAUUUUUUAUUUUUUUAAAACAAUUAUAUAUUUAUAAUGUAGUUAUUUUUUUUAUAAUUUUUUUUGAAAUUUUAAAGAUUUUUUUGGUUUUUUUUCUAGAUGAUGAUGCCAUCAUGAUGACAUCAUAUGCCACAUGGCAAUUUAUAAUUAGUUAAAUAUCUCAAUCCAUUUUUCUAACGUCAAAUGGACUAAAACAAGAACACCUGAUAAUGUUAGAGACUACACUUGGAAUGUUUGAUAAUAUCAGGUACUAAAGUGGGCAAAAAAAUUAAGGACUAUAUUAAAAAUAUAUCUAUAAUAUAUAUAAAUGCAUGGAUUUUGAGAAACUUUUGAAAUGAUAAUUAUAUAGUCUUUGUUUUUUUUACUAUAUUAUUGAAUUUUUUAUUUUAAAUAUUUUUUAUUACUUUUAAGAUUUAUCAUAUGUAUGUAUAAGAAUUUUGGUUUUACUAAAAUAUUUGGUCAAAUAAAUUCACUUUAUCAAAAAAUCUAGCAUCCUUAUAAAUAAAAAUUUUGAUUCUAUUAAAAAAAUUAUUUUAAAAAAUAUAUAAUAAAAAUUUAAAAUUUAUAUUGAAUUACUUUAUACUUAAAUUAUUAUUAGAAACUUUAUCAUACACAUACGUGCAUUAGAACCAUGUAUUUAGAACUUAAAUUUGUGUUUUAAAAUAACUUAUGAUAAAUAAUGAAAUGUAUAAUUUGAAACUAUUUAAUAAUAACACAUGACAUAUCUACCAUAUUAAAAUAAAAAUAGAUUAAAUUGUAAGUAAAACAUAAUUUAAACAUAUGAAUACAUCAAAUUACGAAUACUAAAUGAAUACAGUUAUUUAUGAUGAUGUUGUUGUCAAUUCCUAAGUUGGUGUCGAGUUAAUUUGUGACAUCAUAAAUUUAAGUGAUAAAUUUAAGGUUUUAUGUAUUGAUGCGGAUUCAAAUAUCACCAUAAUUUUUUUUAAAUAAAAAACUAAAGUACCCUCAAAUAAUAUAACUUAUAUUAAAUAUGAAAGGGUAGUUUUGUAAUUUCUCUAACGAGUUGGUGCCCGGUUGACUCAUGACACCAACUCAAUCAAAAGCUUCAAUAAUAAUAUAGAUAUUCACGUUAAAAAAAAAGUACUUUAGUUCCAAAUAAUUAUAUAACAAGUAAAUUUAUAAUUGAUGAAUAAAUUUAUAAAAAUAUAUUUAUAUGAUCUAAUAUAUUAUAUUUAUAUUAAUUAUAUAUCAUCUACAAACUUUGAAGAUCAAUUCAUUAAGUAUCAAGAAAGGAAAAAAAUGAAAUUGAAUUAACACUAAAUCAAUUUUUAGAUUUUGUACAGAUGAUUUAAUGAUGAUAAAAAAAUUAUUAGCACUAUUUUUGAAUUAACAAAAAAUUAGUGAUAUAUUUUAAUUAUAUUUAUUAUUUAUUAUUUUUAAUAAUGUUUUUUUAAUUAUAUGAAGUAAAAUUACAGUGUAUACUAAAUAUGGUACAUAUACUUUAAUUAUAACUAGAAAAUUUAUUAUAUAAAUUAAUAUAUUUUAAUUAUAUUCAACCAUUUGAACAACAAAAUAAAAAAAAUAAUUAGAAUAAUUUAUUUUUUAAAGUUUAAUGGAAAUUAAAAAAUUAAAAAUAAAUCAAUUCAUAUAAAUUUUGUUGUUUAUUUCAGAUGAAAAUGAUAAAAGUAUAUGACAUAAAUAGAAGAAACAAAUUCAACACCAUGUUUUUGGAGUUUGGAAAAAAUUAAAGUGAAAAACAUACCUUCUAAUUUGUUGUCAUGGAGACCUAUUUUUUCGAGCAUAGUUGAAUUAAAAAUACUUGAUGGAAUCUGACCUGCACACAUAGUCGAAAAUUGAAGUGAAAAACAUACCUUCUAAAUUGUUCAACUAAAAAUACUUUAAGCAUAUUUUUUAGUAAAGCCCUUCAAGCUUGGGAAGAUGUUGACACGUUGACACAUAUCAUUAGGCAAAGACUAAUAGCUUUCAAAGAAGAAAUCUUGAAGAUGGAAGAUGGAACCUGACCAGAUAAUUGAUUGAGUCCCAAGUUCAAGAUCUCUAGAUUAGACAUGUUAGCAAGUGUUUCAGGGAUUGUGCCUAUAAAGUUAUUAUUUUUCAUUUCCAGCCUUCGAACUCUGUGUAUGUUCCAAAGCCAUGAUGGAAUUUCCCCAUUAAGACGGUUGUAGCUUAAUCGAAGGAUCCGCAAACGAUGCAAUUGGCCCAAUUCUUUAGGGAGAUGGCCAUAGAAAUGGUUGCUACUCAAGUCGAGAGAGAGUAGAAAUGAAAGAUUUCCAAGGUGUGGAGGGAUAGUACCCCUAAGAUUCAUGCUUGUAAGAUUCAAAGCUGUAACUCUUUUAUGGAGGAUGCCACAAGAAACACCAAUCCAAUUGCAAACAGAGGUUGAGACAGUCCAAUUGUUUGGCAAGACAUUUUGAGGACCGGCGAUGCGAUCCUUAAACUCGAGAAGUGCAAACUGAUCGGAGUUGAGAUUUCUGACUGUCAUAGCCAAGCAAAGUACGGAACAUGGUAUGAAUAAAGCUAAAAGAAGAUGAAAGCAAGUGUUGUAGUUCAUGAUUGCAAGACAGAAUAAGAAAAGAAAAUAAAAUAAAAAAAAGUAGGAAAAGGGAAGUUGAGUUGAUAAAAUAGUUUGGAUGAUGAAGAAAAGCCCAGACAGCAUGCUUUAAUAUGUUUGGAUGAUAAAUUUAAACUUGAUAAAUUUAAGACUACCCUAAAAAUACGUACAAAGAAAUUUCAAAAUUUCAAAAUAAAUACGUACAAAGAAGCGAAUUUUCAAAAUUUCUCCUAAAUUUUCUUCACAUUACUCUACAUAAUCCAUUAAAAAAAACUUAAAAAAUAUAUUUUAUUAAUUACUAUAUAUUCUUUUAUUUUCAGAAUCAUAAAUUGUUUAAAAUAUGCUAUUAGUCCCUGUAAUUUAAAAGUUAAAAAAAUUCAAUCCUCCUAUUUUUCUAAUUUAAAAAUUCUAGUCCAAUCAAUUUUAAUUCCAUUAAAAAAUUUCAACUUAAUAGAUUUUUUAUUAUCAAUCAUAUGCAACAUUAUAUGAAGACAGUCUACUCAGCAUAUAUCCAAGUUUACAGAUUUUAAUAGAAAAUACUUACAAUCCUAAUGGUAGGACUAAGUUUUUUAAACUAGAAAAGUAAGAAGACUUAAUUUUUAACUUUUUAAGUACAAGGAUUAAAUUUUAAAUGUUGUCAAAGUACAAGCACUAACAAAAUAUUUUGAUCUAAUAAAUGUAAAAAACUUUUUAAACAAAAUAAGGUUUGAAAUAAUCUAUUUGUCCUUGUAAUUUUAUAAAUUUGAGAUUUAAUCUUUAUACUUAAAAGGUUAAAAAUUAAGUCUUCUUGUUUUUAUUUAAAAAUCUUAGUCCUAUUGUUAAUAUUAUUUUUUUUUUGCCAAAAUUUGUCAACUUUACAUAUUAAUUAGGUUUCCCUUAUAUGUCGUGGUAUAUGACUAACACAAAAUAAGCAAGUUGACAAAUUCUGACAAAAAAUAUCAAAGAUGAUAAUAAUUGGAUUAAAAUUUUUAAAUUGAAUUAAUAACCUUUAAUGUAUAAGGAAUGGAUAUCAAAUAUUUAUAGGAAUAAAGGGACUAACAACAUAUUUUAACCAGAAAAUAAUAUGAGUGAUUAGAAUGAAUCUAAAAUUUUAUAGAAAUAAAAGAGACUAACAACAUAUUGAUAACUUUCAAAUCUCCUUCGAUCAUCCUUUUUCUACGUAGAAAAAGAAAAUUAAUUAGCAUCUAAAGUGUCAAUUAAUGAAACCUUCAAAAGAAAAUGUGAAAGUGAUUUAUCAAACAAUAAUAUUCUAACUUAUAAUAUAUUUAAUUACAUUUAGUAAUUUAUCAAUCAAAACUUAUUUAACAUCCAUCAAUACUUCAUACAUAAAAAACGCAAGCAUAAAUUACCAUUUAACUCAGAUUUAACUUUGCAAGUAAACUUAAAAUUUUAUUUAAUUUUGUUACUAAAUUUGAUUUGUUCACUAUAGAGUUUGGUGACUUAAAAUAAAAGUAAUAAAAAGUUAUUCUUUCAGAUAUCUUUUUAAUGUUUAAUAAUAAAUUAAUUUAUAAAAUAUACUUUCAUUGGACACAGGCCUCCAAAGCGGUGAACCACUAAUCAAAUUAAUUUGGGGAUACCUAAAUUUGUUUUCAUCAAUUAAGAAAUUUAAAAAAUUGUUGAGACCUCAUGAUUAUCUUUUAUAAUUUCAGUCUUAUCACCAAAAACUAAAAAAUAAAAACGUCGACAUUAAAUUUGUUGGUAUGCAAUCAAUUUUAAGAUGGUUUUUGGGGUUAUAUAUCACUUUAGCAUUGACUUACUUUUCUACUCUUAGUCUUCUCCAACAAGUUAAAUAUUUGAAUUUUAACAACAUUGGCAGGUCUUUGGGGUAGGGUCGACCAAAACUUAAUAGAAACAGAUGAUAUAGGUUGAGUUGGCUCGGCCAAGUCGAGUCGACUUGUUCAAAUUAUUUAAAUUAGUAAAUUUUAGGGUGCAGUUAGAAUUUUUUGUUUUGAGAUGCUAAGAUUAAAAAAUUUCAGUUGCUAAAACAAAAAAUUUGUAUUUAAAAAGGCAUAAAUUAAAUAAUUAAGUUUUUCAAGUUUCCAUUUAAUCAAAGGUUAAAAGGACUAAAUUGAAGCUUUUUAUUUUUAAGAAAGGCUGAAUGCCAAAUUGCCCAAAGCCCAUGCCCCUAGCUAUACAACUAACUUUUCUAUGAUUAGUCCUUGGUUUGCUUUGGGUGGAAUCUUCCAACUAGCCUCAUCCUUCGUUUUACUUUCCAACAAUUAGUUUAUCAUGAGUUUUGUUUUCUUUAAAAAAAUAUUUUUGUGGAUAUUAGGAGAUAAUGAAAAUUAAUUUAGUAUGAAAUUUUAAUAAAACUGGAAAAUAAGUAAUUUAUUUAAGAGAUCACAAUUAAACGUUAGAUUUCCAAUUUUUAAAUUUUAAAUUAUUUUGACAAUUGCAUAAUAUUUUGAGCAUUGUAGGAAUGCCAUAAUCUUCCCUACGCAUAAUCGACUCUUGAGCAUGAUGGAUCCUAGGCCUUCUCCUCUAUUCUCGUACCACAAACUGCUUCGAGUGUGGAUUCGAACAAUCACAAAUUAAACACAAAACCAGAAAUGAUUUAUUACUUUCAAUAGCAAAGUAAUUCUCUCUCAAUAGAAACCAAUAGAAUUGUAAUUCCUAAAAAAUAAAAUUUAUUUUUGGAAAAUAUAUUCCCACUACUUUCUAGCAGAAUAAUAAUAUGUGAAACUUAUGUCUUGUGUUAAUAGCUCUACCAGCACUAUCUAUUUAUAGGGAGAGACGAGAAUCCUGGUUGACUUAGUAAAACACGAAUAAUAUUUAUUUCAUUGAAAACAAUAUUCCACCCUAAGUAGAUCAAGUUUGUAUGACGCAUGGAUCGAAGCUCAAUCUAGGAGAAAAAAAAAAGGAAUUUUCUUUGUAAAGAAAAUCUGAGAUUGUACUAUUUUCAAAGUUAUAAAUAAAAUUAUAAGCUAAAUUUUCAAGUCAAUUUUCAACUCCAAUUUUGUAUGCACAAAUUUCUAAUACACUUGGUGGGACAUUCUUUGACUUUUAUCUAUUCUCUCAAAAAGUUAAAGUUCAAAGUUGCAUUAAACUCAAAGAAGAUAAUCAUUAGUAAACCAGCUCACAAGCCUGCUCAAGCUAAUCCUACAACUUGUUCCACUUCAUCAUCAAACACCAAUGUUCUUGCUUAUCCUUAUGGAAUUAAACAGUCUCAUUUUCUGCAUUUUGGAUACACACCUAGUUUUGUUUGAUGCUAAAACAGUCCCUGAGCACUCCAAAGCCUAUAAUUGAACAAAUAACACUAAUUUAAUCUUACAUAACGUGAUCCCAAAUUGAACUUGUAUCGAGGUUUUAACCCAUAAGUGACUAAACUUUACCUUCAACCGAUGAACAGUAAUUCCCACAUAAACUAAGACUCCGAUUGGCGAUUACGAGCCCUUGAAUCCUCCCCUAAUUGGCAUAAACAAAACACUUCAGAAGAAAGUUAACAAACAGAGACAAAUCACUUAUCUAAAACUUACUGAAUGAUCACAGACAAACGUGGAGCGACACAAGGCAGAGUGGGAAAAGAAAAAUCAAGAGGAUGAAGGGUGAAAGAGAGCAGAAAUUCGGUAGCAAUAAAGAGAAAACGGUAAGAGGGUGGAGGGAUUUUGGGGAAAGUAAAAAAAAAAGAUGAACAGAAUAUUUGAUAACUACCCCAAUCCCUUAUUUCUCUCCAUCAAACUCUCCACUAAAUCCACUACUCGAAUUUUUAGUCCAUCUCAAACUCUCCUGGACGCAUGAGCAAAAAAUAAUGCCCAUGCCAAAAUUUGAACACAUGACCUCCUUCACACCAACACUCCACUUAUCCACUAGACCAACAGGCUCAUUCUUUUAAUUAUUUGUCAACUUUUACUUAAAAGCCUACUGACCAAAAAAUACCAAAAUUUGCCCAAGUCCUAGAUUGAACUUGGGACCUCCCAAACACACCCAGAACACAUAGCCAAUUUUCAAGCAAUCUGACAUGAAUUCUCAAUCACAAUUAAUUGAAUUCAAGAUAUAUUUGGAUGAGAAGACAAAUAUUUCAAUUUUAACACAAACCAAUGCUUGGGAUGAUUUGGGAUAAGAACUCCAACAUUUUAAGAUCACAUUUUCUUUUAUAAUUUCAGGCUUAUCAACUAUUUUGAAAACAACAAAACGUCUUACACCAAAAACUAAAAAAUAAAAACUUCGACAUUAAAUUUGUUGGUAUGCAAUCAAUUUUAAGAUGGUUUUUGGAGUUAUAUCUCACUUUAGCAUUGACUUACUUUUCUACUCUUAGUCUUCUCCAACAAGUUAAAUAUUUCAAUUUUAACAACAUUGACAGGUCUUUGGCCGAAUAAUUUUAAACGUCUCAUCAUUGCAAAAAUGAAAUAAUAGAAAAGAAAGAGUAGCCAUUUUAUGAAAUCUAUAAUUCCAACUGUGAAUAAAAUAUAAAUUUUAUGAAUGUGGACAAGCCAUUUUAUUUAUAAUUUUCUGUGUUUUUCUGACUUUUUUUAAGUCAUUUUCUUUGUUUCCUAACCAAAAAAUUUGCCCAUCACUUUAAAUAUAAAUUUAAAUAUAAAUUUUCUUUUUAAAAUAUAAAUUACUUGUCACAAUUCAUAUUUCUAAGUCAAUUUGCCAUCACUUUAACAUACACUAACUGUUCUAUGAUUAGUCCUUGGUUUGCUUUGGGUGCAAUCUUCCAACUAGCCUCAUCCUUGGUUUUACUUUCCAACAAUUAGUGUAUUACGGGUUUUGUUUUCCUUAAUAAAUAUUUUUGUGGAUAUUAGGAGAUACUGAAAAUUAUUUCACUAUGAAAUUUUAAUAAAACUGGAAAAUAAGUAAUUUCUUUUAAGAGAUCACAAUUAAACAUUAGAUUUCCAAUUUUUAAUUUUAAAGUUUUUUGACAAUUGCAUAAUUAAUAAGGUACCAAUUUUGAGAGUUGUAGGAAUGCUAUAAUCUUCCCUACGCAUAAUUGACUCUUGAGCAUGAUGGAUCCUAGACCUUAUCCUCUAUUCUCGUACCAGAAAUUGUUUCGAGUGUGGUUCGAACAAUCACAAAUUAAACACAAAACCAGAAAUGAUUUAUUACUUUCAAUAGCAAAGUAAUUCUCUCUCAAUAGAAACCAAUAGAAUUGUAAUUCCAAGAAAAUAAAAUUUAUUUUUUGAAAAUAUAUUCUCACUACUUCCUAACAGAAUAACAAUAUGUAAUACUUAUGUCUUGUGUUAAUAGCUCUACCAGUACUAUCUAUUUAUAGGGAGACACACGAGAAUCCUGGUUGAAUUAGUAAAACACGAGUAAUAUUUAUUUCAUAGAAAACAAUAUUCUACCUUAAGUAGAUCAAGUUUGGAUGACGCAUGGAUCGAAGCUCAAUCUAGGAGAAAAAAAUAAAGUAAUUUUCUUUGUAAAGAAAACCUGAGAUUGUACUAUUUUCGAAGUUAUAAAUAAAAUUAUACGCCAAAUUUACAAGUCAAUUUUCAACUCGAAUUUUUUAUGUACAAAUUUCUAAUAGACUUGGUGGCACAUUUUUUGAAUUUUAUCUAUUCUCUCGAAAAGCUAAAGUUCAAAGCUGCAUUAAACUCAAAGAAGAUAAUCAUUAGUAAACCAGCUCACAAGCCUGCUCAAGCUAAUCCUACAACUCGUUCCACUUCAUCAUCAAGCACCAAUGUUCCUGCUUAUCCUUAUGGAAUUAAACAAAAGACAAAAGCUCUCUAAGAGUUAUUUGAACAGACAAAAUAUUCAGAUGUGUUGAGAUGGAAAGUGACAACGCAAAGUUGAUUGAAACUAUUUGUAACGGGUUGGCUACAAUAAGUAGUGUUGUGAAGUAAGAUAGAUUCACGAUUGGUGUUCCAAAAUUGAGUAGCUAGUUAUCUUGGAAGAUCCUCCACAUUAUGUGAGAUGCUGGCUUGAAGAAGAUAUUAGACAAUUGCUAGUGACUGAUGAUAAUUUUCAUUUGGACUGAUGCUUGCUUAAUUUUCUAAGCUUAUGUUCAACCAAAAAAAAAAAAAUUAAAUAUGUCUAAAUGAUCAUAGAGUUAACAUUUAGUGUAUAAAAAAUUAAUAUAUAAUUUGUUUUCAAUUGUAGUUUAGUUCUAGAAAUACCAACGAUGAACCUUAAAACGGAAAUGAAAAUUACAAAAAAAAAAACAAACCACAUCUAUUAUCAAACCAACAAUCCAUGUCUAAACUUAAAUUAACAAAAUUCGUUACGCAACUCGGUACACUAUUUUAUAUAAUCAAUAUAUUAGAUUUAUUCUUGAUGCACAUGUUUUAUUAUAGUUAAAAAUUAAAAUAUAUGAUUUACUAAGUUUUAAUUGAAUUAGUAUUGGUAUUAUAUCAGUGUAGGAAAAUGUGAGUUUAAUCGUACUUAAAUAUGUAUCCUCCAACUCAACAGUUGGGAAAAGGUUAUUGAUAAUUAAAUUAUACCAAUUUUUACAAUAUCUAAAAAGCAUUCAUAAACAUAUUCAUAUUGAUGGGCUCUUUCAUUAUUAAACUUUUUUUCUCUCACAAGUAAAAGUACUUGUGGUGAGGAUCAUGUAAAAUAAUAAACUGAAUAAUUUUAAACGUCUCAUCAUUGCGAAAAUGAAAUAAUAGAAAAGAAGCCAUUUUAUGAAAUUUACAAUUCCAACUGUGAAUAAAAUAUAAAUUUUAUGAAUGUGGACAAGCAAUUUUAUUUAACUUUUUUUAAAGUAAUUUUCUUUGUUUCCUAACCAACAUGAAAUUACUUGUCACAAUUCAUCUUUUUAAAUGAGAAACAUUUUCAACAAUUUGCCAUCACAUCAACAUACACUAACUUUUCUAUGAUUAGUCCUUGGUUUGCUUUGGGUGCAAUCUUCCAACUAGCCUUAUCCUUGGUUUUACUUUCCAACAAUUAUUGUAUCCUCCUCAUUACUUUUACUUACCGACGGAUGAAAAAUUCACUGAUCAAAUUAAUUCAAAGAUUUUUUUUUUCUAAAUCAAGUGAAUUCACGAGUUUUAUUUUCUUUAAAAAAUAUUUUUGUGGAUAUUAGGAGAUACUGAAAAUUAUUUUACUAUGAAAUUUUAAUAAAAUUGGAAAAUAAGUGAUUUAUUUAAAGGGAUCACAAUUAAACAUUAGAUUUUUAAUUUUUUAAUUUUAAAUUUUUUUGACAAUUGCGUAAUUAAUAAGGUACUAAUUUUGAGCAUUGUUGGAGUGCUAUAACCUUCCCUAUGCAUAAUCGACUCUUAAAUUCACUUUUUUCUCUAGAAUUUUAACAAACUUACAAAAUGAUUUAAUGAUAUUUAAUUAUUGAUGGGUAAAAAAAUUAUAUCAUAUAAAUUCCGAAUAAUUAAUUAUAUAUCUACAUAUUAUAACCAAUUCAUCUUUCAAAAUUAUUUCCUUAUAAUUAAAGCAAAAAUUAUAUUUAUAAAAUUCUAAAUAUAUUAUAAUUCUUGUAAAUAUAUAUAUUUACAUAUAUAAGUCCAAAUUGUAAUAGAGUUAACAUUUAUUGUAUAAAAAAUGUCUUGAAAUUUUUUUUUUCAAUUUCAAAAGAACUAUUCCAUUUAUAAAACCAUAAAACUUUAAAAAUAUAAACUCUAUUAAAUAAAAAUAAUAAUAUUUUUAAACAAUAAAUAUUGACUUUAUUUUAAAUUGACAUUAUCUAAUUCUUUUUAAUAUGUAUCGCUAAGCUUUACAUUAAUAUACAUGAUUUAUUUGUUCGUUAUUAUUAUUAUUAUUAUUAUUAUUAUUAUUAUUAUUAUUAUUUCUAUGAUUAUUAUAUUAUACUUAUCGGACUACAAUCAUAACCAUGUCUAUUAUCAUUCGAUAAAAAAAAAUUAAGUGUUGAGUAUAAUGACAAGGCACAUUACACUCUGAAGGGGAGAUUAAGGUUUGGACAAAGGAAGAAUAUGAUUCAAAUUUUGGAGACAACAUUCUUGAAAUGAGCAACCAUAAACCCCGAUUAUGAACCAUAAAACGAUCAUGAAAAGUACCCAAAAAAACACAUUUAUUACCAAAUAGUAAUCCAUCUAAGGAUUAAAUUAACAAAAUUCACCAUCCAACCGUGUAGACUAUUAUAAAUAUAUAUACUAUAUUUAUUCUUCAUGCAAAUGUUUAUUAUAUUUAAAAAUUAAAAUAUAUGGUUGAUUGAGUUUUAGUUGUGUUAAUAUUGAAAUUAUUGUCAGUGCAAAAGAACAUGAGUUCAAUCAUGUUUAAAUACGUUUUAUACUCCAAUUUAGGAGUUGGAGAGGAUUCUCAAUAGUUAAAUUAUAUUAGUUUUUGUCUAUUUAAAAAUGAUUUAUAAAUAAUAUAAGUAGAAAAUUUUAAAAAAAAUACAUAUUCAUAUUGAUCGGCUUUUUCAUUAUUAGACUUUUUUCCCCACAGUUAAAAGUAUUUAUCGAAUUCAAAUUUUGGGUUUUAAAUAAGGGUUUCGGAUUUUUUUUAAACAUUUGUGUGAGUUUUUGCCAAAUUUUAUAUUUUCGGAACGAAUAACUAAGUUGAUUUUUAAUUACUUUUUCAAACAAGUCGAUGUAAUUCCUCAAAAAUCUAGUCAAAGCGUCUAGGCUGGGUUUGGAGGUGUUACACUAACGUUACUAAAGUUAAUCUUAAUCUAUUUAGUCUAGAUCUAAACAUCAAUAUUCUCUUCCAAGAAAAAUCAAGAUUAUCAAAUUAUUACAACUGUGUAGCCAGACAAUCAUAUUAAAUAUGCAUAAAACAUAAUAAAUAAUUAGCGAAGAUUGAAACAAUCAAAGAAAAAAAUAAAUAAAUAAACUAAGAAAUAAGGAUCCAUUAUUGUUUCAAGAAAACAGAGUUUAGUUCAUAUUGAGUUGAGAAAACCAGAAAGGAGAUUCAAAACAAACUUGUGAUAAGGGGAACAAUGUCAAUAGAUCAUAUUCAAGUUGUUCGACUUCAGAUUUGACCUGAAAAGAAGAAACCAAACAUAUUUAGGAAAACAAGAAAAAACAAAGAAAAAAAACUAAAAUGAGAAAUUUAAGAAUAAAUAAUAAAUAUUAAAAAUAAAUAAAGAAAUUAUAGAAUAAAAAGUGGCAGAUGGAAUGAAGAAAUGAUGGAUAUAAAUAAAAGAUGGAUAUGACAUAUAGAUGAAUAAGUGUCUGAUAACUCUUGAAAAAAAGUUAUAUUUCAUGCCUUUAGACCUAGCUAAUUGCUUGUACUUAAGUAUAUUUUGUUGCUUUUUAAGACAUUUUAGUGAGCAUUUUUAAUAUUGUAUUAGGACUUAGACUGAGUUGGAAUUAGGUGCUUUUAAUCGCUUGUGGUGGAGUUUUUUGUGUGUUGGUAUGGCAGGAACAGGUUUUAGAUCGAGGAAAUAAAUGAGUGAAGUUUUGUUUGGGCAAAAGUGCAUAUAGUUUUCCAACAAGGAUGCCGUGGCAAUGCCGAGAAGACCAAGUUCAUAUUUUUUGUGCAACAGUCCUAGUUCAAAUUCAAACUUGUAUGAGAUAAAUCCCCCUAAAAGAGGAGAAGAUAAUUACAUUGAUGUUAGUUGACCCUAGCCUAAUCUAUCUAUUAAAUCCAAUGAAAGGGAUCUCACAAAUGGUAGAAAAAAGUGAGAGAGAUCUUUAGGGGUGAAUAAGGGUUUGGCUGUGCAAAGGAAAAGAAGUCAAGGGCAAUCAUUCUUAGCCUUCACAGGACGUUUUGUUGCCAAAGUGUGGACUGGGCAAGUGAAAGCUGUUUCCCAAAGUUCUUCUGUUAUUUCCAUCAGUGUUCCUUCGAAAGAUUGAAUUGAAGUAGUUGAACACAAUGUCAGAUAAUAUUUUGGUUUGAAAUUCUAUUUCCCAGUUUAUGAGCUAAAUCUCAUAAGGUUGGGAUUACUUUCGAUGAAACCUUUAAUUUUUUUUAUGGAUGCAAUAUAUAUCUAAUUUACAUUACAGUUUCAUUUGAUUGUUCUUAUUUCUUAAUUAAAAUGCAAAUGAUCUCUAGACAUAGAAGACUAUUCACAUACUUAUAAACUGAUUAUAAUUCUAAAAGGGUUGGAUUAAAAUUAAAUGAAAUGAGCAAGUAUUUGAUAGACACUUGUAGCCGACUCCAGACAUAGAGUCACGAUCAUACAGAAGGAACCCAUGCAAGAUAUCUGAAAAGCCUUUAGACACAGGCAAGGCAACUUGAGGUUAUUCUCUCACACGAGGCAGACCAUUUUAGAACUCUUCUGUGUUGUAAAGUAGAUACGAUUUUGCCAAGGCAUUAUUGACAAUAAGGGUUGAUUCUGGGUAAUCCCGACCUUCCAAAUCCACAUCGUAUAUCCUUCAUUAUUUUCCAUAGUAUCUUUUCCACAUCAUUAUUAAUUAUUUAUUUGUUCAUUUACAUAAUAUUCCCAUAGUAAUUCUCAUAAUUGCCAUUACAUUUCUACUCUCGAUUUGCCAUAGCAUUACCAAAUAUUCAUUAAUUCCACAUAUUGAUUACAUCAUUACUCUACUCAUUGCCAUUGCAUAUUUAUCAUUGACUUUGUCACAACAUUAAUUGUAUUUUAUGAUAAUAACUUGAUCGAUUUUGUGCCUCAAUCUGAUCAUCGUGGGAAUGAUACUCACUCAUCAUUUAUUACUUGAUUCAACGUGUAUACUUGCACAAAUCGCAUAUCAUUUCACAUGCGACAAUGUCCAAUUGAACCCUUUAAGAUAUAAACUCAAACAAACUCAAUUAAUGGCUUUAAUCAACCCACCAAGAAAUAAUCCUUGGCAAAUUGAAGGAUGAAUAAUGAAUUCCCAUGACUCCUUAAAGAAAAUUGAGAAGAAAACUGCUUCUAAAAAUUACAAGAAACAAUCUUGCACAAAGAAACUAACCUUGAGAGUUGGAAAUUUUAGUAACGAACAAAGACAAUUGUGUCUCUAAUGACCAUGAAAGAGCUUUACAUAGGCUAGAUAAGUACAUCCAAAUAAAAUUUCGAAGUAUCUUAAAACUUUAAUUAAUGUAAGCAAAAAGUAAUUUUCAACUAAAAUAGUCAUAAUUUCCGUAAUAAUCCCGUCUAGAAAUUCUACUCACAUAGUCAUCACUAAAAUAGUCAUCAUUUGAGCUCUUGAACUAGAAAUUGAGUGAAUAAAAGUGUGUUUGAUAGACCUUAGAACUCCAUCAAGACAUAUCAAUCGAAAAAUAUUUGGAUCCCAUCCAAAAAGUCAUUGCAAGUUAACUGAUUUUCCAAACUUGAAAAUUGGCAGCUUCAGUGAAUGAAAUUUAAUAAAGUUCACCCCAUCUGCUCAUGUAUAAACUUGCAGUGGUAAAAAGUAAAAAGAAAUAAUCUAUAGAGAAAAUAGUUGAAGAAUUUAUGACAAUUUAUUCAGACCUUUUUUUCUUCUAGCCUUUGCAAGCUUGAAGUUUCCGUUGGUGUGUGAGAGUUGUUCCUUACCCUUUAAGUUAUUUCUUUUCUUUUCCUUCUUUUUCUUUCUCUUCGAUCUCAUCACCUAAGGGUGCUCAAACAACUGAUUCAGUUAAUACCCGAACAAAGCUAUCAUUAAAUGAAAUUUUGAAACCCUUAAUCAUUAAUGAAACCAAUUUUUUGUUGAAACCUAUUAACCGGCCGGAUUGAUUUCGGUUAAUUUGUGCAGUUAACCAGAAUUUAUACAUUGUUUGUUUUUUAUCAAACAAUUUUAAAACAAAGAACAAUCCAUGACAACUUUUUCCUUGUUUUUUAUUCAAAAAUUAUUAAAAGAACUAAAAAAAAUAACAUAAUAACAACACUAAAUUAAAAACAUAAUAGCAUUCAUUACAGUACAAAUCUUUUUUCUUUUUUUUCUUUUUGUUGACUUUUUAGUUUAAUUUUAGUUUUUUUUCAAAUAUUUUAGUUUUCAUAUUCUUGUUAAGCUUAUUAUAAGAAAACUUAUAAAUCCAUUAGUUUUUAUAUAUUAGGUUUGUAUAAUGUAUUGGAGCUAUCUCUAUAAUAUAUUUUUAUUGAUUUCGGUUAAUCAAUUAAUUCGGUUAAUUAGUCGAUUUCAAACGAAACUAAUUGAUAAACAAAAUCUUCAAAAACAUUUAACCAACUCCCAACCAAAUUAGAUUCGUUGAUCGCCUGCUUAAUCAAGUUAAUCAUAUGGUAAAAUGGCAUAGUUUUGGAAUGGUUUUUUGGAAUUAUUGGUAUAGGUUUAAGUUAUGAUCUUGAGAUGUUGAGUUGAAUUAAGUUUGAUAUGUAUAUUGUGAUGCCUUCAUUGGCAUAUUGGUUAGAUAUUAAAGGAUGGUUGAUUUGGUAUGUUUUUAAAAUGGUUGUUGGUAUGUGUGAUCUAAAUUGAUUAAAUGAACUUGUAAUGUUGAAUGGUAUAAUAUUUGUUGGUACAUUAGUUAGUCUUAUAGGUUGAUGGAAUUGGUAUGUUUUAAAUGUGUUUAAAAUGUGUUUUGAUUGUUUAAAUGUUUGUGGAAAUGGUGUGUCUUGGUGUACAAGAUUUGAAAUUGAAAUGGCUUGAUUUAGAAGCAACUUAUGUUGUACACCACCUGGGACACUGGUUGUCACAUGGUUGUGUGUCAUUAUUGUUUUAGGUACAGGUUUCACACAAUCUGAGACUCGGCUCACGACAUAGCUGUGUAUCACAAGUCAGUAUGUAACACGGUUUGGUACAUGGCCUGCGACAUGACCGUGUGUCCAAACUUCGAAUGUCCACACGGUCUGGGCUAUGUCACACGGGUUGGCCACAUGGCCGUGUGACCCUUGUUUUCAAGUUUUCUAAAAUUUUCUAUUUUAUUUCAAAUUGAUCCUAGAAUAUUCUCAAACUGUUUUUAGGGCCCGUAGGUUCGAAUUAAGGCCCAUAAGUGUAUGUUUGCUAUAAUUAAGUUGUGUUAAUUAAUGUUAUUAAUUAAAUGGCAUGAAUAUUUUAUUGUAAGUUAAAUGUUUUAAUUUGAACUAUAAUGCUCCGUAACUCUAAUCUGGCGACGGAGACAGGUUUGGGGUGUUACAAUUUUGGACUUGAAAUUUGUUUUGGGGCUUUGUUCGAUGUUUGUUGGAUUUUAGUGUUUUAACAUUAAACUACAAAAUUGUAUGAUUUAACAAACUAAAAAUUAGGUUUUCAAAAUUAAAACUCUGGAAGUUUCUGUUUCAAAGAUUAAGUAAUCACUUAAGUGUUUUCCCAUAAAUAAUUAAAUGGUUUUUAACAAAUGUUUUCCUUAGUUUUGGAAAUGAUAUGCCAACAUUAGUACUUUUAAAACACAUGAUUUCAAAUUCAAAUUCUUGGUUUUAAGUAAGGGUUUUCAAACUUUGAUUUUUUUUAACAUUUGUGAGAGGUUUUUGCCAAAUUUUAUGUUUUCAGAACGUGUAACUAAGUUGAUUUUUAAUUAGUUUUUCAAACAAGUCAAUGUAAUUCCUCAAAAAUCCAAUCAUAGCGUCUAGGUCGGGUUUGGGUUGUUACACUGACGUUACUAAAGUUAAUCUUAAUCUAUUUAGUCUAGAUCUAAACAUUAAUAUUCUCUUCCAAGAAAAAUCAAGAUUAUCAAAUUAUUACAACUUGGUAGGCAGACAAUCAUAUUAAAUAUGCAUAAAAGUUAAUAAAUAAUUAGCGAAGAUUGAAACAAUCAAAUAAAAAAUAAAUUAAUUAACUAAGAAAUAAGUUCCAUUAUUGUUUCAUGAAAAUAGAGUUUAGUUCAUAUUGAGUUGAGAAAACCAAAAGCGAGAUUCAAAACAAACCUGUGAUAAGGGGAACAAUGUCAAUAGAUUAUAUUCAUGUUGUUUGACUCAAGAAAGAAAUAUUCGAAUCUAACUUGAAAAGAAGAAACCAAAUAGAUUUAGAAAAAUAAGAAAAAAAAACAAAGAAAAUAACUAAAAUGAGAAAUUUAAGAAUAAAUAAUAAAUAUUAAAAAUAAUAAAGAAAUAAAGAAAUUAUAGAAUAAAUAAUGGAAGAUGGAAAUGAAACGACGGAUAUGACAUAUAGAUGGAUAAGUGUCUGAUAAUUCUUGAAAAGAGUUAUAUUUCAUACCUUUAGACCUCACUAAUUGCUUGUACUUAAGUACAUUUUGUUGCAUAUUGAGACAUUUUUGUUCGUAUUUGUAAUAUUGCAUUAGGACUUAGAUUGUGUUAGAAUUAGGUGUUUUUGAUCACUUGUGGUGGAGUUUUUAGUGUGUUGGUAUGGUAGGAACAAUAUUUAGAACGAGGAAAUAAAUGAGUGAAGUUUAGUCAGCGCAAAAGUGCAGAUAGUUUGCCAACACGUAUGCCGUGGCAAUGUCGGGAAGACCAAGUCAACAAAUUUUUGCGCAACAGUCCUAGUUCAAAUUCAAACUUGUACUAGAUAAAUCUCCUUAAAAGAGGAAAAGAUAAUCACAAGUUGUUAACCGACCCUAGCCUAAUCUAUCUAUAAAAGCCAAUGAAGGGGAUCUCACAAAUGGCAGAAAAAAGUGGAAGAGAUCCUUAGGUGCGAAUAAUGGUUCAGCUGCGCAAAGGAAAGGAAGUUGAAGGCAAUCUUUUUUAGCCAUCACAAGACGUUGUGCUGUCGAAGUGUGGACUAGACAAGUGAAAGUUGUUUCCCAAAGUUCUUUCGUUAUUUCCGUCAGUGUUCCUUCAAAAUAUUAAAGUAGUUGAACAUAAUGUUGGAUAAUAUUUUGGUUUGGAAUUUUAAUUCCUAGCCCAUGAGCUAAAUCUCGUAGGGUUGGAAUUACUUUUGAUAAAACCUUAAACUAUUUUUAUGGAUGCAGUAUAUAUGUAAUUUACUUUACUGUUUCAUUUUAUUAUUCUUAUUUCUUAAUUAAAAUGCAAAUGAUCUCUAGACAUUGAAGCCUUUCACAUACUUAUAAACUGAUUUUAAUUCUGAAAGGGUUGGAUUGGUUGGAUUAAAAUUAAAUGAAAUGAGCAAGCAUUCGGUGGACACCUGUAGUAGACUUUAGACAUAGAGUCACGCUCAUACAGAAGGAACCCAUGCAAGAUAUCUAAAAAGCCUUUAGACAUAGGCAAGGUAACUUAAGGUUUUGCUCUCACGAGAGGCAGGCCAUUUUAGUACUCUUUUGUGCUUUAAAGUAGAUACGAUUUUGCCAAGGCAUUAUUGACAGUAAAGGUCGAUUAUGGGUAGUCCCAACCCUCCAAAUCCACAUCGUAUAUCCUUUACUCUUUGCCAUAGUAUAUUUGCCACAUCAUUAUAAGUUAUUUAUUUGUUCAUUUACAUAAUAUUUCCGUUGUAAUUCUCAUAAUUAUCAUUACUUUCUACUCUCGAUUUGCCACAACAUUACUAGUUAUUUAUUAAUUCCACGUAUGGCUUACAUCAUUGCUCUACUAAUUGCCACUGUAUAUUUACCAUUGACUUCGCCAUAGCAUUAAUCAUAUUUUAUUAUAAUAACUUGACCAAUUUUGUGCCUCAAUUCGAUCCUCAUGGAAAUGAUACUCACUCAUCACUUUAUUUGUAACACCCCAAACUCGGCCUAGACGUUAUGGCCGAAUCUGGUGAUGUCACAUGGAGAGGGAUUUGAAGACAAGAUUGUUGAGUUUAAAAACCGUUACAGUAAGUUAGCUUUUAUUUAGGGAAAAUCGUGUUUUGUAGAGUUGUAGUUUUUAGGAAAAAAAUCGUGUUUUGUAGAGUUGUAGUUUUUUUAAAAAACCCAAUAAAAAAUAGUAUAAAGUCCCAAAUUUAAAACCAAUCAGUCCAUAGUCCAGAAGAUACAUCAAAAACUCAAAAUAAGUAAUAAAUUCUAGGCAUUAACGGAAAACAAUCUAAAAUUUACGUGUGGCCACCAUUGAGUCCUCUGCUGCACCGAUUCGUCAAGUCUGAGGAUUACCUAUACAAAUUAAAUAGAGAAAGGGUGAGUUGUCGCAAACUUAGUGUGUAAUCCCCACAGAAAACAUGCAUAGAGAUAAUUAACAAAAUUUAGUUAGAUACAGUCUAGGGCCUGUGCCCAUCAUAGAAUCAGUUUGGGCCUUAGCCCAUUCAGAUAUAGUCUUAGAAAUACAUUAGGGCAUUGACCAGCCUCUACAAACCACCUCCAUCCAACCAUACACACCAUGUGGGGAUUAAAUCAACCAACCCAUCCCUACACACCAUGCUGUACCGAAAUGCGGCACAUAAUUAGAAGGUUGCAGCUGGGCUGCCAGAUAACAUAAGUCAUGCUCGGUAUAGAAAUCAGACAGACAGAUCACACAUAUAGGUGUCUAAGUAAAGCUUACUGACCCUACAGUAGGUCCACAGUUAACUUGGGCGACCCGUGCAAAAUUACAGAACUUUUUAGAAAAAUGGGCUUACACGCCUAUGUGGCCCACUCGGCCCAAAUUGGCCUUGACCACGUGAUCCAUUUUUAAUGUAACCAGUGCUAGUUAAUUAUUCAUAUAUGUUUUCACUAUUUACUUAUAUGUUAAUUUAAAGCUGUCUACUUGAGUCACUGUUACUAAAUUAUUUAUAUCUUGAGCUACAGAAUUUCAAAUUAAGAUCCGCUUAAUGUCUUUGAAACUAGACUCAAAUAUCUUUCUACUAUAAAAUUUUUAUAAUUUUUGGUUGAGCCAACAAGUACAGUAAAAUCUUCAAACCUUCCCCUAUUCUGCUGUCUGACAACUUCAACCCUUCUUUGCUAAGAAUUAAUUAUCUCUUAGUACAAGAUUUGGAUGAUGUUUACAUUUGUUUCUAUUGAAAAUAAACUCAUUAAUAAUUUAAAAAUGUAAAUUUUAAACCCCUAAUUAUUUUUCUCCAAUUUUUGAUGAUUUUCCAAAUUUAGAACAGGGGAACCUUAAUUCUUUCUGACCUUGUCUCACGAAGUUUAUUAUACCUCACAAUUUACAAUUCCAUUACUUACAUCGUUUAAGAUUUAAUUCCAUAUUUUUUUCAUCCUCUAAUUCAAUUUCCACAAUUUAUGGCAAUUUUUCAAAGUUAACCUACUGUUGUUGUCCAAACAGCAAGCAAUUUUGGCUUUUCGCCGAAUCCUUUUUUUUGCAUUUCGGGUACACACCUGGUUUUGUUUGAUGCUAAAACAAUCCCCGAACACUCUAAAGUCACCAAUGAUAACCAUCCAUUUAAAUAUUGUUAACACGAGAACACUGAAUUCACUAGUCCGAGUCUCCCCCUACGCCCAAAUCGCAGAGAAAAUACGUUACCACUUUAGUCGCUAAAAGAUUCAUGAUAGAAAAGAAGAGAAACACUUACCGAACUAAGCGAGCACUAACCGUGUGUGAAAAUGAAGGAAAAUAAAUGGAUUAGGGAAAAAUCAAGAACAAGAAAAAGAAGAAAAAGAAAAACUCAGAGAAUUUCAACAAGAGGAGAGGGAGAAGAAUAGACGGCGAAUAAAAUUCUGAUAACCCCCAAAAUCCCUUAAUCUUCUCCCCUAAUUCCCACUACACAUCCACUAUUCAUAACCCCCUAUUACAUAACUCUAUCCGAAAUCUGAUAAAAAAAAACAUAAUACCCUUGCCUGCAUAGGGGUUCAAACACAAAACCUCUACUAUAAUAACACAUCAUUUAACCACCAGACCAGCAGGCCCAUUCUGAUGUAAUUUACCCAAAAAUCAAAUAAAAGCCUACUCAACAAGAGUAAAGCCUAAUUCAUUCAAAAUACCAAAAUUUGCCCAAGCAAAAGCUUGAACUUGGGACCUCCCAAACACUCCCAGAACACAUAACUACUAAAGCUGACAAAUAUUUGUGUCAUAUUUUCACAAUAAUGAAAUUAGAAAUUUUGGGACAUUACAUUAUUACUUGAUUCAACUCUUGCACAAAUCGCAUAUCAUUUCACACACAACAGUGCUCAAUUGAACCCUUUAAGAUAUGAAAUCUAACAAACUCAAUUAAUGGCUUUAAUCAAUCCACCAAGAAAUAAUCAUUGGCAAAUUGAAGGAUGAAGAAUGAAUUCCCAUGACUCCUUAAAAAAAUUGAUAAGAAAACUACUUUUAAAAAUCACAAGAAACAAAUCUUGCAUAAAGAAACUAACUCUCAGAGUUGGUAAUUUUAGUAAUAAACAAAAACAAUUGCGUCUCUAAUGAACAUGAAGGGGCCUUUACAUAGGCUAGAUAAGUACAUCCAAAUAAAAUUGUCAAAUAUCUUGAAACUUUAAUUAAUGUAAGCAAGAAGUAAUUUUAAACUAAAAUAGUCAUAAUUUUCGUAAUAAUCCCGUCUAAAAAUUCUGCUCACAUAGUCAUCAUUAAAACAAUCAUAAUUUGAGCUCUUGAACUCAAAAUUGAGUGAAUAAAAGUGCGUUUCGAAGUUAAGUGAUAGAUCCUAGAACUCUAUGAAGACAUAUCAAUCAAAAAAAUAUCUGGAUCCCAUCCAAAAAGUCACCGCAAGUUAACUAAUUUUUCAAACUUAAAAUUUGGCAGCUUCGGUGAAUGGAAUUUAAUAAAGUUCACUCCAUCCAUUCAUGUAUCAACUUGCAUUGGUAACAAGUAAAAGAAAAAAAUCUAUAGAGAAAAUAGUUGAAGAAUUUAUGACAAUUUAUUCAAAUCUCUUUUUCUUCUAGUCUUUGCAAGCUUGAAGUUUCCCUUGGUGUGAGAGAGUUGUUCCUUACCCUCUAAGUGAUUUUUUUCUUUUUCUUUCUCUUCGAUCUCGUCACCUAUUGGUGUUCAAACAAUUGAUUCAGUUAAUACCCGAACAAAACUAUCAUUAACUGAAAUUUUGAAACCCUUAAUCGUUAAUCAAACCAAUUUUUUUAAAAAAAACCUAUUAACUAGCUGGAUUGAUUUCGAUUAAUUUUAGCGGUUAACCAGAAUUUAUACAUGGUUUUUUUUUGUUCAAAAAAUUUUAAAACAAAGAACAAUCCAUGACAAUUUUUUCCUUGUUUUUUAUUGAAAAAAUUAAAAGAACUAAAAAAAUAACAUAAUAACAACAAUAAAUUAAAAACAUAAUAGCAUUCAUUACAUUACAAGGCAUAUAUAUAUAUUUUUACUUUUUCUUCACUUUUUAGUUUAAUUUUAUAUUUUUUAAAAUAUUUUUAGUUUUCAUAUUUUUGUUAAGCUUAUUAUAAGAAAACUUAUAAAUCCAUUAAUUUUUCUAUAUUGGUUUUGUAUAAUGUAUUGGACUUAUCUCUAAUAUAUUUGGCCUAUAAUAUAUUUUUAUUGAUUUCGGUUAAUCAAUUAAUUCGGUUAAUUAGUCGAUUUCAAACUAAACUAAUUGGUAAACAAAAUCUUCAAAAACCUUUAACCAACUCCCAACCAAAUUAGAUUUGAUUGCUUAAUCAAAUUAAUUAGGUUUGAUAAAUUAAUUCGUUAAAACCAAAAAAUCCACACCCCUAUCAUCACCUUUAUUUUUAGGGAUUUUAAUCAUGUUGCUGCACCUGAUGCAGAAGUUGAGGUGGAACGAACUGCUUGCUACCACAAUUUAUGAAUUAUAGAGCAUGCUCCACCGUAGUGAAUCAAAUUCGGUGGAGUAGAAGACUUUUCUUCACUACUUUAUGCUCUAUGCUCCAAGUCUUCUAUUCUUCUUCUGAGACCUACAAUGGGAAAAUAAAAACUAAGAAACAAGUCUAAACUAACUUUGAAAAUUAGAAAUUUUCAACAAAAUUGAAAUAAAAUAUAAUUAAUCCAUAAAAAACUAUAAAAUGCAAUAAAAACAAACCUAAAUACUAAAAUUACCUCCUAAAAUGCUGUGGAAACUAUACUAAAAUAACUCUAAAUAUGAUAGUUAUCAGAAGCGACUUGAAUAAGCCAAUCGAGUAGAUGAUUUCAACUAUUGCAAAUAGCAUCAGUCGAUUAACCAUCCUCUUGAGAAGAUCAUAGAGUUGAAAGAAAAAAUCAUACAACUCCAUGAAGAAGAAAAAAUCAUGUUUGAAAAAGAAGUGGCAUUAUCAAACUUGACAUCAAUGCUUUGGUUUCUCAAUACAAUAUUAAGGAGAAAUUCAUCAAAUUUGGCUCUUUCACUCCUAUUACACUAGCUCUAAGUAGAAGUAAGAUGGUGAAUUUCGAAGGGAUUGGGGACAAUCAUCUAUUUUUGGAAUAUCAGAAUGGUCAUGAUUGGACUCAAAGAAGCCAAUGAAAUGCAUCUCUCCUAGGUAUAAGCUUAUAUUGUCACAUUGCUCCUAAGCACGAGCAUAAAUUGUUCAUCCAAAAUGAUGAUGCUCCUAAGCAUGAGCUUAAACUGUUCAUCUAAUGCUCCUAAGAAGGAGCCUAAACUAUUCAUAAAAAAUAAAUGAUGAUCCAGUGAAGCACGAGAUUAAACUAUUCAUACGAAAUAAAUGAUUACCUCCUAAGCAUGAAUUUAAAUUGUUCAUACAUAAUAAAUGAUGAUACUCCUAAGCAUGAGCUUAAAUAGCAGUCCAAAAAAAAUUGAACAACAUUAUAACUUUAUCUUUUAAAAAUGAAGGUACGUAGAUAGCCUGGUUUCAUUGCCAAGUUCAGUCAGUGAAACAAAUUCUUGAAAGUAGGAAGCAAAUAAAAUUUCAAGACUUGUACCCUUUCUACGCCCAACAAAAUUCAGAAUUCAGCAUUUGUUAUUACUGUUUAUCUCUAACUAAAUUAAUGAAAAGAUAAAUCAAGAAAUUAAAUCCUUUUAGAACUGUCUUAUAAAGAAACCAUAUUCUUUAAGGAUUACUUUAUCUAUAAUUAAUUAAAUUAAUAAGAUAUGAAUAAUAAUAAUAGAGUUUAAAUUCUUAUAGAACACUCAAAUGAAAAAGCUAAAUUCUACAACAACUCUCUUAUAUCAAAGUGAUUGGGCACUAUAAAAAUGGGUCACCUCCAAGUCAUUCUACACAUUCACAAGUUCAAGAAGUUCAAAAAUUCUUUACGAAAAUAUGAAGAAACUAAAGAAGUAGAAGAAAUUCUGAUGAACAUCAUAUCAGUUCUAAAGAAAAACUGCCUCCUAUCCAAUUCAAUUGAGAGGAGGAUGUCAACAGAAGAGAAGAAUCGAAGAAGUUUUGUUUGUAAAUAAAUUCAAAACUAUACACUCUUCGAAAUAAUAAAUAAAAUUUGACGCAAAAUUUUCAAGUCAAUUCUCAACUUAAAAUUUGCGUGUACAAUAUAUAUAGGAAAGAAUCCAUUUACAUUAUAUAAAACUAGUGUAUGUAUAAUACAGAAAUAUUUAGUACAUUAUCAAUAAAGUUUUUAAACUAUGCACUGUGAUUAAAACCAAAAUAAUAAUAAUAAUAACAACCAAUCACUUUAUUUGACUAACUUUUCCCUACAAGUCUUUAGUAUGGAGACAAAUCAGUUUAAUCAGCCUUUGGAGCUAUUAACUGACAUUUCCACCAUUGAUUUGAAAAUCCUAACCCAUCAAUUCACUUUAAAUGAAACGAGAUCCACUAGUGUUUGGUGUUAUAUUUUUAAAAUGUAUUUAGAUUAUUGUUUAUUAAUUUUAUUUGUUUAUAUUUAAAUCAAAUGUAAUAAAUUGUUGAAUUUAUAUACUUCAUAUUAUAACAAUAUAUUUUAACUUGCUACUUCUCUUUUUAAUUUAAUUUUUUGUAACUCUUCACAAUUUAUUUUGAAAAAAAUUGAAAAAACUAAAUGAUUAAAUUAAGGCUCAACUUUUCACUAACCUUAGUUUAUUUAGUCUAACUUUUCACAAAUUAAUAUACUCAUUUCAUGUUUCAUACCAACAACUUUUCUUUUUGGUAAAAAGAAAAAACAACUAUACGUUUUUUUUAAUCCCAAAAUUAAGGCUUUAUGAAUGAAAAUAAUAUUAUAUUAACUAUGAUAAUUAAGUCUUUAUUUUUAAUAUGAUUAAUAUUAUAUAUAAUAACUUUAAAUAUGCUUCCACUAAUCAGAUAUACUAAAGGAAAGAGUAACUUUCUUUUUAUGGUAACUAAUUUUCAAUUAUGUAUUUUAAUCUAUCACUAAAUAAUUAAUUAUAAUCAAGAUGUUAAUUUUCCAUAAAAUGUACAUAAUUUUGGUUGGUAUAUUAAUAAAUUUAGCCCUAAAAAUUUACACAUGCAAUUUGGUCUUAAUUUAACAAAAUUUUCCCGCAACAUUUGUGUAAAUAUGUAAAUGUUGAGGUUAAAUUUCUUGAAUUUUUUUUAAAAAAUUAAGGUCAAAAUGACAAAAAUAUAAAUAUUGAAAACUAAAUUUAUUACUGUACCAAUCAAAAUGACAAAAUAUAGCUAGGGACAUGGGCUUGACCGAGCCAACUCAACCUAUUUCAUCUGUUUCUAUUGACUUUUGCUCGACCCUACCCCAAAGACCUGUCAAUUUUGUUAAAAUUGAAAUAUUUAACUUGUUGGAGAAGACUAACUGUAGAAAAGUAAGUCAAUGCUAAAGUGAUAUGUCGACGUUUUGUUGUUUUCAAAAUAGUUGAUAAGCCUGAAAUUAUAAAAGAUAAUCAUGAGGUCUUAAAUGCAAUUAUGAUAUUUCUAAAAAGAUAUUUCUCAACAAUUUUUUUAAUUUCUUGAUUGAUGAAAACAAAUUUAGGUAUUUCCCAAUUUGUAAAAACAUGAUUUUUCUUUGAAUUUCUAGGUUUUUCUUAGCUUUUUUUUAUAUUAUUUUGGAAUUUUUGUAAUCUUCUUAUAAUUUCUUAAAAAAUAAUAUAUUUGUAAAAAUUUUUAAACCAUAAAUACCAAUUAAGAAGAAUGUGAUAAAAUUAGGGGUAAAUGUGUAUUUAAGCCAAAGAAAAUAAAAGAAUAAUAAUGAAAUUCACCUAAAAACAAUUACAAGGACUAGAUGAACAAUUUGACCUAAAACUUUGUUUGAAAUGAUGUCAUUAAUGUGUUACAUCAGCUUUCUUAGAGAGAUAAAAAUUAAAUGAAUAUGAGAUACAUGAAACUUGUAUCUCUUUCCAAUAAUUUAACAUUAUUUCAAUAUUUUCAUCUUGAAUUCACGAGUGAAGCGUACAUCAUAUACCAACUCAAUUGGAAAAAAGUCUUUAAAUUAUUUUUAAAUUGUAACAAAUAUUAUUAUUAAGAUGUUUUUCUUUUUAUAUUUUUUAUAAAAUAUAUUAAAAAACAAUUAAAAUAAUUUUAAGAGAAAAAAACUCAUACAAGGUAGAAUUUAAUCUAAAGAUGUCAAAGUUUUAAAGCCUCAACUUUAACAUUUCAACCGAAAUUCCAUUAGUAUAUAAAUAUUUAUAAAUAUAGAUUUUAUAUAAAAAAUUUUAUGUAAACUUUUUUUUAACCCGCAUCACAAGUACACCAUAUUUAGAGAUAUUCAUAGUUAGGCAGUCCACUUUGAGUCAAGCUUGAGCUUAGGUUUUCAAUCUCAAGUUGGCCCAAUUCAACUUAUUUUACUACUUAAAAAUAUAAAUAUAUGUUAUAUUGAUAUUUAUAUAUGUCUAUAGUUAAAAAAUUAUUAAAAAUAAAUUCAACUUAUUUAUUAAUUAAAAAUAUAAAUAUAUGUCUAUAAUUAAAUUUUAAAGAAAUUUAUUGUUAUUUUCUAAACAUAAAACAAAGAAAACUUUCACCCAAAUUAUAAGUUUGUGGUCAGGCAGCCCACUUUGGGACUGGAAUCAGCUUACUUUUUUAAUCUUGGGCUUUAAAAAUAAUAAAAAUAUAAAAAUAAUGUUCUAUUAAUAUUUAUAAAUUUUAUAAAUUUAAAUUUAAUUAUAUUUUUUAAACAGUAAAAUCAACCAUUUAUAUGGGCUAAAUUGAGUUAAGUUCGGUUUGCAUCAAGCCUUAACUUUGACCAAAUCCAACUAAAAACACCUCUAACCAUAAUCUAGUAUUGUUUUUAUGAAUUCAAUUUUAACUUGUAAUUUUCAAUUCUAUUACAAAAUUUCUUUGCCUACGAUAAGAAAAUAACAUAUUUGUAACUAAGUAAUUAAUUAAGUUAAUGUCACGAGUGAAUCAUACAUUAUAUGCCAACUCAAUUGGAAAAAGUUUUUAAAUUAUUUUUAAAUUGUAACAAAUAUUAUUAUUAAGAUGUUUUUCUUUUUAUAUUUUUUAUAAAAUAUAUUAAAAAACAAUUAGAAUAAUUUUAAGAGAAAAAAACUCAUACACGGUAGAAUUUAAUCUAAAGAUAUCAAAGUUUUAAAGCCUCAACUUUAACAUUUCAACUAAAAUUCCAUUAGUACAUAAAUAUUUUAUAAAUAUAGAUUUUAUAUUAAAAAAAUUAUGUAAACUUACAUAUAUGGUUCGUCAUGCAAAUGUUUAUUAUAUUUAAAAAUUAACAUAUAUGGUUAUUGAAUUUUAAUACUGGCUUGAGGAGUCGACUCUAUUGUAGAUUCUAGAUUAAUCUAAUAUUUCACCCUCUUUUAAUUUUCUUUAUUGGAAGAGUCUUUAAGAGAUAAGUUAAGUAGUAUAGCAGUUUCAUCUAAAACAACAUCUCUGCUAAUCACAACUUUUCUAUUUUUAGGACACCAUAACUUAUACCCUUUUACAUCAGCUUUAUAACCAAUAAAAACACAUUUAAUGAAUCUCGGUUCCAAUUUUUCAUUAUCAACAUGAGCUUACGAAGGACACCCAAAGAAUUUAAUCUAAAGAUAUCAAAGUUUUAAAGCCUCAACUUUAACAUUUCAACCGAAAUUCCAUUAGUAUAUAAAUAUUUUAUAAAUAUAGAUUUUAUAUAAAAAAAUUUUAUGUAAACUUUUUUUUAACCCGCAUCUCAAGUGUACCAUAUUUAAAGAUAUUCAUAGUUAGACGUCCACUUUGGGUCAAGCUUGAGCUUAUGUUUCCAAUCUCAAGUUGGCCCAAUUCAACUUCUUUUACUUUUUAAAAAUAUAAAUAUAUGUCUAUAAUUAAAUUUUAAAGAAAUUUAUUGUUAUUUUCUAAACAUAAAACAAAGAAAACUUUCAUCCAAAUUAUAAGUUUGUGGUUAGGCAGCCCACUUUGGGACAGGAUUCAGCUUACGUUUUUAAUCUUGGGCUUUAAAAAUAAUGUUCUAUUAAUAUUUACAAAUUUUAUAAAUUUAAAUUUAAUUAUAUUUUUUAAACAGUAAAAUCAACCAUUUAUAUGGGCUAAAUUGAGUUAAGUUCGGUUUGCAUCAAGCCUUAACUUUGACCAAAUCCAACUAAAAACACCUCUAACCAUAAUCUAGUAUUGUUUUUAUGAAUUGAAUUUUAACAUGUAAUUUUCAAUUUUAUUACAAAAUUUCUUUACCUACAAUAAGAAAAUAACAUAUUUGUAACUUCUCCAAUUCGACGUAAAUGUUCAGUCUGAAUUCAGAAGAUUACAUCAGCCAUAAAGAUGGCCUAGCAAGGUUAUUAGAGUUUUCAAAAACAGGCAUCUUUAAAAUGCUUGUUUAAUUUAUACAAAAACUUAUUUAAUUUCCAAAUUAUUUAUUACUUGAAAUCUUAAUUAUACUUUGAAAGCAAGAAGUGGUAACUAUUUAUUUUUAAUAAAAAUCAGGGUUCAUGUAUAAUUGAUUAAUAACUGUUAGAAUUAAGCGACCCGAAUCUUUAUUUAAAUGAAAUACAGUGGUAAAAUAAAAUAAAAUUAAAAUCCCUAUAGAACUACACUUAUUUUAUUUUAUUUUAGAAUAAGGAUUUUUAAACCUUAUUAAACUCCAUCCAUUUGAUAUUGAUUAGAAUAAGGUGUUUCAAUCUUACUACACUCCUAUUAGAAUAUGGUUUUACAAGCCUAUAAAUAGACAUAGUCUACUCCUCUUGUAAUUAUUCGAAUUCGACAUAGGGAUUUAUCUUCUCCUCUACCAAUAGCUUUUUCCCUGAAAGGGUUUCCACGUAAAAUCUGUGUGUUUUUUUUAUUUUUCUCCCUUUUAUUCUUUGCAAUACAUUGUCAUUACCAACAUUCUAUUUUUAGCAAAUUGGUAUCCAAGCUUCCAAUUUGUUCAUCUCAAUCAUGGUAAUGGCGUCUUUGAAGUAUGAAAUUCUGCUAUUGGAUCGCAACACCAGAUCCGCAUUGUGGCAGAUAAAGAUGCAGGCAGUUCUUACACAGAUAGACUUAGAGGAAGCCUUGCUAGGGGUAGAUAAAAUGUAUUCAACAUUAACAGAGGAAGAGAAGAAGCACAAGGAUCGAUAGGCGUUAACACAAUUACAUCUUCAUUUGUCCAACGAAAUUUCACAGUAUGGAGAAGACCGUCGCUGGAUUAUGGAAGAGGUUGGAACAAAUAUGUACGUCGAAUACUCUAACUAGCAAGUUGCAUAUGAAGCAGCUUCUUUAUGCUCAUCGUUUGGAGGAAGGUGUCUCUAUGCACGAACACUUAAUAGUGUUUAAAGGAAUUCUCUCGAACUUAGAGGUCAUGAAGGUUCAGUAUGAUAAUGAAGAUCUACGAUUGAUUCUACUUUGUUCGUUGCCUCUAUCUUAUUCAACCAUUAGAGAUGGGAUUUUAUAUAGCCGCGAGUCUCUCACAGUUGAUGAGGUUUAUGAUUCUUUAACCUCGUAUGAUAAGAUGAAGCAUCUUUUUCGUAAAACUGACUCUUAGGGAAUGGGUCUCAUUGUUCAUAGUAGAUAAGAUCAGAAUGCUGAUGAUGAUCGUGAAAGGACACAGGAAUAGAAUUCUCGCGAUAAAUCUAAGGAUAGAUCAAAGAUUUCAAGCAGAGGUAAAACUUGUAACUUCUGCAAGAAGAAAGGGCACAUUAAAUCUGACUGUUAUAAGCUACAAAUCAAUAUCAAAAGGGAGGUUGUGAAACAAAAUGGAAAACAACUAGAAUAUGUUGGUAAAGCUGAUGUUGUAGAAGACUAUAGCGAUGGUGAACUUCUAGUCACUUCUAUCAACAAUUCUAAAAUAAGCGAGGAGUGGAUCCUUGAUUUGGGCUGCACCUUUCACAUGAGUCCCAAUGGAUAUUGGUUUAUAACUUACGAAAUAGUGUUUGAAGGUGUUGUUUUGAUGGGAAAUAAUGCUUUAUGUAGAAUUGCAGGUGUUGGGACAAUAAAAGUUAAGAUGUUUGAUGGAGUUCUCAGAACACUUAAUGACGUACGACAUGUUCUAGAAUUGAAGAGAAAUUUAAUUUCAUUGAGUACUCUUAUUCAAAAGGUUAAAAAUACAUAGCUAAAAGUGGGGUUUUUAAUAUUUCCAAAGGUUCUCUCGUUGUGAUGAAAGGGCAGAGAAAGACUGCCAAGUUAUAUGUUUUGUAGGGUUUAGGAGUUCUUUGGCAUAUACGCCUAGGGCAUAUAAGUGAGAAUGACAUGGCAGAAUUGAGCAAAAGAGGACUUCUUGAUGGGCAAGGAAUUUGCAAACUGAAGUUCUGUGAUCACUGUAUUUUUGAGAAGUAAAAGAGAGUUCGAUUCAUCAGAGGAAUCUAUAACACGAAGGGAACAUUGGAGUAUAUUCAUUCUGAUCUGUCGGGGACACCCAGAGUGCAUUCAAGAGGUGGAGCUAAUUAUAUGCUAACUUUUAUUGAUGAUUUUUCUAGAAAAGUUUGGGCGUUCUUCCUAAAGCAGAAAAUCGAUGUGUUUUUCGCAUAUAAGUCUUGGAAAACUAUGAUUGAAAAACAUAUGGAAAAACAAAUAAAAUAUCUCCACAUAGAUAAUGGCUCAAAGUUCUGUUCUAAUCACUUUAAUAAACUGUGCAAGUCAGAAGGGAUCGUGAGACACUUGACAGUUUGCCACACUCCACAACAAAACGGUGUUGCAGAACGAAUGAACAGAAUGAUCGUGGAGAAGGUUUAAUGUAUGUUUUCAAAUGCCAACUUAACAAAGUUGUUUUGGGCCGAAGUAGCCUCUACUAUAUAUUUUUUGAUCAACCGAUCUCUAUCUAUUGCCAUUGAGAAAAAGACUCCACAAGAGGUAUGGUCUGGUAAUCCUGCUAACUGUUCUGAUUUAAAGAUCUUUGGGUGUCCUGUGAAUGCUCAUGUUGAUAAUGGAAAAUUGGAACUGAGAUCCAUUAAGUGUGUUUUUCUUGGUUAUAAAGCUGGUGCAAAAGGGUAUAAGUUAUGGUGCCCUAAAAAUAGAAAAGUUGUGAUUAGCAGAGAUGUUGUUUUUGAUGAAACUGCUAUGCUACCUAACUCAUCUCUUAAAUACUAUUCCAAUAAAGAAAAUAAAAAGCAGGUGGAGUAUCAGAGUAAUCCAAAAUCUACAACAGAGUCGACUCCUCAAGCCAAUACAAAAAUUCAAAAUAGAGUUGCUUCUUUACCACAAUACUCUAUCGUAAAAAAUAAAACUAGAAGAGAUAUUAAACCCUCAAAGAAAUAUGCCGAGGCUGAUCUAGUUGCUUAUGCUUUAAAUAUUGCUAAAGAUAUAGAUGCAAACCAAGAGCCAUCUAAUUAUUUUGAUCCGGUUAGCUAUAAAGACUCAGAAAAAUGGAUGUUUGCUAUGUAAGAGAAGAUGGAAUCACUCUACAAAAACAAAACAUGGGAUCUUGUAAAACUUCCUAAAGGUAAAAAGGUUGUUCGUUGUAAAUGGGUGUUUAAAAAGAAAAAGGGGACUCUGGGAGUUGAAGAACCCAGAUUUAAAGCAAGGCUUGUUGUAAAGGGUUACAGUCAAAUUCCAAGAGUGGACUUCACAGAUGUGUUCUCCCCAGUUGUGAAGCAUAGUUCGAUUUGAGCUUUGCUUGGUAUUGUGGCCAUGCAUGAUUUGGAGCUAACUGUAAAAACUACAUUUUUGCAUGAAGAACUUGAGGAUGAUACUUACACGCAACAACCAUAGGGUUUUAUAGUCUCAGAAAAAGAGGACUAUGUUUGCCUGUUGAAAAAGUCCUUUUACGGUUUGAAACAGUCACUAAGAAAGUGGUACAAGAGGUUUGUUUCCUUUAUGACUUCUUAUGAUUUUAAAAAAAGUAGCUUUGACAGUUGUGUUUACUUUAAGAAAAAUAGUGAUGAUUCUUUUGUGUAUCUACUUCUUUAUGUUGAUGACAUGUUGAUAGCAACAAAAGAUAAAUGAGAGAUAAGAAAGGUUAAAGCCCGACUAAGUGAAGAUUUUGAGAUGAAAGAUUUGGGACCAGUAAAGAAGAUACUUGAUAUAGAGAUUCUCAGAGAUAGAAAAGUAAGUAAAUUGUACCUAAGUCAGAAGGGGUACAUUGAGAAAGUUCUUUGCAAAUUCAAUAUGCAGAAUGCUAAGCCUGUUAGUACUCCUUUAGCAGCCUAUUUCAGACUUUCAUUGGCUUUGUCUCUACAAUCAAAUGAUGAGAUUGAGUACAUGUCAUAUUUUUCAUACUCUAGUACAAUGGGAUCUCUCAUGUAUGCUAUAUUUUGUUCACGUCCAAAUUUAUUAUAUGCAGUCAAUACAGUUAGUAGAUAUGUGGCAAAUCCUGGUAAAGAACAUUGGAAAAUACUGUUUCCAAAAAUUUAUGGAUUUCUGGUGAGUGAACUUCUAGUGAAAUUAUUGUGCUAAGUCCAUUGGGGCAGUCUGUUUGAGUAAGUACACUUUAUAGGAAUGUACCUUUGGAAGUACAAGGGAUUGUGUUUUCGGCAGAUCUGGUGAGGUUACUUCUAGUGAAAUUAUUGUACUAAGUCUGUUGGGGUAGUCUAUUCGAGUAAGUAGACUUUAUAGGAAUGUACCUUUGGAAGUACAAGGGAUUGUGUUUUCGGCGUUUUAUUCACAUAAAAGCAGCAAAAUUUAGCGACAUUGUCUACAGCGGCAUUUUUUACGGCGCUUGUGAAAGCGCCGCUAUAGGCCUAAAAAACACCGCUAAAAGCCUAUUUUGCUGCAGUGAAUUAAUAUUAUUAUAAGUAUAUUUUCACCUUUUCAUUCUUUUAUAUAAUCUUCAAGUAAAAUGAUUGAAAAAUAUUAUUUGAGAAUCAAACACAAGACUAACAAUAUUCAUAUAGAAAACGCUUAUCACUCCACUAAUAAUCAUUUGUUGAUGUAUUUUUGGUAAAAAGAGCCCUCCAAUCCCUCUUAAUUUCACAACUUCUCAAAUUAGUCCCUCUCAAAAAAAUUGGAGCAAUUUAAUCCCUAUCAAUUUUGAAAGUGAGUAACUAAGGACAAUUAAUUAUGGUGUUAAAUUCUUCAAUCAAUUGUACAUAAUUUUGAUUGGUAUAAUAAUAAAUUUAGCCUUUAAUGUUUAUGUAUUUUGUCAUUUUGGCCUUAAUUUUUUUAAAAAAAAUUCAAGAAAUUGAACCUCAACGUUUACAUAUUUGCACAAAUGUUGCAGGAAAAUUUUGUUAAAUUAAGACCAAAAUGCAAGUGUAAAUUUUGUUAAAUUAAGACCAUAUUUUCCCCCUUUAUUUUUUCAGUGCCGACCGGAAAAAAAAAUUUCAGUCUCAUCUAAAUAAGACAUACUUCAGCAGACCAAUAGACUGCAGAUCAGACCCAAUUCAAGGGUAAUGCAGUCCAAAGUUCCUUGAACUCCCUCCUCCAAAGUGAAAAACAAAUCUAUAUAUUUCUGCAUGAUUCAAACAGAAAGGACUGUUGGACAUGUAACUCAGAAAGAAUGCAAAUACAUUGAAAGUACCAUAGACUUUAUAAAUUAGUUUCAUGUUGUUAAAUUUCAACACUAUAAACCUAAAAAUUCCCAGAACGAAAUGCGGGAAUCAUGCCUUAAACUCCAAUACUCAAAUAAGAGACAGAUAAAUUGCACAUUUUUUAAUAUAAUAUUUACAGACUAGAGAUAAAAAUAUAGAAAAAUAUAAACAUGGACAUCGACAAAAAGACUAAUUGACUGUGCAUGUGUGCUAGAGAGUGGCAAUUAAACAUUAUCCAAACACAAUCAUUUCUCAACAUUUGUAAAACAAAAAGAAGAUUAAGAUUAGCAGUAAACUAAAUAAAACCAAAGAAGUGAGAACCACAAGUAAAUGAGAAAGAAAACAAAAUAGAGAUCCUAGUAGCUUUCCCAUUGAACUUCGUAUAAGAGAAAUAACAACAUUUGAACUUUAAGCAAAUAAAAAUGUAAAAUAUUCAGAAUCAAAACAAUCUUUUAUCAAAAUUCAAGCCAAAAACAAUGAGCUUCACUCUAUACAAGAAGCAUGUUAAAGUCAUAGGCUUUCUCGUUUCUGGAAACCAAAUCCAGAAACGUCUCCCACCAAAAAUCAAGAAAAUAACUUCUGUUUUUGAAAAUCACAUUCAAAUCGUGAAAUAGGAGCAAGGUCCUUCAAAUUCAAGCAAAGUUGGUAGUAAAAGCUUAACUUUCAAAGGUCAAACAACACAGCAUUAAGUAUAAAACUAACCCAAUCUCCACCAAUUCAAAAACAAGAAACCAAACACGAACCCGAAGAUCCAAACACGAUUUCGAAAAAAAAAAAUAGAUAUUCCUGAAAAUCGGAUAAAAAACUAGCAUAUACUUAAUGAAAAGAGAAAUUGACGAAAAAUCACAAGAGAUCUGCAUGCAAAUAUAGGCACACUUUUGCUUGAUUAUUCGCUUAAAAAAGUAACAAUGGAAAACAAGAUGCAAGUGUCACGGGCCGCAGUUCAAAGCCCGUGACCAGCGCACCAAAUGCAUCCAAUAGAGAUCUAUUGCUCAGAUAGGGAUCAUUUGGCCCACAAGAACUGGCUCGAUUCAAGGAGCUAUUGGACAAGCCUGUCAGAUUGAAGCCUGGUUGGCCCGAAAACGAAGAGAUGGCAACUUAGGCUAAUAUGGUAACUAAUCUUAGAAGAUAGAGGGAAUCUUAUCUUGUAAAGAUUAGAUUAGAUUAGAUAAGGCUUAUCUUGUAAAUCCCUAAAAUUAAGGGAUAUGGGUUAAUCUCAUCCGUCGAUGUAAAUGUAUAUUGACCGUCGAUUUUGGGGGAGAUCAACUAUAAAUAGAGAGCCUCCCCCUCAUUUGUACUCACUCUUGUAAUUAUUUCAUUAUUCUUUGUGAAUAAGAGAAUUGAGAGCAUUUACUCAAACACUUUACGAGCGUCCUUUCUGUUGUUCUUUUGUUUAGCUUCUUUUGGCACAAUCGCUUCCGCUAUACAAAUUGGUGCCUUGGAGGAGUUCUAAAAGAAUCCUCACUUGAGUUAAGCCUGACUUGGGCGAGUUUGGAUGAACAAAUUGUCUAAGGCUGCACGAAUUACGAGACGAAAGGUCUAGCCCUGUGACAAGUGGUAUCAGAGCCAAGUUUUGAACCAAGUGACAUUCGAGUUGGUUUGAAGGCACCGUUGGGAUGUCAAGAGAAGAGUUCGAACAAAGGUGGGAGAAGAAGUAUUUGAGGGAGACAUUAUCGGUAGUAGAGAAACGUGUGGGUAAACUCGAGGGAUCCAUGGAGGAUGUAAAGGAGGCACUCGAUGGGGUCGAGGAUCACAUUGCAAACUGGAAGGAGCAGUCUAGAGACUAUGUAAAGAUGUCUCUUAGUUCCAUCAUGGAUAUGGUAAACGAGUUGUUUAAUUCACACAGGGAUAAGCUGUCGGAAAGGAAUGAUGCUCUCGAGGCCAAAAUGAUGGCUUUGAAAGAGGAAACAAUGGCCACGACGAGGGCUUUGAGCACAAGAAUAGAGGAGCUCGAGGGAGAGCUGGCCUUGUGUUGAGCAGCCGUGAGGAAAGGAGUGGCAAAUGUAGCACUCAGUAACGAGGAUGUCCCAAAGCUGAAAGAGUUUGUGGGGACAAGGUCUGCGUGCGAUGUGGAUAAUUUCUUAUGGAGGAUGGAAAACUACUUCCGUGCCAAAGGCGUCAUGGAUGAUACGGUUAAGGUAAACACUACUUCAAUGUUUCUUACUGCCAUUGCACUUUUAUGGUGGAGAGGUAGGACCACAAAUAAAAGGCAAGGUGAGAUUGGGACGUAGCAAGAGUUCCAAUGCGAAUUGAAGGGACAGUUUUACCCAGAGUUUACCGAGGAAGAAGCUCGGGCAAAGUUGCAAGGGAUAACGUAACAGGGCACAGUGGGGGAGUAUGUUCGAGAGUUCAAGGAACUCAUGCUCCAAGUUUUAAAGGUGACCGAAAGAGAGGCAUUGCUUGCUUUUCAAAAUGGAUUGAAGCCGUGGGUCAGACAGGAGGUGGAACAAAGAGGUGUCCAAAAGCUAUCGGAAGCCAUGACGGUAGUUGAGUCUGUGGUUAAGCUUAGUCUAGGGAAAGACAAGCUUGGAUCUUCCAAGUCCGAUGGAAGGGGUAUAUGUGAAAUGGAUCAAAAGGAAGAUAGUGUUGAUGGCAAUGGCAACGGCAACAAUGGUGGUAAUGGGAAACCAUGAGUUGGGAAGAAGAAACCCAAGAGGAAAAGGGACAAGCUAAAAUGCUUUCUCUGCGACGGUCCACACAUGCUGAAGAAAUGUCUGAAAAAUUUGAGCUCAAGGAGAAGCCGGUGGGUAAGGCCUUGGUACUUGGUUCGAGCGCAAGGGGUGUCGAAGCCAAGAAGGCCAAAAGUAAGAAGAAGCCAGUGGAGUGGUUCUUGUGUCAUGGUCCGCAUAGGUUACGAAAGUGUCCGAGGAAGUCUAUCAUCGAGGGGAAUGAUGGAGCAGACAAGGAGCCCAAGAAGCUUGGUUCGAGCAAGGGAAAAGCCGAAGCCAAAGGGGCAAAAGGGAGCAAAAAGAAGCGAGUAAAGUGCUUCUUGUGCCGUGGUCCGCAUGAGUUACGGAACUGUCCAAAGCAAGCCGGAGUCAUAAGAAAGGCAACGUCUGAGCUUGGUGAGUCAUCGGAGGGGCUUCCACCCAAGGAAGAGGUGAGUUUGUCAUCGAACUUAAAGGAAAUAGUUGCGAUGAAAACAGUGAAGCUGGGACCAAUGAGGCUCAAGUUGAGUGAAGCGUCGGAGUUGGCCGAGUCAUCGAUAAGGCUUCCACCUAUGGGAGAGGUGGGUGGUGCAUCAGACUUCAAGGGAAAAGAAGGGAUGCAUGUGGGACAGUUGACCAGAGUAAAUGCGACGAGUAGGACGGUUUGAGUUAAGAAGCGACGUAAGCCGAGGCAAAAAUCCCGAAGGAAGGGAAAGGCUAAGGCAUUGAGACAAGACCGAGGUGAAUCGAGUCAGUGCCAUUCAAAAGUCACAACGAGGACGGUGCAAGAAUGUGUGGGGGAGAAUGUCACGGGCCGCAGUUCAAAGCCCAUGACCAGCGCACCAAAUGCAUCCAAUGGAGGUUUGUUGCUCAGAUGUGGAUCAUUUGGCCCACAAGAACUGGCUCGAUUUAAGGAGCUAUUGGACAAGCCUGUCAGAUUGAAGCUUGGUUGGCCCGAUAACGGAGAGAUGGAAACUUAGGCUAAUAUGGUAACUAAUCUUAGAAGAUAGAGGGAAUCUUAUAUUGUAAAGAUUAGAUUAGAUUAGAUAAGGCUUAUCUUGUAAAUCCUAAAAUUAAAGGAUAUGGGUUAAUCUCAUCCGUCGAUGUAAAUGUAUCUUGACCGUCGGUUUUGGGGGAGCUCAACUAUAAAUAGAGAGCCUCCCCCUCAUUUGUACUCACUCCUGUAAUUGUUUCAUUAUUCUUUGUGAAUAAGAGAAUUGAGAUCAUUUACUCAAACACUUUGUGAGCGUCCUUUCUAAUGUUCUUUUGUUUAGCUUCUUUUGGCACAAUCGCUUCCGCUAUACAAAUUGGUACCUUGGAGGAGUUCUAAAAGAAUCCUCACUUGAGUUAAGGCUAACUUGGGUGAGUUUGAACGAACGGAUCGCCUAAGGCCUCACAGAUUGUGAGACGAAAGGUCUAGCCCCGUGACACAAGUGCUAGGUAAAACCAUCAUGUCUGCUUACUCACCACAAACAAAGGCCCUCUAGGACCUUCAUGAAUUUUUGUCUUAUAAGUGCUUCCAUUGUGAGCCUGAACAGCUUGAUAGCCCACAAGAUAAGGAUAUCGAUCUUUACCCUACAGAUUAACAAGGUUAAAUCCACUUAAAUGAAGCACCAUUAGUCUAUAACAAUUUACUUCAAUUUUCUGCUGUUAGUUCAAAUAUUUAUUUUUUUAAUUUGCCAAAACUUGCUAGGAUCGAAGAUUUGGAAUUCCUAAAUUUCAAUUACAAAUUUACACCGUACUUGCAGAAAAAUAUAUUACUAUUAGAGACACCAGCAAUCAACCAGAGUUCUUUAGUUUUCAAUCAAGUUAUUCGACAGGUAUCUAUAUUGAUUACACAAAAAAAAUCAUACACCGUGAGAAUGUCGAGUAAAUUACAAAUACAAAAGCAAACGAACCCUAAAGGAGCUCCAAUACUUCUUCUCCCAGGGGCCUUUGUAUAGAGAUCCAAUGGAAACGAUCUCUAGAUCCUCUAAUUUCGUUGUUUGUUCUCCUUUUUUUGUUUUCGCCAUUCAAAGAAAUGAGAAGAAAGCAAGAUUUCCAAACAACUAACAAUAAGAGAGUAGAGAGGAUUUUCAAGAUAGACGAAGACAUGGCAUUUUAAAAUAGGGGAACUAAAAUCUUAAAAUGCAUGAUUUCCCUUGAAAUUCUAAAUAAAAACUUUAUUUGAUUAGGAAAAAUGUGAAUUGAUUUUGGGAAAAAGAAGGGAAAAAAAAGAAAAGAUUUCAUUUGAAAUAUUGGGAUAAAAAAAUAUAAUUACAAAACGACGCCGUUUUGAAAAAAACAUAUUCGUGGCGUUUGGAAAAAAAAGUCACUAUUGCUCGACUUUUAGCGACAUUUGGACCAAAAACGCUACUAUUGUUCAACUUUUUUCUGCAUUUACAACAAAAAAGCCGCUAUUGCUUACCUUUUGCGGCGUUUUUUUUAUAAAUGCCGCUAACACUUGACUUUUUUACAAUUUUUAUAUUGAAUUAUUGUAUCUUUCAUAUAAAUUUUAAAUGAAUAAUUUUUAGUUUUUGUAUUUCAUUUUUAUUUUUGUAUUUCAUUUUUAUUUGUUAUAAUUUUGUCCUAUCCAAAAUAGAUAGUUACCUAUCCAUAUCAAUCUGUUACUUUUUUUUAUUUAUUUAUCAAUAUUUUUUUAAAUUUAAUAGUUAAAUAUAUUAAAUGGUUUAGAUUUAAUAUUUUUAAAUAUAAAAGCAUUAAUUGAUUGUAUAAAAUUUUAUCAUUUAACAAAUCUCAAGUAAACCUUAAAUCCUAAACCAUUUAAUAUAUAUAAAGUUUAUCUAUUAUCUCUUAAAUAAUUUAAACUAUAAUCAUAAUUUUAAUAUAUUAAAAUUAAAAUUAAAAUGAUCUCUUUUACAAUUAUAUAAGAAAUUAUUUAAUAUAUAAAUUAAAAAACACUAAUUAACCUAAACCCUAAACCCUAAACCCCUAUCCCCUAAACCUUGAAUUAUAAAACAUAAAACAUAAACCCUAAAUCCCUGAAUCCCUAACCCUUAACCCCUAACCCCUAACCCCUAAACCUUAAACCCCAACCCUUAAACCAUAAUCCCUAAACCCAUAAUCCAUAAUCCAUAAACCUUAAAAUAGUAACUCUUAAACCUUAAACCCUAAACCAUAAACCCUAAACUAUAAUGAUAAUUAAUUCAAUAUUUUAAAAUUAAUACUAUCUCUUUUACGAUUAUAUAAGAAAUUAUUUAAUAUAUAAAUUAAAAACAAUCAGUCAUGUACCCAAGAAACUUUAAAAUUAUUUUAAAUAAUAUAUUUUAAUUUUUUCAUUUUUAACAAAUAUUUUCUAUGUUUUUACUUUCAAAAUUUCUCUACGUGUCAUUAUUUUUUUCUGAAGAAUUUAAAUAUUCAAUUAAAAAUAAAUUUAUUUUAAUUAAUAUAAAUAAAGCGGUUAAAUAAUAAAUAGACAGAUAAAAUACUUUUUGCGGUGAUUUUCAUAAAGUGCCGCUAAAGCUCGAUCUACAGCGGCGUUUUACGAAAAAGAGUCUUACUGAAUUUUUUGGGGCAUUUUUCAAAAAGCGCCACUAAUUCUCGAUCUAUAGUGGCGUUUUUCAAGAAGCGCCGCUAAUGCCACUAAAGCUCAACAUAAAACACCAGCAUUGAGCUUAAUUUUUUUGCGGCGUUUUUCAAAAAGAGCCGCUAAUGGUAGACCUAUAGCGGCGUUUUUCAAAAAGCGCCACUAAAGCUCAACAUAAAACACCGGCGUUGUGCUUAAUUUUUUUACGGCAUUUUUCAAAAAGCGCCGCUAAUGGUCGACUUAUAGCAGUGGUUUUAAAAAAGACCCACUAAUGCUCGAUCUAUAGCGGCAUUUUUCAAAAAGCGCCGCUAAUGCUCGAUCUAUAGUAGCGUUUUUUAUCCAAACGCCGCUAAAAAUGCCACUAAAAACCUAUUUUGCUGUAGUGAUUUGUGGGGUAAGUGGUUGAACAUUUUAAUAUAGACUGACUUUUCUAUAAUUAGUCCUUGCUUUAAUUACUUUGGGUGGAUUCUUCCAACUAGUCCAAGCAUUAUUGUACAAUUACAAUUAAUCUUUUUAAAUGAGACAAACAUUUCAAAUUUGUCAUUACUAUUUGUGAGUGAUUUGGGGGUAAGAAGUUUAACUCUUCUGGAUGUCUUAUAGAAUUGUGAUUAUACUUUUUGAGUAUUGACUCAGUUUUCCACAAUUGUGGGUCUCUAUUUGAGCAAAACAAUUUCAACAUUUCUUCAUCUCGUUUAAUCCAAAUGCAUUUAUGCAUUUCUUAUAUCAUUGAAUUUGCUGCUUCAUAUUCAAUUUUUGGACAAGUAGAAUUUUCUAACCUAUUUUCCAUCAACUUCACUUGAAUUUUCAAUCACAAUCAAUUGCAUUCAAGAGCACCACAUCUUUUUGGAUGAAACAAAAAUUUCAAUUUUAAGAUAAACGGGUCUUUAGGGUUAUAAUUUCAAUUUUUAAAAGUUUAAAAUAAAUUUGUAUUUUUAUUAACAAAAUGUAUAUAAAAAAAAACUUGUUUAGACAAGCCAAGAGACCUUUGGGAUCAUACGGGUGAUUUUGAUGAUGUUAAUGGUUAUUUUGGUGGAGAGAGUGAAAAAGAAACAAAUGAUUCAUUAUAUAUAUUAUAAUUAUGAAAUUCAAGCCAUAUAUUGUAUGUUUCAUACAUAAAAAAAAUUGGAGCAAUUUAAUCCCUAUCAAUUUUGAAAGUGAGUAACUAAGGACAAUUAAUUAUGGUGUUAAAUUCUUCCAUCAAUUGUACAUAAUUUUGAUUGGUAUAGUAAUAAAUUUAGCCUUCAAUAUUUAUAUAUUUUUUCAUUUUGGCCUUAAUUUUUUUUAAAAAAUUCAAGAAAUUCAACCUCAACAUUUACAUAUUUACACAAACAUUGCGGGAAAAUUUUGUUAAAUUAAGACCAAAUUGCAAGUGUAAAUUUUGAGGGCUAAAUUUAUUAUUAUACCAACCAAAAUCAUGUACAUUUUAUGGAAAAUUAACAUCUUGAUUAAUUAUUCUUAGUUGUUCACUUUCAAAAUUAAUAGGGACUAAAUUACUUUGAUUUUUUUAGGGUGACCAAUUUCCUCAAAGUGGAAAUUGAGAGAGACUAUUGAGAUCUUUUGCAUAUUUCUUUUAUAAAUAUAUUUUUUAAAUAUAAAAUAUAUUUGUUCACACACAUCGUGAGUAUGAUCUCAAUAGUCCACAUAAUCCAUUAAAAAAACUUAAAAAAUAUAUUUUAUUUUUUAACACCUAAGUGAUUCUCCAGCUAACGACCACCCAAGACACACCCCGACUUUAUAACACCCCAAUCUUAUUUAAUUAUUAGUUAUUUAUUAAUGCAGAAGUAAAUUAUGAGCCAAUUUUAAUCUUUUCCUCGGUAAUUUAACCUAAGGCCAAUUUCAUCAUUUUACCACCUAUUGUAAAACUAACCCGAUUUUAGAUAUAACAACAUGUUUGGUUUGGUGUAAUAGAUUAGCCAUUACACCCCUAUUUCGUGGGCCCCACUAAUCCCCACUUAUUCUUGUGUUUGGUUUGAUGUAUUGCCUAUUACAGGCCUAUUACAACACGAAUGUAUUCCUCAUUUUCUCUGCUUCAACAAUGAUUAGCCAUUCCGUUCCAAAAGUAAGGAUUAGCUAAUCGUCUCUGUUUUACCCUCCUCAGCCAAAAUCUACUGCUCCACCCCACCCUCUCCCUCCCAACAUCAACAGCAGUUUUCUUCGAACCAAAUCUCCACCGUCUCAGAUCGCCUGUGAGUAAUCUCAACAGCAGUUGCCAGUGAAAAUUGCCCUUUCUUCAAAAACCCAGCCCUAAACCCUUCUUCUCUUUCAAUACUCCAUUCGAACAGGUUGCGGUGUCUCCCUCCUCUGAGGUAUGGCUCUGUUUCUUUAACUUUAGCAUUGAGCGACUCUUUUCAAUUCCAAAAUUAGUCUACUCUGCUAAGGGUUCUUGCUUUUCAAACCAUUUUUUCACCAUUUUUCUUGUAAUUCUUUUUCUUGUUAGAGUUCAGAUUUUAGAUUUUUUUUAAAAAAAAACGAUUAGAUUGUGAGGUUCAGUUAAUUAUUAGGGUUUUCUGUUUUGGGUUUCCCUGUUGCGUGGUAAUUUUGAAGUGCAUAUAAAAUGGAUGCUUUUGAGGAUCUUAAGCAAUUCGGCGAUACUGAUAAAGGUUGAUAUUCGAUUCAUUUUGCUUUAAUUUACUUGGUUUAUGCAUUUUGGGGAUAAAAUUAGCUUUGUUUUCUUCUCUUUUGGUUGGCUUUAAGCUGAGAGUAAAAUUUGAAACCUUUGUGGUGGAGGAGUUACCGUUCUUCUGAGAUCAAAUGUAUAACAGGUUAGAAGGAAAUGAAAUUAGAUCCUUAAAUAUUGUGUUUUCAAUGUUAAGGGCAGGCUUUUGUUGCUAAAACAAUUGUGGUAACACUGUUUGAUUCAGUUAGAAGUCAAAUGUCGUUUCCAUGUGUGAACAAUUUCUGGUUUUUAAGUAGCGACUUUGUUUCAUGUUGGCCUGGACAUUUUCCAAAUUAGUAAUUAUAAGUUUGAAUUUGGCUACUAAAUCACGCCAAUUAAUGAUUUCAGUGUGCUGGUGUUUCAGACUUUCAGUUGAAUUGACUUUGGUUUCGAAUAUUUUUAGUGAUGGAAAUAAGCACGAUUUAUUUAAAUUAUGAUUGAAUUGGAGAAACUGCUUUUUGUACAUUUUGAGAAAUAUCAGGCCCUUGGAUACACAAAGGGUGUUAACUUGCGCCUAUCUCAAUUACCCCAUUCCUGCCCAUUGAAUUGGAGAAAGUUCUUUUUUUUAAUGAUUCUGCGUUGCUACUGAUUUUUAGUGAAAUGGUAUUUUUCUUAUGAUGUGUUUUCUUCUUUAUGAAGAGCUCAUUUCAGUAAAGUUAACCUUUCUAUUAUGCAGAAGGUGCAGUAUUUGAUGCAUCACAAUAUGCAUUUUUUGGAAACAAUGUUCUCGAGGAAGUUGAAUUGGGGGGGCUAGAUGAUGAGGAUGAGGAUUUACCUGCAGCUGGACUUGAUGAAGAGGAGUUUUUGUUUGAUCAAGAGGAGGUUAAUAUUCUUGUUUCUUUCAGUUUUAUUUUUCCUGUUUCGAUUGUUCUUGCAAGUUUCUGCAGCAUAGCACAACCAGUGACUAUUCGAUCGAAAAAUAAAUGUAUCCCUUCCAGGCGUCAUGCUAAAAAAUAGCCUUUUGGAUUAGUGUUGGAUUUUUUCUCCAUGUUCUUUAACAGAUAGAUUCCACUGCAUUCAAUUAGUGGUUGGCAUGCGAGUUUUAUUUGUGGAAUAAAGCUCUGUGGGAGUUCAUAUUAUAUAUUGUUCUAUUUGUCUGUGCAAAACAUUGUGAACCUUGUUCUCUGUAUUUAUAAGUUGACAAUGUAGCCAUCUUGGUUGGCUGCUUUCCGAAGUCAAUUUAUUUGAUUCGUUCUCUUUGCUCUUCACAAUGAGAGGUAGCUCUUUUGUACUUUUUUAAUAAGAUCAUAUUAUACAUGCUCUUUUGCAGUGGUCUAGUGGUUUAGUAUCUUGUUAAUAAAACCAUAUUGUAUAUUUGAAUAGUUUGGAGAUUGUGUUAACUGUAUUUGGUGCAUCUUGAAGUAAUGUUUGUUGUAUCUUAUAUGCUUCCUGAAUCAAAUAUGGAGAGAAGGUAGUAUAUGGAGUUUAUAUUUUCAAGUAUUUUUCACACAAUUGAUUUAUCUGUUCCCUUCAUUGAGGGGAAAACAUGGAAUGAAUUGACUUACACCUCACUUCUUCCUCAAACAUCUUUUGUACCACUUAUUUUCAUAAAAUGAUAAGAAUCUUUUUAGAUUACAACUUCCAGAGGUCUAUGUCACCUUCUUGACAAUCAGGUUUUUAGGAAUAUUUUUACCCAUCAUGCAGAAGUUUUAGACAAAAUCUUGUUCGUGGUUGCUGCUAGAUGCAUGAUACUGCCUCAUUUCCUUUGUGGUGGUUCUUCGCUCUCCCCCUUCUUAGUAUUUUUGGUUGUUGAGUCUUGGAGGCAGUUGUAUUCAGUAAUGGCUGGCUUGCUUUGAUGCAUUGCUUCUGUAUAUCUUUGUAGAAAACGAAUCUGUAUCUAUUAUUAACACAAAUUUGAUUAGUUCAUGCCAAUGGAUUUGUAAAGUUAAAUUAGUUAUUGGCGUUAGAAAUUUACUCUUAUGCCUGGAAGGAGAUCUGGCUUACAGAUCAACUACUGGAGUUAAUUGUGGAAAUUUGUUUGAUUUGGUUUCUUAUAAAAUUGUUACCCUGUUCUAUUUAUGUUGGAGUAGCUGAAAUCUGAGGUUGCAUUUGUCAUUAACAAAUAGAAAUCCAAAAAGAGAGGAAAGUGAUAUCAUCCCCUCCACUUUUUCCUUGGAAUUGCGUACUUCAAACUUUUUUAAUUGUAUAAAUUCAUAUAAGAAAAUUUAUUAUGAUGUUGUAAAACUAUAAAACAUAUGGAUUAUGAUGUAGAAUUUCAUUUUCAUCUAACCUUUUCUUAAUAUAAGUUAAUUAUGUUUAUGCAGAAUAUAAUCUCAAGUUAUAAUUUGAUUUUAGUAAAUUCAUAUAAGAACAUUUUAUUAUUAAAUUAUAUUUAAUAUUAAUUAUUUUAAAUUGUAUAAAUUCAUAUAAGAAAAUUUAUUAUCAAGAAUUUUAUGAAAUUAUAUAUCAUUAUUAAAUUAUAUUUAAUAUUAAUUAUUUUAAAUUAUAUAAAUUCAUAUAAGAAAAUUUAUUAUCACGAAUUUUAUGAAAUUAUAUAUUAUUAUUAAUUAUAUUUAAUAAUAAUUAUUUUAAAUUAUACAAAUUCAUAUAAGAAAAUUUAUUAGUUAUAAUUAUUUUAAAUUUUAUUAAAUCAUAUAUUUUAAUUAAAAUAUUUUUAAUAUUAAUUACUUCAAAUUAUAUUUUAUAGUAUCAUAUAUUAUGAUUUUAGUAAAUUCAUAUAAGAAUUUUGAUUAUUAAGAAUUUUAUUAAAUUAUAUAUUUUAAUUAAAAUAUAUUUAAUAAUAAUAAUGUUAAAUUAUCUUUUAUCGUAUCAUAUAUUAUGAUUUGAGUAAAUUCAUAUAAGAAUAUUAAUUUUUAAGAAUUUUACUAAAUUAUAUAUUUUAAUUAUAAUAUAUUUAAUAAUAAUUAUGUUAAAUUAUAUUUUAUAGUAUCAUAUAUUAUGAUUUGAGUAAAUUCAUAUAAGAUAUUGAUUAUUAAGAAUUUUAUUAAAUUAUAUAUUUUAAUUUAAUAUAUUUAAUAAUUAUUAUGUUAAAUUAUCUUUUAUAGUAUCAUAUAUUAUGAUUUGAGCAAAUUCAUAUAAGAAUAUUAAUUAUUAAUAAUUUUAUUAAAUUAUAUAUUUUAAUUAUAAUAUAUUUAAUAAUAAUUAUGUUUAAAUAUGAUUAAAUUAUUUAUUAUUGAUAUUAUUAAUCUUAUUAAAAUUUAAAUAACAAUAACAAUAAUCAUUUACCCAAACAAAUUUAUGCUAAUGGUAUUCUAGUCAUUUUAGUUUUUUUCCAUUAUGCUAUUACACCUCUAUUCCAUUCAACCAAACACAAGAAUACUAUUACGCCUCUAUUCCAUUACGCCUCUAUUCCAUUCAACCAAACAAUUGAUUUGCUAUUACGCCUCUAUUCCAUUACACCUCUAUUCCAUUACGCCUCUAUUCCAAUACAGCGAACCAAACGUGCUGUAAGUGUUUACCAACCUUCUUUUAGUUAAAUUAUGCAAGCCUAAAAUUUUCAGCUUUAUUUGAGUACGUUUUCUAUGUCUAAUUCAAGUUUUAUUAUUAAGGACUAAAUUGUAACUUAAACAAAUUAGAAUACCAAUUUAAAGAGACAAAAUUCAAAACCCCAAAACCCACACGGGCAUGUGGGUAAGUGGCACGGGCCAGUGGAGACUGGAGCUAUCACAUAAGGCGAGUGAGAUUGAAACAUAUGAAAUAAAUUAAUCCACUUAAUUUUCCAACAACCAUGCUAUACUACCAAACCAAAUAACGAGUGAAGCUUUGAAUAGGGGCGAAUCUAAAAAAAAAAUUAGAAGAAUUAGAAUUAAAUUAUAAAAUUUUGAGAAGUUAUCAUGUAUUAAUUUAUUAUUUUUUUAAAGGGUCCUAAUAGAAUUUUUUUCCCAUUCUGGUUGGGCCAAUACCUUUGACUGCCUCUUUAAAUUUGCUUCAACCCUAAACCCAAUAUUCGAUUUGGAUUAACAACAAUAUAUAGGUUUGUAUUUGUGGGAGUUUGACGAAUAAAAAUUUCUAUUUAAAAGGUUUAAAUUAUAAAUUUUUGAAAGUUUAAAAUAAAUUUGUAUUUUUUAUUAACAAAAUAUAAAAGAAAAAAAACAUGUUUAGACAAGACAAGAAACCUUGGGAUCAUACGGGUGAUUUUGAUGAUGUUAAUGGUUAUUUUGGUGGAGAGGGUAAACACGAAACAAAUGAUUCAUUAUAUAUAAUAUAAUUAUGAAAUUCAAGCCAUAUAUUGUACUUUUGGUUUUUCUGCAAUAUGAUACAUGUAUUUGGUAAAAAGUUAUAUAUUUUGAUACUUAAAAGUAACAUUGUUAAUUUUUUUAGUGCUUAAUCUGAAUUUUAGAGUUUAUUUAAUGAACAUUAAUUGUUAAUAUUGUUAUGUUUAUUUUUUUAUGAUUUUGUUAAUAAAAUAAAUUUUAUGUUUAUCUUGUUAUCUUUUUUAUUUUAGAAUUGAUUACAUGAAAGUUAAUUGCUAAUAUUAUUAGUUAACUAUUAGUUUUCUUCAAAUCAAAUUAAAACCCGAAAGAUCCCACUUUUUUUUUAUAUUAGUUUUAGUUAUCCAUUAAAUUUGUUUCUUUGUAAUAAAAUUAAAUUAUAGAAAUAACAUUAAAAUUUUAAAUAAAAUUAAUUCACAAUAAUUAUACAGAAUUUAAUUUUCUUUCAAAUACUGCAGUUAAUAAGGAAAGUGAAUAUAGUAAAAAGAAAUAUUGUUUAAUUAGUUAAUUUAAAAAUCAAUAGCGUCUAAAAACUGUCAGAAUGGAAUAUUAGAUUUUAUAAGAUUUCAUUAUUCUAAAAAAUAAAAUAUGACAAUGCUUAAAAAUUUUAUCAAAAAAGUUUUAAAUUUUAUAUAAAAUUUUAAAAAAUAAAAAAACAGUAUUAAAAAUUUUUAUAAGCAAAUUAAAUAUUAAUUAGUAAAUUAUUUUUGUAAUAUUUAUAUGUAUUUUCAUUUUUAUAAAUACUAUUAAAACUUUUUUUAAAAAAAUUGAAUGCUAUGUAAAAACAUUAUUAAAAAUAAAAUAUUAUAUGAAAGUUAAAAUGAUGUAAAAACAUAUUUUCAGUGUUGGCGUUGCUCGUUCGUAAAUGGGUUAGUUUCCGUUUUGAUGUGUUUUUACGUGGAUAGUAAAAGAAAUGUGUUAAUUUUUGGAUUAUGGAGUUGAUCGUUUUUAAUCAAUUCUCCAGUAAGUUGACUCGUUUGUUGUUGUUAUGUGCUAGGAUAAGAGAUUAAUUCUGAUUUGGGCCUGUGUGGUUGUGUAGAUUUUCCAUGUGAAAUCGUUUGGUAUUUUUAGGAUAAAUCAUUCUUUAAAUCGUAUUGCUACCAUCGCGAAUGUGAUGUUUUAAUUUAUGCAUUUAGGAUCUGGUAGUCUUAUAGGUGUUUUCGCAUAAAAAAUUGAACCAUGUGUGUAACGAAAGCUAAAAAAUUGCACUGUUGACGCCACACGGCCAUGUGACAAGUCGUGUGCUGGAUCAUGUGUAACACACGAUUUGAGCUAGUUGAGCCAUGUGGAAAACAAAGGUGUGUGUGAAGGCGUGUGCCACACCAUGUGGGCCACACAGGCUGGCCAUUUAGGCCGUAUGGGACCAAAAUUCUAAUUUUUUUCCUAGGGUUAUACACAGUGUGUAUACUUGUCUUUGAAUUGAAAAAUUCUAAACAACUCUAAAUAAAUGGAAAGCAGCAAAUUACCUGACGAGGCAAGCUAGGUCAAUUACGACCAUUGUGUUAUUCUUGUCUCUGAAUUGAAAAUUUUAGAAGAAACUAAAGAGAAAGUGUUAGAAAAUAAUUGAAAACAGAUAAAACUUAUGUCUCAUUGAUUGGAUAAACUACGAUCACCCAUAAUAGACCUUGUACUUGACUUUUUGUUUAGGGAGAUUGACUCUUUUAGGAGAAGUCUUUUGAGUGUUGUUUGCUAGGCAAUCGGUGCUGCCCUCAACAACUAAUGGUAGUGUCCCCAUGUUGGGAUUUUAUCCCCAGCCUCUGCGGAAUAAUCAUUGAGGAUAUGUGCGUAGGGAUUCAAACUACCAAUCAAUGCAUGUGUAGCCUUUACCUUGCAACCAUCUCCAUGAACCCAUAGGGUUCUUAGCGGGAUCAAGAGACGAAACCCUAAUGUGGGAACAAUACCAUUUGUUGAAGGCUUUGUUAAUAGGGUCACACCUAGGGGAGUUGGCAGGGGUCCCAACCCCCCUUAAAAUGAAAAAUUUUCCAUUUAGGCCCUUUAAAAUUUUUAAAAUUUUAAAUUAAUAAAAGUAAAAUUGUACUUUGGCCCCCCAAAAAGUGAUAAAACUUCGAUUUAGUCCUCUAAAAAUUAUAAAAUAUAGGCUAUUAAAAUGGUGAAAUUGCAUUUUUACUAUCAUAAAAAUUAUAAUUUAAUUUCACCCCCUAAAAAGAUUUUCUGGCUUCGCCCCAAAUAAAAUCUUUGCCAAAAGAUUAAAAUAAAAUUAUACCGUAAAUGAAAAAAUAAACUAAGAAAAUCCAAUCUAACAAAGAAAAUAACUUGAUGUCCAAAAGCUACCAUGAACCGUAAUUCAUGGGAAGUCUUGUUGCUCAUUUUAUUGGUUUCCAUUUUGAUUUUGCAAAAUAAGUUUGAAUUUUGAAGAGAGCCUACUACGUGAGAGCAAAAGAAAAAAAUUCUAUAAAGAUUUUGAAUUUUGAAUUUUGAAUUUUGAAUUUUGAAUUUUGAAUUUUGAAGCAGAUUUUCAUUAAGAUUGAAGAUUCCUAAUUGAUUUCUUAGGAGAUUAUCAUGAGUUCCUUAUUUCUUUCAGUUAUAUUGCCCUUUGGAUUUUUUAUUUUUAAUCAUGAACUACUUUUCUAAAUACGUAAGAGAGAUGAACCCUAUGAUAGAUUGUGACACCCCAAAGCUGACCGGGAUAGACCGGCCUGAAUUCAAAGCAUUACAUUAGCCACCUAAGGACCACUCAAGACACACCCCGACCUUAUAACACCUCAAUCUUAUCUAAUUACUAGUUAUUUAUUAAUGCCGAAGUAAAUUAUGAGCCAAUUUUAAAGUUUUCCUAGGUAAUUUAACCUAAGGGCAUUUACAUCAUUUUAUGACCUAUGGUAAAACUAACCUAGAAAUACCGAAAACAUUCCAAAAUAAUAUAAAAAAAAAGCUAAGAAAAACCUAGAAAUACAAAAAAAAAUUCAUGUUUUUACAAAUUGGGAAAUACCUAAAUUUGUUUUUAUCAAUUAAGAAAUUAAAAAAAUUGUUGAGAAAUAUCUUUUUAGUGAUUGUUAGCUUUGACAAGUUCUCUCCACCACUUCUCUUACGCUCCUUCCAGGAUCUUGCUUUUUGUGUGUUGAAAACUCAAAUGAACAAAAUAAAGUGAAUUUACGAGUUUUGUUUUCUUUUAAAAAUAUUUUUAAUAUUUUUGUGGAUACCAAGAGAUACCAAAAAUUAUUUCACUAAGAAGUUUUAAUUCACUCGAAAAGUUAGUGUUUUAUUUCAAGGGGUCAUAAUUAAUCAUUAGAUUUCUCAAUUUUAAAUUUUGAAUUUUUGACAAUUGUGUAAUUAAUAAGUACCAAUUUUGAGUGGUGUAGGGCUAGUACAAUCUCCCUUACACAUAACCGACUCUUGAUCUAAUAAAUAUUUAUCCUUAUACUUUGAUCUAAAUAUUUUGAUGUAAUCAAUGUAAAAAACCUUUUAAACAAAAUAAGGUUGAAAUAAUCUAUUUGUCUUUAUACUUUGAUAAAAUUUGGGAUUUAGUCCUCAUACCUAAUGUUGACACCAUUUUUUUGUGAAAACGGGGUUGACUUGGAUUUUGUAAACGAAAACGAAAACGGGGGUCGCCACCAAUUCUUUUUGAUAAGGUGUGAUCGGGCCACCUUGAAAAGUGGUUGUUUUUAAUAAACAAUUUAAUUUUAUGAAAACAACGAUUUUGGUCCACGAAAUUCAGAAAAACAGGUUCGGGAGUCGGUUACGUACGAGGAAGGAUUAGCACCCUCAUAACGCCCAAAAUUGGUACCUAGUUGAUUAAUUAAUGUCUUAGUGUAGAAGAUUGAAAACUCUAAAGAGAUUUAAAACACGAUCCUUUACUGAAAUGAUAAAAAUUUUCGGCAAAAAGGGCAUAUUUCACAUUAAUCGAGAAAGAGAAUUAUAUCCAAUAAGUUAGAACACAAUGUCUUGAAUUCCGAUGCGCGAAUGAAUACCAAAAAUUUACUUAUUUAAAAGAUAUUUAACUAUCUCGGAUUUAAAAAAGGGAUCAUGCCCAGUAAGUUAGGACACGAUCUUUUCUUAAUUCCCGAGAUCGUUUAAAACUUGAGAAAAAAGGGAUCAUGCCCAGUAAGUUAGGACAUGAUCUCUUCUUAAUUCCCGAGAUCGUUUUAAACUUGAGUUUGAAAAGAUUCGUGUAUUUAAAUUUAUUGUGAAAAUUGAAACCCCGUAAGUUAGGGUACGACCUUCUCGAAUCUAAACAUGAGAUUUUGCUUAUUCAAAAAAUCAUAAUUUAUGCAUUGAAUAAAAUUAAUCUAACACGAAAUAGUAGAAAUGCAACACGGUGUCAAUAUGUGUAACAAGACAAAAAUGAAUAUGAUAAUGUAAGCAUAAAUAGUACGAACGACAUCGUAAAUGAGAUAAAUAAUAGGAGAGACAAAUCCAUCAUAUCACAACAAAUAAAUAAAUGCAAUAUUAAGACAUUCUUUUCAAAUGAUAAUGAACAUAUACGCAAAUAAACAAAUUAACAUCGAGUGAAACAAAAAUGCAAUAACGAAAUUAAUAAAACUAUAAAAAGUAUAAAAAUAUGUGUGUAUGUACGUGUAGGUAUGCAUUAUAAAAAUAUAUGUGCAUAUAUAUAUAUAUAUAUUUGAAAUUACAAAAUAUAAAAGAUAUAUAUAGGUAUGUAUAUGUAUGAGUUAUAAAAUAUAUGUAUGUAUAUGUGUACAUAACUAAAUUUGAAAUAAAUAGAUAUAGAUAAACAUAAUAAUAAUAUAGUAAGACAGAUAUAUUUAAUAUUUAAAUAAGUGAACAUAAUAAAUGGGAGUAUAAUAAAUAAUAAUAAUAAUGCAAAGCUAGUAAUAUGAUAUAAUGAUAUAAUAUUAAUGACUAAGUAAAUAUAAGAAGAAAAUAUUAAUAGAUAAUGUAACAACCCGGUUUUGACCCUAAUCGGAAUAGUGGUUUCGGGACCACAAAUCCGAACUAGAAAAAUAUUAUUAAUAUUAUUUAGUGUGUUUAUAUUGUGUGCAUUUGAAUGUGUGAAAUUUUCGUGUUUUAAUUUCAUCGUUUAAGUGUCCGAUUUAAUAAAAGGGUUUAAUCGCGUAAAAUGAAAAAUUAGGGGUUAAUUAUAAAAGCACCUAAUUGUUGUUGGCUUUAUAAUUUAGAGGUUUUACUAUGAAAUUAGUCCACUAUAUAAGUUAGUGGGUGGCAAAAGACUAAUGUAACCUUAUUAUAUAUGUUUUAUAUAUAUAUUAGUAAAGGUUAAAAUAGUAAAUUAAUUAUAAAGUUAAUAUAUGUUUAAUAUAACAAAUUAAAUGGCUAUGUUCUUCAUCUUUUGGCCGAAUGGGUGAGAAAAUAAAAGGGGUUUAAAGCUUUUUGUAUUUCGGCAGAUUCAAGCUUUGAUUUAGGUAUGUUUUUGCUUCGGUUUUUGAUGAUUUUUACGUUUUUGAGAUCGUUGCUUUGAAUACUUCAAAACCCAUGUCUUAAUUUUGUGAAUUGAUGAAUAUUUUGAAUUAUGUCAUUGAUGAAUAUUUGUGUUUUGGGAUGUUUGAUGAUGAAUAAUGGAAGAUAUGUCUUAGAUUAACAUGUUUUGUAUUGGUAUUUUUGAUGAAUUUGAGUAUUUAGGGCUAAAUUGUGAAAAUAAAUUUUUGAGGGAUUAAAAUGUGAAAUAAAUGCAAUGUGUGGACUUGUAUGAGAACCAUGAAUAUUCGGCCCUUGUGUGGUAUGGGCAAAUUUUGUGUAUUUUGUGUUUUGUGCAAAAAGGACUAAAUUGCAAAAAGUGCAAAAUGUUAGGGGCAAAAUGGUAAUUUUCACAUUUAUGUAUUGAUGGACUCAAAUGAAUGUUUUGAUGAAUAAGAAGGUUAAAUUUGACUAUGUUUAGAUCAAGGAACGAAGAAAACGAAUUUGGAUCGGGGGAAGUCGAAAGUAAUCGAAUAGUCGAUCGUGUUUGCUGAUAUCCGAGGUAAGUCUAUUAGCAACUAAAAGUUAUUAAGUUAAUAUUUAUACAUGCAUACUAAUUUUAUCUUAUGAUUGAGCUAUAAUUUAAAGUAUAAAAGUUGAAUAAACUUUGGACUAUAGAUAUUGUAUAUAACAUGUUCGAAUAUACAAGUAUGAUCUUGUAUAAAUUAUUGGAUUAAUCAAAGAUAUGUAUAAGAUAUAUGUAUAUACAUAUAAGGUUUGAAUGAUUAUAUGAGUAUGUAUAUAUAUGUAUAAACUCUUGGAUUUGAUUUGUGAUAUGUAAUUUAUAAUUGUAUAUAUAUAUAUAUAAAGUCGAAUAAGCAUGCAAUUAUACAUGUAUGUGUUGUGUAUUGAAUUUAGAUAUGUCAUUAUAUAAGUAUAUGAGGAUUGAUUGUGAAUUUAUAUAUGUAUAAGUUUUUGUUUUGAAAUUAAGUAUGAAAUUAUACAUUCAUAUGGUAGAUUCGAAUAUGUAUAAAUGCACAUGUAUAAUUUCUUGAAUUGAAAUUAGGUAUGGAAUUAUAUAUGUAUGUGAAAGUUUCGAUUUGUAUGUAUAUUCACGUAAAAUUUUUUGAAUGGAAGUGAAGAUAUGAAAUUAUUAGUUUGGAUCAUUAUAAAGUGAUUGAAUGUAAUACAGACGUUACGUCUAGCAGGCUUGAUGCCGGUGAAGUAAUUCAGACUUUAAGUCUAGCAGGCUUAAUGCCGGUGAUACAUUUCAGACUAUAUGUCCAGCAGGCUAAGUGCCGGUGUACUGAAUCAGGCUUUAAGCCUAGCAGGCAAAAUGCUAGUGAAUCUUUUUAAAUUAUGUGAGAAUAUGCAAUUGAUAUAUCUAUGAUUUUGAUUAUACGAAAUAGAUGAAUACAUGAACAUUCGGUUUUUUUUUAUAUGCCUGGUGAGCUUACACCUACAUUCGGGUUUUAUAUUGGUUAAACAUAAUUGUAUGGAUUCGGUAUAUACAAUUAAUAAAGGCAUAUGUACAUUAGGUAUAUGCGAUUGCUGAAAUUAUAAAUGCAUAUGGUGAUAUGUGAUUGUUAAAUAUACACGUUGAGCCUAUGUGUUCGAUAAUUAAUUAUGUAUGCAAUUGAGAUAUGUAUAUAUAUACAUGUACUCAUUUAUAGGUAUAUAUAUUCGAAUGUAUAUACUAGCUAUGUAUUCAGGUAUAAAUCCAUAAUGAGUAUAUAUAUAUACAAACGAAUAUAAAAUGUGAUUGAUACAUAUGUGUUAGAUUCGAAUUGAUUUAAAGUUUACCAUGAGUAUACAUACACAUUCGGUUAAGAUAUGUGUAUAAUAUAUAUAUAUGCUCGAUUGUAUACAUUGGGUUGUAAUGUUGUUUUGUAUAAUAUAUAUUCAAUUGAUUUCAUUCGACAGGUAUACAUAUCUGACUAUAAAUAAAAUGGUCUGAGUACAAUAAUGUAUGAAUGUUAGUUGGUCGUGUUAGUUGAAAUUUCAGUAAAAUAGAUUAAAAGGUUAUAUUAAUUAUGUGUUUAUAUAUACAUUUAGUUAUGCUGUAGACUUACUAAGCUAUAAAAGCUUACUUCAUUUGUUUUCGUUCAUUUGUUUUUAUAGAUUUUGGAGACGCGUUACGAGCUCGGGGAUCAUCAGCAUAGUCCAUCACACUAUCGACUUCUUUUGGUAUUUUGUUAAAUAUUUGAACUCGAUCUUAUGGCAUGUAUAGGCUUGAUAAUGUUUUGGUUAGUUUUGGAUCCUAAUAUGUAAAUAGUCAUGCGAAAAGGGUUUAAUUUCCAUGCUUGAAUUUGACUACAUAUGAUCAUGAUUUGGGCUUGCAUUUGAAUGAGAUAUUCAAGUUACAUGUAUGUUAUAAAUUUUGGAUUAUGUUAGGUAUUAAAGUCAUGUUUAUGUGUGCUUUGUUUCGUAAUGCCUCGUAACCCUAAUUCGGCGACGGAGACGGGUUAGGGGUGUUACAGAUAAUAGCUAGGUUAAUAAAAAAAACAAAAUGGACUAAUUCAUGAUAAAAAUUAAAUUUAAAGGUUCAAUCUAUAAUAAAAUAAAUAAAGUGGGUCCAAAAUGAAAAGGCACGAAAGGGCGGAGGGCCAAAUGAGCAAUAAACCCAAAUUCCAGGCCACGCCCAGGGGUCCAACGAAUUGAGGAACGAAUUGAAAACCGCAACAAACCUACGGUCCAAAUUACAAAACGAGGGAAAAAAGAAAAGGAACUAAAUCAAAACAAAUCGAUAAUGCGGAGGGGCCAAAGGAGCAAAUAACCCAACACUUAACAAUGCACGGAUCCUCUGGUCGGGUCGAGUCGACGAGUGGAUCUGGGGGGCAAAACGACGCCGUUUUGGUACCUGGGAGGCCUGCCCAAAACGACGUCGUUUUAGGGCCUAUAUAAGUAAAAAAACAUAAACAAAAAAAUCAUUUUAAAUCCAUUUCAGAAAAAAAAAACUUUCCCUUUUUUAUUUUCUCUCUAGCCCCACUCCCUUCGAUCCAGACUCCGACCGAUGGCCGUCGCACCGCCCACCGACCACCGGCGACGGUGCCGCCCACUGACCACCGAUGACGGCGCCGUCGUGCACAGUUGUCGGAAAGUUCAAAACCCCUUUUUCUCUUCUCUUUUCGAGUAAAGUACCUAUUUGGGUUUAAGACAUCCCAAAAGUCCUUCAAAAUAAAAAAAGAAAGAGAGAAAAAUCUAGAGACCUUUCGGUUUCUCAUCACCGCCGAUGGAGUUUUUGGCGAACCCGUUGGUUUGACCACCCCAAGACCGGAGGUACCUCCGUCCGCGGCAAUAAAGGUAAUAGAUUUCUCUUUUUAUUUACUAUUAUAUUUAUUUUCGAAAUAAAUAAAUAAAUAAAAAUAUAAAAGAGGCACCUUUGUUUUUUCCAAAUCUGUUUCAAACUUUUUUAUUUUCGAAAAAAUCCCAAAAAUCCCCAUGAUUACAUUGAAUUUGUGGCUUUUAUAGCCCAAUGCAUAUUUUCUUUUUUCUUUUUGUUUAUCACUGCUUCUCUGCUAUUUGUGCUGUUGUUGCGUGUUUUUUUCAUGUUUUGCAGGUCUUGACGGAGCAGGUGGGCAGGUGGCAGAGCAAGUGGCGGUGGGUGGUGUCAGAGGUGGCAGAGGCAGAAGGUGACGCCAGAAGAUAGGAACCCCUAGGUGUGGCGCACCUAGGGUUUGACAUUGUUGUUUUUUAUUUGAUUUUUUGGGCUAGGUUUAGACAGUUGGGCCUGUGCAUUUUGCUUCGGGUUUGGGUUUAAUCUCGUUGGGCCGGGUGUAAUUGUGUUAGUUAGGCCGGGGCAUAAAUUGGUUAUUACACCUAAAAGGUUAAAAAUUAAGUCUUCUUAUUUUUUUUUAAAUCUUAGUCCUACCGUUAAUUUUUUUUUGUCAAAAUUUGUUAACUUGACAUAUUAAUUAGGUUUUCCUUAUAUGUCGUGGUAUAUGACCAACACAAAAUUAAACAAGUUGACAAGUUCUGACAAAAAAUAUCAAAGAUGAUAAUAAUUUAAUUAAAAUUUUUAAAUUGAAAAAGUAAGGGAUUAAAUUUAUAACUUUUGAAGUGUAAAGAAUGAACUUAUUGAAAUACAAGAACUAACAACACAUUUUAAAAUAUUACUAGUAAAUUAUAUAUCUACAACGUAAGCUCUUAUAUUAUAUUCUUGUAUCUAUUUUGUAUCUUUCAUUAUAAUAUGAUUUAUUAAUUUUAAUAUUUUUAUAGAAUAAUAUGCUUUAAACUAUUUUUUGUAUAAUUUAUAAAAAUUAUAAUAAACUUGCAAAAUGAUUUAAUGAUAUUUAAUUAUUAAUGGAAAAAAAAAUGAUAACAUAUAUAUUCUGUAUAUAUUAAGAUUUUGAGUCAUUAAUUAUAUAUCUACACAUUAUAAUAAAUUCAUCUUUCAAAAUGUUCCUUAUAAUUAAAGCAUAAAUUAUAUUUAUAAUAUUAUAAAUAUAUUAUAUCAUAAAUAUUCUUUCAAAUAUUUUUUAAUGUUUAAUAAUAAGUUAAUUUAUAAAAUAUUCUUUCAAUAAAUUAACGUGAUGCGAUCGUUAGGUGCUUGGAUUUGGUGAUGGGGGAUGAAGAGAAAAGGGAUGGAAGUGAAGAAAAAUGUUGAGAAAUGGAAAGGGUUAGCAAGGGAAGCUGCCAUGAAAGUUGGUUCUAUGGAUAUGAACCUUCAAGCUUUUGUGGAUGAUGUUACUCAAGGUUGUUGGAAGUAAAUUUUAAAAAAAUUGAGGUAAAAUUAAAAAAAUGUUAGAGCUAAAUUUGUCAUUAUGACUAAAAUGUAAAACCAAAAUUUUUUGAAAAUAAAAAAAAAUGGAAAAUAACAAAUUCUGUCACUCAUGUUUGCUUAAAAUAUAGUUUUGGUCACCAAUCUUUUGAAGUAAAUAUAUGGUCACCAAUAUUAUCCAUUUGUUACUCUGCAAUAACUCACCUCUAUGAAAUUUGGCAGGCCGUGUCAAUUUUGUAGAUUUGCGCUCUGAACUGUGAAAAAAAUGCAAAUUUUAGGUUAUUCAAGCAUUUUAAUACGUAUAUAUGAAAAAAAGAAGAAGAUAGGAGAGAACCUUCCUAGAAUAUUUAAGAAAAUAGCUCCAAAGACACUAUUGAAGUCAACUUUGAAGCAAAUUUUCAUCAAGAUUGAAGAUUCCCAGUUGAUUUCUAAAGAGAUUAUCAUGAGUUUCUUUAUUUCUUUCGGUUAUACUGCCCUUUGGAUGUUUUUAUUUUUAAGCAUGAACUAAUUUUCUAAAUACCUAAGAGAGAUGAAUCCUAUGGUAGAUUGUGGCACCCCAAACCCAAUCGGGAUAGACCGGCCCGAAUUCGAAGCAUUACACUAGCCACCUAAGUGACUCUCCAGCUAACGACCACCCAAGACACACCCUGACCUUAUAACACCUCAAUCUUGUUUAAUUAUUAGUUAUUUAUUAUUGCAUAAAUAAAUUAUGAGCCAAUUUUAAACUUUUCCUAUGUAAUUUAACCUAAGGGCAAUUUUGUCAUUUUACCACCUAUUGUAAAACUAACUCGAUUUUAGAAGUUUUUACCAACCUUAUUUUAGUCAAAUUAUACAAGCCUAAAUUUUUUAGCUUAAUUUGAGUUUGUUUACUAUGUCUAAUUCAAGUUUUAUUAUUAAGGACUAAAUUGUAACUUAAACAAAUUAGAAUAUCAAUUUAAAGAGAAAAAAUUCAAAACCCAAAAACCCACACGGGCAUGUGGGUAAGUGACACGGGCGUGUGGAGACUGGAGCUAUCACACACGGGUGAGUGGGAUUGAAAAAUAUGAAAUAAAUUAAUCCACUUAAUUUUCCAACAACCAUGCUAUACUACCAAACCAAAUAACGCUUGAAGCUUUGAAUAGGGGUGAAUCUUAAAAAAAUUAAAAGAAUUAGAAUUAAAUUAUAAAAUUUGAGAAGUUAUCAUGUAUUAAUUUAUAAUUUUCUAAAGGGUCUUAAUAGAAUUUUUUUUUUCCCAUUUUGGUUGGGCCAAUACCCCUACCUCUUUAAAUUUGCUUCAAUCCUAAACCCAAUAUUCGAUUUGUUGUGGAAGUUUGAUGCAUAAAAUUUCUUUUUUUAGAGGUUUAAAUUAUAUAUUAUUGAAAGUUUAAAAUAAAUUUGUAUUUUUUAUUAACAAAAUAUAAAACAAAAAAACAUUUUUAGACAAACCAAGGAACCUUUGGGAUCAUACGGAUGAUUUGGUGAUGUUAAUGGUUAUUUUGGUGGAGACAAGCCAAGAAAAGAAACAAAUGAUUCAUUAUAUACAAUAUAAUUAUCAAAAUUCAAGCCAUAUAUUGUCUGUUUCAUCCAUAAAAAUUUCAUGGGAGGUCCAAAGGUAAUUAAAUGACUUGUAGGCUUGCUGAAUUUCUUUGAAAGGCCCAAAGGCAAUUUAACACUCACAAAAUAAUCUCUAAAUACUGUAAAGACAAAUCAAAUCCACAGCAGCAUUAGAGUUGAUUAAGCUAAGCAUUGGCAAAUAUUACUUUGAUUUUGCAUGCAAUAUCGGCAAAACCCCCCUCUUACAUUAGAAAAAACAACAUAAUCCAUGUAACAUUGAUAGCCCAAUACAAAUUUCAUCAAGAAAAAAGUCUCUUUGUUUUGUAGAACAUGAUAGUAAAGAUGUGGAGUUUCAUUCUUCUUAUUGGCCUCCUUUAGUUUUCCUUGAUCAACAACCACUAGCCAAAAACACAAUUAGAUUAGAUUAUGAAUGAUACUUUCAACUAUGACAAUAUUAAAUACAAAACACUCCAAAUAACUCUAAAUAAAUGGAAAGCAGCAAAUUACCUGACGAGGCAAGCUAGCUUAAUUAAGACCAUUGUAUUAUACUUGUCUCUGAAUUGAAAAAUUUAGAAGAAAAUAGAGAAAAAGACUUAGAAAAUACUUGAAAACAGAUAAAACUUAUAUGUCAUUUAAAAUAAAAAAAAAUUAUUUAAGCUGUUUAAAAUUUUUAAGAUUUUUAAAAUUUUAAAAUGAUAAAGGUAAAUUGUACUUUGGCACCCCUAGAAAUGAUAAAACUUUGAUUUAAUCCUUUAAAAAUUAUAAAAAUAUAGGCUAUUAAAAUGAUGAAAUUAUAUUUUUACUAUAGUAAAAAUUACAAUUUAAUUUCACCCCCUAAAAAGAUUUUCUGGCUUCGCCCCUAAUAAAAUAUUUGGCAAAAGAUUAAAAUAAAAUUAUACCGUAAUUGAAAAAAGAAACUAAAAAAAUCCAAUCUAACAAAGAAAAUAACUUGAUGUCCAAAAGCUACCAUAAAUCGUAAUUCAUGGGAAGGCUUGUUGCUCAUUUUAUUGGUUUCCAUUUUGAUUUUGCAAAAGAAGUUUGAAUUUUGACGAAUACCGACAUAUUAUAUAUAUGACUAAAAUUCCAGAAUAGGUUAAAAAUGUUGAAUUAAAGAUGAAAUUAAGUGUGAAUUAAUAACCACAAGUGUACUCAUUACUCACCAUCUCUGUUAAAAAUGUUGGAUGUUGUUUAGCAACCUUUGUUUGAUUUUCUUCAGCUCAACCACAACAUCUUUCAUAUCUUUUCUUUCUUCUGGUAACUCAGCUGAACAAUUCAAAGCCAACUCCAUGAUAGAUGAAAUACAAUUUGCUUUAACAACAAUGUACUCAUCCUCUCUUCUUAGUAAAUCAACAUCUGCAAUUUCUAUCGCUCCUUUAGGCAAUGAACUUUCCAUCCAAUGCCUUAUAGUCUCUUCUUCAACAAAAACAUUAUCAGAUGGCUUUUUCUUUGUGAAAGUUUCUAUAAGGACGAUCCCAUAACUAUAGACGUCAGAUUUUAUAGAAACAAUUCCUGCUGAUCCAAAUUCUGCAUUUCAAGUAUAAUUAGAACAUCAUUCAUCCUCAAUUAUUUCUAAAAUGCUUAUUCUAAUAUCUAUCCAUAUACACAUGAAACAAAAAUAUAAAAUUCAAAUUAGGAAAAUAAUCAUACAAAAAUAAAAAAGAAUUCACCUGGUGCCAUAUACCCGAUAGUUGCAAGAGUCAUGGUUUGCUUCAUUACUUCACCUUCUCCCAACAAUUUGGCAACGCCAAAAUCUCCAACAUGUGCAACCAUGUCUUCAUCUAGUAAAAUAUUGCUUGGCUUUAUGUCACAAUGAAUUAUAGGUGUUGGAUGUCCAUUGUGGAGGUGUUCUAUAGCUAACGCAACAUCUAUCAUUAUGUCGACCCUUUGUAUGAUAUCAAGGAAACAAUUUUCAGAAUGUAACCAUUUCUCAAGGUUUCCAUUAGACAUGUAAUCAAGCACCAAGGCUUUGAAGUCAACACUUGAGCAGCAAGUAAUGACCUUCACAAUAUUACGAUGAACUAUAUUAAGCAUAGCAUCACAUUCAAUGUCAAAACUCCUAAAUGCUCCCUCUGUUUGCAAAUUGAAAACUUUUAUUGCAACUUCCAUUCCAUCUGAAAGCCUCCCUUUAUAUACAUAUCCAAAACUCCCUGAACCAAGCAUAUUGCUUUCCUCAAAUCCAUUAGUUGCUCGUGAAAGUUCAGCAUGUGAAAUUCUUCUCGGUGUUUUCAAAGACAACAAAUCAUCUUUAAUUGAUAGAGUUGUACUCCUUCUUUGGCAUCUUCUAUACAUAAUAGUUAAGACUAUUAGUACUACGACAAUGCCAAUUGUUGGUAAACCAUACCUAAAAGCAUGCAAUAUAAUCAUUUGGGAGUUUUUGUGGAUGUCGUUUUUGCAAGGUGGGACUUGCAAUCUAGGUGGACCACAAAGUGCAUAAUUCUUCAUGAAUGAUGUGCUAGAAAAGUUUGAAAAACAUCCUUUGCUGGGAAUUUCCCCUUCAAGUCUAUUGAAAGACACAUUAAAAUACCUUAGAUAUAUAAGUUUUUCCAAAGAUUUGGGAAUGACUCCAGAGAGAUUGUUAUUGCAUAAAUCCAAGAAUUCCAAACUAAUCAAUCCAGCAAAUGAUUCAGGGAUAUGACCAUGUAGUAUAUUAUUUGAUAAAUCUAAUGAAACCAAAGUUAUAAGACCCCCAAAUGUGGAUAAGAUAUCGCCCGUGAGAAGAUUCUUUGAUAAAUUUAGUUUCAGUAGACUCCUCAAAUUUCCAACAUCAAUAGCAUGUGAACUGUGAAGAUGGUUUGAUGAUAAAUCUAUUUCUAAGAUAUCUUUAAGAUUCCACAAAGUUGAGGGUAUUGUAGAACUCAAUCUGUUGGAAGCAAAGUAAAGAUAUCCCAAAGAAGUAAUAUUACCCAAACAAGAGGGUAUGGAUCCAUGCAGCUUAUUCAACCCUAAAAAAAAGUUGUAUAAUCUCUCCAAAUCACAAAGGCUUUCUGAGAUGGGCCCUCCUAAUUUAUUAGAGGAAAGACCUAGACUUUGGAGAUUCCGCAGUCCUCCUAUUGAUGUUGGAAUGAAUCCACUUAAUUUAUUAAAGCCAAGUUCUAAAACCACCAUGUUGCUUAAGUUACCUAUUUCCAUAGGAAUAAUGCCUUGAAGCUCACAAUUAGAGGCAUAAAAGUAUUGAAGGGAUUUUGAAAGGUUCCCAAUAUAAGUAGGAAGAACGUCACUCAAUGGAUUUCCUGAAACAUCUAUUGCGGUCAAAUUCCUACAAUUCGUCAAAGAAGAAAGAAAGCUCCACUCAUGAUCAGUAGCAGAUCCUGUGAUCAAAUUAUUGUCAUUGAUUUUGAGCACUUCAAGGUGUUUUAAGUUGCCAAGCAUUUUAGGGAUUGGGCCAGAGAAUAAGUUAUGUGACAAUUCUAGUUGCUUAAGCAUGGAAGCAUUGGAGAUAGAGUUGGGAAUGUUUCCGCUAAGUUUAUUUCUCCACAAUAAAAGAAUCUCAAGCUUUGGAGCAUUGGUGAUGGGUGGUAAAUUACCUGUAAAAUUGCAUCUUUUAGUAUACAUAUUCAUUGAAUACCAAAUUCACAAAAUAUAUAAGACAUUAAAAUAAAAACUGUAAAACUUUAAAUCAAUUAAGAAUAAAAUUUUGGCAUGGAAAAAUGUGAUGAAAUCAAUUAGAAAGUUGAGACAUAAUAAGAAGUUUUGAGUAGUAAUUAGUAAAACAUAUAAUACAUUAAUAAUUUUUAAAAUAUUGUAAAACUUGAAAUAAAAUAAAAAUAAAAGUUUGGCAUGAGAAUGUGGCAUCUAAUCAAUCUUAAAAAUGAGACUCACAUUGAAUAAUAAUUAGUUAUGAUUUGGGAAACAAAAAUGUUAAAGCCAUUGUUUUUAAUGUAAGCUGGUAUGACUUUUAUCUAUUGGGUUAAUUAUUUAUUUUUAUUAAAUUAUAGUGUAAAAUUUAAAUAUUAUUAUUUGCUUAAAUUUUUUGUAUUUUUCGUAUAUUUAAAAUUUAAUCUUUAUAUUUUUAUUUUCUGUGAUUUAGUCCCUCUACUUUUUGAAUUGAAAAUUUUAGGUUUAUUUAUUAACACCGUUAAAAAGUUUUUGUGUUAGUAUGGCAUUUUGAAAACUAAAAUAAACUUGAUAUCUAUGUUUUUAAUUAUUCCAAAUAUUGUUUUACUAUUUCAAGAUAAAUUAUUUGUGUCUAGACCAAUAUCUUAAGAACUAUUGUUGCAUAUUUAAUUAUUCUAAAGAAUUGUCGAUUGAAUCUUAGCUUGAUUGGCAUGUGCAUUGUUGCCAAUGUAGGAGAAUGUGGGUUCAAGCAUGCAUGCUGAAAUGCAUUAUCCUCCUAUUUAUGAAUUGGUAAAGUACUAAAUUUUGAUAUAUUUUAAAAUAUUAAAAAUUUAUUAAAAUAUUUUUUUAUAAAAAUUGAUUGUACCACAAUAUACAAUUUUAAUAUCAAAUUUUUAAUUUUUUUAAAAAAUAUUAGCGAAUAUGUACUUUAUUUCAAGUUACACAAUUUUUACUAGUUUUUAAAUUUUUUUAAUUUUUAUCGUCUUUUAUAAUUUCUAAUAAUUUUUUAUAAUUUUUUACAAUAUUUAACAAUUUCUAAAAUUUUUUAAUAAUUUUAUUAUUUAUUACAAAUUUAAAAAUUAACAAAUUUUUAAUCUUUAAAACAAUUAUAUAUUUAUAAUGUAGUUAUUUUUUUUAUAAUUUUAUUUGAAAUUUUAAAGAUUUUUUUGGUUUGUUUUCUAGAUUAUGAUGCCAUCAUAAUGUCAUCAUAUGCCACAUGGCAAUUUAUGAUUAGUUGGAUAUCUCAAUCUAUUUUUUUAACGUCCAAUGGACUAAGCCAAGAACACCUGACAAUGUUAGAGACUACACUACGAAUGUUUGAUAAUAUUACGUAUUAAAGUGGACAAAAAAAAUUAAGGACCAAAGUUAUAAAAAAAAAAAAAAAACAGCAAUCGGCUGCAGGGAAUAAACUGUGCAUUAAGCCAUUAAAAAUAUAUCUAUAAUAUAUAUAAAUGCAUGGAUUUUGAGAAACAUUUGAACUGAUAAUUACAUAGUCUUUGAUGUUUACUAUAUUAUUGAAUUUGUUAUUUUAAAUAUUUUUUUAUUACUUUUAAGAUUUAUCAUAUGUAUGGAUAAGAAUUUUGGUUUUACUAAAAUAUUUGGUUAAAUAAAUUCAUUUAAUAAGAAAAUUUAGCAUCCUUAUAAAUAACAAUUUUGAUUCUAUUAAAAAUUAUUUUCAAAAAUAUAUAAUAAAAAUUUAAAAUUUAUAUUGAAUUACUUUAUACUUAAAUUAUUAUUAGAAACUUUAUCAUACACAUACGUGUAUGAGAACCAUGUAUUUAGAACAUAAAUUUGUUUUUUAAAGUAACUUAUGAUAAAUAAUGAAAUGUAUAAUUUGAAACUAUUUAAUAAUAACACAUGUCAUAUCUACCAUAUUAAAAUAAAAAUAGAUUAAAUUGUAAGUAAAACAUAAUUUAAACAUAUGAAUACAUCAAAUUAAGAAUACUAAAUGAAUACAGUUAUUUAUGAUGAUGUUGUUGCCAAUUCUUAAGUUGGUGCCGAGUUAAUUUGUGACAUCAUAAAUUUAGGUGAUAAAUUUAAGGUUUUAUGUAUUGAUGUGGAUUCAAAUAUCACCAUAAUUUUUUUAAAUAAAAAACUAAAAUACCCUCAAAUAAUAUAACUUAUAUUAAAUACGAAAGGGUAUUUUUGUAAUUUCUCUAACCGAGUUGGUGCCCGGUUGACUCAUGACACCAACUCAAUCAAAAGCUUCAAUAAUAAUAUAGAUAUUCACGGUAAAAAAAAUUACUUUAGUUCCAAAUAAUUAUAUAACAAGUAAAUUUAUAAUUGACGAAUAAAUUUAUAAAUAAUAUAUUUAUAUGAUCUAAUAUAUUAUAUUUAUAUUAAUUAUAUAUCAUCUACAAACUUUGAAGAUUAAUUUAUUAAGUAUCAAGAAAAGAAAAAAUGAAAUUUAAUUAACACUAAAUCAAUUUUUAGAUUUUGUACAGAUGAUUUAAUGAUGAUAAAAAAAAUAUUAGCACUAUUUUCGAAUUAACAAAAAAUUAGUGAUAUAUUUUAAUUAUAUUUAUUAUUUAUUUUUUAAUAAUUUUUUUAAUUAUAUGAAGUAAAAUUAUAUUGUAUACUAAAAAUGGUACAUAUACUUUAAUUAUACUUGAAAAUUUAUUAUAUAAAUUAAUAUAUUUUAAUUAUAUUUAACCAUUUGAAUAACAAAAUAAAAAAAAACUAAUUAGAAUAAUUUAUUUUUUAAAGUCUAAUGGAAAUUAAAAAAUUAAAAAUAAAGCAGUUCAUAUAAAACUUAUUGUUUAUUAUCAGAUUAAAAUGAUAAAAGUAUAUGACCAAAAUAAAAGAAACAAAUUCAACUCAAUGUUUUUGGAGUUUGGAAAAAAUUAAAGUUAAAAACAUACCUUCUAAUUUGUUGUUAAAUAGAUCUAUUUCUUCGAGCGUAGUCGAAUUAAAAAUACUUGAUGGAAUCUGACCUGCACACAUAGUCGAAAAUUGAAGUAAAAAACAUACCUUCUAAACUGUUCAACUAAAAAUACUUUAAGCAUAUUUUUUAGUAAACUGUGCAACAGGUGAUAUGAGAAUCUAUGUAUAUAAAUGUAUAUGUAUAUAUAUCGUUGUUUCAUUUUGUAAAAUAAAUAUAUUUUCCACAUUGGUUUCUUUUCUUCUACAGACAAAGGAUUUCUAAUGAUUCUUUUUUAUUUUUACUUAUAAAAUAGGUUAGUUUCUGCAAUAAUAAAAACAAUUUCUAAUGAUUAUUGUUGUUACCAGAUAACUAAUUUUCAUUCAAGUAAAGCCCUUCAAGCUUGGGAAAAUGUUGACACAUAUCAUUAGGCAAACUACCUGAUAGGCUAUUGUUGGAGAGAUCAAUGGUCUUCAGAGAAGAAAUGUUCGAGAUCGAAGUUGGAAUCUGACCUGUAAGGCCUUUAAUUUCUUUAAUAUUAAGCAUUUCCAAACUAAGAAGAUUACCAAUUUCCUUAGGAAUUUGACCUGCAGACAGUCAAAAAAUCAAUGUUUUUCAGCAUAUGUUUUUCAUCAAAUGAAAUAAAAAGUUCUUCCUUUUGUUAUCUAUUACAAAUCAAACUCUUUUAUAAAAAAAAAACUUUAAAUUCAAGAAAUCAAGGAAAUUGAUUACCUUCUAGAUUAUUAAACCCUAAAUAUAACUUCUGGAGUCGUGUUAGAUUUCCAAUACUUCUUGGAAUGAUACCCAUAAAUUGAUUAUAGGACAACGACAAAAUUUGAAGGUUGUUGCAUUUGCCCAUGCCAAAUGGAAUGUUACCAGAUAAUUCAUUCAAACUCAAGUAAAGCCCUUCAAGCUUGGGAAGAUGUUGACACAUAUCAUUAGGCAAACUACCUAAUAGGCUAUUGCUGGAGAGAUCAAUAAUCUUCAGAGAAGAAAUCUUGAAGAUGGAAGAUGGAACCUGACCAGAUAAUUGAUUGAAUCCCAAGUUCAAGAUCUCUAGAUUAGACAUGUUAACAAGUGUUUCAGGGAUUGUGCCUGUAAAGUUAUUGUUUUUCAUUUUCAGCCUUCGAACUCUUUGUAAGUUCCCAAGCCAUGAUGGAAUUUCCCCAUUCAGACGGCUGUAGCUUAAUUGAAGGAUCCUCAAACGAUGCAAUUGGCCCAAUUCUUUAGGGAGAUGGCCAUAGAAAUGGUUGCUACUCAAGUCGAGAGAGAGUAGAAAUGAAAGAUUUCCAAGGUGUGGAGGGAUAGUACCCCUAAGAUUCAUGCUUGUAAGAUUCAAAGCUAUAACUCUUUUAAGAAGGAUGCCACAAGAAACACCAAUCCAAUUGCAAACAGAGGUUGAGACUGUCCAAUUGUUUGGCAAGACAUUUUGAGGACCGACGAUGCGAUCCUUAAACUCGAGAAGUGCAAACUGAUCGGAGUUUAGAUUCCUGACUGUCAUAGCCAAGCAAAGUACGAAACAUGGUAUGAAUAAAGCUAAAAGAAGAUGAAAGCAAGUGUUGUAGUUCAUGAUUGCAAGACGGAAUAAGCCAAGAAAAUAAAAAAAAGUAGGAAAAGGGAAGUUGAGUUGAUAAAAUAGUUUGGAUGAUGAAGAAAAGCCCUGAGAGCAUGCUUUAAUAUGUUUCAAUCAUCGCACACUUGAUAAACUUGAUAAAUUUAAGACUACCCUAAAAAUUAAAAAGGAAAGCAAAGUUUUGAAGAAAUUUCAAAAUAAAUGUCAAGUCUUCUUCUUUUAAAAAUACGUACAAAGAAGCGAAUUUUCAAAAUUUCUACUAAAUUUUCUUCACAUUACUCCACAUAAUCCAUUAAAAAAACUUCAAAAAAAAAUAUUUUAUUAAUUACUAUAUAUUCUUUUAUUUUCAGAAUAAUAAUUGUUUAAAAUAUGCUAUUAGUCCCUGUAAUUUUAAAGUUAAAAAAAAUCCAAUCCUCCUAUUUUUCUAAUUUAAAAAUUCUAGUCCAAUCAUUUUUAAUUCCAUUAAAAAAUUUCACCUUAAUAGGUUUUUUGAUUAUCAAUCGUAUGCAACAUUAUAUGAAGGCAGUCUAAUCAGCAUAUAUCCAAGUUUAUAGAUUUUAAUAGAAAAUACUUACAAUCCUAAUGGUAGGACUAAGUUUUUUAAACUAGAAAAGUAAGAAGACUUAAUUUUUAACUUUUUAAGUACAAGGAUUAAAUUUUAAAUGUUGUCAAAGUACAAGGAUUAAAUUUUAAAUGUUGUCAAAGUACAAGCACUAACAAAAUAUUUUGAUCUAAUAAAUGUAAAUGAACUUUUUAAACAAAAUAAGGUUGAAAUAAUCUAUUUGUCGUUGUAUUUUGAUAAAAUUUGAGAUUUAGUCUUUAUACCUAAAAGGUUAAAAAUUAAGUCUUCUUGUUUUUAUUUAAAAAUCUUAGUCCUAUCGUUAAAUUUUUUUGUCAAAAUUUGUCAACUUUACAUAUUAAUUAGGUUUCCCUUGUAGGUCGUGGUAUAUGACUAACACAAAAUAAGCAAUUAAGUUGACAAAUUUUGACAAAAAAUAUCAAAGAUGAUAAUAAUUGGAUUAAAAUUUUUAAAUUGAAUUUAUAACCUUUAAUGUAUAAGGAAUGGAUAUCAAAUUUUUAUAGGAAUAAAGGGACUAACAACAUAUUUUAACCACAAAAUAAUAUGGGUGAUUAGAAUGAAUCUAAAAUUUUAUAGAAAUAAAAGAGACUAACAACAUAUUGAUAACUUUGAAAUCUCCUUCGAUAAUCCUUUUUCUACGUAGAAAAAGAAAAUUAAUUAGCAUCUAAAGUGUCAAUUAAUGAAACCUUCAAGAGAAAAUGUGAAAUUGAUUUACCAAACAAUAAUAUUCUAACUUAUAAUAUAUUUAAUUACAUUUAGUAAUUUGUCAAUCAAAACUUAAUUAACAUCCAUCAAUACUUUAUAUAUAAAAAACGCAAGCAUAAAUUACAGUUUAAAGUAAUUGGGAUCUCGAGUGCAACAAAUUCCUCCUUUUAUUAUUAAAUGUUUUAUUUUAGUUACUCUAAUCAAAACUUAAUUAACAUCCAUCAAUACUUCAUACAUAAAAAACGCAAGCAUAAAUGACCAUUUAACUCAUAUUUAACUUUGCAAGUAAACUUCACUAAUUAUAGAGUUAUAGUGUAAACUUUGAAAAUAUAAGUAAAUUUACCAUUUAACUCAGACUUAACUUUGCAAGUAAACUUAAAAUUUUAUUUAAUUUUGUCACUAAAUUUGAUUUGUUCAAUAUAGAUUUUGGUGACUUAAAACAAAAUUAAUAAAAAAUUAUUCUUUCGGAUAUCUUUUUAAUGUUUAAUAAUAAGUUAAUUUAUAAAAUAUACUUUCAUUGGGCACAGGCCUCCAAGCCGGUGAACCACUGAUCAAAUUAAUUUGGAGAUAUCUUUUUUCUGAAUAAAGUGAAUUUACCAGUUUUGUUUUCUUUUAAAAAUAUUUUUAAUAUUUUUGUGGAUAUCAAGAGAUACCAAAAAUUAUUUCUCUAAAAAAUUUUAUUUGACUCGAAAAGUUAGUGUUUUAUUUCAAGGGGUCAUAAUUAAUCAUUAGAUUUCUCAAUUUUAAAUUUUGAAUUUUUUCACAAUUGCGUAAUUAAUAAGUUCCAAUUUUGAGUGUUGUGGGGCUAGUAAAAUCUUCCUUACACAUAACCGACUCUUGAACCUACUCUUUUCUUUAGAAUUCAAUGCAGACCUCAAAUUUAUCUUUUGAAAAGAAUUUUAAAAUCUCUGUAUAAAAGGUGUUUCUUUUUGUUACCGAUCACAUUUAACAAAAAUUUAAAAAUUAUUAAAAAAUAAUUUCUUUUUGAAAUUUAAAAUGAUCUAAAAACAUAUUUUUAAUUGCUUUGGACCAUCUAUUGCUGAUUUCCUUAUUAUAUUAAGUGUUUGCAAUCACUCUUAAUAUAUUGUGCUUGAGUUGUGACAAAGCCGAUCGUCAACGUGCCAUAAUGAUCAAUUGACGCUGAAACUGAAGUUUUUGUUAUAUUGAUAGAGCUUGUCCUUCAACGCAUACAACGUGUUUGUUAUUUUUCUCCCUUCAAAUUGUAUGAUCUUAUUCAUUAAAUGAAUUAAUGAAUAUCCCUUUUAAAAAGAUAUAUUUUUAAAAAUUAAAUACUUCAUAAAAUAUUUAAAACCAUUUAAAAAUUUGUUAGCCUUAAAACAAUCAACAAAAUAUAUUUUUCUCUAAAAAAUCAAUAAAAAUAUGUUUGAAAUUUUAUAUGAAAUUUAAAAUUUUUUAACAAUAAUAUAUUUUAAAAUUAUAGUAACGCUACAAAAUAUAUAUAUUUACUAAUUAUAUACACCUUUUUUAUAUUUUUUCCUAACAUAUCAUUAUUUUCAACAUUAUCGUAAUCCUGUUUUUAUAAUUCCCUUGUCAUACAUCCUUUUUCUACUUAGAAUUUCAAAAGAAAAUGUGAAUUAAUGUAGACGUGAGAAGACUUCAAGGUAAGUCACCCAAUGAAAGUGACCUAAACCGACUUAUGGAAGAAUCAAACAAUAAUUUUGUGUCUUGUAAUAUAUUUCUUGUAAUAUAUUUAAUUACAUUUAUUAGUUUAUCAAUCAAAACUUAAUUAGAAUCCAUCAAUAUUUCACACAUCAAAAACCCAAACAUAAAAUUCACUUCUAAAUUAUUUGGGAUAUAUUUGUAUUAUAGGAAAUGGAUUAAAUUAGUCUUUUUAUUAUAAAAUGUAUUAUUUUAAUCUUUGUAUUAGGUAUGAAUGAUAUCUCCUAGAUUGAACCCAAAGCUAUUCUUGAAAGACUGAAAUUAGGAUUUAGAUGUGUUGAGAUGGAAAGUGACAACACAAUGUUGAUUGAAACUAUUUGUAAUGGGUUGGCUACAAUAAGUAGUGCUGUCGAAAUAAGACAGAUUCACGAUUAGUCUUCCAAAAAUUGGGAAGUCAAAUUUCGACAUAUUUAGCGGAAUGCCAAUAAAAUUGUUGAUUGCUUAGCUAAGGCAAAUGGAGGGGUAAUUGAGCAGCUGGUUAUCUUGGAAGAUCCUCCGCAUUAUGUGAGAUGCUAGCUUGAAGAAGAUAUUAACAGUCACUGGUCUGAUGAUAAUUUUCAUUUGGACUGAUGAGCGCUUAAUUUUCUAAGCUUAUGGUCAACAAAAAAAAAUUAAAUACGUCUAAAUUGUAAUAGAGUUAACAUUUAGUGUUUAAAAAAUAUCUUAAAAUUUAUUUUUUCCAAUUGCAGUUCAAUUCCACAAAUAUCGACGAUGAACCCGAACAUAAAAAUUACAAAAAAAAACACAUCUAUUAUCAAACCAACAAUCCAUGUCUAAACUUAAAUUAACAAAAUUCACCACGCAACCUGGUACACUAUUUUAUAUAUAUAUAUAUACUAGAUUUAUUCUAGAUGCACAUGUUUUAUUAUAUUUAAAAAUUAAAAUAUAUGGUUGACUAAGUUUUAGUUGAAUUAGUAUUUGUUAAAAAUAUAAUGUUGGUAAUGACAAUAUAUAGCAAAGAAAAUAGAAAUAGAAAAAUAAAGAACACACAUAUUUUACGUGGAAACCCUUUCGGGAAAAAACCACAGGCAAAAGAGAAGAAAAUUCACUAUGUCGAAUUCAAAUCAAUUACAAGAGGAGUAGACUAUGCCUAUUUAUAGGCUUGGAAACCUUAUUCUAAUAGGAGUGAAACUCUUUAUUCUAAUAAUAUCAAAUAGAUGGAGUUUAAUAAGGUUUAAAAAACCUUAUUCUAAAAUAAAAUAAAAGAAGUAUAAUUCUAUAGGGAUUUUACUUUUAUUUUAUUUUACCAUAGUAUUUAAUUUAAAUAAGGAUUUGGGUCACUUAAUUCUAACAAUCUCAACCUUGACACGAAUUCUUAAUGAACAAGUUCUUCAUCGCGAACUCUCAACGAACAAGUUUCUCCACCUCUUCCAUAAAACCCCUUAAGGGUUUAUUUUCAACAAUGAACACCAACCAAGUCUAAGCAGUGCUCAAACUUGGUUAUAGGAAGUGACUUAGUCAUCAUAUCUACAGGAUUUUCAUGAGUACUAAUUUUGCUCACAACAAUAUCACCACGAGCAAUAAUAUCACGAACAAAAUGAUACCGAACAUCAAUGUGUUUUGUUCUCUCAUGAAACAUUUGAUCUUUUGUAAGGAAGAUGGCACUUUGACUGUCACAAAAUACUGUAUUAAUUUGAAGGUCUUCAUUGAGUUCACUAAAGAGUCCGUUCAACCAAAUAGCUUCUUUGCAAGCCUCAGUAAUCGCCAUGUGCUCAGCUUCAGUGGUAGACAAAGCGACUGUAGUUUGCAAAGUGGCUUUCCAACUGAUUGCACAACCUCCGAUUGUAAAGACAGAACCUGUGAGAGAUCUUCUUCUAUCCAGGUCUCCAGCAAAAUCAGCAUCAACAUACCCAAUGACUCCAUCUCUAGUUCUUCCAAACUGUAAGCAAACAUCGGUAGUACCUCGUAAGUAUCUUAAAACCCACUGAACUACUUUCCAAUGUCUUUUAUCGAGAUUCGCCAUGUAUCUACUAACUGCACUAACUACAUAUGAUAAAUCUAGAUGUGAACAAACCAUGGCAUACAUGAGAGAUCCUCCUGCACUAGAGUAUGGAACAUGUGACAUGUACUCAAUCUCAUCAUUUGAUUGUGGAGACAAAGCUGAUGAUAGUCUGAAAUGGGCUACUAAAAGAGUACUAACAGGCUUAGCAUUCUGCAUAUUGAAUCUAGAAAGAACUUUCUCAAUGUACCCUUUCUGACUUAGGUACAAUUUACUUGCUUUUCUAUCCCUGAGAAUCUCCAUACCAAGUAUCUUCUUUGCUGGUCCCAAGUCUUUCAUCUCAAAUUCUUCACUUAGUUGGGCUUUGACCUUUCUUAUCUCUCAUUUAUCUUUCGCUGCUAUCAAUAUGUCAUCAACAUAAAUGAGUAGAUACACAAAAGAACCAUCAUUGUUUUUCUUAAAGUAAACACAACUGUCAAAGCUACUUCUUUUAAAAUCAUGAGAAGUCAUAAAGGAAUCAAACCUCUUAUACCACUGUCUUGGUGACUGUUUCAAACCGUAAAGAGACUUUUUUAGCAAGCAAACAUAGUCCUCUUUUUCUGAGACUGUAAAACCCUCUGGUUGUUGCAUGUAAAUAUCCUCCUCAAGUUCUCCAUGCAAAAAUGUAGUUUUUACAUCUAACUACUCAAGCUCCAAAUCAUGCAUGGCCACAAUACCAAGCAAAGCUCGAAUCGAACUAUGCUUCACAACUGGAGAGAACACAUCUGUGAAGUCCACUCCUGGAAUUUGACUGUAACUAUUUGCAACAAGCCUUGCUUUAUAUUUGGGUUCUUCAACUCUUGGAGUCCCCUCUUUCUUUUUAAACACCCAUUUACAACGAACAAUCUUUUUAACUUUGGGAAGUUUCACAAGAUCCCAUGUUUUGUUUUUGUGGAGUGAUUCUAUCUCCUCUUGCAUAGCAAACAUCCACUUUUCUGAAUCUUCACAACUAAUCGCCUUAGAAUAAUUAGAUGGCUCUUGGUUUGCAUCUAUAUCUUCAGCCACAUUUAAAGCAUAAGCAACUAGAUCAGCCUCAACAUACUUCUUUGGAGGUUUAAUUUCUCUUCUAGUUCUAUUUUUGGCGAUAGAGUAUUAUGGUGAAGAAGCAACUCUAUUUUGAAUUUUCGUACUGGCUUUAGUAGUCGACUCUGUUGUAGAUUCUAGAUCAAUCUGAUGCUCCACCUGCUUUAGAUUUUCUUUAUUGGAAGUCUUUAAGAGAUAACUUAGGUAGCAUAGCAGUUUCAUCUAAAACAUCUCUGCUAAUCACAACUUUUCUAUUUUCAGGACACCAUAACUUAUACCCUUUUACACCAGCUUUAUAACCAAGAAAAACACAUUUAGUAGAACUCGGUUCCAAUUUUCCAUUAUCAACAUGAGCAUACGCAGGACAACCAAAGAUUUUUAAAUUAGAAUAGUCAGCAAGAUUACCAGACCAUACUCUUGUGGAGUCUUUUUCUCAAUGGCAACGGAUGGAGAUCGGUUGAUCAAAAAACAUACAGUAGAGGCUGCUUCUGCCCCAAAAUGACUUUGAUAAGUUGGCAUUUGACAACAUAUAUCAAACCUUCUCCAUGAUCAUUUUGUUUAAUUUUUCUGCAAUGCCGUUUUUCUAUGGAGUAUGACGAACUGUCAAGUGUCUCACGAUCCCUUCUGACUUGCACAGUUUAUUAAAUUCAUCAGAACAGAACUCUAAGUCAUUGUCUGUGCAGAGGCAUUUUAGUUGCUUUCCUAUCUAUUUUUCAAUCAUGGUUUUUCAAGACUUAAAUGAGGAAAACACAUCACUUUUCCGCUUUAGGAAGAAUGCCUACACUUUUCUAGAAAAAUCAUCAAUUAAAGUUAGCAUAAGUAGCUCCACCUCUCGAAGGCACUCUGGAUGGCCCCCACAGAUCAGAAUGAAUAUACUCUAACGUUCCCUUCAUGUUAUGGAUUCCUCUGGUGAAUCAGACUCUCUUUUGCUUCCCAAAAAUGCAGUGCUUACAGAACUUCAGUUUGCAAAUUUCUUGCCCAUUAAGAAGUCCUCUUUUGCUCAAUUCUGCCAUGCCAUUCUCACUCAUAUGCCCUAGGCGCAUAUGCCAAAGUUUAGUAAUAUCAUCAUCUGACAAGGAAGAGGAUGAGACAGUUGCAUCACCAGUAACAGUAGAACCCUGCAAAACAUAUAACUUGGCAGUCUUUCUCUGCCCUUUCAUCACAAUGAGGGAACCUUUGGAAAUCUUCAAAACCCCACUUUCAACUGUGUAUUUGUACCCUUUUGAAUCAAGAGUACUCAACGAAAUUUAAUUUAUUUUUAAUUUUAGAACAUGUCGUACGUCAGUGAGUGUUCUGACAACUCCAUCAAACAUCUUAACUCUGAUUGUUCCAACACCUGCAAUUCUACAUGAAGCAUUAUUUCCCAUCAACACAAUACCUUCAGACACUAUUUCGUAAGUUGUAAACCAAUCCCGAUUGGGACUCAUGUGGAAGGUGCAACCCGAAUCAAGGAUCCACUCCUCGUCACUUUGGAAUUGUCGAUUGAAGUGACUAGAAGUUCACCAUCGCUGUAAUCUUCUACAACAUCAGCUUUACCAGAAUUUUCUAGUUGUUUUCCAUUUUGAUUCGCAGCCUCCCUUUUGAUCUUGUUCUGUAGCUUAUAGCACUCAGUUUUAAUGUGCCAUUUCUUCUUGCAAAAGUUACAAGUUUUACCUCUGUUUGAAGACUACUUUUAGAUUUACUGCGAGGAUUCCGUUCCUGUGUCCUUCCAUGAUCAUCAUCAGCAUUCCGAUCUUGUCUCCCAUGAACAAUAAGACCCUCUCCCCGAGAGUCGAUUUUAAGCACAAGAUGCUUCAUCUUAUCAUACGAGGUUAAAGAAUCAUAAACCUCAUCAACUGUGAGAGACUCGCGGUUAUAUAAAAUCGUAUCUCUAAAGGAUGAAUAAGAUGAGGGCAACGAACAAAGUAGAGUCAACCCUAGAUUUUCCUUAUCAUACUGAACCUCCAUGGCCUCCAAGUUUGAGAGAAUUUCUUUGAACACUAUUAAGUGUUCGUGCACAGAUGCACCUUCCUCCAAACGAUAAGCAUAAAGACGCUGCUUCAUAUGUAGCUUGAUAGUUAGAGUUUUCGACAUACAUAUCUAUUCCAACCUCUUCCAUAAUCCAGCAGCAGUCUUUUCCUUCAUCACAUCCUGCAAAAUUUUGUUAGACAAAUGCAGAUGUAACUGUGUUAAUGCCUUUCAAUCCUUGCACUUCUUCUUUUCUUUCGUCAAUGUUGAAGGCAUCUUAUCUACCCCUAGUAGGGCUUCCUCUAAGUCCAUCUGUGCAAGAACUGCUUGCAUCUUUAUCUGCCACAAUGCAAAUCUAGUAUUGCGAUCCAACAGCAGAAUUUUGUACUUCAAAGACGUUAUUACCGUGAUUGAGAUGAACAACCCAGAAGCUCUGAUACCAAUUUGUUAAAAAUAUAAUGUCGGUAAUGACAAUAUAUAGCAAAGAAAAUAGAAAUAGAAAAAUAAAGAACACACAGAUUUUACGUGGAAACCCUUUCGGGAAAAACCCACGGGCGGAGGAGAAGAAAAUUUACUAUGUCGAAUUCAAAUCAAUUACAAGAGGCGUAGACUAUGCCUAUUUAUAGGCUUGUAAACCUUAUUCUAAUAGGAGUGAAACUCCUUAUUCUAAUAAUAUCAAAUAGAUGAAGUUUAAUAAGGUUUAAAAAACCUUAUUCUAAAAUAAAAUAAAAGAAGUAUAAUUCUAUAGGGAUUUUACUUUUAUUUUAUUUUAUCACAGUAUUUAAUUUAAAUAAGGAUUUGGGUCACUUAAUUCUAAUAGUAUUGAUAUUAUUGUCAGUGUAGGAAAAUAUGAGUUUAAUCAUGCUCAAAUGUGUUUUAUCCUCCAAUUCAAGAGUUAGGAAAAGGUUAUUGAUAAUUAAAUUAUACCAACUUUUAUGAUAUUAAAAAAGGGUUUAUAAAUAAUAUAAGGAAAAGAAAAAAAAGCGAGAAACAUAUUCAUAUUGAUAUUAGACUUUUUUUUUUCUAUCACAAGUAAAAAUAUCAAAGGUGAUAAUAAUUAAAUUAAAAAAUUUAAAUUGAAAAAAUAGGGGAUUGAAUUUAUAACUAACAACAUAUUUUAACCACAUAAUAAAAGUAGUUAUGAAGAGGAUCAUGUAAAAUAAUGACCUGAAUAAUUUUAAACGUCUCAUUCUUGCAAAAAUGAAAUAAUAGAAAAGAAAUAAGUGUUGGGUGUAGUGACAAUGUACAUUAUACUUCUAAGGGGAGAUCAGGGUUUUAGGCAAGGGAAGAAUUUAAUUUAAACCUACUUUUUUUUCUCUAGAACUCAACCCAAACCUCAAAUUUAUCUUUUUAAAAGAAUUUUAAAAGAUCUAUAUAAAAGGUGAUUUUUUUUUAUCGAUUACACUUAACAAAAUUUUAAAAUUUCUUUUUUUGAAAUUUAAAGUGACCUAAAAACAUAUUUUUAAGUCCUUCAGACCAUCCUGUGCUGAUUUCUUUAUUAAUUUGAUUUGUUCAAUAUAGAUUUUGGUGACUUAAAACAAAAAUAAUAAAAAAUUAUUUUUUCAGAUAUGUUUUUAAUGUUUAAUAAUAAGUUAAUUUAUAAAAUAUACUUUCAUUGGAUACAGGCCUCCAAGGCGGUGAACCACUGAUCAAAUUAAUUUAGAGAUACCUAAAUUUGCUUUCAUCAAUUAAGAAAUUAAAAAAAAAUUGCUGAGACCUCAUGAUUAUCUUUUAUAAUUUCAGGCUUAUCACCAAAAACUAAAAAAUAAAAACGUCGACAUUAAAUUUGUUGGUAUGCAAUCAAUUUUAAGAUGGUUUUUGGAGUUAUAUAUCACUUUAGCAUGGACUUACUUUUCUACAGUUAGUCUUCUCCAACAAGUUAAAUAUUUAAAUUUUAACAACAUUGACAGGUCUUUGGGGUAGGGUCGAGCAAAACUCAAUAGAAACAGAUGAUAUAGAUUGAGUUGGCUCGGCCAAGUCGAGUCGACUUGUUCAAAUUAGUUAAAUUAGUAAAUUUUAGGGUGCAGUUAGUAUUUUUUGUUUUGAGAUGCUAAGAUUAAAAAAUUUCAGUUGUUAAAACAAAAAAAUUGUAUUAAAAAAAGGCAUAAAUUAAAUUAUUAAGUUUUUCAAGUUUCCAUUUAAUCAAAGGUUAAAAGGACUAAAUUGAAGCUUUUUAUUUUUAAGAAAGGCUGAAUGACAAAUUGCCCAAAGCCCAUGCCCCUAGCUAUACGCCCCUGGUAAAAUCAAUUUUAAAAUUAGUUAUAAUAGUUGAAGCGAAUUGAUUAUUGAGUAAUGAAAUACAUAGUUCAACAAAAAAAAUAAGUUGACAAAUUUUGACAAAAAAAUAUCAAAAAUGAAAUAAUAGAAAAGAAAGAGUAGGCAUUUUAUGAAAUUUAUAAUUCCAUGAAUAAAAUAUAAAUUUUAUGAAUGUGGACGAGCCAUUUUUUUAUAAUUUUCAGUGUUUUUCUUCUUUUUCUUACUUUUUUUAAAGUAUUUUUCUUUGUUUCCUAACCACCAUGAAAUUACUUGUCACAAUUCAUCUUUUCAAAUGAGAAACAUUUUCCACAAUUUGCCAUCACUUCAACAUACACUAACUUUUCUAUGAUUAGUCCUUGGUUUGCUUCGGGUGCAAUCUUCCAACUAGCCUUAUCCUUGGUUUUACUUUCCAACAUUUAGUGUAUCACGAGUUUUGUUUUCUUUAAAAAAAUAUUUUCGUGGAUAUUAGGAGAUAAUGAAAAUUAUUUUACUAUGAAAUUUUAAUAAAACUGGAAAAUAAGUAAUUUAUUUUAAGCGAUCACAAUUAAACAUUAGAUUCCAAUUUUUUAAUUUUUUUUUUACAAUUGCAUAAUAUUUUGAGCAUUGUAGGAAUGCCAUAACCUUCCCUACGCAUAAUAUACUCUUGAGCAUGAUGGAUCCUAGACCUUCUUUAUUCUCGUACCACAAAUUGCUUCAAGUGUGGGUUCGAACAAUCACAAAUUAAACACAAAACCAGAAAUGAUUUAUUACUUUCAAUAGCAAAGUAAUUCUCUUUCAAUAGAAACCAAUAAAAUUGUAAUUCCUAGAAAAUUAAAAUUUAUUUUUUCAAAAUAUCUUCUCUCUACUUUCUAGCAGAAUAACAAUAUGCGAAACUUAUGUCUUGUGUUAAUAGCCCUACCGGUACUAUCUAUUUAUAGGGAGAGACACGAGAAUCCUAGUUGAAUUAGUAAAACACAAAUAAUAUUUAUUUCAUAGAAACCAACAUUCUACCCUAAGUAGAUCAAGUUUGGAUGACGCAUGGAUCGAAGCUCAAUCUAGGGGAAAAAAAUAAAGGAAUUUUCUUUGUAAAGAAAAUCUGAGAUUAUACUAUUUUCGAAGUUAUAAAUAAAAUUAUACGCCAAAUUUUGAAGUCAAUUUUCAACUCAAAUGUUGUAUGUACAAAUUUCUAAUACACUUGGUGGGACAUUCUUUAACUUUUAUCUAUUCUCUCAAAACGUUAAAGUUCAAAGUUGCAUUAAACUCAAAAAAGAUAAUCAUUAGUAAACCAGCACACAAGCCUACUCAAGCUAAUCCUACAACUCGUUCCACUUCAUCAUCAAACACCAAUGUUCUUGCUUAUCCUUAUGGAAUUAAACAAAAGACAAAAGCUCUUUAAAGUUAUUUGAACAGACUUCUUUAAUGGUAAAUGAUAAUCCACUCUAUGAUGCUUCUUCGCCCAACUCAUGAUUUAAAAGAAGUUUCUACUCAUAGAUCAAGUGUAGCUCGCCAGUUAUCAUUAAGGAGAAAAAGGAGUCAAUCAAGUGAAAAUUAUAUUCCAACAUCUCCCCAGAACCAAAUUUCAUAGUGAUGAAUGUCAUGACAACUGACACUACAUUCUUAGAAGAAUAAGUAGAUUUCUAGCAAAAACGAUGGAGAGUUUUACUACAAGCAUAAAAGAAAUGGAUGAUCAAAUUGAACAUCUUAGUGGAAGUAACCAAACCUUUUCCAACGAAACUCAACAUCCUCUUCACAAAGUUGUUGGAAUCUUAAUUGUUGAAGGACUUUAAAGUGUUUCUUUAGAUCAACUCAAGGAGUUUAUUAAAAAAACCAUCAAAGAUCAAGUCAAAAGUGUUACUUUGCCUUCAUAUACAUACUCAAAGUCAUACAUCUGAAGGAUUUAUCAUUUGAAUAUGCCUGAGCAUUAUCCACCUUUAAAAUUGUAAUAGUUUGAUGGUAAAGGAAAUCCAUGUAAACAUGUCGUUCACUUCAUGGAAACUUGUGAUCGCGUCGAUGUAACACCCCACUCGUGACCCAAUCGCUGGAUUCAAGAAGAGAGAUACCAAAAUCAUGUUGGAAAAAAUCUUCGAUAAGUGUAGCAUGAGUGCUCACACUCUCCAAACACUCCAUACUAUCUUUGGUAUUGAAGUUAAGCUUGACACUCCCUUAUCUCUCUAAUGUUAUCUUCAGGCCAUAAUGCCCUAUCACAUAGUAAAAAAGGUGAGUACUCACAAUCCUAUGGCAUGCCAAUGAUAUCUAAUGGUUUCAAGUGUUCACAAUGCCAACAUAUGUUUUGUAUCACAUUCACUUUACACAAUUUAAAAGGGCUCACAAUACAGCAGAUCUCACGUAUAAUAGUUUUUAAUAACACAAUUCACAUUUCUGUAGGGCUCGUAUUAUAUAUAAGUUCGUAAUAACAUGGAUUCGCAUAACACUUAUGGCUCGCAUAUAUUUAGGGCUCAUAUGUAACAGUUGGGAUCCUAUAUAUUUAAACUCGCAUAAUACAGGGGCUCGCACGACAUAUUUUGGCUUGCAUGCAAUAUAGGGCUUGAUCACAUAUAUAGGUUCACAUGAUCUUAGGGCUCGCAUCACAUAUAUAAGCACGCAUGAUACAUGGGUUCACUCAACAUGUAUAUAUCAACUCGUGCAUCAAAGUAUAGGCUCGCAAGCAUUAAGGUGAUAGAGUUUGCAAACAAUUUAGAGCUCGCACACAUCAUAGGCUUGCAUACAUACAUGUUAGCAAGGUCUGCAGGUUACAAAUCGAGGCUCACAUAACUAUAGAGGCUUGCAUGGAAAUAUAAAAUUGUUCAGAUAUCAUUUUAAUCGGCUUCACACAUUAAAUCAAAUGGUUUGCAUGCAUUCCUUGGCUUUCAUUAGCAUGCGAACUCGUGUUUUUAACACAGUGUGCAAGGACACUCACUAGUUGUUUGUUGAUACUGUCGAACCUAUACCACCUUUUGCUUGACUUUUUCCUUGCUCAUGGAUGCACCUUCACAUUGAAAGGAUUUGCAUAAAACAAGAAAUAAUACAGAUUACUACUUUCACAGACAUAAUAACCUUCUUAACAAACAUAGUAGCGAAUCUUCCAAUCUUCCUUAAUAAUUCCUUAAAUGAAGCUAAACCAAAAUGCAUUAUAAAUUCAAUCAAUUUACCAUUAAACCAGCCCCCAAACACCCACUUAUAAGUUCAAACUGAUCAUUGAAAUUAUAAUUAUUUUAUGAAUCCAAACUAGUUAGAUUCCUUAAACUGUAUUGAUGCGAAUUGUAUGUACAAUCGUUCUUCACCUUUACGGAUGAUUUGGGGUGUUUGGGUCAACACCUAAUUCAAUAAUAUACUGGAAAACUAGUAGUUAACCAAUUCAUAACCUUUACCCAACAACUAUGUCGAAAUAACAAACUAGUUUAUAAUUAAUCGUACUUAUACCAAAUUGCGAGAUCUGAAUGGCUAAUUGAUCAAGAAUGUGUUUUGUAACAUCCCAAAAAUUAGGUUAGAAGAAAUGGGGCUUUGAAACCAAGAGUGGUCAUCCCCCGAUUAUGAGUUUAGAUCUUGGAAAAUUUGACAAGUAAACUGAUCUGGUUAAUGGUUAAGUGUCUUGGUUAUAUGUGUCAGGUUUUGGGUUCAAAUCUUGUUUUUGGAAAUUUUGUUACUUUGCUUAAACUCUUACCUUGAAUGUUUGGUUUAUAAGUUAAAUUUAGUCAAUUGAUGUCAAGAAUGAGUCUAUUGGUUCAAUGGUUAAGUUUUUGUAUAAUCAUUGGUCUUGUGUUCGAAUCUCAACAAAAGUAAUAGGGAAUGUUUUGUUUUUAAAUUUUUUUUAUAGGGUAGUUAGUUUCGAUUGGUUAUUUAAAGCCUUCCAGAAACCUCUAUUGCUUUUAUUUUUAUUUUGUUCUUUCUUUUUCUGCGACAUUUUCUAUCAUUUUGUUUCUGUUCUUUAGUUUCGUCAUAUUGGUUUUUUAUUUUCAAGCAACUUUUUUUUUGUUAUGUUACAUUACGCCGAUUGUGUACGGAGUCUAACUUCACCCUCUAGUUAAUUCGCUGGCCGGUAAGUUCGAUUUAAAGUUUUGGUGUUGAAAGUUUUUUAACGUAAAUUUAAUUUUGAAAUGUUAGUUUUUAGUGGUUUAGCUGCAAAUUAAUCGUUUGUUGGAAAAUUGCUUGUCGUUCAGGGACAUGAAUUUAUCCUUGUUACUCUUGCAUCAAGUUCGUAUCAAGUGGGUAUCAGAAAACCCUUCUUCUUUAAAUUUUAGUUGUCAAAUAAUGGCACUAUCGAUGCCACAUAGCUGUGUGGCAGGCCGUGUAACUUACUGUUCAAAAAAAUUAGAGGCAUACGAGCGUGGGCCCAAAUUGUGUGUGGUUAUGAAUUGUGUAGGGUUCACACAGGCCAGUGACACUAGCAUGUGUCAGGUCGUGUGGGACACACGGGCAAGUACACGAGCGUUUACCAGACUGUGUGGAGUCACAUGGGCCAGUUCUCUAGGCCGUGUAAAACCAUAUAGGUAUGUGAAGCAAUAUUUGGAAUUUUUCCCUUGGGUUACAAGAGUUGUUUGAAACAAACGCAUAAAUACUGUAGGGUCCGUACGAUUUGGAUUAGGCUAUAUAACUUGAUAUUUGAUGAUAUGAUGAUGAACAACUUGUGAUCUAUACGUAUAUUUGUUAUGUUUGAACCUAUGUGAGUAGGAUCUGUUAGAAUGUAACAUGUUAUUUUUUGUUGUGUGUGAACUAUCCAGGUACAAUUUGUAUUCUAUUAAGUUUUUUGGUACGCCUAUGUGUUACUCUAUUGAUGAAGAAUAUGUGACAUUUGAUUAUGUUAGAUUGAUUGUUACUGAUUAUAAUUUAUAACCCUCUACGUUACUUCAUUGAUGAGGAAUACACGUAUAUGAAAAUGUUAGAUUGAUUGUUACUGAUUCUAAUUUAUAGUCGUGUAUGUGACUUCAUGGCAAAUAUGAUAUGAUUUGUUGAGGUUUGAUAAGUCUAUUUUACAAAACAUGGACCCUCAUGUCUCCUGAUUCUGUUAUUGAAAGAUAUCAUGACUUACAUGCUCAUCACUCUAAUUCUUCAUAUGUAUGUCAUGACACGUUGCAUGGGAUUUGGGUUGAUGUGAAAGGAGGAAGUUUUUGGCAGUUAAUGAUCUGUAUUAUCUGGUGGUUUAUCCAUGAUUCUGUUCCGGCAACUUAGUUGUACUAUAGUGGCUUGACCAAAUGUAACCGAUCUGGCAGUCUUAACUGCAAAAUUUUGGUGGCACCAUUCACAAUUAUCUAUUGGUGUAAUUUGGCCGGAUGAGUUAUGGGGGAACUCUAUUUUGGUUAGUAGCAAAGUUUGGGUAUGAUGUUUUCUGAUAAUUUUGCAUUCUAAUCUAUUUGAAAAAUACAAUAUUUGCAUAACACAUUUUCUACUCUGCUCUAUUCUGUUCUACUCAGUUCUAUUCUGCUUGAUUUAUUAUGUUCUGCUUCAUUCUGUUGUGUUCGGUUCUGUUGGACUGUUGUUGUGAAAAUUUUCGUGAUACUCUAGAUCUAUUCCAUACUGGUUAUAAAUUUGUUAUUAAGUUCUUUGCGUUACUUUGAUUUAUAUAAUAAAAUCUGUUUAUUUGUAUCUAAGUUUCAUUAUACACGACGCUUGGUGUUUCACCCUUUGUCUUAUCUUAAUCUGUUCAAGUGCACAUCUUACUUACGACUAGAUGUACAGGAGCUCAGAUUGUUUUGCAUUGAUAUAACUAUGAUUUGAUCUUUUAGGUUGUAAUUUGUUUUUGGACUUGUCUUGCUUUUCUUUUGAUAAUCUCGUCAAUAUCUGUCAUUUUCUAACACAAAAAUAAAAAACCACCUAAGUCGACUAAAAUGAAUUUCUGGUUUUCAAAGUUGAAAUUUUGAAAAGAAACUAGUUUUCUGCACGUUGGCGUAACUCGUCCAAAUUUGGCUUAAAUUUGUAGGUCGAGUUUGGGGUGUUACAUCUUUCCCUAAUUAACAUGUGAUUAAAUAUUUAUUAGAAGGAUUCAAAAACUCAACUUAAUGCUGGAAAAAUAUGGGCAAGAACCAAGAAACAAAACAACCCCCUUUCUUACACAUAGCCGUACGAACCACCACCCAUGAUGGCCAAAAUUGGGGUUGAAUUUUAAAAUGGUUUGAGAUCUCAUUAAAAAUAUAGAAAAACACAUUUGUGUCGAAACCACUAUUUAUUUUUGAAAAAUGGGAAUCAACUUUAAAAAAUGAAAAUGGGAGUCACCACUGAUCUUUUAUUGAGGUGUGAUCAGAUCACCUUAAAAAUGAUUUUAGGUCUACGAAUUUUAAGAAAAUAGGUUUCGGAGUUGGUUACACACGAGGAAGGGUUAGCACCCUCAUAACGCCCAAAAUUGGUAUCGAAUAGACUGUUUAAUGUCUUAGUGUCGAAAAUUUGAAAACAUUUUAAAAUACGAUCCUUUUUUAAAGAAAAUUUGAAUAAGUUGACUUAGAAGAUAAGACCCUUUUAUUUCGAAGAAGUAAAAUAUCACAUCCAGUGAGUUAGGGUGCAACAUUUCUAAUCCUUAAAAUUAAGUUUGUCUUUUGAUUUUUAAAACUCAUGCAUUUAAAUUUGAAAAGGAUAUUCAGUUAUUUGGGUCAAAUGAAAAAUCAAAACCCAAUAAGUUAGGGUUCAACUUCCAAAAAUUGCUAAAUACCGAAUAUUGCCUUUAUUUUUUUUAGAAAUCCAUAACUCAAGAUAACCAAAUGACAUAUCCAGUAAGUUAGGAUCCAACAUUUUGAAAUCCCAAUAGAGAACUUUUUAUUUAGGAUUUGUAUGGUUUUAUUGCAAAAGAGAUACUUGGCUAUCUAAAUUCAUCGAAGAGAAUUGAAGCCCACUAAGUUAGGGCAAAAUCUUCUCGAAAAUCGUGAAUACCGAGUAUUUUGAAAAUUUACGAAAUAAGAUGAUUUUAAUGCUUUAAGGAAACAUAAUUUUUAAAACAAAUGUAGUGUGAUUGAACGACAAUGUACAAUGCAAAAGGAUAAUUAAAAAAAAACAUGUAUACAUUAGUGAAUAACUAUCAAUCAAUAAAUAUAAAUAAGUAAAAUGAUACAUACGAGAACAAUAAUCUUACAUUCCAGAUUAUGCAAAUACUAAAUUUUAAAACUAAUGAAUUAUAAAUUAAUUUUGAAAGAAAUGCCAAGCAAACUAACACAAAUAAAAUAUAACAAGUUUUAAAAAUAAAAAGAAAUAAAAAAAGUACACAGAAAGAAAUUUAAAAUCAUCAGUACAAACAAUAAGUUAUAUGAAUAAUAUUUCAAAAUAAACAAUAUAUAUAUGAAUUUGAAAUAGUUCAAAAAUAAAGGUAAAAAAAUACUAUGUGAAAAGAAAUAAUAUCUAAAUGAAUUUUAAACAAAUAUUGUAUACAAAGAAAAUCAAAAUAAGUAAUACACAAAAUAAUACACGUAUAUCAAUCUAAAUGAAUAAUACAUAUUAAAAAAUCUUUAAAUCAUAGAAAUAUAAAUAAGUGAAUUUUUUAAAAAAUUUAAUUAUACUGCAAAAUAAAACCAUUAAAGAAUGUGUACAAUUCUAUUGAAUUUAUAUAAAAUAAUAUAUGACAAAUUAUAAUAAUAAUACAUAAUAAAUCUGAAAUAACAAUAUACAAUAAACUUAGAUAAUAUUAAUGAUAAAUUUAAGAUAAUAAUAAGUUUUAACAUUCAAAUAAUAUUAGAUUUAAAAUUAAAAAUAAAAAAUAGCAUAAUAAAAAAUACUUAAAUAAGUAAAAAGCAAGCAAAUUAAAAUAAAGUAAUGAGGAUUAAAUUGAAUUUAAAACAAAAUUUAAAAUAAAAAAAUGAGAAUAAAACAAAACUGAGAGCCAAAAAAAGACGCGCGGAUAACAUGGGGACCAAAUGGGAAAUAUUCCCUUCCUUCAAAACGCAGCGUUUUGACACGGACCAAAUUGGAAUGAAACAUAGAAUGCGUGGCCAAAUCUAAAUAAAAUAAAAGGAUAAAUUUGAAAGAGUUAUAAAAAGAACGGGGACCAUUUGCGCAAAUUUCUCCUACGCUAUAAAACGCGCGGAUACUUCUCCGGGUAGGGUCACCGGGCGCGUAUAGGCCAAUAUAGUGUCGUUUUGAAGCCACUGAAGCAGGCUGAAAAUGACAUCAUCACAAAAUUAGUAUAAGAUUAAAAUUAAAGCAAACAUUAAGCCAUUUAACCACAGAAACCCUAGCCCCUUUCGCCGUUCUGAACUUUGCUAAUUCUUUUAGCCUUGAAACCCUUGCCAAACUCUGAUCACGGCGAAGCAAACAAGGAUUUCGCGGCGGUUUUAUUAAGGUAACUUAUUCUUUUGUUAAUCGCCUCUUUUUUAUAUCUAGUAAUAAACAAAAUAAGGAUUCAAGAGCAGAGAAGAGAACUAUCAAGAGAAAAAGAAAAAAAUGAAAACUCAAAUCACCUUUCGAGAUUUCGUAUUUUUUGCCUAUUAGAUUUCUUUUUCUGAAUCAGUAUAUGUAAUCCUUUUACAAAUGAAUCAAUCGGCUUUAUAUAGCCGAAUAAAACCAAAAAAUUACAAAAUUAUUAUUUUUGUUAUUUAUCACUGCUGCUAUUCUCGUUUUUUCUUUUAUGUUAUUGCCUUCCUUCGUUUGCUUGUUUGUUGCGUCUAUUGUAGGUACCAAACCAGCUGGAGCACACGCAUGGAGGCACAAUGGAUGGGGGGCACACGCGUGUGGGGUUGGAGCUGCUGCGGCGUUGGGGCAACAGGCUAGGGUUUUUGGAAACUGCUUAGGUUUAUCUAGGUUUGGGCUUGUUGGGCCAAAUGGGGUUAGUUUUGGGUACUUUAAGUUAAAAUGAUUUGGGCUAUGUAUUUGGGUAUGGGUUUUAGGCUAAUACUGGACUACUAUUAUUUUUAUUUUAUUUUGGUUUAUUAUUGAUUGGGCCUAGGUUUUAUUAGAUUUGUAAUUGUAUUUGGUUUUUUAGUAUUUGGUUUGGGCUAGGCAAAAUUUGGUAUUACAAUUUGAAUUCAUUUAAAAUCCCCCAAAUUCCAGAUCUAAAAUUUUUUCUUUUUAAUUGACAAGAUUAAUUAAGAAAUUGAAGAGAAAAGAGAUCUUACCCAAGCCAGUUGAGAGAAAUGACGAUGACACUUUCUUUGCAAUGCUCAAGAUCGAUCUUAGGGUUCAAGAUUUUAGAUUUGGGGAUGAUUUAAAUGAGGAUAAAUGAUAGCAAUAGAGUAAAGGAGAUGGUGCACAAUCUUGAUGCAAAAAGAAGAAGAAAGAGAUGGUAAAUGGGAGGUGUAAGCAAUGACAACAAUGGGAGAAAGAAAGAAAAUAAGAGAAAAGUGGGGAGGAAGAUGCUGAACAGAUAGGGUAGGGAAAAAUUGAAUUUUAGGCUAAAAAUAUACUUAGGGUUCAAGGUUAUGGACAGCACACACAUUUAAAAAACAAAGGAUUUUGCAAAAUUUACUAUUUUGCAAGGGAAAGGAUUCGAAAUUGGGACCUCAUUUAAUUUUCAUGUUUUCUCAUAUUUCUUUUAACCAUUAGGAUUUUUCCUCAUUCUUAAAAUCAUUUUGAAAUAUUUAUUUUAAAAAUAAGGCAUGUCACACUAGGGUUUAAGGCAAAAUUAGCAAAAUAAUAAAAAAAAUGAGAGAGAAGGGGGUUUCAAGGAACGCUUCACUAAAACUUAUCCAACAAACCAACACCUCAUUAUUUUCCUAAAUAUGCAUAGGUAAUCAUCAAAAUUAAGGCAUCACCACUCUUUCUCGAUUCACAAACCCGAUUCUACUAACCCUUGAUUUUUGGGAUGUUAUAAGGUGAGUUCGUAGUGUAACAAUAUAUAUGUGUGUGUUUUGGGGAUACGAUUGGCAUGCCAAUAGGGUUAGUUACACUUCAAUGCCUCUCUUUACAAUUUGGUGCCACUGUAUUUGCACUACAGUGCCUCUGUUAGUAUUUCGAUGUUUAGGGGAAACCCGAGUAUCCAAGUCAUUUUAAUAUAGUUCAAAAGGCCAUGAAAUUUUAUGUUUAAAUGUUAAAUUACUCUUGAGUUUGAUUUAUGUAUAAAAUGAUAUAUUUGUGUAUAUACGUAUAUAAGCAUGGAUUGCUUUGGUUUGAGCCAUUGUUUAUAUUGAAUCAUAUGAGACAAAUGUUUUGAUUAGUAUAGUUUGAGAAUAAAUAUUAAUGCUUUGGUGUAAUUAUAUGAUUCAUAUGUCUAUAAACAUGAAUCUAAUUAUGUUUAUGGUGUGUUUAGAGAAUUAAAUGGUUAUAUGAUUAUUUUCCAGGUAUUCGAGGUUGUUUAAUUUGGUUUAAUGGGUAAAUAAAGCUUUAAAGGGUAUGUGAUUACAUGAAAUGAACUAUCAUAUUUGAGUAAUGAUAUGGAUUAUGAUGAAAUGUUUAAUUGAAAAGAAAAUAUGGUUUAGUAUAUAUGUAUGAGUGGUGAAUUAUGAAAGUGAAAUGUAGAUAUGUUUUAUACCAUGUUUUGAUUUGAAUUAUAUAUGAUAUGUUACACCAACUAACCUUGUGAGGUGGUGUGUAUAGGAAAGGAAAGUUGGCUUAAAACAUAAUGAAAUUAUGCUUGGUUUUUUAACUUAAAAUAUUCAAUAAGUUAAGUUUCAUUUAUAUGAACUUACUAAACAUUAAUUGCUUACAUAGUUAUUUUUCUUUAUUUUGUAGUUCAUCAGAAGCUCGGCCGGUUGGAAUCAUGUCAGAGCACGAUCACACUAUCCAUUCAACAUUUUGAUAGUUUUUGGUUAUUUUGGUAAAUGGUUAUAAAUGACAUGAAAUAGGGUUUAAAGGUCAUUCCAGUGAUUUGACUUGUUUUGAGUUGUGUCAAGCUUAUUGUGAUUAAUGUUGUUAGUUGCUGGCAUGUAAAUAAUGGUGUAAAUAUGUGUGGUCGGACCCUUAUGCAUGCUUUAUUGAUUAAAGAUAUCAUAUGUUAAAAUGGCAUGUUUUUGGAAUGGUUAUUUGGCAUGAUUGGUAUAGGUUUAAGUUAUGAUCUUGAGAUGUUGAAUUGAAUUAAGUUUGAUAUGUAUAUUGUGAUGCCUUCAUUGACAUAUUGGUUAGAUAUUAAGGGAUGGUUGAUUUGGUAUGUUUUUGAAAUGGUUGUUGGUAUGUUUGAUCUAAGUUGAUUAAAUGAACUUGUAAUGUUGAAUGGUAUAAUAUUUGUUGGUACAUUCAUUAGUCUUAUAGGUUGAUGGAAUUGGUAUGUUUUAAAUGUGUUUUAAAUGUGUUUUGAUUAUUUGGAUGUUUGUGGAAAUGGUGUCUCUUGGUGUACAAGAUUUGAAAUUGAAACGGCUUGAUUUAGAAUCAACUUAUGCUGCACACUGCCUGGGACAUGGAUUGUCACAUGGCUGUGUCAUAAUUGUUUUAGGUACGGGUUUCACACAAUCUAAGACUCGGCUCACGACACAGUUGUGUAUCACAAGUCAGUAUGUAACACAGUUUUGCACAUGGCCUGCGACACGAUCUUGUGUCUAGACUUCGAAUGUCCACAUGGUCUGGGCUAUGUCACAUGGCUUGGCCACAUGGUCGUGUGACUUUUGUUUUCAAGUUUUCCAAAAUUUUCUAUUUUAUUUCAAAUUGAUCCUAGAAUAUUCUCAAACUAUUUUUAAGGCCCCGUAGGUUCGGAUUAAGGCCCCGUAAGUGUAUGUUUGCUAUAAUUAAGUUGUGCUACUGAAUGUUACUAAUUCAAUCACAUGAAUAUUUUGUUGUAAGUUAAAUGUUUUAAUUUUUACUAUAAUGCUCUGUAACCUUAAUCUUGCGAUGAAAACAGGUUUGGCGUGUUACAAUUUUGGAUUGUAAAUUUGUUUUGGGGCUUUGUUCUUUGGUUCUUGCGAUGUUGGUUAGAUUUUGGUGUUUUAACAUUAAACUGCAAAAUUGUAUAACUUAAUAAACUAAAAAUUAGGUUUUCAAAAUUAAAACUCUGGAAAUUUUUCUUGCAAAGUUUAAGUAAUCACUUAAGUGUUUUUCCAUAAAUAAUUAAAUGGUUUUUAACAAAUGUUUUCCUUAGUUUUGGAAAUGAUCUGCCAAUAUUAGUACUUUUAAAACACAUGAUUUCAAAUUCAAAUUCUCAGUUUUAAAUAAGGGUUUUCACACUUCAGUUUUUUUUAAACAUUUGUGAGAGGUUUUUGCCAAAUUUUAUGUUUUCAGAAUGUGUAACUAAGUUGAUUUUUAAUUAGUUUUUCAAACGAGUCGAGUAAUUCCUCAAAAAUCCAGUCAUAGCGUCUAGGCCGGGUUUGGGAUGUUAUACUGACGUUACUAAAGUUAAUCUUCAUCUAUUUAGUCUAGAUCUAAACAUUAAUAUUCUCUUCCAAGAAAAAUCAAGACUAUCAAUUUGUUAAAACUUGGUAGGCAGACAAUCAUAUUAAAUAUGCAUAAAACUCAAUAAGUAAUUUGCGAAGAUUGAAACAAUCAAAGAAAAAAUUAAUUAAUUAACUAAGAAAUAGGAUACAUUGCUGUUUCAAGGAAACAGGGUUUAGUUCACAUUGAGUUGAGAAAACCAAAAGGGAGAUUCAAAAUGAACUUGUGAUAAGGGGAAUAAUGUCAAUGGAUCAUAUUCAAGUUGUUCAGCUCGAGAAAGAAAGAUUCAGAUUUAACUUGAAAAGAGUAAACCAAAAAGAUUUAGAAAAACAAAGAAAAUAACUAAAAUGAUAAAUUUAAGAAUAAAUAAUCAAUAUUAAAAAUAAUAAAGAAAUUAUAGAAUAAAUAGUGGAAGAUGGAAUGAAUAAACGAUGGAUAUGACAUAUAGAUGGAUAAGUGUCUUAUAAUUCAUGAAAAGAGUUAUAUUUCAUGCCUUUAGACCUAACUAAUUGCUUGUACUUACGUACAUUUUGUUGCAUUUUAAGACAUAUUAGUUAGCAUUUCUAAUAUUGCAUUAGGACUUAGAUUGUGCUGGAAUUAGCUGUUUUUAAUCGCUCGUGGUGGAGUUUUUUUUGUGUUUUGGUAUAGAAGGAACAUGUUUUAGAUCGAGGAAAUAAAUGAGUGAAGUUUUGUCAAGGCAAAACUGCAGAUAGUUUGCCAGCACGGAUGCCGUGACAAUGCCGGGAAGACCAAGUCAACAUUUUUUUGUGCAAUAGUCUCAGUUGAAAUUAAAACUUGUACCAGAUAAAUCUCCCUAAAAGAGGAAAAGAUAAUCACAAGACCCUAGCCUAAUCUAUCUAUAAAAGCCAAUAAAGGGGAUUCUCACAAAUGGCAGAAAAAAGUGGGAAGGAUCCUUAGGUGUGAAUAAGGGUUUAGCUGCGCAAAGGAAAGGAAGUCGAAGGCAGUCCUUUUUAGCCAUCACAGGACAUUGUGUUGCCGAAGUGUGGACUAGGCAAGUGAAAGUUGUUUACCAAAGUUCUUUUGUUAUUUCCAUCAGCGUUCCUUCAAAAUAUUGAAGUAGUUGAACACAAUGUUGGAUAAUAUUUUGCUUUGGAAUUUUAUUUCUCAUCCCACGAGCUAAAUCUCGUAGGGUUGGGAUUACUUUUGAUGAAACCUUAAACUAUUUUUAUGAAUGCAGUAUAUAUCUAAUUUACUUUACUGUUUCAUUUGAUUGUUCUUAUUUCUUAAUUAAAAUGCAAAUGAUCUCUAAACAUAGAAGACUGUUCACAUACUUAUAAAUUGAUUCUAAUUCUGAAAGGGUUGGAUUGGUUGGAUUAAAAUUAAAUGAAAUGAGCAAGUAUUCGAUGGACACUUGUAGUAGACUCUAGACAUAGAGUGGCGAUCAUACAGAAGGAACCCAUGCAAGGUAUCUAAAAAGUCUUUAGACACAAGCAAGGUAACUUGAGGGUUUGCUCUCACGAGAGGCAAGCCAUUUUAGUACUCUUCUGUGCUUUAAAGUAGAUACGAUUUUGCCAAGGCAUUAUUGACAGUAAGAGUCGAUUUUGGGUAAUCAACCUUCCAAAUCCACAUCGUAUAUCCUUUAUUCCUUACCAUAAUAUAUUUGCCACAUCAUUAUUAGUUAUUUAUUUGUUCAUUUACAUAAUAUUCCCGUAGUAAUUCUCAUAAUUGUCAUUACAUUUCUACUCUCGGUUUGCCACAACAUUACCAGUUAUUUAUUAAUUCCACGUAUUGCUUACAUCAUUACUCUACUAAUUGUGACUAUAUAUUUAUCAUUGAGUCUGCCAUAGCAUUAAUCAUAUUUUAUUAUAAUAACUUGAUCAAUUUUGUGCCUCAAUUCGAUCCCCAUGGGAAUGAUUCUCACUCAUCAGUUUAUUACUUGAUUCAACUGUAUACAUGCACAAAUCACAUAUCAUUUCACACACGACAGUGUUCAAUUGAACCCUUUGAGUUAUAAACUCGAACAAACUCAAUUAAUGGAUUUAAUCAACCCACCAAGAAAGAAUCAUUGGAAAAUUGAAGGAUGGAGAAUGAAUUCCCAUGACUCCUUAAAAAAAUUGAGAAGAAAACUACUUCUAAAAAUCACAAGAAACAAAUCUUGCACAAAGAAACUAACUCUCAGAGUUGGAAAUUUUAGUAAUAAACAAAAACAAUUGCGUCUCUAAUGAACAUGAAAGGGCCUUUACAUAGGCUAGAUAAGUACAUCCAAAUAAAAUUGUCAAGUAUCUAGAAACUUUAAUUAAUGUAAGCAAGAAGUAAUUUUAAACUAAAAUAGUCAUAAUUUUCGUAAUAAUCUCGUCCAAAAAUUUUGCUCACAUAGUCAUCAUUAAAAUAGUCAUAAUUUGAUCUUCUAAACUCAAAAUCGAGUGAAUAAAAGUGCGUUUCGAAGUUAAGUGAUAGAUCUUAGAACUCUAUGAGGACAUAUCAAUUGAAAAAUGCCUGGAUUCCAUCCAAAAAUUCACCGCAAGUUAACUAAUUUUUCAAACUUGAAAAUUGGUAGCUUCGGUGAAUGGAAUUUAAUAAAGUUCACCCCAUCUAUUCAUGUAUCAACUUGCAUUGUAAAAAGUAAAAAGAAAUAAUCUAUAGAGAAAAUAGUUGAAGAAUUUAUGACAAUUUAUUCAGAUCUCGUUUUCUUCUAGUCUUUACAAGCUUGAAGUUUCCCUUGGUGUGAGAGAGUUGUUCCUUACCCUCUAAGUGAUUUUUUUUCUUUUUCUUUCUCUUCGAUCUCGUCACCUAAGGGUGUUCAAACGAUUGAUUCAGUUAAUACCCGAACAAAACUAUCAUUAACUAAAAUUUUGAAACCCUUAAUCAUUAAUCAAACCAAAAUUUAUUUGAAACCUAUUAACCAGCCAGAUUGAUUUCGAUUAAUUUGAGCGGUUAACCAGAAUUUAUACACUGUUUGAUUUUGUUCAAACAAUUUUAAAACAAAGAAUAAUCCACAACAAUUUUUUCCGUAUUUUUUAUUCAAAAAAAUUAAAAGAAUUAAAAAAAAUAACAUAAUAACAACACUAAAUUAAAAACGUAAUAGCAUUCAUUACAUUACAAAGCAUAUAUAUAUAUUUACUUUUUCUUGAAUUUUUAGUUUAAUUUUAGUUUUUAUUCAAAUAUUUUUAGUUUUCAUAAUUUUGUUAAGCUUAUUAUAAGAGAACUUAUAAAUCCAUUAGUUUUUAUAUAUUGGGUUUGUAUAAUGUAUUUGACCUGUCUCUAAUAUAUUGGGCCUAUAAUAUAUUUUUAUUGAUUUCGGUUAAUCAAUUAAUUCGGUUAAUUAGUCGAUUUCAAACUAAACUAAUUGGUAAACAAAAUCUUCAAAAACCUUUAACCAACUCCCAACCAAAUUAGAUUCGUUGAUCAACUGCUUAAUCAAAUUAAUUAGGUUUGAUAAAUUAAUUCGUUAAAACCGAAAAAUUGACAUCCCUAUCACCACCUUUGUUUUUAGGGAUUUUAAUCAUGUUACUCCACUUGAUGCAGAAGUUGAGGUGGAACGAAUUGCUUGCUACCAAAAUUUAUGAAUUAUAGACCAUGCUCCACCCGGUGAAUCAAAUUCAGUGGAGUGGAAGACUUUUUCUUCACUACUUUGUGCUCUAUGCUCCAAGUCUUCUAUUCUUCUUCCGAGACCAACAAUGGGAAAAUUAAAAAUAAGAAACAAGUCUGAACUAACUUUGACAAUUAGAAAUUUUCAACAAAAUUGAAAUAAAAUAUAAUUAAUUAAUAAAAACUAUAAAAUUCAACAAAAACGAACCUAAAUACUAAAUUUACCUCCUAAAAUGCUAUGGAAACUAUAUUAAAAUAACUCUAAAUAUGAUAGUUAUCAAAAGCGACCUGAAGAAGCCAAUAUUCGAGUAGAUGAUUUCAACUAUUGCAAAUACCAUCAGUCGAUUAGCCAUCCUCUUGAGAAGAUUAUAGAGUUGAACGAAAAAAAUCAUACAACUCCAUGAAGAAGAAAAAAUCAUGUUUGAAAAAGAAGUGGCAUAAUCAAACUUGACAUCAAUGCUUUGGUUUCUCAAUACAAUAUUAUGGACAGAUUCAUCAAAUUUGGCUCUUUCAAUCCUAUUACACUAGCUCUAAGUAGAAGUAAGAUGGUGAAUUUCGAAAGGAUUGGGGGCAAUCAUCUAUUCUUGGAAUACCAGAAUGGUCAUUAUUGGACUCUAGCCACAUGUCAAAGAAGCCAAUGAAAAGCAUCUCUCCUAGGUAUAAGCUUAUAUUGUCACAUUACUCCUAAGCACGAGCAUAAAUUAGUCAUCCAAAAUGAUGAUGCUUCUAAGCAUGAGCUUAAAUUGUUCAUCUAAUGCUCCUAAGAAGGAGCCUAAACUAUUCAACCCAAAUGGUCAUGCUUUAAGAAAAAUCUUAAACUAUUUUUAAGGCCUUAUAGUUCGGAUUAAGGCCCGUAAGUGUAUGUUUGUUAUAAUUAAGUUGUGUUAUUGAAUGUUAUUAAUUCAAUCACAUGAAUAUUUUGUUGUAAGUUAAAUGUUUUAAUUUGUACUAUAAUGCUCCAUAACCCUAAUCUGGCAAUGGAAACAGGUUUGGCGUGUUACAAUUUUGGGUUCUUGCGAUGUUGGUUGGAUUUUCGUGUUUUAACAUUAAACUGCAAAAUUGUAUGAUUUAACAAACUAAAAUUAGGUUUUCAAAGUUAAAACUCUGGAAAUUUUUGUUGCAAAGUAUAAGUAAUCACUUAAGUGUUUUUCCAUAUAUAAUUAAAUGGUUUUUAACAAAUGUUUUCCUUAGUUUUGGAAAUGAUCUGCCACCAUUAGUACUUUUAAAACACAUGAUUUCAAAUUCAAAUUCUUUGUUUUAAAUAAGGGUUUUCACACUUCGUUUUUUUUUAACAUUUGUGAGAGGUUUUCGCCAAAUUUUAUGUUUUCAGAACGUGUAACUAAGUUGAUUUUUAAUUCGUUUUUCAAAUGAGUCGAUGUAAUUCCUCAAAAAUCCAGUCAUAGCAUCUAGGCCGGGUUUGGAUGUUAUACUGAUAUUACUAAAGUUAAUCUUCAUCUAUUUAGUCUAGAUCUAAACAUUAAUAUUCUCUUCCAAGAAAAAUCAAGAUGAUCAAAUUGUUAAAACUUGGUAGGCAGACAAUCAUAUUAAAUAUGCAUAAAACUUAAUAAAUAAUUAGCGAAGAUUGAAACAAUCAAAGAAAAAAUAAAUUAAUUAACUAAGAAAUAGGAUCCAUUAUUGUUUCAAGAAAAUAGAGUUUAGUUCACAUUGAGUUGAGAAAACCAAAAGGGAGAUUCAAAAAAAACUUGUGAUAAGGGGAAUAAUGUCAAUAGAUCAUAUUCAAGUUGUUCGGCUCGAGAAAGAAAGAUUCAGAUCUAACUUGAAAAGAAGAAACUAAAAAUAUUUAGAAAAACAAGAAAAAACAAAGAAAAUAACUAAAAUGAUAAAUUUAAGAAUAAAUAAUCAAUAUUAAAAAUAAUAAAGAAAUAAAGAAAUUAUAGAAUAAAUAGUGGAAGAUGGAAUGAAUAAAUGAUGGAUAUGACAUAUAGAUGGAUAAGUGUCUUAUAAUUCAUGAAAAGAGUUAUAUUUCAUGCCUUUAGAUCUAACUAACUGCUUGUACUUAAGUACAUUUUGUUGCAUUUUAAGACAUUUUAGUUAGUGUUUCUAAUAUUGCAUUAGGACUUAGAUUGUGUUGGAAUUAGGUGUUUUUAAUCGCUCGUGGUGGAGUUUUUCUGUGUGUUGGCAUGGCAAGAACAUAUUUUAGAAUGAGGAAAUAAAUGAGUGAAGUUUUGUUAGGGAAAAAGUGCAGACAAUUUGCCAACACGGAUGCCGUGACAAUGCUGGGAAGACCAAGUAACAUUUUUUUGCGCAAUAGUCUCAGUUGAAAUUAAAACUUGUACCAGAUAAAUCUCCCUAAAAGAGGAGAAGAUAAUCACAAGAUGUCAGCUGACCCUAGCCUAAUCUAUCUAUAAAAGCCAAUAAAGGGGAUCUCACAAUUGGCAGAAAAAAGUGGGAGAGAUCCUUAGGUGUGAAUAAGGUUUUAGCUGCGCAAAGGAAAGGAAGUCAAAGGCAGUCCUUUUUAGCCAUCAUAGGACGUUGUGCUGCCGAAGUGUGGACUAGCCAAGUGAAAGUUGUUUCCGAAAGUUCUUUUUUUAUUUCCAUCAGCGUUCCUUCAAAAUAUUGAAGUAGUUGAACACAAUGUCGGAUAAUAUUUUUCUUUGGAAUUUUAUUUCUCAGCCCAUGAGCUAAAUCUCGUAGGGUUAAGGUUACUUUUGAUGAAACCUUAAAUAUUUUUAUGGAUGCAGCAUAUAUCCAAUUUACUAAACUGUAUCAUUUGAUUGUUCUUAUUUCUUAAGUAAAAUGCAAAUGAUCUCUAAACAUAGAAGACUGUUCGCAUACUUAUAAACUGAUUCUAAUUCUAAAACGGUUAGAUUGGUUGGAUUAAAAUUAAAUGAAAUGAGCAAGUAUUCGAUGGACACUUGUAGUAGACUCUAUACAUAGAGUGACGAUCAUACAGAAGGAACCCAUGCAAGGUAUCUAAAAAGUCUUUAGACACAGGCAAGGUAACUUGAGGUUUUGCUCUCACGAGAGGCAGGCCAUUUUAGUACUCUUCUGUGCUUUAAAGUAGAUAAGAUUUUGCCAAGGAAUUAUUGAGAGUAAGGGUCGAUUUUGGAUAAUCAACCUUCCAAAUCCACAUCGUAUAUCCUUUAUUCCUUACCAUAGAAUAUUUGCCACAUCAUUAUUAGUUAUUUAUUUGUUCAUUUACAUAAUAUUCCCGUAGUAAUUCUCAUAAUUGUCAUUACAUUUCUACUCUUGGUUUGCCACAACAUUACUAGUUAUUUAUUAAUUCCACGUAUUGCUUACAUCAUUACUCUACUAAUUGCGACUGUAUAUUUAUCAUUGAGUUUGCCAUAGCAUUAAUCGUAUUUUAUUAUAAUAUCUUAACUAAUUUUGUGCCUCAAUCUGAUCCCCAUGGGAACGAUACUCACUCAUCACUUUAUUACUAGAUUCAACUGUAUACUUGCACAAAUCGUAUAUCAUUUCACACACGACAAUGUUCAAUUGAACCUUUUGAGUUAUAAACUCGAACAAACUCAAUUAUUAGCUUUAAUCAACCCACCAAGAAAGAAUCAUUGGCAAAUUGAAGGAUGAAGAAUGAAUUCCCAUGAAUCCUUAAAGAAAUUGAGAAGAAAACUACUUCUAAAAAUCACAAGAAACAAAUCUUGCACAAAGAAACUAACUCUCAGAGUUGGAAAUUUUAGUAAUAAACAAAAACAAUUGCGUCUCUGAUGAACAUGAAAGGGCCUUUACAUAGGCUAGAUAAGUCCAUCCAAAUAAAAUUGUCAAGUAUCUAGAAACUUUAAUUAAUGUAAGCAAGAAGUAAUUUUAAACUAAAAUAGUCAAAAUUUUUGUAAUGAUCUCGUCCAAAAAUUCUGCUCACAUAGUCAUCAUGAAAAUAGUCAUAAUUUGAUCUCUUGAACUCAAAAUCGAGUGAAUAAAAGUGCGUUUCAAAGUUAAGUGAUAGAUCUUAGAACUCUAUGAGACAUAUCAAUUGAAAAAUGUCUGGAUUCCAUCCAAAAAUUCACUGGAAGUUAACUAAUUUUUCAAACUUGAAAAUUGGUAGCUUCAGUGAAUGGAAUUUAAUAAAGUUCACCCCAUCUAUUCAUGUAUCAACUUGCAUUGUAAAAAGUAAAAAGAAAUAAUCUAUAGAGAAAAUAGUUGAAGAAUUUAUGACAAUUUAUUCAGAUCUCUUUUUCUUCUAGUAAUAUAUUGGGCCUAUAAUAUAUUUUUAUUGAUUUCGGUUAAUAAAUUAAUUCGGUUAAUUAGUCGAUUUCAAACUAAACUAAUUGUUAAACAAAAUCUUCAAAAACCUUUAACAAACUCCCAACCAAAUUAGAUUCGUUGAUCGACUGCUUAAUCAAAUUAAUUAGGUUUGAUAACUUAAUUCGUUAAAACCGAAAAAUGCACAUCCCUAUCAUCACCUUUGUUUUUAGGGAUUUUAAUCAUGUUGCUCCACCUGAUGCAGAAGUUGAGGUGGAACGAACUACUUGCUACCAAAAUUUAUGAAUUAUAGAGCUUGCUCCACCGCAGUGAAUCAAAUUCGGUGGAGUGGGAGACUUUUCUUCACUACUUUAUGCUCUAUGCUCCAAGUCUUCUAUUCUUCUUCCGAGACCUACAAUGGAAAAAUAAAAAAAUAAGAAACAAGUCUGAACUUACUUUGAAAAUUAGAAAUUUUCUACAAAAUUGAAAUAAAAUAUAAUUAAUCAAUAAAAACUAUAAAAUGCAAUAAAAACGAACCUAAAUACUAAAAUUACCUCCUAAAAUGCUAUGGAAACUAUACUAAAAUAACUCUAAAUAUGAUAGUUAUCAGAAGCGACCUGAAGAAGCCAAUCGAGUAGAUGAUUUCAACUAUUGCAAUAAUAUUGGUCGAUUAGCCAUCCUCUUGAGAAGAUCAUAGAGUUGAAAGAAAAAAAUCAUACAACUCCAUGAAGAAGAAAAAAUCAUGUUUGAAAAAGAAGUGGCAUUAUCAAACUUGACAUCAAUGCUUUGGUUUCUCAAUACAAUAUUAUGGACAGAUUCAUCAAAUUUGGCUCUUUCAAUCCUAUUACACUAGCUCUAAGUAGAAGUAAGAUGGUGAAUUUCAAAAGGAUUGGGGGCAAUCAUCUAUUUUUGGAAUAUCAGAAUGGUCAUGAUUGGACUCUAGCCACAUGUCUUCGGAACAUCAGAAUGGUCAUGAUUGGACUCUAGCCACAUGUCAAAGAAGCCAAUGAGAAGCAUCUCUCCUAGGUAUAAGCUUAUAUUGCCACAUUACUCCUAAGCACAAGCAUAAAUUGUUCAUCCAAAAUGAUGAUGCUUCUAAGCAUGAGCUUAAACUGUUCAUCUAAUGCUCCUAAGAAGGAGCCUAAACUAUUCAACCCAAAUGGUCAUGCUUUAAGCAAAUAUUAAACUAUUCUUAAAAAAUAAAUGAUGAUCCAAUGAAGCACAAGCUUAAUCUAUUCAUACGAAACAAAUGAUGACCUCCUAAGCAUGAAUUUAAAUUGUUCACACAUAAUAAAUGAUGAUACUCCUAAGCGCGAGCUUAAAUUGCAGUCCAAAAAAUAUUGAACUACGUUAUAACUUGAUCUUUUAAAAUUGAAGGUAAGUAGAUAGCCUGGUUUCAUUGCCAAGUUCAGUCUAUAUGAUAAAAAAAAUUUGAAGGUGAUCUUUGAAACAAAUUCAUCAAAGUAGGAAGCAAAUAAAAUUUCAAGACUUGUCCCCUUUCUACGCCCAACAAAAUUCAGAAUCCAUCAUUUGUUAUUACUGUAAUAAUAUCUCUAACUAAAUUAAUGAAAAGAUAAAUCAAGAAAUUAAAUCCUUUUAGAACUCUCUUAUAAAGAAACCAUAUUAAGGAUUACUUUAGAUCUAAUUAAUUAAAUUAAUAAGAUAUGAAUAAUAAUAAUAGAGUUUAAAUUCUUAUAGAACACUCAAAUGAAAAUGUUAAAUUCUACAAGAACUCUUAUAUGAAAGUGAUUGACACUAAAAAAAUGGGUCACCUCCAAGUUAUUCUACACAUUCACAAGUUCAAGAAGUUGAAAAAUUAUUUACAAAAAUAUUUGAAGAAACUAAAGAAGUAGAAGAAAUUCUAAUGAACAUCAUAUCAAUUGAGAGGAGGAUGUGAACAGAAGAGAAGAUUGAAAAGAGUUUUGUUUGUAAAGAAAUUCAAAACUUGUUAUAAAAUUUGACGCAAAAUUUUCAAGUCAAUUUUCAACUUGAAAUUUGUGUGUACUAUAUAUAUGGGAAAGAAUCCAUUUACAUUAUAUAAAACUAUUGUAUGUAUAAUACAAAAAUAUUUAAUACAUUAUCAAUAAAGUUUUUAAACUAUGCACCUGUGAUUAAAACCAAAAUAAUAAUAUUAAUAACAACCAAUCACUUUAUUUGACUAACUUUUCCUCACAAGUCUUUGGUAUGGAGACAAAUCAGUUUAAUCAGUCUUUGGAGCUAUUAACUGACAUUUCCACCAUUGAUUUGAAAAUCAUAACCCAUCAAUUCACUUUAAAUGAAACGAGAUCCUCAAGUGUUUGGUGUUAUAUUCUUAAAAUGUAUUUAGAUGAUUGUUUAUUAAUUUUAUUUCUUUAUAUUUAAAUCAAAUGUAAUAAAUUGUUGAAUUUAUAUACUUCUUAUUAUAACAAUAUAUGGACUAUCUUCCUACUUCUUUUUUUAAUUUAAUUUUUUGUAACUCUUCACAAUUUAUUUUGAAAAACAUUGAAAAAAAACUAAAUGAUUAAAUUAAGGCUCAACUUUUCACUAAUCUUAGUUUAUUUAGUCUAACUUUUCACAAUUUCAUAUACUCAUUUCAUGUUUCAUACCAACAAUUUUUCUUUUUGGUAAAAAGAAAAAAACAACUAUACUUUCUUUAAUCCCAAAAUUAAGGCUUUAUGAAUGAAAAUAAUAUUAUAUUAACUAUGAUAAUUAAGUUUUUAUUUUAAAUAUGAUUAAUUUUAUAUAUAAUAACUUUAAAUAUAAAUAUAUAUAUAUCUAUAAUUAAAUUUUAAAGAAAUUUAUUGUUAUUUUCUAAACAUAAAACAAAGAAAACUUUUUACCCAAAUUAUAAGUUUGUGGUUAGGCAGCCCACUUUGGGACAGGAUUCAGCUUACGUUUUUAAUCUUGGGCUUUAAAAAUAAUAAAAAUAUAAAAAUAAUGUUCGAUUAAUAUUUAUAAAUUUUAUAAAUUUAAAUUUAAUUAUAUUUUUUAUACAGUAAAAUCAACCAUUUAUAUGGGCUAAAUUGAGUUAAGUUCGGUUUGCAUCAAGCCUUAACUUUGACCAAAUCCAACGAAAAACACCUCUAACCAUAAUCUAGUAUUGUUUUUAUGAAUUGAAUUUUAACUUGUAAUUUUCAAUUUUAUACAAACUUUCUUUGCCUACGAUAAGGAAAUAACAUAUUUGUAACUUCUCCAAUCUGGCGUAAACAUUCAGUCUGAAUUCGGAAGAUUACAUCGGCCAUAAAGAUGGCCUAGCAGGGUUAUCAGAGUUUUUGAAAAUAGACAUCUUUAAAACGUUUGUUUAAUUCAGUAAAAAACUAAUUUAAUUUCCAAAUUAUUUAUUACUUGAAAUCUUAAUUACACUUUAAAAGAAGGAAGUGGUAACUAUUUAUUUUUAAUAAAAAUUAGGGUUCAUGUAUAAUUGAUUAAUAACCAUAAUUCGAAAACAUUAAAACUUAAAUUAAAUGUCAUGCAAAAUAAAACAAGCUUAAACCUAAAUCUCAUGCCACAGUUCAAAAUAAUUUAUUGUAGUCUUCAAAAAUAAAAUAAAUCAUAUAAUCAACCAAAAAUAAGUUUUGUAAUUUAGCAAUGUAUCGAGACCUUCUAGAUGUCAUGCCCGCGUCCUAACUUGGUUAUUUGUAAGUGUAACGACCCGAAUAAUUUAUCUCUAUUUCUGUAAAUAUUUGACGCAAAUACUUGUUUGCUUCAGUGGUUAAAUGUUUUGGGUGUGUUUGAGAGGUCUUGGGUUCAAGUCUCAUUUUUGUAAAAUUUUGUUAUUUUUAUGAUUCAAGCCUUAGCCUUGUUGAGUGGGCUUUUAUGAAAUUGUUUGCUACUUCAUAUUAGAAUGAGCUUGCUAGUUCAAGUGGUAAGGAGUUGGUGUGAAGGAGGUUCUGUGUGUGAAUCCCUGCACGAGCGUGGGUAUUAUUUUUUUGCUCAGUUAUAUGGUAGAGUUUCGGUGCUUUUGGGAUUAUAGGGUAGUUGGAUGUGAAUUAGUGGGGAGUUAGGAUAUUAGUGGGUUUUUAAUUAGAUUUUAUUUAAUUUUUAUUCUUUUUGUUUUUCCCAAUUUUUCUCUUAGCUUUUGACGUUCUGUUUCCCUUUUCUCCUCUGCUGAAUUUUUGCCGCUCCCUCUCAUUUUUGAUUUUUCCAAUUCGUCUCCUUUUUGUGCAAUGUUUGAUUGCAUUCGUUCGGUAAGUCUUGUAUUGUUACGAUCUUAUUGUUUGGUGGUUAAUGUUUUAAUGGGGGUUUUGUGUUUACUCUCGAUUAAGGGAAGGGCAAGAAGAGUUGGUACUCCUGCAAGAUUUGAGCGUUAAGGGUGUCUGUUCGUUGGCGGUAAGUUUUCAAAUUCUUUGUUGGUUAUUGUAAGGCUCCGUUUGUGGAAUGGUUUCGGAUUGAGUUUCGUAAGUGUGUAUCGAAUUUGGGCUUCUGGAUACUGUUUCUUAGGUUCGGUGGUCUCAGGGGUGCUUGUGCAUCAAAAUGAUAUCAGGUGUGUACCCGAAACGUAGAAAAUCGAGUUUCGAUGAAAGGUAAAAAACCUUAUUUUCGAUGCCACACGGGCGUGUGCAUGGCCGUGUGGUUGGCCGUGUGCAGGACACAGUCAUGUGUUCGACGAGGGUAGGGCCGUGCGCAAGACACGGCUGUGUGACGAUGUGGGUGUGGCCGUGUGGGCCACAUAGGCUAGGCCAAGUUGGGCUUGUGGGUUUUGGGCCACACGUGCAUGUGCCUUUUAAACAAGUCCGUGUGGACCACACGGGUAGGGCUAAUAUGGGCGUGUUGGCCACAUGGGCAUGUGGGCCGAAAAUUCUAAAAUUUUCCUUAAGGUCGCACAGGUCGUUCUAGUCGACUGUGGGCCUACCGUAGGGUCGGUAAGGGCUAACCAAACCCUAAAACUAUGUGAUCUGUUAGUUUGAUAUUUUGUUCUGAAUAUGAUACUGCUAUGCAUGUUUGAUUAGUUUGGUGUAUGUAUAUAUAUAUAUAUCUGAUAUCUAUGUAUGAGCAUGUGAGCAUGGUAACUCUAAUUAUCUAUAUCUGAUUGGGGUGGGAUUUGUAUAUGUGGAGGAAGUGUUCUGUAUGGCGGUCAUCGCUUAUAUUCUGGCAGCUUGGCUGCACAUUAUCUGACAUGUGUCGUAAUGGCACGAUAUGGUGUGUAGGGAUGGGUGGGUGUUUUUAACCCCACAUGAUGUGAUGGGAUAGUUGGAGUUGGUGUGUAGAGGAUGGAGUUAGGAUUUUGUAUUUCUGAUCUGAUCUGCAUAUCUGUUAUGUUAUCUGAAUCUGUAAAGGACUUAGGUCUGAAUCCGAAUCUAAAAUUGUAUCUGACUAUGUAUGAGUUUACUGCAUGUAUUGCAUGCAUUUUUUUAUUGGCUUACACACUAAGUUUACAAAAACUCACAUUUGUUUGUCUGUUAUGUUCAGGUAAUCCACAGAUUUAGGCGGGUCGGUGUGACGGAGGCUCAGUGGUGACCACCUGAUUGAGAACUAUUUUACUUAGUAAAUUAUGUUUUAUUUAUAAUUUCUAUUUCAUUUGAGAGUUUUUAAUUUUUGAGACUCUCAGUACUGCUGGUUUUUAUUUUGGUUUUGGAUGCGAUUUUAGACUAUUUUGUUGCGAUGCAUGAUGGAAAACACGAUUUUAUGAAAAAAAGUUAUUCUGAAAAUACGAACUGGAUUUCUAAAAUAUAACGGUUCAAAAACUUUCACUAAAAAUCACGUUUUGGUAAAUAAAUGAAUUAAAUAAUACUUUCAAAAAUGGUUAUAAAUAAUUAUGAACUAUGAAUCUUUAAUGAUUUGAUGAAACGACCUUAUUUUCAAAACCAUACCUUGUGACCACUCCGGAUUCAGCCAUAACGUCUGGGCUGGUUUGGGGUGUUACAGUAAGGAUGAAAAUUUAAGGGAAUGAGCUAUGACGCUUACUAUGAGUUCAUUCACAAUAAAUUCAACGCAAACGGUUGGUAGGACACAUUAAAUAAUAUCGCAUAAAAUAAUCACAAUUAGAUAAUAGUUCAGAAUGUCGGUUUUACAAUUUAACCACCAAUAUAAUCACAGUAUUCACAGUUGUAAUUUUAGAAUAUCAAAUUUCCACAUCAUUCACAAUAUUCAGAUAUAUAUAAAUAUAUCAUAACAGAAUUCUGGAUUUGUAUGCACAUGAUUUAGAAGAUGCCAUACAAUUUCAGGUUUUAACAGAAUAAAUCCUACCCCACGUUACAUACCAUAAUGGGAGUUCCCCUAAACUCCCUUCUGCAACACACUGGGUUAUGGAUAAACCACUACCGGUUUACAGAUAAUAACUAUCAUUUGGUUGUGGACACACAGCAAGUCUCCACAAUUGGAUUCUAGAUUUGGUUGUGGGUUCACAGCAAAAAAAAUCUACAAAUGAAGCCUGCUUUUGCCUGUAGAUUAUACAACAUAUACCCAUAGUUGGAAUCUGCCUUCGGCUAUGGAUGCACUGUAACACCUCAAACCUGACCUGGACGUUAUGACCGAAUCCUGAGGAAUUACUUUAACUCACUAGAAAACCCAAGAGUUUACUAUGAAAUCAUGUGGUUAAACUAGUGUUCACUUUGAUAAAUCGUUUUCCAGUUUUAGGGAAAAUUAUUGUUAAAACUGUUACUUUAUUACAAUAAAACAUUAAAGUGAUUAUAUCAUUUUGUAACGGAAUCUACUGAGCUAUAAGGUUAUGAAAAUCGUGGUUUAAUUUGCAACAAAUCAUUUUGUAAAUAGAAAUUUAAUACUACUUAAUUUGGAAAAGCAUGCUAAAACGAAAGCAAAGUCCAAACUAAUUUAUGAUUUAAAAUUCUAAAAAGUCCAAAUUAAACAUAAAGUCAAUUUAAACCAGUUUAUCGAACGUGUAACACCCCAAACCUAGCCUGGAUGUUAUGGCUAAAUCUGGAUGUGUUACGAAAAAAAAGUUUAUAAAACGACUUCCUUAUUAUUGGCAAAUCAUCGCAACCAUUAUUACUUAGUAUGCUCGAUUUGUUUGGAAAACUUAUUGAUAUACUUAUUUGAUUUAAAAUCAUUGCUCGCUUAUGCCUUUCUAUUAAACUGAAUGUUUUGUAGUGGAGUUUCUUUAAAACACCAUAUUUUGGCAAAUCAAUUUGUUUCUUGAAAAUCGUUAUUUCAAAAAAAUUGUCAUUUUUAGAAAAAACUAUUUUAUCAGUUGUUACGCUUAGAAACCAAAAUAAAAUCCAAAACCAAAAAUAGUCCCAAAAAGUCCAGAGAGUCCCGAAAUUACAAAACUCUCAAAACCAGAAAAGUUUGAACUAAUUUAAAAAGAAUGAAAUUUUACGGAAAUAUGGUUAACACUGAGCUUCCAUCACACCGACCCACCUAAAUCUGAGGGUUACUUGAAUAGAACAAACAAAUAGAGAGAGUUUUGAAACUCAGUGUGUAACGCGAAUAUAAACAAAAAUUCAGAAUCAAUCUCAUGCAGAACAUAUACAAAUGUAAACCAUUUAUAGAAUAAGAAUUAUACAGAUACAAAUAUGCAACAUCCUACCCUCAUCCUAUACACACCAAUUCUGACCAUCCCAUCACACCACGUGGGGUAUAAAACACCCACCCAGCCCUACACACCGUAUAGUGUUUAUACAACACUUUUCAAAAUAAUCGCAGCAGAGUUGCCAGUAUAUAGGUGAGAUAUCGCUUCACACAGAACACUUCCUCCUCAUAAUACAAAUCCCGCUCCAUAGCCAGAUACAGAUAGAAUAUCAGGUAAAACAAAUUAAUAGAUACCAGAGUUAACAUAUCACGCGUGAGCGUAUAACAGAUAUUACACAUGCUUAUACAUAACAGAACAAAUCAUACAUACCGUAUUCCAUAAUACUCAUAUAAAUGUUAUUUUUUAAAUUGUAACAAAUAUUAUUAUUAAGAUGUUUUUCUUUUUAUAUUUUUUUAUAAAAUAUAUUAAAAAACAAUUAGAAUAAUUUUAAGAGAAAAAACACUCAUAAACAGUAGAAUUUAAUCUAAAAAUAUCAAAGUUUUAAAGCCUCAACUUUAACAUUUCAACCAAAAUUCCAUUAGUAUAUAAAUAUUUUAUAAAUAUAGAUUUUAUAUAAAAAAAUUUUAUGUAAACUUUUUUUUAACCCACAUCACAAGUAUACCAUAUUUAGAGAUAUUCAUAGCUAGGCAGCCCACUUUGGGUCAAACUUGAGCUUAGGUUUCAUCUCAAGUUGGCCCAAUUUAACCUAUUUUACUAUUUAAAAAUAUAAAUAUAUGUUAUAUUGAUAUUUAUAUAUUUCUAUAAUUAAAUUUUAAAUAAAUUUAUUGUUAACUUUUAAACACAAAACAAAGAAAACUUUCACCCAAAUUAUAAGUUUGUGGUUAGACAGCCCACUUUCGGGGCAGGAUUCAGCUUACGUUUUUAAUCUUGGGAUUUAAGAAUAAUAAAAAAUAUAAAAAUAAUAUUGUAUUAAUAUUUAUAUAUUUUAUAAAUUUAAAUUUAAUUAUAUUUUUUAAACAGUCAAAUGAACCAUUUAUAUGGGCUAAUUAGAGUUAAGUUUGGUUUGAAUCAAGCCUUAACUUUGACCAAAUCCAACUAAAAACACGUCUAACAAUUAUCUAGUAUUGUUUUUAUGAAUUGAAUUUUAACUUGUAAUUUUCAAUUUUAUUACAAAAUUUCUUUGCGGACGAUAAGAAAAUAACAUAUUUGUAACUUCUUCAACCCGGCGUAAAGGUUAAGUCUGAAUUUGGAUUACAUCAGCCAUAAAGAUGGCCUAGCAGGAUUAUCGGAGUUUUUAAAAACAAACAUCUUUAAAACGUUUGUUUAAUUUAUAGAAAAGCUUAUUUAAUUUCCAAAUUAUUUAUUACUUGAAAUCUUAAUUACACUUUAAAAGUAGGAAGUGGUAACAAUUUAUUUUUAAUAAAAUUCGGGGUUCAUGUAUAAUUGAUUAAUAACCGUAAUUCGAAAACAUUAAAACUUAAAUUAAAUGUCAUGCAAAACAAAACAAGCUUAAAUCUAAAUCUCAUGCCGCAGUUCAAAAUUAUUUAUUGUAGUCUUAGAAAAUAAAAACAAUCAUAUAAUGAACCUAAAUUUUUUAUUUUACUUUAAUAAUGUGUCAAGGUCUUACAGAUGUCACGCCUGCGUUCAAUCUUGGUGGGUUAUCUGUAAGGAUGAAAAUUUAAGGGGGAGUGAGCUAUGACGCUUAGUGUGAGUUCAUUCACAAUAAAUUCAAUGCAAACGGUUGGUAAGACACAUUAAAUAACAUUGCAUAAAGUAAUCACAGUCAGAUAACAGUUUAGAAUGGCGAUUUUACAAUUUAACUACCAAUAUUAUCACAAUAUUCACAGCUGUAAUUUCAGAAUAUCAAAUUUCCACAUCAUUCACAAUACUAACAUAUAUAUAAAUAUAUCAUAACAGAAUUCCAGAUUUGUAUGCACAUGAUUUAGAAGAUGCCAUACAAUUUUGGGUUUUAACAGAAUAAAUCCUACCCCACAUUACAUAUCAUAAUGGGAGUUCCCCUAAACUCCCUUCUCCAACACACUAGGUUGUGGAUAAACCACUACUCGUCCACAGAUAAUAACUAUUAUUUGGCUGUGGACACACAACAAAUCCCCACAGUUGGAUUCUAGCUUUGGCUGUGGGUUCACAGCCAAAAGUCCUGCAAAUGAAGCCUGUUUUUGCAUGUAGAUUAUACAACCUAUACCCGCAGUUGGAAUCUGUCUUUGGCUAUGGAUGCACUAUAACACCCCAAACCCGACCUGGACGUUAUGGCUCAAUCUUGACGUAAUGCCCCAAAAUUUCUAAUUUCGUUAUUGUGAAAAUAUGACACAAAAUAUUUGUCUGCUUUAGUGGUUAUGUGUUCUGGGAGUGUUUAGGAGGUCCCAAGUUCACGCCUUCACAUGGGAAAAUUUUGGUAUUUUGAAUGAAUUAGGUAUUACUCUUAUUCAGUAGGCUUUUAUUUGAUUGUUGGGUAAAUUAUAUUAGAAUGGGCUUGCUGGUCUAGUGGUUAAAUGGUUUAUUAUUAUGGUGGAGGUCUUGUGUUCAAGUCCCUAUGUAGGCAAGGGUAUUAUUAUUAUUAUUAUUUGCUCAAAUUUCUGGAUAGAGUUGUGUAAUAGGGGGAUUCUGAGUAGUAGAUGUGUAGUGGGAAUUAGGGGAGAAGAUUAAGGAGUUUCAGGGGUUAUCGAGAUUUUAUUUUAUUUUUUCCCAUAACCGAAUUUUGACUUUCUUUUUCCAAAAAAAAUCUGCCAUCUAUUCUUCUCCCUCUCCUCUUGUCGAAAUUCUCUUAGUUUUUUCACCUUUCUCUUCUUUUUCUUCUUCUUGAUUUUUCCCUAAUCCAUUUAUUUUUCUUCAUUUUCGCACGCGGUUAGUUUUCGCUUAGUUUCGAUAAGUGUUUCUCUUCGUUUCUAUCAUGAAUCUCCUAGCGACUAAAGUGGUAACUUUUUUUCUCUGUGAUUUGGGUGUAGGGGAAGGCUCGAACUGUUGAAUUCAGUAUUCUCGUCUUAACAAUAGUUAAAUGGAGGGUUAUCGUUGGUGGUAAGUUGGGUUUCUGUUCAUUCUUAGUUGUCAAUUUGCUUGUAAAUCUGUUAAAUUGAUGUUGAGUAUCUUGAUUAUAGGCUUUGGAGUGCUUGGGGACUGUUUUAGCAUCAAACAAAACCAGAUGUGUACCCGAAACGCAAAAAAAAAGGGAUUCGAUCGAAAGCCGAAAUUGUUUGCUGUUUGGACAGUAGCAGUAGGCUAACUUUGAAAAAUCGCCAUAAAUUGUGGAAAUCGAAUUAGAGGAUGAAAAAAAUAUGAAAUUAAAUCUUAUUGAGUCUAGUUUCUCAUAGAAGAACGGUGUAAGUAAUGGAAUUUUAAAUCGUGAGAUAAUAAACUAUGUGAGACAAGGUUAGAAUAAAUUCGGGUUCCCUUGUUCUGACUUUGGAAAAUCAUCAAAAAUUGGAUAAAAAUAAUUAGGAAUUAAAAUUUACAUGUUUAAAUUAUUAAUUAGUCUUUUUUCAAUAGAAACAAAUGGGAACUUCAUCCAAAAUUUUUACUAAGAGAUAAUUAAUUUUUAGCAAUGAAGGGUCGAAGCUGUCAAACAGCAGAACAAGGGUAAGUUUGAAGAUUUUACCAUACUUAUUGGCUGAGCCAAAAAUUUAAAAAUUUUAUGGUAGAAAGGUAUUUGAGUCUAUUUUCAAAUACAUCAAGUGAAUUUUAAUUAGGAAUUCUUUAGCUCAAGAUAUAAAUAAUUUAGUUACAGUGAGUCAAGUAGAAAGCUUUGAAGGAACACAUAAGUAAAUUGUGAUAAGAUAUAUGAAUAUUUAGCUAGCACAGGUUACAUUGAAAAUGGAUCACGCAGCCAAGGCCAAUUUGGGCUGAGUGGGCCACAUGGGCAUGUGAGCCCAUUUUUCUGAAAAAUUCUGUAAGGUUGCACGGGUCGCCCAAGUCGACUAUGGACCUACUGUAGGGUCGGUAAGCUUUACUUAGACGCCUAUAUGUGUGAUCUAUCUGGCUGAUUUCUAUACCGAGCAUGACUUAUGAUAUUUGAAUGUAUGUACUUUUAAUUACAUAAUGGCAUGACAAAUUUUGUAUGUUGCAUUGCAUCGGAGUGGGUUGAUGAUAUUUGGAGGAAGUGUCUAAAAGGCUAUUAAGCCUGUUAUCUGGCAGCUCAGCUGUAACCUUCUGAUUAUGUGCGCAUUUCAGUACAACAUGGUGUGUAAGGAUGGGUGGGUUGAUUUAACCCCCACAUGGUGUGUAAGGUUGGACAAAGAUGUGCGUAGAGGCUGGUGGGUAGGAUUCUGAUUUCUGUAUCUACAUUAUGUAUCUGAUAUGGGCCAAGGCUCUAAUGUAUUUCUGAGACUGUAUCUAAACGGGCUAAGGCCCAAACUGAUUGUGUGAUGGGCCUAGGACCCAGACUGUAUCUAACUAAAUUCUGUUGAUUAUUUGUAUGCAUGAUUUCUAUGGGGAUUACACACUGAGUUUGCGAAAACUCACCCUUUCUCUAUUUAAUCUGUACAGGUAAUCCCCAGACUUGAUGGGUCAGUGCAACAAAGGAUUCGACAGUGGCCACACGUAAAUUAUGGAUUGUUUUCCGUUAAUACCUAGAAUUUAUUAAUUAUUUGGGGUUUUUGAUGUAUCUUCUGGACUAUGGACUGGUUGGCUAACAUACCUUUUUGCAUUGCAUCAUGUGCACGACAUAUUUGAAUAUUAUUGGUUUAUGCUACGUAGUGUAUUUUGUUGUAUUGAAUGGUAUCAAAAUUAAUGAUUGUCACUCGAAUGAAUUAUGACCUAUGCUCAUACACUGUUUGACAUCAAUUUGAUAAUGGCUAUGUAACGAUAUGAAAUUCCUAUAAUGGUUCUAUUUUCUUCUGUUAAAGCUAAUUAGUUUUACUGUAUUUGAUAUUUAUGUUUGUUUCAAUAAUUGUUCGACUCACGCUGAGCUUUUCAUAAGCGCACCCCUAAUAUGUUAAACUUUUCAGGUAAACCUCGAAAUUAAGACCAGACUUGGCAUUCGAAGAAUCACCUUAGACCUUGAAUUAUUUUUCUAAUAAGUAUUAAUCAAUCUCUAAUGGUUUUCGUUUGUAAUUUUUAAUUAUAUCUAGUCUGUGGCUUGAUAACUUUUCUUCUGGGAUUUUUGCAUGCAUGGAUUACUCAAGCAUAGUAACCGGAUAAUGCAUGAUAUUAGGCUUAAGUAAAAUUUGAUAUUGUUCCCUAGAUUCCGCUGCAUUGCAAAGGAUUUGUUUUUGAAAAACAAAUUGAUAAGGUAACUAAGUUUUCAAAAUGACUUGAAAAAUGGUUUUUCCCCUGCAUUAGUUUAACAUCGAAUUUUUUUUAAAGGAGAGCAACAAGCAAAUGAUUUUUCUAAAACAACACUAUCAACAAUAAAAUGAAUUCUAAGUAUACACAACCUAAUGAAUGAAUGCUUUUAAGCUAACUUAAAGUACAACUAUGGUUUUCUCUAAAAUGAGUUUAUUUAAAGUUUUCAUAAGUAAUGUAAGUUAGCUUAGCCAUUUCGGUGGCUAAUGUAGCCUUCUCAUUCUAGCCAUAACGUCUAGGCCAGGUUUGGGAGGUUACAGUAUUGAUAGGAACUGUGGUAUAAAUUUUAUUUUGGACAUUCUUAAAUUGUUAUUUGGACUAAACUUUAGAAACUAUGGAUUUUAUACUGAGCCUAAAUUUACGAAGUUCAUGCGUGGUUUUUACGAAAAUGAAACUCAUAUGAAAUUUCAAAACCGUGAUGUUUUUUUUAACGCUCCAAUUUGAAAUUGUACAAGAAAUGUCAAUUUGAAUUAUUUUUGAAUGUUUUUUAUGCCAAUUAAAUAUUGUUUCAAAACAUAGCUAAGUAUUAUUUAAUUUCGUAAAGAUGAAGCAAACUCCGAACAAUCUAAAACUUCAAGGACUAGUUUGCAAUUUUUUUUUCCUCAAUUGUCUCCGGUUUGAUUCAAUUCUUGAUCUAUACAAUUAUUCCAUUCAAUUCAUCAAUAUUAAACAUUUAUACAUUAUGUCAUGUCAUGAAUGAACCUAGAUAAAUUCAUUUUUUGAUACCCUUAAAGUUUUACAUUUAUUUCAAUUUAGUCUCUAAAAUCGAAAUAGUCAUAACUUUAAAUUCUGAACUUCGGUUUGAAAAUCGACCUCAAUUUCAUUAUAGACUCUCUACUAUCCAUUAUUAUCAAAAUUUCACAUCAAUUUCACAAUUUAUUUACUUUAGUUAUUAUGUACAAAAUUAACAACCAAACAUCACAAUUUAGUCAUUUUUCAUAAUUUAAGCUUAAAAUCUAUCAAUUUAAUACCAAUUUCUUCAAGAAAUCAACCAUGAUAACUAUAAAAAAAAAUUAACAGUUUUGCAAAUUGAUACAUAGGUCAUUUAAAUCAAACUUUCAUGACCUCAGAAACACAAAAAAAAAUUAUACGAAAAUGAUUUAGAAAUGCAUACCAAUUGAGGACCGAAAGCUUGAAGCUCAAAAUGGCUUUUUCCCUUGAGGUUUUAUGUUGAUUAAAUGAUGAAGAAGAAGAAAUAAAGAUGACAACUUGCACUAAGUCACCUUUAUAUACUUAGAUUAAAUCUUAAUUAAUCAAAUUUAAUUAAUUAAAUCUUAAUUAAUUAACCUUAAUCACAAUUAAAAAAAAUUAGUGGAUGUUAACAUCAUCCUACACUAUUUCAUAUAACCAAAUGAUCUAUUUACCAUUUUGAACCUUUAGCUAAUUAGAAAUCUAUAGCGAUAAGACUUUUAAAAUUUAGUUUCUGUAUCUUAAUUAUGCAAUUAAUAGACAAAGUUGAAGGUUUAAAAUUUAAUGUUCUAUUAUACCAACUCUGUAAAUAUUCAUAUUUAAUAUUUACAGACCCGAAUUACGAAAAUGAGAUUUUGAAAUUGUAUUUUCCAAUACCACUGAAAAUCGAACAAUUAUGUAACCUAUUUGCACCAAAGGGCCAAACAUGGCAAAUACUUGACAUGUAUGUCUUAAUAUCCUCAUCUAUUCUCUUCAAUAUAAUAACAUCCAAUAAUUGUUUCAUCCACUGUAACUAUCACGAAGAUUAGAUUUACCAAUACAGCCUACAAUUUGCAGAAGCGCGACAUUUUCAUUCUAGAGAAAGGUAUAAUUGAAACAAAAUUGAAAUAAAGAUUUCAAUACAGAAUCAACAGACAUUCCAGCUAAUACUUAUCAAUUAUUUGCAGCUUCAUUGCUCCAACUAAGAUGGUUUUUAGUCGAAUAUGGUAAAUGAAAUCAAUGAACACCAGCUACUUGAUGAACGAGUGAAUCAAAGUCCUGAUAUGUGCCGGCUUAUUGGUGAAAAAAUACAUGGGUUAGUUUUGCAGCAAUUCAUGAUCUUACAUUUUAUAACCUUUGCUUACAAUUAUUCACUGACUAAUCAUUCAAUGAAUGUAGGCCUCAAAUUUAGCCACUAAACUUUGUUCUUUAUUUUUAGAUACAUAUUAUUUGAUCACUUCAUACAGCCUAUUACUCAUAAUAACUUCCAAUUUCCCUUCUUUAGGUUAGUUGCAAAUGUACAGCUUUUUCUAGAAGAAGAAAAUUGUCAAGAGCCACCUGUUCAAGAGAGGCGCAAACAGAAUGUAACAAUACCUGACCUACUUACGGUACAGCCAAGUAAUCAUGUGUUUCUAUGCUAGAACAUUAAAUCAAUGACUACAAAUUUCAUGUCAUGGUUGUGUAUCAUUUAUGCCACUGAUGCUGCUAUUUUCUAUUCUAAUGCAUAAUAGGGAUUUAGUGUUUUUACCGUUAAAAUUGUGUCCUUUAAUUUUGGCUUUUUUCAAUUGUUGAUCAUGUCCACCUAUGCUUUAUUUUACUACUAUUGCUUUCUUCAAUGAUAGAUGAUUGAAUCGGUAGAAUUUUAUUAAUCCUCUACAUGUUUUAGCUUGAUAUGUGGAUCCUAAGCAUUCCUUGGAUUGUGCCCUCUUUGUUCAUUUAUUUUUUUUCCUGGAACCUUAUUACAUGUUGUAACACUCCAGUUUUUUGGAGACAUUGAAGACGACUAACUGCUGAAUUCUUUCUUCUGCAGAGGAACCAAUGGCAAGAGACUCUAAAACUCCUACUCUUUUUUAUACCUUCCUCACCUCUUUGUGACAUUAUAGCUGAAAAAUGAUGUAUGCUAAUACAUGAAAUGUUUCCUCUUGCCUUUCUUUUUGUAGUACUAAAACUACAAAUAGUGUCUGUAAAUCUCUUUUCCCGUAAUCUUAUCUUUUCCUCAUUGUAAUAGUUGGAAAACAGCUUUGUUGAAGACAAUGUCAACUACUGGGAUAAGUUACAAACACUGUUAUUGUUUAUUUUGUAGUCUAAAUUAUGAUAAUUUCUGCACAAAAUUCACAUAAAUGGUUACCCUCCCGAAGCGGAGCGAGGGUGAUGCUUACUAGUUAUUAAGAAAACAGGACCUUGUAGGGCUUAACUGUUGAAUCGAGAAAGAAAUUUCUUUUAAUGCCUUCAAUUUUUUUUAAAGCUGAUUUUUUUUUACAAAUUAAAGUUUUGAUUGUAUGUUAAUUGCUUGAGGGAAGGUCGGAUACUUUAUUAUCCCUAUUUUUAUUUGUUAUAUAUUUUAACCAUAAUGAUUUUUUUGGCCCUACAAUUUUACCAAAAAAAUCAUAUUAGCUUUCAUUUAAUUUUCGUCUCUUUUAACCCUUUAACUUGUAUUUUUUUUGUCAAAUCACCCCAAAAUGGAUCGAAAACUUUAACAUUUGUGAACUUUGAUUAUGUGACAUACACAUGAAUUGUCACAUGGAUGACAAGUCAACAUUUCUUUUAAAAAAAAACUUAAAAAAUAUUAAAUAAAAUAUUUUUGAUAUUUUUUAAUGAUUUUUAAAUUAAAAAAAGUUUUUAAAUAUUUUUUAAUUUUUAAAAAUUAAUUAGACGCAGGCAUGGAAAUUCACAUCUAUGUGUCACAGGCCGUGGAUUAAAGCCUGUGACCAUUGCGCAUAGAACACCCCAUAGAAUUUUGGCUUUUUAUUUGGUCAAUCAUGUCCACCUAUGCUUUAUUUUACUAUUAUUGCUUUCUUUAAUGAUAGAUGAUUGAAUCGGUAGAAUUUUAUUAAUCCUCUAUGUAAUAACCAAAUUUUGCCCGGGCCCAAUGCCAAACAAAUAAAACCCAAACCAAAUAAAUAAAAUAAGAGUCCAAAUUACAGUCCAUUAGAGCUCAAUUCAGACCAGCCCACUAUUCAAUCAGACUGGCCCAACACCCAAAUAACCUAACAACCCUAGCCCAACAAAAUCAGAAAAAUGAACAGCAAAAAAACCUUAGGUGCGCCGCACCUAGGUCUUUUGGCCUAACCGCCGCUGUUCGCCUAUCACCAGCCUCCUCGCUGCCACCGCCGCAUGCGCACCAGGCCUCCUCCAUGUGUGUCUGACACCUGCAAAGAGAGUCACACGCAACAGUAGAAACAAAAACAAAAAACAAAUAGCAAAACGACAAAAAAAAUAAUGAUUAAGGAGUUCGUAAUCCGACUAUAAAAGCCCUAAUCUGUGACUUGUAAUUUUUUGACACACAUUAGAAAAUAAAAACCAAAAAAAAAAAACUUUAAGGUGAUACUCAUUUCAUUUUAUUUUUGUUUUAUUUUAUUUUAUCAUUUUUAUCUUUUUAUUUCGAAAUAACAUAAAUAAAAAGGGGAGGCUGGGUUGCCGUUGCCAGAGCAUAUUUUGUGCUAAAGGGGGUUGCGCAGGAGGAAAAGAGGAAACUUUUCAGUUUCCCGCCGCCGUGAUGGCCGAACCUCUGACUGGCGCUUGGAGAAAGAAGGGGAGAGUUUGAGAGAAUUUUAGGUUUUUUGUUUAAGAAAAGUGAAAAAUGAAGAAUUCUGAAAAAAUUAAUAUUUAUAGCACCUAGAAAUGGCGUCGUUUUGGCCAGUUUCAUUUGGCCCCAAAAUGACACCGUUUAAUGGCCUAUACCGGCACAGUGACCCGACCCGGGGAAGGAUCGGAGUGUUUUGUGCUAUUGGGUAAUUUUCGCAUUUGGUCCCUCUUAUUUUGUAGUGUUUUCAAAUUAGAUUUUAUUUAUUUUAAAUUUCAACAUACAUUUUUGUUUUUGUUUCACUUAGAUCCUGAACAAUGCGCAGCGUUUUGGGGGCGAGGAAAUAUUUCCAAUAUGGCCCCAUGUAAUCUGCAUAUUACACUUUAACCCCUCGUCUUGUUUAUAAUUCUAUUCUUUUCUUGUUAAUUUAGAUUCAAUUGCGAUUUAAUCUUUUGUUAAAACAUUUGUUUUCUUUAUUAAUUUAUUAACUAUUUUAUUAUUAUUUUAGUGGUAUAUUCGGUCAUAUUUUCAUUAUCUUAUUAUAUAUUAUCAUUUUGAGUUUUACUUAUAUUAUUAUUAUAAUUUUAUAAUGUGUUAUUUUAUUAACUCAAUAUAACAUAUAUAUAUAUGUAUUUUUUUGUGGUUUUAUUUUUAUAAUAUAUUUUUUUAAAUCCAUUUUUAUGCACUUUAUAUUUAAGUAUUUAUACAAUAAUAUUCUUAUAAUAUUUUUAUACAUGUACAAUUUAUAUAUAAUUAUUUCUUAUACGUGUAUAUAUACAUAAUAAAUCAUCGAUUACAUGUUAUUAUAUUAUUUCCACUUAUUUCAUAUAUAAUUUAUUUCUUUUAAAAUACUCUAUUAUAUACUUCAUUUAUUUCAACCUUUUAUGUGUAUCAUUAUAGAUAUACUAUUAUAUGAAGUUUUUCAAUCCCUAUGCAUUACUUAUUUAAAUUAAUAUAUGUAUAUUAUUUUAUGUAUUUAGAUUUAUUUUGUAUAUAAUAUCUACUUUUAAAUUUAUUUGGAUACUAUUAUUUUAAGUGGAAUUUAUUUUUAACUAUAUUUUUUUAUUUAUUUCAAUUUUUCAUAUAUGUAUAUAUUAUUUAUUUUAAAUUUAUUUUAAUCAUAAUUUCCCUUCUUUCAUAUUUCUUAAGUUUAAAAAAAAAAACUUGUACAAUUUCAUGUGCGUCAAUUUGUUUGGUGCUUUGAUUGUUUUUUAAUUCAUUAGCCUUUGAAUGUUAGCAUAAUACAUUAUGUGAGAUUAUUGCUCUUAUACGUAUUAUAUUGCUUAUUUUUAUUUACUAAUUAUUCGUAGAUCAUUAGAAUACAUUUUGGUUUACAAAUUAUCGCUUUGUAUUGUACAUUAAUAUUCAAUUGUUUUUUUAUUCGUUCGAAAGAUUACGUUUAAUAUCAUUUAAGUAUCAAAAUCGAUUUAUUCAAAAACUUUCAAGAUAACGUAAUAUUCUGUAUUUGGGAUAUUCGAGAGAAUUGAGCCUUAAUGUAUUGGGUUCCAAUUUUCCUCGUUGAAUCUAGAUAAUCGAGAAUAAUCUUCAAUCAAAAUACAUACAUAAAAAGCUCAUUAUCGGGAAUUCGAUACAUUGUGUCCUAACGCAUUGGAUACGACAUGUUGUUUUCUCGAGAUGAGGAUUUUUCUAAAAAAAAUAAUAAAGGCAAUAUUCCGUAUUUGGGAAAUUUGAGAGAUCGUGCCCUAACUUACUGGGUUUCGAUUUUUCUCCUUUAACCCAAAUAAUCAAAUAUCCUUCUCAAAAUGCAUAGGUUUUAAAAGUCAAAAGAUAAACUUAAUUUUGAAGAUUAAGAAUGUUGCGCCCUAACUCACUGGGUGUGACAUUUUAUCUCUUUGAAAUAAGAGUGUCUUAUCAUUUAAUUCAAUUUAUUCAAGGUUAAAAGGAUCGUAUUUUAAAACCUUUUCAAAAUUUCAACACUAAGACAUUAAGUAAUCAACUAGGUACCAAUUUUUGGGCGUUACGAGGGUGCUAAUCCUUCCUUGUACGUAACCGACUCCCGAACCUAUUUUUUUGAAUUUCGUGGACCAAAAUCAUUAUUUUAAUAAAAUCAAACCAUUUAUUAAAAACAACCACUUUUCGAGGUGACCCGAUCACACUUCAUCGAAAAAGAUCGGUGGCGACUCCCAUAUUCAUUUUCAUUUUCAAAAUCCAAAUUGACCCUGUUUUAUCAAAAAAUGGUGUCAACACUGCACAUGUUUUAUCUUGACAUAUGGAUCCUAAGCAUUCCUUGGAUUUUGCCCUCUUUGUUCAUUUAUUUUUUCUUGGAACCUUAUUACAUGUUGUACCAUUCCAGUUUUUUGGAGACAUUGAAGACGACUAACUGCUGAAUUCUUUCUUCUGCAGAGGAACCAAUGGCAAGAGACUCUAAAAAUCCUACUCUUUUUUAUACCUUCCUCACCUCUUUGUGACAUUAUAGCUGAAAAAUGAUGUAUGCUAAUACAUGAAAUGUUUCCUUUUGCCUUUCUUUUUGUAGUACUAAGACUACAAAUAGUGUCUGCAAAACUCUUUAGAGAAAAACAAAUGUCUGUAAAUCUCUUUUCCCGUAAUCUUAUCUUUUCCUCAUUGUAAUAGUUGGAAAACAGUUUUGUUGAAGACAAUGUCAACUACUGGGAUAAGUUAUUGUAAGCAUCUUUUCUUUAAGUGUUUCAUAUUAAAAACAAACACUGUUAUUGUUUAUUUUGUAGUCUAAAUUAUGAUAAUUUCUGCACAAAAUUCACAUAAAUGGUUACCGUCCCGAAGCGGAGCGAGGGUGAUGCUUACUAGUUAUUAAGAAAACAGGACCUUGUAGGGCUUAACUGUUGAAUCAAGAAAGAAAUUUCUUUUAAUGCUUUCAGUUUUUUUAAAGCUGAUUUUUUUUACAAAUUAAAGUUUGGAUUGUAUGUUAAUUGCUUGAGGGAAGGUCGGAUGCUUUAUUAUCCCUAUUUUUAUUUGUUAUAUAUUUUAGCCAUAAUGAUUUUUUUGGCCCUACAACUUUACCAAAAAAAUCAUAUUAGCUUUCAUUUAAUUUUCGUCUCUUUUAACCCUUUAACUUAUAUUUUUUUGUCAAAUCACCCCAAAAUGGAUCGAAAACUUAACAUUUGUGAACUUUGAUUAUGUGGCAUACACAUGAAUUGUCACAUGGAUGACAAGUCAACAUUUAGUUUUUUUUUUAAAAAAAAAAACUUAAAAAAUAUUAAAUAAAAUAUUUUUGAUAUUUUUUAAUGAUUUUUAAAUUAAAAAAAGUUUUUUAAUAUUUUUUAAUUUUUAAAAAUUAAUUAAAUGCAAACAUGGAAAUUCACAUCUAUGUGUCACAGGCCGCGGAUUAAAGCCCGUGACCAUUGUGCAUAGAACACCCCAUAGAGGUCAACUUAUUAAACAAGGUUCAUUUGACCCGCAUGAACUGGCCCGACCCAUGGAACCCGUGGAGAAGCCCAUCUACUUGAAGCCUUGGUGGUCUAGUGAAAUAUAGUUUAAUUUUUUUUAAACAUAGGGUAAGGGAAGAAGAAUGCCUUAAAAUUAAUUUUUGUUAGAAAACUAAUAAGAAUGAGUUUGUUGGUUUAGUGUUAAGGCCUUAUCCUAUCCAUAGAUCCCAAGUUUGAAUCCCUUGGUGAGCAUUCAACCAAAAUAUUUUUAUUUCCUUGUUUUUACCACACUAAAAGUGACAAAUUUUAAAAUAACCCAGCCCAAAAACUAUUUUUUUUUAAUUUUAGUCCUUAAUUUAAAAUUUUCCCAAACCUACAUAAAUUUUUAAAACCUAUUCCAAUUAGGAAAAAUAAGUAUUAUAAAUAGACAAUUUCAAAACAAACUCUAGAAUUUCAUCUAGCAAAUUUUCAAGAAAACAUCCAUAAACACUUUCUUUUCCAAAUCAAACUUUCAAGCUAAAGAAAUCAGAAUCUUCAAAAUCAUCCCUCAAGUAGAUCUUCAAUCUUUUCUCCAGCACUAAGGUUUCUAAGUAUUCAAAAUAGGUGUGGGAACUAAACCUAAAUCUUUGUGUAUAAUUGAAUCUAAUAGCAAGUAGAGAACCAGUAUAGGCUAACCCUAGGAGAAACCCCCUGUAUGUGCAAUCAUGUAGGUGUGAGCCUAUAGAUGCAAAACCCAUUGUACAUGAAAACCCCAUGCAUGCAAACCCUUACGUGAAACCCCCCUUUCAUGCGAACCCUGUAUGAAUACCAUGUGAACCCUAGAUUAUAGUUGCGAACCCUAGGUUGUUAUGUGGAUACCCAUACUGUGAACCCAAGUGCACAAACAUAUAGGAAUAUUCAUGCGAGCCCCCUUGCAUGCGAACCCUAGUUAGUGUACAUACGGGUCUCAUAUUUACAUGCAAACCACUACUAGUGCGAGUCAAUUAUAUGAUAUCACAUACGAACCCUACUAUUACAUGCAAACCUUUAUACAUGUUAUAUUCGAACCUUUUUUUGUUAAAACUGGUGAGACUUGUCUAGUAUUACAUACGACCUAAUUUGCGAACUCAUAUGUUAAAAGUAUGUGAACCUAUCUAUGUUUGUUAUGCGAGCUCACAUGUUAGCAGUAUGUGAACCUAUAUAUAUCAGUUAUGCAAACUCACAUGUUAGCAGUAUACGAACCAUAAGUCUGUUAUGCAAACUCACACGUUGGCAGUAUGCGAACCCUAUAUACACCUUUAUGCAAACUCACACAUUAACAGUAUGCGAACCCUAUAUACGCCUUUAUGCAAGCUCACACGUUAGCAGUAUGCGAACCCUAUAUACGCCUUCAUGCAAACUCAUAUGAUUUGCAGCAUGCGAUCUCUAUAUUUAUGCGAACCCUUGUAAUAAAAAAUAUGCGAACCUUAACUUGCGAACCCUUGGCAGGAACCCUGCACUCGCAAAGCCUUCUUCCGGACCUGUACAUAUGCUAGAUAACCAAGCCUAUUAGUUUACAUUAAAUCACUGUACAUAUGAGACUGUUUGUUUACUUGCACAAGUUAUAUGUGUAUUUACUAUUCGAUACAAGAGUACCUAUCGACCUUUUGAUGAGAAUUCAGAGAUUAACGAUGAUAAUUCCAACAAUCGGUGUAAGAACGAGUUAAAUCGAGAGUUGAUGUAAUUUAAGGUAAUAAAGUUAAUUUUUCAGUAAUAAAUGUAAAAUUGUUAUGGAAAGAAACGAUGGGUAAAAAAAAAAAUGAGAGUUUUAAAGAAAAGAGAGGAAAACUUCAAUUUAGGGUUGAAGAGGAACUAAAAAUCUACGUGAAAUUAGGAAAAAAUAUAAAAUACCUAGGAUUAAGAAAUUUGAGGGGGUUGAAUGGUAAAAUACCCUUUUUUCUUAAAAAUGAAAAAAAUGGAAAUGGGUAUUAAGUUUGGCACGACUUGAAACUUGGAAGCAAAGGAAAAAAUUACAAAGGCCUUACCAUUUGGGUUGCUACCCACAUUUGGCAUAUUUUUACACUAUUUAAAAUAUAUCCUAGCUUAGUUUUGAUCAUAGGUUGUUGAAAAAAAAAAACAAGGGGUAAGAGUGUGGCUUCAACCUUAAUUCUCUAGUUAGUAUACUAAGCUCUGAACCAUUAAAAUUAAGGCUCAUGUCUUAGUCAAUUAAUUCAUCUAACUCUAUAUAUUUUGAGGUAUUACAUCUUGAAUUAGAAAAACCCAUAAAAUGCAUGUAGACUUGUAUUGCUCGGUACUUGGUACUAUAUAUGUAGACUUGUAUGUUGAUUAAGCUAGCUUAAUUAAGACCAAUGUGUUAGACUUGUCUAUGCAUUGAACAAUCUAGAAGAAAAUGAAGAAAAAGACUCUGAAAAUACUUGAAAACAGAUAAAACUCAUAUGUCAUCGACUAGUUAAACUAUGAUCACCCAUAAUAGACCUUGUAUUUGACUUUUUGUUGAGGGAGAAGUUUCGUGAGUGUUGUUUGUCAGGGAGUCAGUGUUGCCCUAAACAACUAAAGGUAUUGUCCCCAUGUCGAGAUUUUACCCCCAGCCUCUGCAAAAUAAUCAUGAAGAAUACGUGCGAAGGAAUUCAAACACCAACCAAUGCAUGUGUAGCCUUUACCUUCCCACUAUCUUUGGGAACUCAUAAGGAUAAAAUCCCAACAAGAGAAUUGUAUCAGAGGGGUCUGUCAACACAAUGAAUGAAAUUUCAUACUUUUUUUUUAAUGAAAGUAAAUAUCAUAUUUAGUUAGAGAAAAGCAACGAAAAAUCUAACAAUAAAAUCCUUAGCAAAAGAUUAAAACACAAUUGUACCAUAAAUUAAAUAAGAAAUUAAAAAAAUUCAAAUCUAACAAAGACAGUAACUUGAUUCCUCAAAGCUACCACAAACAGUAAUUCAUAGGAAGGCCUGCUGCUCAUUUAUAACACAAACUUCAUGGUGACGGAUACCAACAUACUAGAUACUAUGAUUAAAAUGCUAGAAUAGAUUAAAAAUGUUGAAUUAAUGAUAAAAUUAAGAGUGAAUUAACACAAAGUACUCAUCCUCUCUUUUUAAUGAAUCAACAUCUGCAAUUUCUAUCACUCCUUUAGACAGUGAACUUUCCAUCCAAUGCCUUAUAGUCACUUCUUCAGCAAAAUAAUUAUCAGUUGGCUUUUUCUUUGUGAAAGUUUCUAUAAGGACAAUCCCAUAACUAUAGACAUCACAUUUUCUAGAAACAAUUCCUGCUGAUCCAAAUUCUGCAUUUCAAGCAUAAUUAGAGCAUCAUUAAUCCUUAAUUAUUUCUAAAAUGUUUAUUCAAAUAUACACAUGAAACAAAAAUAUAAAAUGAAAAUCAAGAAAAUAAUCAUAAAAAGAAUUCACCUGGUGCCAUAUACCCGAUAGUUGCAAGAGUCAUGGUUUGCUUCACUACAUCACCUUCUCCCAAAAGGUUGGAAAAGCCAAAAUCUCCCACAUGUGCAACCAUGUCUUUAUCUAGUAAAAUAUUGCUUGGUUUGAAGUCAGAAUGAAUCAUAGGUGUUGGAUGUCCGUUGUGGAGAUGUUCUAUAGCUGUCGCAACAUCUAUCAUUAUGUCAACCCUUUGUAUGAUAUCAAGGAAACAGUUUUUACAAUGUAGCCAUUUCUCAAGAUUUCCAUUUGACAUGUAAUCAAGCACCAAGGCUUUUUUAAAAAUAAAAUAAAAUAAACUUGGUAUCCAAAAUGUUUUUGUGUUGACAUGGCAUUUUUAAAAAUAAAAUAAACUAGGUAUCCGUGUAACAAAAAUAAAAUUGUAAUAUAUAGGCCUAAUUUUAGUAAAGAAUGUUAAUGAUGUUAAGAAUUCUUUAAAUUUCACAUAAUCAUUUUUAUUAGAAUAAAGUAUUUAGACUAACUAAUUAUAUUAUAAAAAUUAAGAUACCAAAUUAUGUCAAAAUUAAAGUUAUAGAUUAAAUCUCAAUUUUAACAUUCUUAUAAUUUAAAAAAGUAGAAGAUUGGAAUUAAAUAAAUUUAUAAUCCUUAAUUGUAAAUUUGAUAAUUCCUAUUAAUCUAAAUUAUUACAAUAAUGUGCUUACUAUGCUUGGUUUUACUCAAUGAGUGAUAUUAAAUUAAUUAAAAAAUUAGAUAAAAAUCAAAUAUCUUAUUUCUAAUAAUAAUAUUAUUACUCCCUCACAAAACUAUAUUUCACUUGAAAGAAAUUCUAUUCCCUUCAAAAAAAAAUUACCAUCUUAAAACACUUCCAUCUUUUAAAAAAUCUUAAUGCACACUUUAAUCCUUGAAUUAUAUCACUUUUUCAACUUUAGUCUUAAAUUUUUUUUAUUGAUUUUAGUCCCUAAUAUUAUUAAACGUUUCCAAUUUAGUUCAUUGGACAAUAAAAAUUGAUUGUCGUUGGGAUAUCCAACCAAUCAUACACUACCAAAUAUUGUACGAUGAUAUCAUUAUGACAUCAUCAACAAAAAAACCUUAAAAAUCUUUAAAAAUGAAAAAAAUUAUUAUAAUUAUUUAAAAAUAGAAAAAAAAUAAAAUUGUAAAAAUAAAAAAUCUAUGUAAAAUAUAAAAAUUUACAUAAAAUUUAAAAAUAUAUUAGAUAUUUUAAUAUCUUUAAAAUUUUAUAAAUCACAUUUACUAGAGUUUGAACCUAUGAUUAUUGUCAACAAUUGUUUUAUGACUCAAUUAAUCAUAAUUUAUAAUUGGUAGAUCUUUUUAUGUGAUAAACUUGGAUAAUUUUUUUUUCAAAUUAUUUAAAUAAUGAAAAGUAAUAUUAUUUCAAAUAAAUAAUAAAUUAUAUAAUAUUUAUAAUUAUUCCAAAUAUUUUUUUUUACUAUCUUAAGAUAAAUUAUUUGUCUCUAGACCAAUAUCUUAAGAACUAUUGUCGUGUGUUUAACUAUUCUAAAGAACUUUGGUAUAAAAUAGAAAAAGCAUGUGCACAAUGGUAAAUAGGGAGUCGAGUCAAAUAAACUUGUUGCCAGUAACGCUGGUAAAGUACUAAAAAUUGAUGUAUUUUAAAAUAUUAAAAUUUUGAUAUAAAAAUUUAUUCAAAUUUUUAUUAUAAUAAUUUUAAAUAAUUUUUUAUAAAAAUUGAUUGUAUUACAAUAUACAAUUUCAAUAUCAAAUUUUUAAUAUUUUAAAUGUGAUUAGCGAAUGUAUACUUUAUUUCAAGUUACAUAAUUUUUACCAGUAUUUUAAAUUUUUUAUUUUUUUACAAUCUUUUAUUAUUUCUAAUAUUUUUUAUAUUUUUUACAAUAUUUAAAAAUUUAUAAUAACUUUUAAUAAUUUUAUUGUUUUUAGAAAUUAAAAGAAUUAACAAUUUUUUAUUUUUUAAAAAAAUUAUAAAUUUAUAAUGUAGUUAAUUUUAUUUAAGUUUAUUUGAAUUUUAUGAUAUUUUUAAAAAAUAUUUUUUUAUUUUUGCAAUCGUGACAUCAGCAUAUGACACGUGGUAAUUUAUGAUCAGAUGAAUUUUUAGUUUUUUUUUUAACGUCCAAAGGAUUAAGCUGAGAACACCUGGUAACGUUAGGGACUACACUAAGAGCAUUUGAUAAUAUUAGGUACUAAAGUGGGCCAAAAAAACAUUAAGGACCAAAGCAAAAAAAAUGCUAUACUUGAACUUUCAAAAUUAUCUUUCAUUUAGUUAGGAUUAAUAUUUAAUGAUUUACUUAAAAAAUAGAAAUUUAAAAAUUUGUAGUAUUGAGGUUAAAAAAUGAGUAAGAGGUGGUGGAUGGUUCAUACAAUGGUGAGGCACAAAGAACCAUUUUAAAAUAAGAGAAGGGAGGGGUGCUUAUUCUUGAGGUUAAGAAUGAGUAUUUAUAGGUGAGGUUAAUCAUCCUUGAUCAUUAGACCUUGACAAGUGUUUGAUGCCAGUCUUAUCGUGGUUGGCCACUAAGGGAAUGAUGGACCUCUAGGUAGUGAUGGAAUUGACAUGAAUUAGAUGAGAUUAGGAUGACAAUUUGGAUUUUGAAUUCGGAUAAUAUUGGAAUUAAAAUUUUGAAAUUACUAUCUGUUGCAUAUUUGAAGUGAAUGCGGAAAGAUAUUUCAGAAUUAUAUUAGUCGAAUCUACUUUACUUAUUCGAAUAGAUGUAGAUUGGAAUUUAGAUAUCUGAAUCAACUAGUCACGAAAUGUGUAUAGUUUUGAUUAUAUAUAAAAAAAAUUUGGUGGAUUCAAUUUUGAAUUUUCGUGGAUUUGGAUAUCCAAAACAUGAUUGAAAUUUUUAAAAUUACUCCUUUUCUGUUGAUUCAGAUAUUUGACGAAUAAUAGUACUUAACUUAAGCCAAAUUUAGACAGUAAUACUCGGAUAAUUUGUAUAUAAUAAAUAAAUUUUGAUUUUCAAGCAAAUAUGCAUAUUCUAAUUCAAAAAAUGUAGUUACUAACCUAUUGCCAUUCCUAGGCAAGAGUACCCUACGUGUGAUCCAUGCACAGAAGGAUCCAACAUCUUUCACUGACGAGGUAGAUUAGAAGCGUCACGUACCAGGCAUAUAUGUAUCAAUGAGGUCUAUAGCUGGCAAAGUGUAGCCCACAACUGAAAUCAUAGUUGACGAGGUAGUAGUUGGGCGACAUGAUGGUGACAAAAGCCACUCUGGUAAAAUAUUAAUAGCAAUCACCCUCCAAUUAAUGAGAAGUUAUAAAAUGACCUAAUUAAAUGGUAGCAUAGUUUACCAUAAGUGUCAUAUGUGUUGUAAGGCAUGAGCUCAAACCCUACCAAACUCAAAUGAUCAAAUUUCCUUGGUAGGUGGUCAUACGUCACGUACCGUUUGUCCCAACAAGGCGCUCCCACUCUGUUGAACCUGUCACCUCUUUAGGUAGCUUUAGGCACUUGAGAUCUUUACAAAGUCGAGAGGUAAAAUUAUUGGAAAAAAAAAACUCGGUUUGAAAAUAGUUUUCUUACACAGUAGAAAAAUAAAAUUUUGAAAAUCGACCUGGUUUGUGAUAUUUAUAACAAAAAAACCUUAACUGAAUUCAUACAUGUGUUUUUGGAUAAGUGGAUCCUUGAUGUUUUCAGGCUUUCAACCAAAUGAUCUUUUGCACUAUUCUCGUACCACGAACUGCUUCGAGUGUGGCCUCGAACCAAUUGAAUCAAAACACAAAACUAGAAAAGGUUUUCCUUUUUGGGUGAAAACCAAAAUUCUCUCUUCUUUAAUAGAAAUCAGUAAAAUUAUUAUUAUGAAAAAUAUGUUUAUAAGUUGAGAAUAAAUUCUCUCUAUUUUUCGACAGAAUAAAAAUCUCUCAAAAGUUGUGUAAAUAGCUCUACUGGUGCCAUUUAUUUAUAGGAAGAGAAAGUAGAACCCUUGUAGAGUUGUAAAAGUUUAUAUCCACUAGAAAAAUAAUAUCCUAGCCUAUCUAGGAUAUAGGGAGCAACAACCGUAGUUAAUGAUACUAGGGUUUUGUCAUCCCACCUCUUUAUAUGAGGGGUUUUAGGCCUCUCUCACAUCAGAUCCAAGUACAAGUACUUCUUAAAUAUAAAUUUGAAUUUGAUAUAUUGAUUACAUAUGAAUUUAUAUAUUGUGAGUAAAAUUUUUAUUUGAUAUAUUAAUAAUGUAUAAAUUUAUAUAUUGUUAAUACAUCAUAUGUUUAAAAAAUCUAAUAAUUAUAUAUUAUUUUCAAUAAUUUUUAAAUUUAUUAAUUGAUUUAUUGGUAUAUUAAUAUUAUUUAUUAGUAAUAUGUAAAUUUAUACCCUGUCAAUUUAUGAAAUAACAUUUAGUGAGUGGAAUAUAUAUAAAAGAAGAUAUUCUAAAUCUUUCUAAAUUCUUCCUUAAAAUAGAAAAAGAAAUAAAUUGUUGAUAUAGAUAUGUUGAUAAGAUUUUCAUGUAGGGCUUUUCUGUAAUUCAUGAUUUUGUUACAUGCAUAAAUUGUAAUUGUGAUAUUUUAUAUUUUAUUUAUAUAAAUCAUGUUAAAUUUGAUUUAAAUUCCUUUUUUAAUUAUUUAUUCUUUUAAGAAAUUUCAAGUAUUCAAUAAAUAUUAAUGUAUACUUUUUCUUAAAUUGAUAUAAUAGUGAUAUCAGAUUAGUUUAAAAUUUUGCGUGUAUGACAAGUACAAUUAUAUCGAUAGAUUCAAUAGUCGGAUUAUUCAAAUAUUACUCCUACAAAUAUAUAUAUGAAGAAGUAUAAACUGCUUUAAUUUUACAUUGGUAUAAGUAGAUCUCUCUCUUACAUCUGUUGUAUAUAUGAAAUUUUGAUUUUGAUUCAAACGUACUCAUUUAAAGAAAUAAAUACAUCAAUUUAUUUUUAUAUUGAAUAAGUAUAAUUAUUUGGAUAUGCUAUAUAUAGAUGUAAAAUGAUGGUAUAUAAAUAACGAUGUUAGAUGUUUGUAAAAAUUGAAUCAAAUCAAUAUUUCAUGUAUAAAAUUGCACAAUGGACCAAAGUUCAUGUACAAUUUUGAUCUUUAUAUCUGAAAUUUAUUAAUGCAAAUUAUUUUCCAAAAGAUCACAUUGAGUAAGAUUAAUUUAAAUUUCAAUAUUUAAAUUUUUUCUCAUAUAGAAAUAUAAUUUUUUUAAAAGAAGUGUAUACUAAUUGUUGAAAGAUUUCCGACUCUUUUGGAAAGUCUUCGAAGUGGCAUAUUUUGAAGAUGGUGGACCCUCAACACGUCCAAUAUUAUCAUUGGUUAAGGUUUUUUUUGGAUCUAGUGUCCUAAGUGUAGUACUUUUCAUCAAUAUACAGUUGUAAAUUUUUUUAACAAAUUGGUUAAUAAAACAAAUUUAUUGAUUAUAUUAAUAUACUUUAUAUAAUUGUCCUAACAUAGUUUUUGCACGCAAAGCAAAAUGGAAGUAAAUGUUGCUCAUUGGUUGCCUAAAUAUUUAAUUAAUACUAAGCGGUAUUAUGUGUAUAAAAAGACAGCUUGUAUUAGUAGACAAACCUAAACAUGUCCUUAGCAUAAUUGGAAAUUAGUAAAUUGAUUGAAAGACUAAUAUGUCGUCUAUCAAGUGUAUUUGGGGAGAUGCCUUGUCUUGGGCAUCGAAGCAGAUGACUCCCAAAAGGUAGAGACAUAGAUGUGACUGACUGGACUGGUAGUAAAUUGGAUAGCACACAAACAGAAUAGAUCCUGAAUUCGUUUAUGGACUUAUUCACUUGUGAUGUCCAUAGUGUGGCAUACAUAAAUCUUGAAUGGAUAGCGGAGUACGUAUGUGUGACUUUUACACUUUGAUGUAAGUAAAAACAUAAGUUCAAUUAGAUAAGGAACCAGAAUCUGGUACAUUUGGUUUACGACUUCUAUAGUAUGUAGCAUCAUUCAUAAUAGUGAAAUUCAUAGCGCAAAACAUGGGUAAAUGAUAUCCUCUCAUUGACAUUACAUGGUUAAUGAAAAGUAAACGUGGCCACGGGUUGUCCGUCUUUGUGAUGGAAACUUGAUCACUAAUUGAUAAUGAUUGAUUUUUCACGAAAGAAGAUGUAAUGGCUACCAUGAGAUAAAAUAUGAUAUAUUGGGAGAACAAAUAUUAUCCCAAAGAGAUCAAGGAUAUCCUAUGAGGGUAACACACUAAUGACAAGGUUAUUGGACGAGCAUUAAGUAGUUGCUUUCGUAAUGGUAUGUCGUUGGGGAUAUUUCAUUCACGACACUAUAGUGGAAUGACUUCAUCACUAAAUGAUUUUAUAAUUAAUAGGUGAAAAAAAUAGAAUUUAAAUAUAAAUCAUUUGAGCCUCAACUUUAUAUGUCUACUCGGUCCCCCAACUGUUAGUUCAUUGAAACCAAAAAUUAAUUGCACGUUUGAAUGGAAAUCAGCGAAAUGGAUAGAAAAAGAGAAAUGAGAAACAUUCAGGAAUGAUUAUGGUUUCCUCUAAAAUGGAGAAAUGGAAUAAUUUGAAAAUGAAUGUAGGUUUCCAAAAACGGAAAUAGAAAUGAAAAUGGAAACUUGCAAUUUUAUAUAUGAUUACUUAAAAAAUGAUGGAAGAAUGAGUUUAUAUUUUUGGACUAUUUUGAAGCUCGAAAAUGAAAAUAAAUCAUUCAGUCAUAGUGAACAUAUUGAGUUGUGUCAUAUUAAACGAAUUUUCUUGAAAUUUUAUUGGAGGUAAAAUUGCCAAAAUUUUACUGGGUAAAAUUGUCGUGAGAAAAUAAUUUAAUAUGUAAAUAUUAAAAUUUAUUUUGGAAAUAGAAAAAUUGAAUCGGGUUGGACCAUAUUACAAAGUACUAGAUCAAAAAGGCCCAGAAAGUACUCGUACUUGGACCCGAUGUGAGAGAGGCCCAAAACCCCUCAUGUAAGGUGGGACGGCAAAAACCUAUUAACUAGGGUUGUCGACCCUUAUAUCUUAGAUAGGCUAGGAUAUUAUUUUUCUAGCGGAAAUAAACUUUUACAACUCUACAUGGGUUCUACUUUCUUCUCCUAUAAAUAGAUGGCACCAAUAGAGCUAUUUAUACAACUUUUGAGAGAUUAUUAUUCUACCGAAAAGUAGAGAGAAUUUAUUCUCAACUUAUAAACAUAUUUUUUAGAAUAACAAUUUUACCGAUUUCUAUUAAAGAAGAGAGAAUUUUCGUUUUCACCCUAAAAGGAAAACCUUUUCUAGUUUUGUGUUUUGAUUCAAUUGGUUUGAGCCCACACUCGAAGCAGUUCGUGGUACGAGAAUAGCGCAGAAGAUCGUUUGGUUGAAAGCCUAAAAACAUCAAGGAUUCACCCAUCUAAAAACACAUGUAUGAAUUCGGUUAAGUUUUUUUUGCUACAAAUAUCACAAACUGAGUUGAUUUUCAAAAUUUUAACUUUUGAUGUGCAAGAAAACCAUUUUCAAACUGAGUUUUUUUUUUCAACAGUUUUAUCUCUCAACUUUGUAAAGAGCUCAAGUGCCUAAAUCUACCUAAAGAGGUGAUAGGUUCAAUAGAGUAGGAGUGCCUUGUUGGGACAAACGGUACGUGAUGCAUGACCACCUACCAAGGAAAUUUGAGCAUUUGAGUUUGGCAGGGUUUGAGCUCAUGCCUUACAACAGAUAUGACACUUAUGGACAACUGCUACCAUUUAAUUAGGUCACUUUAUAAAUUCUCAUUAAUUGGAGGGCGAUUGCUAUUAAUAUUUUUCCAGAGUGGCUUUUGUCACCAUCACCUCGGCCAACUACAACCUCGUCAACUAUGACUUCAGUUGAGGGCUACACUUUGCCAGCUAUAGACCUCAUCAAUACAUAUAUGCCUAGUACACGAUACUUCUAAUAUACCUCGUUAGUGAAAGAUGUUGGAUCCUUCUAUGCAUGGAUCAUACGUAGGGUACUCUUGCUUAGGAAUGGCAAUAGGUUAGUAUCUACAUUUCUUGAAUUAUUAGAAUUUGGAUAUGCAUAUUUGCUUAAAAAUCAAAAUUUGCUUAUUAUGUAUAAAUCAUCUGAGUAUUACUAUCUAAAUUUGGCUUAAUUUAAGUACUAUUAUCUGUCAAAUAUCUGAAUUCGCAAAAAAAGAGCAAUUUUAAAAUUUUCAAUCAUUUUUUGGAUAUCCAAAUUCACGAAAAUUCAAAAUUGAAUCCACCAAAUUUUUUUAUAUAUAAUCAAAAAUAUACACAUUUCGUGACUAGUUGAUUUAGAUAUUGAAAUUCCAAUCUACAUCUGCUAUUCGAAUAAGUAAUGUUGUAACACCUUAAAUAAUUUAAGUUUGUUUUUGUGAAAUUUAACACAAAAUGUGUACUUGCUUCAGUGGUUAAGUGUUCUAGGUGUGUGUGUGAGGUAUUGGGUUCAAUUCCCACUUUUGGCAAAACUUUGUUAUUUUAUAUCCAAGCCUAACUCUUAUUGAGUAGGCUUAUGUUAAAUUGUUUGUUAAUCCAUAUCAGAAUAAGCUUGUUGGUUUGAGUGGUAAGGAGUUGGUGUGUAGGAGGUCCUGUUUUUGAAUCCCUACGUGAGCGUAGGUAUUAAUUUUUUCUCGGUUGUCUGAUAGAGUUUGAGUGGUCUUGAAAGUCUGAGGUUGUUAAGGCUGGGUGUUAGUCUGAAGUUAGGAUAUUGUGGGGGGGAUUUUUAUGUUGAUUAUUAUUAUUUUAUUUUAUUCCUUUUUCAAAUUUUCCUCUCUCUUUCCAAAAUUUCCCUUUAAUGUUAUUCUUCAAGUUUUUUUUAUUGUCUCUGAUAUUUUUCCCCCUUUUCAUUAAAUCUUUGUUUUGUUCUUCUUUUUUGAUUAUGUUCGUCAACCUAUCAUUCGAUCGUGCCAUUGGAGUUGUCGGGUUAUCUAAUCGGUUGGUAAGUAAAACUUUGCUUCCCUUUAACUUUUGAUUUGGGAUUAUAGUGAUUUCAAUAUGUAGCAAUUGAUUAGUGGAACUUCGUGUUUAGGAGAAGAUUAUGGAGCAAUGAAUUGCACUCCAACAGUUUAGUGUGCAUUGAAGUGGUUUGUCAUCGACGGUAAGUCAGUUUCGUGUUGUUUCUUGUUGUCAAAUUCAUUAAUCAAACUACUAAAUCAAUGUUGGGUACUUUAAUUUUAGGAUUUGGAAGGCUCGGGAGUAUUUUUGCAUUAAAAUCGUAAUAGGUGUGUCCCCAAAACAUAGAAAGUCAGGUUUCGAUAAAAGUCAAAAAUGCAUUUUGUCGAUGCGACAAGGGCAUGUGCCUGGUCAUGUGGCUAGUCGUGUGUGAGACACGGCCGUGUAUUUGACGAGGGUGUGGCUGUGCGCAAGCCACGGUCAUGUGGUAGUGUAAGUGUCGCUAUGUAGGCCAUACGGGCUAGGCCAGUCUAGGUUUGUGGGCCUACAUAGGCAUGCCACACGGACGUGUAGGCCCAUACGGCCAUGUAGGCCCACAAUUUUGAGAUUUUCCCUUAGGUCGCACGGUUCGUUUCGAACGAUUGUGGACCUACCAUAGGGUCAGUAAGGGCUAAUCAAACCCUAAAUUAUGUGAAAUGAUAUUUUGAUAGUUCGCCUUGUGUAGGAUGUCGAUAUGUACAUCUGUUUUAUUUACGUAUAUAUAUGCUAUCUGUAUAUGAGCAUGUUAUGCAUGAUAUUACUGUAUCUGUUAUUUCUGUAUUAUGUAUUUGUAAAUGGGGUGGGUUUUGUAUAUGUAGAGAAAGUGAUCUGUACGAUAACACUUCCAUUAUAUUUUGACAGUUGACUGCAUAUUAUUUGUAAUGUGUCGUAUUGACACUAUAUGGUGUGUAGGGAUGGGUGGGUGCUUUUAACCCUAUAUGGUAUGAUGGGAUAGUCGAAGAUGUUGUGUAGAGGAUGGGGGUAGGAUUCUGUAUAUCUGUACUACUUAUCUGAUUUUGUUAUCUGUAUCUGGAAUGGAUAUAAGUCCGGAUCUUGAUCUGACUGUAUAUAAGACUUCUAUUUGUAUUGCAUUUCUAUUUUUGUUAGGUUACACAAUAAGUUUACGAAACCUCACAUCUGUUUGUCUGUUCUGUUCAGGUCUAUAGACUUAGGCGGAUCAGUGUGACGGAGCCUCACAGUAACCACGAGAUUGUAAACUAUUUAAUAUUACGGUUUUUAUUUAAUUUAAGGAUUCUUUCUGGAAGUUUGUAAUAAUUGGACUUUCUAGAAUAUUUGACUUUUAUUUCAGUUUUGGAGGUGUUUUAACUUUUAUGGCCACGUUUGACCAAAUUCACGGUUUUACUAAAAUAAAGGAUUUUCUGAAUACACGAAUUAGAUUUCCAAGAUUCAAUGCUUUUUGAAAACUUCCGCUAUAGAUUAUGUUUUGGAAAAUGAAUGAAUUAAAUAACGCUUCUAGUAACAGAUAGUACACUUGGGGUGAUUUAUUGAACGACUAAACAAAGCUUUAUUAAAAGAUCACUAUUUUAAAAACCCUUCCAUGUAACACUCUUAGAUUAGGCCACAACGUCUAGGCCAGGAUUAGGGUGUUACAUUUAAUGGUAUCAGAGUUAGGUUACAAAACUCGAGCUGUGAAUUUUGGGUUUCAAAAUUAUGUUUUGAAAAAGAACAGGUUUUCAAAUAAUUUGGAUCAUUUUGAAUAAGUAUGUGGUACACUGAGUCUCCGGCAUUGAUCCUAUAAGUACUUUUGAACUUAGAUAAAACUUUCUGAAAACACUAUAGUUAGUACUUUCUGAAACUGUACUGAGUUAGUUAAAAAAUAAAAACUUUUGAAAUAUGUUCGAACUUCUGAUAAUUUGAGCAUGAAAUAUAUGUUAAUAAACAUUGGAGCUGAUGCAUAAAAUUUUAUAAUGUAGAUAAAUUUGAAAAUAUACGAUGAGCGCUUAUGGAACUUGCGGUCAUGGUAUUCGUGGGCUCAGUGGGAGCCGUAAGGGGCUGGAGCUGAGUCUUUUUCUCUGGGCAGUAUGCCAAACUUAGAUAUGAGUAAGCCACCAGUGUCACUUGCUACUGAGACAAGGUCUCAAAGCCACUUUGGUGGGGACGACGCACUAUCCCAAGCCAUGUUGAGGGUGUUGGAGAGGGUCAUUGGACCCCAUUCUGGAUCUGUGGGCCGUAGGACGGUAACUGAACGACUCUGGUCCAAUAGAGCUGAGUUGUUUAGGGGUGUCAUUGAAGUCGCCCCUAUUGUGGUCGAGUAUUGGUUGGAGGGCACAAAGAGGAUUAUGAACGACAUCGAUUGUACUCUUAAGUAGAAAUUUAAUGGUGCAGCCUCUCUACUUCGCGAUGAGGCAUAUCAGUGAUGGUUGUCGGUUGAGGAGGGUACUCAACGGGACUGUCUGAACUGGGAUUAUUUUAAGACUACCUUUCAGGGGAAGUAUGUGGGUGCAAGCUAUCUUGAUACUUGUAGGCGUGGGUUCAUGAAUCUCACGCAAGGUGAUAAAUCUGUGGCUAAGUAUGAGGCCGAGUUUCUAAGGUUAAGCCGCUACGCUUAAGGCAUGGUGGUGACUAAAUAUGAGAAAUUCAUCUAUUUUAAGGAUAGCUUGAGGUAUAAUCUGAGGGUAUUGAUUGCUCCACAGAGGGAAUGAGAGUUUGAGUUCUUGUGGAUAAGGUGAAGAUCGCCGAGGAGAUUAAGUGCGUGGAGCGCUAAAAUAGGGAUCGUGAGUGAGGCAAGAAUAAGAGGGAUUCAGAGCCCUCUAGUUCUGUUUAGAGGGCUAUUAGAGUAGGGGUUCCUAUUACUUCUAAUAGGAUUCAGCCACGUGAUGAUUGUGGUAGGCACCAUCCGGGUGAGUGUUAGAGGAGGUUGGGGGCUUGUUUGAGGUGUUGGUCUUUGGAGCACCACAUUAGAGAAUGUUCACUCCAUGCGGAUUAGAUGCAAGCUGUAGGAUCAAGUUUUAUACAACCUUAGAGGGCAGUUCAGCAGCCAUCUAAGGGUCGUGGUCCUACUAGGGGUGGUAAUGGUAUGGGUCGAGGACAUAGAAUAUCGGGAAAAGGUGUUAGUUAGAUUGAAUCCUAAAUUAGAGUUAAGUUUGGUUUGAAUCAAGCCUUAACUUUGACCAAAUCCAACUAAAAACACGUCUAACAAUUAUCUAGUAUUGUUUUUAUGAAUUGAAUUUUAACUUGUAAUUUUCAAUUUUAUUACAAAAUUUCUUUGCGGACGAUAAGAAAAUAACAUAUUUGUAACUUCUUCAACCCGGCGUAAAGGUUAAGUCUGAAUUUGGAUUACAUCAGCCAUAAAGAUGGCCUAGCAGGAUUAUCGGAGUUUUUAAAAACAAACAUCUUUAAAACGUUUGUUUAAUUUAUAGAAAAGCUUAUUUAAUUUCCAAAUUAUUUAUUACUUGAAAUCUUAAUUACACUUUAAAAGUAGGAAGUGGUAACUAUUUAUUUUUAAUAAAAUUCGGGGUUCAUGUAUAAUUGAUUAAUAACCGUAAUUCGAAAACAUUAAAACUUAAAUUAAAUGUCAUGCAAAACAAAACAAGCUUAAAUCUAAAUCUCAUGCCGCAGUUCAAAAUUAUUUAUUGUAGUCUUAGAAAAUAAAAACAAUCAUAUAAUGAACCUAAAUUUUUUAUUUUACUUUAAUAAUGUGUCAAGGUCUUACAGAUGUCACGCCUGCGUUCAAUCUUGGUGGGUUAUCUGUAAGGAUGAAAAUUUAAGGGGGAGUGAGCUAUGACGCUUAGUGUGAGUUCAUUCACAAUAAAUUCAAUGCAAACGGUUGGUAAGGCACAUUAAAUAACAUCGCAUAAAGUAAUCACAGUCAGAUAACAGUUUAGAAUGGCGAUUUUACAAUUUAACUACCAAUAUUAUCACAAUAUUCACAGCUGUAAUUUCAGAAUAUCAAAUUUCCACAUCAUUCACAAUACUAACAUAUAUAUAAAUAUAUCAUAAUAGAAUUCCAGAUUUGUAUGCACAUGAUUUAGAAGAUGCCAUACAAUUUUGGGUUUUAACAGAAUAAAUCCUACCCCACGUUACAUAUCAUAAUGGGAGUUCCCCUAAACUCCCUUCUCCAACACACUAGGUUGUGGAUAAACCACUACUCGUCCACAGAUAAUAACUAUCAUUUGGCUGUGGACACACAACAAAUCCCCACAGUUGGAUUCUAGCUUUGGCUGUGGGUUCACAGCCAAGAGUCCUGCAAAUGAAGCCUGUUUUUGCAUGUAGAUUAUACAACCUAUACCCGCAGUUGGAAUCUGUCUUUGGCUAUGGAUGCACUGUAACACCCCAAACCCGACCUGGACGUUAUGGCUCAAUCUUGACGUAAUGCCCCAAAAUUUCUAAUUUCGUUAUUGUGAAAAUAUGACACAAAAUAUUUGUCUGCUUUAGUGGUUAUGUGUUCUGGGAGUGUUUAGGAGGUCCCAAGUUCACGCCUUCACAUGGGAAAAUUUUGGUAUUUUGAAUGAAUUAGGUAUUACUCUUAUUCAGUAGGCUUUUAUUUGAUUGUUGGGUAAAUUAUAUUAGAAUGGGCUUGCUGGUCUAGUGGUUAAAUGGUUUAUUAUUAUGGUGGAGGUCUUGUGUUCAAGUCCCUAUGUAGGCAAGGGUAUUAUUAUUAUUAUUUGCUCAAAUUUCUGGAUAGAGUUGUGUAAUAGGGGGAUUCUGAGUAGUAGAUGUGUAGUGGGAAUUAGGGGAGAAGAUUAAGGAGUUUCAGGGGUUAUCGAGAUUUUAUUUUAUUUUUUCCCAUAACCGAAUUUUGACUUUCUUUUUCCAAAAAAAAUCUGCCAUCUAUUCUUCUCCCUCUCCUCUUGUUGAAAUUCUCUUAGUUUUUUCACCUUUCUCUUCUUUUUCUUCUUCUUGAUUUUUCCCUAAUCCAUUUAUUUUUCUUCAUUUUCGCACGCGGUUAGUUUUCGCUUAGUUUCGGUAAGUGUUUCUCUUCGUUUCUAUCAUGAAUCUCCUAGCGACUAAAGUGGUAACUUUUUUCUCUGUGAUUUGGGCGUAGGGGAAGGCUCGAACUGUUGAAUUCAGUAUUCUCGUCUUAACAAUAGUUAAAUGGAGGGUUAUUGUUGGUGGUAAGUUGGGUUUCUGUUCAUUCUUAGUUGUCAAUUUGCUUGUAAAUCUGUUAAAUUGAUGUUGAGUAUCUUGAUUAUAGGCUUUGGAGUGCUUGGGGACUGUUUUAGCAUCAAACAAAACCAGGUGUGUACCCGGGACGCAAAAAAAAGGGAUUCGAUCGAAAGCCGAAAUUGUUUGCUGUUUGGACAGUAGCAGUAGGCUAACUUUGAAAAAUCGCCAUAAAUUGUGGAAAUCGAAAUAGAGGAUGAAAAAAAUAUGAAAUUAAAUCUUAUUGAGUCUAGUUUCUCAUAGAAGAACGGUGUAAGUAAUGGAAUUUUAAAUCAUGAGAUAUAAUAAACUAUGUGAGACAAGGUCAGAAUAAAUUCGGGUUCCCUUGUUCUGACUUUGGAAAAUCAUCAAAAAUUGGAUAAAAAUAAUUAGGAAUUAAAAUUUACAUGUUUAAAUUAUUAAUUAGUCUUUUUUCAAUAGAAACAAAUGGGAACUUCAUCCAAAAUUUUUACUAAGAGAUAAUUAAUUUUUAGCAAUGAAGGGUCGAAGCUGUCAAACAGCAGAACAAGGGUAAGUUUGAAGAUUUUACCAUACUUAUUGGCUGAGCCAAAAAUUCUAAAAAUUUUAUGGUAGAAAGGUAUUUGAGUCUAUUUUCAAAUACAUCAAGUGAAUUUUAAUUAGGAAUUCUUUAGCUCAAGAUAUAAAUAAUUUAGUUACAGUGAGUCAAGUAGAAAGCUUUGAAGGAACACAUAAGUAAAUUGUGAUAACAUAUAUGAAUAUUUAGCUAGCACAGGUUACAUUGAAAAUGGAUCACGUAGCCAAGGCCAAUUUGGGCUGAGUGGGCCACAUGGGCAUGUGAGCCCAUUUUUCUAAAAAAUUCUGUAAGGUUGCACGGGUCGCCCAAGUCGACUAUGGACCUACUGUAGGGUCGGUAAGCUUUACUUAGACGCCUAUAUGUGUGAUCUAUCUGGCUGAUUUCUAUACCGAGCAUGACUUAUGAUAUUUGAAUGUAUGUACUUUUAAUUACAUAAUGGCAUGACAAAUUUUGUAUGUUGCAUUGCAUCGGAGUGGGUUGAUGAUAUUUGGAGGAAGUGUCUAAAAGGCUAUUAAGCCUGUUAUCUGGCAGCUCAGCUGCAACCUUCUGAUUAUGUGCGCAUUUCAGUACAACAUGGUGUGUAAGGAUGGGUGGGUUGAUCUAACCCCCACAUGGUGUGUAAGGUUGGACAAAGAUGUGCGUAGAGGCUGGUGGGUAGGAUUCUGAUUUACUGUAUCUACAUUAUGUAUCUGAUAUGGGCCAAGGCUCUAAUGUAUUUCUGAGACUGUAUCUAAACGGGCUAAGGCCCAAACUGAUUGUGUGAUGGGCCUAGGACCCAGACUGUAUCUAACUAAAUUCUGUUGAUUAUUUGUAUGCAUGAUUUCUAUGGGAAUUACACACUGAGUUUACGAAAACUCACCCUUUCUCUAUUUAAUCUGUACAGGUAAUCCCCAGACUUGAUGGGUCAGUGCAACAAAGGAUUCGACAGUGGCCACACGUAAAUUAUGGAUUGUUUUCCGUUAAUACCUAGAAUUUAUUAAUUAUUUGGGGUUUUUGAUGUAUCUUCUGGACUAUGGACUGGUUGGCUAACAUACCUUUUUGCAUUGCAUCAUGUGCACGACAUAUUCGAAUAUUAUUGGUUUAUGCUACGUAGUGUAUUUUGUUGUAUUGAAUGGUAUCAAAAUUAAUGAUUGUCACUCGAAUGAAUUAUGACCUAUGCUCAUACACUGUUUGACAUCAAUUUGAUAAUGGCUAUGUAACGAUAUGAAAUUCCUAUAAUGGUUCUAUUUUCUUCUGUUAAAGCUAAUUAGUUUUACUGUAUUUGAUAUUUAUGUUUGUUUCAAUAAUUGUUCGACUCAUGCUGAGCUUUUCAUAAGCGCACCCCUAAUAUGUUAAACUUUUCAGGUAAACCUCGAAAUUAAGACCAGACUUGGCAUUCGAAGAAUCACCUUAGACCUUGAAUUAUUUUUCUAAUAAGUAUUAAUCAAUCUCUAAUGGUUUUCGUUUGUAAUUUUUAAUUAUAUCUAGUCUGUGGCUUGAUAACUUUUCUUCUGGGAUUUUUGCAUGCAUGGAUUACUCAAGCAUAAUAACCGGAUAAUGCAUGAUAUUAGGCUUAAGUAAAAUUUGAUAUUGUUCCCUAGAUUCCGCUGCAUUGCAAAGGAUUUGUUUUUGAAAAACAAAUUGAUAAGGUAACUAAGUUUUCAAAAUGACUUGAAAAAUGGUUUUUCCCCUGCAUUAGUUUAACAUCGAAUUUUUUUUAAAGGAGAGCAACAAGUAAAUGAUUUUUCUAAAACAACACUAUCAACAAUAAAAUGAAUUCUAAGUAUACACAACCUAAUGAAUGAAUGCUUUUAAGCUAACUUAAAGUACAACUAUGGUUUUCUCUAAAAUGAGUUUAUUUAAAGUUUUCAUAAGUAAUGUAAGUUAGCUUAGCCAUUUCGGUGGCUAAUGUAGCCUUCUCAUUCUAGCCAUAACGUCUAGGCCAGGUUUGGGAGGUUACAGUAUUGAUAGGAACUGUGGUAUAAAUUUUAUUUUGGACAUUCUUAAAUUGUUAUUUGGACUAAACUUUAGAAACUAUGGAUUUUAUACUGAGCCUAAAUUUACGAAGUUCAUGCGUGGUUUUUACGAAAAUGAAACUCAUAUGAAAUUUCAAAACCGUGAUGUUUUUAUUAACGCUCCAAUUUGAAAUUGUACAAGAAAUGUCAAUUUGAAUUAUUUUUGAAUGUUUUUUAUGCCAAUUAAAUAUUGUUUCAAAACAUAGCUAAGUAUUAUUUAAUUUCGUAAAGAUGAAGCAAACUCCGAACAAUCUAAAACUUCAAGGACUAGUUUGCAAUUUUUGUUUUUCCUCAAUUGUCUCCGGUUUGAUUCAAUUCUUGAUCUAUACAAUUAUUCCAUUCAAUUCAUCAAUAUUAAACAUUUAUACAUUAUGUCAUGUCAUGAAUGAACCUAGAUAAAUUCAUUUUUUGAUACCCUUAAAGUUUUACAUUUAUUUCAAUUUAGUCUCUAAAAUCGAAAUAGUCAUAACUUUAAAUUCUGAACUUCGGUUUGAAAAUCGACCUCAAUUUCAUUAUAGACUCUCUACUAUCCAUUAUUAUCAAAAUUUCACAUCAAUUUCACAAUUUAUUUACUUUAGUUAUUAUGUAAAAAAUUAACAACCAAACAUCACAAUUUAGUCAUUUUUCAUAAUUUAAGCUUAAAAUCUAUCAAUUUAAUACCAAUUUCUUCAAGAAAUCAACCAUGAUAACUAUAAAAAAAAUUAACAGUUUUGCAAAUUGAUACAUAGGUCAUUUAAAUCAAACUUUCAUGACCUCAGAAACACAAAAAAAAAUUAUACGAAAAUGAUUUAGAAAUGCAUACCAAUUGAGGACCGAAAGCUUGAAGCUCAAAAUGGCUUUUUCCCUUGAGGUUUUAUGUUGAUUAAAUGAUGAAGAAGAAGAAAUAAAGAUGACAACUUGCACUAAGUCACCUUUAUAUACUUAGAUUAAAUCUUAAUUAAUCAAAUUUAAUUAAUUAAAUCUUAAUUAAUUAACCUUAAUCACAAUUAAAAAAAAUUAGUAGAUGUUAACAUCAUCCUACACUAUUUGAUAUAACCAAAUGAUCUAUUUACCAUUUUGAACCUUUAGCUAAUUAGAAAUCUAUAGCGAUAAGACUUUUAAAAUUUAGUUUCUGUAUCUUAAUUAUGCAAUUAAUAGACAAAGUUGAAGGUUUAAAAUUUAAUGUUCUAUUAUACCAACUCUGUAAAUAUUCAUAUUUAAUAUUUACAGACCCGAAUUACGAAAAUGAGAUUUUGAAAUUGUAUUUUCCAAUACCACUGAAAAUCGAACAAUUACGUAACCUAUUUGCACCAAAGGGCCAAACAUGGCAAAUACUUGACAUGUAUGUCUUAAUAUCCUCAUCUAUUCUCUUCAAUAUAAUAACAUCCAAUAAUUGUUUCAUCCACUGUAACUAUCACGAAGAUUAGAUUUACCAAUACAGCCUACAAUUUGCAGAAGCGCGACAUUUUCAUUCUAGAGAAAGGUAUAAUUGAAACAAAAUUGAAAUAAAGAUUUCAAUACAGAAUCAACAGACAUUCCAGCUAAUACUUAUCAAUUAUUUGCAGCUUCAUUGCUCCAACUAAGAUGGUUUUUAGUCGAAUAUGGUAAAUGAAAUCAAUGAACACCAGCUACUUGAUGAACGAGUGAAUCAAAGUCCUGAUAUGUGCCGGCUUAUUGGUGAAAAAAUACAUGGGUUAGUUUUGCAGCAAUUCAUGAUCUUACAUUUUAUAACCUUUGCUUACAAUUAUUCACUGACUAAUCAUUCAAUGAAUGUAGGCCUCAAAUUUAGCCACUAAACUUUAUUCUUUAUUUUUAGAUACAUAUUAUUUGAUCACUUCAUACAGCCUAUUACUCAUAAUAACUUCCAAUUUCCCUUCUUUAGGUUAGUUGCAAAUGUACAGCUUUUUCUAGAAGAAGAAAAUUGUCAAGAGCCACCUGUUCAAGAGAGGCGCAAACAGAAUGUAACAAUACCUGACCUACUUACGGUACAGCCAAGUAAUCAUGUGUUUCUAUGCUAGAACAUUAAAUCAAUGACUACAAAUUUCAUGUCAUGGUUGUGUAUCAUUUAUGCCACUGAUGCUGCUAUUUUCUAUUCUAAUGCAUAAUAGGGAUUUAGUGUUUUUACCGUUAAAAUUGUGUCCUUUAAUUUUGGCUCUUUUCAAUUGUUGAUCAUGUCCACCUAUGCUUUAUUUUACUACUAUUGCUUUCUUCAAUGAUAGAUGAUUGAAUCGGUAGAAUUUUAUUAAUCCUCUACAUGUUUUAGCUUGAUAUGUGGAUCCUAAGCAUUCCUUGGAUUGUGCCCUCUUUGUUCAUUUAUUUUUUUUCCUGGAACCUUAUUACAUGUUGUAACACUCCAGUUUUUUGGAGACAUUGAAGACGACUAACUGCUGAAUUCUUUCUUCUGCAGAGGAACCAAUGGCAAGAGACUCUAAAACUCCUACUCUUUUUUAUACCUUCCUCACCUCUUUGUGACAUUAUAGCUGAAAAAUGAUGUAUGCUAAUACAUGAAAUGUUUCCUCUUGCCUUUCUUUUUGUAGUACUAAAACUACAAAUAGUGUCUGUAAAUCUCUUUUCCCGUAAUCUUAUCUUUUCCUCAUUGUAAUAGUUGGAAAACAGCUUUGUUGAAGACAAUGUCAACUACUGGGAUAAGUUACAAACACUGUUAUUGUUUAUUUUGUAGUCUAAAUUAUGAUAAUUUCUGCACAAAAUUCACAUAAAUGGUUACCCUCCCGAAGCGGAGCGAGGGUGAUGCUUACUAGUUAUUAAGAAAACAGGACCUUGUAGGGCUUAACUGUUGAAUCAAGAAAGAAAUUUCUUUUAAUGCCUUAAAAAAAAGAAAUUUCUUUUAAUGCCUUCAAUUUUUUUUAAAGCUGAUUUUUUUUUUACAAAUUAAAGUUUUGAUUGUAUGUUAAUUGCUUGAGGGAAGGUCGGAUACUUUAUUAUCCCUAUUUUUAUUUGUUAUAUAUUUUAACCAUACUGAUUUUUUUGGCCCUACAAUUUUACCAAAAAAAUCAUAUUAGCUUUCAUUUAAUUUUCGUCUCUUUUAACCCUUUAACUUGUAUUUUUUUUGUCAAAUCACCCCAAAAUGGAUCGAAAACUUUAACAUUUGUGAACUUUGAUUAUGUGACAUACACAUGAAUUGUCACAUGGAUGACAAGUCAACAUUUCUUUAAAAAAAAACUUAAAAAAUAUUAAAUAAAAUAUUUUUGAUAUUUUUUAAUGAUUUUUAAAUUAAAAAAAGUUUUUAAAUAUAUUUUAAUUUUUAAAAAUUAAUAAAACGCAGACAUGGAAAUUCACAUCUAUGUGUCACAGACCGUGGAUUAAAGCCUGUGACCAUUGCGCAUAGAACACCCCAUAGAAUUUUGGCUUUUUAUUUGGUCAAUCAUGUCCACCUAUGCUUUAUUUUUACUAUUAUUGCUUUCUUUAAUGAUAGAUGAUUGAAUCGGUAGAAUUUUAUUAAUCCUCUAUGUAAUAACCAAAUUUUUCCCGGGCCCAAUGCCAAACAAAUAAAACCCAAACCAAAUAAAUAAAAUAAGAGUCCAAAUUACAGUCCAUCAGAGCUCAAUUCAGACCAGCCCACUAUUCAAUCAGACUGGCCCAACACCCAAAUAACCUAACAACCCUAGCCCAACAAAAUCAGAAAAAUGAACAGCAAAAAAACCCUAGGUGCGCCGCACCUAGGUCUUCUGGCCUAACCGCCGUUGUUCGCCUAUCACCAGCCUCCACGCUGCCACCGCCGCAUGCGCACCAGGCCUCCUCCAUGUGUGUCUGACACCUGCAAAGAGAGUCACACGCAACAGUAGAAACAAAAACAAAAAACAAAUAGCAAAACGACAAAAAAAAUAAUGAUUAAGGAGUUCGUAAUCCGACUAUAAAAGCCCUAAUCUGUGACUUGUAAUUUUUUGACACACAUUAGAAAAUAAAAACCAAAAAAAAAAACUUUAAGGUGAUACUCAUUUCAUUUUAUUUUUGUUUUAUUUUAUUUUAUCAUUUUUAUCUUUUUAUUUCGAAAUAACAUAAAUAAAAAGGGGAGGCUGGGUUGCCGUUGCCAGAGCAUAUUUUGUGCUAAAGGGGGUUGCGCCGGAGGAAAAGAGGAAACUUUUCAGUUUCCCGCCGCCGUGAUGGCCAAACCUCUGACUGGCGCUUGGAGAAAGAAGGGGAGAGUUUGAGAGAAUUUUAGGUUUUUUGUUUAAUAAAAGUGAAAAAUGAAGAAUUCUGAAAAAAUUAAUAUUUAUAGCACCUAGAAAUGGCGUCGUUUUGGCCAGUUUCAUUUGGCCCCAAAAUGACACCAUUUAAUGGCCUAUACCGGCACAGUGACCCAACCCGGGGAAGGAUCCGAGCGUUUUGUGCUAUUGGGUAAUUUUCACAUUUGGUCCCUCUUAUUUUGUAGUGUUUUCAAAUUAGAUUUUAUUUAUUUUAAAUUUCAACUUACAUUUUUGUUUUUGUUUCACUUAGAUCCUGAACAAUGCGCAGCGUUUUGGGGGCGAGGAAAUAUUUCCAAUAUGGCCCCAUGUAAUCUGCAUAUUACACUUUAACCCCUCGUCUUGUUUAUAAUUCUAUUCUUUUCUUGUUAAUUUAGAUUCAAUUGCGAUUUAAUCUUUUGUUAAAACAUUUGUUUUCUUUAUUAAUUUAUUAACUAUUUUAUUAUUAUUUUAGUGGUAUAUUCGGUCAUAUUUUCAUUAUCUUAUUAUAUAUUAUCAUUUUGAGUUUUACUUAUAUUAUUAUUAUAAUUUAUAAUGUGUUAUUUUAUUAACUCAAUAUAACAUAUAUAUAUAUGUAUUUUUUUGUGGUUUUAUUUUUAUAAUAUAUUUUUUAAAUCCAUUUUUAUGCACUUUAUAUUUAAGUAUUUAUACAAUAAUAUUCUUAUAAUAUUUUUAUACAUGUACAAUUUAUAUAUAAUUAUUUCUUAUACGUGUAUAUAUACAUAAUAAAUCAUCGAUUACAUGUUAUUAUAUUAUUUCCACUUAUUUCAUAUAUAAUUUAUUUCUUUUAAAAUACUCUAUUAUAUACUUCAUUUAUUUCAACCUUUUAUGUGUAUCAUUAUAGAUAUACUAUUAUAUGAAGUUUUUCAAUCCCUAUGCAUUACUUAUUUAAAUUAAUAUAUGUAUAUUAUUUUAUGUAUUUAGAUUUAUUUUGUAUAUAAUAUCUACUUUUAAAUUUAUUUGGAUACUAUUAUUUUAAGUGGAAUUUAUUUUUAUCUAUAUUUUUUUUAUUUAUUUCAAUUUUUCAUAUAUGUAUAUAUUAUUUAUUUUAAAUUUAUUUUAAUCAUAAUUUCCCUUCUUUCAUAUUUCUUAAGUUUAAAAAAAAACUUGUACAAUUUCAUUUGGUGCUUUGAUUGUUUUUUAAUUCAUUAGCCUUUGAAUGUUAGCAUAAUACAUUAUGUGAGAUUAUUGCUCUUAUACGUAUUAUAUUGCUUAUUUUUAUUUACUAAUUAUUCGUAGAUCAUUAGAAUACAUUUUGGUUUACAAAUUAUCGCUUUGUAUUGUACAUUAAUAUUCAAUUGUUUUUUUAUUCGUUCGAAAGAUUACGUUUAAUAUCAUUUAAGUAUCAAAAUCGAUUUAUUCAAAAACUUUCAAGAUAACGUAAUAUUCUGUAUUUGGGAUAUUCGAGAGAAUUGAGCCUUAAUGUAUUGGGUUCCAAUUUUCCUCGUUGAAUCUAGAUAAUCGAGAAUAAUCUUCAAUCAAAAUACAUACAUAAAAAGCUCAUUAUCGGGAAUUCGAUACAUUGUGUCCUAACGCAUUGGAUACGACAUGUUGUUUUCUCGAGAUGAGGAUUUUUCUAAAAAAAAUAAUAAAGGCAAUAUUCCGUAUUUGGGAAAUUUGAGAGAUCGUGCCCUAACUUACUGGGUUUCGAUUUUUCUCCUUUAACCCAAAUAAUCAAAUAUCCUUCUCAAAAUGCAUAGGUUUUAAAAGUCAAAAGAUAAACUUAAUUUUGAAGAUUAAGAAUGUUGCGCCCUAACUCACUGGGUGUGACAUUUUAUCUCUUUGAAAUAAGAGUGUCUUAUCAUUUAAUUCAAUUUAUUCAAGGUUAAAAGGAUCGUAUUUUAAAACCUUUUCAAAAUUUCAACACUAAGACAUUAAGUAAUCAACUAGGUACCAAUUUUUGGGCGUUACGAGGGUGCUAAUCCUUCCUUGUACGUAACCGACUCCCGAACCUAUUUUUUUGAAUUUCGUGGACCAAAAUCAUUAUUUUAAUAAAAUCAAACCAUUUAUUAAAAACAACCACUUUUCGAGGUGACCCGAUCACACUUCAUCGAAAAAGAUCGGUGGCGACUCCCAUAUUCAUUUUCAUUUUCAAAAUCCAAAUUGACCCUGUUUUAUCAAAAAAUGGUGUCAACACUGCACAUGUUUUAUCUUGACAUAUGGAUCCUAAGCAUUCCUUGGAUUUUGCCCUCUUUGUUCAUUUAUUUUUUCUUGGAACCUUAUUACAUGUUGUACCAUUCCAGUUUUUUGGAGACAUUGAAGACGACUAACUGCUGAAUUCUUUCUUCUGCAGAGGAACCAAUGGCAAGAGACUCUAAAAAUCCUACUCUUUUUUAUACCUUCCUCACCUCUUUGUGACAUUAUAGCUGAAAAAUGAUGUAUGCUAAUACAUGAAAUGUUUCCUUUUGCCUUUCUUUUUGUAGUACUAAGACUACAAAUAGUGUCUGCAAAACUCUUUAGAGAAAAACAAAUGUCUGUAAAUCUCUUUUCCCGUAAUCUUAUCUUUUCCUCAUUGUAAUAGUUGGAAAACAGUUUUGUUGAAGACAAUGUCAACUACUGGGAUAAGUUAUUGUAAGCAUCUUUUCUUUAAGUGUUUCAUAUUAAAAACAAACACUGUUAUUGUUUAUUUUGUAGUCUAAAUUAUGAUAAUUUCUGCACAAAAUUCACAUAAAUGGUUACCGUCCCGAAGCGGAGCGAGGGUGAUGCUUACUAGUUAUUAAGAAAACAGGACCUUGUAGGGCUUAACUGUUGAAUCAAGAAAGAAAUUUCUUUUAAUGCUUUCAGUUUUUUUAAAGCUGAUUUUUUUUACAAAUUAAAGUUUGGAUUGUAUGUUAAUUGCUUGAGGGAAGGUCGGAUGCUUUAUUAUCCCUAUUUUUAUUUGUUAUAUAUUUUAGCCAUAAUGAUUUUUUUGGCCCUACAACUUUACCAAAAAAAUCAUAUUAGCUUUCAUUUAAUUUUCGUCUCUUUUAACCCUUUAACUUAUAUUUUUUUGUCAAAUCACCCCAAAAUGGAUCGAAAACUUAACAUUUGUGAACUUUGAUUAUGUGGCAUACACAUGAAUUGUCACAUGGAUGACAAGUCAACAUUUAGUUUUUUUUUUAAAAAAAAAAACUUAAAAAAUAUUAAAUAAAAUAUUUUUGAUAUUUUUUAAUGAUUUUUAAAUUAAAAAAAGUUUUUUAAUAUUUUUUAAUUUUUAAAAAUUAAUUAAAUGCAAACAUGGAAAUUCACAUCUAUGUGUCACAGGCCGCGGAUUAAAGCCCGUGACCAUUGUGCAUAGAACACCCCAUAGAGGUCAACUUAUUAAACAAGGUUCAUUUGACCCGCAUGAACUGGCCCGACCCAUGGAACCCGUGGAGAAGCCCAUCUACUUGAAGCCUUGGUGGUCUAGUGAAAUAUAGUUUAAUUUUUUUUAAACAUAGGGUAAGGGAAGAAGAAUGCCUUAAAAUUAAUUUUUGUUAGAAAACUAAUAAGAAUGAGUUUGUUGGUUUAGUGUUAAGGCCUUAUCCUAUCCAUAGAUCCCAAGUUUGAAUCCCUUGGUGAGCAUUCAACCAAAAUAUUUUUAUUUCCUUGUUUUUACCACACCAAAAGUGACAAAUUUUAAAAUAACCCAGCCCAAAAACUAUUUUUUUUUAAUUUUAGUCCUUAAUUUAAAAUUUUCCCAAACCUACAUAAAUUUUUAAAACCUAUUCCAAUUAGGAAAAAUAAGUAUUAUAAAUAGACAAUUUCAAAACAAACUCUAGAAUUUCAUCUAGCAAAUUUUCAAGAAAAAAUCCAUAAACACUUUCUUUUCCAAAUCAAACUUUCAAGCUAAAGAAAUCAGAAUCUUCAAAAUCAUCCCUCAAGUAGAUCUUCAAUCUUUUCUCCAGCACUAAGGUUUCUAAGUAUUCAAAAUAGGUGUGGGAACAAAACCUAAAUCUUUGUGUAUAAUUGAAUCUAAUAGCAAGUAGAGAACCAGUAUAGGCUAACCCUAGGAGAAACCCCCUGUAUGUGCAAUCAUGUAGGUGUGAGCCUAUAGAUGCAAAACCCCUUGUACAUGAAAACCCCAUGCAUGCAAACCCUUACGUGAAACCCCCCUUUCAUGCGAACCCUGUAUGAAUACCAUGUGAACCCUAGAUUAUAGUUGCGAACCCUAGGUUGUUAUGUGGAUACCCAUACUGUGAACCCAAGUGCACAAACAUAUAGGAAUAUUCAUGCGAGCCCCCUUGCAUGCGAACCCUAGUUAGUGUACAUACGGGUCUCAUAUUUACAUGCAAACCACUACUAGUGCGAGUCAAUUAUAUGAUAUCACAUACGAACCCUACUAUUACAUGCAAACCUUUAUACAUGUUAUAUUCGAACCUUUUUUUGUUAAAACAGGUGAGACUUGUCUAGUAUUACAUACGACCUAAUUUGCGAACUCAUAUGUUAAAAGUAUGUGAACCUAUCUAUGUUUGUUAUGCGAGCUCACAUGUUAGCAGUAUGUGAACCUAUAUAUAUCAGUUAUGCAAACUCACAUGUUAGCAGUAUACGAACCAUAAGUCUGUUAUGCAAACUCACACAUUGGCAGUAUGCGAACCCUAUAUACACCUUUAUGCAAACUCACACAUUAACAGUAUGCGAACCCUAUAUACGCCUCUAUGCAAACUCACACGUUAGCAGUAUGCGAACCCUAUAUACGCCUUCAUGCAAACUCAUAUGAUUUGCAGCAUGCGAUCUCUAUAUUUAUGCGAACCCUUGUAAUAAAAAAUAUGCGAACCUUAACUUGCGAACCCUUGGCAGGAACCCUGCACUCGCAAAGCCUUCUUCCGGACCUGUACAUAUGCUAGAUAACCAAGCCUAUUAGUUUACAUUAAAUCACUGUACAUAUGAGACUGUUUGUUUACUUGCACAAGUUAUAUGUGUAUUUACUAUUCGAUACAAGAGUACCUAUCGACCUUUUGAUGAGAAUUCAGAGAUUAACGAUGAUAAUUCCAACAAUCAGUGUAAGAACGAGUUAAAUCGAGAGUUGAUGUAAUUUAAGGUAAUAAAGUUAAUUUUUCAGUAAUAAAUGUAAAAUUGUUAUGGAAAGAAACGAUGGGUAAAAAAAAAUGAGAGUUUUAAAUAAAAGAGAGGAAAACUUCAAUUUAGGGUUGAAGAGGAACUAAAAAUUUACGUGAAAUUAGGAAAAAAUAUAAAAUACCUAGGAUUAAGAAAUUUGAGGGGGUUGAAUGGUAAAAUACCCUUUUUUCUUAAAAAUGAAAAAAAAUGGAAAUGGGUAUUAAGUUUGGCACGACUUGAACCUUGGAAGCAAAGGAAAAAAUUACAAAGGCCUUACCAUUUGGGUUGCUACCCACAUUUGGCAUUUUUUUACACUAUUUAAAAUAUAUCCUAGCUUAGUUUUGAUCAUAGGUUGUUGAAAAAAAAAAAAAGGGGUAAGAGUGUGGCUUCAACCUUAAUUCUCUAGUUAGUAUACUAAGCUCUGAACCAUUAAGAUUAAGGCCCAUGUCUUAGUCAAUUAAUUCAUCUAACUCUAUAUAUUUUGAGGUGUUACAUCUUGAAUUAGAAAAACCCAUAAAAUGCAUGUAGACUUGUAUUGCUCGGUACUUGGUAGUAUAUAUGUAGACUUGUAUGUUGAUUAAGCUAGCUUAAUUAAGACCAAUGUGUUAGACUUGUCUAUGCAUUGAACAAUCUAGAAGAAAAUGAAGAAAAAGACUCUGAAAACACUUGAAAACAGAUAAAACUCAUAUGUCAUCGACUAGUUAAACUAUGAUCACCCAUAAUAGACCUUGUAUUUGACUUUUUGUUGAGGGAGAAGUUUCGUGAGUGUUGUUUGUCAGGGAGUCAGUGUUGCCCUAAACAACUAAAGGUAUUGUCCCCAUGUCGAGAUUUUACCCCCAGCCUCUGCAAAAUAAUCAUGAAGAAUACGUGCGAAGGAAUUCAAACACCAACCAAUGCAUGUGUAGCCUUUACCUUCCCACUAUCUUUGGGAACUCAUAAGGAUAAAAUCCCAACAAGAGAAUUGUAUCAGAGGGGUCUGUCAACACAAUGAAUGAAAUUUCAUACUUUUUUUUUAAUGAAAGUAAAUAUCAUAUUUAGUUAGAGAAAAGCAACGAAAAAUCUAACAAUAAAAUCCUUAGCAAAAGAUUAAAACACAAUUGUACCAUAAAUUAAAUAAGAAAUUAAAAAAAUUCAAAUCUAACAAAGACAGUAACUUGAUUCCUCAAAGCUACCACAAACAGUAAUUCAUAGGAAGGCCUGCUGCUCAUUUAUAACACAAACUUCAUGGUGACGGAUACCAACAUACCAUCAACUGAAGUCAUAGUUGACGAGGUUGUAGUUGGCCGAGGUGAUGGUGACAAAAGCCACUCUGGAAAAAUAUUAAUAGCAAUCGCCCUCCAAUUAAUGAGAAUUUAUAAAGUGACCUAAUUAAAUGGUAGCAGUUGUCCAUAAGUGUCAUAUCUGUUGUAAGGCAUGAGCUCAAACCCUACCAAACUCAAAUGAUCAAAUUUCCUUGGUAGGUGGUCAUACGUCACGUACCGUUUGUCCCAACAAGGCGCUCCCACUCUGUUGAACCUCUCAUCUCUUUAGGUAGCUUUAGGCACUUGAGAUCUUUACAAAGUCGAGAGGUAAAAUUAUUGGAAAAAAAAACUCGGUUUGAAAAUGGUUUUCUUGCACAGUAGAAAAAUAAAAUUUUGAAAAUUGACUUGGUUUGUGAUAUUUAUAACAAAAAAAAACCUUAACUGAAUUCAUACAUGUGUUUUUGGAUAAGUGGAUCCUUGAUGUUUUCAGGCUUUCAACCAAACGAUCUUUUGCACUAUUCUCGUACCACGAUCUGCUUCGAGUGUGGCCUCGAACCAAUUGAAUCAAAACACAAAACUAGAAAAGGUUUUCCUUUUUGGGUGAAAACCAAAAUUCUCUCUUCUUUAAUAGAAAUCGGUAAAAUUAUUAUUAUGAAAAAUAUGUUUAUAAGUUGAGAAUAAAUUCUCUCUAUUUUUCGACAGAAUAAAAAUCUCUGAAAAGUUGUGUAAAUAGCUCUACUGGUGCCAUUUAUUUAUAAGAAGAGAAAGUAGAACCCUUGUAGAGUUGUAAAAGUUUAUAUCCACUAGAAAAAUAAUAUCCUAGCCUAUCUAGGAUAUAGGGAGCAACAACCCUAGUUAAUGAUACUAGGGUUUUGUCGUCCCACCUCCUUAUAUGAGGGGUUUUAGGCCUCUCUCACAUCAGGUCCAAGUACAAGUAAUUCUUAAAUAUAAAUUUGAAUUUGAUAUAUUGAUUACAUAUGAAUUUAUAUAUUGUGAGUAAAAUUUUUAUUUGAUAUAUUAAUAAUGUAUAAAUUUAUAUAUUGUUAAUACAUCAUAUGUUUAAAAAAUCUAAUAAUUAUAUAUUAUUUUCAAUAAUUUUUAAAUUUAUUAAUUGAUUUAUUGGUAUAUUAAUAUUAUUUAUUAGUAAUAUGUAAAUUUAUACCCUGUCAAUUUAUGAAAUAACAUUUAGUGAGUGGAAUAUAUAUAAAAGAAGAUAUUCUAAAUCUUUCUAAGAUUUCUAAUUCUUCCUUAAAAUAGAAAAAGAAAUAAAUUGUUGAUAUAGAUAUGUUGAUAAGAUUUUCAUGUAGGGCUUUUCUGUAAUUCAUGAUUUUGUUACAUGCAUAAAUUGUAAUUGUGAUAUUUUAUAUUUUAUUUAUAUAAAUCAUGUUAAAUUUGAUUUAAAUUCCUUUUUUAAUUAUUUAUUCUUUUAAGAAAUUUCAAGUAUUCAAUAAAUAUUAAUGUAUACUUUUUCUUAAAUUGAUAUAAUAGUGAUAUCAGAUUAGUUUAAAAUUUUGCGUGUAUGACAAGUACAAUUAUAUCGAUAGAUUCAAUAGUCGGAUUAUUCAAAUAUUACUCCUACAAAUAUAUAUUUGAAGAAGUAUAAACUGCUUUAAUUUUACACUGGUAUAAGUAGAUCUCUCUCUUACAUCUGUUGUAUAUAUGAAAUUUUGAUUUUGAUUCAAACGUACUCAUUUAAAGAAAUAAAUAUAUCAAUUUAUUUUUAUAUUGAAUAAGUAUAAUUAUUUGGAUAUGCAAUAUAUAGAUGUAAAAUGAUGGUAUAUAAAUAACGAUGUUAGAUGUUUGUGAAAAUUGAAUCAAAUCAAUAUUUCAUGUAUAAAAUUGCACAAUGGACCAAAGUUCAUGUACAAUUUUGAUCUUUAUAUCUGAAAUUUAUUAAUGCAAAUUAUUUUCCAAAAGAUCACAUUGAGUAAGUUUAAUUUAAAUUUCAAUAUUUAAAUUUUUUUCUCAUAUAGAAAUAUAAUUUUUUUAAAAGAAGUGUAUACUAAUUGUUGAAAGAUUUUCGACUCUUUUGGAAAGUCUUCGAAGUGGCAUAUUUUGAAGAUGGUGGACCCUCAACACGUCCAAUAUUAUCAUUGGUUAAGGUUUUUGUUGGAUCUAGUGUCCUAAGUGUAGUACUUUUCAUCAAUAUACAGUUGUAAAUUUUUUUAACAAAUUGGUUAAUAAAACAAAUUUAUUGAUUAUAUUAAUAUACUUUAUAUAAUUGUCCUAACAUAGUUUUUGCACGCAAAGCAAAAUGGAAGCAAAUGUUGCUCAUUGGUUGCCUAAAUAUUUAAUUAAUACUAAGCGGUAUUAUGUGUAUAAAAAGACAGCUUGUAUUAGUAGACAAACCUAAACAUGUCCUUAGCAUAAUUGGAAAUUAGUAAAUUGAUUGAAAGACUAAUAUGUCGUCUAUCAAGUGUAUUUGGGGAAAUGCCUUGUCUUGGGCAUCGAAACGGAUGACUCCCAAAAGGUAGAGACAUAGAUGUGACUGACUGGACUGGUAGUAAAUUGGAUAGGACACAAACAGAAUAGAUCCUGAAUUCGUUUAUGGACUUAUUCACUUGUGAUGUCCAUAGUGUGGCAUACAUAAAUCUUGAAUGGAUAGCGGAGUACGUAUGUGUGACUUUUACACUUUGAUGUAAGUAAAAACAUAAGUUCAAUUAGAUAAGGAACCAGAAUCUGGUACAUUUGGUUUACGACUUCUAUAGUAUGUAGCAUCAUUUAUAAUAGUGAAAUUCAUAGCGCAAAAAAUGGGUAAAUGAUAUCCUCUCAUUGACAUUACAUGGUUAAUGAAAAGUAAACGUGGCCACGGGUUGUCCGUCUUUGUGAUGGAAACUUGAUCACUAAUUGAUAAUGAUUGAUUUUUCACGAAAGAAGAUGUAAUGGCUACCAUGAGAUAAAAUAUGAUCAUAUUAGGAGAACAAAUAUUAUCCCAAAGAGAUCAAGGAUAUCCUAUGAGGGUAACACACUAAUGACAAGGUUAUUGGACGAGCAUUAAGUAGUUGCUUUCGUAAUGGUAUGUCGUUAGGGAUAUUUCAUUCACGACACUAUAGUGGAAUGACUUCGUGACUAAAUGAUUUUAUAAUUAAUAGGUGAAAAAAUAGAAUUUAAUUAUAAAUCAUUUGAGCCUCAAGUUUAUAUGUCUACUCGGUCCCCCAACUGUUAGUUCAUUGAAACCAAAAAUUAAUUGCACGUUUGAAUGGAAAUCAGCGAAAUGGAUAGAAAAAGAGAAAUGAGAAACAUUCAGGAAUGAUUAUGGUUUCCUCUAAAAUGGAGAAAUGGAAUAAUUUGAAAAUGAAUGUAGGUUUCCAAAAAUGGAAAUAGAAAUGAAAAUGGAAACUUGCAAUUUUAUAUAUGAUUACUUAAAAAAUGAUGGAAGAAUGAGUUUAUAUUUUUGGACUAUUUUGAAGCUCGAAAAUGAAAAUAAAUCAUUCAGUCAUAGUGAACAUAUUGAGUUGUGUCAUAUUAAACGAAUUUUCUUGAAAUUUUAUUGGAGGUAAAAUUGCCAAAAUUUUACUGGGUAAAAUUGUCGUGAGAAAAUAAUUUAAUAUGUAAAUAUUAAAAUUUAUUUUGGAAAUAGAAAAAUUGAAUUGGGUUGGACCAUAUUACAAAGUACUAGAUCAAAAAGGCCCAGAAAGUACUCGUACUUGGACCCGAUGUGAGAGAGGCCCAAAACCCCUCAUAUAAGGUGGGACGGCAAAACCCUAUUAACUAGGGUUGUCGACCCUUAUAUCCUAGAUAGGCUAGGAUAUUAUUUUUCUAGCAGAAAUAAACUUUUACAACUGUACAUGGGUUCUACUUUCUUCUCCUAUAAAUAGAUGGCACCAAUAGAGCUAUUUGUACAACUUUUGAGAGAUUAUUAUUCUACCGAAAAGUAGAGAGAAUUUAUUCUCAACUUAUAAACAUAUUUUUUAGAAUAACAAUUUUACCGAUUUCUAUUAAAAAAGAGAGAAUUUUCGUUUUCACCCUAAAAGGAAAACCUUUUCUAGUUUUGUGUUUUGAUUCAAUUGGUUUGAGCCCACACUCGAAGCAGUUCGUGGUACGAGAAUAGCGCAGAAGAUCGUUUGGUUGAAAGCCUAAAAACAUCAAGGAUUCACCCAUCUAAAAACACAUGUAUGAAUUCGGUUAAGUUUUUUUUGCUACAAAUAUCACAAACCGAGUUGAUUUUCAAAAUUUUAACUUUUGAUGUGCAAGAAAACCAUUUCCAAACUGAGUUUUUUUUCAACAGUUUUAUCUCUCAACUUUGUAAAGAGCUCAAGUGCCUAAAGCUACCUAAAGAGGUGACAGGUUCAAUAGAGUAGGAGUGCCUUGUUGGGACAAACGGUACGUGAUGCAUGACCACCUACCAAGGAAAUUUGAGUAUUUGAGUUUGGCAGGGUUUGAGCUCAUGCCUUACAACAGAUAUGACACUUAUGGACAACUGCUACCAUUUAAUUAGGUCACUUUAUAAAUUCUCAUUAAUUGGAGGGCGAUUGCUAUUAAUAUUUUUCCAGAGUGGCUUUUGUCACCAUCACCUCGGCCAACUACAACCUCGUCAACUAUGACUUCAGUUGAUGGCUACACUUUGCCAGCUAUAGACCUCAUCAAUACAUAUAUGCCUAGUACAUGAUACUUCUAAUAUACCUCGUUAGUGAAAGAUGUUGGAUCCUUCUAUGCAUGGAUCACACGUAGGGUACUCUUGCUUAGGAAUGGCAAUAGGUUAGUAUCUACAUUUCUUGAAUUAUUAGAAUUUGGAUAUGCAUAUUUGCUUAAAAAUCAAAAUUUUUUUAUUAUCUAUAAAUCAUCUGAGUAUUACUAUCUAAAUUUGGCUUAAUUUAAGUACUAUUAUCUGUCAAAUAUCUGAAUCCACAAAAAAAGGGCAAUUUUAAAAUUUUCAAUCAUUUUUUGGAUAUCCAAAUUCACGAAAAUUCAAAAUUGAAUCCACCAAAUUUUUUUAUAUAUAAUCAAAACUAUACAUAUUUCGUGACUAGUUUAUUUAGAUAUUGAAAUUCCAAUCUACAUCUGCUAUUCGAAUAAGUAAUGUUGUAACACCUUAAAUAAUUUAAGUUUGUUUUUGUGAAAUUUAACACAAAAUGUGUACCUGCUUCAGUGGUUAAGUGUUCUAGGUGUGUGUGUGAGGUAUUGGGUUCAAUUCCCACUUUUGGCAAAACUUUGUUAUUUUAUAUCCAAGCCUAACUCUUAUUGAGUGGGCUUAUGUUAAUUGUUUGUUAAUCCAUAUCAGAAUAAGCUUGUUGGUUUGAGUGGUAAGGAGUUGGUGUGUAGGAGGUCUUGUUUUUGAAUCCCUACGUGAGUGUAGGUAUUAAUUUUUGCUCGGUUGUCUGAUAGAGUUUGAGUGGUCUUGAAAGUCUGAGGUUGUUAAGGUUGAGUGUUAGUCUGAAGUUAGGAUAUUGUGAGGGGAUUUUUAUGUUGAUUAUUAUUAUUUUAUUUUAUUCCUUUUUCAAAUUUUCCUCUCUCUUUCCAAAAUUUCCCUUUAAUGUUAUUCUUCAAGUUUUUUUUGUUGUCUCUGAUAUUUUUCCCCCUUUUCAUUAAAUCUUUAUUUUGUUCUUCUUUUUUGAUUAUGUUCGUCAACCUAUCAUUCGAUCGUGCCAUUGGAGUUGUCGGGUUAUCUAAUCGGUUGGUAAGUAAAACCUUGCUUCCCUUUAACUUUUGAUUUGGGAUUAUAGUGAUUUCAAUAUGUAGCAAUUGAUUAGUGGAACUUCGUGUUUAGGAGAAGAUUAUGGAGCAAUGAAUUGCACUCCAACAGUUUAGUGUGUAUUGAAGUGGUUUGUCAUCGACGGUAAGUCAGUUUCGUGUUGUUUCUUGUUGUCAAAUUCAUUAAUCAAACUACUAAAUCAAUGUUGGGUACUUUAAUUUUAGGAUUCGGAAGGCUCGGGAGUAUUUUUGCAUUAAAAUCGUAAUAGGUGUGUCCCCAAAACACAGAAAGUCAGGUUUCGAUAAAAGUCAAAAAUGCAUUUUGUCGAUGCGACAAGGGCAUGUGCCUGGUCGUGUGGCUAGUCCUGUGUGAGACACGGCCAUGUAUUUGACGAGGGUGUGGCUGUGCGCAAGCCACGGUCAUGUGGUAGUGUAAGUGUGGCUGUGUAGGCCAUACGGGCUAGGCCAGUCUAGGUUUGUGGGCCUACACAGGCAUGCCACACGGACGUGUAGGCCCAUACGGCCAUGUAGGCCCACAAUUUUGAGAUUUUCCCUUAGGUCGCACGGUUCGUUUCGAACGAUUGUGGACCUACCAUAGGGUCGGUAAGGGCUAAUCAAACCCUAAAUUAUGUGAAAUGAUAUUUUGAUCGUUCGCCUUGUGUAGGAUGUCAAUAUGUACAUCUGUUUUAUUUACGUAUAUAUAUGCUAUCUGUAUAUGAGCAUGUUAUGCAUGAUAUUACUGUAUCUGUUAUUUCUAUAUUAUGUAUCUGUAAUUGGGGUGGGUUUUGUAUAUGUAGAGAAAGUGAUCUGUACGAUAACACUUCCAUUAUAUUUUGACAGUUGACUGCAUAUUAUUUGUAAUGUGUCGCAUUGACACUAUAUGGUGUGUAGGGAUGGGUGGGUGCUUUUAACCCCAUAUGGUGUGAUGGGAUAGUCGAAGAUGUUGUGUAGAGGAUGGGGGUAGGAUUCUGUAUAUCUGUACUACUUAUCUGAUUUUGUUAUCUGUAUCUGGAAUGGAUAUAAGUCCGGAUCUUGAUCUGACUGUAUAUAAGACUUCUAUUUGUAUUGCAUGUCUAUUUUUGUUAGGUUACACAAUAAGUUUACGAAAACUCACAUCUGUUUGUCUGUUCUGUUUAGGUCUAUAGACUUAGGCGGAUCAGUGUGACGGAGCCUCACAGUAACCACGAGAUUGUAAACUAUUUAAGAUUACGGUUUUUAUUUAAUUUAAGGAUUCUUUCUGGAAGUUUGUAAUAAUUGGACUUUCUAGAAUAUUUGACUUUUAUUUCAGUUUUGGAGGUGUUUUAACUUUUAUGGCCACGUUUGACCAAAUUCACGGUUUUACUAAAAUAAAGGAUUUUCUGAAUACACGAAUUAAAUUUCCAAGAUUCAAUGCUUUUUGAAAACUUCCGCUGUAGAUUAUGUUUUGGAAAAUGAAUGAAUUAAAUAACGCUUCUAGUAACAGAUAGUACACUUGGGGUGAUUUAUCGAACGACUAAACAAAGCUUUAUUAAAAUAUCACUAUUUUAAAAACCCUUCCAUGUAACACUCUUAGAUUAGGCCACAACGUCUAGGCCAGGAUUAGGGUGUUACAUUUAAUGGUAUCAGAGUCAGGUUACAAAACUCGAGCUGUGAAUUUUGGGUUUCAAAAUUAUGUUUUGAAAAGAACAGGUUUUCAAAUAAUUUGGAUCAUUUUGAAUAAGUAUGUGGUACACUGAGUCUCCGGCGUUGAUCCUAUAAGUACUUUUGAACUUAGAUAAAACUUUCUGAAAACACUAUAGUUAGUACUUUCUGAAAUUGUACUGAGUUAGUUAAAAAAUAAAAACUUUUGAAAUAUGUUCGAACUUUUGAUAAUUUGAGCAUGAAAUAUAUGUUAAUAAACAUUGGAGCUGAUGCAUAAAAUUUUCUAAUGUAGAUAAAUUUGAAAAUAUACGAUGAGCGCUUGUGGAACUUGCGGUCAUGGUAUUCGUAGGCUCAGUGGGGGCCGUAAGGGGCUGGAGCUGAGUCUUUUUCUCUGGGCAGUAUGCCAAACUUAGAUAUGAGUAAGCCACCAGUGUCACUUGCUACUGAGACAAGGUCUCAAAGCCACUUGGCUGGGGACGACACACUAUCCCAAGCCAUGUUGAGGGUGUUGGAGAGGGUCACUGGACCCCAUUCUGGAUCUGUGGGCCGUAGGACGGUAACUGAACGACUCUGGUCCAAUAGAGCUGAGUUGUUUAGGGGUGUCAUUGAAGUCGCCCCUAUUGUGGUCGAGUAUUGCUUGGAGGGCACAAAGAGGAUUAUGAACGACAUCAAUUGUACUCCUAAGUAGAAAUUUAAUGGUGCAGCCUCUGUACUUCGCGAUGAGGCAUAUCAGUGGUGGUUGUCGGUUGAGGAGGGUACUCAACGGGACUGUCUGAACUGGGAUUAUUUUAAGACUACCUUUCAGGGGAAGUUUGUGGGCGCAAGCUAUGUUGAUACUUGUAGGCGUGGGUUCAUGAAUCUCACGCAAGGUGAUAAAUCUGUGGCUAAGUAUGAGGCCGAGUUUCUAAGGUUAAGCCGCUACGCUUGAGGCAUGGUGGUGACUAAAUAUGAGAAAUUCAUCUAUUUUAAGGAUAGCUUGAGGUAUAAUCUGAGGGUAUUGAUUGCUCCACAAAGGGAACGACAGUUCGCAGUUCUUGUGGAUAAGGUGAAGAUCGCCGAGGAGAUUAAGUGCGUGGAGCGCUAAAAUAGGGAUCGUGAGUGAGGCAAGAAUAAGAGGGAUUCAGAGCCCUCUAGUUCUGUUUAGAGGGCUAUUAGAGUAGGGGUUCCUAUUACUUCUAAUAGGAUUCAGCCACGUGAUGAUUGUGGUAGGCACCAUCCGGGUGAGUGUUAGAGGAGGUUAGGGGCUUGUUUGAGGUGUUGGUCUUUGGAGCACCACAUUAGAGAAUGUUCACUCCAUGCGGAUUAGAUGCAAGCUGUAGGAUCAAGUUUUAUACAACCUUAGAGGGCAGUUCAGCAGCCAUCUAAGGGUCGUGGUCCUACUAGGGGUGGUAAUGGUAUGGGUCGAGGACAUAGAAUAUCGGGAAAAGGUGUUAGUUAGAUUGAGGCAAGGCAGCCUGCACUGGUUUAUGCUACUCGAUGCCGAGAGGAUAGAGACGCUCCUGAUGUUAUCACAGGUACUUCUUUAUUUUUGGUGUUCCAUAUACUGCUCUGAUAGACAUAGGUUCUACUCAUUCCUAUGUAGGUAGUACUAUUUCUAAAAAUUUAGGGAUUUUUGGUGAGGGUACUUCUAGUGAAAUUAUUGUACUGAGUUCGUUGGGGCAGUCUGUUCAAGUAAGUAGGCUUUAUAGGAAUGUAACUUUGGAAGUACAAGGGAUUGUGUUUUCGGCAGAUCUGAUGGAGUUACUGUUUAGGGAGUUUGACUUAAUUUUGGAUAUAGAUUGGUUGGUUGAGCUUCGAGUUAGCUUGGAUUGCACGACUAAGAGGGUCAGUCUAAGGGCUGUGGAUGAAAGAGAGAUAGUAGUGAUCGGUGAGCAUCGAGAUUAUCUACUUAAUGUGAUCUCUGCUAUUGUGGCUGAAAAAUUGGUUCAGAAAGGGUGUGAGGCGUAUUUAGCUUACGUCAGUGUUCCAGUUUUUGGGGACUCUUCUGUCCGGGAUAUCAGAACAAUAAGGUAAUUUUUGGAUGUAUUUCUUGAGGAAUUAUCGGGUUUACCUCCGAAUUGAGAAGUUGAGUUCGAUAUUGAGCUUCUACCAGGUAUAGCUUCAGUGUCCAUCGCUCCCUAUCGAAUGGCAUCGAAGGAGCUUACAGAGCUUAAGGCUCAACUUCAAGAGCUUUUGCAUUGUGGUUUCAUCUAUCCUAGUGUGUCUCUAUGGGGGGCACCGAUUCUGUUUGUAAAGAAAAAGGAUGGUACCACAAGGAUGUGUAUUGACUACCUGCAGUUGAAUAAACUAACAGUAAAGAAUAAGUAUCCACUUUCGAGGAUUUAGGACUUGUUUGAUCAGUUCCGAGGGGCUGCAGUGUUUUCAAAAAUAGACCUUCGUUCUGGGUAUCAUCAGCUUAACAUUAGAUUUUCAAAUUUAAAAAUUAUUUUUUUUACAGCUGCAUAAUUAAUAAGAUAUCAAUUUUGAGUGCUGUAGAAGUGUUAUAACCUUCUCAACGCAUAACCAACUCUUGAAUUCACUUUUUUCUCUAAAAUUCUACAUAGAACACAAAUUUAUUUUUUAAAAGAAUUUUAAAUCUCACAAUUUUUUUAGGUGAUUCACCAAAGAAUAAAAAGAUAGGAGGUGAUUCCUCCUUUUUCAUAAAACCUUGUGCUUUUGCAAACACCAAAUUAUUGCUAAGCUUUACAUUAAUAGACAUGAUUUAUUUGUUCGUUAUUACUAUUUCUAUGAUUAUAAUACUAAACUUAUCGGACUACAAUCAUAACCAUGUUUAUUAUAAUUCAAUAAAAAGAAAUAAGUGUUGGGUGUAAUGGCAAGGUUCAUUACACUCUUAAUAAGAGAUCAGGGUUUUGGACAAAGGAAGAAUAUGAUUCGAAUUUUGGAGAUGCCAUUCUUAAAAUGAGCAACCACGAAGCCCGAUUAUGAACCAUAAAAUGAACAAGAAAAGUACAAAAAAUACGUCUAUUAUCAAAUUAGUAAUCCAUCCCAAGGCUUAAAUUAACAAAAUUCACCAUGCAACCGUGUAGACUAUUUUACGUAUAUACUAUAUUCAUUCUUCAUGCAAAAUGUUUAUUAUAUUUAAAAAUUAAAAUAUAUGGUUGAUUGAGUUUUAGUUGAGUUAAUAUUGAUAUUGUUGUUAGUGCAGAAGAAUGUGAGUUCAAUCAUGUUUAAACGCGUUUUUCUUUCAAUUUAGGAGUUGGAAAGGGUUCUCAAUAGUUAAAUUAUAUAAGUUUUUUUGUCUAUUUAAAAUUGAUUUAUAAACAAUAUAAAUAAAAAGAUUUAAAAUAUAUAUAUUCAUAUUGAUGGGCUUUUUCAUUAUUAGACUUUUUUCCUUACAGGUAAAAGUAUAUAUGGACAUGAUGAUGUAAAAUUAUGACCUGAAUAAUUUUAAACCUUUCAUCACUGCAAAAAUGAAAAUAAUAGAAAUGAAAGACUAGCCAUUGUAUGAAAUUUAUAAUUGAACUGCCAACAAAAUUGGGAGAAAUUUUUAAAUUUUAUGAAAUUUUAAAAUUAAACUAUCAAUAAUAGAAAAUUGCCUGAGUGACUUGGGAUUAGAGGUUGAACAUUUCUGGACCACAAUACAUUUAAGAUGGGUCUUUAAAGUUAUACUUUAGUUAUUGAGAACAUUUUCCACAAAUUGUCAUUAUUGUUUACUGCAGCAAAACAGGCUUUUAGCAUCGUUUUUUUAGGCCUAUAGCGGCGUUUUCACAAGAGUCGCAAAAAAUGCCACUAUAAAAAACGCUGUUAAAUUUUGCGGCGUUUUAGAACAUGACCUUUAGCGGCACUUUACCCACAAAUGCCACUGAAGAACAUGAUCUUUAGCGGCGCUUUCCCAUAAACACCACUAAAGAACUUGAUCUUUAGCGACACUUUUAUCACAAACGCCGCUAAAGAACAUGACCUUUAGCGGCGCUUUUAUCACAAACGCCGCUGAAGAGCAUGGCCUUUUGUGGUGCUUUUAUCACAAACGCCGUUAAAAGUACCAUUCUUUAGCGGCGUUUAUGAAAAAACACCACUAACUUUGGCAGAUUUGUAACAUCCAAUUUUCAUCCAUAUACAACCCUUCCUGUAGCAUGAAAUCCAACCAAAAACAACAAAUCUAAAUGAUACUUCAAAUUCUACAAAAGAUAUAUGAUAUAAAUUGAUAACUGAAGUAUAAUUCAAAAUAUUCUUACAAUAAUGUUAAAAGUUACAACGUUAAAAAUAUUCUUACGAUAAGAAAGCAAUGUCUAAGAUGGCGGAUUUUGCGACUGCUGAAACAUCUUCAUCAUAUUCUGAAGCUGUAGCUGGAGUGCGUAGUACUUUUUGACUGAAUAAACACAAAUCUAUUUUUCGACAGCUAUAUCAAAUUAGCUAUAAACCUUCAACAGGACCAGUACUUGCAAAAACCUCUUGGAGUAGUGGUUCAGCCCACCAACCUGCAGUUUCUCAAAAAUUAAAAUAAAAAAUUAAAAGUUAAAGAAAAAAUAGAAAAAAGAAGAGAUAAAUAAAACUAUAUAAGUAACUUUCUAAGUUGUUAAAAAGAUGCAAGAACAUGCAAGCAUCUAUCAGAUUCCAAAAACCAUUUAACUAGCAAUUAAAAGAGCCAUUAGCUUAGAAUUUUGCACAGAGGGUCAUAGCCACAUAUCCAAUCAGCAACUCAUGAAGGAAAGUGUCUCUAAUUCAUGCAGUUAUAAGCACAAAAGUGACUAGGGUAUGUGCUUAAGCAAGAAGGGGAAAUAAGAGACUCACAAUAUACAAAUAAAACAAAAUGGAAAAAAGGGGAAAAAGAAGUAAAAAAAACCUAGGCAAACACUCACACACUGCGGCAAGUACUUGGAUCAAAACCAUGAGGCAAAUUUCCACUUGGUAUUGGCUCUGUUUGUAGAAUAGAAAAGUGAAAAAUAAAAAAGAGGAGAAAAGAAGAAACGAUGUACAAAAAAUUCAAAUCCCACUCAACUCAAUUCUAAAGCCUCCAUAUCCAAGAAAAAGGAUGAGUUUUUGAAGAAAUCCAAUAGUCAACCUAAAUGAACAAACAAGAUGCUAACUACGACCAUGACAAAUGUAAGCAUCACUUCUCCUACUUUGGAAACACUUUCCACUUGAAAAGACAACAGACUUCCUUGCUUUUACUAUUAUCACAUUUUCCCCCUUCAUUUUUUUAGUGCCGACCAGAAAAAAAAUAUUUUAGCCUCAUCUAAAUAAGACAAAUUUCAGCAGAACAAUAGACAGUAGAUCAGACCCAAUUCAAGGGUAAUGUAGUCCAAAGUUCCUUGAACUCCCUCCUUCAAAGUGAAAAACAAAUCUAUAUCUUUCUGCAUGAUUCAAACAAAAAUGACUGUUGGACAUGUAACUCAGAAAGAAUGCAAAUACAUUGAAAGCACCACAGACUUUAUAAAUUAGCUUCAUGCUGCUAAAUUUCAACACUAUAAACCUAACAAAGCCCAGAAUGAAAUGCGGGAAUCAUGUCUUAAACUCUAAUACUCAAACAAGAGACAGAUAAAUUGCACGUUUUUUUAUAUAAUAUUUACAAACUAGAGAUAAAGAUAUAGAAAAAUAUAAACAUGGACAUGGACAAAAAGACUAAUUGACUGUGCAUGUGUGCCAAAGAGAUGGCAACUAAACAUUAUCCAAACACAAUCAUUUCUCAACAUUUGCAAAACAAAAUGAAGAUUAAGAUUAGCGGUAAACUAAAUAAAACCAAAGAAAUGAGAACCACAAGUAAAUGAGAAAGAAAACAAAAUAGAGAACCUAAUAGCUUUCCCAUUGAACUUCGUAUAAAAGAAAUAACAACAUUCGAACUUCAAGCAAAUAAAAAUGUAAAAUAUUUAGAAUCAAAACAAUCUUUUAUCAAAAUUCAAACCAAAAACAAUGAGCUUCACUCUAUACAAGAAGCAUGUUAACCUCAUAGGCUUUCUGAUUUCUGGAAACCAAAUCCAGAAACGUCUCCCACCAAAAAUCAAGAAAAUAAAUUUUGUUUUUAAAAAUUACAUUCAAAUCGUGAAAUAGGAGCAAGGUCCUUCGAAUUCAAGCAAAGUUGAUGGUAAAAGCUUAGCUUUCAAAGGUCAAACAUCACAGCAUUAAAUAUAAAACUAACCCAAUCUCCACCAAUUCAAAAACAAGAAACCAAACACGAACCAGAAGAUCCAAACACGAUUUCGAAAAAAAGAAAAAUAGAUAUUCCUGAAAACUGGAUCAAAAACUAGCAUAUACUUAAUAAAAAGAGAAAUUGACGGAAAAUCAUAGGAGAUCUGCAUGCAAAUAGAGGCACACUUUUGCUUGAUUAUUCGCUUAAAAAAGUAACAAUGGAAAAUAAGAUGCAAGUUCUAGGUAAAACCAUCAUGUCUUCUUACUCACCACAAACAAAGGCCCUCUAGGACCUUCAUGAAUUUUUGUCUCAUAAGUGCUUCUAUUGUGAGCCCGAACAGCUUGAUAGCCCACAAGAUAAGGAUAUCGAUCUUCAUCCUACAGAUUAACAAGGUUAAAUCCACUUAAAUGAAACACCAUUAGUCCAUAACAAUUUACUUCAAUUUUCUGCUGUUAGUUCAAAUAUGUAUUUUUUUUAAUUUGACAAAACUUGUUAGGAUCGAAUAUUCGGAAUUCCUAAAUUUCAAUUCAAAUUUACACCAUACUUGCAGAAAAAUAUACUACUAUUAGAGACACCGGCAAUCAACCAGAGUUCUUUAGUUUUCAAUCAAGUUAUUCGGCAGGAAUCUAUAUUGAUUACACAAAAAAAAAAUCAUACACCGUGAGAAUGUCGAGUAAAUUGCAAAUAGAAAAGCAAACGAACCCUAGAGGAGCUCCAAUACUUCUUCUCCCAAGGGCCUUUGUAUAGAGAUCCAAUGGAAAUGAUCUCUAGAUCGUCUAAUUUCGCUGUUUGUUCUGCUUCUUUAGUUUUUGCCAUUCAAAGAAAUGAGAAGAAAGCAAGAUUUCCAAACAACUAACAAUAAGCGAGUAGACAGAAUUUUCAAGAUAGAUGAAGAGAUGGCAUUUUAAAAUAGCGGGAACUAAAAUCUUGAAAUGCGUCAUUUCCCUCAAAAUUCUAAAUAAAAACUUUAUUUAAUUAGGAAAAAUGUGAAUCGAUUUUGGGAAAAAUAAGAGGAAAAAAAAAGAAGAUAUUUCAUUUGAAAUUUUGGGAUAAAAAAUAUAAUUACAAAACGACGCUGUUUUGCAAAAUAUAUAUUCGUGGCAUUUGGACCAAAAACGCUACUAUUGUUCAACUUUUUUGCGACGAUUGCAACAAAAACGCCGCUAUUGCUUACCUUUUGUGGCAUUUUUUUUAUAAACGCAGCUAACGCUCGACUUUUUUACAAUUUUUAUAUUGAAUUAUUGUAUCUUUCAUAUAAAUUUUAAAUAAAUAAUUUUUUAAAUUUUACGUAAUAUUUAAAAGAAUUAGAUAAAAUUAUAAUUUUUUAUUUUUUGUAUUUCAUUUUUAUUUUUGUAUUUCAUUUUUAUUUGUUAUAAUUUGGUCCUAUCCAAAAUAGAUAGUUACCUAUCCAUAUCAAUCUGUUACUUUUUUUAUUUAUUUAUCAAUGUUUUUUUAAAUCUAAUAUUUAAAUAUAUCAAAUGGUUUAGAUUAAAUAUUUUUAAAUAUAAAAGCAUUAAUUGAUUGUAUAAAAUUUCAUCAUUUAACAAAUCUCAAGUAAACCUUAAAUCCUAAACCAUUUAAUAUUUAUAAAGUUUAUCUAUUAUCUCUUAUAUAAUUUAAACUAUAAUCAUAAUUUUAAUAUAUUAAAAUUAAUAUUAUCUCUUUUACAAUUAUAUAAGAAAUGAUUUAAUAUAUAAAUUAAAAAACACUAAUUAAUCUAAACUCUAAACCCCUAUCCCCUAUCCCCUAAACCUUAAAUCAUAAAACAUAACCCUUAACCCUUAACCCUUAACCCUUAAUCCUUAAUCCUUAACCCCUAAACCUUAAACCCCAACCCUUAAACCAAAAAUCAUAAACCAUAAACCAUAAUCCCUAAACCCAUAAUCCAUAAACCUUAAAAUAGUAACUCCUAAGCCAUAAACCAUAAACCAUAACCCUAAACCCUAAACUAUAAUGAUAAUUAAUUCAAUAUUUUAAAAUUAAUACUAUCUCUUUUACAAUUAUAUAAGAAAUUAUUUAAUAUAUAAAUUAAAAAACAAUAAGUCAUGAACCCAAAAAACUUUAAAAUUAUUUUAAAUAAUAGUAUUUUAAUUUUUUUCAUUUUUAACAAAUAUUUUCUAUGUUUUUACUUCCAAAAAUUGUCUACAUGUCAUUAUUUUUUUUUGAAGAAUUUAAAUAUUCAAUUAAAAAUAAAUUUUAUUUUAAUUAUAUAAAUAAACCAGUUAAAUAAUAAAUAGACAAAUAAAAUAUUUUUUGCGGCAUUUUUGAUAAAGUGCCGCUAAAGCUCGAUCUAUAGCAGCGUUUUACAAAAAAGCGUCGCUAAUGCCACUAAAGCUCAUUACUGAAUUUUUUGCGGCAUUUUUCAAAAAGCGCUGCUAAUGCUCGACCUAUAGUGGCGUUUUUCAAGAAGCGCCGCUAAUGCCACUAAAGCUCAACAUAAAGGUACUUGAGUCUAGUUUCAAAGACAUCAAGCGGAUAUUAAUUCGGAAUUCUGUAGCUCAAGAUAUAAAUUUAUGUUAAUCUUGUUAUCUUUCUUAUUUUAGAAUUGAUUACAUGAAAGUUAAUUGCUAAUACUAUUAGUUAAUUAUUAGUUUUCUUCAAAUCAAAUUAAAACCCGAAAGGUCCCUCUUUUUUUAUAUUAGUUUUAGUUUUCCAUUAAAUUUGUUUCUUUGUAAUAAAAUUAAAUUAUAGAAAUAACAUUAAAAUUUUAAAUAAAAAUAGUUCACAAUAAUUUAUUAUUUAAAAAACUCCCUGAAAUUUAAAAUUAUUGUUAUAAGUAUACCAUUAAAUUAUACAGAAUUUAAUUUUUCUUUCAAAUACUACAGUUAAUAAGGAAAGAGAAUAUAGUUCAUAUCAAUAAAACUUUAAAAAAGAAAUAUUGUUUAAUUAGUUAAUUUAAAAAUCAAUAGCGUCUAAAAACGGUCAGAAUGAAAUAUUAGAUUUUGUAAGAUUUCAUUAUUCUAAAAAAUAAAAUAUGACCAUGCUUAAAAAUUUUAUUAAAAAAGUUUUAAAUUUUAUAUAAAAAUAAAAAAAUAGUACUAAAAAUUUUUAUAAGCAAAUUUAAAUAUUAAUUAGUAAAUUUUUUUUGUAAUAUUUAUAUGUAUUUUCAUUCUUAUAAAUACUAUUAAAACUUUUUAAAAAAAUUUGAAUGCUAUUUAAAAACAUUAUUAAAAAUAAAAUAUUAUAUGAAAGUUAAAAUGAUCUAAAAACAUAUUUUAAAAAUUUAAAUACUUUAUAAAAUAUUUAAAACUGUUUAAAAAUUUCUAAACCCUAAAAAAAUAAUAAAAUAUAAUUCUUUCUAAGAAAUCAACAAAAAUAUAUUUAUAAUUGAACUCUCAACAAAAUUGUGAGAAAUAUUUAAAUUUUAUGAAAUUUUAUACUUAAACUGUCAAUAAUAGAAAAUUGCCUGAGUGACAUGGGAUAAGAGGUUCAACAUUUCUGGAUCACAUUGCAUUUAAGGCGGGUCUUUAGGGUUAUACUUUAGUUUUUUAGAACAUUUUCCACAAUUUGCCAUCAUUACUUGUGAGUGAUUUGUGGGGUAAGAGGUUGAACACUUCUGGAUCACAUUGCAUUUAAGACUGGUAUCAUUCAUAAAUUAUAUAUCUACAACAAGAAUGGUAGCCUCUUAUAUUAUAUUCAUGUAUCUAUUUUGCAUCUUUCAUUAUAAUAUGAUUUAGUAAUUUUAAUAUUUUUAUAGAAUAAUAUGAUUUAAAUUUUUUUGUAUUUUUCGUAAAAAUUAUAAUAAACUUACAAAAUGAUUUAAUGAUAUUUAAUUAUUAACGGAAAAAUUAUAUCAUAUAUAUUCUGUAUAUAUUAAGAUUCUGAAUUAUUAAUUAUAUAUCUACAUAUUAUAAUAAAUUCAUCUUUCAAAAUUUUCCUAAACUAUAUUCACAAUAUUAUAAAUAUAUUAUAUCAAAAAUAUUCUUUCAAAUGUUUUUUAAUGUUUAAUAAUAAAUUAAUUUAUAAAAUAUUCUUUCAAUAAAUUAACGUGAUGAGAUCGUUAAUUAGGUGCUUGGAUUUGGUGAUGGGGACGAAGAGAAAAGGGAUGGAAGUGAAGACAAAUGUUGGGAAAUUGAAAGGGUUAGCGAGGGAGGCCAGCGUGAAAGGUGGUUCUACGGAUAUGAACCUUCAAGCUUUUGUGGAUGAUGUUACUAAAGGUUAUUGCAAGUAAAUUUAAAAAUGUUUUUUAAUUAUUUUUUGUUAAAAAAUAUUUUUUUUUCUAUGUGGCUUUCCACAUUAGCAUGCUACCAUGUGGUAACUUCUAGUGAUUUCCGUCUGUAAUAUUAGACAGGUUAACAGUUAAACCAUUCAACUGACAAAUUUCGUUAAAGGAAGAGGUCAAUUAAUUUUUUUUGGACUCAUUGAGUACUCAAUUGGUGCAUUUUUUUAUAAAGACUAAAUUAAUUUUUUUAAUUUGUUAUUGCUGAGGGCUACAGUAAUAAAAAGUUUUGAGGUAAAAUUGGAAUAACGUCCCAAAAAUCUAAUACUUAAUUUUUAAAAUUUUAUCAUUAAUAAAUAUUUGUCUUAGUGAUUAAGUAUUUGAGUCGUGUUUAUAAGAUAUUGUAUUCAAGUUCCUACGUGAAUGGAUUGUUAUUAUUAUUAUUUUUUAAUUUUUGAGUUUGAGUCCAUUUCGAACUCUGGAAAAAGGUGGUUACUUAUCUGAGAUGGGGUUAGUGCUUAGUAGAUUUGGAUUUGGUUUAUUUUAAAAUUUAUUAAUUAAUUUGUUAAAAAAUUAAAUUAGUUUUUUCCUAAUUUUUGGCUCACCGUUCUUUCUCUUGUUUUUCUUUAUGCUUUCUUUUUCUUUUCUUUUUCUGUUACCUUUCAAAUCACGUCGAUUUGUUCCUAUUUCGCUUUUGAGUUUUUCUUUUCUUUCCUUUACGCUCCUCUACGAUCGUGUCUUAAUUCCUUCAUUAUUUUCUCUUUGUUGGCGUUGCUCGUUCGUAAGUGGGUUAGUUUCCGUUUUGAUGUAUUUUUACGUGGUUAGUAAAAGAAAUGUGUUAAUUUUUGGAUUAUGGAGUUGAUCGUUUUUAAUCAAUUCUCCAGUAAGUUGACUCGUUCGCUGUUAUUAUGUCCUAGGGUAAAGGAUUAACUCUGAUUUGGGCCCGUGUGGUUGUGUAGAUUUUUCAUGUGAAUUCGUUUGGUAUUUUUAGGAUAAAUCAUUCUUUAAGUCGUAUUGCUACCAUCGCUAAUGUGAUGUUUUAAUUUAUGCAUUUAGGAUUUGAUAGUCUUAUGGGUGUUUUCGUAUAAAAAUCAAACCAAGUGUGUAACGAAAAACCCGACAACAACGAGCGACGAAAGUCAAAAAAUUGCACUGUCGACACCACACGGCCGUGUGUCGGGCCGUGUGACAAGCCGUGUUUCAGACCGUGUGCGACAUAUUGUUUGGGCUAGUUGAGCCGUGUGGAACACACAGGUGUGUGUGAGGAUGUGUGCCACGCCAUGUGAGCCACACGGGCUGGCCAUUUAGGCCGUUUGAGACCAAAAUACUAAAUUUUUCCCUAGGGUUAUACACAUCGUUAUGAUCGAUCGUAGGCCUUUCGUGGGGUCGAUAUAUAAUCAAAUAGACUGUAAAGUAUGAAAUCCGGUCAACUAAUAGUAUAAAUUCUGAUAUCUGUUCAUAUAUUUGAGAUGUUAUUUGUUCAAUAAACCUUGUAAUAGGCUAUGAGAAACUUGAGAAAUAUUAUGUAUGCUUUGUAUCUGUUAUGUCAUACAUGUAUAACUGUAUUAUGUCUGAUUUUGUUCUAUUCUUUUCUGUAUUUGCAUUUGGGGUGGGUUAUAUUAUGUGGAGGAAGUGUUUCUUUGAAUGGCGAUAAUUCGCCUAUUACACUGGCAGCUCAGCUACAAAUAUUCUGAAAAGUGUUAUAUCGACACUAAAUGGUGUGUAAGGUUGGAUGAGUGUUUCAUACCCCAUAUGGUGUGUUGAGCUGGUCGGAGAUAGUGUGUAGCAGAUGGGGGUAGGAAUAUAUGUUUGUAUCUGUACUGCUCUGAUAUGAAUAUGUUCUGCUAAAUCUAUCUGAUAUAAAUUAACUGUUUAAAGUUAUUUGUUAUACAUUGAGUUUUGUAAACUCACUUUCUGUUUGUUUGAUAUUUUUAGGUAACCCUCAGACUUUGGCAAAUUGGUGCGAAGGAGCUCGGUUAAAUUGAUUUAGUUUCAUCAUCUAUUAUAAUCAAAUUUUGUGUUAUUGUGUUUCAUUAUUUUUGAACUUUUGGGACUUUUUGGACUGUUUUGGUUUUUGAGAUUUUAUUUUCAAUUUUUGCAUGAUAUUAUUAAAAAUGUUUUAUCGGAAAUGUCUGUUUUCUUGAAAAACAACUGAUUUCAAAAAAAUAAACUUAGUUUUCCAAACAUAAUGAUUUGAGAAUUUCCGCUGCUAAGUAUUCAUUUUAGAAAAUGUAAGCAAACAUCGUUUUCAACUACAAAGUUAAGUUAGAUGUAUUUUCUCUUAAAUCGAGGUUUAAGUAAUAAAAGAUUAUGUCAUUUUUCCAAAUUUUACGAAAAAUUGGAUUUACAAUUGUUUUAUGUAACAUCUCUAGAUUUGGCCAUAACGUCUAAGUCGGAUUUCGGGCGUUACAUUUUGUGAUAUCAGAGUCAGGUUGCAAAACUCGGGCUGUGAAAUUUUCGGUUCAAAAUUUUGUGAAAACUAUUUUUCGAGUAAAGUUCAUUUCUGCAUUAAUUUGAAAAAUUAAUUAUAUGAAGUAUCGAGUCUCUAACGUUGAUCCUGUAAGUACUUUUGACUUAGAUAAACUUUAGUUUAGAAAACUCUGAAAUGAUUAGAACUAUACUUGGAUAGUUAGAGACUGAAACAUCUUUAUAAAUUCUUUUGAUAACUUUUUGAGAACAAAAUAUCUGCUAAUAAAUACUAAAAUUGAUACAUAAAAUUCGUAAUGUAAGUAAUAUAUACGAUGAGUACUUGUGGAACAUGUGGAUGCGUUACCCGUAGGCGUGGCGGGCGCCGAAGAGGGGCUCGAGCUGAGUCAUCCUCGAUGGGUACCUGAUAGGCUAUUGCUGGAGAGAGCAAUAGUCUUGAGAGAAGAAAUGUUGAAGAUCGAAGUCAAAAUCUGACCUAUAAAGCCUUUAAUUGCUUGAAUGAUAAGCAUUUCUAAACUAAAAAGAUUACCGAUUUUUUCAGGAAUUUGACCUGCAGACAUAGUUGAAACAUCAAGGUGUUAAAUUACCUAUUUUGUUAGUGUAAAUCAAAGAGGCGUUUUAUUUUUUUCGUUUUGAAAUAAUAUGGAUAUGUUAGAUUCUAAUCAUAUUUAAGUAUAUAUUAGUUCUUGAAAGAAAGAGUUCUUAUUUUUGGUAUUUAUAUUGCAAAUAUAUUUUUUUAAAUUUAAAAAAGGGGGGGGGCAAAUGUGUUUAAAACUAAAGACAUCAAGGAAAAGGCAUACCUUCUAGGUUAUUUAACCCCAAGUAUAAUUGUUUAAGUUGUGUCAAAUUCCCAAUGCUUUUUGGAAUGAUCCCACUAAAUUGAUUAAUAGACAAUUCCAAAAUUUGAAGGUUGCAGCAUUUGUCUAUACUUGAUGGAAUAGAACUUGAUAAUUCAUUUCUACUCAAGUAAAGCUCUUUAAGCUUGGGAAGAUGGACACACUAAAUUGAUUAAUAGACAACUCCAAAAUUUAAAAGAUAUUCUGGCUUCGCCCUUAAUAAAAUUUUUGGAAAAAGAUUAAAAAAAAGUUAUACGGUAAAUGAAAAAAAGAAGAAAAUAACUUGAUGUCCAAAAGCUACCAUAAACAGUAAUUCGUGGGAAGGCUUGUUGCUCAUUUUAUUGGUUUCCAUUUUGAUUUUGCAAAAGAAGUUUGAAUUUUGAAGAGAGCAUACUACGUGAGAGCAAAAGAAAAAAUAUAGUUUAUUAAUUUUUACGAAUACCGACAUAUUAUAUAUACGAUUAAAAUUCAGAAUAGAUUAAAAAUGUUCAAUUAAAGAUAAAAUUAAAUGUGAAUUAAUAACCACAAGUCUACUCAUUACUCAUUACUCACCGUCUCUGUUAAAAAUGUUGGAUGUUGUUCAGCAACCUUUGUUUGAUUUUCUUCAGCUCAACCACAACAUCUUUCAUAUCUUUUCUUUCUUCUGGUAACUCAGCUGAACAAUUCAAAGCCAACUCCAUGAUAGAUGAAAUGCAAUUUGCUUUAACAACAAAGUACUCAUCGUCUCUUCUUAGUAAAUCAACAUCUGCAAUUUCUAUCGCUCCUUUAGGCAAUGAACUUUCCAUCCAAUGCCUUAUAGUCUCUUCUUCAACAAAAACAUUAUCAGUUGGCUUUUUCUUUGUAAAAGUUUCUAUAAGGACGAUCCCAAAACUAUAGACGUCAGAUUUUAUAGAAACAAUUCCUGCCGAUCCAAAUUCUGCAUUUCAAGUAUAAUUAGAACAUCAUUCAUCCUCAAUUAUUUCUAAAAUGCUUAUUCAAAUAUAUAUCCUCAUACACAUGAAACAAAAAUAUAAAAUGCAAAUUAGGAAAAUAAUCAUACAAAAAUAAAAAUGAAUUCACCUGGUGCCAUAUACCCGAUAGUUGCAAGAGUCAUGGUUUGCUUCAUUACUUCACCUUCCCCCAACAAUUUGACAAGGCCAAAAUCUCCAACAUGUGCAACCAUGUCUUCAUCUAGUAAAAUAUUGCUUGGUUUUAUGUCACAAUGAAUUGUAGGUGUUGGAUGUCCAUUGUGGAGGUGUUCUAUAGCUACCGCAACAUCUAUCAUUAUGUCGACCCUUUGUAUGAUAUCAAGGAAACAAUUUUCAGAAUGUAACCAUUUCUCAAGGUUUCCAUUAGACAUGUAAUCAAGCACCAAGGCUUUGAAGCCAACACUUGAGCAGCAAGUAACGACCUUCACAAUAUUACGAUGAACUACAUUACGCAUAGCAUCACAUUCAAUGUCAAAACUCCUAAAUGCUCCCUCUGUUUGCAAAUUGAAAACUUUUAUUGCAACUUCCAUUCCAUCCGAAAGCCUCCCUUUAUAUACAUAUCCAAAACUCCCUGAACAAAGCAUAUUGCUUUCCUUAAAUCCAUUAGUUGCUCGUGAAAGUUCAGCAUGUGAAAUUCUUCUCGGUGUUUUCAAAGACAACAAAUCAUCUUUAAUUGGUAGAGUUGUACUCCUUCUUUGGCAUCUUCUAUACAUAAUAGUUAAGACUAUUAGUACUACGACAACACCAAUUGUUGGUAAACCAUACCUAAAAGCAUGCAAUAUAAUCAUUUGGGAGUUUUUGUGGAUGUCGUUUUUGCAAGGUGGAACUAGAAAUCUAUGUGGACCACAAAGUGCAUAAUUCUUCAUGAAUGAUGUGCUAGAAAAGUUUGAAAAACAUCCUUUGCUGGGAAUUUCCCCUUCAAGUCUAUUGAAAGACACAUUAAAAUACUUUAGAUAUAAAAGCUUUUCCAAAGAUUUGGGAAUGACUCCAGAGAGAUUGUUAUUGCAUAAAUCCAAGAAUUCCAAACUAAUCAACCCAUCAAAUGAUUCAGGGAUAUGACCAUGUAGUAUAUUAUUUGAUAAAUCUAAUGAAACCAAAGUUUGAAGACCCCCAAAUGUGGAUAAGAUAUCACCCGUGAGAAGAUUCCUAGAUAAAUUUAGUUUCAGUAGACUCCUCAAAUUUCCAACAUCAAUAGCGUGUGAAUUGUGAAGAUGGUUUGAUGAUAAAUCUAUUUCUAAGAUAUCUUUAAGAUUCCACAAAGUUGAGGGAAUUGCGGAACUCAAUUUGUUGGAAUCUAAGCAAAGAUAUCCCAAAGAAGUAAUAUUACCUAAACAAGAGGGUAUGGAUCCAUGCAGCUUAUUCAACCCUAAACACAAGUUGUAUAGUCUCUCCAAACCACAGAGGCUUUCUGAGAUGGGCCCUCCUAAUUUAUUAGAGGAAAGAUCUAGACCUUGGAGAUUUCGCAGUCCUCCUAUUGAUGUUGGAAUGAAUCCACUUAAUUUAUUAGAGCCAAGUUCUAAACCGAACAUAUUGGUUAAGUUACCUAUUUCCAUAGGAAUAAUGCCUUGAAGCUCACACUCUUCGGCAUAAAAGUAUUGAAGGGAUUUUGAAAGGUUCCCAAUAUAAGUAGGAAGAACGCCACUCAAUGGAUUUCCUGAAACUUCUAUGUCUUUCAAAUUCUUACAAUUCGUCAAAGAAGAAAGAAAGCUCCACUCAUGAUCAGUAGCAGAUCCUGUGAUCAAAUUAUUGUCAAAGAUUUUGAGCACUUCAAGGUGUUUUAAGCUGCAAAGCAUUCUAGGGAUUGGGCCAGAGAAUAAGUUUUGUGACAAUUCUAGUUCCUUAAGCAUGGAAGCAUUGGAGAUAGAGUUGGGAAUGUUUCCGCUAAGUUUAUUUCUCCACAAUAAAAGAAUCUCAAGCUUUGGAGCAUUGGUGAUGGGUGGUAAAUUACCUGUAAAAUAGCAUCUUUUAGUAUACAUAUUCAUUGAAUACCAAAUUUACAAAAUAUAUAAUACAUUAAAAUAAAAACUGUACAACUUUAAAUCAAUUAAGAAUAGAAUUUUGGCAUGGAAAAAUGUGAUGAAAUCACUUAGAAAGUUGAGACAUAAUAAGAAGUUUUAAGUAGUAAUUAUUCCUUGUGAUUUGUAUAGAAAAAACAUAUAAUACACUAACAAUUUUUUAAAAAUAAAAAUAAAAGUUUGGCAUGAGAAUGUGGCAUCUAAUCCAUCUUAAAAAUGAGUCUGACACUGAAUAAUAAUUAGUUAUGAUUUGGGAAAAAAAUGUUAAAGCCAUUGUUUUUAAUGUAAACUGGUAUGAUUUUUAUCUAUUGGGUAUAUUAUUUAUUUUUAUUAAAUUAUAGUGUAAAAUUUAAAGAUUAUUAUUUGCUCAAAAUUUUUGUAUUUUUCGUAUAUUUGAAAUUUAAUCUUUAUAUUUUUUAUUUUCUGUGAUUUAGUCUCUCUACUUUUUGAAUUGUAAAUUUUAGGUUUAUUUAUUAAUGCUGUUAAAAAGUUUUUGUGUUAGUAUGGCAUUUUGAAAAAUAAAAUAAACUUGAUAUCUAUGUUUUUAAUUAUUCCAAAUAUUGUUUUACUAUUUCAAGAUAAAUUAUUUGUGUCUAGACCAAUAUCUUAAGAACUAUUAUUGCAUGUUUAAUUAUUCUAAAGAAUUGUCGAUUGAGUCUUAGCUUGAUUGGCAUGUGCAUUGUUGCCAAUGUAGGAGAAUGUGGGUUCAAGUAUGCUGAAGUGUAUUAUCCUUCUAUUUAUGAAUCAAGGAGUUGGCAAAGUAUUAUAUUUUGAUAUAUUUUAGAAUAUUAAAAAAUUAUUAAAAUAUUUUUUUAUAAAAAUUGGUUGUACCACAAUAUACAUCAAAUUUUUAAUUUUUUUAAAAAUAUUAGCGAAUUUAUAUUUUAUUUCAAGUUACACAAUUUUUACUAGUUUUUAACUUUUUUUUAAAAAUUUUUAUCGUCUUUCAUAAUUUCUAAUAAAUUUUUAUAUAUUUUUGACAAUAUUUAACAAUUUCUAACAAUUUUUAAUAAUUUUAUUAUUAAUUACAAAUUUAAAAAUUAACACAUUUUUAUUUUUUAAAACAAUUUUAUAUUUAUAAUGUAGUUGUUUUUUUUAUAAUUUUAUUUGAAAAUUUAAAGCUUUUUUGGUUUUUUUAAGAUAAUGAUGCCAUCAUGAUGUCAUCAUAUGCCACAUGGCAAUUUAUGAUUAGUUGGAUAUCUCAAUCUAUUUUUUUAACGUCCAAUUGACUAAACCAAGAACACCUGAUAAUGUUAGAGACUACACUAGAAAUGCUUGAUAAUAUUAGGUACUAAAGUGGGCAAAAACUCAUUAAGGACCAAAGUAAAAAAAAAAAAAGAGCAAUAUGCUGUAGGGAAUAAAUGCAUGAAUUUUGAGAAACUUUUGAACUAAUAAUUACAUAGUAAUUAUUAGUGAAUUUGUUAUUUUAAAUAUUUUUAUUACUUUUAGGAUUUAUCAUAUGUAUGGAUAAGAAUUUUGGUUUUACUAAAAUAUUUGGUUAAAUAAAUUCAUAAAAAAAUUUAGCAUCCUUAUAAAUAACAAUUUUGAUUCUAUUAAAAAAAUCAUUUUAAAAAAUAUAUAAUAAAAAUUUAAAAUUUAUAUUGAAUUACUUUAUACGUAAAUUAUUAUUAGAAACGUUAUCAUACACAUAUGUAUAUGAGAACUACGUAUUUAGAACAUAAAUUUAUGUUUGAAAAUAACUUAUGAUAAAUAAUGAAAUGUAUAAUUUGAAACUAUUUAAUAAUAACACAUGGCAUAUCUACCAUAUUAAAAAUAAAAAUAGAUUAAAUUGUAAGUAAAACAUAAUUUAAACAUAUGGAUACAUCAAAUUAAGAAUACUAAAUGAAUACAGUUAUUUAUGAUGAUGUUGUUGUCAAUUCUUAAGUUGGUGUCGAGUUAAUUUGUGACAUCAUAAUUUUAAGUGAUAAAUUUAAAGUUUUAUGUAUUGAUGUGGAUUCAAAUAUCACCAUAACUUUUUUAAAAUAAAAAAUUAAAUUCAACACAAUAAAAUGAAACAAAUUCAACACAAUGUUUUUGGAGUUUGCAAAAAAUUAAAGUGAAAAACAUACCUUCUAAUUUGUUGUCAUAUAGAACUAUUUCUUCGAGCGUAGUUGAAUUAAAAAUACUUGAUGGAAUCUGGCCUGCACACAUAGUCGAAAAUUGAAGUGAAAAAUACACCUUCUAAACUGUUCAACUAAAAAUACUUUAAGCAUAUUUUUUUUUCCAUCAAAUUAACUAUUUUGCCUUGAAUGAAAUAAAAUGCUCUUACUUUUGUUAUCUAUUACAAAUCAAACUCUUUUGUGAAUAAAAUAUUACCAGAUAAUUCAUUCCAACCCAGGUUAAGCCCUUCAAGCUUGGGAAGUUGUUGACACAUAUCAUUAGGCAAACUACCUGAUAGGCUAUUGCUGGAGAGGUCAAUGGUCUUCAGAGAAGAAAUGUUGAAGAUCGAAGUUGGAAUUUGACCUGUAAGGCCUUUAGUUGCUUCAAUAUCAAGCAGUUCCAAACCAAGAAGAUUACCGAUUUCCUUAGGAAUUUGACCUGCAGACAUAGUUGAAAAAUCAAUGUUUUUUAGCAUAUAUUUUUCAUCAAAUUAACUAUUUUUCUUCGAAUGAAAUAAAAAGUUCUUCCUUUUGUUAUCUAUUACAAAUUAAACUCUUUCAUAAAAAAAUACUUUAAAUUCAAGAAAUUAAGGAAAUUGAUUACCUUUUAGAUUAUUAAACCCUAAAUAUAAUUCCUGGAGUCGUGUUAGAUUUCCAAUACUUCUUGGAAUGAUCCCCAUAAAUUGAUUACCGAACAAUGACAAAUUUUUAAGGUUGUUGCAUUUGCCCAUGCCAAAUGGAAUGUAACCAGAUAAUUCAUUCCAACUCACGAAAAGCCCUUCAAGCUUGGGAAGAUGUUGACACAUAUCAUUAGGCAAAGUACCUGAUAGGCUAUUGCUGGAGAGAUCAAUAAUCUUCAGAGAAGAAAUCUUGAAGAUGGAAGAUGGAACCUGACCAGAUAAUUGAUUGAAUCCUAAGUUCAAGAUCCCUAGAUUAGACAUGUUAACAAGUGUUUCAGGGAUUGUGCCUGUAAAGUUAUUAUUUUUCAUUUGCAGCCUUCGAACUCUCUGUAAAUUCCCAAGCCAUGAUGGAAUUUCCCGAUUAAGACGGUUGUAGCUUAAUUGAAGGAUCCUCAAACGAUGCAAUUGGCCCAAUUCUUUAGAGAGAUGGCCAUAGAAAUGGUUGCUACUCAAGUCGAGAGAGACUAGAAAUGAAAGAUUUCCAAGGUGUGGAGGGAUAAUACCCCUAAGAUUCAUGCUUGUAAGAUUCAAUGCUAUAACUCUUUUAUGGAGGAUGCCACAAGAAACACCAAUCCAAUUGCAAACAGAGGUUGAGGCUGUCCAAUUGUCUGCCAAGACAUUUUGAGGACCGGCAAUGCGAUCCUUAAACUCGAGAAGUGCAAACUGAUCAGAGUUGAGAUUCCUGGCUGUCAUAGCCAAGCGAAGUACGGAACAUGGUAUGAAUAAAGCUAAGAGAAGAUGAAAGCAAGUGUUGUAGUUCAUGAUUGCAAGACGGAAUAAGGCAAGAAAAAAGGAAAAAAAAAGUAGGAAAAGGGAAGUUAAGUUGAUAAAAUAGUUUGGAUGAUGAAGAAAAGCCCAGAGAGCAUGCUUUAAUAUGUUUCAACCCUCGCACACUUGAUAAACUUGAUAAAUUUAAGACUACCCUAAAAAUUAAAAAGGAAAACAAAGUUUUGAUGAGAUUUCAAAAAAAAUGUCAAGUAUUCUUCUUUUAAAAAUACGUACAAAGAAGCGAAUUUUCAAAAUUUCUCCUAAAUUUUCUUCAAAUUACUCCACAUAAUCCAUUAAAAAAACUUAAAAAAUAUAUUUUAUUAAUUACUAUAUAUUCUUUUGUUUUCAUAAUAAUAAAUUGUUUAAAAUAUGCUAUUAGUGGCCGUAAUUUAAAGUUUAAAAAAAAAUCCAAUCCUCCUUUUUUUUAAUUUAAAAAUUCUAAUCCAAUCAUUUUUAAUUCCAUUAAAAAGUUUUCAACUUAAUAGAUUUUUUAUUAUCAAUCUUAUGCAACAUUAUAUGAAGGCAGUCUACUCAGCAUAUAUCCAAGUUUACAGAUUUUAAUAGAAAAUACUUACAAUCCUAAUGGUAGGACUAAGUUUUUUAAACUAGAAAAGUAAAAAAAAAAAAAACUUAAUUUUUAACUUUUUUAAGUACAAGGAUUAAAUUUUAAAUGUUGUCAAAGUACAAGCACUAACAAAAUAUUUUGAUCUAAUAAAUGUAAAAAAGCAUUUUAAACAAAAGAAGGUUGAAAUAAUCUAUUUGUCCUUAUACUUUGAUAAAAUUUGAGAUACCAUAAAAUUUGUAUCUUUUUUCGAAUUAUUUAAUGACAUUUCAACAUUUUCAUUCAAAAAAAAAUAUCAUUUUGAAUUUGAUCUUUUUCAAGAUGAAAUAUUGAAAUGAUGUUAAAUUAUUAGAAAGAGAUACAAGUUUCAUGGUGUCCCAAAUUCAUUUAAUCUUAUCUCUCUAAGAAAGCUGAAUUAAGAUAUUAAUGACAUCAUUUGAAACAAAGUUUUAGGUCAAAUUAUUCAUCUAUUCCUUGUAAUUGUUCUUUAAGGUGAAUUUCAUUAUUAUUCUUUUAUUUUCUUUGGCUUAAAUACACAAUUACUCCUAAUUUUAUCACAUUCUCCUUAAUUGGUAUUUAUAGUUUAUAAAAUUUUAUAAAUAUAUUAUUUUUUAAGAAAUUAUAAGAAGAUUACAAAAAUUCCAAAAUAAUAUAAAAAAGCUAAGAAAAACCUAGAAAUUCAAAAAAAAAAAUCAUGUUUUUACAAAUUGGAAAAUACCUAAAUUUACUUUUCAGCCCGUCCGAUGCUAUGAAAGAAGAAGAAAGAGAGUCUUUGCUAACAUUUUUUUUUCUUCGUCAUCUCUAUGUUUCUUGGCAAAUACAAUGAAAGAAGAACAAAGAAAACUGUUGGCUAUUUAUUUCCCAAUAAUCCUGAAAUUACUUGCCAUAGGCGUAGAAUUUGCUAACCAAUUUUCAAGCAAUCUGACAUGAAUUCUUGUUAAGUAUGACUCCUAUUUUCAGUCAAAUUUGAGAAAUAAUCUUCUAGUUAAUUCUGUUUAUUUGUUUCAAUCAAACACUGAUUAGUUUAGAUUAUUUUAUUAUUAUUUGACAUAUGAAUUUAGCCUAUAAAUAGGUUAUUUUACAACCUUAGAAAAUACACCCAAUAGAGUUUAGAACUCAUAACAUAUUUAGAGAAUUUUGUGUUUACGUUUUGAGAGUUCUUUGUUUUCGGAUUUUCGGGGUUUAGUUUUUAUCUCCAUCUCUUGUAUUCUUUGUUCUUUUGCCAUUAUAAUAAAAUUAUCUUUACCCGUGGUUUUUUAUCCUUUUUGGAGGAGUUUUUUCACGUUAAAUUUGUGUGUUCAAUUUCUCAAUUUAUUCCGCUAUUUUGUUACUUGUUGCUUAAUCGGGUCGAUCCCUAACAAUUCUCAAUCACAAUUAAUUGAAUUCAAGAUAUAUUUGGAUGAGAACACAAAUAUUUCAAUUUUACCACAAUCCAAUGUUUGGGAUGAUUUGGGAUAAGAACUCCAACAUUUUAAGAUCACAUUUUCUUUUAUAAUUUCAGGCUUAUCAACUAUUUUGAAAACAACAAAACGUCUUACACCAAAAACUAAAAAAUUAAAACGUCGACAUUAAAUUUGUUGGUAUGCAAUCAAUUUUAAGAUGGGUCUUGGAGUUAUAUAUCACUUUAGCAUUGACUUACUUUUCUACUCUUAGUCUUCUCCAAUAAGUUAAAUAUUUCAAUUUUAACAGCACUGACAGGUCUUUGGGGUAGGGUCCAGCAAAACUCAAUAGAAACAGAUGAUAUAGGCAGAGUUGGCUCGGCCAAGUCGAGUCGACUUGUUCAAAUUAGUUAAAUUAGUAAAUUUUAGGGUGCAGUUAGAACUUUUUUUUUUUUUUUGAGAUGCUAAUAUUAAAAAAUUUUAGUUGCUAAAACAAAAAAUUUAUAUUUAAAAAGGAAUAAAUUAAAUUAUUAAGUUUUUCAAGUUUCCAUUUAAUCAAAGGUUAAAAGGACUAAAUUGAAGCUUUUUAUUUUAAAGAAAGGCUGAAUGACAAAUUGCCCAAAGCCCAUGCCCCUAGCUAUAUGCCCCUGGUAAAAUCAAUUUUAAAAUUAGUUAUAAUAGUUGAAGCGAAUUGAUUAUUGAGUAUUGAAAUACAUAGUUCAACAAAAUAAACAAACUGACAAAUUUUGACCAAAAAAAAAAAUCAAAGGUGAUAAUAAUUAAAUUAUAAAAUUUAAAUUGAGAAAAUAGGGGAUUGAAUUUAUAAUUUUUAAAGUAUAAAGAAUGAAUUUAUAACUAACAUCAUAUUUUAACCACAUAAUAAAAGUAGUUAUGGAGAGGAUCAUGUAAAAUAAUGACCUGAAUAAUUUUAAACGUCUCAUCCUUGCAAAAAUGAAAUAAUAGAAAAGAAAGAGUAAAGAGUAGCCAUUUUAUGAAAUCUAUAAUUCCAACUGUGAAUAAAAUAUAAAUUUUAUGAAUGUGGACAAGCCAUUUUAUUUAUAAUUUUCUGUGUUUUUCUGACUUUUUUUUAAGUCAUUUUCUUUGUUUCCUAACCAAAAAGUUUGCCCAUCACUUUCAAUAUAAAUUUAAAUCUAAAUUUUCUUUUUAAAAUAUAAGUUACUCGUCACAAUUCAUCUUUCGAAAACAAUUUGCCAUCACUUUAACAUACACUAACUUUUCUAUGAUUAGUCCUUGGUUUGCUUUGGGUGCAAUCUUCCAACUAGCCACAUCCUUGGUUUUACUUUCCAACAAUUAGUGUAUCACGGGUUUUGUUUUCUUUAAAAAAAUAUUUUUGUGGAUAUUAGGAGAUAAUGAAAAUUAUUUUACUAUUAAAUUUUAAUAAAACUGGAAAAUAAGUAAUGUCUUUUAAGUGAUCACAAUUAAACAUUAGAUUUUUAAUUUUAAAAUUUUAAAAUUUUUUGAUAAUUGCAUAAUUAAUAAGGUACCAAUUUUUUGAUAAUGCUAUAAUCUUCUCCACACAUAAUCGACUCUUGAGCAUGAUGGAUCUAGACCUUAUCCUGUAUUCUCGUACCACAAAUUGCUUCGAGUGUGGGUUCAAACAAUCACAAAUUAAACACAAAAUCAGAAAUGAUUUAUUACUUUCAAUAGCAAAGUAAUUCUCUCUCAAUAGAAACCAACAGAAUUGUAAUUCCGAAAAAUAAAAUUUAUUUUUUGAAAAUAUAUUCUCACUACUUCCUAGCAUAAUAACAAUAUUUAAAACUUAUGUCUUGUGUUAAUAGCUCUACCAGUACUAUCCAUUUAUAGAGAGAGACACAAGAAUCCUGGUUGAAUUAGUAAAACACGAGUAAUAUUUAUUUCAUAGAAAACAAUAUUCUACCCUAAGUAGAUCAAGUUUGGAUGACGCAUGGGUCGAAGUUCAAUCUAAGAGAAAAAAAUAAAGGAAUUUUCUUUGUAAAGAAAAUUUGAGAUUGUACUAUUUUCGAAGUUAUAAAUAAAAUUAUAAGCCAAACUUUCAAGUCAAUUUUUGACUCGAAUUUUGUACGUACAAAUUUCUAAUACACUUGGUGGGACAUUCUUUGACUUUUAUCUAUUCUCUCAGAAAGUUAAAAGUUAAAAGUUGCAUUAAACUCAAAGAAGAUAAUCAUUAGUAAACCAGCUCACAAGCCUGCUCAAGCUAAUCCUACAACUCGUUCCACUUCAUCAUCAAACACCAAUGUUCUUGCUUAUCCUUAUGGAAUUAAACAAAAGACAAAAGCUCUUUAAGAGUUAUUUGAACAGACAAAAGAUUCAGACGUGUUGAGAUGGAAAGUGACAAUGCAAUGUUGAUUGAAGCUAUUCGUAACCGGUUGGCUACAAUAAGUAGUGUUGCUGAAGUAAGACAGAUUCACGAUUGGUGUUCUAAAAAUUGGGAAGUCAAAUUUUGAUAUAUUUAGUAGAAUGCCAAAAAAGUUGUUGAUUGCAUAGCUAAGGCAGAUGGAGGAGUAAUUGAGCAGCUAGUUUUUUGGAAGAUCCUCCGCAUUUUGUGAGAUGUUGGCUUGAAGAAAAUAUUAGACAAUCGCUGGUGACUUAUGAUAAUUUUCAUUUGGACUGAUGCUCGCUUAGUUUUCUAAGGUUAUGUUCAACCAAAAAAAAAUAAUUUAAAUAUGUCUAUAUUAUCAUAGAGUUAGCAUUUAGUGUAUAAAAAAAUAGUGUAUAAAAUUUUUUCAAUUGCAGUUUAGUUCCACAAAUACUGACGAUGAACCUUAAAACGAAAAUGAAAAUUACAAAAAGAAAAACAAACCACAUCUAUUAUCAAACCAGCAAUCCGUGUCUAAACUUAAAUUAACAAAAUUCAUCAUGCAACUCGGUACACUAUUUUAUAAUAUAUAUAUUAGAUUUAUUCUUGAUGCACAUGUUUUAUUAUAGUUAAAAAUUAAAAUAUAUGAUUAACUGAGUUUUAGUUGAGUUAGUAUUGGUAUUAUAUCAGUGUAGAAAAAUGUGAGUUCAAUCGUACUUAAAUAUGUAUCCUCCAACUCAACAGUUGGGAAAAGGUUAUUGAUAAUUAAAUUACACCAAUUUUUACAAUAUCUAAAAAGCAUUCAUAAACAUAUUCAUAUUGAUGGGCUCUUUCAUUAUUAAACUUUUUUUCUCUCACAAGUAAAAGUACUUGUGGUGAGGAUCAUGUAAAAUAAUAAACUGAAUAAUUUUAAACGUCUCAUCAUUGCUAAAAUGAAAUAAUAGAAAAGAAGACAUUUUAUGAAAUUUACAAUUCCAACUGUGAAUAAAAUAUAAAUUUAUGAAUGUGAACAAGCCAUUUUAUUUAUAAUUUUCUGUGUUUUUCUUCUUUUUCUGACUUUUUUUUAGUCAUUUUCUUUGUUUCCUAACCACCAUGAAAUUACUUGUCACAAUUCAUCUUUUUAAAUGAGAAGCAUUUUCCACAAUUUGCCAUCACUUUAACAUACACUAACUUUUCUAUGAUUAGUCCUUGGUUUGCUUGUCACCAUGAAAUUACUUGUCACAAUUUUCCACAAUCUUCCAACUAGCCUCAUCCUUGGUUUUACUUUCCAACAAUUAUUGUAUCCUUCUCAUUACUUGUACUUACCCGACUGAUAAAAAAUUCACUGAUCAAAUUAGUUCAAAGUUUUUUUUUUUUUUCUAAAUCAUGUGAAUUCACGAGUUUUUUUUCUUUAAAAAAUAUUUUUGUGGAUAUUAGGAGAUACUGAAAAUUAUUUUACUAUGAAAUUUUAAUAAAACUGGACAAUAAGUGAUUUAUUUAAAGGGAUCACAAUUAAACAUUAGAUUUUUAAUUUUUUAAUUUUAAAACUUUUUGACAAUUGCGUAAUUAAUAAGGUACUAAUUUUGAGCGUUGUAGGAGUGCUAUAAACUUCACUACGCAUAAUCGACUCUUAAAUCCACCUUUUUCUCUAGAAUUAUAACAAAUUUACAAAAUGAUUUAAUGAUAUUUAAUUAUUGACCGGUAAAAAAAUUAUAUCAUAUAAAUUCCGAAUUAUUAAUUAUAUAUCUACAUAUUAUAACCAAUUCAUCUUUCAAAAUUAUUUCCUUAUAAUUAAAGCAAAAAUUAUAUUUAUAAAAUUCUAAAUAUAUUAUAAUUCUUGUAAAUAUAUAUAUUUAUAUAUAUAAGUUCAAAUUGUAAUAGAGUUAACAUUUAAUGUAUAAAAAAUGUCUUGAAAAUUAUUAUUUUUUUCAAUUCCAAAAGAACUAUUCCAUUUAUAGAACCAUAAAACUUUAAAAAUAUAAACUCUAUUAAAUAAAAAUAAUAAUAUAUUUAAACAAUAAAUAUUGACUUUAUUUUAAAUUGACAUUAUCUAAUUCUUUUUAAUAAAUAUAGCUAAGCUUUACAUUAAUAUACAUGAUUUAUUUGUUCGUGGUUGUUAUUAUUAUUAUUAUUAUUAUUAUUAUUAUUUCUAUGAUUUUUAUAUCAUACUUAUCGGACUACAAUCAUAACCAUGUCUAUUAUCAUUUGAUAAAAAAAAUUAAGUGUUGAGUAUAAUGACAAGGCACGUUACACUCUUAAGGGGAGAUCAAGGUUUGGACAAGGGAAGAAUAUCAUUUAAAUUUUGGAGACAACAUUCUUUAAAUGAGCAACCACAAACCCCGAUUAUGAACCAUAAAACGAGCAUGAAAAGUACCCAAAAAAACAAGUUUAUUAUCAAAAUAGUAAUCCAUCCAAGGAUUAAAUUAACAAAAUUCACCAUCCAACCGUGUAGACUAUUAUAUAUAUAUAUACCAUAUUUAUUCUUCAUGCAAAUGUUUAUUAUAUUUAAAAAUUAAAAUAUAUGAUUGAUUGAGUUUUAGUUGAGUUAAUAUUGAUAUUAUUGUCAGUGCAAAAGAAUAUGAGUUCAAUCAUGUUUAAAUACAUUUUAUACUCCAAUUUAGGAGUUGGAGAGGAUUCUCAGUAGUUAAAUUAUAUCAGUUUUUGUCUAUUUAAAAUUGAUUUAUAAAUAAUAUAAGUAGAAAAUUUUAUAAAAAUAUACAUACUCAUAUUGAUUGGCUUUUUCAUUAUUAGACAUUUUUCCCCAUAGGUAAAAGUAUUUAUCGAAUUCAAAUUUUGGGUUUUAAAUAAGGGUUUUCGGAUUUUUUUUUAACAUUUGUGAGAGUUUUUGCCAAAUUUUAUGUUUUCAAAAACGCAUAACUAAGUUGAUUUUUAAUUAGUUUUUCAAAUGAGUCAAUGUAAUUCCUUAAAAAUCUAGUGAUAGCGUCUAGCCUGGGUUUGGGGGUGUUACACUGACGUUACUAAAGUUAAUCUUAAUCUAUUUAGUCUAGAUCUGAACAUUAAUAUUCUCUUCCAAUAAAAAUAAAGAUCAUCAAAUUAUUACAAUUGUGAAGCCAGACAAUCAUAUUAAAUAAGCAUAAAACUUAAUAAAUAAUUAGCGAAGAUUGAAACAAUCAAAGAAAAAAUAAAUUAAUUAACUAAGAAAUAAGGAUCCAUUAUUGUUUCAAGAAAACAGAGUUUAGUUCAUAUUGAGUUGAGAAAACCAAAAAUUAGAUUCAAAACAAACUUGUGAUAAGGGGAACAAUGUCAACAGAUCAUAUUCAAGUUGUUCGACUCGAGAAAGCAAGAUUCGGAUUUGACCUGAAAAGAAGAAACCAAACAGAUUAGGAAAACAAGAAAAAAACAAAGAAAAAAAAAUAAAAUGAGAAAUUUAAGAAUAAAGAAUAAAUAUUAAAAAAUAAUAAAGAAAUAAAUAAAUUAUAGAAUAAAAAGUGGCAGAUGGAAUGAAUAAAUGAUGGAUAUGACAUAUAGAUGGAUAAGUGUCUGAUAACCCUUGAAAAAAAGUUAUAUUUUGUUAGGGAUCGACCCGAUUAAGCAACAAGUAACAAAAAAAGGGAAUAAAUUGAGAAAUUGAACACACAAAUUUAACGUGAAAAAAACCUUCCGAAGAGGAUAAAAAAACCACGGGAAAAGAUAAAUUUACUAUAAUGGCAAAAGAACGAAGAGUACAAAAGAUGGAGAUAAAACUAAACUCCAAAAACCCGAAAAUAAAGAACCCUCAAAACGUAAACACAAAAUUCUCUAAAUGUGUUAUGAGUUCUAAUCUCUAAUGUGUGUCAACUAAGGUUGUAAAAGAGCCUAUUUAUAGGCUAAAUUCAUAUGUCAAAUAAUAAUAAAAUAAUCUAAACUAAUCAGUGUUUGACUGAAAUAAAUAAACAAAGUUUAACUAAAAGAUUAUUUUUUAAAUUUGACUGAAAAUAGGAGUCAUACUUAACAAAUCUCCACCUUGACUCAUAUUUCUACAAUGCCAUCUUUGCCAAAGCCCGCUACGAGCCUAUCUUGAACUAUACAGGGAAUUAACUGAGUCGAAUCUGUGCUUAGAAACUGGAAGACUUCUAGCUUUCGACUUGUACACUGCCAAAUCAAAACUAACCCGAGUUUGAUUUUCACGAACACAGUGUCCUAACUUUUCAAAACCUGCAUCCAAAAGAGAACCUCUCUUCAAUGAAACGGUCAUACAUUUUUCCCUCCUAUGACCAAGUUGCCUCUGCUCCAAACGAGUUGACUUCGACUCUGUAACAGACGAGGGAUGUCCGAUUUCACCGGUCAUUGUAGAACCUUCCAGAAUAUAAAGACUGCCAUUUCUUUUACCUUUGAACAAAAUGAGAGCUCCACGAGAUACUUUAAUGCUGCUCGACUCGAUGUUGAUUCUGCAUCAUUUCAAGUCUAAAAUACUCAAGGAGAUGAGAUUCUUUCGUAAAUUAGGUACAUACCUGACAUCUGAGAGUGUCCUAAUCGUCCCAUCGUGUGUCCUAAUUUUAACAGUACCAACACCAAUUACCUUACUAGAUGAAUUGUUUCCCAUGCGCACAACUCCACCUUCAACCGAACUGUAUGUGGAGAACCAUUCUCUAUUGGGACACAUGUGGAAAGAACAUCCCAAAUCUAGGAUUCACUCGAACGUGAGCUUGGAGUUAUCACUCGUUGACACUAACAAGAAAUCAUCACCACUUUCAUCGAUCAAAUUAGCACUAGCUACAUCUUCCUCGUUACUCUCAGCAGCUCCUUUAUUUCGCAGUUUAUAACAAUUUGCUUUGACAUGACCUAACUUUUUACAAUAGUGACACCUUUUGUCUCGUUUCUUUGAUGCCAUCAAAAUGGAAGAUUGCCUAUCUGCCUUGCUAUCUAAAUGAAACUCAUUUUCGAGUUUGUCUCUACUCAACAAAUGACCCUUCACAUCUUCGAACGAGAGUUUGUCUCUGCCAUAGGGUCUCCUUGAAAGAUUUGUAUGAAGGGGGUAAAGAGCAUAAUAAUAGCAUAGCUUGAUCUUCAUCAUCAAUAUGAACCUCAAAGUUCUUUAAAUCAUUUAAAAGAAUAAUGAAUUGACUGAUGUGAUCUCUAAGAAGCUCACAUUCGUUCCUGCGAAACGUAAAUAGACGUUGUUUCAACAGUAAACGGUUAGCCAGAGACUUAGUCGCAUAAAGAGUUUCUAACCUUUUCCAUAAGGUGGAUGAGGUCUUCUCCAUCAAUACCUCCUGCAAUACCGUAUUCGCGAGGCACAACUGGAUUGCAGACAAGGCAUUUUCAUCAAGCUCUUCCCAUUCUGUUUUAUUUAGAUUCUCAGGCUUUUUUUGGUAACAACCUUUUUCAAACCGGAUUGAACUAGAAUUGCCAUCAUCCAAACUUGCCAUAGAUUGAAAUUGGUCUCACCAUCGAACUUCUCAAUUUCAAACCUUGUUGUUGCCAUAUCUGAAUGGGCUGAUUUAUGAAAAUUGAACUAGCUCUGAUACCACUUGUUAGGGAUCGACCCGAUUAAGCAACAAGUAACAAAAAAGGAAAUAAAUUGAGAAAUUGAACACACAAAUUUAACGUGAAAAAAACCCUCCGAAGAGGAUAAAAAAACCACAGGAAAAGAUAAAUUUACUAUAAUGGCAAAAGAACGAAGAGUACAAAAGAUGGAGAUAAAACUAAACUCCAAAAACCCGAAAAUAAAGAACCCUCAAAACGUAAACACAAAAUUCUCUAAAUGUGUUAUGAGUUCUAAUCUCUAAUGUGUGUCAACUAAGGUUGUAAAAGAGCCUAUUUAUAGGCUAAAUUCAUAUGUCAAAUAAUAAUAAAAUAAUCUAAACUAAUCAGUGUUUGACUGAAAUAAAUAAACAAAGUUUAACUAAAAGAUUAUUUUUUAAAUUUGACUGAAAAUAGGAGUCAUACUUAACAAAUCUCCACCUUGACUCAUAUUUCUACAAUGCCAUCUUUGCCAAAGCCCGCCACGAGCCUAUCUUGAACUAUGCAGGGAAUUAACUGAGUCGAAUCUGUGCUUAGAAACUGGAAGACUUCUAGCUUUCGACUUGUACAUUGCCAAAUCAAAACUAACCCGAGUCUGAUUUUCACGAACACAGUGUCCUAACUUUUCAAAUCCUACAUUGAAAAGAGAACCUCUCUUCAAUGAAACCGUCAUACAUUUUUCCCUCCUAUGACCAAGUUGCCUCUGCUCCAAACGAGUUGACUUCGACUCUGUAACAGACGAGGGAUGUCCGAUUUCACCGAUCAUUGUAGAACCUUCCAGAAUAUAAAGACUGCCAGUUCUUUUACCUUUGAACAAAACGAGAGCUCCACGAGAUACUUUAAUGCUGCUCGACUCGAUGUUGAUUCUGCAUCAUUUCAAGUCUAAAAUACUCAAGGAGAUGAGAUUCUUUCAUAAAUUAGGUACAUACCUGACAUCUGAGAGUGUCCUAAUCGUCCCAUCGUAUGUCCUAAUUUUAACAGUACCAACACCAAUUACCUUACUAGAUGAAUCAUUUCCCAUGCGCACAACUCCACCUUCAACCGAACUGUAUGUGGAGAACCAUUCUCUAUUGGGACACAUGUGGAAAGAACAUCCCAAAUCUAGGAUCCACUCGAACGUGAGCUUGGAGUUAUCACUCGUUGACACUAACAAGAAAUCAUCACCACUUUUAUCGAUCAAAUUAGCACUAGCUACAUCUUCCUCAUUACUCUCAGCAGCUCUUUUAUUUCGCAGUUUAUAACAAUCUGCUUUGACGUGACCUAACUUUUUACAAUAGUGACACAUCUCGUUUCUUUGAUGCCAUCAAAAUGGAAGAUUGCCUAUUUGCCUUACUAUUUAAAUGAAACUCAUUUUCGAGUUUGUCUCUACUCAACAAAUGACCCUUCACAUCUUCGAACGAGAGUUUGUCUCUGCCAUAAGGUCUCCUUAAAAGACUUGUAUGAAGGGGGUAAAGAGCAUAAUAAUAGCAUAGCUUGAUCUUCAUCAUCAAUAUGAACCUCAAAGUUCUUUAAAUCAUUUAAAAGAAUAAUGAAUUGACUGAUGUGAUCUCUAAGAAGCUCACCUUCGUUCCUGCGAAACGUAAAUAGACGUUGUUUCAACACUAAACGGUUAGCUAGAGACUUAGUCGCAUAAAGAGUUUCUAACCUUUUCCAUAAGGUGGAUGAGGUCUUCUCCAUCAAUACCUCCUGCAAUACCGUAUUCGCGAGGCACAACUGGAUUACAGAUAAGGCCUUUUCAUCAAGCUCUUCCCAUUCUGUUUUAUUUAGAUUCUCAGGCUUUUUUUGGUAACAACCUUUUUCAAACCGGAUUGAACUAGAAUUGCCAUCAUCCAAACUUGCCAUAGAUUGAAAUUGGUCUCACCAUCGAACUUCUCAAUUUCAAACCUUGUUGUUGCCAUAUCUAAAUGGGCUGAUUUAUGAAAAUUGAACUAGCUCUGAUACCACUUGUUAGGGAUCGACCCGAUUAAGCAACAAGUAACAAAAAAGUGAAAUAAUUUGAGAAAUUGAACACACAAAUUUAACGUGGAAAAACCCCUCCAAAGAGGAUAAAAAACCACGGGCAAAGAUAAGUUUACUAUAAUGGCAAAAGAACGAAGAGUACAAAAGAUGGAGAUAAAACUAAACUCGAAAAACCCAAAAACAAAGAACCCUCAAAACGUAAACACAAAUGGGUGUCAACUAAGGUUGUAAAAGAGCCUAUUUAUAGGCUAAAUUCAUAUGUCAAAUAAUAAUAAAAUAAUCUAAACUAAUCAGUGUUUGACUGAAAUAAAUAAACAGAGUUUAACUAAAAGAUUAUGUUUUAAAUUUGACUGAAAAUAGGAGUCAUACUUAACAUAUUUCAUGCCUUUAAACCUAACUAAUUGUUUGUACUUAAGUAUAUUUUUUUCUUUUUAAGACAUUGUAGCGAACAUUUUUAAUAUUGUAUUAGGACAUAGACUAUGUUGGAAUUAGGUGCUUUUAAUCUCUUGUGGUGGAGUUUUUGUGUGUUGGUAUGGCAGGAACAUGUUUUAAAACGAGGAAAUAAAUGAGUGAAGUUUUGUUAGGGAAAAAGUGCAAACAGUUUGCCAACACAGAUGUCGUGGCAAUGCCGGGAAGACCAAGUUCAUAUUUUUUGUGCAGCAAUCCCGGUUCAAACUCAAACUUGUAUGAGAUAAAUCCCCCUAAAAGAGGAGAAGAUAAUCACAUUGCUGUUAGCUGACCCUAGCCUAAUCUAUCUAUUAAAGCCAAUGAAAAGGAUCUCACAAAGGGUAGAAAAAAGUGAGAGAGAUCCUUAGGGAUGAAUAAGGGUUUGGCUGCGCAAAAGAACAGAAGUCGAAGGGAAUCAUUCUUAGCCAUCACAGAACGUUGUGCUGCCAAAGUGUGGACUAGGCAAGUGAAAGAUGUUUCCAAAAGUUCUUCUGUUAUUUCCAUUAGUGUUCCUUCCAAAGAUUGAAUUGAAGUAGUUGAACACAAUGUCGGAUAAUAUUUUGGUUUGAAAUUUUAUUUCCCAGCUUAUGAGCUAAAUCUCAUAAGGUUAGGAUUACUUUCGAUGAAACCUUAAAUUUUUUUAUAGAUGAAGUAUAUAUCUAAUUUACAUUAUUGUUUCAUUUGAUUGUUCUAAUUUCUUAAUUAAAAUGCAAAUGAUCUCUAGACAUAGAAGACUGUUCGCAUACUUAUAAAUUGAUUGUAAUUAUAAAAGGGUUGGAUUAAAAUUAAAUGAAAUGAGCAGGUAUUUGAUAGACACUUGUAGUCGACUCUAGACAUAGAGUCACGAUCAUACAGAAGAAGCCCAUGCAAGAUAUCGAAAAAGCCUUUAGACACCAGGCAAGGCAACUUGAGGUUUUUCUCUCACGAGAGGCAGACCAUUUUAGAACUCUUCUGUGUUGUAAAGUAGAUACAAUUUUGCCAAGACAAUAUUGACAAUGAGGGUUGAUUCUGGGUAAUCCCGACCUUCCAAAUCCACUUCGUAUAUCCUUUAAUCUUUUUCAUAAUAUCUUUGCCACAUAAUUAUUAGUUAUUUAUUUGUUCAUUUACAUAAUAUUCCCAUAGUAAUUCUCAUAAUUGCCAUUAUGUUUCUACUCUCGGUUGGCCAUAGCAUUACUAAUUAUUCAUUAAUUCCACAUAUUGAUUACAUCAUUAAUCUACUCAUUGUCAUUGCAUAUUUAUCAUUGACUUUGUCAUAGCAUUAAUUGCAUUUUAUUAUAAUAACUUGACCAAUUUUGUGCCUCAAUCCGAUUUUCGUGGGAACAAUACUCACUCAUCACUUUAUUACUUGAUUCAACGUGUAUACUUGCACAAAUCGCAUAUCAUUUCACAUGCGACAGUGUCCAAUUUAACCUUUUGAGAUAUAAACUCAAACAAACUCAAUUAAUGGCUUUAAUCAACCCACCAAGAAAUAAUAAUUGGCAAAUUGAAGGAUGAAGAAUGAAUUCCCAUGACUCCUUAAAGAAAAUUGAGAAGAAAACUGCUUCUAAAAAUUACAAGAAAUAAUCUUGCACAAAGAAACUUACCCUCAGAGUUGGAAAUUUUAGUAAUGAGCAAAAACAAUUGUGUCUCUAAUGAACAUGAAGGGGCCUUUACAUAGGAUAGAUAAGUACAUCCAAAUAAAAUUUUGAAGUAUAUUAAAACUUUAAUUAAUGUAAGAAAAAAAGUAAUUUUCAACUAAAAUAGUCAUAAUUUCUAUAAUAAUCCCGUCUAGAAAUUCUGCUCACAUAGCCAUCACUAAAAUAGUCAUAAAUUGAGCUCUUGAACUCGAAAUUGAAUGAAUAAAAGUGUGUUUGAAAGUUAAGUAAUAGAUCUUAGAACUCCAUCAAGACAUAUCAAUCAAAAAAUGUCUGGAUCCCAUCCAAAAAGUCAUUGCAAGUUAACUAAUUUUCCAAACUUGAAAAUUGACAGCUUCGGGGAAUGGAAUUUAAUAAAGUUCACCCCAUCUACUCAAGUAUAAACUUGCAGUGGUAAAAAGUAAAAAUAAAUAAUCUAUAGAGAAACUAGUUGAAGAAUUUAUGACAAUUUAUUUAGAUCUUUUUUUCUUCUAGCCUUUGCAAACUUGAAGUUUCCCUUGGUGUGAGAGAGUUGUUCCUUACCCUCUAAGUUAUUUUUUUUCUUUUCCUUUUUUUUUCUUUCUCUUCGAUCUUGUCACCUAAGGGUGUUCAAAUGAUUGAUUCAGUUAAUACCCGAACAAUGCUAUCAUUAACUGAAAUUUUGAAACCUUAAUCGUUAAUGAAACCAAUUUUUUGUUGAAACCUAUUAACCGGCCGGAUUGAUUUCGGUUAAUUCAGGCGGCUAGCCGGAAUUUAUACAUUAUUUUUUUCAAACAAUUUUAAAACAAAGAACAAUCCAUGACAACUUUUUCCUUGUUUUUUAUUCAAAAAUUAUUAAAAGAAUUUUAAAAAAUAACAUAAUAACAACACUAAAUUAAAAACAUAAUAGCAUUCAUUACAUUACAAAGCAUAAUUUCUUUUUUUUUUUACUUUUUGUUGACUUUUUAGUUUAAUUUUAGUUUUUUUUUUCAAAUAUUUUUAGUUUUCAUAUUUUUGUUAAGCUUAUUAUAAGAAAACUUAUAAAUCCAUUAGUUUUUAUAUAUUAGGUUUGUAUAAUGUAUUGGACCUAUCUCUAACAUAUUGGGCCUAUAAUAUAUUUUUAUUGAUUUCGGUUAAUCAAUUAAUUUGGUUAAUUAGUCGAUUUCAAACUAAACUAAUCGAUAAACAAAAUUUUCUAAAACAUUUAACCAACUCCCAACCAAAUUAGAUUCGUUGAUCGACUGCUUAAUCAAAUUAAUCAUAUGGUAGAAUGGCAUGUUUUUGGAAUGGCUAUUUGGCAUUAUUGGUAUAGGUUUAAGUUAUGAUCUAAAGAUGUUGAAUUGAAUUAAGUUUGAUAUGUAUACUAUGAUGUCUUCAUUGGCAUAUUGGUUAGAUAUUAAAGGAUGGUUGAUUUGGUAUGUUUUGAAAAUGGUUCUUGGUAUGUUUGAUCUAAGUUGAUUAAAUGAACUUGUAAUGUUGAAUGGUAUAAUAUUUGUUGUUACAUUAGUUAGUCUUAUAGGUUGAUGGAAUUGGUAUGUUUUAAAUGUGUUUAAAAUGUGUUUUGAUUAUUUAAAUGUUUGUGGAAAUGGUGUGUCUUGGUGUACAAGAUUUGAAAUUGAAAUGGCUUGAUUUAGAAAGCAACUUAUGCUGCACACCGCCUAGGACAUGGGUUGUCACAUGGCUGUGUGUCAUUAUUGUUUUAGGUACAGGUUUCACACAAUCUAAGACUUGGCUCACGACAUGGCUACGUAUCAUAAGUCAAUAUGUAACACGGUUUGGUACAUGGCCUGUAACACGACCGUGUGUCCAAACUUCAAAUGUUUACACGUCCUGGGCUAUGUCACACGACUUGGCCACAUGGCCGUGUGACCCUUGUUUUAAAGUUUUCUGAAAUUUUCUAUUUUAUUUCAAAUUGAUCCUAGAAUAUUCUCAAACUAUUUUUAGGGCCUCGUAGGUUCAAAUUAAGGCCCACAAAUGUAUGCUUGCUAUAAUUAAGUUGUGCUAAUUAAUGUUAUUAAUUAAAUGGCAUGAAUAUUUUAUUGUAAGUUAAAUUUUUUAAUUUGUCCUAUAAUGCUCCGUAACCCAAAUCAAGUGACGGAGAUAGGUUUGGGUGUUACAAUUUUGGACUGUAAAUUUGUUUUGAGGCUUUGUUCUUUGGUUCUUGCAAUGUUUGUUGGAUUUUAGUGUUUUAACAUUAAACUGCAAAAUUGUAUGAUUUAACAAACUAAAAAUUAGGUUUUCAAAAUUAAAACUCUAGAAAUUUUCAUUACAAAGAUUAAGUAAUCACUUAAGUGUUUUCCCAUAAAUAAUUAAAUGGUUUUUAACAAAUGUUUUCCUUAGUUUUGGGAAUGAUAUGCCAACAUUAGUACUUUUAAAACACAUGGUUUUAAAUAAGGGUUUUCAAACUUUGGUUUUUUAACAUUUGUGAGAGGUUUUUGCCAAAUUUUAUGUUUUCAGAAUGUGUAACUAAGUUGAUUUUAAUUAGUUUUUCAACGAGUUUAUGUAAUUCCUCAAAAAUCCAGUCAUAGCAUCUAGGCCGGGUUUGGGGUGUUACACUAACAUUACUAAAGUUAAUCUUAAUCUAUUUAGUCUAGAUCUAAACAUUAAUAUUCUCUUCAAAGAAAAUCAAGAUUAUCAAAUUAUUACAACUUGGUAGGCAGACAAUCUUAUUAAAUAUGCAUAAAAGUUAAUAAAUAGUUAGCGAAGAUUGAAACAAUCAAAGAAAAAAUAAAUUAAUUAACUAAGAAAUAGGAUCCAUUAUUGUUCCAAGAAAAUAGAGUUUAGUUCAUAUUGAUUGAGAAAAUCAAAAGGGAGAUUCAAAAAACACUUGUGAUAAGGGGAACAAUGUCAAUAGAUCAUAUUCAAGUUGUUCGACUCAAGAAAGAAAUAUUUGGAUCUAGCCUGAAAAGAAGAAACCAAACAGAUUUAGGAAAAAAAGAAAAAAAAGAAAAAAACUUAAAUAAUAAAUUUAAGAAUAAAUAAUAAAUAUUAAAAAUAAUAAAGAAAUAAAGAAAUUAUAGAAUAAAUAGUGGAAGAUGGAAUGAAUAAACGAUGGAUAUGACAUAUAGAUGGAUAAGUGUCUGAUAAUUCUUGAAAAGAGUUAUAUUUCAUGCCUUUAGACCUAACUAAUUGCUUGUACUUAAGUACAUUUUGUUGCAUUUUAAGAUAUUUUAGUUAGUAUUUGUAAUAUUGCAUUAGGAUUUAGAUUGUGUUGGAAUUAGGUGUUUUUAAUCACUUGUGGUGGAGUUUUUGGUGUGCUGGUAUGGCAGGAACAUUAUUUAGAACGAGGAAAUAAAUGAGUGAAGUUUUGCCAAUGCAAAAGUGCAGAUAGUUUGCCAGCACAGAUGCCGUGGAAAUGCCGAGAAGACCAAGUCAACAUUUUUUUGUGCAACAGUCCCAGUUCAAAUUCAAACUUGUACCAAAUAAAUCUCCCUAAAAGAGGAGAAGAUAAUCACAACUUGUUAGCCAACCCUAGCCUAAUCUAUCUAUAAAAGCCAAUGAAGGGGAUCUCACAAAUGGCAGAAAAAAGUGGGAGAGAUCCUUAGGUGUGAAUAAUGAUUCAGCUGUGCAAAGGAAAGGAAGUCAAAGGCAGUCCCUUUUAGCCAUCACAGGACGUUGUGCUGCCGAUGUGUGGACUAGGCAAGUGAAAGUUGUAUCCCAAAGUUCUUUCGUUAUUUCCAUUAGUGUUCCUUCAAAAUAUUGAAGUAGUUGAACACAACGUUGGAUAAUAUUUUGGUUUGGAAUUUUAUAUCCCAGCUCAUGAGCUAAAUCUCGUAGGGUUGAGAUUACUUUUGAAGAAACCUUAAACUGCUUUUAUGAAUGCAAAUGAUCUCUGGACAUAGAAGACUGUUCGUAUACUUAUAAACUGAUUCUAAUUCUAAAACGGUUGGAUUGGUUGGAUUAAAAUUAAAUGAAAUGAGCAAGCAUUCGAUAGACACUUGUAGUAGACUCUAGACAUAGAGUCACGCUCAUACAAAAGGAACCCAUGCAAGAUAUCUAAAAAGCCUUUAGACACAGGCAAGGUAACUUGAGGUGUUGCUCUCACGAGAGGCAGGCCAUUUUAGUACUCUUCUGUGCUUUAAAGUAGAUAUGAUUUUGCCAAGGCAUUAUUGAAAAUAAGGGUCGAUUUUGGGUAAUCUCGACCUUCCAAAUCCACAUCGUAUAUCUUUUAUUCUUUCCCAUAGUAUAUUUGCCACAUCAUUAUUAGUUAUUUAUUUGCUCAUUUACAUAAUAUUCCUAUAGUAAUUCUCAUAAUUGUCAUUACAUUUCUACUCUCGAUUUGGCACAACAUUACCAGUUAUUUAUUAAUUCCACGCAUUGCUUACAUCAUUACUCUACUAAUUACCACUGUAUAUUUACCAUUGACUUUCCCAUAGUAUUAAUCGUAUUUUAUUAUAAUAACUUGACCAAUUUUGUGCCUCAAUUCGAUCCUCAUGGAACGAUACUCACUCAUCACUUUAUUUGUAACAUCCCAAACUUGGAUUAGAAGUUAUGACUGAAUCCGGCGAUAUCACAUGGAAAGGGAUUUGAAGACAAGAUUGUCGAGUUUAAAAACCAUUAUAGAAAGUUAGCUUUUAUUUAAUUCGGGAAAAAAACUAGUUGAUUUUCUUUAAAACUUGUCUCUUAGCAGAAGCUUUUGUAACCAAUUAAUUUACGAAAAAUCGUUUCUAUUUACAAAAAACUUUAGUAGGAAAAACUAUGUUUUGUGGAGUUGCAGUUUUUAAAAGAAACCCAUAAAAAAAGUAUAAAGUCCCAAAUUUAAAACCAACCAGUCCAUAGUCUAGAAGAUACAUCAAAAACUCCAAANNNNNNNNNNNNNNNNNNNNNNNNNNNNNNNNNNNNNNNNNNNNNNNNNNNNNNNNNNNNNNNNNNNNNNNNNNNNNNNNNNNNNNNNNNNNNNNNNNNNNNNNNNNNNNNNNNNNNNNNNNNNNNNNNNNNNNNNNNNNNNNNNNNNNNNNNNNNNNNNNNNNNNNNNNNNNNNNNNNNNNNNNNNNNNNNNNNNNNNNNNNNNNNNNNNNNNNNNNNNNNNNNNNNNNNNNNNNNNNNNNNNNNNNNNNNNNNNNNNNNNNNNNNNNNNNNNNNNNNNNNNNNNNNNNNNNNNNNNNNNNNNNNNNNNNNNNNNNNNNNNNNNNNNNNNNNNNNNNNNNNNNNNNNNNNNNNNNNNNNNNNNNNNNNNNNNNNNNNNNNNNNNNNNNNNNNNNNNNNNNNNNNNNNNNNNNNNNNNNNNNNNNNNNNNNNNNNNNNNNNNNNNNNNNNNNNNNNNNNNNNNNNNNNNNNNNNNNNNNNNNNNNNNNNNNNNNNNNNNNAGUUCUACACUUACGCCCAUAUAAUGCUUCAUACGGUGCCAUUCGUAUACUUGACUGAUAGCUAUUGUUAUAAGCAAAUUCAACCAAUGGUAGAUAUUUCUCCCAACUGCCUUUCAAUUCUAAAAUACAACACCGGAGCAUAUCUUCAAGAAUUUGAAUCACUCUUUCCGAUUGCCCGUCAGUUUGCGGAUGAAACGCAGUACUGAAAUUCAAUUUUGUACCCAAGGCUUCCUGCAACUUUAUCCAAAACCUCGAAGUAAAUCUCAGAUCUCUAUCCGAUAUAAUAGAUUUAGGCACCCCAUGUAAUCUCACUAUUUCAGCAACAUAUAAUUCUGCCAACCUGUCAAGUGAGUAAUCAAUGCGUAUCGGAAUAAAAUGAGCCGACUUUGUCAAUCUAUCAACAAUUACCCAAAUAGCAUCUUUCUUCUUUGGAGUUAAAGGCAAUCCUGUCACAAAAUCCAUCGUAAUACUAUCCCACUUCCACUCUGGAAUCGUUAUCGGUUGAAGUAAACCCGAUGGUACUUGAUGCUCAGCCUUCACUUGUUGACAGAUUAAACACUUUGAUACAAAUUCCGAGAUAUCCUUUUUCAUGCCUGGCCACCAAUACAACUUCUUCAAAUCAUUAUACAUUUUCACACUACCCGGAUGAACUGACAAGUCACCACUAUGUGCCUCACAUAAAAUGGUCUGAAUUAACUCAUCAUUUCUUGGUACACAUACUCUAUCCCGGAACAUCAAGCAAUCAUCUGAACCAAUUUGAAAAUCUGAGUCAACACCUGCUUCACACUGAGCUCUCUUGGCUUGCAAUUUACUGUCAUUCUUUUGAGAUUCCCGAAUUUACUGAAGAAAUAAUGGUCUAGCUCUCAAUUCAACCAACAUUGAGCCAUCAUCAGAUAAAGUUAACAUCGUACCCAUAGCUCUCAAAGCAAAUAAAGAUUUUCUGCUCAAGGCAUCAGCAACCACAUUAGCUUUCCCGGGGUGAUAAUCAAUCACUAGCUCAUAGUCUUUGAUUAGCUCGAGCCAUCUUCGUUGCCGCAAAUUCAAAUCUUUUUGGCUCAUCAAAUACUUCAAACUCUUAUGAUCAGUGAAGAUUCGGCACUUUUCACCAUACAAAUAAUGACGCCAAAUUUUUAAAGCAAAAACAAUGGCAGCCAAUUCUAAAUCAUGCGUCGGAUAAUUCUUCUCAUGCGGUUUCAAUUGUCUCGAAGCAUAAGCUAUUACUUUGCCCUCUUGCAUUAACACACACCCAAGACCAUUCAACGAUGCAUCACUGUAAAUUACAAACUCCUUCCCGGACUCAGGUUGCACCAACACUGGCGCCUCAGUCAAUAAUGCCUUCAACUUUUCAAAACUCUGUUGACAUUUAUUGGUCCAUUCAAACUUGACAUUCUUCUGCAGUAACUUAGUCAUAGGAGAAGCAAUCAUCGAAAAUCCCUUGACAAAGCGUCUGUAAUACCCAGCUAAGCCCAGAAAGCUUCUAACUUCUGUCACAUUCUUUGGUGGCUCCCAAUCAACAAUUGCUGAAAUUUUGCUUGGAUCAACCCGAAUACCUUCACUUGAAACUAUAUGUCCCAAGAAUCCAACCUCACGAAGCCAAAACUCACUUUUGCUGAAUUUAGCAUACAAUUUCUUUUCUCUCAGAAUCUGCAACACAGUUCUUAAAUGUUCUGCAUGCUCAGAUUCAUCCCGAGAAUAGAUUAAAAUAUCAUCUAUGAACACCACCACGAACUUAUCCAAGUACGGCCGAAAAAUUUGGUUCAUCAAGUCCAUAAAAAUAGCUGGAGCAUUUGUUAACCCAAAAGGCAUUACCAGAAAUUCAUAGUGUCCAUACCUUGUUCUAAAGGCGGUUUUCGGCACAUCAGACUCUUUAACUCUUAACUGAUAGUAACCAGACCUCAAAUCAAUCUUAGAAAACACUGUUGCCCCUUUUAAUUGAUCAAAUAAAUCAUCAAUUCUCGGCAAAGGAUACUUGUUCUUUAUAGUCACCUUGUUGAGCUGACGAUAGUCAAUACAAAGUCUCAUAGAGCCGUCCUUUUUUUUCACAAAUAACACAGGAGCACCCCAAGGAGAAAAACUCGGUCUCACAAAUCCUUUAUCUGUCAACUCUUGUAACUGAGCUUUUAAUUCCUUCAACUCAGUCGGAGCCAUUUGAUACAGUGCAAUAGAAAUCGGUGCAGUACCAGGUAACAGAUCAAUAGAAAACUCAACUUCUCUAAUCGGAGGUAACCCAGGCAAUUCCUCUGGAAAUACAUCUGGAAAUUCACAAACUACCGGCACUGAUUCAAGCUUCGACCCAGUAAUAUCCGUGUUUAGCACAUAAGCAAGAUAAACUUCACAUCCCUUUCUCAAGUAUUUCUGAGCAGACAUGUGCGAAAUCACCAUAGGCAACUUAUUCGGCUCCUUUGUUUCAACCCGGAGAAUUUCACCGUUUUCACAAUUUAAUUCAAGAAUUUUCUGUCUACAAUUUCCCUUGGCAUCAUGCAAUAUCAACCAAUCCAUCCCCAAAAUAACAUCAAACUCAUCAAAUGGUAACAACAUCAAAUUAGCCGGGAAACAGUGGCCUUGAAUCAUCAGGGGACAAUUCUUGCAAACCUUAUCGACUAAGACAUAUUUGCCUAAAGGAUUUGAUACUUUAACUACAAAUUCAGUUUUUUCAACAGGCAAUUUCUUACUAGACACCAAAUUCAUGCAUAUAUAUGAAUGAGUAGAGCCGGGAUCAAUCAAAGCAAUAACAUCAAUAUCAUGAAGAGAAAAUGUACCAGUAAUCACAUCGGGAGAUGAGGCAUCCUCUCGAGCGCGUAUAGCAUAAGUCCUAGCAGGCGCUCUAGUUUCUGAUCCUCCAGCUGUAUCUUUUAUCACACUCUUACCACUGGCUUUGCUUCCCACAUUUCUCGGUGGUCUGCCUCUACUGACAACAUCACCCGAUCCAGCUCUUUGUAAUCUUUCUUCUUCUAUUCUCUCAGGGCAGUCUUUUACAUAAUGCUCUUGGGAACCACAUCUGAAACAAGCUCGUUUAAAUCCCCAACACUCACCAGUAUGUCGCCUGCCACACUGUUGACAUUCAGGUCUGGUGUUUCCUACAUUACCCACACUUGCCACUGAGGUAGCUCGAGUUGUAGUUCCGGAAUAUGACCUCCCUCGGUCUCUGCGUGAAUACCCAACUGAACCGGUUGGUCGUGGAUCCAUCCCUUUAAACUUCUUCGGGUGAGAUUGAAAUGUUCUGCCCAUUGACCUCUUCCUUACAUCUCGAGCUUCCAUCUCUGCCCUUCUCUUUUCUCUACUCAGCUCUUCAGCUUUGCAAGCACGAUCAACUAAUACCACAAAUUCUUUUAACUCUAAAAUUCCAACAUGUAAUCUGAUGUCUUCAUUUAGCCCCUCUUCAAAUCUUUUACACAUAAUAGCCUCCGUAGGCACACAUUCCUGGGCAUAUUUACUAAGCCGGACAAACUCCCGUUCAUAUUCUGCUACUGACAUUCGGCCCUGUUUCAAUCCGAGAAACUCUUUGCGCUUCUGAUCAAUAAACCGUUGGCUUACAUAUUUCUUUCUGAAUUCUUCCUGAAAGAAGUCCCAAGUAACUCUUUCUUUUGGAACCACCGUUAUUAAUGUUUUCCACCAACGGUAUGCCGAAUCCUUCAAUAAAGACACAGCACAUUUCAAACAUUCCUCAGGAGUACAAGAUAAUUCAUCAAAUACCUGGAUAGUAUUUUCAAGCCAAAACUCGGCUUUUUCCGGAUCAUCAUCAACAUUGGCCCUGAAAUCUUCAACCCCAUGCUUUCGAAUUCUAUCAACGGGUGGUUUACUUGAUCUCACCAAUUCAGCACUUCGUGGAGCUACGGGGACCGGCGGAGGAAUAGGAGGGGGUGGAGGAGGUGGAACAUUCGGAUUUACACGGACAUAUUCUGUAUACCAAUCACUCAUCAUUCGGAGGAAGGCUUCUCGAGCCUCAUCCUGUCCAUGUGUCUCAUGUCUACUCUCUUCAUGCGCGGUCCCUUGUGUGGGAACCGGCGUGUUACUUUCAACAUCAUCUGCCAUACUUCGAUUAGGAUCCAUUUACUAUAUAAAACAAAAUUUUAAAUUGUCAGAAAUCAUCACACUAUCACAAUAUAUUGAUGGCAUGUAUAGACUGACUUUCACACAUAUUUUAUUGGUCCGAGAACUGACUAAACCGUAGCUCUGAUACCACUAAAAUGUAACACCCCUUACUCGUAUUCCGGCUCGGAACAGAGUAUGAGGUAUUACUAAGUUUUUUAAAAAAAAUUUCGACAGCAUUUCUUCUUAAUUUUGCUUAAACCUCCUGCAAAUUUAAAUCACAAUCCAAUAUAUAUAUAUCAACCAAACUCAUUUAUAAUAAUACUCACAAUUUAACUAUUAAUGAACACCACAUUUUAAAUCAAACCAUAACAUAUAUUUACAUGAUGAUUCCAUAUUUCAUAGGUCGUCUAUACAUGCCAUAAUUUUCCGGAACGAUAGUAGCAAAAUACCCCAAGUGUGAAGGAUAGUGUGGAUGAUUGUCUGACUUCGUUCCAAAUUUCCGAGUUGUCGGAAGUCACUAUAAUCAAGGGAAAAAUAAAAUCGAGUAAGCAUAUAGCUUAGUAAGUAAACACAUGAUAAAUAAGUAAUUACUCACAUAACUACACCAAAAUAUAAACUUAUUCAUGAAUAACUUCAUUGUUUAGGCAAUUUCCAGCAAACUGUUUUUCUGCGUCAUAUUCGCUAAUUUAUUUUUAUCCGGAGCUACAGGGCUCCAAAUUGAGUUUCGUAAAUUUUCCCUGAAACUAGACUCAUAUACCAUUUCACCAUAAAAAUUUCAGAAUUUUUUACCCAGCCAAUUAGUACAUUUUAUUCAUUAAAACUUCCCCUGUUUCACUGCCCAACGGUUCUGACCCUUCCUCAAAAAAAUUCACUUAACUCUCUGUACAAAAUUUUAAAAAUGGUUUCGCUUGUUUCUAUUAAAAAUAGAGUCAAUAAGGAAUCCAGGAAUAUAAAUUUCACACCAUAAUUAUUUUUGUACAAUUUUUGGUGAUUUUCCAAAGUUAGAACAGGGGAUCCCGAAAUCAAUCCAGCCCUGUUUCAGUAAAAUUCAGAUAUCUCCAAAAAUACAACUCUUUUGCUUAUUCUAUUUAUUUCAUAUGAAAAUAGACACAUUCAGCUUCAAUUUCAUAUAUUAUUCAGCUUCCCAUUCAUUUUCCACCAUUUAUGGUGAUUUUUCAAAGUUACCCAUCUGCUGUUGUUCAACACAGUUUAUAACUAAAUCGUUCCUUUUUUCGUUUUUGAUAUUUUCUCCCAUCUCAUACAUGGAUCGAUUUAGUAUCCAACUCAAUAUUUGCCCCAUAAAAAUUUCCACCAUAUGGCAAUAUUCACCUUCCACACUUUUUCGUUGAGCACUCGGAAUGUUAACCGUUAUUGGUGGAUCUCGCACUUAGCACCACCACUUAAUCGGGGAAUCAGCACUUAGCAACCCCUUGGGGGAAUCAGCACAUAGCAACCCCCUUUUUAUUUCAGAGAUACGGUGGAUAUCGCACUUAGCACCACCAAUGAACCGGGGAAUCAGCACUUAGCAACCCCUCGGGGGAAUCAGCACAUAGCAACCCCCUUUCACAUUUCAAAGAUACGGUGGAUAUCGCACAUAGCACCACCAAUGAAUCGGGGAAUCAGCACACAGCAACCCCUUUAUGUACAACAUACUUCGGCUUAUUCCGAGUGUUCAACCCAUAAAUCAUAUAUUGCAACCCUUUACCACAUUUCCCGAUUUAACAACAUUUUUAGGAUAUGGCCAAACAUUUAUUUUAAUUCCAAAUAAAUCUCAACAUAUAUCAAUUAAUGUCAAAAUAAUACAUCAAGUCACGUGUUUACUUACCUCGGUGCAAAAUAUCGUAAUUUUGCACUUCACUUCACUCCACUAUCUUUUCUUUUCCUCGUUUGAGAUAAUCUUCACGUCUUUCUUGAUCUAUAAUAGCAAAUUUAACUCAUUUAAUGUUCACAUUCAUUAAAAUAAUCCACCACCCAACUUUUUGAAAAAUUACAAUUUUGCCCCCAAACUUUUGCAUAAUUACACUUUUGUCCCCAAGCUCGGAAAUUAAACUUCAUCACUUAUUCUUAGGUUUUAUGACAUGCUGAACAUUUUUCCCUUCUAUGGCAACAUCAAAUUCUCACUCUAACAUACACUUAUGAACAAUAAUUAUUUUUACCGAUUAUGCCUAUUUACCCGUUUUCGCUUAAAAUCGCUUAGCAAAAGUUGUUUAACAUAAUUUAUAGCUUCAUAUUCCACCAUAAAACAGAAAAAUAAACACAUUUCACCUAUGGGUAUUUUUCCAAAUAUGAGCCCUAACACGAAUUAUUGCUAGAAUAAGCUAAAUCGAGUUACGAGGAUUCCAAAAAUGCGAAGAACAUUAAAAACAGGGCUAGGAUGCACUUACUAUGAGCUUGAGAAAGCAAAGAAAACUUAGCUAUGGCUUCCUUCAAAUUUCGGCAGCAACUAAUGAGGAAGAUGAUGAUUUUUGUCAUCUUUUUCCCAUUUUAUUUUAUUUUAUUACCAAAUGACUAAUAUGCCCCAUUUAAAAAAAUCUAUUUCUCUCAUUUCUUAUGUCUAUUUUUGUCCAUCAACUAACUAAUGGUCUAAUUACCACAUAAAGACCUCUAAUUUAAAAUUUCAUAUCAAUUAGAUACUUCUACAUAUAGAACUCAACUUUUACACUAUUUACAAUUUAGUCCUUUUGACUAAAUUGAGUGCCCAAACGUCGAAAUUUUCGAACGAAAUUUUUACGAAAAUUUUCCGUGAAAUUGUAGACCAUAAAAAUAUAAUAAUAAUCAUAUUUUCCCUCGUCGGAUUUGUGGUCCCGAAACCACUAUUCCGACUAGGCCCAAAAUCGGCCUGUUACAUAUAGGCUAUUAAAAUGGUGAAAUUAUAUUUUUACAAUAGUAAAAAUUACAAUUUAAUUUCACCCCUAAAAGGAUUUUUUGGCUUCGACCCUAAUAAAAUCUUUGGCAAAAGAUUAAAAUAAAAUUAUACCGUGAAUGGAAAAAGAAACUAAGAAAAUCCAAUCUAACAAAGAAAAUAACUUUGUUUAGCAACCUUUGUUUGAUUAAAAAUGUUGAAUUAAAAAUUCCAGAAUAGAUUAAAAAUUAUACCGUGAAUGGCAAAAGAUUACAAUUUUUUUGGUAAUAUUUUAAAAUUCCAGAAUAGAUUAAAAAUGUUGAAUUAAAGAUAAAAUUAAUAACCACAAGUGUACUCAUUACUCACCAUCUCUGUUAAAAAUGAUCGAUGUUGUUUAGCAACCUUUGUUUGAUUUUCUUCAGCUCAACCACAACAUCUUUCAUAUCUUUUCUUUCUUCCGGUAACUCAGCUGAACAAUUCAAAGCCAACUCCAUGAUAGAUGAAAUACAAUUUGCUUUAACAACAAUGUACUCAUCCUCUCUUCUUAAUAAAUCAACAUCUGCAAUUUCUAUCGCUCCUUUCGGCAAUGAACUUUCCAUCCAAUGCCUUAUACUCUCUUCUUCAACAAAAACAUUACCAGUUGGCUUUUUCUUUGUGAAAGUUUCUAUAAGGACGAUCCCAUAACUAUAGACGUCAGAUUUUAUAGAAACGAUUCCUGCUGAUCCAAAUUCUGCAUUUCAAGUAUAAUUACAACAUCAUUCAUCCUCAAUUAUUUCUAAAAUGCUUAUUCAAAUAUAUAUUCACAUCCACAUGAAACAAAAAUAUAAAAUGCAAAUUAGGAAAAUAAUCAUACAAAAAUAAAAAAUAAUUCACCUGGUGCCAUAUACCCGAUAGUUGCAAGAGUCAUGGUUUGCUUCAUUACUUCACCUUCUCCCAACAAUUUGGCAACGCCAAAAUCUCCAACAUGUGCAACCAUGUCUUCAUCUAGUAAAAUAUUGCUUGGUUUUAUGUCACAAUGAAUAUAGGUGUUGGAUGUCCAUUGUGGAGGUGUUCUAUGCCUACCGCAACAUUUAUCAUUAUGUCGACCCUUUGUAUGAUAUCAAGGAAACAAUUUUCAGAAUGUAACCAUUUCUCAAGGUUUCCAUUAGACAUGUAAUCAAGCACCAAGGCUUUGAAGUCAAGACUUGAGCAGCAAGUAAUGACCUUCACAAUAUUACGAUGAACUAUAUUACGCAUAGCAUCACAUUCAAUGUCAAAACUCCUAAAUGCUCCCUCUGUUUGCAAAUUGAAAACUUUUAUUGCAACUUCCAUUCCAUCUGAAAGCCUCCCUUUAUAUACAUAUCCAAAACUCCCUGAACCAAGCAUAUUGCUUUCCUCAAAUCCAUUAGUUGCUCGUGAAAGUUCAGCAUGUGAAAUUCUUCUCGGUGUCUUCAAAGACAACAAAUCAUCUUUAAUUGGUAGAGCUGUACUCCUUCUUUGGCAUCUUCUAUACAUAAUAGUUAAGACUAUUAAUACUACGACAAUACCAAUUGUUGGUAAACCAUACCUAAAAGCAUGCAAUAUAAUCAUUUGGGAGUUUUUGUGGAUGUCGUUUUUACAAGGUGGGACUAGCAGUCUAGGUGGACCACAAAGUGCAUAAUUCUUUAUGAAUGAUGUGCUAGAAAAGUUUGAAAAACAUCCUUCGCUGGGAAUUUCCCCUUCAAGUCUAUUGAAAGACACAUUAAAAUACUUUAGAUAUAAAAGCUUCUCCAAAGAUUUGGGAAUGACUCCAGAGAGAUUGUUAUUGCAUAAAUCCAAGAAUUCCAAACUAAUCAACCCAUCAAAUGAUUCAGGGAUAUGACCAUGUAGUAUAUUAUUUGAUAAAUCUAAUGAAACCAAAGUUAUAAGACCCCCAAAUGUGGAUAAGAUAUCCCCCGUGAGAAGAUUCCUUGAUAAAUUUAGUUUCAGUAGACUCCUCAAAUUUCCGACAUCAAUAGCAUGUGAAUUGUGAAGAUGGUUUGAUGAUAAAUCUAUUUUUAAGAUAUCUUGAAGAUUCCACAAAGUUGAGGGUAUUGCGGAACUCAGUUUGUUGGAAUCUAAGUAAAGAUAUCCCAAAGAAGUAAUAUUACCCAAACAAGAGGGUAUGGAUCCAUGUAGCUUAUUCAACCCUAAAUACAUCUCGUAUAGUCUCUCCAAAUCACAAAAACUUUCUGAGAUGGGCCCUCCUAAUUUAUUAGAGGAAAGAUCUAGACCUUGGAGAUUUCGCAGUCCUCCUAUUGAUGCUGGAAUGAAUCCACUUAAUUUAUUAUGGCGAAGUUGUAAAAGCAAUAGGUUGGUUAAGUUACCUAUUUCCAUAGGAAUAAUGCCUUGAAGCUCACAAUUAGAGGCAUAAAAGUAUUGAAGGGUUUUUGAAAGGUUCCCGAUAUAAGUAGGAAGAACACCACUCAAUGGAUUUCCUGAAACAUCUAUUGUGCUCAAAUUCCUACAAUUCGUCAAAGAAGAAAGAAAGCUCCACUCAUGAUCGGUAGAAGAUCCUGUGAUCAAAUUAUUGUUUUUGAUUCGGAACCAUUCAAGGUGUCUUAAGUUGCCAAGCGUUUUAGGGAUUGGGCCAGAGAAUAAGUUAUGCGCCAAGUCUAGUUCCUUAAGCAUGGAAGCAUUGGAGAUAGAGUUGGGAAUGUUUCCGCUAAGUUUAUUUCUCCACAAUAAAAGAAUCUCAGGCUUUGGAGCAUUGGUGAUGGGUGGUAAAUUACCUGUAAAAUAUCAUCUUUUAGUAUACAUAUUCAUUGAAUACCAAAUUCACAAAAUAUAUUAUACAUUAAAAUAAAAACUGUAAAACUUUAAAUCAAUUAAGAAUAAAAUUUUGGCAUGGAAAAAUGUGAUGAAAUCAAUUACAAAGUUGAGACAUACUAAGAAGUUUCAAGUAGUAAUUAGUCUUGUGAUUUGUAUAGACAAAACAUAUAGAUUUGGGAAUGUGGCAUCUAAUCAAUCUUAAAAAUGAGACUGGCACUGAAUAAUAAUUAGUUAUGAUUUGGGAAACAAAAAGGUUAAAGCCAUUGUUUUUAAUGUAAACUGAUAUGAUUUUUAUUUAUUGGGUUAAUUAUUUAUUGUUAUUAAAUUAUAGUGUAAAAUUUAACGAUUAUUAUUUGCUCAAAAUUUCUGUAUUUUUCGUAUAUUUGAAAUUUAAUCUUUAUAUUUUUUAUUUUUUGUGAUUUAGUCUCUCUACUUUUUGAAUUGAAAAUUUUAGGUUCAUUUACUAACACUAUUAAAAAGUUUUUGUGUCUAGUAUGGCAUUUUGAAAAAUAAAAUAAACUUGAUAUCUAUGUUUUUAAUUAUUCCAAAUAUUGCUUUACUAUUUCAAGAUAAAUUAUUUGUGUCUAGACUAAUAUCUUAAGAACUAUUGUUGCAUGUUUAAUUAUCUAAAAAAUUAUCGAUUGAGUCUUAGCUUGAUUGGCAUGUGCGUUGUUGCCAAUGUAGGAGAAUGUGGGUUCAAGUAUGUUGAAGUGUAUUAUCUUCUUAUUUAUGAAUUAGGGAGUUGGUAAAGUACUAAAAUUUGAUAUAUUUUAAAAUAUUAAAAUUUAUUAAAAUAUUUUUUAUAAAAAAUGAUUCUACCACAAUAUACAAUUUUAAUAUCAAAUUUUUAAUUUUUUUUAAAAAUGUUAGCGAAUAUAUACUUUAUUUCAAGUUAUGCAAUUUUUACUAGUUUUUAACUUUUUUUCAAAUUUUUAUCGUCUUUUAUAAUUUCUAAUAAUUUUUUAUAAUUUUUUUACAAUAUUUAACAAUUUCUAAAUUUUUUUUAAUAAUUUUAUUAUGUAUUACAAAUUUAAAAAUUAACAAAUUUUUAUAUUUUUAAAAAAAUUAUAUAUUUAUAAUGUAUUUAUUUUUUAUAAUUUUAUUUGAAAUUUUAAAGAUUUUUUUGGUUUGUUUUCUAGAUGAUGAUGCCAUCAUGAUGCUAACAUAUUAUGAUUAGAUAUCUCAAUCUAUUCUUUUAACGCCCAGUGAAUGAAACCAAGAACACCUAAUGUUAAAGUGGGUAAAAACACAUUAAGGACCAAAGUUAAAAAAAGAAAAAGAAAAAGAGCAAUAUGCUGUAGGGAAUAAACUGUGCAUUAAGCCAUUAAAAAUAUAUGUAUAAUAUAUAUAAAUGCAUGGAUUUUGAGAAACUUUUGAACUGAUAAUUAUAUAGUCUUUGUUGUUUACUAUAUUAUUGAAUUUGUUAUUUUAAAUUAAUUUUAUUACUUUUAAGAUUUAUAUAAGAAUUUUGGUUUUACUAAAAUAUUUGCUUAAAUAAGUUCACUUCAUAAGAAAAUUUAGCAUCCUUAUAAAUAACAAUUUUGAUUCUAUUAAAAAACUUAUUUUAAAAAAUUAUAUAAUCAAAAUUUAAAAUUUAUAUUGAAUUACUUUAUACUUAAAUUAUUAUUAGAAACUUUAUCAUACACAUACGUGUAUGAGAACCACGUAUUUAGAACAUAAAUUUGUGUUUUAAAAUAACUUAUGAUAAAUAAUGAAAUGUAUAAUUUGAAACUAUUUAAUAAUAACACAUAGCAUAUCUACCAUAUUAAAAUAAAAAUAGAUUAAAUUGUAAGUAAAACAUAAUUUAAACAUAUGAACACAUCAAAUUAAGAAUACUAAAUGAAUAAAGUUAUUUAUAAUGAUAUUGUUGUCAAUUCCUAAAUUGGUGUCGAGUUAAUCUGUGACAUCAUAAAUUUAAGUGAUAAAUUUAAGGAUUUAUGUAUUGAUGUGGAUUCAAAUAUCACCAUAAGUUUUUUAAAAAUAAAAAACUAAAAUACCUUAAAAUACUAUAACUUAUAUUAAAUACGAAAGAGUAUUUUUGUAAUUUUCCUAACCGAGUUGGUGCCCGGUUGACUCAUGACACCAACUCAAUUAAAAGAUUUAAUAAUAAUAUAGAUAUUCACGUUAAAAAAACAAAAAAAAAGUACUUUAGUUCCAAAUAAUUAUAUAACAAGUAAAUUUAUAAUUGAUGAAUAAAUUUAUAGAUAAUAUAUUUAUAUGAUCUAAUAUAUUAUAUUAAUAUUAAUUAUAUAUCAUCUACAAUCUUUGAAGAUCAAUUUAUUAAGUAUCAAGAAAAGAAAAAAAUGAAAUUGAGUUAACACUAAAUCAAUUUUUAGAUUUUGUACAGAUGAUUUAAUGAUGAUAAAAAAAUUAUUAGCACUAUUUUUGAAUUAACAAAAAAUUAGUGAUAUAUUUUAAUUAUAUUUAUUAUUUAUUAUUUUUAAUAAUAUUUUUUAAAAUUAUAUGAAGUAAAAUUAUACUGUAUACUAAAUAUGGUACAUAUACUUUAAUUGUAACUUGAAAAUUUAUUAUAUAAAUUAAUAUAUUUUAAUUAUAUUCAACCAUUUGAAUAACAAAAUAAAAAAAAACUAAUUAGAAUAAUUUUUAGAAAAAAGAAAAAACAUUAUUUAAAGGCUAGUUAAAAAUCACGUGCAACAGGUGAUAUGAGAAUCUAUGUAUAUAAAUGUGUAUAUAUAUAUCGUUGUUUCAUUUUUUUUUUAAAUAAAUAUAUUUUCCACAUUGGUUUCUUUUCUUGUACAGACAAAGGAUUUCUAAUGAUUUUAAAAAAAAAAAUUUACUUAUAUAAAAUAGAUCAGUUUAUUCAGUAAAAUAAAUCAAUUCAUAUAAAUGUUAUUGUUUAUUAUCAGAUUGAAAUGAUAAAAGUAUAUGACAUAAAUAGAAGAAACAAAUUCAACACAAUGUUUUCCGAGUUUGGAAAAAAUUAAAGUGAAAAACAUACCUUCUAAUUUGUUGCCAUAUAGAGCUAUUACUUCGACCAUAGUUGAAUUAAAAAUACUUGAUGGAAUCUGACCUGCAAACAUAGUUGAAAAUUGAAGUAAAAAACAUACCUUCUAAACUCUUCAACUAAAAAUACUUUAAGCAUAUUUUUUUUCCCAUCAAAUUAACUAUUUUGCCUUGAAUGAAAUAAAAUGCUCUUACUUUUGUUAUCUAUUACAAAUCAAAUUCUUCUAUGAAAAAAUAUUUUAAAUUAAAGAAACAAAGAAAAUUCAAUAUCUUCUAAGUAAAGCACUUCAAGCUUGGGAAGAUCAUUAGGCAAACUACCUGAUAUGCCAGUGUUGGAGAGAUCAAUGAUCUUCAGAGAAGAAAUGUUGAAGAUCGAAGUUGGAAUCUGACCUGUGAGGCCUUUAAUUUCUUUAAUACUAAGCAGCUCCAAACCAAGAAGAUUACCGAUUUCCUCAGGAAUUUGACCUGCACACAUAUUUAGUCGAAAAAUCAAGAUGUCAAACUGCCUAUAUUGUUAGCAUAAGUCAAAGAGGUUUUCGUUUCUGCUCUACAGUAAUUUGGAGAUGUUAGAUUUAAUAUAUUUCAGCAUAUGUUUUUCAUCAAAUGAAAUAAAAAAGUUUUUCCUUUUGUUAUCUAUUAAAAAUCAAACUCUUUUAUAAAAAAAUACUUUAAAUUUAAGAAAUCAAGGAAAUUGAUUACCUUCUAGAUUAUUAAACCCCAAAUAUAAUUUCUGGAGUUGUGUUAGAUUUCCAAUACUUCUUGGAAUGAUCCCCAUAAAUUGAUUAUAGGACAACGACAAACUUUUAAGGUUGCUGCAUUUGCCCAUGCCAAAUGGAAUGUUACCAGAUAAUUCAUUCCAACUCAGGUAAAGCUCUUCAAGCUUGGGAAGAUGUUGACACAUAUCAUUAGGCAAACUACCUGAUAGGCUAUUGCUGGUGAGACUAAUAGAUUUCAAAGAAGAAAUCUUGAAGAUGGAAGAUGGAACCUGGCCAGAUAAUUGAUUCAAUUCCAAGUUCAAGAUCUCUAGGUUAGACAUGUUAACAAGUGUUUCAGGGAUUGUGCCUGUAAAGUUAUUAUUUUUCAUUUUCAGCGUUCGAACUCUCUGUAAGUUCCCAAGCCAUGAUGGAAUUUCUCCAUUAAGACGGUUGUAGCUUAAUCGAAGGAUCCUCAAACGAUGCAAUUGGCCCAAUUCUUUAGGGAGAUAGCCAUAGAAAUGGUUGCUACUCAAGUCGAGUGAGAGUAGAAGUGAAAGAUUUCCAAGGUGUGGAGGGAUAGUACCCCUAAGAUUCAUGCUUGUAAGAUUCAAAGCUAUAACUCUUUUAUGGAGGAUGCCACAAGUAACACCAAUCCAAUUGCAAACAGAGGUUGAGGCCGUCCAAUUGUUUGCCAAGACAUUUUGAGGACCGGCAAUGUGAUCCUUAAACUCGAGAAGUGCAAACUGAUCGGAGUUGAGAUUCUUGACUGUCAUAGCCAAGCAAAGUACGGAACAUGGUAUGAAUAAAGCUAAGAGAAGAUGAAAGCCAGCGUUGUAGUUCAUGAUUGCAAGACGGAAUAAGGCAAGAAAAUAAAAAAAAGUAGGAAAAGGGAAGUUGAGCUGAUAAAAUAGUUUGGAUGAUGAAGAAAAGCCCAGAGAGCAUGCUUUAAUAUGUUUCAACCCUCGUACACUUGAUAAACUUGAUAAAUUUAAGACUACCCUAAAAAUUAAAAAGGAAAGCAAAGUUUUGAAGAAAUUUCAAAAUAAAUGUCAAGUCUUCUUCUUUAGAAAAUACGUACAAAGAAUCGAAUUUUCAAAAUUUCUCCUAAAUUUUCUUCACGUUACUCCACAUAAUCCAUUAAAAAUACUUAAAAAUAUAUUUUAAUAAUUACUAUAUAUUCUUUUAUUUAAUAAAUUGUUUAAAAAUGCUAUUAGUCCCUGUAAUUUAAAAGUUAAAAAAAAAAUCCAAUCCUCCUAUUUUUCUAAUUUGAAAAUUCUAGUCCAAUAAUUCUUAAUUCCAUUAAAAAAUUUCAGCUUAAUAGGUUUUUUAUUAUCAAUCAUAUGCAACAGUAUAUGAAUGCAGUCUACUCAGCAUAUAUCCAAGUUUACAGAUUUUAAUAGAAAAUACUUACAAUCCUAAUGGUAGGACUAAGUUUUUUAAACUAGAAAAGUGAGAAGACUUAAUUUUUAACUUUUUAAGCACAAGGAUUAAAUUUUAAAUGUUGUCAAAGUACAAGCACUAACAAAAUAUUUUGAUCUAAUAAAUGUAAAAAACUUUUUAAACAAAAUAAGGUUGAAAUAAUCUAUUUGUCCUUGUACUUUGAUAAAAUUUGAGAUUUAGUCCUUAUAUUUAAAAACUUAAAAAUUAAGUCUUAUUGUUUUUAUUUAAAAAUCUUAGUCCUAUCCUUAAUUUUAUUUUAUCAAAAUUGGUCAACUUUACAUAUUAAUUAGGUUUCCCUUAUAUGUCGCGGUAUCAAUCAAAACUUAAUUAAUAUCCAUCAAUAUCCAUCAAUACGUCAUACAUAAAAAAAGCAAGCAUAAAAUACAGUUAAAAGUCCUCCUUUUAUUAUUAAAUGUUUUAUUUUAGUUAUUUUAAUCAAAUAUAUCCAAAUUACAAUAGAGUUAACAUUUAUUGUGUAAAAAAUAUUUUAAAUUUUUUUUUCAAUUUUAGUUUAAUUCUAGAAGAAAUAUUUCAUUUAUAAAAUCAUAAAACUUUAAAAAUAUUAACUCUGUUAAAUAAAAAUUAUUUUUUUAAAUAGUAAAUGUUAACUUUAUUAACACAAAUGGGCCUCAGUAAUUGACAAGCUCUUCCACAAACUGUGGAAGAUUUGGGGAUAAAAGCUUCAAUAAUUAUGGAGUUAUAGUGUAAAUUUGCCACUAUAUUAUAAGUGUAUUGAAAUUUAUCACUAUAUUUUAUUUGAUGUUUAUCAUUACACUUUGAAAAUAUAAGUAAAUUUACCAUUUAACUCAGAUUUACCUUUGCAAGUAAACUUAAAAUUUUAUUUAAUUUUGUCACUAAAUUUGAUUUGUUCAAUAUAGAUUUUGGUGACUUAAAACUCACUAAAUUUGAUUUUUUCAAUAUACAUUUUGGUGACUUAAAACAAAAUUAAUAAAUAAUUAUUCUUUUGGAUAUCUUUUUAAUGUUUAAUAAUAAGUUAAUUUAUAAAAUAUACUGUCAUUGGACACAAGCCUCUAAGGCGGUGAACCACUAAUCAAAUUAAUUUGGAGAUAUCUUUUUUUCUAAAUAAAGUGAAUUUACGAGUUUUGUUUUCUUUUAAAAACAUUUUUAAUAUUUUUGUGGAUAUCAAAAAAUUUUUCAAUAAGAAAUUUUAAUUCACUCGAAAAGUUAGUGUUUUAUUUCAAGGGGUCAUAAUUAAUCAUUAGAUUUCCCAAUUUUAAAUUUUAAAUUUUUCGACAAUUGCGUAAUUAAUAAGUACCAAUUUUGAGUGUUGUAGGGCUAGUACAAUCUUCCUUACACAUAACCGACUCUUAAACCUACUCUUUUCUCUAGAAUUCAAUGCAAACAUCGAAUUUAUCUUUUGAAAAGAAUUUUAAAAUAAUAUAAAAGGUGUUUUUUUAUGACUGAUCACACUUAACAAAAAUUUAAAAAUUAUUAAAAAAAUUUCAUUUUGAAAUUUAAAGUGAUCUAAAAACAUAUUUUUAAGUGCUUUGGACCAUCUGUUGCUGAUUUCCUUAUUAUAUUAAAUGUUUGCAAUCACUCCUAAUAUAUUGUGCUUGAGUUGUGACAGAGCAAAUCGCCAACGUGCCAUAUUGAUCUAUUGAUGCUGAAACUGAAGUUUUUGUUAUAUUGAUAGAGCUUGUCCUUCAACGCAUACAACGUGUUUGUUAUUUUUCUCCCUUCAAAUUGUAUGAUCUUAUUUAUUUAAUGAAUUAAUGAAUUUCCCUUUUAAAAAGAUAUAUUUUUAAAAUUAAAUACUUUAUAAAAUAUUUAAAACUACUUAAAAAAUUGUAAGCCUUAAAACAAUCAACAAAAUAUAUUUUUCUCUAAAAAAAUCAAUAAAAAUAUGUUUAAAAUUUUAUAUGAAAUUAAAUUUUUUUUAACAAUAAUAUAUUUUAAAAUUAUAGUAACGCUAUAAAAUAUAUAUAUACAUAUAUAUAUAUAUUUACUAAUUAUAUACACCUUUCCAUACAUCCUUUUUCUACAUAGAAUUUCAAAAGUAAAUGUGAAUUAAUGUAGGCGUAAGAAGACUUACAGGUAAGUCACCCAACGAAAGUGUCCUAAACCGACUUAUGGAAGAAUCAAACAAUAAUUUUGUAUCGUAUAAUAUAUUUAAUUACAUUUAUUAGUUUAUCAAUCAAAACUUAAGUAGAAUCCAUCAAUAUUUCACACAUCAAAACCCAAACAUAAAAUUCACUUUUAAAUUAUUCGGGGAAUAUUUGUAUUAUAGGAAAUGGAUUAAAUUAGACUUUUAUUAUUAAAUGUAUUAUCUUAAUCUUUGUAUUAGGUAUGAAUGAUAUCUCUUAGAUUGAAGCUAGAGCUAUUCUUGAAUGAUUGAAAUUAAGAUUAAGAUGUGUUGAGAUGGAAAGUGGCAACACAAUGCUGAUUGAUGCUAUUUGUAAUGGGUUGGCUACAAUAAGUAGUGCUGCUGAAGUAAGACAAAUUUAUGAUUGGUGUUCCAAAAUUUUGGGAAGUCAAAUUUUGACAUUUUCAGCGGAAUGCCAAUAAAGUUGUUGAUUGCAUAGCUAUGGCAGAUGGAGGCAUAAUUGAGCAGCUGGUUAUCUUGAAAGAUCCUCUGCAUUAUGUGAGAUACUAGCUUGAAGAAGAUAUUAGACGGUCACUGGUGACUGAUGAUAAUUUUCAUUUGGACUGAUGAGCGCUUAAUUUUCUAAGCUUAUGGUCAACCAAAAAAAAUAAAUAAAUGCGUCUAAAUUGUAAUAGAGUUAACAUUUAGUGUUUAAAAAAAUCUUAAAAUUUUUUUUUCAAUUGCAGUUCAAUUCCAAAAAUAUCGAUGAUGAACCCGAACAUAAAAAUUACCAAAAAAAAAAACACAUCUAUUAUCAAACCAACAAUCCAUGUCUAAACUUAAAUUAACAAAAUUCGCCACCCAACCCAAUACACUAUUUUAUAUAUAUAUUAGAUUUAUUCUAGAUGCGCAUGUUUUAUUAUAUUUAAAAAUUAAAAUAUAUGGUUGACUGAGUUUUAGCUGAGUUGAUAUUGGUAUUAUUGUUAGUGUAAGAAAAUUUGAGUUUAAUCGUGUUCAAAUGUGUUUUAUCCUCCAAUUUAAAGGUUAGGAAAAUAUUAUUGAUAAUUAAAUUAUACCAACUUGAUGAUAUUAAAAAAAGGAUGUAUAAAAAAUAUAAGGGAGAAAAAAAAAAGGAGAAACAUAUUCAUAUUGAUGGGCUCUUUCAAUAUUAGACUUUUUUUCUCUCACAAGUAAAAGUAGUUAUGGAGAGGAUCAUGUAAAAUAAUAGCCUGAAUAAUUUUAAACGUCUCAUCAUUGCAAAAAUGAAAUAGUAGAAAAGAAAGAGUAGACAUUCUAUGAAAUUUAUAAUUCCAACCGUGAAUAAAAUAUAAAUUUUAUGAAUGUGGACAAGCAAUUUUAUUUAACUUUUUUUAAAGUCAUUUUGUUUGUUUCCUAAUCACCAUGAAAUUACUUGUCACAAUUCAUCUUUUUAAAUGAGAAACAUUUUCCACAAUUUGCCAUCACUUUAACAUACACUAACUUUUCUAUGAUUAGUCCUUUGUUUGCUUUGGGUGCAAUCUUCCAACUAGCCUCAUCCUUGGUUUUACUUUCCAACAUUUAGUGUAUUACGAGUUUUGUUUUCUUUAAAAAAUAUUUUUGUGGAUAUUAGGAGAUAAUGAAAUUAUUUUACUAUGAAAUUUUAAUAAAACUGGAAAAUAAGUCAUUUAUUUUAAGAGAUCACAAUUAAACAUUAGAUUUCCAAUUUUUUAAUUUUAAUUUUUUUUGACAAUUGCAUAAUAUUUUGAGCGUUGUAGGAAUGCCAUAACCUUCCCUACGCAUAAUCGACUCUUAAGUAUGAUGGAUCCUAGACCUUCUCCUCUAUUCUUGUACCACAAAUUGCUUCGAGUGUGGGUUCGGAAAAUCACAAAUUAAGCACAAAACCAAAAAUGAUUUUGUAACACCCCAAACCCAGCCUAGUCAUUAUGGAUUAAUGUAGACCUGAGAAGACUUAAUUACAUUUAUUAGUUUAUCAAUCAAAACUUAAUUAGAAUCCAUCAAUAUUUCACACAUAAAAAACCCAAACAUAAAAUUCACUUUUAAAUUAUUUGAAGAUAUAUUUGUAUUAUAGGAAAUGGAUUAAAUUAGUCUUUUUAUUAGUAAAUGUAUUAUUUUAAUCUUUUUAUUAGGUAUGAAUGAUAUCUCCUAGAUUGAAGGCAGAGCUAUUCUUAAAAGACUAAAGUUAGGAUUCAGAUGUGUUGAGAUGGAAAGUGACAACGCAAUGUUGAUUGAAACUAUUUGUAACGGGUUGACUACAAUAAGUAGUGCUACCGAAGUAAGACAGAUUCACGAUUGGUGUUCCAAAAAUUGGAAAGUCAAAUUUCGACAUAUUCAGCGGAAUGCCAAUAAAGUUGUUGAUUGCAUAGCUAAGGCAAAUGGAGGCAUAAUUGAGCAGCUGGUUAUCUUGGAAGAUCCUCCGCAUUAUGUGAGAUGCUAGCUUGAAGAAGAUAUUAGACAGUCACUGGUGGCUGAUGAUAAUUUUCAUUUGGACUGAUGAGCGCUUAAUUUUUUAAGCUUAUAUUCAACAAAAAAAAAAUUAAAUACGUCUCAAUUGUAAUAGAGUUAACAUUUAGUGUUUAAAAAAUAUCUUAAAAAUUAUUUUUUCCAAUUGCAAUUCAAUUCCACAAAUAUCAACGAUGAACCUGGACAUAAAAAUUACAAAAAAAAAAAAACACAUCUAUUAUCAAACCAGCAAUCCAUGUCUAAACUUAAAUUAACAAAAUUUGCCACGCAACCCGAUACACUAUUUUAUAUAUAUACUAGAUUUAUUCUAGAUGCACAUGUUUUAUUAUAUUUAAAAAUUAAAAUAUAUGGUUGACUAAGUUUUAGUUGAGUUAGUAUUGGUAUUAUUGUCAGUGUAGGAAAAUGUGAGUCUAAUUGUGCUCAAAUUUGUUUUAUACUCCAAUUCAAGGGUUAGGAAAAGGUUAUUGAUAAUUAAAUUAUACCAACUUUUAUGAUAUUAAAAAAAGGAUUUAUAAAUAAUAUAAGGAAAAGAAAAAAAGAGAGAAACAUAUUCAUAUUGAUGGGCUCUUUCAAUAUUAGACUUUUUUUCUAUCACAAGUAAAAAUAUCAAAGGUGAUAAUAAUUAAAUUAUAAAAUUUAAAUUGAGAAAAUAGGGGAUUGAAUUUAUAACUUUUAAAGUAUAAAGAAUGAAUUUAUAACUAACAACAUAUUUUAACCACACAAUAAAAGUAGUUAUGGAGAGGAUCAUGUAAAAUAAUGACCUGAAUAAUUUUAAACGUCUCAUCCUUGCAAAAAUGAAAUAAUAGAAAAGAAAUAAGUGUUGGGUGUAGUGGCAAUGUACAUUAUACUUCUAAGGGGAGAUCAGGGUUUUAUACAAGGGAAGAAUUUUAAACCUGCUUUUUUCUCUAGAACUCAACGCAAACCUCAAAUUUAUCUUUUUAUAAGAAUUUUAAUAUAUCUAUAUAAAAGGUGAUUUUUUUGCCGAUCACACUUAACAAAAUUUUAAAUUUUUUUUUUUGAAAUUUAAAGUGAUCUAAAAACAUAUUUUUAAGUGCUUUAGACCAUCCUGUGUUGAUUUCUUUAGUAAUUUGAUUUGUUCAAUAUAGAUUUUGGUGACUUAACACAAAAUUAAUAAAAAAUAUUUUUUCAGAUAUCUUUUUAAUGUUUAAUAAUAAGUUAAUUUAUAAAAUAUACUUUCAUAGGACACAGGCCUCCAAGGCGGUGAACCACUAAUGAAAUUAAUUUUGAGAUACUUAAAUUUGUUUUCAUCAAUUAAGAAAUUUGAAAAAUUGUUGAGACCUCAUGAUUAUCUUUUAUAAUUUCAGGCUUAUCACCAAAAAACUAAAAAACAAAAUCGUCGACAUUAAAUUUGUUGGCAUGCAAUCAAUUUUAAGAUGGUUUUUGGAGUUAUAUAUCACUUUAGCAUGGACUUACUUUUCUACAGUUAGUCUUCUCCAACAAGUUAAAUAUUUCAAUUUUAACAACAUUGACAGGUCUUUGGGGUAGGGUCGAGCAAAACUCAAUAGAAAUAGAUGAUAUAGAUUGAGUUAGCUCGGCCAAGUCGAGUCGACUUGUUCAAAUUAGUUAAAUUAGUAAAUUUUAGGGUGCAGUUAGAAUUUUUUUUUGUUUUGAGAUGCUAAGAUUAAAAAAUUUCAGUUGCUAAAACAAAAAAAUUGUAUUUAAAAAAAGGCAUAAAGAAAGGCUGAAUGACAAAUUGCCCAAAGCCCAUGCCCCUAGCUAUACGCCCCUGGUAAAAUCAAUUUUAAAAUUAGUUAUAAUAGUUGAAGCGAUUGAUUAUUGAGGAAUGAAAUACAUAGUUCAACAAAAUAAAUAAGUUGACAAAUUUUGACAAAAAAAAUCAAAAAUAAAAUAAUAGAAAAGAAAGAGUAGCCAUUUUAUGAAUUUAUAAUUCCAACCGUGAAUAAAAUAUAAAUUUUAUGAAUGUGGACAAGCCAUUUUAUUUAUAAUUUUCUGUGUUUUUCUUCUUUUCCUGACUUUUUUUUAAAGUCAUUUUCUUUGUUUCCUAAUCACCAUGAAAUUACUUGUCACAAUUCAUCUUUUUAAAUGAGAAACAUUUUCCACAAUUUGCCAUCACUUUAACAUACACUAACUUUUCUAUGAUUAGUCCUUGGUUUGCUUUGGGUGGAAUCUUCCAACAAUUAGUGUAUCACGAGUUUCGUUUUCUUUAAAAAAUAUUUUUGUGGAUAUUAGGAGAUAAUGAAAAUUAUUUUACUAUGAAAUUUUAAUAAAACUUUAAAAUAAGUAAUUUAUUUUAAGAGAUCACAAUUAAACAUUAGAUUUCCAAUUUUUUAAUUUUACAAUUUUUUGACAAUUACAUAAUUAAUAAGGUACCAAUGUUGAGCGUUGUAGGAAUGCUAUAACCUUCCCUAAACAUAAUCGACUCUUGAGCAUGAUGGAUCCUAGACCUUCUCCUCUAUUCUCGUACCACAAAUUGCUUUGAGUGUGGGUACGAACAAUCACAAAUUAAACACAAAACCAGAAAUGAUUUAUUACUUUUAAUAGCAAAGUAAUUCUCUCUCAAUAGAAACCAAUAGAAUUGUAAUUCCCAUAAAAUAAAAUUUAUUUUCUGAAAUAUAUUCUCACUACUUUCUAGCAGAGUAACAAUAUUUAAAACUUAUGUCUUGUGUUAAUAGCUUUACUAGCACUAUCUAUUUAUAGGGAGAGAGAUGAGAGUCCUGGUUGAAUUAGUAAAACACGAAUAAUAUUUAUUUCAUAGAAGACAAUUUCAUAGAAAACUUAUGUCUUGUGUUAAUAAUGUUGAAUUUGUAUGUACAAGUUUCUAAUACACUUGUUGGGACAUUCUUUGACUUUUAUCUAUUCUCUCAAAAAGUUAAAGUUCAAAGUUGCAUUAAACUCAAAUAAGAUAACCAUUAGCAAACCAGCUCACAAGCCUGCUCAAGCUAAUCCUACAAGUCAUUCCACUUCAUCAUCAAGCACCAAUGUUCUUGCUUAUCCUUAUGGAAUUAAACAAAAGAAAAAAGCUCUUUAAGAGUUAUUUCAAUAGACUUCUUUAAUGGUAAAUGACAAUCCACUCUAUUGAUGCUUCUUCGCCCAACUCAUGAUUUAAAAGAAGUUUAUACUCAUGGAUCAAGUGUAGCUCACCAGUUAUCAUUAAGGAGAAAAAAGAGUCAAUCAAGUGAAAAUUAUAUUCCAACAUCCCCCCUGAACCAAAUUUUAGAGUGAUGAAUGUCAUGACAACUGACACUACAUUCUUAGAAGAAUAAGUAGAUCUCUAGCAAAAACGAUGGAGAGUCUUACUACAAGCAUAAAAGGAAUGGAUGAUCAAAUUGAACAUCUUAGAGGAAGUAACCAAACCUUUUCCUACGAAACUCAACAUCCUCUUCACAAAGUUGUUGGAAUCAAAAUUGUUGAAGGACUUUAAAGUGUUUCUUUAGAUCAAGUUAAGGAGCUCAUUAAAGAAACCAUUAAAGAUCAAGUCAAAAGUGUUGCUCUACCUUCAUAUACAUACUUGAAGCCAUACAUUUGAAGGGCUUAUCAUUUGAAUAUGCCUGAACAUUAUCCACCUCCAAAAUUGCAAUAGUUUGAUGGUAAAGGAAAUCUAUGUAAACAUGUCGCUCACUUCGUGGAAACUUGUGAUUGCGUCGAUGUAACACCCCACUCGCGACCUAAUCGCUGGAUUCGAGAAGAGAGAUACCGAAAUCAUGUUGGAAAAAUCUAGUUUGAAAAUGGUUUUAUUUAUAGAGGAAAAUAAAAAUUUUGAAAACUGACUCGGUUUGUGAUAUUUAUGGCAAUAAAUGUUAAACUGAAAUCAUAAAUGUGCUUUUGAAUAAGCAAAUCCUUGAUGUUUUCUAGCUUUAAACCAAAUUAUCUUCUUCACUAUUCUCAUACCACAAAAUGCUUUGAAGUGUGGACUUGAACCAAUUGAAUCAAAACACAAAACUUGAAAAAGCUUUUUAUUCUUUUCGGGGUGAAACCUAAAAUUUUCUCUUAUUUAAUAGAAACCAGUAGAAAUGUUUAUUUUGGAAAAAUAUAUUUAAUAGUUAAGAAUAAAUUCUCCUUAUUUUUCAAUAGAGUAACAAUCUCUCAAAGUUGUAUAUAAAUCCCUACUGAUGCCAGAUAUUUUUAAGAAGAGAAGAUAGAACCCUUGUGGAAUUGUAGAAGCUUAUUUCAACUAGAAAAAUAACUUCCUACUUAGAGUAGGAGCAGGUUGGAUGGCAUCCCCUGUCGCCCCUUCGUUUUCCAUGAAGGGAUUUUGGAUCUCUCUCACAUUAGAUCCAACUAUGAGUGCUUUUCGAGCAUUUAGACUCAGUACUUUGUAAUUUGACCCAACUCAAUUCUAUUUUUUUAUUUCCCAAAAUAAACUUCAAUAUUUUAUAUUAAAUAAUUUUCUCAUCCAAAUUUUACCCUCAAUAGAAUUUUUGAGAAAAUAUAUUUAAUAUUUCACAAUUCAACUUGUUCAUUAUGAUCGAAUGAUUUAUUUUCAUUUUCUAGAUUUUAUAUAGCUGAAAAACAUAAACUCAUUCUCCUGAUCAUUUUUAAGUAUAUUCAUCUACAUUUGAAAAUGAAUCAUUUCUCAUUUUCGUUUCCAAAUGAUUUCAUUUCUCCAUUUCGAAGAAAUGUAUAAUCAUUCCUGAAUGUUUGUCAUUUCUUUAUUUCUAUUCAUUUCGAUUCAAACAUGCAAUUCAUUUAUGGUUUCAACGAGCUAGUGAAGGGACUAAUUGGACAUAUACAAUUAGGGCUCAAAUGAUUUAUAUUUGAAGUUUCAACUUUUCAUCUAUUAAUUAUAAACUCAUUUAGUCAUGAAGUCAUUCCACUAUAGUAUCAUGGCUGAGCUUGUGGUUCCCCAAACUUGGACGAGACAGUCUGACCCAAAAUUUGAAACUUACAUUAGCCACCAAAAUGAUUCUCUGUUAAAAUACUACAAAACAGACCAACCAACCAUGCAGGCCACACAUUUUCAACAUAAAUCAUAAUACAAUUAAUCCUAAUUGCAUGCCUUUCUAAACAUACCAUAAAAAAUGAAGAAAAAAAAUUCAUAUUUAGGUCACCUGUGAACCCACCCACUUAGAAACCUAGUAGCACGCAUCAACUUGGCGAGCACCAGCUGAAGACCUCCUCGCGACCCCCAGCUCAUUGCUAGCCCUACGAACCACUAGUUUGCUACUACCCUGUGAUCCCUAAAUAUUGGCAAACCUAGACACACAACUCCCCUUUUAUUUUAAUAGACUACUCAAGUCGUUGGCUCACUUGCGAACUCCUCUAUUUAGUGAACCUACCUAAUAAGGCAAACUCACUAUCCUGACGUACGCAUUAACUAUGGAGAACCUUCUAUUGCUUGGCGUACUCCCUCCUAAUGGCAAACACUAGGUUAUAUAGGGCUAGUCUAUACUAGCGGACUCCCUAUACUUUGGCGAACACUCUAUUAGGGAACUUAUGGUUUUUGGUGAACACACUUUUGUUUGGCGAAACCUACCUUUGGUGAACUCACCCCUAUUGUUGAACACUGUGUUAUGGUAAGGUCCUAUUCCCUUAUGACCCCUGUCUCACACUAUGCUAGGUUGGCUCGUAAGUAUUCUUUCAAUGCGUUAUUACUUCUAUAACAUGCAUUCUAUGUUAUCACUUUAUCUCAACCAAAAAAUUGGUUCAAGGGCGUACCUCAAAAUUCGGCGAACUCCUUGUUUUACAUAAGUAUGUUAGUUCAUCAAUUUACCUAGCAAAAUCAUGUAUUAUAAUCCAAACAAUCAAGCAUUCAAUCAAGCACUUAUAAAGUCUAAAAAUCCAAAAUUUAAAUAGUUCGUAAUAUCUGUUUACAACUUGUCAAAGUUUAUUUAAAAAUUCUAGGUCUACAUCUGAUUCCUUAGGAUAGUCCCACAUUGCCUUCAACUAUAGGGUUUGUAAAAACAAAUCACGUACUCGAAUGGAUUUGCCUUAUGUUGCAUCACUAGAUUGCCAUGCUUCACAACUAGUCACGUGAACUACUUAUCUGCAAGAUAUAUGCAAGGAGUGUGAGCUUAUUGAAGCUCAGAGAAUGCUUAAGCACACAACACAUAAAACACAUCAGUCAUGCUAAAAUUUAGACAUGUUGUAACAAUUCACAUAAAAUAUAAUAAUCAUGCUCGUCAUAGUAAAAUAAUGGCAAUUUGUGAAUAUGAAACAUAAUCAUAUUAUAUAUGCAUUGGAUAAGUAGAUCUUUAGAAUACUCCAAAUGACAUAGAGAGUCAUGCGCUAUCUUUGAUAAGUGUAGUAUGAAUGCUCACACUCUCCAAACACUCCAUACUAUCCUCAAAAUUGGAGCUAAGCUCGACAUUCCCUUAUCUCUCCAAUGCUAUCUUCAGGCCAUAAUGCCCCAUCAUAUAGUAAAAAUGGUGAGUACUCACAAUCCUAUGACAUGCCAAUGAUAUCUAACGGUUUCAAGUGUUCACAAUGCCAACAUAUGAUUUUUAUUUCAUUCACUUUACACAAUUUAAAAGGCCCACAAUAUAGUAGAUCUCACAUAUAAUAGUUCUUAAUAACACAACUCACAUUUUUGUAGGGCUCGCAUGAUACAUAAGUUCGUAAUAACAUAGAUUCGCAUAACACUUAUGGCUCACAUAUAUUUAGGGCUCGAAUGCAACAUUUGGGUUUCCAUAUAUUUAAACUAGCAUAAUACAGGGGCUCGCGUAACAUGUUUUGGCUUGCAUGUAAUAUAGGGCUUGAUCACAUAUAUAGGUUUGCAUGAUCUUAGGGUUCGCAUCACAUAUAUAAGUACGCAUGAUACAUGGGUUCACUCAACAUGUAUAUAUAAACUUGCACAUCAAAGUAUAGGCUCGCAUGCAUUAAGGUAAUAGAUUUUGCAAACAAUUUAGAGCUAGCACACAUCUUAGGCUUGCAUACAUACAUGUUAGCAAGGUCUGCAGGUCACAAAUCGGGGCUCGAAUAACUAUAGAGGCUUGCAUAGAAAUAUAACAGUGUUCGCAUAUCAUUUUAAUCAGCUUCACACAUUAAAUCAGAUAGUUUGUAUGCCUUACUUGGCUUUCAUUAGCAUGCGAACUCUUGUUUUUGACGUAGUGUGUAAGGACACUCACUAGUUGUUUGUUGAUACUGUCAAACCUAUACCACAUUUUGCUUGACUUUUUCCUUGCUUGUAGAUGCACCUUUAUAUUGAGAGGCUUUGCAUAAAACAAGAAAAUAUACAGAUUGCUACUUUCACAAACAUAUUAACCUUCUUAACUAACAUAGCAGCUCACCACUUCUAAAUUUACCGAACUCACCUCAUGUGACCUUAAACUUUUAGUUACUUUAUUUUAGUUCAAUUAAAUCCCCAAUUAUUACUUCCUAAUCUCAUAAGUAAGGUUUAAUUAUAGAUCUAGGCCAUUAAUUUUAGUCAAUUCUUAAAAUCAACAUUUUUCAAAAAAUCAUGCUCAUUUUCUAUCUCAAGAAGAAAAAUCACUUGAUUCAUGCAAUUCCUUUAAGGAUUUGUUAAAUCAAGUUUAUAAACCUCUUAAUUAUGCCAAAAUGAGUUAAAAAUUAUUUUAAAAUCAUGACUUAGCUCACUAUUAUGAGAUUCACCAUUUUUUUAUAUAAACCAAGCUUUAAAGCCAUAGAUCCAAUGAUUUCUCUUGAAACUUCAGGUGCAGUGCACUAACUAUGAAUAAUGUGGACUGAAUAUGUUUUUGGUACUCCAUGGAACUCCUCCUUCAACCACAAAAUCCCAACCCAAUUUAUAUGCAAUAUGUCACACAAUCUCAUACAUAAUCCUAUCUUAAUACUUUUCACAUUCAUUUGACAUGCUCAGCAUGUCCUCAAUAAUCACAUACUUUCAUACUUUUAGAAAAUGGAAACAGUGUUCCAAAGUUUCAAUUACCAUUGUGUUGGUAUCAAUCAAUAUCAUUCAAUUACACAUACUUUAUAGAUUUCCAUUGUGUUUAAAUAGCACCCUUUUCAAUACACAAUAUAAAAAAUAUCUCAUGCAUUUAAUCAUACAUAAGCUUUAUAUCUCAACACAUUAUAUCAUUCAGUCAAACAUUCUCAUAUCUUAUAAUUCAAAUAUGCAAUUACAAACUCAAUCAAACAUUCAUACUAUCAAACUAGCAAUUUUGCCAACAUGUUAAUCUUUUAAGGCUCAAAACAUAAUUGGUUCAGCCACUCACAAAAUCAAUAAUUUGGCUAUUAAGCCAAUCCAAUCAACAAGCUAAUUUAUCACAUAUAACAUGAUAUUUAACAUUUUCAAAAAAAAUUAUAAGUUUAGGACCCACGCAUUAUUUUUUGCUUCCUCGCAACAUACUAGCGAAUCUUCCAAUCUUCCUUAAUAAUUCCUUAAACGAACCUAAACCAAAAUGAAGCAUAAAUUCAAUCAAUUUACCAUUAAGCCAACCCCCAAACACCCACUUGUGAGUUCAAACUGAUCAUUGAAAUUAAAACUACUUUAUGAAUCCAAACUAGUUAGAUUCCUUAAACUGUAUCGAUGCAAAUCGUACGUACAAUCGUUCUUCACCUUUAUGGAUGAUUGGGGGUGUUUGGGUCAGCACCUAAUUCAAUAAUAUACUGGAAAAUCAGUAGUUAAUCAAUGAUUAACUUUCUUUAUUUAACCAAUUCAUAACCUUUACCCAACAACUAUGCCAAAAUAACAAACUAGUUUACAAUUAAUCGUACUUAUACUUCUCAAAUUAUAAGAUUCGAAUGGCUAAUUGAUCAAGAAUGUCUUUUGUAACAUCCCAAAAAUUAGGUUAGAAGAAAUGAGAUUUUGAAACCAAGAGUGGUCAUCCCUCGAUUAUGAGUUUAUAUCUUGGAAAAUUUGACAAGUAAAUUGAUCUGGCUUAAUGGUUAAUUGCUAUGGUUAUAUGUGUUAGGUUCUGGGUUCAAAUCUUGUUUUUGGAAAAUUUGUUACUUUUCUUAAACCCUUACCUUGAAUGUUUGGCUUUUAAGUUAAAUUUAGUCAAUUGAGGUCAAGAAUGAGCCUGUUGGUUUAAUGGUUAAGUUUCUGCAUAAUCCUUGGUCUUGUGUUCGAAUCUCAGCGAAAGCAACAGGGAAUGUUUUGUUUUUGAAUUUUUUAUAAGGUAGUUAGUUUCGAUUGGUUAUUUAAAGCCUUCUAGAAACCUCCGUUGCUUUUACUUUUAUUUUGUUCUUUCUUUUUCUACAAUGUUUUCUAUCAUUUUGUUUUCGAUCUUCAGUUUCCUCAUUUUGGUUUUUUAUUUUCAAGCAACCUUCUUUUUGUUAUGUUACGUUACACUAAUUGUGUAUAAGGUUUAACUUCUCCUUCUAGUUAAUUUGCUGGUUGGUAAGUUCAAUUUAAAGUUUUGGUGUCGAAAGUUCUUUAACAUAACUUCAAUUUUGGAAUGUUAGUUUCUAGUGGUUUGACUGCGAAUUAAUCGUUUGUUAGGGAAUUGCUUGUCGUUUAGGGACCUGAAUUUAUCCUUGUUACUCCUACAUCGAGUUCGUAUCAAGUGGGUAUCAAAAAUAUCUUCUUCUUCAAAUUUUAGUCGUCGAAGAAUAGGACUAUCAAUGCCACAUGGUCAUGCGCAAACUAUCUAGGUACAAUCUGUAUUCUAUUAAGUUUGUUGGUAUGCCUCUGCAUUACUCUAUUGAUAAAGAAUAUGUGACAUUUGAUUAUGUUAGAUUGGUUGUUACUGAUUCUAAUUUAUAACCCUCUGUUUUACUUUAUAGAUGUGGAAUACACAAUAUCUGAAAAUGUUAGACUAAUUGUUACUGAUUCUGAUUUAUUGUCGUGCAUGUGACUUCAUGGCAAAUAUGAUAUGAUCUGUUGAGGUUUGAUAGGUCUAUUUUCCAAAACAUGGACUCUCAUGUCUCCUAAUUCUGUUAUUGAAAGAUAUCAUAACUUACAUGCUCAUCACUCUGAUUCUGCAUAUGUAUGUCAUGACACGUUGCAUGGGAUUUGGGUUGAUGUGAAAGGUAAAAGUUACUGGCAGUUAAUGAUCCGCAUUAUCUGAGGUUUAUCCUCAAUUCUGUUUCGGCAGCUUAGUUGUACUAUAUUAACUUGACCACAUGUAACCGAUAUGGCAGUCUUAACUACAAAAUUCUAGUGGCACCAUCCACAGUUAUCUGUUGGUGUGAUUUGGCUAGACGAGUUCUGAGGGAACUCUAUUUUGGAUUGUAGUGGAGUUUUGGUAGGAUGUUUUCUGAUAAUUCUGCAUUCUGAUCUAUUUGAGAAAUACAACAUCUUCAUAACACAUUUUCUACUUUGCUCUAUUCUGUUCUAUUCUGUUCUGCUCUCUUCGGUUCUAUUCUAUUUGAUUUGUUAUGUUCUGCUUCAUUCUGUUGUGCUUGGUUCUAUUGUACUAUCGUUAUGGAAAUUUUCAUGAUAUUCUCGAUCUAUUCCAUACUAGCUAUAAAACUAUUAUUAAGUUCUUUGAGUUACUUUGAUUUAUAUAAUAAAAUCUAUUUAUUUGUAUCUAAGUUUGGUUAUACGCGACGCUUGGUAGUUCUCCCUUUGUCUUAUCUUAAUCUAUUUAGGUGGAUGUUUUACAUUGAUAUAACUAUGAUUUGAUCUUUUAGGUUGUAAUUUGUUUUUGGACUUGCAUUGCUUUUCUUUUGAUAAUCUCAUCAAUAUUUGUCAUUUUCUUACACAAAAAUAAAAAAACCACCUAAGUCGACUAAAAUGAAUUUCUGGUUUUCAAUGUUAAAAUUUUGAAAAGAAAUUAGUUUUCUACAUGUUGGUGUAGCUCGUCCAAAUUUGACUUAAACUUCUAGGUUGGGUUUGGGGUGUUGUAUCUUUCCAUAAUUAACAUGUGAUUAAUCUUUUAUUAGGAGGAUUCAAGAACUCAACUUAAUGAUGGAAAAAUAUAGGUAAGAACCAAGAAACAAAACAACCCCCUUUCUUGCACACAGGCGUACGCACCACCACCCAUGGUGGCCAAAAUUGGGGAAGAAUUUUAAAAUGGUUUGAAAUCUCAUUAAAAUCUAGAAAAAUACAAUUGAAUUCAUUUAAAAUCCCCCAAAUUCCAGAUCUAAAAAUUUUUCUUUUUAAUUGACAAAAUUAAUUAAGAAUUUGAAGAGAAAAGAGAUCUUCCCAAGCUAGUUAAAAGAAACGACAAUGACACUUUCUUGGCAAUGUUCAAGAUUGAUCUUGGGUUCAAGAUUUUAGAAUUGGGGAUGAUUUAGAUGAGAAAAAAUGGUAGGAAUAGAGUAAAGGAGAUGGUGUACAAUCUUGAUGCAAAAAGAAGAAGAAAGAGUUGGUAAAUGGGAGGUGUAGGCGACGACAACAAUAGGAGAAAGAAAGAAAAUUAAAGAGAAAAGUGGAGAGGAAGAUGGUGAACGGAUAGAGUAGGGAAAAUUUGAAUUAAAGGCUGAAAAAUACAAUAAAAAUUUCUAUUUAUACUUAGGGUUCAAGGGUAUGGAUCGCACAUACAUUUAAAAAAAUAAAGGAUUUUACGAAAUUUAAAAUUUCGUAAAGGAAAGGAUUCGAAAUUGGGACCUCAUUUAAUUUUCAUGUGUUCUCAUAUUUCUUUUAACCAUUAUGAUAUUUUCUCAUUCUUAAAAUCAUUUUACAAGAUUUAGUUUAAAAAUAAGGCAUGCCACAUUCUAGGGUUUAAGGCAAAAUUAGCAAAAUAAUAAAAAUAGUGAGAGAGAAGGGAUUUGAACUUGGGUUUCAUGGAAUGUUUGACUAACACUUAUCCAACAAACCAACACCUUAUUGAUUUCCUAAAAAUGCAUAGAUAAUCUCAAAAAUUAAGGCAUGACCACUCUUUCUCGAUUCACAAACCCGAUUAUGCUAAACCCUAAUUUUUGGAAUGUUACAAGGUAAGUUUGUAGUGUAACAAUAUAUAUGUGUGUGUUUUAGGGAUACGAUUGGCAUGCCAAUAGGGUUAGUAUGCAUGCUUGUACUGGAUCACACUUUGGUUCUUCUCUUUACACUUUGGUGCCUCUCUUUGCACUUCAGUGCCACUGUAUUUGCACUACAGUGCCUCUAUUAGCAUUUCGAUGUUUGGGGGAAACCCAAGUAUCGAAGUCAUUUUGCUGUAGUUCAACAUGCUGUGAAAUUUUAUGUUUAAAUGUUAAAUUACUCUUGAAUUUGAUUUAUAUACAAUGAUAUAUUUGUGUAUCUAUGUACAUAAGCAUUGAUUGCUUUGGUUUGAGCCAUUGUUUAUAUUGAAUCAUAUGAGAUGAAUGUUUUGAUUACUAUAGUUUGAGAAUAAAUAUUAAUUCCUUGGUGUAAUUAUAUGAUUCAUAUGUCUUUAAACAUGUUAUCUAAUUAUGUUUAUGGUGUGUUUAGAGAAUUAAAUUAUUAUAUGAGUAUUUUCCAGGUAUUCAAUGUUGUUUCAUUUGGUUUAAUGGGUAAAUAAAGCUUUAAAGGGUAUGUGAUUACACGAAAUGCACUACGAUAUUUGAGCAAUGAUAUGGAUCAUGAUGAAAUGUUUAAUUGAAAAGGAAAUAUGGUUUAGUAUAUAUAUAUGAGUGGUGAAUUAUGAAAGUGAAAUAUAGAUAUGUUAUAUACCAUGUUUUAUUCAAAUUAUAUAUGAUAUGUUACACCAACUAACCUUGUGAGGUGGUGGGUAUAGGAAAGGAAAGUUGGCUUAAAACAUAAUGAAAUUAUGCCUGCCUUUUUAACAUAAAAUAUUCAGUAAAUUAAGUUUCCUUUAUAUGAACUUACUCAACAUUAGUUGCUUGCAUAGUUAUUUUUCUUUAUUUUAUAGUUCAUCAGAAGCUCGACCGGUUGGAAUCAUGUCAAAGCACGAUCACACUAUCCAUUCAACAUUUUGAUAGCUUUUUUUAUUUUGGUAAAUGGUUAUAAAUGACAUGUAAUAGGGUUUAAAUGUCAUUCUAGUGAUUUGACUUGUUUUGAGUUGUGUCAAACUUCUUGUGAUUGAUGUUGUUAGUUGUUGGCAUGUAAAUAAUGGUGUAAAUAUGUGACAGCCCAAAAUUGACCCUAGUCGGGAAGUGGUUUCGGGACCGCUAAACCGAGUCACCGAAAGGUUUGAAUGUGAUGUUUAUUAUCUAGAAUAUGUAAUAAUGAAUGUGUGAAAAUUUCAAGCUUCGAUUUAGUCGAUUGCAUGCGAGUUUAGUCAAUAGGACUUAUAUGAGAAAAACUUUAAAAUGUGAUAGGUCAAUGCAUGAGGACCUAUUAGUGCAUGUGGAAGAAAAAGGGGACUUGCAUGUCAAAUUCCCCCUCCCUAAUAUGUAGUGGCCGGCCAUGCUAUGGGUGGAAACAUGUCACCAACAUGUUGUGUUAGUGAUGUAUGGUAAGGAAAAUAAAAUAUUAAGCAUGAUAAUUAAAAUAAAUUAAAGAAAGGAAUUAAACAAUGAAAAGGAAGGGUGAUGAAAAAAAUGGUCUCAUCCAUACCCCCCCCCCUUGUUGCCGUGAGUUGAGGAAAGAAAACAAAAAAAAAUGUGUGUUCAUUCUUGAACACCUUUGGCCGAAUAGAGGAAAGAAAGGAAGGGGAAGAGCUUGAGAAAAUCGGCUAUGGUGGUUUGCUAGACUAAGGUAUGUUUGAUGUUGUUCUUGAGAUGCAUGCAUGUUUUAGUAGUUGACUUGAGUUCUAAAAACCCAUGGUUCAAUUUUGUGGAUUGAUGAAGAUUUUGUGUUUUGCCAUUGAUGAGUGCUUGAGCUUUUUGAUAGUUGUUGAUGAAAAGUGAAAGAUAUGUUAAAGAUUAAUAUGUUUUGUGUUGAAGUUUUUGGUGAUUUUGAGUAGUUAGGGCUAUAUUACAAAAACAAAUUUUUGAAGGACUCAAAGGUGAAAUAAAUGAGAUGUAUGGACUUAUAUGGGCACUAGGAAGAUUCGGCCCUUAAGGAGUGUGACCAAACUUUGUGUAUUUUGUGUUUUGUGGAAUAAAGACUAAAUUGUGAAAGUGCGAAAUAUUAGGGGUAAAAAUGUAAUUUACCCAUUUAUGCGUUAUUAGACUAAAUUGAAUGAAAAUAUGUUAAAUUAAGGCUUGGCAAGCUAGCUAUUAAGGUGAAAUGCUAAUGUUAGUAUUUGAUUCGGUAAUAAUCUGUUUGGGGACAGCAGCAGUAAGGUGAUUUUGGAAAAUCGCCAUAAUUUGUAGGAGUUGAAUUAGAAGCUGAGUGAAUUAUGCCAUUAAAGCUUGAAGAGUCUAUUUUCUUACAAAAGAAACUAUGAAAACAAAAGAGUUACCGAUCUUGAGAUAUUUGAAGUAUUGUGGGGCUGAGUCAAAAUGACUACUAGAUUCCCUGUUCUGUUUUUAGAAAAUCAUUAUAAAUUGUACAAAAAUUAUUAUAAGAUAAAAUUUAUAUGCUUAGACUCCUUAAUGAGUCUAGUUUCAAAUGAGAUCAAAUACAACACAUUUUGAAUUCUGUAAAAUGAGAAAUUUGAUUCGUAGUGAAGAGUGGUCAGAAUAGUCAAACAGUGAAACAGGGGAAACUUUAAGAAAAAUCUGGUAUUGAUUGGCCAAGCCAAAAAUUCUGAAAAUUUUAUGGAUGGAAGAUAUAUGAGUCUAUAUUCAGGGAAAAUUAACAGCUAGUGAUUUGGAGUUUUGUAGCUCCAGUUAUAAACAAUUUAGCGACUACUGCUCAGGAAAACAGCUCGUAGUGAAUAUGUGAUUUUGUUGUAAACAUUAAUGAAAAUUUGCCAAUGAGUUAUUUAUUGACUAUUACAAAGCUUACUAUAAUCUAUGUGUGUGAAAGUCAAAUCAAUAUAUAUAUUAUUCUGAAAGUAAUACUUGAAUAGUCGAUUAAUGACUAUUUUAAGUUAUUGAUUUGGCUCAAGGAGUUAAAGGAGGUGAAUCGAGCAAAGGCAAAGAAAAGGUUAUCGAGUAGCCGAGUUGGAACCGUCUUACCCAACACGAGGUAAGUCAUUAAGCAUGUAGUUGGUAUUAUUUCAAUGGUCAUAAUGUUUAUGUAUUGAUGCUGAAUGGAAUGAAUAAAUAUACAUAUAUAUAUAUAUAUGUGCAUGUACGUAUGUGAUGAUGAGAUUGUUGAAUGAAAGAAAAGAGGUAAGAUGUACUGAGUUGUUGAUCUCGGCACUAAACGUGCGGGAUAACCAUUUAUGACCAUGAGAUUGGCGCUAAGUGCGCGGGAUUAAAUUGUACAGCACUAAGUGUGCGAUUUGACUAUGUUGCACUAAGUGUGCGAAAUGAAUAUGAUGCACUAAGUGUGCGAAUUGACCAUGCGGCACUAAGUGUGCGAGUUUGACUAUGUAGCACUAAGUGUGCGAUUUGAUUAUGUAGCACUAAGUGUGCGAGUUGAUUAUAUAGCACUGAGUGUGCGGACUCGAUAUACAUUCGUGAAUCAUUAUGGACACUAUGUGUGCGACACUAUUGAGUCGAUCGCGGACAGCGGAUCGGGUAAGUGUCUUGAGUACAUGGCUAAUAGGUGCUAUGCUUAUACUUGGUGUUGAGCUCGGUAAGUUUGAACCUAUGUGACAAAUAUACUUGAAGUCACGUACAUAAAAUUUAUCGUAGGAUUGGUGAAAGGCCGUUUAGUCGUUUGAUUGUAACGAAAAUAAAUUGAUUUAUGAAAAUGCUUCAAUGUCCUAUUGAUGAGUAUAUGGAAUGUGAAUGCAUGAAUUGAUAUGAAAUUGAAUUGAUAGGUUGGAGGAACUAUGGUAUGGUUCGGAAUGGAUGGAGUAAUUAGCCUCGUUCCAUUUUGUUUUCUCUUGUGAUAAUGUUAUUGAUGGAUGGUAGUGCAUAGCUUAUGACUUACUGAGUUAUAAACUCACUCGGUGUUUCCUUGUCACCCAUUAUAGGUUGCUUGGACUCAUCUAUUUUUUUGCGUGGUCGGGCCGUCAUCGAAGUCAUCACACCGGAUAGCAAGUUUUGGUACUUUCUUCUUAGUUGGCUUAGAAGAACAUUUUGGCAUGUAUAAGCUAUUACGUUGUGUUUGAACUUUGGCAUGUAAACUUUAAGCCAUGUGAAAAUGGCACGAAUGUUCGAUUGAGUUGGAUCAAGGGUAGGCAUGAAAUGGACCUAGUUACUUUCGUAACAGAUGCUGGCAGCAGCAGUGUCAUGAGAUUGAAAAAUCAUUAAAAAUAGUAGGAGUGGAAUUAAUUGAUGAAUAAAUUAUGUAAUCGAAGCUCGAUGAGUCUGUUUUCAUGAGGAAGUAACGAAAAGAUCAUAUGGGCAGUAUAUUAAGAGAUAAUCAGAUUUUUGUGGGACAGGGCCAGAACGGUUUCUGGAUUCCCUUCUCCGACUUUGGAAAUUCAUUACAAAUUAACCAGAGAUAAUUAGGGGUCGUACCAUAUAUGUACAGAUUCCUCUCUGAGUCUAGUUUUCAUAGAAAUAAACGGCAUCAGUAUUGGAGCCCCGUGCAGGGAGAUAUCCAAGUCGGAAUGGGAAAAGGUCAGUGUAGUCGACCCCUGCAACUGGGGAGACUUUGACUAAUAAACUGUACUAAUUGGCCCGACCAAAAAUUCUAGAAAAAAAUACAUAGAUGGGCACAUGAGUCUAGUUUCUGGGAAAAAUUACGAAACUGAUUUUCGAGUUAGGAAACUCAAGAUAUGAUUUUUAAAACGACUAGUACACGGAUUGGGCAGUGUCUGGAAAAUAAAUUUUGUAAGGGGUUAAAGCCAGUUAACACCUCGUGUUCGACUCCGGUGUCGGUUUCGGGUUCGGGGUGUUACAAAAUAUGUGUGGUUGGACCCUUAUGCAUGCUUUAUUGAUUAAAGAUAUCAUAUGGUAAAAUGGCAUGUUUUUGGAAUGGUUAUUUGGCAUGAUUAAAAUAGGUUUAAGUUUUGAUCUUGAGACGUUGAAUUGAAUUAAGUUUAAGAUGUAUAUUGUGAUACCUUCAUUGGCAUAUUUGUUAGAUAUUAAAGGAUGGUUGAUUUGGUAUGUUUUUGAAAUGGUUGUUGGUAUGUUUGAUCUAAGUUGAUUAAAUGAACUUGUAAUGUUCAACGGUAUAAUACUUGUUGGUACAUUAGUUAGUCUUAUAGGUUGAUGGAAUUGGUAUGUUUUAAAUGUGUUUAAAAUAUGUUUUGGUUAUUUCAAUGUUUGUGGAAAUGGUGUGUCUUGGUGUACAAGAUUUGUAAUUGAAAUGGCUCUAUUUAGAAGCAACUUCUGCUGCACACUACCUGGGACACGAGUUGUCACAUGGUUGUGCAUCAUUAAUGUUUUAGGUGCAGGUUUCACACAAUCUAAGACUCGGCUCACGACACGGUCUGGGCUAUGUCACACAGCUUGGCCGCAUGGCCAUGUGACCCUUGUUUUCAAGUUUUCAAAAUUUUCUAUUUUAUUUCAAAUUGAUCAUAGAAUAUUCUCAAACUAUUUUUAAGGCCCCGUAGGUUCGGAUUAUGGCCCGUAAGUGUAUGUUUGCUAUAAUUAAGUUGUGUUAUUGAAUGUUAUUAAUUAAAUCACAUGAAUAUUUUAUUGUAAGUUAAAUGUUUUAAUUUGUACCAUAAUGCUUUGUAACCCUAAUCUGGCGAUGAAGACUAGUUUGGGGUGUUAUAAUUUUGGACUGUAAAUUUGUUUUGGGGGCUUUGUUCUUUGGUUAUUGCGAUGUUGGUUAGAUUUUGGUGUUUUAACAUUAAACUGCAAAAUUGUAUGAUUUAACAAACUAAAAAUUAGUUUUUCAAAAUUAAAACUCUUGAAAUUUCAGUUGCAAAGAUUAAGUAAUCACUUCAGUGUUUUUCCAUAAAUAAUUAAAUUUUUUUUAACAAAUGUUUUCCUUAGUUUGGGAAAUGAUUUGCCAACAUAUGUACUUUUAAAACACAUGAUUUCAAAUUCAAAUUCUCAAUUUUAAAUAAGGGUUUUCAAACUUUAGUUUUUUUUAACAGUUGUGAGAGGUUUUUGCCAAAUUUUAUGUUUUCAGAACAUAUUAGUAAGUUGAUUUUUAAUUUGUUUUUUAAACGAGUCGAUGUAAUUCCUCAAAAAUCCAUUCAUAGCGUCUUAGUCUAGAUCUAAACAUUAAUAUUCUCUUCCAAGAAAAAUCAAGAUUAUCAAAUUGUUACAACUUGGUAGGUAGACAAUCAUAUUAAAUAAGCAUAAAACUUAAUAAAUAAUUAGCGAAGAUUGAAACAAUCAAAGAAAAAAUAAAUUAAUUAACUAAGAAAUAGGAUCCAUUAUUGUUUCAAGAAAACAGAGUUUAGUUCAUAUUGAGUUGAGAAAUCCAAAAGGGAGAUUCAAAACAAACUUGUGAAAAGGGGAACAAUGUCAAUAGAUCGUAUUCAAGUUGUUCAACUCGAGAAGGAAAGAUUCAGAUCUAACCUAAAAAGAAGAAACCAAACAGAUUUAGAAAAACAAGAAAAACAAAGAAAAUAACUAAAAUGAGAAAUUUAAGAGUAAUUAAUAAAUAUUAAAACUAAUAAAGAAAUAAAGAAAUUAUAGAAUAAAUAGUGGAAGAUGGAAUGAAUAAACGAUGGAUAUGACAUAUAGAUGGAUAAGUGUCUGAUAAUUCUUGAAAAGAGUUAUUUUUCAUGCCUUUAGACCUAACUUGUAAUGCCCCAAAAAUCCCUUAUAUAUUUAUUUUCGUAAGUUUGUAACAGAAAUAUCUGUUAGCUUUAGUGGUUAUAUGCUUUGGGAGUGUUUAGGAGGUCCCAAGUUGAAACCUUAGCUUGGGCAAUUUUUUUUUGUUUUAAAUGAAUAAAACUCUAUCUUUGAUUAGUAGGCUUAUAAAUAGAUGUUGGUAAAAAAUGUCAGAAUGGUUUUACUGGUUUAGUGGUUAAGUGGGGUGUAAAUAUGCAGGAGCUCUUAUGUUCGAAUCUUUGUGCGAUCAAGAGCAUUUAUUUUAUUACUUGUGUCGUGUAGGUAUUUUGGUCCAGCCAAAAUACUGAAGAGGUUGACUAAGGGUUGGUUUCGGUUGUUGAGAGGUUUAUGGUGGGUUAGUAGAGAGGAUUUUAAGGAGAAAUUUUAGAGAUAUGAAGAGAGAGUUAGUGCCGAAUUGAAUUUCUUUUGCUUUCUCAAAUUUCAGCUGGGGUUUGAUUUUUCUUUUCAAUUUGUUUCUAUUGACUGUUUUCCAUUCUAGAGGGUCAAAUAUUGCUGAGGGUUCCUACUAGUUUCUUUUUUUUCUUUUUCUCUCUUCUCUCUUUCGACUUUGUUCUUCCCAACUGCAAAAGUGCUCUUCCCUAAACUGUUACUACCGUCUACUUUCUCUUUUCCUCCCUUGCUUUUUUUAUUGUCGAAUUUUGGGUUCUUUAUGCAUUUAAUUCUAAUGUCAAUUUAUCACUUCUCUACCAAAAGAUUAUUAUUUUCUCUCAUUGAUUUUCGUUUGGUUCAUCCUUGCUACCAGAAGUGUGGUUGCCCUUCUUUCUUGGUUUCGUUUGUCAUCAUCUGCUACAUGUUCUUUAACACUCUUUUGGUAAGUGUUCGUUUCUUCACCGCUCAGUUACUUGAAGUUAGUUUUUAAAUGGUUGUGUAUUGUUUUGAAUAAGAAUCUGAUAAAUCGUGUGUUCCAACCCUAUUUAGAUCAGUUCAUGGUGGUGUUUAUUGAUGAUAUACUGGUGUAUUCGAGAACUAAGGAUGAGCACGAUGAACACCUCAGAGUGGUUCUACAGAUUCUACGAGAAAAAGAACUGUACGCCAAGUUUAGUAAAUGUGAGUUCUAGUUAAGUGAAGUAACGUUUCUGGGACAUGUGGUUUCUACUGAGGGGAUUAGAGUUGAUCAUCGAAAGAUUGAGGCUGUCUUGGAUUGGAAGCAGCCUAAGACUGUAUAUGAGAUCUACAGUUUUCUCAGAUUGGCAGGGUAUCGACAAUUUGUGUAAAGGGUUUUCUCUAAUUGCCGUACCCUUGACUAAGCUGCUACGUAAAGGCUUACCGUUUAACUGGACUGAUUCAUAAUAAGAGAGCUUUGAGAAGCUCAAGACUGUACUGACUGAGGCCCCUGUUCUAAUAUAGCCAGAGUCUGGAAAAGAGUUUACUAUUUACACUGAUGCAUCACAUGUCUGUUUAGGAUGUGUGUUGAUGUAAGAAGGUAAGGUGGUAGUGUACACGUCUCAUCAGCUUAAGAAUCAUGAGGUGAAUUAUCUUACGCAUGACUUGGAGUUGAAGUGAUUGAGUAUAAUAACAUUUAACAUAUUAGAGCCAAUUGGUUGUCCAUAAACAUAAAAAGGUGACCUUAAUGAGAUACGCCAUAGACUCAAAAGUGUAUCAUUUACACUGAUCACAAGAGCCUCAACUACCUCCUCACUCAUAAGGAGCUGAAUCUUAGGCAACAUAGAUGGAUUGAGAUGCUUAAGGACUACGACUGUACUAUUGAAUACCACCCUGGUGAGGCUAAUGUGGUGGCUGACGCACUAAGCCGUAAAACUAUGACUGAACUGAGGGUGAUGUUUUCUCGCCUUAUUUUAUUUGAUAAUGGUAGUCUGUUGGCCAAACUUCAGGUUAAACCGAUUUGGAUAGAGUAGAUUAAGUGUAUACAAGUAGAGAAUGAGUUGUUGGGUCUUCGUUUUUGACAGGUUGAGAGUGGGAAUACCAAGGAUUUUAGACUGAAUAGUGAAGGGGUGCUCUAUAUCUGUGGGAGAAUCUAUGUAAAGACCUUCGUGAGUUAUACUAGUGGCCAGGUCUUAAAUGAGAAUUUACUAAAUUUUUGGCUAAGUGUCUGACAUGCUAGCAGGUUAAGGCUGAACAGCAGUUACCUUCGGGAUUGUUGCAGCCAGUCAAGAUUUCAGUUUGGAAGUGGGAGCAUGUAACUAUGGAUUUCAUUAGUGGGUUACCCCUCACACCCACUAAAAAGGAUUCGAUGUAGGUCAUCGUGGAUUGAUUGACCAAAUCCGCCCACUUCAUACCAAUUUGUACUGAUUACUCUCUGUAGAAGCUGGCUAAAUUGUAUGUGUCUGAAAUAGUGAGAUUACAUGGGGUACCGAUUUUAAUAAUAUCUUAUAGGGAUCCUCAUUUCACAUCUCGGUUCUGGAAGAAGCUAUAUGAAGCUUUGGGUACAAGAUUGGAGUUUAGUACUGCGUUUUAUCCUCAGACUGACGGUCAGUCAGAGAGGGUGAUUCAGAUACUAGAGGAUAUGUUGAGAAGUUGUGUGAUUGACUUUCGAGGUAGUUAGGAGGAUUACUUACCGCUAGUAGAAUUUGCAUAUAACAACAACUAUCAGUCUAGCAUUCAAAUGACACCCUAUGAGGCAUUAUAUGGUCGUAGGUGUCGCACACCUUCAUGUUAGACUGAGUUAGGCGAGCAGCGUAUUUUGGGGCCUGAACCAGUUUCUGAUACAGAGGAUAAAGUUAGACUAAUUCAGGACCAACUGAAAGCGAUAUCUAAUAGGCAUAAGUCCUACACCGAUCUAAAGAGUCGAGGGAUUGAGUAUUCUGUGGGGGACUUCAUUUUUCUCAAGGUCUCACCAUGGAAGAAGGUAUUAAGGUUUGGUCGUAAGGGCAAGUUGAGCCCUAGUUUAUUGGGCCCUAUCGCAUACUAAAACGUGUGAGAUGAGUUGCCUACCAGUUGGAGUUACCUCUAGAGUUAGAUCGGAUUUAUGACGUGUUCCAUGUCUCUAUGUUGAGGUUACCGCUCUAAUCCUACGCAUAUUAUUCCUAUUAAGGAAAUCAAGGUUAGGCUAGAUCUAACCUUUGAGGAGGAGUCAAUUCAGAUAUUGGAGUGAGAUAUAAAGGUUCUAAGAAGAAAAUUCAUCCCACUAGUUAAGGUUAUUUGGCGUAACCAUAGCACUGAGGAGGCCAUAUGGGAGUCUAAGGAUGUAAUGCUUUAGCAGUAUCCUCACCUAUUCUGAUCAGGUAAAUUUUCAAGGCCAAAAUUUUCUUUUAGGGGGUAGAGUUGUAGCGCCCCAAAAAUCCCUUAUAUAUUUAUUUUCGUAUUUUUUAUACAAAUAUCUGUCAGCUUUAGAGGCUAUGUGCUCUGGUAGUGUUUGGGAGGUCCCAAGUUCAAGCCUUAGCUUGGGCAAUUUUUUAGUUUUAAAUGAAUAAAAUCAUAUCUUUGAUCAAUAGGCUUAUAAAUAGAUGUUGGUAAAAUAUGUCAGAAUGGGCAUGCUGGUCUAGUGGUUAAGUGGGGUGCAAAUAUGCUGCAGGUCUUGUGCUUGAAUCUCUAUGUAUAGAGCAUGUUGUUAAACUGUACUACAUGCAUAUAUGAUACCAUGAUAUGACAUGACAUGAUUGUGUGGUGCAUGGCAUGGGGAUAGGUUAUUAUUGAUCGAAGGAAGUGUACUGGAAGGCUUUGAGCCUAACUUACUGGCAGCUCAGCUGCAUAUUACUGUAUAGUGUCGCCAUUGGUACUACUUAGAGUGUAGGGAUGGGUGGGUUGAUUAUAUCCCCACAUGAAGUGUAGGGUUGGUCGGAGUUGGUGUGUAGAGGUUGGCUAGGUAGGACUUGUAUACUGCAUAAUCUGUUAAUGUACUGAUUGCUAAUAUUGUAAUGGGCCAAGGCCCAAAUGCAUGAUUACUUUUGUACUAAGAUGGGCUAAAGCCCAAACCAAUACUGUCACUGAUACUGGAAAGGGCUUAGGCCGGACUGAGUUUAUUCUGUUUUCUGUCUGAUUAUUUUGUGUACUGUCUAUUUGUUUGCACUAGGAAUAUCACACUGAGUUUUGAAAACUCACCCUUUCUGUUAAUCUGUGUAGGUAAUCCCCAGUCGUAGGUAGAUCGGUGUGGCGGAGGAUUCAGCGGUGGCCACACGACUCCUUUUUAUUGUUUCGUAUCUAAUGAUAUUUAUUUUUAAGUCUUUAUUUGGGGUUUUUAUCUGUAAUAAUUGCUGCUAUGGAUUUUUUAUUUAAAUUUGGAUUUAACACUACUUCAUGUUUACAUCUGCUAGAGGUAGAUAUAGCACGGAUUUUUGAAAAGAAAUGCAUGUGUUUUAGCAAAAUACCCCAAUGUCACAAACUGUUUUAAAAAGCUUCCGCAACGUAUAAUGAUUUGCAAACUAACAAUUGAAUAAAAAUCACUAUUUUGGGAUUAACAAAAGAUAACGACGACCUCUAAUCGAAAAAUGUUUUAAGCAAAGUUACCAUUUUUCAACAUGAGCUUCGGUUUUGAAAAAUACCACCAUGUGACAUCGCCAAAUUCGCCCGUAACAUCCAGGCUGGGUUUGGGGUGUUAGAUAACUAAUUGCUUGAACUUAAGUACAUUUUGUUGCAUUUUAAGACAUUUUAGUUAGCAUUUCUAAUAUUGCAUUAGGACUUAGAUUGUGUUGGACUUAUGUGUUUUUAAUAUGGUGGAGUUUUUUUGUGUGUUGGUAUGGCAAGAACAUAUUUUAGAACGAGGAAAUAAAUGAGUGAAGUUUUGUCAGGGAAAAAGUGCAGACAGUUUGCCAGCACGGAUGCCGUGACAAUGCCAGGAAGACCAAGUAAACAUUUUUUUGCGCAACAGUCUCAAUUGAAAUUAAAACUUGUACCAGAUAAAUCUUCAAAAAAGAGGAGAAGAUAAUCACAAGUUGUUACUUGACACUAGCCUAAUCUACCUAUAAAAGCCAAUAAAGGGGAUCUCACAAAUGGCAGAAAAAAGUGGGAGGGAUCCUUAGGUGUGAAUAAGGUUUUAGUUGCGCAAAGGAAAGGAAGUCGAAGGCAGUGCUUUUUAGCCAUCACAGGAUGUUGUGCUACCGAAGUGUAAACUAGGCAAGUGAAAGUUGUUUCCCAAAGUUCUUUCGUUAUUUCCAUCAGCGUUCCUUCAAAAUAUUGAAGUAGUUGAACACAAUGUCAGAUAAUAUUUUGCUUUUGAAUUUUAUUUCUCAGCCCAUGAGCUAAAUCUCGUAGGGUUGGGAUUACUUUUGAUGAAACCUUAAACUAUUUUUAUGGAUGCAGUAUAUAUCUAAUUUACUUUACUGUUUCAUUUGAUUGUUCUUAUUUCUUAAUUAAAAUGCAAAUGAUUUCUAAACAUAGAAGACUGUUCGCAUACUUAUAAACUCAUUCUAAUUCUGAAAGGGUUGGAUUGGUUGGAUUAAAAUUAAAUGAAAUGAGCAAGUAUUCGAUGGACACUUGUAGUAGACUCUAUACAUAGAGUGACGAUCAUACAGAAGGAACCCAUGCAAGGUAUCUAAAAAGUCUUUAGACAUAGGCAAGGUAACUUGAUGUUUUCCUCUCAUGAGAGGAGAGCCAUUUUAGUACUCUUCUGUGCUUUAUAGUAGAUACGAUUUUCCCAAGGCAUUAUUGACAAUAAGGGUCAAUAUUCGGUAAUCCUGACCUUCGAAAUCCACAUCGUAUAUCCUUUAUUCUUUUCCACAUCAUUAUUAGUUAUUUAUUUGUUCAUUUACAUAAUAUUCCCAUAGUAAUUCUCAUCAUUGUCAUUACAUUUCUACUCUUGGUUUGACACAACAUUACCACUUAUUUAUUAAUUCUAUGUAUUGCUUACAUCAUUACUCUACUAAUUGCCACUGUAUAUUCAUCAUUGACUCUCCCAUAGCAUUAAUCGUAUUUUAUUAUAAUAAUUUGACCAAUUGUGUGCCUCAAUCCGAUCUUUAUGGGAACGAUACACACUCAUCACUUUAUUACGUGAUUCAACUGUAUACUUGCACAAAUCGCAUAUCAUUUCACACACGAUAGUGUUCAAUUGAACCCUUUGAGAUAUAAACCUAGACAAACUCAAUUAAUGGCUUUAAUUAACCCACCAAGAAAUAAUGAUUGGCAAAUUGAACGAUGAAGAAUGAAUUCCCAUGACUCCUUAAAAAAUUGAGAAGAAAAAUACUUCUAAAAAUCACAAGAAACAAAUCUUGGACAAAGAAACUAACUUUCAGAGUUGGAAAUUUUAGUAAUAAACAAAAACAAUUGCAUCUCUAAUGAACAUGAAGGGCCUUUACAUAGGCUAGAUAAGUACAUCCAGAUAAAAUAUUCAAGUAUCUUGAAACUUUAAUUAAUAUAAGUAAUAAGUAAUUUUAAACUAAAAUAGUCAUAAUUUUCGUCAUAAUCCCGUCCAAAAAUUCUGCUCACAUAAUCAUCAUUAAAAUAGUCAUAAUUUAAGCUCUUGAACUCAAAAUUGAGUGAAUAAAAGUGUGUUUCGAAGUUAAGUGCUAGAUCUUAGAACUUUAUGAAGACAUAUCAAUCGAAAAUUGUCCGGAUCCCAUCCAAAGAGUCACAGCAAGUUAACUAAUUUUUCAAACUUGAAAAUUGGCAACUUCGGGGAAUGGAAUUUAAUACAGUUCACCCCAUCUAUUCAUGUAUCAACUCGCAUUGGUAAAAAGUAAAAAGAAAUAAUCUAUAGAGAAAAUAGUUGAAGAAUUUAUGAAAAUUUAUUCAAAUCUCUUUUUUUUCUAGUCUUUGCAAGCUUGAAUUUUCCCUUGGUGUGUGAGAGUUGUUCCUUACCCUCUAAGUGAUUUUUUUUCUUUUUCUUUCUCUUCGAUCUCGUCACCUAAGGGUGUUCAAACAAUUGAUUCAGUUAGUACCCGUGCAAAACUAUCAUUAACUGAAAUUUUGAAACCCUUAAUCAUUAAUCAAACCAUUUUCUUUUUUGAAACCUACUAACCAGCUUGAUUGAUUUGGGUUAAUUUGAGUGGUUAACCAAAAUUUAAACAUUGUUUGUUUUUGUUCAAACAAUUUUAAAACAAAGAACAAUCCAUGACAAUUUUUCCUUGUUUUUUAUUCAAAAAAAUUAAAAGAAUUAAAAAAAUAACAUAAUAACAACACUAAAUUAAAAACAUAAUAGCAUUCAUUACAUUACAAAGCAUAUAUAUAUAUUUACUUUUUCUUGACUUUUUAGUUUAAUUUUCGUUUUAUUUUCCUAAUAUUUUUAGUUUUCAUAUUUUUGUUAAGCUUAUUAUAAGAACACUUAUAAAUCCAUUAGUUCUUAUAUAUUGGGUUUGUAUAAUGUAUUCGACCUAUCUCUAAUAUAUUGGGCCUAUAAUAUAUUUUUAUUGAUUUCGGUUAAUCAAUUCAUUCGAUUAAUUAGUCGAUUUCAAACUAAAAUAAUUGGUAAACAAAAUCUUCAAAAACCUUUAACCAACUCCAACCAAAUUAGAUUCAUUGAUCAACUUCUUAAUCAAAUUAAUUAGGUUUGAUAAAUUAAUUCGUUAAAACUGAAAAAUGCACACCCCUAUCAUCACCGUUGUUUUUAGGGAUUUUAAUCAUGUUGCUCCACCUGAUGCAGAAGUUGAGGUGGAAUGAACUACUUGCUACCAAAAUUUUUGAAUUAUAGAGCAUGCUCUACCGCAGUGAAUCAAAUUCGGUGGAGUGGAAGACUUUUCUUUACUACUUUAUGCUCUAUGCUCCAAGUCUUCUAUUCUUCUUCUGAGACCUAAAAUGGGAAAAAAAAAGAAGAAACAAGUCUAAACUAACUUUGAAAAUUAGAAAUUCUCAACAAAAUUGAAAUAAAAUAUAAUUAAUCCAUAAAAACUAUAAAAAAUACAAUAAAAACGAACCUAAAUACUAAAAUUACCUCCUAAAAAGCUAUGGAAACUAUACUAAAAUAAUUCUAAAUAUGAUAGUUAUCAAAAAUGACAUGAGGAAGCCAAUCGAGUAGAUGCUUUCAACUAUUGCAAAUACCAUUAGUCGAUUAGCCAUCAUCUUGAGAACAUCAUAGAGUUGAAAGAAAAAAUCAUACAACUCCAUAAAGAAGAAAAAAUCAUUUUUGAAAAAGAAUUGGCAUUAUCAAACUUGACAUCAAUGCUUUGGUUUCUCAAUACAAUAUUAUGGACAAAUUCAUCAAAUUUGGCUCUUUCAAUCCUAUUACACUAGCUCUAAGUAGAAGUAAGAUGGUGAGUUUCGAAGGGAUUGAGGGCAAUCAUCUAUUUUUGGAAUAUCAGAAUGGUCAUGAUUGGACUCUAGCCACAUGUCAAAGAAGCCAAUGAAAAGCAUCUCUCCUAGGUAUAAGCUUAUAUUAUCACAUUGCUCCUAAGCAUGAGCAUAAAUCGUUCAUCCAGAAUGAUGAUGAUCCUAAGCAUAAGCUUAAACUAUUCAUCUAAUGCUCCUAAGAUGGAGCUUAAUCUAUUCAACCUAAACGAUCAUGCUUUAAGCACAAUCUUAAACUAUUCACAAAAAAUAAAUGAUGAUCCAAUGAAGCAUGAGCUUAAACUAUUCAUACAAAAUAAGCGAUGACCUUCUAAGCAUGAAUUUAAAUUGUUCAUACAUAAUAAAUGAUGAUAUUACUAAGAACAAGCUUAAACUGUAGUCUAAAAAAUAUUGAACUAUAUUAUAACUUGAUCUUUUAAAAAUGAAGGUACGUAGAUAGCUUGGUUUCAUUGCCAAGUUCAGUCUAAUUAAAUAUGUUUAUGGUGUGUUUAGAGAAUUAAAUGAUUAUAUGAUUAUUUUCCAGGUAUUCGAGGUUGUUUCAUUUGGUUUAAUGGGUAAAUAAAGCUUUAAGGGGUAUGUGAUUACAUGAAAUGAACUAUCAUAUUUGAGUAAUGAUAUGGAUGAUGAUGAAAUGUUUAAUUGAAAAGGAAAUAUGGUUUAGUAUAUAUGUAUGAGUGGUGAAUUAUGAAAGUGAAAUGUAGAUAUGUUUUAUACCAUGUUUUGAUUCGAAUUAUAUAUGAUAUUUAAACCAACUAACCUUGUGAGGUGGUGUGUAUAGGAAAGGAAAGUUGGCUUAAAACAUAAUGAAAUUAUGCUUGGUUUUUUAACUUAAAAUAUUCAAUAAGUUAAGUUUCCUUUAUAUGAACUUACUAAACAUUAGUUGCUUACAUAGUUAUUUUUCUUUAUUUUGUAGUUCAUCAGAAGCUCGACCGAUUGGAAUCAUGUUAGAGCAUGAUCACACUAUCCAUUCAACAUUUUAAUAGUUCUUCGUUAUUUUGGUAAAUAGUUGUAAAUGACAUGUAAUGGGGUUUAACGGUCAUUCCAGUAAUUUGACUUGUUUUGAGUUGUGUCAAGCUUAUUGUGAUUAAUGUUGUUAGUUGCUGGCAUGUAAAUAAUGGUGUAAAUAUGUGUGAUCGGACCCUUAUGCAUGCUUUAUUGAUUAAAGAUAUCAUAUGUUAAAAUGGCAUGUUUUUGGAAUGGUUAUUUGGCAUGAUUGGUAUUUAUGAUCUUGAGAUGUUGAAUUGAAUUAAGUUUGAUAUGUAUAUUGUGAUACCUUCAUUGACAUAUUGGUUAGAUAUUAAAGGAUGGUUGAUUUGGUAUGUUUUUGAAAUGGUUGUUGGUAUGUUUUCUCUAAGUUAAUUAAAUGAAUUUGUAAUGUUGAAUGGUAUAAUAUUUGUUGGUACAUUAGUUAGUCUUAUAGGUUGAUGGAAUUGGUAUGUUUUAAAUGUGUUUUGGUUAUUUCAAUGUUUGUGGAAAUGGUGUGUCUUGGUGUACAAGAUUUGAAAUUGAAACGGCUUGAUUUAGAAGCAACUUAUGCUACACACCGCCUGGGACAUGGAUUGUCACAUGGCUGUGUCAUUAUUAUUUUAGGUAUAGGUUUCACACAAUCUAAGACUCAGCUCACGACACAGCUGUGUAUCACAAGUCAGUAUGUAACACGGUUUUGUACAUGGCCUGCGACACGAUCGUGUGUCCAGACUUCGAAUGUCCACAUGGUCUAGGCUAUGUCACAUGGCUUGGCCACAUGGCCGUGUGACUUUUGUUUUCAAGUUUUCCAAAAUUUUCUAUUUUAUUUCAAAUUGAUCCUAGAAUAUUCUCAAACUAUUUUUAAGGCCCCGUAGGUUCGGAUUAAGGCCCGUAAGUGUAUGUUUGCUAUAAUUAAGUUGUGUUAUUGAAUGUUAUUAAUUCAAACACAUGAAUACUUUGUUGUAAGUUAAAUGUUUUAAUUUGUACUAUAAUGCUUCGUAACCCUAAUCUGGCGAUGGAAACAAGUUUGGCGUGUUACAAUUUUGUAUUGUAAAUUUGUUUUGGGGCUUUGUUCUUUGGUUCUUGUGAUGUUGGUUGGAUUUUGGUGUUUUAACAUUAAACUGCAAAAUUGUAGGAUUUAACAAACUAAAAUUAGGUUUUCAAAAUUAAAACUCUGGAAAUUUUUGUUGCAAAGUUUAAGUAAUCACUUAAGUGUUUUUCUAUAGAUAAUUAAAUGGUUUUUAACAAAUGUUUUCCUUACUUUUGGAAAUGAUCUGCCAACAUUAGUACUUCUAAAACACAUGAUUUCAAAUUCAAAUUCUCAGUUUUAAAUAAGGGUUUUCACACUUCGAUUUUUUUUAAACAUUUUUGAGAGGUUUUUGCCAAAUUUUAUGUUUUCAGAACGUGUAACCAAGUUGAUUUUUAAUUAGUUUUUCAAAGUAGUCGAUGUAAUUCCUCAAAAAUCCAGUCAUAGCGUCUAGGCCGGGUUUGGGAUAUUAUACUGACGUUACUAAAGUUAAUCUUCAUCUAUUUAGUCUUGAUCUAAACAUUAAUAUUCUCUUCAAAAAAAAUCAAGAUUAUCAAAUUGUUAAAACUUGGUAGGCAGACAAUCAUAUUAAAUAAGCAUAAAACUUAAUAAAUAAUUACCGAAGAUUGAAAUAAUCAAAGAAAAAAUAAAUUAAUUAACUAAGAAAUAGGAUCCAUUAUUGUUUCAAGAAAAUAGAGUUUAGUUCACAUUGAGUUGAGAAAACCAAAAGGGAGAUUCAAAACAAACUUGUGAUAAGGGGAAUAAUGUCAAUAGAUCAUAUUCAAGUUGUUCGGCUUGAGAAAGAAAGAUUCAGAUCUAACUUGAAAACAAGAAACCAAAAAGAUUUAGAAAAACAAGAAAAAACAAAGAAAAUAACUAAAAUGAUAAAUUUAAGAAUAAAUAAUCAAUAUUAAAAAUAAUAAAGAAAUAAAGAAAUUAUAGAAUAAAUAGUGGAAGAUGGAAUGAAUAAACGAUGGAUAUGACAUAUAGAUGGAUAAGUGUCUUAUAAUUCAUGAAAAGAGUUAUAUUUCAUGCCUUUAGACCUAACUAAUUGUUUGUACUUAAGUACAUUUUGUUGCAUUUUAAGACAUUUUAGUUAGCAUUUCUAAUAUUGCAUUAGGACUUAGAUUGUGUUGGAAUUAUGUGUUUUUAAUAUGGUGGAGUUCUUUUGUGUGUUGGUAUGGCAAGAACAUAUUUUAGAACGAGGAAAUAAAUGAGUGAAGUUUUUUCAAGGAAAAAGUGCAGACAGUUUGCCAGAACAGAUGCCGUGACAAUGCCAGGAAGACAAAGUUAACAUUUCUUUGCGCAACAGUCUCAGUUGAAAUUAAAACUUGUACCAGAUAAAUCUCCCUAAAAGAGGAGAAGAUAAUCACAAGUUGUUACUUGACACUAGCCUAAUCUAUCUAUAAAAGCCAAUAAAGGGGAUCUCGCAAAUGGCAGAAAAAAAUGGGAGGGAUCCUUAGGUGUGAAUAAGGUUUUAGCUGCGCAAAGGAAAGGAAGUCGAAGGAAGUGCUUUUUAGCCAUCACAGGAUGUUGUGCUACCGAAGUGUGGACUAGGCAAGUGAAAGUUGUUUCCCAAAGUUCUUUCGUUAUUUCCAUCAGCGUUCCUUCAAAAUAUUGAAGUAGUUGAACACAAUGUCGGAUAAUAUUUUGCUUUUGAAUUUUAUUUCUCAGCCCAUGAGCUAAAUCUCGUAGGGUUGGGAUUACUUUUGAUGAAACCUUAAACUAUUUUUGUGGAUGCAGUAUAUAUCUAAUUUACUUUACUGUUUCAUUUGGUUGUUCUUAUUUCUUAAUUAAAAUGCAAAUGAUUUCUAAACAUAGAAGACUGUUCGCAUACUUAUAAACUCAUUCUAAUUCUGAAAGGGUUGGAUUGGUUGGAUUAAAAUUAAAUGAAAUGAGCAAGUAUUCGAUGGACACUUGUAGUAGACUCUAUACAUAGAGUGACGAUCAUACAGAAGGAACCCAUGCAAGGUAUCUAAAAAGUCUUUAGACACAGGCAAGGUAACUUGAUGUUUUGCUCUCACGAGAGUCAGGCCAUUUUAGUACUCUUUUGUGCUUUAAAGUAGAUACGAUUUUGCCAAGGCAUUAUUGACAGUAAGGGUCGAUUUUGGGUAAUCAACUUUCCAAAUCCACAUCGUAUAUCCUUUAUACCUUACCAUAGUAUAUUUGCCACAUCAUUAUUAGUUAUUUAUUUGUUCAUUUACAUAAUAUUCCCAUAGUAAUUCUCAUAAUUAUCAUUAGAUUUCUACUCUCAGUUUGCCACAACAUUACCAAUUAUUUAUUACCUCCACGUAUUGCUUACACCAUUACUCUACUAAUUUCAACUAUAUAUUUAUCAUUGAGUUUGCCAUGGCAUUAAUCGUAUUUUAUUAUAAUAACUUGACCAAUUGUGUGCCUCAAUCUGAUCCCCAUGGGAACGAUACUCACUCAUCACUUUAUUACGUGAUUCAACUGUAUACUUGCACAAAUCGCAUAUCAUUUCACACACGACAGUGUUCAAUUGAAACCUUUAAGAUAUAAACUCGGACAAACUCAAUUAAUGGCUUUAAUCAACCCACCAAGAAAUAAUGAUUGGCAAAUUGAACGAUGAAGAAUGAAUUCCCAUGACUCCUUAAAAAAUUGAGAAGAAAAAUACUUCUAAAAAUCACAAGAAACAAAUCUUGCACAAAGAAACUAACUUUUAGAGUUGGAAAUUUUAGUAAUAAACAAAAACAAUUGCAUCUCUAAUGAACAUGAAGGGCCUUUACAUAGGCUAGAUAAGUACAUCCAGAUAAAAUAUUCAAGUAUCAAGUACAUCCAGAUAAAAUAUUCAAGUAUCUUGAAACUUUAAUUAGUAUAAGUAAGAAGUAAUUUUAAACUAAAAUAGUUAUAAUUUCCGUCAUAAUCCCAUCCAAAAAUUCUGCUCACAUAAUCAUCAUUAAAAUAGUCAUAAUUUGAGCUCUUGAACUCAAAAUUGAGUGAAUAAAAGUGUGUUUCGAAGUUAAGUGCUAGAUCUUAGAACUUUAUGAAGACAUAUCAAUCGAAAAAUGUCUGGAUCCCAUCCAAAAAGUCACCACAAGUUAACUAAUUUUUCAAACUUGAAAAUUGGCAGCUUUGGUGAAUGGAAUUUAAUAAAGUUCACCCCAUCUAUUCAUGUAUCAACUCGCAUUGGUAAAAAGUAAAAAGAAAUAAUCUAUAGAGAAAAUAGUUGAAGAAUUUAUGAAAAUUUAUUCAAAUCUCUUUUUUUUCUAGUCUUUGCAAGCUUGAAGUUUCCCUUGGUGUGUGAGAGUUGUUCCUUACCCUCUAAGUGAUUUUUUUUCUUCUUCUUUCUCUUCGAUCUCGUCACCUAAGGGUGUUCAAACAAUUGAUUCAGUUAAUACCCGUACAAAACUAUCAUUAACUGAAAUUUUGAAACCCUUAAUCAUUAAUCAAACCAAUUUUUUUGAAACCUACUAACUAGCUUCAUUGUUUUCGGUUAAUUUGAGCGGUUAACCAAAAUUUACACAUUGUUUGUUUUUUUUCAAACAAUUUUAAAACAAAGAACAAUCCACGACAAUUUUUCCUUGUUUUUUAUUCAAAAAAAUUAAAAGAAUUAAAAAAAACAUAAUAACAACACUAAAUUAAAAACAUAAUAGCAUUCAUUAUAUAUAUAUUUACUUUUUCUUGACUUUUUAGUUUAAUUUUAGUUUUUUUUUUCCAAAUAUUUUUAGUUUUCAUAUUUUUGUUAAGCUUAUUAUAAGAAAACUUAUAAAUCCAUUAGUUUUUAUAUAUUGGGUUUGUAUAAUGCAUUGGACCUAUCUCACAUAGUCAUCAUUAAAAUAGUCAUAAUUUGAUCUCUUGAACUCAAAAUCGAGUGAAUAAAAGUGAGUUUCUAAGUUAAGUGAUAGAUCUUAGAACUCUAUGAAGACAUAUCAAUUGAAAAAUGUCUGAACUCCAUCCAAAAAUUCACGCAAGUUAACUAAUUUUUCAAACUUGAAAAUUGGUAGCUUCGGUGAAUGGAAUUUAGUAAAGUUCACCCCAUAUAUUGAUGUAUCAACUUUCAUUGUAAAAAGUAAAAAGAAAUAAUCUAUAGUGGUUAGUGUUUUAAUGGGGGUUUUGUGUUUACUCUCGGUUAGGGGAAGGGCAAGAAGAGUUGGUACUCCUGCAGCAAUUUGAGCGUUAAGGGUGUCUGUUCGUCGGCGGUAAGGUUUCAAAUUCUUUGUUGGUUAUUGUAAGGCUCCGUUUGUGGAAUGGUUUUGGAUUGAGUUUCGUAAGUGUACUGAAUUUGGGCUUCUGGAUGCUAUUUCUUAGGUUCGAUGGUCUCGGGGGUGCUUGUGCAUCAAAACGAUAUCAGGUGUGUACCCGAAAUGCAGAAAAUCGAGCUUCGAUGAAAUCUAAAACACCUUACUAUCGACACCACAAGGGCAUGUGCCUGGCCGUGUGGUUGGCUGUGUGUAGGACACGGUCAUGUGUUUGACGAGGGUAGGGUCGUGAGGAAGACAUGGCCGUGUGACGAUGUGGGCCCGCAGGCUAGGCCAAGUUAGGCUUGUGGGUUUUGGGCCACAUGUGCAUGUGGGUUUUGGGCCAAGCCAUGUGAACCACAUGGACAGGGCUAAUCUGGGUGUGUUGACCACAUGGGCAUGUGGGCCCGAAAUUCUAAAAUUUUUCGUAGGGUCUCACAGGUCAUUUUGGUCGACUUUGUGCCUACCGUAGGGUCAGUAAGGGCUAACCAAACCCUAAAACUAUGUGAUCUGUUAGUUUGAUAUUUGUUCUAAAUAUGAUACUACUAUGCAUGUCUGAUUAGUCUGGUGUAUAUAUAUAUAUCUGAUAUAUAUGUAUGAGCAUGUGAGCAUGAUAACUCUGAUUAUAUAUAUCUGAUUGAGGUGGGAUUUCUAUAUGUGGAGGAAGUGUUCUAUAUGGCGGUCAUCGCCUAUGUUCUGGCAGCUUGGCUAUACAUUAUCUGACAUGUAUCGUAAUGGCACGAUAUGGUGUGUAGGGAUUGGUGGGUGUUUUUAACCCCACAUGAUGUGAUGGGAUGGUCAGAGUUGGUUUGUAGAGGAUGGAGUUAGGAUUCUGUAUUUCUAAUAUGCAUAUAUGUUCUAUUAUUUGAAUCUAUAAAGGACUUAGGUCUGAAUCUGAAUCUGAAAUUGUAUCUGAUCGUGUAUGAGUUUAUUGCACGUAUUGCAUGUAUUUUUCUGUUGGGUUACACACUGAGUUUACGAAAACUCACAUUUGUUUGUCGGUUUUGUUUAGGUAAUCCACAGACUUAGACGGGUCAGUGUUACGGAGGCUCAGUGGUGACCACUUGAUUGAGAACUAUUUUACUUAGUAAAUUAUGUUUUAUUUAUAAUUUCGAUUUCAUUUGAGAGUUUGUAAUUUUUGGGACUCUCCGGACUGCUGGUUUUUAUUUUGGUUUUGGAUGCGAUUUUAGACUCUUUUGUUGCGAUGCAUAAUGGAAAACACGGUUUUAUGAAAACAAAGGUUAUUCUGAAAAUACGAACUGGAUUUCUAAAAUAUAACGGUUCAAAAACUUCUGCUAAAAAUCAUGUUUUGGUAAAUAAAUGAAUUAAGUAACACUUUCAAAAAUGGUUAUAAAGAAAUAUGAACUAUGAAUCUUUAAUGAUUUGACAAAAAGACCUUAUUUUCAAAACCAUACAUUGUGACCACUCCAGAUUCAGCUAUAACGUCUAGACCGAUUUGGGGUGUUACAGUAAGGAUGAAAAUUUAAGGGGGAGUGAGCUAUGGCGCUUAGUAUGAGUUCAUUCACAAUAAAUUCAAUGCAAACGGUUGGUAGGACACAUUAAAUAAUAUCACAUAAAAUAAUCACAGUCAGAUAAUAGUUUAGAAUGUCGGUUUUACAAUUUAACCACCAAUAUUAUCACAGUAUUCACAGUUGUAAUUUCAGAAUAUCAAAUUUUCACACCAUUCACAAUAUUUAGAUAUAUAUAAAUAUAUCAUAACAGAAUUCCAGAUUUGUAUGCACAUGAUUUAGAAGAUGCCAUACAAUUUCGGGUUUUAACAGAAUAAAUCCUACCCCACGUUACAUACCAUAAUGGGAGUUCCCCUAAACUCCCUUCUCCAACACACUGGGUACCACUACUGGUUUACAAAUAAUAACUAUCAUUUGGCUGUGGACACACAGCAAUCCCCCACAAUUGGAUUCUAGAUUUGGUUGUGGGUUCACAGCAAAAAAAUCUACAAAUGAAGCAUGCUUUUGCCUGUAGAUUAUACAACAUAUACCCAUAGUUGGAAUCUGCCUUCGGCUGUGGACACACUGUAACACCUCAAACCUGACCUGGACGUUAUGGCCGAAUCUUGAGGAAUUACUUUAACUCGCUAGAAAACCCAAGAGUUUACUUUGAAAUCAUGUGGUUAAACUAGUGUUCACUUUGAUAAAUCGUUUUCCAGUUUUAGGGAAAAUUAUUAUUAAAACUACUACUUUAUUACAAUAAAAAAUUAAAGUGAUUGUAUCAUUUUGUAACGGAAUCUACUGAGCUAUAAGGUUUUGAAAAUCGUGGUUUAAUUUGCAACAAAUCAUUUUGCAAAUAGAAAUUUAAUACUACUUAAUUUGGAAAAGCAUGCUAAAACGAAAGCAAAGUCCAAACUAAUUUACGAUUUAAAUUCUUAAAAGUCCAAAUUAAACAUAAAGUCAAUUUAAACCAGUUUAUCGAAAGUGUAACACCCCAAACCCGGCCUAGACAUUAUGGCCAAAUCUGGAUGUGUUACAAAAAAAAAGUUUAUAAAACGACUUCCUUGUUAUUGGCAAAUCAUCGCAACCAUUAUUACAUAGUAUGUCUGAUUUGUUUGGAGAACUUUUUGAUAUACUUAUUUGAUUUAAGAUCGUUGCUUGCUUAUGCCUUUCUAUUAAACCGAAUGUUUUGCAGUGGAGUUUCUUUAAAAUGUCAUAUUUUGGCAAAUCAAAUUGUUUCUUGAAAAUCGUUAUUUCAGAAAAGUUGUCAUUUUCAGGAAAACUAUUUUAUCGGUUGUUACGCUUAGAAAACCAAAAUAAAAUCCAAAACCAAAAAUAGUCCCAAAAAGUCCAAAGAGUCCCGAAAUUACAAAACUCUCAAAACCAGAAAAGUUUGAACUAAUUUUAAAAGAAUGAAAAUUUAUAGAAAUAUGGUCAACAUUGAGCUUCCGUCACACCGACCCACAUAAAUGUAAGGGUUACUUGAACAGAACAAACAAAUAGAGAGUGAGUUUUGAAACUCAGUGCGUAACGCGAAUAUAAACAAAAAUUUAGAAUCAAUCUAAUGCAUAACAGAUACAAAUGUAAACCUUUUAUAGAAUAAGAAUUAUACAGAUACAAAUGUGCAAAAUCCUACCCUCGUCCUCUACACACCAAUUCUGACCAGCCCAUCACACCACGUGGGGUAUAAAACACCCACCUAGCCAUACACACGGUAUAGUGUUUAUACGACACUUUUCAGAAUAAUCGCAGUAGAGUUGCCAGUAUAUAGGUGAGAUAUUUCCUCACACAGAACACUUCCUCCUCAUAAUACAAAUCCCGCUCCAUAGCCAGAUACAGACAGAAUAUUAGGUAAAACAAAUUAACAGAUACCAGAGUUAACAUAUCAUGCAUGAGCGUAUAACAAAUAUUACACAUGCUUGUACAUAACAGAACAAACCAUACAUACCGUAUUCCAUAAUACUCAUAUAAAUGUUAUUUUUUAAAUUGUAACAAAUAUUAUUAUUAAGAUGUUUUUCUUUUUAUAUUUUUAUAAAAAUAUAUUAAAAAACAAUUAGAAUAAUUUUAAGAGAAAAAACACUCAUAAAUAGUAGAAUUUAAUCUAAAAAUAUCAAAGUUUUAAAGCCUCAACUUUAACAUUUCAACCAAAAUUCCAUUAGUAUAUAAAUAUUUCAUAAAUAUAGAUUUUAUAUAAAAAAUUUAUGUUAACUUUUUUUUAACCCGCAUCACAAGUAUACCAUAUUUAGAGAUAUUCAUAGCUAGGCAGCCCACUUUGGGUCAAGCUUGAGCUUAGGUUUUAUCUCAAGUUGGCCCAAUUUAACCUAUUUUACUAUUUAAAAAUAUAAAUAUAUGUUAUAUUGAUAUUUAUAUAUUUCUAUAAUUAAAUUUUAAAUAAAUUUAUUGUUAACUUCUAAACAUAAAACAAAGAGAACUUUCACCCAAGUUAUAAGUUUGUGGUUAGACAGCCGACUUUCGGGGCAGGAUUCAGCUUACGUUUUUAAUCUUGGGAUUUAACAAUAAUAAAAAAUUUAAAAAUAAUAUUCUAUUAAUAUUUAUAAAUUUUAUAAAUUUAAAUUUAAUUAUAUUUUUUAAACAGUAAAAUGAACCAUUUAUAUGGGCUAAUUAGAGUUAAGUUUGGUUUGAAUCAAGGCUUAACUUUGACCAAAUCCAACUAAAAACACCUCUAACAAUUAUCUAGUAUUGUUUUUAUGAAUUGAAUUUUAACUUCUAAUUUUCAAUUUUAUUACAAAAUUUCUUUGCGGACGAUAAGAAAAUAACAUAUUUGUAACUUCUUCACUCCGACGUAAAGGUUAAGUCUGAAUUUGGAUUACAUCGGCCAUAAAUAUGGCCUAGCAGGAUUAUCGGAGUUUUUAAAAAUAGACAUCUUUAAAACGUUUGUUUAAUUUAUAAAAAAGCUUAUUUAAUUUCCAAAUUAUUUAUUACUUGAAAUCUUAAUUACAUUUUAAAAGCAGGAAGUGGUAACUAUUUAUUUUUAAUAAAAAUCGGGGUUCAUGUAUAAUUCAUUAAUAACCGUAAUUCGAAAACAUUAAAACUUAAAUUAAAUGUCAUGCAAAACAAAACAAACUUAAAUCUAAAUCUCAUGCCACAGUGCAAAACAAUUUAUUGUAGUCUUAGAAAAUAAAAAAAAAUCAUAUAAUGAACCUAAAAUAAUUUUUUUUACUUUAAUAAUGUGUCAAGACCUUACAAAUGUCACGCCCACGUUCAAUCCUGGUGGGUUAUCUAUAAGGAUGAAAAUUUAAGGGGGGUGAGCUUUGACGCUUAGUGUGAGUUCAUUCACAAUAAAUUCAAUGCAAACGGUUGGUAAGACACAUUAAAUAAUAUUGCAUAAAAUAAUCACAGUCACAUAACAGUUCAGAAUGUCGAUAUUACAGUUUAACUACCAAUAUUAUCACAAUAUUCAUAGUUGUAAUUUCAGAAUAUCAAAUUUCCACAUCAUUCACAAUAUUAACAUAUAUAUAAAUAUAUCAUAAUAGAAUUCUAGAUUUGUAUGCACAUGAUUUAGAAGAUGCCAUACAAUUUUGGGUUUUAACAGAAUAAACCCUACCCCACGUUACAUAUCAUAAUGGGAGUUCGCCUAAAAUCCCUUCUCCAACACACUAGGUUGUGGAUAAACCAAUACUCAUCCGCAGAUAAUAACUAUCAUUUGGCUGUGGACACACAGCAAAUCCCCACAGUUGGAUUCUAGGUUUGGCUAUGGGUUCACAGCAAAAAGUCCUGCAAAUGAAGCCUAUUUUUGCAUGUAGAUUAUACAACCUAUACCUGCAGUUGGAAUCUGCCUUUGGCUAUGGAUGCACUAUAACGCCCCAAACCUGACCUGGACGUUAUGGCUGAAUCUUGAUGUAACGCCCUAAAAUUUCUAAUUCUAUUAUUGUAAAAAUAUGACACAAAAUAUUUGUCUGCUUUAGUGGUUAUGUGUUCUGGGAGUGUUUGGGAGGUCCCAAGUUCACGUCUUUGCUUGGGCAAAUUUUGGUAUUUUGAAUGAAUUAGGCUUUACUCUUGUUCAGUAGGAUUUUAUUUGAUUGUUGGGAAAAUUAUAUCAGAAUGGGCUUGCUGGUCUAGUGGUUAAAUUGUGUGUUAUUAUGGUGAAGGUCUUGUGUUCAAAUCCUUAUGUAGGCAAAGGUAUUAUUAUUAUUAUUUUUGCUCAGAUUUCGGGAUAUAGUUGUGUAAUAGGGGGAUUCUGAGUAGUGGAUGUGUAGUGGGAAUUAGGGGAGAAGAUUAAGGGGUUUCGGGAUUUUAUUUUAUUUUUUCCCAGAACGGAAUUUUGACUCUCUUUUCCAAAAAAAUUCUGUCGUCUAUUCUUCUCCCUCUCCUCUUGUCGAUAUUCUCUAAGUUUUUUCAUCUUUCUCUUCUUUUUCUUCUUCUUGAUUUUUCCCUAAUCCAUUUAUUUUUCCUUCAUUUUCGCACGCGAUUAGUGCUCGCUUAGUUUCGGUAAGCGUUUCUCUUUGUUUUUAUCAUGAAUCUCCUAGGGACUAAAGUGGUAAUUUUUUUCUCUGCGAUUUGGGCAUAAGGGAAGGCUCGGACUGGUGAAUUCAGUAUUCUCAUCUUAUCAAUAGUUAAAUGGGGGGUUAUCGUUGGUGGUAUGUUGGGUUUCUGUUCGUUCUUGGUUGUCAAUUCGCUUGUAAAUCCAUUAAAUUGAUGUUUAGUAUCUUGAUUAUAGGCUUUGGAGUGCUUGGGGACUGUUUUAGCAUCAAACAAAACCAGGUGUGUACCCGAAACGCAAAAAAAAAGGGAUUCGGUGAAAAGUUAAAAUUGCUUGCUAUUUGGACAGCAGCAGUAGACUAAUUUUGAAAAAUCACCAUAAAUUGUGGAAAUCGAAUUAGAGGAUGAAAAAAAUAUGAAAUUAAAUCUUAUUGAGUCUAGUUUCUCAUAGAAGAAACGGUGUAAGUAAUGGAAUUGUAAAUCGUGAGAUAUAAUAAACUUUGUGAGACAAGGUUAGAAUAAAUUCGGGUUCCCCUGUUCUGAUUUUGGAAAAUCAUCAAAAAUUGGAGAAAAGUAAUUAGGAAUUAAAAUUUACAUGUUUAAAUUAUUAAUGAGUCUUUUUUUUCAAUAGAAACAAAUGGGAACUUCAUCCAAAUUUUGUACUAAAAGAUAAUUAAUUUUUAGCAAAGAAGGGUCAAAGCUGUCAGACAGCAGAACAAGGGUAAGUUUGAAGAUUUUACUGUACUUAUUAGCUGAACCAAAAAUUCUAAAAAUUUUAUGGUAGAAAGGUAUUUGAGUCUAUUUUUAAAGACAUCAAGCGAAUUUUAAUUAGAAAUUCUGUAGCACAAGAUAUAAAUAAUUUAGUAACAGUGACUCAAGUAGAAAGCUUUGAAGGAACACAUAAGUAAAUUGUGAUAACAUAUAUGAAUAUUUAGCUAACACAGGUUACACUGAAAAUGGAUCACGUGGCCAAGGCCAAUUUGGGCCGAGUGGGCCACGUGGGCGUGUGAGCCCAUUUUUUUGAAAAAUUCUGUAAGGUUGCACGGGUCACCCAAGUCGACUAUGGACCUACUGUAGGGUCAGUAACCUUUACUUAGACGCCUAUAUGUGUGAUCUGUCUAGCUGAUUUCUAUAACGAGCAUGACUUAUAAUAUCUAAAUGUAUGUACUAUUAAUUGCAUAAUGGCAUGGCAUAUUUUGUAUGUUGCAUUGCAUCGGGGUGGGUUGAUGAUAUUUGGAGGAAGUGUCUAAAGGGAUAUUAAGCCAGUUAUCUGGCAGCUCAGCUGCAACCUUCUGAUUAUGUGUCGAUUUCAGUAUAGCAUGGUGUGUAAGGAUGGGUGGGUUAAUUUAAUCCCUACAUGGUGUGUAGGGUUGGACGGAGAUGGUGUAUAGAGGCUGGUGGGUAGGAUUCUAAUUUACUAUAUCUACAUUCUGAAUCUGAUAUGGGCCAAGGCCCUAAUGUAUUUCUGAGACUGUAUCUGAACGGGCUAAGGCCCAAACUGAUUGUGUGAUGGGCCUAGGACGCAGACUGUAUCUAACUGAAUUCUGUUGAUUAUUUGUAUGCAUGUUUUCUAUGGGGAUUACACACUGAGUUUGAGAAAACUCACCCUUUCUCUGUUUAAUCUAUACAGGUAAUCCCCAAACUUGAUGGGUAGGUGCAGCGGAGGAUUCGACGGUGGCCACACGUAAAUUUCAGACUGUUUUCUGUUAAUGCCUAGAAUUUAUUAAUUAUUUGGGGUUUUUGAUGUAUCUUCUGGACUAUGGACUAGUAGGCUUUAAAUUUUAGACUUUAUACUAUUUUUUAUGUUUUUUUUAAAACUGCAACUCCACAAAACACGGUUUUUUUCUAAAAAAUAAGGAUUUUCGUAAAUAGAAAUGAUUUUCCCUAAAUUAAUUGGUUACAAAAGUUUUCUCUAAGAGACAAGUUUUAAAGCAAAUCAACUAGUUUUUUUUCAUAAUUAAAUAAAAGUUAACUUACUAUAACGAUUUUUCUUAAACUCGACAAUCUUGUCUUCAAAUCCCUUUUCAUGUGACAUCACCAGAUUCGGCCAUAACGUCUAGGCCGGGUUUGGGGUGUUACACCUGAUGAGUUACUUUAAAUCGCUUGAAAACCUAGAAAUUUACUUUGAAAUCAUAUGGUUAAACUAGUGUUCACUUUGAUAAAUCGUGAAAGUAUGUGAUUAUUGAGGACAUGCUGAGCAUGUCAAAUGAAUGUGAAAAGUAUUGUGAUAUGACUAUGUAUGAGAUUGUGUAACAUAUUGCAUAUGCAUUGGGUUGGGAUUUUUUGGUUGACGGAGUAGUUCUGUGGAGUACCGUCGGCAUAUUAAGCCCGCAUUAUUCGUAGUUAGUGCACUGCACCUGGAGUACUGAGGGGAUUGGUAAUUUUAUCGCAUAUUAUAUGUUAUUGGUGAUUGUAUAGCACUAUUUGAUAUCCGACAGAUUUUUUGCAUUAUUGAUUAUUCGGUGGUUUUACCACAUUGAGCUAUGCUCAGAAUGUUUUAGAGUUUGGUAGACGGGUUCUAGGGAACACGUGGUGUGUAGCGGAUGGUAUGGGUAGGAACCUUUUUGCAUUGCAUCAUGUGCACGACAUAUUCGAAUGUUAUUGGUUUAUGCUACGUAUUGUAUUUUUUUGUAUUGAAUGGUAUCAAAAUUAAUGAUUGUCACUCGAAUGAAUUAUGAACUAUGCUCAUACACUGUUUGACAUCAAUUUAAUAAUGGCUAUGUAACGAUAUGAAAUUCCUAUAAUGGUUUUAUUUUCUUCUAUUAAAGCUAAUAUGUUUCACUGUAUUUGAUAUUUAUGUUUGUUUAAAUAAUUGUUCGACUCACACUGAGCUUUUCAUAAGCUCACCCCUAAUAGUGUUAAACUUUUCACGUAAACCUCGAAAUUAAGACCAGACUUGGCAUUCGAAGAAUCACCUUGGACCUUGAAUUAUUUUUCUAAUAAGUAUUAAUCAAUCUCUAAUGGUUUUGGUUUGUAAUUUUUAAUUAUAUCUAGUCUGUGGCUUGAUAACUUUUCUUUUGGGAUUUUUGCAUGCAUGGAUUACUCAAGCAUAAUAACCGGAUAAUGCAUGAUAUCAGGCUUAAGUAAAAUUUGAUAUUGUUCCCUAGAUUCUGCUACAUUGCAAAGGAUUUGUUUUUGAAAAACAAAUUGAUAAGGUAACUAAGUUUUUAAAAUGACUUGAAAAAUGGUUUUUCCCCUAGAUUAGUUUAACAUCAAAUUUUUUUUAAAGGAGAGCAACAAGCAAAUGGUUUUUCUAAAACAACACUAUCAACAAUAAAAUGAAUUCUAAGUAUACACAACCUAAUGAAUGAAUGCUUUUAAGCUAACUUAAAGUACAAUUAUGGUUUUCUCUAAAAUGAGUUUAUUUAAGGUUUUCAUAAGUAAUGUAAGUUAGCUUAGCCAUUUCGGUGGCUAAUGUAGCCUUCUCAUUCUAGCCAUAACGUCUAGGCCAGGUUUGGGAGGUUACAGUAUUGAUAGGAACUGUGGUAUAAAUUUUAUUUUGGACAUUCUUAAAGUGUUAUUUGGACUAAACUUUAGAAACUAUGGAUUUUAUACUGAGCCUAAAUUUACGAAGUUCAUGCGUGGUUUUUACGAAAAUGAAACUAAUAUGAAUUUUUAAAACCAUGAUUUUUUUUAAAGCUCCAAUUUGAAAUUGUACAAGAAAUGUCAAUUUGAAUUAUUUUUGAAUGUUUUUUUAUGCCAAUAAAAUAUUGUUUCAAAACAUAGCUAAGUAUUAUUUAAUUUCGUAAAGACGAAGCAAACUCCAAACAAUCUAAAACUUUAAGGACUAGUUUGUAAUUUUUGUUUUUCCUCAAUUGUCUCUGGUUUGAUUCAAUUCUUGAUCUAUACAAUUAUUCCAUUCAAUUCAUCAAUAUUAAACAUUUAUACAUUAUGUCAUGUCAUGAAUGAACCUAGAUAAAUUCAUUUUUUGAUACCCUUAAAGUUUUACAUUUAUUUCAAUUUAGUCUCUAAAAUCGAAAUAGUCAUAACUUUAAAUUCUGAACUUCAGUUUGAAAAUCGACCUCAAUUUCAUUUUAGACUGUCUGUUAAAAAUUAGUGCAUCUUACUGGAUUUUUUAAUUUACUUGUUUUCUUUAUCAAAUAAGUUGGUUCCUAUUAUAUAGGGAUAUGAUCAGAUUAUGUUUUGUUAGUUGAGGUUUUAGUGGGCUAUUAGUUGCAGGUUUUUUAACUUUAACGUUACAUGUAGUUAAGCUAUUUAUAUGUCAUUUUAUCUAAUGUAAUUUUGUGUGUUUUUUUUAGUAAUCAAAAACGUUCUUUAAUACUUUAAGCUUUUCUUGUUAUUAUUUCUUUCAUUACCUCGGUCAUUCUUUUUUGUUUUAUGGUGUCAGUGCCAGGUUAUUCAUUGGUUAAUUGUGUGAAAGGGUGUUUUGCUAGUUGCUGCAAUGGAGGUUUCAAAUGGAGGAAAUAAUCAGAUUGGUAUGGAGAAGCUUGUAGGCACUAACUACAAGUAUUGGAGGAUGUGUAUGGAGGCAUUUCUUCAAGGCUAGGACUUGUGGGGAUUGGUUGUUGACCUGAUGCAACAAUCCCUCCCAAUAUUCUCGAGAAUGCCAAGUCACGAAGGAGGUGGAAGGUCAAAUGCGGUAAAGCUUCAUUGAUCAUGUUCAUGAUGUUAACUCUCCAAAAGAAGUUUGGGAAACGCUUGAAAGGUUGUUUACCAAGAAGAAUACUGCAAGGUUGCAAUUGUUGGAGAACGAAUUGGCCGGGUUAAAACAAUGAGGUAUGUCAGUUUUAGAAUAUUUUUUACGAGUUAAAAAUAUUUGUGCUGAAAUUUCAGAGAUAGAUACGGAUGAGAAAGUUAGUGAAGCUCGUUUGCGUCGUUAUCUUAUCCGCAGUUUGAAGAAGGAGUAUGGGCCUUUUGUCACUUCUAUUCAAGGGUGGUCGACACAGCCUUCGGUGGAGGAGUUAGAGAAUUUUCUCUCUAAUUAAGAAGCUUUGGCAAAGAAGAUGGUGAAAAGUUUCGAAUCUGAUGCCAGUCUCUUCUCAAAAGGGAAGCCAAACAAGAAGAAUGAGUCUGGAAAUAAAGGCAGAUCUGAAGACUCUAGUUCGAAAAAAGAUGGCAACUCACAAAGCAAAAAGUCUUUCAAAUGCUUCAGAUGCAGAAAGACUGGACAUAUCAAGAGAAAUUGCCGUGUGUAGAUUUCCAAGGCCAAUAUCGUGUCCACGGAAGAAACCGAUGAUCGACUCAAAUGGGAGCAUUGCUUUACUGUUGAAGCUAUUGAACAAAAGUCAUCAAAAGCUUUUGUCAAUUAUGCUGAUAACAAGAAGGAGGAGUGGAUCAUUGAUUCUGGUUGUUCUCACCAUGUAACCGGAAAUGAUACUUUGUUCUUAGAGAUGCAUGAACACCAUGGAGAUCGAGUUAUUGUGACUGCAGAUAACUCCACUCAUCCGGUAGCAAAAGAGGGCAUUGUGGUGAUCGAUGUUGUCGACGAUACGAGAACCGAAAGUGUCAAAUUGACUGAUGUGUAUCAUGUUCUAGAUGAAGCUUAUGUGAAGAAAACAAGCCAAACCGAUAACGCUGCUAUUUGGCAUGCUCGAUUGGGUCAUGUGGGGUACCAAAUGCUGCAACAAAUUUAUUCGAAAAGGUUGUUAGAUGGGAUGCCGAUCUUGAAGAGUGUACGUGAAGAUGUGAUUUGUCAAAGCUGUCAAUAUGGUAAAUCUCAUCGUCUUCCUUUCAAAAGCUCAUCAAAUCGGAGAUCUUCUUUGCUCGAAUUGGUUCAUACAGACUUGACGGGACCAACGAGAACACUGAGUUGUAGCAGCCACUGUUAUGUUAUGGUUUUGGUGGAUGAUUACUCAAGGUUCUCUUGGGUGAAAUUUUUGAAAGAGAAGAGUGAAGCAUUAUCCAAGUUUGUGGAGUUCAAAGCUGCUGUUAAAAAAGAGUUUGGAAAGAAGAUUAAGUGUCUUCGAAGUGACAAUGGCGGAGAAUACAUGUCCAAUAAUUUUUUUCAGUAUUGUGUUGACAACGGCAUCUGUCGUCAAAUGACUUGUCCAGAUACUCCAUAGCAGAACAGAGUUGCAGAAAGAAAGCUUGGUUAUCUUGCUUCGAUUUGCCUUUCAUGGCUGCAUGACAAGAAUCUUCCUCGAGAGCUUUGGGCGGAAGCUGUUCUUUGUGCAUGUCAUGUGACAAAUAGGCUGCCUCCUUGGCCAGGUACACAGAAAUCUCCUUUUGAGAUUUUAUAUGGUGAAAAGCCAAAUGUGAAUUAUUUUCGAGUCUUCGAUUCUAUUUGUUAUGUACAUGUUCCGAAAUCGAAAAGAACUAAACUUGAUCCGAAAGCAAAAAAGUGUGUAUUUGUUGGCUAUGAUUCUUAUAGGAAGGGAUGGAGGUGUAUGGAUCCGGAUACAAAGAAGUUUACUACUUCGAGAGAUGUCGUGUUCGAUGAAGUAUCAUCUUUCUACUCCACUCAAAGAUUUGCUGCAGAAAAUAUUAUUCUUGAAGAUGAUGAUGAAAACUUGGAUGAGCUAUUUCCAAGAGUUAAUUUGCAACCAUUCAUUGAUGAUGAGUUGGAAAAUGAAUCUCCAACACCAACUCCAAGUCAAAAUGUUCAAUGACAUGAAGGUGGUUAGCAACAGAGUGAGGAGGUCUACUAGAGAAACGAGACAACCUGAGUAUCUCAGAGACUAUGAGGUGCAGCUUAAUCAUUGUAGUAUCACUUCUUGUUUCUUUGUUUGAGCGUUUGAUGAAGAACCAGUAAGUUAUGAGAAGCCAAAAGCCAUUCAAAAUGGGAGGCAGCCAUGAAAGAAGAAAUUGAAGCUUUAGACAAAAAUGAGACGUGGGAGUUGGUUCUUAAACCAGAAAAUUGUAAGCCGAUCACUUGUAAAUGGGUUUUUUGCGUGAAGAAAAAAUUAGAUGGCACCAUUGAUAGAUUUAAAGCUCGUCUGGUGGCUCGUGGUUUUUCUCAAAAUUAUGGAUUGGACUACGAGGAGACGUUUAGCCUAGUAGCAAAGAUGGUGACGGUGAGAUCGAUUAUUUUGCUUGCUGCGUUUAAAGGUUGGAGACUAUGGCAACUUGAUGUAAAGAAUGCUUUCUUUACGGAGAUUUAGAUCGUGAAGUAUUUAUGGAGCAACCUAUUGGCUUUGUCUCUAAGGAAUUUCAAAAUCGUGUUUGCCGUUUGAAGAAAGCGUUAUAUGGCCUUAAGCAAGCGCCACGAGCAUGGUAUGGUAAAGCUGCUCAAUAUCUCAUUUUUUGUGGCUUUAGAGUUUCUGAAUCAGAUUCUAGUUUAUUUAUAAAAUUGGAAUCAGGUGCACAUCUCUUGGUAUUAUUAUAUGUUGAUGAUAUGAUAAUAACUGGAGAUAAUGAAUCAGAAAUUUGUAAUUUGAGGAAUGACUUGUCUGUUCGUCUUGAGAUGAAAAUUUUGGGGGAGAUUGGAUGUUUUCUUGGUCUAGAAGUGGAAAAAUCAGAUCAAAGUUGUUAUAGCCCGAUUUUGGGUCUAGUCAGAACAGUGGUUUUGGGACCACAAAUUCAACAAAAAGAAAAUGGGUAAAAAAUAUUAUUAAUUUAGUAAGUAUAAGUUAAAUGUGAAGUUAGGAAAAUUUUUUAAAUACUGAAUAGUGCACUAGAAAUAAAUAUUAAAAUAAUUAGAAUCGAAAUGAGGUAUCAAGACCUCGGGGAUUUUAAACCGAGCCAUAAAUAUUUUUAUAAAUAUUUAUGGAGUGUUAAAAAGUUAGUAUUAAAGUUUCGUUAGGAAAUUUUAAAGUUCCGAUAAUUAAUUGAACAAAAAGGACUAAAUUGUAACAAAUGCAAAAUUUUGGGAAAUGAUUAAGUAGCUUAAAUGAUAAAAGGAAGAGGGCUUAAAAGGCAAAUAGACCCAAGGUUUAUUUGGGCUGGACGGCAAAGGCAUGAAAUCAGCAAGAAAGUAAGGAGAAUUAAGGGCAAAAUUGGAAUAUUGCAAAAUUUGCUUAAUAAAGUUAGGACCCAAGUGGAAUUAUCUAGAUUUCUCUUCAUUUUUCUGAAUUCUCAUCAGCAAAAACACCAUGGAAGGGCUUCUUCAAGCUGGUUCUUCAUAUUUUUACUACAAGUAAGUUCAAUUCUUGACUAUUUCUUGAAAUUUUUGUAUUUUUAUGACUUUUACAAUUAGGCUCACUUGUUAAAUUCAUUAGUUUUUGAUUUUAUGAAAGAAGUUGAAAGUUGAUAUGAAUAUGUGCUGGAAUUAUAUGAUGAUUUAGCAUGGAAUUAGAGCUUUAAAUUGUUCAUAUGCUGAUUUUAUUGAAAGAAUUGAAUAGAAAGUGAAUGUUUGGGACCUAAUAGUAAAAGAGUUUGAAGAUAGAAUUAUAUGUGGAAAUUCUGAAUUUCAAUAGUUGUGUAACAACUUAUAAUGUCUAGGUAAAGUAUUAAUUCAGAAAAUUGGAUUAAUUGAGGGGUUAAUUGAGAAAGGACCGAAUUGUAUAAACUGUAAAAUUUGGGGCAAAAUGGAAAUCAACAUUUUGCACUAAAGCAGUUUUGGACAGCAGCAGUAGUGUAACUUUGAAAAAUCACAAAAAAUUGUAGAGAUUGAAUUAGAGGAUGAAUAAAAUAUGAAAUUAAAUCUUAUUGAGUCUAGUUUCUUAUAAAAGAAACGGUGUGAGCAAUGAAAUUGUAAAUCAUGAGAUAUAAUAGAUUUUGUGAGACAAGGUCAGAAUGAAUUCGGGUUCCCCUGUUCUGACUUUGGAAAAUCAUUAAAAAUUUUACAAAAAUUAUUAUGAGUUAUAAUUUAUAUGGUUAGAAUCCUUAAUGAGUCUAUUUUUAUAAGAAACAAACAAAAACAGCAUCCGAAUUCUGUACAAUGAGAUAAUUAAUUUUUAGUGAAGAGUGGUCGGAACUGUCAGACAGCAAAACAGGGAAAAAUUUAAAGAAUAAACUGUACUAUUUGGCUAAACAAAAAAUUCUGAAAAUUUUAUGGAAAUAAUAUAUGUGAGUCUAGUUCCAGGUAAAAUUAACGGAUCUUAAUUUGGAGCUUUUUAGCUCCGGAUAAAAAUAAUUUAGUGACUCUAACUCAGACAGACAGCCUAAAUUUUUCAUACAAGAAAAUAGUGAAAGUAUGAAUAAUGUUGUUUAAAUGUGUUAUACACAUUAAGGAUGAGGAAUGGAGAGGAGGUGGAGGAAAAUUGGGAAAUAUAUGAAUGGUUUAUCAUGUUGUUAGUUCCAAAAAGAGUUAUGUUUCAAUACACUAGCUUGCAACUAUGGUUGAAUGAUAUGUUUAUAUCUUGUGUGAUGUGCAUAGGAAACAAGUGUGGAAAGAUAAUGAAAUAGUAAGUUCAUAUGGCUGAAAUUUAAUGGUUAAAUGUUAAUUCCAUGAAUUAUAUGAUGUAUGAUGAGAUAUUUUUAUUGUUGAAAUAAGAAUAAAAUAAAAGUGCGAAAGCUGAAUAAAUGAUCAAAUUGAGCGGAACGCCGGAUUUGAGUACUUCUGAUCAAGUGACAAAGUGAUAAGUGAUAGCUUUAGCUACACUUAUUUGAUCAAGAACAAGUGAUAAGCGGUGACAAAGUGAUAAGUGGUAGCAUUAGCUACACUUAUCUGAUCAAGUGAGAAAGUGAUAAGUGGUAGCAUUAGCUACACUUAUCUAAUCAAGUGAGAAAGUGAUAAGUGGUAGCCUUAGCUACACUUAUCUGAUCAAGUGACAAAGUGAUAAGUGGUAGCCUAGCUACACUUAUCUGAUCAGGGACAGGUGAUAAGUGAUCAUACGUAAGACCAUAGUUAUACUAUGGCAAAGUGAAAGUGAAGUACUCAAUUUUCCGUGACCGUUCCCUAAUUUGAUUAAGGAUGGUAAGUGACAAAUGAGCCCAAAAGAAUUAAAGUAAAUGGAUAAGUGGUAGUAUAUUUAUAUCAGGACGAUGUUGUUAUUCAAGCUAAAGUGAUAUUUUCAUUGCAAAAUUGAGAAUUUCAUAAAUGUGUUAUUGAAUGGUAUAAUCAAUAAACAUUGAGUUAAAUGGUAAAUACGUAAUAGUGUUGAACUUGAUGUCAUUGAAUUGUAUGUGAAUUAAAUGGAAAUUGCUAGUGAUAUGAUGUAAAUUGUGAGCAUGAGAAAUUGCGACUUGAAUGAAAUGGAAAUGAAGCAUUGAAUUGCAUGAGUAUGUAUCGGGUCUCAUAGGCCCUAAUUAUUAUGAUUAUAAUAUUUCGAGGAUAUAUUGUGAAAAGUUAUAGAAGCAUGUUAAUUAUUUUGAAAGUUUAAAUUUAUAUGAAAUUUUAUAACUCGGUUAAAUAUGCUUACAAGUGCAUAUGUUUUGGUGAUACCUCGUACCCUAUUUCGGCGUUGGAUACGGGUAAGGGGUGUUACAAGGUUACUUUGUUUCUCAAAAAGGCUAUGCAAGGAAUCUCUUGGAGCUUUUCGGUAUGGGGGAGUCGAAAGAAAAAGCUACUCCGAUGGAGCCGAAUUUGAAGUUGAAGAAAGAUGAUGGGAGGCCGUUGGAAGAUGCAAGGAAGUUUCGACAACUUGUUGGAAGCUUAAUCUAUUUGACCAUUACAAGGCCUGAAAUUUCAUACUCUGUUAGUGUUGUUUCUCAAUUUAUGCAAAAUCCAACAAUUAUUCAUAUGGAUGGAGCAAAGAGGAUUUUGCGUUAUGUUAAAGGAACUAUUGGUUAUGGUCUUCUAUACAAGAGAUGUGAUAGCUUUAUGUUGAGUGGAUUUACUGAUGCUGAUUGGGCUGGAGAUACAAACGAUCGUCACUCGACUUCGGGAUAUUGUUUCAGUAUCAAUUCAGCAAUGGUUUCUUGGUGUAGCAAAAAGCAAGGUGUUGUUGCUUUGUUGAGUAUCGAAGCCGAGUAUCUGGCAGCAACUAUGGCUGCACAAGAGUGCAUUUGGUUGAAGAGGUUGAUUGGAGACAUAUGCAAAGUUAAUUAUGCUGUAAAAAUCAAGUGUGAUAAUGAAAGUGCUAUUAAGCUUGCAUCGAACCCGGUUUUUCAUGCUCGAACGAAGCACAUCGAGGUUCGACAUCAUUUUGUUCGAGGAAAGGUUCUAAGUGAAGAGAUUGAGCUUGUAAACAUUCGCACCAACGAUCAAGUGGCUGAUAUUUUCACUAAGGCUUUGGUGAAGCCUAAGUUUCAUCAAUUUAGAGAUGCUCUUGGAGUUCUUGAUCGUAAGCAUGCACUAAGGGGGAGUGUUAAAAAUUAGUGCAUCUUACUAGAUUUUUUAAUUUACUUGUUUUCUUUAUCAAAUAAGUUGGUUCCUAUUUUAUAGGGAUAUGAUCAGAUUAUGUUUUGUUAGUUGAGAUUUUAGUGGGCUAUUAGUUGCAGGUUUUUUAGCUUUAACGUUACAUGUAGUUAAGCUAUUUAUAUGUCAUUUUAUCUAAUGUAAUUCUGUGUGUUUUUUUUUUAGUAAUCAAAAACAUUCUUCAAUACUUUGAGCUUUUCUUGUUAUUAUUUCUUUCAUUACCUCGGUCAUUCUUUUUUGUUUUACUCUCUACUAUCCAUUAUUAUCAAAAUUUCACAUCAAUUUCACAAUUUAUUUACUUUAGUUAUUAUGUACAAAAUUAACAACCAAACAUCACAAUUUAGUCAUUUUUCAUAAUUUAAGCUUAAAAUCUAUAAAUUUAACACCAAUUUCUUCAAGAAAUCAACCAUGAAAUCUAUAAAAAAAAUUUAACAGUUUUGCAAAUUGAUACAUAGGUUAUUUAAAUCAAACUCUCAUGACCUCAGAAACACAAAAAAAAUUAUACGAAAAUGAUUUAGAAAUGCAUACCAAUUGAGGACCGAAAGCUUGAAGCUCAAAAAUGGCUUUUCCCCUUGAGGUUUUAUGUUGAUUAGAUGAAGAAGAAGAAGAAAUAAAGAUGACAACUUGCACUAAGUCACCUUUAUAUACUUAGAUUAAAUCUUAAUUAAUCAAAUUUAAUUAAUUAAAUCUUAAUUAAUUAACCUUAAUCACAAUUAAUAAAAAUUGGUGGAUGUUAACAUCAUCCUACACUAUUUGAUAUAACCAAAUGAUCUAUUUACCAUUUUGAACCUUUAGCUAAUUAGAAAUCUAUAGCGAUAAGACUUUCAAAAUUUAGUCUCUGUAUCUUAAUUAAGCAAUUAAUAGACAAAGUUGAAGGUUUAAAUUUUAAUGUUCUAUUAUACCAACUCUGUAAAUAUUCAUAUUUAAUAUUUACAGACCUGAAUUACGAAAAUGAGAUUUUGAAAUUGUAUUUUCCAGUACCACUGAAAAUCGGACAAUUACGUAACCUAUUUGCACCAAUGGGCCAAACAUGGCAAAUACUUGACAUGUAUGUCUUAAUAUCCUCAUCUAUUCUCUUCAAUAUAAUAACAUCCAAUAAUUGUUCCAUCCACUGUAACUAUCACGAAGAUUAGAUUGACCAAUACAGCCUACAAUUUGAAGAAGCGCGAUAUUUUCAUUCUAGAGAAAGAUAUAAUUGAAACAAAAUUGAAAUAAAGAUUUCAAUACAGAAUCAACAGACAUUCCAGCUAAUACUUAUCAAUUAUUUGCAGCUUUAUUGCUCCAACUAAGAUGGUUUUUAGUCGAAUAUGGUAAAUGAAAUCAAUGAACACCAGCUACUUGAUGAACGAGUGAAUCAAAGUCCUGAUAUGUGCCGGCUUAUUGGUGAAAAAAUACAUGGGCUAGUUUUGCAGCAAUUCAUGAUCUUACAUUUUAUAACCUUUGCUUACAAUUAUUCACUGACUAAUCAUUCAAUGAAUGUAGGCCUCAAAUUUAGCCACUAAACUUUAUUCUUUAUUUUUAGAUACAUAUUAUUUGAUCACUUCAUACAGCCUAUUACUCAUAAUAACUUCCAAUUUCCCUUCUUUAGGUUAGUUGCAAAUGUACAGCUUUUUCUAGAAGAAGAAAAUUGUCAAGAGCCACCUGUUCAAGAGAGGCGCAAACAAAAUGUAAAAAUACCUGACCUACUUACGGUACAGCCAAGUAAUCAUGUCUUUCUAUGCUAGAUCAUUAAAUCAAUGACUACAAAUUUCAUGCCAUGGUCGUGUAUCAUUUAUGCCAUUGAUGCUGCUAUUUUCUAUUCUAAUGCAUAAUAGGGAUUUAGUGUUUUUACCGUUAAAAUUGUGUCCUUUAAUUUUGGCUCUUUUCAGUUGUUGAUCAUGUCCACCUAUGCUUUAUUUUACUACUAUUGCUUUCUGUAAUGAUAGAUGAUUGAAUCGGUAGAAUUUUAUUAAUCCUCAACAUGUUUUAUCUUGACAUAUGGAUCCUAAGCAUUCCUUGGAUUGUGCCCUUUUUGUUCAUUUAUUUUUUCUUGGAACCUUAUUACAUGUUGUACCACUCCAGCUUUUUGGAGACAAUGAAGACGACUAACUGCUGAAUUCUUUCUUCUGCAGAGGAACCAAUGGCACGAGACUCAAAAAAUCCUACUCUUUUUUAUACCUUCCUCACCUCUUUGUGACAUUAUAGCUGAAAAAUGAUGUAUGCUAAUACAUGAAAUGUUUCCUCUUGCCUUUCUUUUUGUAGUACUAAAACUACAAAUAGUGUUUGCAAAACUCUUUAGAGAAAAACAAAUGUCUGUAAAUCUCUUUACCCGUAAUCUUAUCUUUUCCUCAUUGUAAUAGUUGGAAAACUUUUUAUUUGAAAACGAUGUCAACUACUGGGAUAAGUUAUUGUAAGCAUCUUAAGUGUUUCAUAUUAAAAACAAACACUGUUAUUGUUUAUUUUGUAGUCUAAAUUAUGAUAAUUUCUGCACAAAAUUCACAUAAAUGGUUACCCUCCCGAAGCAGAGCGAGGGUGAUGCAUACUAGUUAUUAAGAAAACAGGACCUUGUAGGGCUUAACUGUUGAAUCAAGAAAGAAAUUUCUUUUAAUGCCUUCAAUUGUAACAUCCCGAUUUUGGGCCUAGUCGAAACAAUGGUUUCGGGACCACAAAUCCGAUGAGGAAAAUUUUAUUUUUACUAUAUUAUUAUGGCCUAUAAUUUCACGGAAAGAUUUCUUGAAAAUUUCGUUCAAAAAUUUUGACGUUAGGGCACUCAAUUUAGCCAAAAGGACUAAAUUGUAAAAAGUGCAAAAGUUGAGUUUUAUUGGUUAAAGGUACUUAAUUGCUAUGGAAUUAUAACUUAGGGGUCCUUAUAUGGUAAUUAGACCAUUAGUUAGUGAUGGACAAAAAUGAACAUAAGUGAAAUAGGAUUUUUUUUAUGUAAGGGUAUUUUAGUCAUUUAGUAAAUAAAUAGAAUUAAAAGGGAAAAAUAUGUAAAAAAAAUUGUGUUCAUCAUCUUUGCUAGGUGCCAAAAUUUGAAGGAAGCCAUAGCUAGGGUUUCUUCACUUUCUCAAGCUCAUAAUCGAGAAGAACGAAAUUUGGAGGUAGAUCGGGGAAAGAAAAAAAUUGAGGACUAAAGUGUUAGAUUUGAUCACAUUUUUGUACCGAGGUAAGUUUACAGUAAAUAAAUGCAAUAUUUCAAUAAUUAUUAUUAAUGCUGUAUUUUUUAGCAAUUAUGUAUUUAUUUCAUGAAUAUAUUUAAUGUUGACUCAAGUAUGAGAUGACAGAGAAUUAGUGACACAAGCCUCAUUGAAACACUAGGAAUGUAUUGGAUACAAAUGCCAUGACAUUUGGGUAAAGAGGUCCCAUGUAAGACCAUGUCUGGGACAUGGCAUUGGCACCGAGAUGAGAGGUCCCCCGUAAGACCAUGUCUGGGACAUGGCAUGGGCACCGAUAUGAGAACUCCCAUGUAAGACCAUAUUUGGGAUAUGGCAUUGGCAGUACAGGAAACAUCCCAUGUGAGACCAUGUCUGGGACAUGGCAUGGGCACCGAUAUGAGAACUCCCAUGUAAGACCAUAUCUAGGAUAUGGCAUUGGCAGUAUGGGAAACAUCCCAUGUGAGACCAUGUCUGGGACAUGGCUUUGGCAUGUUAUUAUCAGAUAUGAGACCCAAGUAUCCUUAUUAUUCCAAUGUGACUCAACGGGCUAGAAAACAGAUUAUGUUCUACGAAAGUUCAAGUAAAAGUAUAAUUAGCAACUUCAGGUGAGUUAUAAGAGUUAAGAACAUAUUAUGUUAUUAGUGAGAACCAAUAUUUUAGCAAGAGAAGAGUAAGUUGUAAUCUUAAGCUAUCUAAGUAGAUAAGUAAGUAAACAAGUAAAUGAGAGUCAGUAAAGAGAAAACUUAAGAACAUGAUACUUGUAUAUCAUUAUUUAUGUUAAAUGAUGUCAUUUAUUUAUUUGUAAACUUACUAAGCUUUAUGCUUACUUCUUUUAUUUCUUUUUCUUUCAUAUAGUAUUAUCAAGCAUAGUCGGGAUCUUGAAGACGUCGGAGAGUGUUCACACUAUCAACCACCACAACUCGGUAUUUUAAGACGAUAAAUAUUUUGGGCUAUGGCAUGUAUAGGGACUUGGUCAUUUCAAUUGUAUAUUCUUAAAAUAUGACCAAAAGAUGAUAUGUAAAUGCUUGAUGAUGAAUAGUUAUUAAAAUGGCUAAGUAUGAAGGUGUUUGUGGUUAUAAAUGUCUAGGUUAUAAAUUAUGCAUAGAAAUCAUGAAAGAGUAAAAAUUUGUAGUGAAUCAGUUUUGAGACAGCAGUAGUGACGUGAAUUUGAAAAAUCACCAAGGAUAGUAGAAAAUGAAUUAGAGAGUGGAUGAGAUAUAGAAUUAAAUCUUAUUGAGUCUAUUUUUAUAGAAAAAUAACAGUGUAGACAAAGAAAUGAUAUAUUCCGAGAUAUUUGCAUUUUAGUUAGACAAGGUCAAAGUUGUUUUCGGAAUCCCCUGUUCUGAAUUUGGAAAAUCAUUAAAAAUUGUAAAAAAAUAUUUAUGAGUUUUAAUUUAUAUGUAGAGAUUCCUUAUUGAGUCUAUUUUCUUUAGAAAGAAUUUAGAACACUAUAUGAAGUAUGUACAAUGAGAUAAUUUAAUUUUAGUGACAAGAGGUUAGGACAGUUGAUUAGUGAAACAGGGGAGACUUUAACUAAUAAACUGUACUAAUUGGCUAAACCAAAAAUUCUGAAAAGUUUACAGUAAAAAUUUAUAUGAGUCUAGUUUCAGGGAAAAUUUAUGGAUCUCAAUUUCAAGUUUCAUAGCUCGAGUUAUAAUUAAUUUAGUAACUAUUGUGCAAGUGAAUAGACUUACUAUGAACAGUGAAUUAACUUUUAAAACUAAAUUUUUAUGCCCCGAACUUUUAAGUUAGUCAAGUAACGCCUCAUGCUCGACUCCGGAAAUGGACUCGGUUAAGGGGUGUUACAUCAAUUUUUUUUAAAGCUGAUUUUUUUUUUUACGAAUUAAAGUUUUGAUUGUAUGUUAAUUGCUUGAGGGAAGGUCGGAUACUUUAUUAUCCCUAUUUUUAUUUGUUAUAUAUUUUAGCCAUAAUGAUUUUUUUGGCUCUACAACUUUACCAAAAAAAUCAUAUUAUCUUUCAUUUAAUUUUCAUCUCUUUUAACCCUUUAACUUGUAUUUUUUUAUCAAAUCACCCCAAAAUGGAUCGAAAACUUAACAUUUGUAAACUUUGAUGAUGUGGCAUACACAUUAAUUGUCACAUGGAUGACAAGUCAACAUUUUUUAAAAAAAACUUAAAAAUAUUAAAGAAAAUAUUUUUGAUAUUUUUAAUGAUUUUUUUAAUUAAAAAAGUUUUUAUAUAUUUUUAAUUUUUAAAAAUUAAUUAAACACAAACAUAGAAAUUCGCAUCUAUGUGUCACAGGCCACAAAUUAAAGCCUGCGACCAUUUCGCAUAGAACACCCCAUAGAGGUCAAUUUAUUAAACGUGGUUCAUUUGACCCGCAUGAACUGGCUCGAAUCGUGGAACCCGUAGAGAAACCCAUCUACUUUAAGCCUUGGUGGUCUAGUGAAAUACUCCAAUAAAACUAGAGUUACUAGGGUAAAUAAUGUAAAUCUUAAAUGGAUAAGAUUGUAUAGAGUUUAAAUUCCUUAUAACUCUCAAUUGUAGAUAAGCGGUAACAUUAAUCAUCGAUGUAACUCAAUCUGUAUCGUUGCUUCUAGGAAGCUCAACUAUAACUAGAGGUCUCCCUCUUCAUUUGUAAUCAUUCCAUUCAUAGUUGUGAAUAUAUUUGAGAGCAUUUACUCAAACACCUUGUGUGCAUUGCUUUUCUUUGGCUAUUCUGCUCUUUCGAGCUUCUGUCUUUGAGUGUCACAUCCCAAAAUUGGGCCUAGAAGAAAUAGGGGGAAAAUUGAGUUUUAAUUUUUUUUUAACAUAGGGUAAGGGAAGUAGAAUGCCUUAAAAUUAAUUUUUUGCUAUAAAUCUAAUAAGAAUGAGUUUGUUGGUUUAGUGCUAAGGUCAUAGCCUACCUAUAGGUUCCAAGUUUGAACCCCUUGGUGAGCAUUCAACCAAAAUAUUUUUAUUUUCUUGUUUUUACCGCACCAAAAGUGACGAAUUUUAAAAUAACCCAGCCCAAAAACUAUAUUUUUUUAAAAUUUAGUCCUUAAUUUAAAAUUUUUCCCAAACCUACAUAAAUUUUUAAAACCUAUUCCAAUUAGGAAAGAUAAGUAUUAUAAAUAAACAAUUUCAAAACAAACCCUAGAAUUUCAUCUAGCAAUUUUUCGAGAAAACAUCCAUAAACACUUUAUUUUCCAAAUCAAACUUUCAAGCGAAAGGAAUCGAAAUCUUCAAAAUCAUCCCUCAAGUAGAUCUUCAAUCUCUUCUCCAACACUAAGGUUUUAAGUCUUCAAAAUAGGUGUGGGAACUAAACCUAAAUCUUUGUGUAUAAUUGAAUCUAAUAGCAUGUAGAGAACCAGUAUUGGCGAACCCUAGGAAAACCCCCCUGUAUGUGCGAUCAUGUAGGUGCGAGCCUGUAGAUGCGAAACCCCUUACACAUGAAAACCCCAUGCAUGCGAACCCUUACGUGAAACCCCCCCUUUCAUGCGAACCCUGUAUGAAUACCAUGCAAACCCUAGGUUGUUAUGUGGAUACUCAUACUGUGAACACAUGUGCACAAACAUAUAGGAAUAUUCAUGUGAACCCUACUAUUAGAUGCGAACCCCCUUAUACGUGAAAACCCCCUUGCAUGCGAACCCUAGUUAGUAUACAUACGAGUCUCAUAUUUACAUGCGAACCACUACUAGUGCGAGUCAAUUAUAUGAUACCACAUGCGAACCCUACUAUUACAUGCAAACCUUUAUACAUGUUAUAUUCUAACUUUUUUUGUUAAAAUAGGUGAGACUUGUCUAGUAUUACAGACGACCCUACAUAUACCUAAUUUGCGAACUCAUAUGUUAAAAGUAUGCAAAACUAUCUAUGUUUGUUAUGUGAACUCACAUGUUAGCAGUAUGUGAACCUAUAUAUAUCAGUUAUGCCAACUCACAUGUUAGCAGUAUAUGAACCCAUAUGUCUGUUAUGCAAACUCACACGUUGGCAAUAUGUGAACCCUAUAUACACCUUUAUGCAAACUCACACAUUAACAGUAUGCGAACCCUAUAUACGCCUUUGUUGAUGUUAGUUCCCAUGCAUCUUGUGGUGCAGCAAUCGUGGCCAUGCAGGUCACAUGGAGAAAAGAAGCAGCACAUGAAGGCAGUAACUGGAGCUUGUGGAUGCUGUCCAAAUUCAACUUAUUUUGUUGGUUUGAUUUUAUAGUUUGUAACUUAGUUCUUUUGGAACUUUCUUGGUAAAACUUUCGAUGUAUUUUUUAUGUUGAUUGACUGAAAAUUCAGCAAAGCAACUUAUGCAAGCUAGUUUAGCAAUUUUCAAUGUAUUAAGUGGUGUUAGGUAAGUGUUUAGGUAGUAUUUUGACUUGUAAGCUUAACUCAUGUUUGAUAUAUGUAAUGGCAACUUGCCAAUGCCUUGUUAAUGAAAAAAUUCAGCUUGUUUUCAAUUUCUGUUCUUAAAAACAAAAAGGUUUCUACUUUGUUUCUUCUCCAAGUCACGAGGCUUGCUGACAAAGCAAAGCUAAAUCAGCUUGCUCACUGCCUUUGACUCCAACAGCCUUUAUACAAACUCACACGUUAGCAGUAUGCGAUCCUUAUAUACGCCUUCAUGCAAACUCAUACGAUUAGCAGCAUGUGAUCCCUAUAUUUAUGCGAACCCUUCUAAUAACAAAUAUGCGAACCUUAACUUGCGAACCCUAGGCAGGAACCCUACACUCGCAAAGCCUUCUUCUGAACCUGUACAUAUGCUAGAUAACCAAGCCUAUUAGUUUACGUUAAAUCACUGUACAUAUGAGAUUGUUUGUUUACUUGCACAAAUUAUAUGUGUAUUUACUAUUCGAUACAAGAGUACCUAUCGACCUUUUGAUGAGAAUUCAGAGAUUAAUGAUGAUAAUUCCAACAAUCGGUGGAAGAACAAGUUAAAUCGAGAAUUGGUGUAAUUUAAGGUAAUAAAGAUUAAAUUUUCAGUAAUAAAUAUAAAAUUGUUAUGGAAAGAAAUGAUGGGUAAAAAAAUGAGAGUUUUAAACAGAAGAGAGGAAAACUUCAAUUUAGGGUUGAAGAGGAACUAAAAAUCCAUGUGAAAUUAGGAAAAAAAUAUUAAAUACCUAGGAUUAAAAAAUUUGAGGGGGCUGAAUGGUAAAAUACCCUUUUUGCUUAAAAAUGAAAAGAAAUGGAAAUGGGGAUUGAGUUUGGCAUGACUUGAACCUUGGAAGCAAAGGAAAAAAUUGCAAAGGCCAUACCAUUUGGGUUGCUACCUACAUUUGGCAUAUUUUUACACUAUUUAAUAUAUAUCCUAGCUUAGUUUUGAUCAUAGGUUGUUGAAAAAAAAACAAGGGGUAAGAGUGUGGCUUCAACCUUAGUUCUCUAGUUAGUAUACUAAGCUCUUAACCAUUAAGAUUAAGGCUCAUCUCUUAGUCAAUUAAUUCAUCUAACUCUAUAUAUUUUGGUGUGUUACAUCUUGAAUUAAAAAAACCCAUAAAAUGCAUGUAGACUUGUAUUGCUUGGUACUUGGUAGUAUAUAUGUAGACUUGUAUGUUGAUUAAGCCACCUUAAUUAAGACCAAUGUGUUAGACUUGUCUAUGCAUUGAACAAUUUAGAAGAAAAUGAAGAAAAAGACUCUAAAAGCACUUGAAAACAGAUAAAACUCAUAUGUCAUUGACUAGUUAAAUGUGGUCACCCAUAAUAGACCCUGUAUUUGACUUUUUGUUGAGGGAGAUUGACUCCUUUGGGAGAAGUCUCCUGAGUGUUGUUUGUCAAGCAGUCAGGGUUGUCCUAAACAACUAAAGGUAUUGUCCCCAUGUCGAGAUUUUAUCCCUAGCCUCUGCAAAAUAAUCAUGGAGAAUAUGUGCGAGAGAAUUCAAACACCAACCAAUGCAUGUGUAGCCUUUACCUUGCCACCAUCUUUGGGAACCCAUAAGGAUAAAAUCCCAACGAGAGAAUAGUAUCAUCUAUUGAGGGGUCUGUCAACCCAAUAAAUGAAAUUUAAAUGCAUACUUUUUUUUUAAUGAAAGUAAAUAUCAUAUUUAAUUAGAGAAAAGCAAUGAAAAAUCCAACAAUAAAAUCCUUAGCAAAAGAUUAAAACACAAUUGUACCAUAAAUUAAAUAAGAAACUAAAAAAAUUCAAAUCUAACGAAGACAAUAACUUGAUUCCUCAAAGCCACCAUAAACAGUAAUUCAUACGAAGGCCUGUUGCUCAUUUUAUAGGUUUCCAUUUUGAUUUUGCAAAAGAAGUUUGAAUUCCGAAGCGAGCCUAGUACAUGAGAGAAAAUUGUCGAAACCGUCUUUUUGAAAACAAAAAUUUAGUUGUCGACUUUAAAAAUAAAACUGGAGUCGCCACCGAUCCUUUAUUAGGGUGUGAUCGGCUCACCUUAAAAAUUAUUUUGGUCUACGAGCUUUAAGAAAACGAGUCCGGGAGUAAGUUACGCAUGAGGAAGGGUUAGCACCCUCGUAACGCCCAAAAUCGGUACCAAAUCGAUUAUUUAAUGUCUUAGUGUCGUGGACUAAAAAGAAGUUAAAAAAACCAAAUGAUGAAAUCAGAAAAGGAUAAUCAAUUGUUCAAGACAUGUAAAGAAAUCGAGUCCCAAUACGUUAGGGUACAAUUUCUCAAAAUUCCCGAACUUUGAAUAUCGCUUUUAUUUUAUGCGAAAACAUUCAUUGUGAGAAAGUAACAUGCCACACCCAAUACGUUAGGACACGACAAGUUAAGUUCCAAAAAAUGAUUUUUAUACUCAUGCAUUUUGAAUAAAAAAUAUUCUCGAUUAUUUAAAAUUAACAAAGAAAAUCGGAACCCAAUACGUUAGGGCUCAAUUUUCUCAGAAUUCCAAAUACCGAAUUGUGCCUUUUAUUCGAAAAUUCUUAUUUCGAGAAGUCAAAAUAUCAUGACCAGUAAGUUAGGACUUGACAUUUUUUGAUUCCCGAGAACAAGCUUCUAUUUGAAAUUUGCAUGAAUUUAUUUCAAAAUAAAUACCUGGUUUUCUAAAUUCACCAAGAAAUAAUCGCAAUCCAGUAAGUUAGGAUACUGUUUUUCUCGAGAAUCAUGAAUGCCAAAUAUUUUGGAAUUUUAUAAAAUAUGAUGAUUUUAAUGCUUUGACAGAACCAAAAUAUAUUUUCUUUAAAAAGUGUAGAAAAAUACUAAUGUAUCACAUAAAAUCAAUAUUUUAAUUUUAAAUUAUAUGCAUAUAUGUAUUUUCAAAAUAUAAGUAUGAUACAUAAAUAAAUUUUGAAAAUAUAAGUAUGAUACAUAAAUAAAUUUUGAAAACAUGUAUAUGCACAUAUUAAAACAAGUAUAUAUAAGUAUACACAUAUAAAAUAAAAUAAUGAAUGAGAUAUGUAUAUCAAAAUAAAAAUUAUCAAAAUUUCUACAAAAAAAAAUCAUGUAUGUAUAUACGUAAUGAAAAUUGUAAAAAUAAAAAUAAAAAAUAUGCAGAUGUGUAUAUAUUUACAAAAAAAAAUUUAAGUAUACAUGCUUUAGUAAAACAGAAAUAAUAAUAGUAUAUGAAGAAAUUAGGAAAAUGUGUAUAUAGAUGUACAUAUAUAAAAAAAAUGCAAAAAUAUAUUUACAAUAAUUUUGAAGGGCGUACGUGUAUAUCAAUAUCUAUUUAUGCAUAUAUAUUAUAAAAUAUGAAAGAAUAUAUAACUAUAAUAGAAAUAUAAAUGUAUAUACGUAUAUAUGUAUAUAAAAGCUAAAAAAGAAAUAAUAACAAUAUAUAUAUAUAUAAAUAUGUAUAUGUAUUAGAGAAAUAUUUAAUAUAUAUAUCUAUUAGCAUACAUAUGCGUAUGUAUGUAAGUAUAAUUAUAAUACUAUAUAAUAUAAUAAUAAUAAUAAUAGUAAUAAUAAUAAUAAUAAUAAUAACAAAAACUACAAAAAAAACCUUAAAAAGCACCAUUAAGGAUUAAACUGAGAGCUAAACGAAGUUAAAAGGCCAAAUUUAAAAAUAGAAAACACCAGGAAGGACAAAGUGAUACGCGCGCCAUGAGAGGAGGACUUAAAAAACAAUUUUCCCAAGUCGCUGAAGCACUGUGCAGUGACAUGGAUUAAAUCGUCACGCGAGCAAAAUAUUUGGGCCGAAUUUAAAAAGGAAAAAAAACUUGAUUGAAACACGUAGCAAAAGGGGAAGGGCUAAAAUAUAUAACAAAAAAACACAAAAAGUCAAUCUGGUAAAUCGAUGUUGGGUACUCUAAUUUUAGGAUUCAGAAGGCUUAAGAGUGUUUUCGCAUCAAAAUCGUACUAGGUGUGUCCCCAAAACACAAAAAGUCAGGUUUCGAUAAAAGCCGAAAAUGCAUCCAGUCGAUGCCACACGGACGUGUGCCUGGUCGUGUGGCUAGCCGUGUGUGAGACACGACCUUGUGGUGGUGUGAGUGUAGCGGUAUGGGCCACACGGGCUAGGCCAGUCUGGGCAUAUAGGCCCACAAUUUUAAAAUUUUCCUUAAGGCCACAUGGUUCGUUUCGAAUGAUUGUGGACCUACCAUAGGGUCGGUAAUGGCUAAUCAAACACUAAAUUAUGUGAUAUGAUAUUUUGAUAGUCUGCAUUGUGUAGGAUAUCGAUAUGUACAUCUGUUCUAUUUAAGUAUAUAUAUGCUAUCUGUAUAUGAGCAUGUUAUGCAUAAUAUUACUGUAUCUAUUAUUUCUAUAUUCUGUAUCUGUGAUUGUGGUGGGUUUUGUAUAUGUAGAGGAAGUGAUCUGUAUGGUGACACUUCCCUUAUAUUCUGGCAGUUGAUUGUAUAUUAUCUGUAAUGUGUUGUAUUGACACUAUAUGGUGUGUAGGGAUGGGUAGGUGUUUUAAACCUCAUAUGGUGUGAUGGGAUGGCCGAAGAUGUUGUGUAGAGGAUGGGGGUAAGAUUCUACAUAUCUGUACUACUUAUCUCAUUCUGUUAUCUAGAUUUGGAAUGGAUAUAAGUCCGAAUCUGGAUCUGACUGUAUAUAAGACUUCUGUUUGUAUUGCAUGUCUAUUUUUGUUGGGUUACACACUGAGUUUAUGAAAGCUCACAUAUGUUUGUCUGUUCUAUUCAGGUCUAUAGACUUAGGCGAAUCAGUGUGACGGAGCCUCACAGUGACCACGAGAUCGUAAACUGUUUAAGAUUAUGGUUUUUAUUUAAUUUAAGGAUUAUUUCUAGAAGUUUGUAAUAAUUGGACUUUCUAGACUAUUUGACUUUUAUUUCAAUUUUGGAGGCAUUUUAACUUUUAUGGCCACGUUUGACCAAAAUCACGGUUUUACUAAAAUAAAGGAUUUUCUAAAUACAUGAAUUAGAUUUCCAAGAUUCAAUGCUUUUUGAAAACUUCGACCUUAGAUUAUGUAUUGGAAAAUUAAUUAAUUAAAUAACGCUUCUAGUAACAAAUAGUACACUUGGGGUAUUUAUCAAAUGACUAAAUAAAGCUUUAUCAAAAUAUCACUGUUUUCAAAACCAUUCCAUGUAACACUCUUGGAUUCAGCCACAAUGUCUAGGCCGAGAUUAGGGUGUUACAUUUAAUGCUAUCAGAGCCAGGUUGCAAAACUCAAGCUAUGAAUUUUGGGUUUCAAAAAUUAUAUUUUGAAAAAGAACAGGUUUUCAAAUAAUUUGGAUCAUUCUGAGUAAGUAUGUGGUACACUGAGUCUAUGGUAUUGAUCCUGUAAGUACUUUUGAAAUUAGAUAGAACUUUCUGAAAACAUUGUAGUUAGUACUUUCUAAAACUAUACUGAAUUAGUUAAAAAUAGAAACCUCUGAAAUAUGUUCAAACUUCUGCUAAUUUGAGCAUAAAAUAUCUGUUAAUAAAGAUUGGAACUGAUGCAUAAAAUUUUGUAAUGUAGAUAAAUUUGAAAAUAUACGAUGAGCAAUUGUGGAACUCACGGUCAUGGUAUUCGUGGGCGCGUAGGGUCGUAGGGGGCUGGAGCUGAGUCUUUUUCUCUGGGCAGUAUGCCAAACUUAGAUAUGAGUGAGACACCGGUUUCACCUGCCAUUGAGACAAGGUCUCAAAGUCGCUUGGCUAGGGACGACGCACUGUCUCAAGCCAUGUUGAGGGUUUUGGAGAGGGUCACUAGACCUCAUUCUGGAUCUGUGGGUCGAUAACUGAACGACUCCGAUCCAAUAGAGCUGAGCUGUUUAGGUGUGUCAUUGGAGUCACCCCUACUGUGGCCGAGUAUUGGUUGGAGGCCACUGAGAGGAUUAUGAACGACAUUGACUGUACUCCUAAGUAGAAACUUAAGGGUGCAGUCACUUUACUUUGUGAUGAGGCAUAUCAAUGGUGGUUGUCGAUUGAGGAGGGUACUCAACGGGACUGUCUGAACUGGGAUUAUUUUAAGACUACCUUCUAGGGGAAGUAUGUGGGUGCGAGCUAUGUUGAUGCUUGUAGGCGUGAGUUCAUGAAUCUCACGUAAUGUGAUAAAUCUGUGGCUGAGUACGAGGUUGAGUUUCUGAGGUUGAGCCGCUACGCUUGAGGCAUAGUGGCGACUGAAUAUGAGAAAUGCAUAUGUUUUAAGGAUGGCUUGAGGUAUAAUCUGAGGGUAUUGAUUGCUCCACAGAGGGAGCGAGAGUUUUCAGUUCUUGUGGAUAUGGUGAAGAUCGCCAAGGAGAUUAAAUGCAUAGAGCGCUAAAAUAGGGAUCAUGAGUGAGGCAAGAAUAAGAGGGAUUCAGAGCCCUCUAGUUCUGUUUAGAGGCCUAAGAAACAGGUCAGACCUGAUUGGCUUGUUAGAGUAGGGGUUCCUAUUGCUUCUACUAGGAUUUAGCCAUGUGGUGAUUGUUUUAGGCGCCAUUCAGGUGAGUGUUGGAGGAGGUUAGAGGCUUGCCUGAGGUGUUGGUAUUUGGAGCACCACAUUAGAGAAUGUCCACUCCAUACGGAUUAGAUGCAAGCUUCAGGACUGAGUUUUAUAUAACCUCAGAGGGCAGUUCAACAGCCACCUAGGGGCCGUGGUCCGACUAGGGGUGGUAAUGGUAUGGGCCGAGGACAAAGAGCACUGGGAAAAGGUGUUAGUCAAACUGAGGCAAGGCAGCCUGCACUGGUUUAUGUUGCUUGAUGCCAAGAGGAUAGAGACGCUCUUGAUGUGAUCACAGGUACGUUCUUUAUUUUUGGUGUUCCAUAUACUACUCUGAUAGACAUAGGUUCUACUCAUUCCUAUGUAGGUAGUACUAUUUCCAAAAAUUUAUUGAUUUCUGGUGAGGGUACUUCUAGUGAAAUUAUUGUACUGAGUCCGUUGGGGCAGUCUGUUCGAGUAAGUAGACUUUAUAGGAAUGUACAUUUGGAAGUACAAGGGAUUGUGUUUUUGGCAGAUCUGGUAAGGGUAGUUCUAGUGAAAUUAUUAUACUGAGUCCUUUGGGGCAUUCUGUUCGAGUAAGUAGACUUUAUAGGAAUGUACCUUUGGAAGUACAAGGGAUUGUGUUUUCAGCGUUUUAUUCACAUAAAAGCAGCAAAAUUUAGCGGCGUUGUCUACAGCGGCAUUUUUUACGGUGCUUGUGAAAGCGCCGCUAUAGGCCUAAAAACACCGCUAAAAGCUUGUUUUGCUGCAGUGAAUUAAUAUUAUUAUAAGUGUAUUUUCACCUUUUCAUACUUUUAUAUAAUCUUUAAGUAAAACGAUUGAAAAUUAUUAUUUGAGAAUCAAACACAAGAGUAACAAUAUUCAUAUAGAAAACGCUUACCACUCCACUAAUAAUCAUUUGUUGAUGUAUUUUUGGUAAAAAGACCCCUCCAAUCCCUCUUAAUUUCACAAUUGCUCAAAUUAGUCCCUCUCAUAAAAAUUGGAGCAAUUUAAUCCCUAUCAAUUUUGAAAGUGAGUAACUAAGGACAAUUAAUUAUGGUGUUAAAUUCUUCCAUCAAUUGUACAUAAUUUUGAUUGGUAUAAGAAUAAAUUUAGCCUUCAAUGUUUAUAUAUUUUGUCAUUUUGGCCAUAAUUUAAAAAAAAUUCAAGAAAUUGAACCUCAACAUUUACAUAUUUACACAAACGUUGCGGGAAAAUUUUGUUAAAUUAAGACCAAAUUGCAAGUGUAAGUUUUGAGGGCUAAAUUUAUUAUUAUACCAACCAAAAUCAUGUACAUUUUAUGGGAAAUUAACAUCCUAAUUAAUUAUUCUUAGUUACUCACUUUCAAAAUUAAUAGGGACUAAAUUACUCUGAUUUUUUUAGGGUGACCAAUUUCCUCAAUUUGGAAUUUGAGAGAGACUAUUGAGAUCUUUUACAUAUUUUUUUAUAAAUAUAUAUAUUUAAUAUAAAAUAUAUUUGUUCACACACAUCGUGAGUAUGAUAAAAUAUUUUUAUUGUUAAUUAGUUGGUGUCAAAAAUUAACUCGACGCCAACUCAAUAUUAAUGAUAACAAUAUGAUAAAUAAUUGAUUUAUUUAAUAUUCUUAAUUUAACAUAUUGAUAUAAAUUUUAAGACAUGCUUGUCUUGAAGAAUUGUGAUUAUACUUUUCGAGUAUUGACUCAGUUUUCCACAAUUGUGGGUCUCUAUUUAAGACAAACAAUUUCAACAUUUCUUCAUAUUGUUUAAUCCAAAUGCAUUAAGGAUUUUCUUAUAUCAUUGUUUCAAAAAUGAUAAAAAAAAACAACGUCGACAUUGAAUUUGCUGUUUCACAUUCAAUUUUUGGAGAAGUAGAAUCUUCUAACUUAUUUUCCAUCAACUUCACUUCAAUUUUCAAUCACAAUCAAUUGCAUUCAAGAGCACCACAUAUUUUUUGGAUGAAACAAACCUAUCAAUUUUAAGAUAAACGGGUCUUUAGGGUUAUUAAUUGAGGGCCUUUUCCACAAUUGUCAUCGUUAAGCAUUUUUCAAUCUUGUCUACUGUGAAUAUCGUUUUUAAGCAUUUUUCAUUGAAAUAACGAUUAAUAGACAAAUAAUAUUCAAGUAAAACAAUUUUUGUAUAUUGGUUUGAAAGGUUUUCUAAAUAGUACAAGGACCUGAAACAGAACCACUGGACAAAGCUAACCAAAUCUAAGAGUUGGAAAUAUUUGGGAAUGAAUAGUUUAAAUUGUGAUUAUUUCUUCGGGUUCCUGUCAAAGAUAUCAGCUGAGCAAGAAGGCAGGGUAAUGUGCCAAUGAUAGAACCUUGAUGAACAACGAGCAAAUGUCAACCUAAGCAUUAAAAGGGGAUCAUUCUCAAAAAAUGACAUUCUACAUGUAACGCCCCAAAAUUUUAAUUUUGGGUAUUGUGAAUGUAUGACACAAAUAUCUGUCUGCUUUAGUGGUUAUGUGUUUUGGGUGUGUUUGGGAGGUCUCAAGUUCAAGUCAAUACUUGGGCAAAUUUUGGUAAUUUUAUGAAUAAGCCCUAUCUCUGGUUAUAGGCUUUUAAGUAAAAGUUGGCAAAUAAUUAAUAGAAUGGGUCUGUUGGUCUAGUGGUUAAGUGGAGUGUUGGUGUGAAGAAGGUCAUGGGUUCAAAUCUUUGGGACGGCAAGGUAAGUCGUUUUACUCUCCAUCUUUCUGACGUUUUCUCUCCCCCAUGUCUGCCGAAUUUUUUUUCUUUCUUCUUUACUUGUUACUCGGUUAUCUUUUCUUUUCUUUCCUCUACUACUGUCGAAAUUCCCUUGUUUCCCCUAAACCAUUCUUUCCUCUUGAUUUCGUAGCUUUAAGCAGCACUUGUUCAAAUUUAGUAAGUUGUUGGGUAUCAUUUUAAGAUAUUAUUUUGUAUUCAAUAGUCUAAUUUUGGGGUGUUGACAGUAGCAUUUCACGAGGAUUAAGGCUCUCCUCGUGAUUUUUGCAACGUACCGAUUUUAAGUUUUGCGGUAAGUGUUCAUCAUUUUAUGGGUAAGUAUUUUGGUUUCGGGAUUUUAAUUACUCACAAGGUAAGACUGAUUAUGGUGUUAUUUGCUCAAUUAUACGCUUAGGAGUGCUCGGGGACUAUUUUAGCAUCAAACAAAACCAAGUGUGCACCCGAAUCGCAAAAAUAAGGGAUUCGGCGAAAAGCCGAAAUUGCUUGCUGUUUGGACAGCAGCAGUAGGCUAACUUUGAAAAAUCAGCAUAAAUUGUGGAAAUCGAAUUAGAGGAUGAAAAAAAUAUGAGAUUAAAGCUUAUUGAGCCUAGUUUCUCAUAGAAGAAACGGUGUAAGUAAUGAAAUUGUAAAUCGUGAGUUAUAAUAGACUUAGUGAGACAAGGUCAGAAUGAAUUUGGGUUCCCCUGUUUUGACUUUGGAAAAUUAUCAAAAAUUGGAGAAAAAUAAUUAGGGGUUAAAUUUUACAUGCUUAAACUAUUAAUGAGUCUAUUUUCAAUAGAAACAAAUGAAAAUGUCAUCCAAAUUUUGUACUAAGAGAUAACUCAUUUUUAGCAAAGAAGAGUCAAAGUUGUCAGACAACAGAAAAGGGAUAAGUUUAAAUAUUUUACUGUACUUAUUAGCUGAACCAAAAAUUUUGGAAAUUUAUGGUAGAAAGUUAAUUGAGUCUAGUUUCAAAGACAUCAAACGGAUCUUAAUUCGGAAUUCUGUAGCUCAAGAUAUAAAUUUAUGUUUAUCUUAUUAUCUUUCUUAUUUUAGAAUUGAUUACAUGAAAGUUAAUUGCUAAUAUUAUUAGUUAAUUAUUAGUUUUCUUCAAAUCAAAUUAAACCCCGAAAGGUAUCUCUUUUUUUAUAUUAGUUUUAGUUAUCCAUUAAAUUUGUUUCUUUGUAGUAAAAUUAAAUUAUAGAAAUAACAUUAAAAUUUUAAAUAAAAAUAAUUCACAAUAAUUUAUUAUUUAAAAAACGCCCUGAAAUUUAAAAUUAUUGCUAUAAAUAUAUCAUUAAAUUAUACAGAAUUUAAUUUUUCUUUCAAAUACUAAAGUUAAUAAGGAAAGAGAAUAUAGUACAUAUCAAUAAAACUAUUAAAAAAGAAAUAUUGUUUAAAAUCAAUAGCGUCUAAAAAUUGUCAGAAUGAAAUAUUUGAUUUUAUAAGAUUUCAUUACUCUAAAAAAAUAAAAUAUGACAAUGCUUAAAAAUUUUAUUAAAAAAAGUUUUAAAUUUUAUAUAAAAUUUUAAAAAAUAAAAAAUAGUACUAAAAAUUUUUAUAAGCAAAUUUAAAUAUUAAUUAGUAAAUUUUUUUGUAAUAUUUAUAUGUAUUUUCAUUUUUAUAAAUACUAUUAAAACUUUUUAAAAAAAAAUUGAAUGCUAUUUAAAAACAUUAUUAAAAAAUAAAAUAUUAUAUGAAAGUUAAAAUGACCUAAAAACAUAUUUUAAAAAUUUAAAUACUUUAUACAAUAUUUAAAACUGCUUAAAAUUUCUAAACCCUAAAAAAUAAAUAAAAUAUAAUUUUUUUCUAAGAAAUCAAUAAAAAUAUAUUUAUAAUUGAACUGUCAACAAAAUUGUGGGAAAUAUUUAAAUUUUAUGAAAUUUUAAACUUAAACUGUCAAUAAUAGAAAAUUGCCUGAGUGACUUGGGAUAAGAGGUUCAACAUUUCUGGAUCGCAUUGCAUUUAAGGCGGGUCUUUAGGGUUAUGCUUUAGUUUUUUAGAACAUUUUCCACAAUUUGCCAUCAUUACUUGUGAGUGAUUUGUGGGGUAAGAGGUUGAACACUUCUGGAUCACAUUGCAUUUAAGACUGGUAUCAUUCAUAAAUUAUAUAUCUACAACAAGAAUGGUAGCCUCUUAUAUUAUAUUCAUGUAUCUAUUUUGCAUCUUUCAUUAUAAUAUGAUUUAGUAAUUUUAAUAUUUUUAUAGAAUAAUAUGCUUUAAUUUUUUUUGUAUCAUUCAUAAAAAUUAUAAUAAACUUACAAAAUGAUUUAAUGAUAUUUAAUUAUUAACGGAAAAAAUUUAUAUCAUAUAUAUUCUGUAUAUAUUAAGAUUUUGAAUGAUUAAUUAUAUAUCUACAUAUUAUAAUAAAUUCAUCUUUCAAAAUUUUCCUAAACUAUAUUCAUAAUAUUAUAAAUAUAUUAUAUCAUAAAUAUUCUUUCAAAUGUUUUUUAAUGUUUAAUAAUAAGUUAAUUUAUAAAAUAUUCUUUCAAUAAAUUAACGUGAUGAGAUCGUUAGGUGCUUGGAUUUGGUGACGGGGACGAGGAGAAAAGGGAUGGAAGUGAAGAGAAAUGUUGGGAAAUUGAAAGGGUUAGCAAGGGAGGCCUCCGUGAAAGGUGGUUCUAUAGAUGUGAACCUUCAAGCUUUUGUGGAUGAUGUUGCUCAAGGUUGUUGCAAGUAAAUUUAAAAAUAUUUUUUUAAUUAUUUUUUGUUAAAAAAUAUUUUUUUCUAUGUAGCAUGCCACAUUAGCAUACUACCAUGUGGUAACUUCUAGUGAUUUUCGUAUGUAACAUUAGACAAAUUAAUCGUUAAAUCGUUCAACUGACAGAUUUCGUUAAAGGAAGAGGUCAAUUGAUUUUUUUGGAAUCAUUGAGUACUCAAUUGGUGCACUAUUUUCAUAAAGACUAAAUUAAUUUUUUUAAUUUGUUAUCGCUGAGGGCUACAGUAAUAAAAAAUUUUGAGGUAAAAUUAGAAUAACGUCCCAAAAAUCUUAUAUUUAAUUUGUAAAAUUUUACCAUUAAUAAGUAUUUGUUUUAGUGGUUAAGUAUUUGAGUCGUGUUUAUAAUAUCUUGGAUUCAAGUCCCUACGUGAAUGGAUUGUUUUUUUUGUUUUUAAUUUUUGCAUGGGUCGGGUAGGUGGUUGAGUUUGAGUCCAUUUCGAACUUUGGAAAAAGGUGGUUAGUUAUCUGAGAUGGGUUAGUGUUAGUAGAUUUGGAUUUGGUUUAUUUUAAAAUUUAUUAAUUAAUUUGUUAAAAAAUUAAAUUAGUUUUUUCCUAAUUUUUGGCUCACCAUUCUUUCUCUUGUUCUUCUUUAUUCUUUCUUUUUCUGCUACCUUUCAAAUCACGUCGAUUUGUUCCUAUUUUGCUUUUGAGUUUUUCUUUUCUUUCCUUUACGCUCCUCUACGAUCGUGUCUUAAUUCCUUCAUUAUUUUCUCGUUGUUGGCGUUGCUCGUUCGAGAGUGGGUUAGUUUCCGUUUUGAUGUGUUUUUACGAGGUUAGUAAAAGAAAUGCGUUAAUUUUUGGAUUAUGGAGUUGAUCGUUUUUAAUCAAUUCUCCAGUAAGUUGACUCCUUUGCUGUUGUUAUGUGCUAGGUUAAGAGAUUAAUUCUGAUUUGGGCCUGCGUGGUUGUGUAGAUUUUCCAUGUGAAUUCGUUUGGUAUUUUUAGGAUAAAUCAUUCUUUAAGUCGUAUUGCUACCAUCGCUAAUGUGAUGUUUUAAUUUAUGCAUUUAGGAUUUGGUAGUUUUAUGGGUGUUUUCGUAUAAAAAUCAAACCAAGUGUGUAACGAAAAACCCGACAACAACGAGCGACGAAAGUCAAAAAAUUGCACUGUCGACACCACACGGCCGUGUGUCGGGCCGUGUGACAAGCCGUGUUUCAGACCGUGUGCGACACACUGUUUGGGCUAGUUAAGCCGUGUGGAACACACAGGUGUGUGUGAGGACGUGUGCCACGCCAUGUGAGCCACACGGGCUGGCCAUUUAGGCCGUUUGAGACCAAAAUACUAAGGGCACGUUUGGUUUGCUGUAUUGGAUUAGAGGUGUAUUGGAUUAGAGGUGUAAUGGAAUAGAUGUGUAAUAGCAAAUCAACUGUUUGGUUGAAUGUAAUGGAAUAGAGGCGUAAUAGUAAAACUGUGUUUGGUUGAAUGUAAUAGAGGUGUAAUAGCAUAAUGGAGAAAACUAAAAUGACCAGAAUACCCUUAGCAUAAAUUUGUUUUGGUAAAUGAUUAUUGUUAUUGUUAUUUAAAUUUUAAUAAGAUUAUUUAUUAUCAAAAAUAAAUAAUUUAAUCAUAUUUAAACAUAAUUAUUAUUUAAUAUAUUUUAAUUAAAAUAUAUAAUUUAAUAAAAUUCUUAAUAAUUAGCAGAAAUUUGUUUUGGUAAAUUAUUUUAUUUAAAUUUUAAUAAGAUUAUUAAUAUCAAUAAUAAAUAAUUUACUCAUAUUUAAACAUAAUUAUUAUUAAAUAUAUUUUAAUUAAAAUAUAUAAUUUAAUAAAAUUCUUAAUAAUUAAUAUUCUUAUAUGAAUUUACUCAAAUCAUAAUAUAUGAUACUGUAAAAUAUAAAUUAAAAUAAUAAUUAUUAAAUAUAUUUUAAUUAAAAUAUAUAAUUUAAUAAAAUUCUAAUAAUCAAUAUUCUUAUAUGAAUUUACUAAAAUCAUAAUAUAUGAUACUAUAAAAUAUAAUUUGAAAUAAUUAAUAUUAAAUAUAUUUUUAUUAAAAUAUAUGAUUUAAUAAAAUUUAAAAUAAUUAUCUAGAUUCAAAUUUAAGAAUUAUUUACAUGAACAAAAAUAUAAUAUUUGUUUCUAAGUUAAUUAUUUUAAUAAAAUAAUUAAAUAUUUAUAUAACGGUGUUCUCAUCUUUUGGUAUUUUUAUAUGCAAUUUUAAAGAUUGAAUCCAAACUUAAAAGAAUAUUUAUUUGUAAGCAUUUCACCGGUUUACUUCAACUCAAUUAUUGAUUAAUUUUUAAUAAACAUAAAUUCAAUCACUAAUUCUCUUGGCUCCUCUGUUUCAAUAUAUGAAACAUGACUCAAUCACUAAUCCUCAUAACUCAAAGGUGAGCCAGAUGGUCCAUCAGGGGGUGCAGAAGCAGCAUGAGUCAAAGCAACUAUGGCAUUUUUCCAGAAAGAGGAGCCAAGAGAAUUAGUGAUUGAUCUUAACAAUGGCAGAUCAUUAAGAUCCCGGGUCUGGCUGUCCAACCGAUCAACAUAGACUACAACAUCGGGGGGACACUUCUUUAUGUAUUGCUUUAUAGAAGCUAGGACUUUGUGAUUGGCACCUUGCUCCAUGGCAGAAGAUUUCAAACCUGGGGUAUCAAUGAUUCUCAGUUUAACACCAUCUACCAUUCCAGUAAUCUCUUUCACUACUGUAGUGGCAGGUUCAAAUGCAUGAAUUGAGGUCUUUGACUCACCAAAGAUUGAAUUUAUUGUGGCACUCUUGCCCACCCCAAUCUUCCCAAGCACAAGCAUGUUUAUGGAGAAGCUUAAAUCAUCUUUACCCUCUGUUUCAAGUUCCAAAGCUUUCCUCUUCGCAGAAUCAACACUAAACAGUUCACUGGUUUGUCUCCUUGCAACAUGUGCCAGUCUAUAAAGAACCUGUGCUGCUAAAGAAUCUUCAGUAGAAAGUCCGAGCCUUUGAAGAAUCCUCAAAAAUUUGACUCUUAUAAGCUGUAACUUUUCCAAUUUUAUUUUAUCUUCUUCUGUCAAGUUGUUGUCAGAAUCUCCCCUACUUGUUACAGCAGGACUAAAUAUGUUAGGCCUGUUUGAUCGAGGUGCGGAUGUUGCAUUUUGCAGUGAGGAUCCUAAGCCUGCAGGACGUUCAACAGUGAAAAGCCUAGAUCCAUCUUGAGAGGUUAUAGUAAUGUUGCCGCCAUCAGAGCCAGCACCAGUUGCUGCUUUCAAGAGGGCUGCCAAAGCAGCAGAAUCAAAUAACUCCUUCCCCUCUCCUUCUUCAUCCGUAUCCCCUUCUUCAUCUGAAUCAACAGCAUUUGUCUGUAUAUGAUUAUGAGAAGUAUCAGCACCCGAGUGAGAACCAAUGGCAGAUCCUCGUUCUAGCUCCUCCAAGAAUUGCUUAGCAGCUUCAGCAUUCUUAAAGAACAUACUUUCAGCCUCUCCAUCAGUCUCUGAGCCUUCAUUCUAAUGCUGCUUCUCUUCCAUUUCACCUUCAAAACUAACUUUUCCAGCCACUGUAGUUUGCUCUACUGACUCAGGCCAAUGAGAUUCUUCUCCUGGCAGGGUUACUGACCUUUUGCUUUGAGAAUCACUAUCUAAAUUCUCUGUUUCAUGAGCUGCCAUUAUUUCUGUAGGUUGAGCAGAACUAUCCUUUGCCUGAAUUCCAUCUCCACCCCCUCCAUCUACUUUCUCAGCAAAUGCUUGUUCCAAAAUAUCUAUGAUCUCCUCAUCUUUGAGAUCAUUUAGCUCAGUCCCAGAAUUGUCUUUACCAAGCAUAACCCCACUGGCAAUAUCAGCUUUAUUCUCAGCAUCAACAGCCAACUCGUCUCCGCCGGAAAACUUCGAACCAUCAGCAUGAUUCAAGCCGUUAUCCAAGCUCGCAUUAUCGUCAACUGGAACCACCUCUGUCUCCUUCAUCACCAAUGUCUCAAUGCCUAAAGCAGCUCCAGUCAAAGGUUUCGCAUCGACAGCCAACUCCUCUUCGCCAGAAAAUUUCGAACCAUCGACUUCAACUACCUGAUGAUCUACUGUUUCUACAAUCAUAGGAUUGAAACCCUUAGCUCCACCAUCUAACACCAAAUUAUUCUCAAAAAUCCCAAUUCUACCUUCCUCUCCACUUUCCAUUGAUAAAACAGAUUGGUCGACUUCUCCAAUGGAACCCAUUUCCACCUUAUCGUCCUUUUCACCAUUACCAACACUAUCAACAUCAACCUUCCCCAUCGAACCCUCACCUCUAUAUUCCUCUAAACCAUUAUCGCCAUCCCCAAACGAGUCCUCAUUCAAAAUCACAUUCGAACCAUCAGAACCAACAAAAGGGGCAUCACUAACAUCCCUCACGGUCGGAAUUACUUCAUCAGGGUCAGCCAUAAAUGGCCUCUCGGGUACUGUUUCAAACUUCCCCUCACCAUUCUCGUUACUAUCAUUAGUUUUACCAUUCCCAUUAUCUUCCAAAGUACGUUCACUUACUGAACUAGUUACAAACUCAGAAUCAUCAUUCGAAGUUAAAGAAGAAGAAGAGGAAGAAGAACCUGGAGAGGUAGAGAGCGACUGAGAAGUGAUUUCCGGGGCAGAAAGCAAGGCGUCCAUGGUUGAAAGAGAGGAAAGGGAGAUAGAGAGAAUUGGGUUUUAGGAUAUGGAAUGAAUUUUGAGUGGCACACAGAGGGAGCAAAUCGGCAGAAAGGGUAAAACAGGGAGGGGAAACCGAAGGGGCAACUAAUCUGCAGAAAAGAGGGGGAUUAGAAAUCGGUGGUUUUCACCGAUUAGGAAGGUAAAGGAUUACACCCGUAUUAGAAAUACAUCAAACCAAACGAUGGAAUACAGUCGCAUUAGGUGGGGCCCACCGAUUAGGGGUGUAUUGGCUAUGCCAAUACACCCAACCAAACAUGGUGUAAAUUUUUCCCUAGGGUUAUACACAUCGUUAUGAUCGAUCGUAGGCCUUUCGUGGGGUCGAUAUAUAAUCAAAUAGACUGUAAAGUAUGAAAUCCGGUCAACUAAUAGUAUAAAUUCUGAUAUCUGUUCAUAUAUUUGAGAUGUUAUUUGUUCAAUAAACCUUGUAAUAGGCUAUGAGAAACUUGAGAAAUAUUAUGUAUGCUUUGUAUCUGUUAUGUCAUACAUGUAUAAUGUAUUAUGUCUGAUUUUGUUCUAUUCUUUUCUGUAUUUGCAUCUGGGGUGGGUUAUAUUAUGUGGAGGAAGCGUUUCUUUGAAUGGCGAUAAUUCGCCUAUUACACUGGCAGCUCAGCUACAAAUAUUCUGAAAAGUGUCAUAUCAACACUAAGUGGUGUGCAGGGCUGGAUGAGUGUUUCAUACCCCAUAUAGUGUGUUGGAAAGGUCGGAGAUAGUGUUAGCGGAUGGGGGUAGGAAUAUAUGUCUGUAUCUGUACUGCUCUAAUAUGAAUAUGUUCUGCUAAAUCUAUCUUAUACAAAAUAAAUAUUUAAAGUUAUUCGUUAUACAUUGAGUUUUGUAAACUCACUUUCUAUUUGUUUGAUAAUUUUAGGUAUUCCUCAGACUUUGGCAAAUCGGUGUGAAAGAACUUGGUUAAAUUGAUUUAGUUUCAUUAUCUAUUAUAAUUAAAUUUUGGGUUAUUGUGUUUCAUUAUUUUUGGACUGUUGGGAAUUUUUGGAUUGUUUUGGUUUUUGAGAUUUUAUUUUCAAUUUUUGCAUGAUACUAUUAAAAAUGUUUUAUUGGAAAUGUUUGUUUUCCUGCAAAACAACUAAUUUCAGACAAAUAAACUUAGUUUUCCAAACAUAAUGAUAUGAGAAUUUUCGCUUUUAAGUAUUCAUUUUAGAAAAUGUAAGCAAACAUCGUUUCAACUAUAAAGUUAAGUUAGAUGUAUUUUUCUCUUAAAUCGAGGUUUAAGUAAUAAAAGUUUACGACAUUUUUCCAAAUUUUACAAAAAAUUGGAUUUACAAUUGUUUUAUGUAACAUCUCCAGAUUUGGUCAUAACAUCUAGUCGGAUUUCGGGUGUUACAUUUAGUGAUAUCAGGUCAGGUUGCAAAACUCAGGCUGUGAACUUUUUGGUUCAAAAUUUUGUGAAAACUAUUUUUCGAGUAAAGUUUGUCGAAACCACUUUUUCGAAACAAAAAAUAGCGUCGACUUAAAAAAUGAAAAUUGGAGUCGCCACCAGUCUUUUUUAUUUAGGUGUGAUCGGAUCACCUCCUAAUUUAAUCAUUUAAAUAAAAGUUAAAAUUUACUAAAACGAUUAAUGGGUUUAAAAAACCUUUUUCUUUACAAACAUUAACAAUAAUAAACGAACAUCGAAGAAAUAGAAAAGAAAAAAGAAAUCGAAAAGAAAAAAAAUUAGAUUUCAAAUCACCUCUCAAAAAUUUAAUUGCUUUCUGAUUUCUUUGGUAUCUUUUUUUACUGAUUUCUUAUUGUUCGCGUAAAAAACUUACAAAGGUCUUUUCUUCCGUUUUAUAGGCAAAAUAUGAAAUAAAUAAAAAAAUACAAUAUAUGUUUUUUCUGUGUUGCUUUUCGUCCUAUUUGUAGGUACGAAGACCAGCUAGCGCUGUACAGAGGCGGUGCAGCACGUGCUUGGCUGAGGUGACUAGAGGCGUGCGGUGGCUGGGUCUGCUGUGUAGUUUAGGGUUUCUGUUGAUUUUUGGUUAUUGGGCUGGGGUUUAAUUUGGGCUUGGGAUUGUGUUUGAUUUUUAAUCUGUAAAUGGACUUUUUAAUAUUGGACUUUUAUUUUUUAUUUGGAUUAUUAUUAUUUUUUGUGUAUGCGGGUCCGGGCUCUACAAAGUUCAUUUCUGGAUUAAUCUGAAAAUUAAUUAUGUGAAGUACCGAGUCUCUGACGUUGAUCCUGUAAGUACUUCUGACUUAGAAAAAUUUUAGUUUAGAAAACUCUAAAAUGAUUAGAACUGUAGUUGGAUAGUUAGAGACAGAAACAUUUCUAUAAAUUCUUUUGAUAACUUUUUGAGUAUAAAAUAUCUACUAAUAAAUACUAAAAUUGAUACAUAAAAUUCAUAAUAUAGGUAAUAUAUACGAUGAGUACUCGUGGAACACAUGGACGUGGUAACCGUAGGCGUGGCAGGCGCCGAAGAGGGGCUCGAGCUGAGUCAUCCUCGAUAGGUACCUGAUAGGCUAUCGCUGGAGAGAGCAAUAGUCUUGAGAGAAGAAAUUUGAAGAUCGAAGUCGGAAUCUGACCUUUAAGGCCUUUAAUUGCUUGAAUAAUAAGCAUUUCCAAACUAAAAGGAUUACAAUUUCUUCAAGAAUUUGACCUGCAGACAUAGUUGAAACAUGAAGGUGUUAAAUUACCUAUUUUGUUAGUGUAAAUCAAAGAGGCUUUUUAUUUUUAUUUUUCGUUGUGAAAUAAUAUGGAUAUGUUAGAUUCUAAUCAUAUUUAAGUAUAUAUUAGUUCUUGAAGAGUUCUUAUUUUUGGUAUUUAUAUUGCAAAUAAUUUUUUUAAAUUAAGAAAAAAGGGGGGAGGGGCAAAUGUGUUUAAACUAAAGACAUCAAGGAGAGUUGUGUCAAAUUCCCAAUGCUUUUUGGAAUGAUCCCACUAAAUUGAUUAACAGACAAUUCCAAAAUUUGAAAAUUGCAGCAUUUGUCUAUACUUGAUGGAAUAGAACUUGAUAAUUCAUUUCUACUGAUCAAGUAAAGCUCUUUAAGCUUGGGAAGAUGGACACACAAAUCAUCAGGCAAGCCACCAGAAAGACUAUUAUCACGUAAAUGAAUCCUUUUCAAAGAAGAAAUGUUAAACAUGGUGCAACCUGGCCAGGUAAUUGAUAAAAUUUUGAUUUAAUCCCUUAAAAAAUAUAAAAAUAUAGACUAUUAAAAUGGUAAAAUUACAUUUUUACUAUUGUAAAAAUUACAAUUUAAUUUCACUCCUAAAAAGAUUUUCUGGCUUCGACCCUAAUAAAUUCUUUGGCAAAAGAUUAAAAUAAAAUUAUACCGUAAAUGAAAAAAGGAAACUAUAAGAAAAUCCAAUCUAACAAAGAAAAUAACUUGAUGUCCAAAAGCUACCAUAAACCGUAAUUCAUGGGAAGGCUUGUUGCUCAUUUUAUUGGUUUCCAUUUUGAUUUUGCAAAAGAAGCUUGAAUUUUGAAGAGAGCCUACUACGUGAGAGCAAAAGAAAAAAAAAUUGUUUAUUAAUUUUUAGGAAUACCGAAAUAUUAUAUAUAUGAUUAAAAAUGUUGAAUUAAAGAUAAAAUUAAGUGUGAAUUAAUAACCACAAGUGUACUUAUUACUCACCAUCUCUGUUAAAAAUGUUGGAUGUUGUUUAGCAACCUUUGUUUGAUUUUCUUCAGCUCAACCACAACAUCUUUCAUAUCUUUUCUUUCUUCUGGCAACUCAGCUGAACAAUUCAAAGCCAACUCCAUGAUAGAUGUAAUACAAUUUGCUUUAACGACAAUGUACUCAUCCUCUCUUCUUAAUAAAUCAACAUCUGCAAUUUCUAUCGCUCCUUUAGGCAAUGAACUUUCCAUCCAAUGCCUUAUACUCUCUUCUUCAACAAAAACAUUAUCAGUAGGCUUUUUCUUCGUGAAAGUUUCUAUAAGGACGACCCCAUAACUAUAGACGUCAGAUUUUAUAGAAACAAUUCCUGCUGAUCCAAAUUCUGCAUUCAAGUAUAAUUAGAACGUCAUUCAUCCUCAAUUAUUUCUAAAAUGCUUAUUCAAAUAUAUAUUCACAUCCACAUGAAACAAAAAUAUAAAAUGCAUAUUAGGAAAAUAAUCAUACAAAAAUAAAAAAGAAUUCACCUGGUGCCAUAUACCCGAUAGUUGCAAGAGUCAUGGUUUGCUUCAUUACUUCACCUUCCCCCAACAAUUUGGCAACGCCAAAAUCUCCAACAUGUGCAACCAUGUCUUCAUCUAGUAAAAUAUUGCUUGGUUUUAUGUCACAGUGAAUUAUAGGUGUUGGAUGUCCAUUGUGGAGGUGUUCUAUAGCUACCGCAACAUCUAUCAUUAUAUCGACCCUUUGUAUGAUAUCAAGGAAACAAUUUUCAGAAUGUAACCAUUUCUCAAGGUUUCCAUUAGACAUGUAAUCAAGCACCAAGGCUUUGAAGUCAACACUUGAGCAGCAAGUAAUGACCUUCACAAUAUUACGAUGAACUAUAUUACGCAUAGCAUCACAUUCAAUGUCAAAACUCCUAAAUGCUCCCUCUGUUUGCAAAUUGAAAACUUUUAUUGCAACUUCCAUUCCAUCUGAAAGCCUCCCUUUAUAUACAUAUCCAAAACUCCCUGAACCAAGCAUAUUGCUUUCCUCAAAUCCAUUAGUUGCUCGUGAAAGUUCAGCAUGUGAAAUUCUUCUCGGUGUCUUCAAAGACAACAAAUCAUCUUUAACUGGUAGAGUUGUACUCCUUUGGCAUCUUCUAUACAUAAUAGUUAAGACUAUUAGUACUAGGACAAUACCAAUUGUUGGUAAACCAUACCUAAAAGCAUGCAAUAUAAUCAUUUGGGAGUUUUUGUGGAUGUCAUUUUUGCAAGGUGGGACUAGCAAUCUAGGUGGACCACAAAGUGCACAAUUCUUCAUGAAUGAUGUGCUAGAAAAGUUUGAAAAACAUCCUUUGCUGGGAAUUUCCCCUUCAAGUCUAUUGAAAGACACAUUAAAAUACUUUAGAUAUAAAAGUUGUUCCAAAGAUUUGGGAAUGACUCCAGAGAAAUUGUUAUUGCAUAAAUCCAAGAAUUCCAAACUAAUCAACCCAUCAAAUGAUUCAGGGAUACGACCAUGUAGUAUAUUAUUUGAUAAAUCUAAUGAAACCAAAGUUUGAAGACCCCCAAAUGUGGAUAAGAUAUCGCCCAUGAGAAGAUUCCUUGAUAAAUUUAGUCUCAGUAGACUCCUAAAAUUUCCAACAUCAAUAGCAUGUGAAUUGUGAAGACGGUUUGAUGAUAAAUCUAUUUCUAAGAUAUCUUUAAGACUCCACAAAGUUGAGGGUAUUGUAGAACUCAAUUUGUUGGAAUCUAACCAAAGAUAUCUCAAAGCAGAAAUAUUACCUAAACAAGAGGGUAUGGAUCCAUGCAGCUUAUUCAACCCUAAAUGCAUCUCGUAUAGUCUCUCCAAACCACAGAGGCUUUCUGGGAUAGGCCCUCCUAAUUUAUUAGAGGAAAGAUCUAGACCUUGCAGAUUCCGCAGUCCUCCUAUUGAUGCUGGAAUGAAUCCACUUAAUUUAUUAUGGCCAAGUUCUAAAACCAAUAAGUUGGUUAAGUUACCUAUUUCCAUAGGAAUAAUGCCUUGAAGCUCACAAUUAUAGGCAAGAAAGAAUUGAAGGGAUUUUGAAAGGUUCCCGAUAUAAGUAGGAAGAACACCACUCAAUGGAUUUCCCGAAACUCCUAUGGCUUUCAAAUUCCUACAAUUCGUCAAAGAAGAAAGAAAGCUCCACUCAUGAUCAGUAGCAGAUCCUGUGAUCAAAUUAUUGUCAAAGAUUUUGAGCACUUCAAGGUGUUUUAAGCUGCCUAGCGUUUUAGGGAUUGGGCCAGAGAAUAAGUUAUGUGACAAGGAUAGAAUCUUUAGCAUGGAAGCAUUGGAGAUAGAGUUGGGAAUGUUUCCGCUAAGUUUAUUUCCCCACAAUAAAAGAAUCUCAAGCUUUGGAGCAUUGGUGAUGGGUGGUAAAUUACCUGUAAAAUAGCAUCUUUUAGUAUACAUAUUCACAAAAUAUAUAAUACAUUAAAAUAAAAACUGUAAAACUUUAAAUCAAUUAAGAAUAAAAUUUUGGCAUGGAAAAAUGUGAUGAAAUCAAUUAGAAAGUUGAGACAUAAUAAGAAGUUUUGAGUACUAAUUAGUCUUUGUGAUUUGUAUAGACAAAACAUAUAAUACACUAAUAAUUUUUUAAAAUAUUGUAAAACUUGAAAUAAAAUAAAAAUAAAAGUUUGGCAUGAGAAUGUGGCAUCUAAUCAAUCUUAAAAAUGAGACUCACACUGAAUAAUAAUUAGUUAUGAUUUGGGAAACAAAAAUGUUAAAGCCAUUGUUUUUAAUGUAAACUGGUAUGAUUCUUAUCUAUUGGGUUAAUUAUUUAUUUUUAUUAAAUUAUAGUGUAAAAUUUAAAUAUUAUUAUUUGCUCAAAAUUUUUGUAUUUUUCGUAUAUUUGAAAUUCAAUCUUUAUAUUUUUUAUUUUCUGUGAUUUAGUCUCUCUACUUUUUUUAUUAAAAAUUUUAGGUUCAUUUAUUAACACUGUUAAAAAGUUUUUGUAUUAGUAUGACAUUUUGAAAAAUAAAAUAAACUUGAUAUCUAUGUUUUUAAUUAUUCCAAAUAUUGUUUUACUAUUUCAAGAUAAAUUAUUUGUGUCUAGACCAAUAUCUUAAGAACUAUUGUUGCAUGUUUAAUUAUUCUAAAAAAUUAUUGAUUGAGUCUUAGCUUGAUUGGCAUGUGCAUUGUUGCCAAUAUAAGAGAAUGUGGGAUCAAAUAUGCUGAAGUUCAUUAUCCUCCUGUUAUGAAUUGGGGAGUUGGUAAAGUAUUAAAUUUUGAUAUAUUUUAAAAUAUUAAAAAUUUAUUAAAAUAUUUUUUAUAAAAAUCGGUUGUACCACAAUAUACAAUUUUAAUAUCAAAUUUUUAAUAUUUUUAAAAUAUUAGCGAAUAUAUACUUUAUUUCAAGUUACACAAUUUUUACUAGUUUUUAACUUUUUUUAAAAUUUUUAUCGUCUUUUAUAAUUUCUAAUAAUUUUUUACAAUAUUUAACAAUUUCUAACCAUUUUUAAUAAUUUUAUUACUUAUUAAAAAUUAACAAAUUAACUAUUUUUUAUUUUUUUAAAACAAUUAUAUAUUUAUAAUGUAGUUAUUUUUUUAUAAUUUUAUUUGAAAUUUUAAAGUUUUUUUGGUUUGUUUUCUAGAUGAUGAUGCCAUCAUGAUGUCAUCAUAUGCCACAUGGCAAUUUAUGAUUAGUUGAAUAUCUCAAUUUAUUUUUUUAAUGUCCAAUGGACUAAACCAAGAACACUUGAUUAUGUUAGAGACUACACUAGGAAUGUUUGAUAACAUUAGGUACUAAAGUAGGAAAAAAAAAAAAAGGAGCAAUACGAUGUAGGGAGUAAACUGUGCAUUAAGCCAUUAAAAAUAUAUCUAUAAUAUAUAUAAAUGCAUGGAUUUUGAGAAACUUUUGAAAUGAUAAUUAUAUAGUCUUUGUUUUUUUACUAUAUUAUUGAAUUUGUUAUUUUAAAUAUUUUUUUAUUACUUUUAAGAUUUAUCAUAUGUAUGGAUAAGAAUUUUGGUUUUACUAAAAUAUUUGGUUAAAUAAAUUCACUUCAUAAGAAGAUUUAGCAUCCUUGUAAAUAACAAUUUUGAUUCUAUUAAAAAAUUAUUUUAAAAUAUAUAUAAUAAAAUUUUAAAAUUUAUAUUGAAUUACUUUAUACUUAAAUUAUUAUUAGAAACUUUAUCAUACACAUACGUGUAUGAGAACUAUGUAUUUAGAACAUAAAUUUGUGUUUUAAAAUAACUUAUGAUAAAUAAUGAAAUGUAUAAUUUGAAACUAUUUAAUAAAAACACAUGGCUUAUCUACAAUAUUAAAAUAAAAAUAGCUUAAAUUGUAAGCAAAACAUAAUUUAAACAUAUGAAUACAUUAAAUUAAGAAUACUAAAUGAAUACAGUUAUUUAUGAUGGUGUUGUCUUCAAUUCCUAAGUUGGUGUCAAGUUAAUUUGUGACAUCAUAAAUUUAAGGUUUUAUGUAUUGAUGUGGAUUCAAAUAUCACCAUUUUUUUUAAAAUAAAAUUUAAAAUAAAUACAUUUUCCACAUUGGUUUCUUUUCUUCUACAGACAAAGGAUUUCUAAUGAUUUUUUUUUUAAAAAAAAUUACUUAUAUAAAAUAGAUUAGUUUAUGCAAUAAAAAUAAUUUCUUUUUUAAAGUUUAAUAGAAAUUAAAAAACAAAAAAAAAAUCAAUUCAUAUAAAGCUUAUUGUUUAUUAUCAGAUUAAAAUGAUAAAAGUAUACGAUAAACCCAUACUUGACGGAAUGUUACCAGAUAAUUCAUUUUUAUUCUAGUAAAGCCCUUCAAGCUUGAGAAUAUGUUGACACAUAUCAUUAGGCAAACUACCUGAUAGGUUAUUGUUGGAGAGAUCAAUGGCCUUCAGAGAAGAAAUGUUGAAGAUCGAAGUUGGAAUCUGACCUGUAAGGCCUUUAAUUUCUCUAAUAUUAAGCAGUUCCAAACCAAGAAGAUUACCGAUUUCCUCAGGAAUUUGAUCUGCACACAUAGUCGAAAAAUCAAGAUGUGAAACUACCUAUUUUGUUAGCAUAAGUCAAAGAGGUUUUCUUUUCUGUUCUACAUAAUUUGCAGAUGUUAGAUUUUAAUAUUUUUAAGCAUAUUUGUUUUCAUCAAAUUAACUAUUUUGAACUAUUUUGCCUUGAAUGAAAUAAAAUGCUCAUAUUUUUGUUAUCUAUUACUAAUCAAACUCUUUUAUAAAAAAAAAUACUUUAAACUAAAGAAACCAAGAAAAUUCAAUACCUUCUAAGUUAUUCAACUCCAAAUAUAAUUCUUUGAGUCGUGUCAGAUUUCCAAUACUUCUUGGAAUGAUCCCCCUCAAUUUAUUAUCGGAAAAUGCCAAUAUUUUAAGGUUGCUGCAUUUGCCCAUACUUGAUGGAAUGUUACCAGAUAAUUCAUUUUUAUUCAAGUAAAGCCCUUCAAGCUUGGGAAGAUGUUGACACAUAUCAUUAGGCAAACUACCUGAUAGGCUAUUGCUGGAGAGAGCAAUAGUCUUGAGAGAAUAAAUGUUGAAGAUCGAAGUUGGAAUUUGACCUGUAAAGCCUUUAAUUGCUUGAAUACUAAGCAUUUCCAAAUUAAAAAGAUUACCGAUUUCUUCAGGAAUUUGACCUGCUGACAUAGUCGAAACAUCAAGGUGUUAAAUUACCUAUUUUGUUAGUGUAAAUCAAAGAGGAUUUUUAUUUUUCUCGUUAUGAAAUAAUAUGGAUAUGUUAGAUUCUAAUCAUAUUUAAGUAUAUAUUAGUUCUUGAAAGAAAGAGUUCUUAGUAUUUAUAUUGCAAAUAUUUUUUUUAAAAUUUAAAAAAAGGGGGGGGGGCAAAUGUGUUUAAACUAAAGAGAUCAAGGAAAAGGCAUACCAUCUAGGUUAUUUAACCCCAAGUAUACUUGUUUAAGUUGUGUCAAAUUCCCAAUGCUUUUUGGAAUGAUCCCACUAAAUUGAUUAAUAGACAAUUCCAAAAUUUGAAGGUUGCAGCAUUUGUCUAUACUUGAUGGAAUAGAACUUGAUAAUUCAUUUCUACUCAAGUAAAGCUCUUUAAGCUUGGGAAGAUGGACACACAGAUCAUCGGGUAAGCCACCAGAAAGACUAUUAUCACGAAAAUGAAUCCUUUUCAAAGAAGAAAUGUUAAAGAUGGAAGAUGGAACCAGGCCAGAUAAUUGAUUGAAUCCCAAGUUCAAGAUCUCUAGAUUGGAUAAGUUGACAAGUGUUUGAGGGAUUGUGCCUGUGAAGUUAUUAUUUCUCAUUUCCAACCUUUGAACUCUGUGCAAGUUCCCAAGCCAUGAUGGAAUUUCCCCAUUAAGACGGUUGUAGCUUAAUCGAAUGAUCCUCAAACGAUGCAAUUGGCCCAAUUCUUUAGGCAGAUGGCCAUAGAAAUUGUUGUUGCUCAGGUCGAGAGAAAAUAGAAAUGAAAGAUUUCCAAGGUGUGGAGGGAUAGUACCCCUAAGAUUCAUGUUUGUAAGAUUCAAAGCUACAACUCUUUCAUGGAUGAUGUCACAAGAAACACCAGCCCACUUACAAACAGAGGUAGAGUUCGUCCAAUUGUUUGCCAACACAUUUUGAGGAUCGACAAUGCGAUCUUUAAACUCAAAGAGUGCAAACUGAUAGGAGUUGAGAUUCCGGACUGUCAUAGCCAAGGAAACAAUGGAACAUUGUAUGAAUAAAAGUGAAAGAAGAUGAAAGCAAGUGUUGUAGUUCAUGAUGGCAAGACGAAAUAAGCCAGGAAAAGGGAAGUUGAAUUGAUGAAGAAAUACCCAGCCAACAUGCUUAAAUAGGCUUCAACCCUUGCACACUUCUCAUACAUAAAGUUCACUGCCAUUACAACAAGAAAACUCGUAUCUCCAUUCAUACCUAUCCAUACUUUAUUUGACUAACUUUUCCCUAACAGGUGUUCAGUAAGGAGACAAAUCACUUUGGAGCUAUUCACCGACUUCUCCAACCUUGGUUUCAAACUCCUAGCCCAUCAAUUCACUUUAAUUGAAACGAUAUACACGAGUCUUUCGGCUUAUAUUUUUAACUUACUACUUCUCUUUUUAAUUUAUUUUUUGUUACUUCUCAUAAUAUUUUUUGAGAAAUCCAAUAUUCCAGUCUGAAAUUUCUUCAUUGCCACGUCUAUCUCCUCGGUAAGUUCGUGGCUAGGCGGCCCACUUUGGGGGCAGGAUUGUAAUUUUAGUUCUAUCCGACUCAUUUUACUAUUUAGAAAUAUAAAAGUAAUAUUAUAUUAAUUUUUAUAUUUUUAUAAAUUUAAAUUUAAAUUUAAUUUUUAAACAAUAAAACGAGUCAUUUUUAUUUGCCUAGGCUAAAUUGAAUCAGGAGUGAAAAAUUUUUUAAUCAUAAUUUACUAUUAUUUUAAUUAAUUAAAUUUUAAUUUACUAUAACUAGUAGUUGCAAAAAAAAUGACAUUCCUUUAGAAAAAUGAGAACUUAUGAAGCAUUCAAUAAGAGUUGUUGGAAUACAUGGUAACGAAACCAUAAUUCGAUAUAAAACUAUAUAAAUAAUGUAAGAUUUGUGAUACCUAAAUUGUUAUGUUUUCUAUAAAUAUAUGGAGAUUUUUUAUUAGGAAAUAAUUUUAUAUAUCAACAUUUGUUAUUUUCUUUUGAUAGAAAUUUAAUUAUGUUAUCUGUAGAAAAAAAUAUUUAUAGAAAUAUCAUUAGUAGAAAAUCAUAAAUUUGUGUGUGGCAAAAAAUUUUCACCACCAAGAAAGGGACAAAUUAAACAACUUGAAAGUCAUUGGUUGUUUAAAAUAUUAGAUAAUAAUUUUAGUGAAGAAUCAUUAAAAUUAUGACAAAAUAACCCUAGAUAUUGUAGUAUUAAAUUAGAAAAUCUCAAUAAUAUUAUUAGAGUAAAACCUAUGAUGUAUCUAAACAAGAUAUAGAAGAAUUUGAUAUACAAAUUAAGGGUAGAAAUCAUACGGAAAUAAUAAAAAACAAGAAAAAGCUAGUAUGGUCAUUAAUUAUAAAAGAUUAAAUCAAAAUAUUAUUUUUUGUAGUUACUUGAAUUAAUCAGGAUAAACAAAAAAAAAUAUUUUAGUAAAUUUGACUGUAAAUCAGGAUUCUAGUAAAUCAUGCUAACAGAAAAAUCUAAACCUUUAACAGCUUUUAGUGCACCCAAUGGACAUUAUUAAUGGAAAGUGAUGUCAUUUGAAUUAUGCGAUGCACCACAAAUCUUCCAAAGACAAAUGGAUUUUAUAUUUAAUAAAUAUAAAAAAUUAUGGGUAGUUUAUAUAGAUGAUAUUUUGAUAUUUUCAGAUACACUAGAAUUACAUAAGAAAUAUUUAAAUAUUAUUUCUUAAGAAUUCAUAAAAUAUAGAAUCAUAUUAAACCCUAAAAGUAUGGAGUUAGAAAAAAGAGAGGGAAUUUUUAUAAUAGUGGAAAUAAAAAAUUGUCCUCAAAAGAUUGAAGAAAAAAAGAAGUUACAACAAUUUGUAAUAUAUUCCUCCCAAAUUUUCAGUUGCAAAUUUAUUACAGAAUUUCUUUGCCGACAAUAAGAAAAGAGCAUAUUCACAUUUUCGUCGCAAUUUCAACUAACAACCAAUCUGUUUCCCACUUUCCUUUUUCGGCCAAUUUCAAACGUAACUGUUUUUCGAAUUUUCCUCUUUAUUUCAUUAAUAAAAUGAUCAAUCUAUUUGUUUUUUAAAUAUAUAAUUUUAUUAAUAUUUUUUAAUUAUAAUAUAAGAGUUGUUGUUUAUUUAUAGUUUUAUUACAUUAUUUAAUCUCUUUUUUAUAUCAAGUUUUUAAAAUUAUAAUAUAAGAUUUAUUUUAUCAAAUUGUGGCUUAUCAAAUGUUCAUCUAUUUUAAUAAUAACUUGAGUUCGAAUCAUUAUCAUACCAGAAAGAGUUCCCUUUAUUCUUUAUCGUAAAUUUUAUAAGAAAUUAUAUUUUAUUAUAAUACUAUAUGUGUUAGAAUAAUAUUUUAUUGUGGAUGCCCAUAAUUCUCAAAGUUGUAACCUUGAAUGUAGUAACCUCAAUGAAAUUAUGAGGCUUUUAUAUUGUAAUCAAGCCUCUAUCUAUUCUUUGUAUUCUUUGUAGAAAAUAUGAAGUUGAUUUUACUUUAUUAAAAAAUUUAAAAUAAAUUAUCUUGUUUUUUUUUAAAUGAGUUAACCAAAUUAGCAUAUUUAUUUUGAUCUAAAAUUAUCCAAAAUAAUAUAAAAUAUUAUAUUAAUAAAAUUAAAACUAUGAAAUAAUUUUUUUUAAAGAUUAUUAUUUACUUUUAUCAAACAAUACAAUUAUAUUCAGUACUUAUAUUUACUAGUUUACCAAACAGUUUUCCAAUAUGAAUUCAACACUUAUCAAAUUCAGUAUUAAAAAUUCAGUGCUUAAUUUUUUAGCACUUAACUUUUCAAUUCAUCAAGCACGUCUAAUUCAAUUUAUACAAUUCCCUAUUUGUAUCUCUAUGAAUUUAUAAAAUCCUUCUCGCAUUUAGUUGUUGGGAUCUUUAUAUGAAGAUAGAUGCUUUUAUUUUUUAUUGGUUCAUUUUUAAUUGUAUUGAUUUAUUUAAUUUUAAUUUUGAUUAAUAUAUAUGAUUAUUGUGGAAUGGGAGUAAAAGUAUUUACUUCUCAUAAACUUUGAAAUAUUCACCCUGUCUACAUAUUAAUUAUUGUAAAAUUUGAAUUGAAAUUAUGCCAUAAAAGGUGGAGGUUAGAAAACCUCUUAUUGAGACCUUAUAAUAUUUUGUAAUUUUUUGUGUUAUGGUAUAUAAAAAAAUAUCUAACCAUAGUGAUUGAUUAGUAAUAUAAAUUUGUUAUUUGUUAUGUUUAAUAUAUAUUUUAUUUAUACUUAUUCAUUUUAUUUUUAUAUGAGUAAAUGAAGUGUUUGAAGAUUCGAAAUUUUUAUCAUCCAUGUUGAAAAUAAGUGCAAAAGUGUAUAUUAUUUAAAAUAAAUUACGCAUUCAUUAAUGUUAUGUGAUAAAAUCAUUACAUUUUCUGAAGAACUAAUAUUGCAUCAAACUGUAAAAAGCUCUUGAAGAGCUAAUAUUUAUCUCCCUGUGAUGCAAAAUCUUGUAAAACAUGAUAUUAUUUUUCAAAUCAAGAAGAUUUAUGUUGAAGGAAAUAUUUAUGUGUUUUACAUUAAAACCAUGGAUAGAAAUGACAUGAGACACUCAUGUAUUUGCAUUAUAAAUAUUCCUUGAAGGAAUACACUUCACUUGUAUGAUUGACAUAUGAGAUAAUAGCAAGAAGUUUAUAGUGUUGGUAUGGCCGGCUAGACCAUCUCAAGUCAAUAAUGAUGCAAAAUAAUUUGAAGAGAAUUUAUAUGAUUUUAUUGAAGAAUGAGAAGUUAUUUUCAUUUUGAUAAUUGUCAUCAACAAUAGUUCUUUGGAAAAAAAAAUAUUGAACUAACAUCAACUAAAGUUAGAGGUUGGUUCAUGGUUGCAUUUUUUGAUGAUAUCCAAAUAAUAUAUGAGCUCAUGUAUCACAUGUAUGCAACCCAAAGUUUACAGUAUUAUUUCUUGAAAUAAUUUGAUUCUACACAAUCUCUAUAGCAUGCAAUUUGUGCUAACAACACUGGUGCAUUAUAUCCUAAGCUUGAUUUUCGUAGUUUUAGCUGAGAUAAUAUUAAGUUGUCUAUGCCUAUAUAUAUUAUACUUAAUGGUUAGCAAAAUUAUGCCUCCAUUUAAUUGCUUAACCAUUAAUAUAAGAAUAGCUUUAAAAUAAGCAUGUAAUUUUAUUUGCAUCGAGCCAACAUGUAAGAAAUAUUUGUCCCAUGAGAAUUAGCUUUUAUUUAUAAGCCAAUAGGUUUCAUUUAUGACUAUUUGGAUGUAAAAUAUCUAUUUUAUAUUCCACCAUAAUGCACUAAGAUGGACCAUCAAGUAUGAAGUUGAGAAAAAUUAGAAUUUUUAUUUGAUGGUAAAAGUUGAAAAGAGAUAUAUAUUUAUAAUUUUGAAAAAAAUAGUCAUGUUGCAAAUUUUCUCAGUAUUAGAGGGAGACAAGUUGGACAAAUACGUAUAAUUAUGUCAUCACUUUUUGUGAUCCCUCACUAAUCUUAUGUGCACAAAGUUUGAAGGAAAAAAAUAAUUUGCUAGACAUGUUUAGUGAUGACAUUUAGAGAUUGUAUAUAUUGGAUGAUACAUAUACCAGCUAAAAUGUUCCAAAUAAUUAUGCGUCCUAGAAGGACAAAGUGAUAAAAAUAAUUUUUGGGCACGCUAGAAGGAUGAAAAACUAGUUGGUUCUAUAAAUAAAAAAAUUCUUGACAGAAAAGAGUAAGAAAUGAAUAUGGCCACACGUUAAAGGAGACGAGUACUCAUGAAGAGACCCAAGGUAUAACUUUUAAUAAAACCCCAAAAGAGGUUCAAUACAUGAAAUUAUGAAUAUAAUAAGUGUAAUAACCAAAUUUUUCCCGGGCCCAAUGCCAAACAAAUAAAACCCAAACCAAAUAAAUAAAAUAAGAGUCCAAAUUAUAGUCCGUUAGGGCCCAAUUCAGACCAGCCCACUAUUCAAUCAGACCAGCCGAACAACAAAAAAAAACCUAGUAGCCCACAGCCCAACUAAGCCUAAAAAAUUUUCAGCAAAAGAAAAAACCCUAGCUGCCAUGCUAGCCGCUGCUCCUGCCCUAGCCUCUGCCCACUAUCGUACGCCACCUCUGCCAUCACCAUUAGCCUCUGACACCUGCAAAACAGCAAACAACAUGCAACAACAGAGAAGAAGACGACAAGCAAAAAACAAAUCACUAAAGGACAAAAAUAAUGAUAACAAAUAGCCUUAGUUUGGCUAUAAAAGCAAAAAAAAUGAAAACUUUGUACUUCUUUGGCAAGAUUAAUACAAAAAAGAAAAGAUUUGAACUUUUUAGGGUGAUAUUUCAUUUUUUUUUACGCUUUAGAUCUAUUUUUUUAUUUCAUCUUCAUCUACGAAAAUAAUAGAAAAAAGACUUUGAUUUCAAGGUGAUAUUUUGUUGUUUUUUUAGAUCUAGUGUUUUUUUAUUUAUUUUUAUCUACAAAAAUAAAAAAAGGAAAAGAGAAACGUACCUAAUUCACCCCGUGGCUCCGUCGACGGAAGUCCCAUCGCCAUCGUCGGAAUCGGGCUUAAAAGGGGAAGGUUUUUAUUUUUCUUUACUUUUUUUUGGAUUUUUCGUCUCAAGAAAUGGACUAAGGGAGGGGAAAUGGCCAAAAUGGUCUUUUUCCGAUGAACUCUGGCAACCACAUGUGGCAGUUAACAGUGCCGGUGCUCGGUGGCUGCGGUGGAGCCAUGGUGGUGUCCCAUGGCCGGAUCUAGAGAGGAAGCCUUUAAGAGGGAGAGAGUUUCUAACAUUUUUUUUAUUUUCUAAGGCAGAAAUGAAUUUUUGAAAAAAAAAAGUUGGGUUUUAUAAGUGCGUGAAAUGGCGCCAUUUUGCGCAAGUGCACAUCGACGUCGAAACGACAUCGUUUACCCCUUUACCCGCUUGCCCGAGUCUGGCUCGAUGAAGGUCCGCAUAUUUUCAUGCCUGAUGGGUUAUUUCCCUGCCCGAUCCUUCCGAUUUUGGGCUUCUUCUCAAUCUGGUCCUGAUCCUACUUUUUCCCGCCUUUUAAAUUGUACCAUUUAAUUUCAUUUCAUUUUCAACUCGGUCCCUCGGCUGACCAAAGGAAAUGAUGCGCAUAAAGUUAAGGGAUAUUUUCCCUUUCAAUCCCCAAUAUUUUUAGAGCGAUGCAUUUUAAUCCCUAACCUUUCAUUCCAAUCUUUUACACAUAUUAUUUCAUUUUAUUCGUUUAUUUAUUGACUUAUCAUUUUUACCCUCUUUUUAUACUUAAAAAUAUAUAUUAUUUACACUAUUACUUGCAUUUUUUUACUAUUAAAUUAUUAUUUUUAAUGUAUUAUAUUCCCAUUAUUUUACCAUUUUAUUUAUUUUGAUACUUUCAUGUCACAUUUAUUUAUUUUAAUAUUGCCAUUAUUUAUUUUAUUUUAUUCUUAUGUUUUUUAGUAUUUUAUUAUUUCUUUUAUUGUUCACGGUUUUUUUUUCAUGUUAUACAUUUUUAUCUUUCUAAUCAUGCAUUUUUCCUUUUUUUAUUUUGUUUUAGGUUACGUUAUUUAUUAUUAUUAUUAUGAUAAUAUUAUUAUAAUUAUAUUACCAUUAUUAUAGAAUUCCUUUAUUUGUAUAUUCCAUUAUAACUAUUAUUAUUAUUAGUAGUCUUUAACUCACUUCUAUUUUUAUUAUUAUUUUUUAGAAUAGUAGUCAACAUGCUUAUCCUUAUUGUUAUUUGGUGUUGUUCUUAUGAUUUUAUCAUCAUUAUUGUUGUAUUUCAUUUUUUGUUCACUCUUUAAAUAUUUUGUUCAUAUAGUUAUUUUACACUAUUGCAAUAUUGUUGCAUUACGCAUUAUGUUUCUUAUAUAAUAAUUAUUUCGCUUUCACGCGAUGUUCGAAUCAAUUAAACAUGAAUCUUCUCAAUUAUUACAUUAAUUGUUACUUAAGUUCAAAAAGAAAAUUUUCAAAAUAAGGCAAUAUUUUGCGUUUUGGAAAUUCGAGAAAUCAUACCCUAACUUACGAGGUUUCGAUUUUCUCGUUAAACUUAAAUAGCAAAAUAUUCUUUUAAAUUUCAAAAUGCAUGCAAUUUCAAUAAAAAUCAAAGGCAAGCUUAUUCUCUAAGGUUCCAAAUAUCGCGUCCUAACUUACGGGAUGUGACAUUUCGUUACCUCGAGACGAGUAGGUCUUCAACUCUCUUUUCGAUUUAUUCGAGCGUUUUUAAUAACAUUAAUAAAAAGGGAUCGUAUUUUAAAUUUCUAUUCAAGUUUUCAACCUUGGACAUUAAGACAUUACUUAAUCAACUAGGUACCACCUUUGGGUGUAUUGAGGGUGUGUUUUCUAGAUUUUGUAGACCAAAUAUUAUCGUUUUUAGUAAAUUUAAAUUUUUAUUAAAAUGAUUAAAUUACAAGUGUUGACACCAUUUUUUUGAUGAAAAACGGGGUCGACUUGGGUUUUAAAAAAAAUGAAAAACGGGAGUCGCCACCAAUCCUUUUUGAUAAGGUGUGAUUGGGUCACCUUGAAAAAUGGUUGUUUUUAAUAAAUGAUUUGAUUUUAUUAAAACAACGGUUUUGGUCCAUGAAAUUUAGAAAACGGGUUCGGGAGUCGAUUACGUACGAGGAAGGAUUAGCACCCUCGUAACGCCCAAAAAUUGGUACCUAGUUGGUUAGCUAAUGUCUUGAUGUCGAAAAUUGAGAACUUGGAAAAAAUUAAAAAUACGAUCCUUGUAUUAAAAUGAAAAUUUUAGGAAAAGGGGGGCAUACUUCACGCUAAUCGAGAAAGAGAAUCAUAUCCAGUAAGUUAGGACACAAUGUCUCGAAUUCCCGAUACGCGAAUGAAUGCCAAAAUUUUACUUAUUUAAAAGACAUUUUAGCCGUCUCGAAUUUAAAAAUGAAAUCACGACCAGUAAGUUAGGACGUGAUUUUUUAAAACUUGAGUUUGAAAAGAUUCGUGCAUCUAGAUUUAUCGUGAAAAUCAAUACCCAGUAAGUUAGGGUACGAUUUUCUUGAAUUUAAACACGAAAUGCCAUUUUUUAAAACAAAUUUUGUUAUAUCGAGUGAAAUAAAAACACAAAGUCGUAGUAAAAAAAUGUGUAAGCAAAUUACAUUGUUAUGCAUGGCAAAAUCAUAAUGAAUACAAAAGUAUAAAAAUGAUACGAGCAAUAACAACAAUAUAAAAUAAAUAAAAGUCAAACCUACAAUAAUAUUAAAUAACAAUGUAUAUAAACAAAUAAAAUUAAAACAUUCAUUCAAAAUAAUAAUGAAAAUGAAAUAAAUAAAUAGUAAAUACAAAAUAAAACAAUAGUAAUGAAUAAAAAUAAUAUAAUAUAUAUAUGUAUGUUAGAAUUAUAAAGUAUAAAAAUAUACGUAUGUGUAUAUAAGAAUAUGUAAGCAUGUAUAUACAUAGAUUAUAAAAUAUAGAUAUUUAUAUAAAAAUGAGUAUUUGUAUUAAAUAAGUUGAAAAAAAAUAUAUAUAUACCUACAUAUAUAUAAAAAAUUAUAUAAUAAUAACAAUAUAAUAAAACACAUAUAUCUAAAAUUUACAUAAGUAAAUAUAAAUAAAAACAUACUAAUAACAAUAAUAUUAAUAGUAAAAUGAUAAUACAUAAAAAUGAUGAAGAAAAUAAUAAAAAUGCUUAAAAGGGGACUAAAUCGAAGUAAGAACCAAAAAAAAGGGGCAAAAUCGAAAUAAAGACAAGAGGGACUAAAUUGUAACGCGCGCUGAAAGAGGGGGACCAACAGGGUAACUAAACCAAAGCCUCAAAACGCUGCUCUGUAAAGGACUGAAAUGAGACAAAAAUAAAAUUUUGUGGCCAAAUUGCAAAUAUGCGAAAAACUUCCAUGAAAUCGCUACAAAAUCAAAGGGACUAAUUGCGCAAAUAGACCCUUAAACAAAAACGCGCGGAUCCUUGGGUGCGGGUCGGGUCGACGUGCGGAUCCCCUCACCAAAACGGCGUCGUUUUGUGUUUAAUAUAAAUAUAAAAAAAGGGCUAAAAAAACAGUUUCAUCAUUUUUGUUGAAAAACUGAGAGAAACCUCUCUCUUUUUUCCCUUUCUCAGGCUCAGAUUCCGGAGAUGGCCCGGCCUAGGCUUCUGGCGAAUCUCCGCCGUAGAGCCACCGUGUGUGGCGGCCGGAGGUCCAAAAUCGGACCUUUUCGGUCCCUUUUUGAAACUAAGAAUCCCUAGGGUACGGAUCUGGGACCAAACCCCCGAAAAAAAGAAUCGGAGACCUAAAGAACGAGGGGAAACCGCUCGUCUUCUCUCCUCCGGCGCGGCGCAGGUAAGGUUUCUUUUUCCUUUAUUUAUAUUACGUAAAAAACAUACAAAAAGAAAAAAAAGAAAAUAGAGUUUAAAAAAAAUCUAAAACAGAAAUGAGAGAAAAUCACCUCUCAAGUUUUCUUGUUUUUUAUUUCUUUUUGCUAAUAUCUGUUUCUUCUUUUUACAAAAGUUGAUGGAAGAAGAAAAAAUUACAUUUUGUUGGCUUUUUAUAGCCGACUUCUACUACUGCCUGUGUUAUUUGCUCUCUGUUUCUUUGUUUUGUUUCUUCUUUGCAGGUGACGGUGCAAGUGGUGGUGGUGACGUGACCGUGGCAGUGGCGGUGUGAUGUUGGCGGCGGCGGCAGGCCAAAGGUCAAUAGGUGUGGAGCCUAGGGUUUUAGUUUUUGAAACCCUAGGCAGAUUUUUUUAGGGGAAUUGGGCCUUAGCUAUUGGGUCGUUCGGGUUUGGGCGUUGGGUUAGGCUAGUUGGGCUUUGAGGUUGGGUUGUUUUGUAAUGUGCUUUGGUGUUUGGGUUGGUAGGUGGUGGGUAAGGUUUAUUGUUUUGGGUUCUUGGGCCUGGUUCUGUUUGGUUAGGGUAAUGGGCCAUUUGGGUCUGGGCAUAAAAUUGGGCUAUACAACAAGGUGACCCGAUUACACCUCAUCAAAAAGGAUUGGUGGCGACUCCCAUUUUCAUUUUCAUUUCUUUUUAAAUCAAAGUCAACCCGUUUUUAAAAAAAUGGUUUCGACAAUAAGAUAUAUUGAUUAGUUAUGUCAUAACUAAAGAUGAUGGAGUUGACAAAAGGAAAUUGUAGUUAACAACGAAUAAUCUACGUAGAACAUUUCAAUAUUAUGGAAAAAUGAGUAUUUACCAACCUUCUUUUAGUCAAAUUAUGCAAGCCUAAAAUUUUUAGCUUAAUUUGAGUUUGUUGACUAUGUCUAAUUCAAGUUUUAUUAUUAAGGACUAAAUUGUAACUUAAAAAAAUUAGAAUACCAAUUUAAAGAGACAAAAAUUCAAAACCCCAAAACCCACAUGGGCAUGUGGGUAAGUGACACAGGCGUGUGGAGACUGGAGCUAUCACACACGGGCGAGUGGGACAGAAAAAUAUGAAAUAAAUUAAUCCACUUAAAUUUCAAACAACCAUGCUAUACUACCAAACCAAAUAAUGCUAGAAGCUUUGAAUAGGGGUGAAUCGAAAAAAAAAUAAAAGAAUUAGAAUUAAAUUAUAAAAUUUUCAGAAGUUAUCAUGUAUUAAUUUAUUAUUUUUUAAAGGGUCUUAAUAGAAUUUUUUUUCCAUUUUGGUUUGGCCAAUACCCCUGUCUACCUCUUUCAAUUUGCUUCAACCCUAAACCUAAUAUUCGAUUUGUUGUGGAAGUUUGACGCAUAAAAAUUUCUUUUUUAGAGGUUUAAAUUAUAAAUUUUUGAAAGUUUAAAAUAAAUUUUCAUUUUUAUUAACAAAAUAUAAAAGAAAAAAAACAUGUGUAGACAAACCAAGAAACCUUUGGGAUCAUACGGGUGAUUUUGAUGAUGUUAAUGGUUAUUUUGAUGGAGAGGGUGAAAAAGAAACAAAUGAUUCAUAUAUAUAAUAUAAUUAUGAAAUUCAAGCCAUAUAUUGUAUGUUUCAUCCAUAAAAAUUUCAUGGGAGGUCCGAAGGUAAUUAAAUGACUUGUAGGCUUGCUGAAUUUCUUUGAAAGGCCCAAUGGCAAUUUAACAUUCACAAAAUAAUCUCUAAAUACUGUAAAGACAAAAUCAAAUCCACAGCAGCAUUAGAGUUGAUUAAGCUAAGCAUUGGCAAAUAUUACUUUGAUUUUGCAUGCAAUAUUAGCAAAACCCCCUCUUACAUUAGAUAAACAACAUACUCCAUGAAACAUUGAUAGCCCAAAUACAAAUUUCAUCGACAAAAAAGUCUCUUUGUUUUGUAGAACAUGAUAGUAAAAAUGUGGAGUUUCGUUCUUCUUAUUGGCCUCCUUUAGUUUUCCUUGAUCAACAACCACUAGCCAAAAACACAAUUAGAUUAGAUUAUGAAUGAUACUGACAUUAUUAAAUAUAAAACACUCUAAAUAACUCUAAAUAAAUGGAAAGCAGCAAAUUACCUGACGAGGCAAGCUAGCUCAAUUAAGACCAUUGUGUUAUACUUGUCUCUGAAUUGAAAAAUUUAGAAGGAAAUAAAGAGAAAGACUUAGAAAAUAUUUGAAAACAGAUAAAACUUAUAUGUCAUUUAAAAUAAAAAUUUUGUAUUUAAGCCGUUUAAAAUUUUUAAGAUUUUUGAAAUUUUAAAAUGAUAAAGGUAAAAUUGUACUUUGGCACACCAAAAAUGAUAAAACUUUGAUUUAAUCCUUUAGAAAUUAUAAAAAUAUAGGCUAUUAAAAUGGUGAAAUUACCUUUUUACUAUAGUAAAAAUUACAAUUUAAUUUCACUUUAAGAUUUUCUGACUUCGCCCCUAAUAAAAUCUUUGGCAAAAGAUUAAAAUAAAAUUAUACCGUAAAUGGAAAAAGAAACAAAGAAAAUCCAAUCUAACAAAGAAAAUAACUUAUGUCCAAAAGCUACCAUAAACCGUAAUUCAUGGGAAGAGAGCAAAAGUAAAAACAAAUAGUUUAUAUGAUUAAAAUUCCAGAAUAGGUUAAAAAUGUUGAAUUAAAGAUAAAAUUAAGCGUGAAUUAAUAACCACAAGUGUACUCUUUACUCACCAUCUCUGUUAAAAAUGUUGGAUGUUGUUUAGCAACCUUUGUUUGAUUUUCUUCAGCUCAACCACAACAUCUUUCAUUUCUUUUCUUUCUUCUGGUAACUCAGCUGAACAAUUCAAAGCCAACUCCAUGAUAGAUGAAAUACAAUUUGCUUUAACAACAAAGUACUCAUCCUCUCUUCUUAGUAAAUCAACAUCUGCAAUUUCUAUCGCUCCUUUAGGCAAUGAACUUUCCAUCCAAUGCCUUAUAGUCUCUUCUUCAACAAAAACAUUAUCAGUUGGCUUUCUCUUUGUGAAAGUUUCUAUAAGGACGAUCCCAUAACUAUAAACGUCAGAUUUUAUAGAAACAAGUCCUGCAGAUCCAAAUUCUGCAUUUCAAGUAUAAUUAGAACAUCAUCAGUCCUCAAUUAUUUGAUAAAUCUAUGUAUAUCCACAUACACGAGAAACAAAAAUAUAAAACGCAAAUUAGGAAAAUAAUCGUACAAAGAUAAAAAAAGAAUUCACCUGGUGCCAUAUACCCGAUUGUUGCAAGAGUCAUGGUUUGCUUCAUUACUUCACCUUCUCCCAACAAUUUGGCAACGCCAAAAUCUCCAACAUGUGCAACCAUGUCUUCAUCUAGUAAAAUAUUGCUUGGUUUUAUGUCACAAUGAAUUAUAGGGGUUGGAUGUCCAUUGUGGAGGUGUUCUAUAGCCACCGCAACAUCUAUCAUUAUGUCGACCCUUUGUAUGAUAUCAAGGAAACAAUUUUUAGAAUGUAACCAUUUCUCAAGGUUUCCAUUAGACAUGUAAUCAAGCACCAAGGCUUUGAAGUCAACACUUGAGCAGCAAGUAAUGACCUUCACAAUAUUACGAUGAACUAUAUGAAGCAUAGCAUCACAUUCAAUGUCAAAACUCCUAAAUGCUCCCUCUGUUUGCAAAUUGAAAACUUUUAUUGCAACUUCCAUUCCAUCUGAAAGCCUCCCUUUAUAUACAUAUCCAAAACUCCCUGAACCAAGCAUAUUGCUUUCCUCAAGUCCAUUAGUUGCUCGUGAAAGUUCAGCAUGUGAAAUUCUUCUCGGUGUCUUCAAAGACAACAAAUCAUCUUUAAUUGGUAGAGCUGUACUCCUUCUUUGGCAUCUUCUAUACAUAAUAGUUAAGACUAUUAGUACUACGACAAUACCAAUUGUUGGUAAACCAUACCUAAAAGCAUGCAAUAUAAUCGUUUGGGAGUUUUUGUGGAUGUCGUUUUUACAAGGUGGGACUAGCAAUCUAGGUGGACCACAAAGUGCAUAAUUCUUCAUGAAUGAUGUGCUAGAAAAGUUUGAAAAACAUCCUUCGCUGGGAAUUUCCCCUUCAAGUCUAUUGAAAGACACAUUAAAAUACUUUAGAUAUAAAAGCUUUUCCAAAGAUUUGGGAAUGACUCCAGAGAGAUUGUUAUUGCAUAAAUCCAAGAAUUCCAAACUAAUCAACCCAUCAAAUGAUUCAGGGAUAUGACCAUGUAGUAUAUUAUUUGAUAAAUCUAAUGAAACCAAAGUUAUAAGACCCCCAAAUGUGGAUAAGAUAUCGCCCGUGAGAAGAUUCCUUGAUAAAUUUAGUUUCAGUAGACUCCUCAAAUUUCCAACAUCAAUAGCAUGUGAAUUGUGAAGAUGGUUUGAUGAUAAGUCUAUUUCUAAGAUAUCUUUAAGAUUCCACAAAGUUGAGGGUAUUGUAGAACUCAAUUUGUUGGAAUCUAAGUAAAGAUAUCCCAAAGAAGUAAUAUUACCCAAACAAGAGGGUAUGGAUCCAUGCAGCUUAUUCAACCCUAAAUACAUCUUGUAUAGUCUCUCCAAAUCACAAAGGCUUUAUGAGAUGGGCCCUCCUAAUUUAUUAGAGGAAAGAUAUAGACCUUGGAGAUUUCUCAUUCCUCCUAUUGAUGCUGGAAUCAAUCCACUUAAUUUAUUAUAGUCAAGUUGUAAAAGCAAUAGGUUGGUUAAGUUACCUAUUUCCAUAGGAAUAAUGCCUUGAAGCUCACACUCAUCGGCAUAAAAGUAUUGAAGGGAUUUUGAAAGGUUCCCAAUAUAAGUAGGAAGAACGCCACUCAAUGGAUUUCCUGAAACACCUAUUUUUCUCAAAUUCCUACAAUUCGUCAAAGAAGAAAGAAAGCUCCACUCAUGAUCAGUAGCAGAUCCUGUGAUCAAAUUAUUGUCAAAGAUUUUGAGCACUUCAAGGUGUUUUAAGCUGCCAAGCAUUUUAGGGAUUGGGCCAGAGAAUAAGUUUCGUGACAACUCUAGUUUCUUAAGCAUGGAAGCAUUGGAGAUAGAGUUGGGAAUGUUUCCGCUAAGUUUAUUUCUCCACAAUAAAAGAAUCUCAAGCUUUGGAGCAUUGGUGAUUGGUGGUAAAUCACCUGUGAAAUAGCAUCUUUUAGUAUACACAUUCAUUGAAUACCAAAUUCACAAAAUAUAUAAUACAUUAAAAUAAAAACUGUAAAACUUUAAAUCAAUUAAGAAUAAAAUUUUGGCAUGGAAAAAUGUGAUGAAAUCAAUUAGAAAGUUGAGACAUAAUAAGAAGUUUUGAGUAGUAAUUACUCAUGAUUUCUAUAGACAAAACAUAUAAUACACUGAUAAUUUUUUAAAAAAUAUUGUAAAACCUGAAAUAAAAUAAAAAAUAAAAGUUUGGCAUGAGAAUGUGGCAUCUAAUCAUUCUUAAAAAUAAGACUAACAUUGAAUAAUAAUUAGUUAUGAUUUGAGAAACAAAAAUGUUAAAGAUGUAAACUGGUAUGAUUUUUAUCUAUUGGGUUAAUUAUUUAUUUUUAUUAAAUUAUAUAUAGUGUAAAAUUUAAAGAUUAUUAUUUGCUCAAAAUUUUUGUAUUUUUCGUAUAUUUGAAAUUUAAUCUUUAUAUUUUUUAUUUUCUGUGAUUUAGUCUCUCUACUUUUUGAAUUGAAAAUUUUAAGUUUAUUUAUUAACACUGUUAAAAAGUUUUUGUGUUAGUAUGGCAUUUUGAAAAAUAAAAUAAAAUUGAUAUCUAUGUUUUUAAUUAUUCCAAAUAUUGUUUUACUAUUUCAAGAUAAACUUUUUGUGUCUAUACCAAUAUCUUAAGAACUAUUGUUGCAUGUUUAAUUAUUCUAAAGAUUUGUUGAUUGAGUCUUGGUUGAAGUGCAUUAUUCUCCUAUUUAUGAAUUGGGGAGUUGAUAAAGUACUUUAUUUUAAUAUAUUUUAAAAUAUUAAAAAUUUAUUAAAAUAUUUUUUAUAAAACUUGAUUGUACCACAAUAUACAAUUUUAAUAUCAAAUUUUUAAUUGUUUUUUAAAAAUAUUAGCGAAUAUAUACUUUAUUUCAAGUUACACAAUUUUUACUAGCUUUUAACUUUUUUUAAAAUUUUUAUCGUCUUUUAUAAUUUCUAAUAAUUUUUUAUAAUUUUUUACAAUAUUUACAAUUUCUAACAAUUUUUAAUAAUUUUAUUAUUUAUUUCAAAUUUAAAAAUUAACAAAUUUUUAUUUUUUUAAAACAAUUAUAUAUUUAUAAUGUAGUUAUUUUUUUAUAAUUUUUUUUUGAAAUUUAAAGAUUUUUUUGGUUUUUUUUUUCUAGAUGAUGAUGCCAUCAUGAUGCCAUCAUAUGCCACAUGCCUUCUAAUUUGUUGUCAUAUAGACAUAUUUCUUCGAGCGUAGUUGAAUUAAAAAUACUUGAUGGAAUCUGACCUGCACACAUAGUCGAAAAUUGAAGUGAAAAGCAUACCUUCUAAGCUGUUAAACUAAAAAUACUUUAAGCAUAUUUUAUUUUCCAUCAAAUUAACUAUUUUGCCUUGAAUGAAAUAAAAUGUUCUUAUUUUUGUUAUCUAUUACAAAUCAAACUCUUUUAUGAAAAAACUAUUUUAAAUUAAAGAAACAAAGAAAAUUCAAUAUCUUCUAAGUUAUUCCACUCCAAAUAUAAUCUUCAGUGAAGAAAUCUUGAAGAUGGAAGAUGGAACCUUACCAGAUAAUUGAUUGAAUCCCAAGCUCAAGGACUCUAGAUUAGACAUGUUAACAAGUGUUUCAGGGAUUGUGCCUAUAAAGUUAUUAUUUUUCAUUUUCAGCCUUCGAACUCCCUGUAAGUUCCCAAGCCAUGAUGGAAUUUCCCCAUUAAGACUGUUGUAUUUUAAUCGAAGGAUCCUCAAACGAUGCAAUUGGCCCAAUUCUUUAGGGAGAUGGCCAUAGAAAUGGUUUCUACUCAAGUCGAGAGAGAGUAGAAAUGAAAGAUUUCCAAGGUGUGGAGGGAUACUACCCCUAAGAUUCAUGCUUUUAAGUUUCAAAGCUAUAACUCUUUUAUGGAGGAUGCCACAAGAAACACCAAUCCAAUUGCAAACAGAGGUUGAGGCCGUCCAAUUGUUUGCCAAGACAUUUUGAGGACCGGCAAUGCGAUCCUUAAACUCGAGAAGUGCAAACUGAUCGGAGUUGAGAUUCCUGACUGUCAUACCCCAGCAAAGUCCGGAACAUGGUACGAAUAAAGCUAAAAGAAGAUGAAAGCAAGUGUUGUAGUUCAUGAUAGCAAGACGGAAUAAGCCAAGAAAAUAAAAAAAAGUAGGACAAGGGAAGUUGAGUUGAUAAAAUAGUUUGGAUGAUGAAGAAAAGCCCAGAGAGCAUGCUUUAAUAUGUUUUGAAGAAAUUUCAAAAUAAAUUUCAAAAUAAAUUUCAAAAUAAAAAUUUAAAAAGGAAAGCAAAGUUUUGAAGAAAUUUCAAAAUAAAUUUCAAGUCUUCUUCUUUAAAAAAUACGUACAAAGAGCGAAUUUUCAAAAUUUCUCCUAAAUUUUCUUCACAUUACUCCACAUAAUCCAUUAAAAAAACUUAAAAAAUAUAUUUUAUUAAUUACUAUACAUUCUUUUACUUUCAGAAUAAUAAAUUGUUUAAAAUUUGCUAUUAGUCCCUGUAAUUUAAAAGUUAAAAAAAAAAUUCAAUCCUCCUACUUUUCUAAUUUAAAAAUUCUAGUUCAAUCAAUUUUAAUUUUAAAAUCUUUGUAUAAAAGGUGUUUUUUUUUUGUGACCGAUCACACUUAACCAAUAUUUAAAAAUUAUUAAAAAAUAUUUUUUUUUGAAAUUUAAAGUGAUCUAAAAACAUAUUUUUAAGUACUUUGGACAGUCUAUUGUUGAUUUCCUUAUUAUAUUAAGUGUUUGCAAUCACUCCUAAUAUAUUGUGCUUGAGUUGUGACAAAGUCGAUCAUCAAAUUGCCAUAAUGAUCUAUUGAUGCUGAAAUUAAAGUUUUUGUUAUAUUGAUAGAGCUUGUCCUUCAACGCGUACAACGUGUUUGUUAUUUUUCUCCCUUCAAAUUGUAUGAUCUUAUUCAUUAAAUGAAUUAAUGAAUUUCCCUUUUAAAAAGAUAUAUUUUUAAAAAUUAAAUACUUUAUAAAAUAUUUAAAAAUUUGUAAGCCUUAAAACAAUCAACAAAAUAUUUUUGAAAUUUUAUAAAUAUAUUUUAAAAUUAUAGUAACGCUACAAAAUAUAUAUAUUUACUAAUUAUAUGCACCUUUUUUAUUUUUUUUCCUAACAUAUCAUUAUUUUCAACACUAUCGUAAUCCUGUUUUGAUAAUUCCCUUUCCAUACAUCCUUUUUCUACAUAGAAUUUCAAAAGAAAAUGUGAAUUAAUGUAAACGUGAGAAGACUUAAUUACAUUUAUUAGUUUAUCAAUCAAAACUUAAUUAGAAUCCAUCAAUAUUUCACACAUCAAAAACCCAAACAUAAAAUUCACUUUUAAAUUAUUUGAAGAUACAUUUGUAUUAUAGGAAAUGGAUUAAAUUAGUCUUUUAUUAUUAAAUGUAUUAUUUUAAUCUUUGUAUUAGGUAUGAAUUGUAUCUCCUAGAUUGAAGCCAAAGCUAUUCUUGAAAGACUGAAAUUAAGAUUCAGAUGUGUUGAGAUGGAAAGUGGCAACACAAUGUUGAUUGAAACUAUUUAUAACGGGUUGGCUACAAUAAGUAGUGCUGCCGAAGUAAGACAGAUUCACGAUUGGUGUUCCAAAAAUUGGGAAGUCAAAUUUCGACAUAUUCAACGAAAUGCCAAUAAAGUUGUUGAUUGCAUAGCUAAGGCAAAUGGAGGCGUAAUUGAGCAGCUGGUUAUCUUGGAAGAUCCUCUGCAUUAUGUGAGAUGCUAGCUUGAAGAAGAUAUUAGACAGUCACUAGUGACUGAUGAUAAUUUUCAUUUGGACUGAUGAGCGCUUAAUUUUCUAAGCUUAUGUUCAACAAAAAAAAAUUUAAAUACGUCUAAAUUGUAAUAGAGUUAACAUUUAGUGUUUAAAAAAUAUCUUAAAAAUUAUUUUUUUCCAAUUGCAGUUCAAUUCCACAAAUAUCGACGAUGAACCCGGACAUAAAAAUUACAGAAAAAAAAACACAUCUAUUAUCAAACCAGCAAUCCAUGUCUAAACUUAAAUUAACAAAAUUUGCCACACAACGCCCGGUACACUAUUAUAUAUCUAUACUAGAUUUAUUCUAGAUGCACAUGUUUUAUUAUAUUUAAAAAUUAAAAUGUAUGGUUGACUAAGUUUUAGUUGAGUUAGUAUUGAUAUUAUUGUCAGUGUAGGAAAAUGUGAGUUUAAUCACGCUCAAAUGUGUUUUAUCCUCCAAUUCAAGGGUUAGGAAAAGGUUAUUGAUAAUUAAAUUAUACCAACUUUUAUAAUAUUAAAAAAAAGGAUUUAUAAAUAAUAUAAGGAAAAGAAAAAAAGAGAAACAUAUUCAUAUUGAUGGGCUCUUUCAAUAUUAGACUUUUUUUUCUAUCACAAGUAAAAAUAUCAAAGGUGAUAAUAAUUAAAUUAUAAAAUUUAAAUUGAGAAAAUAGGGGAUAAAAUUUAUAAGUUUUAAAGUAUAAAGAAUGAAUUUAUAACUAACAACAUAUUUUAACCACAUAAUAAAAGUAGUUAUGGAGAGGAUCAUAUAAAAUGCAAAAAUGAAAUAAUAGAAAAGAAAUAAGUGUUGGGUAUAGUGGCAAUGUAUAUUAUACUUCUAAGGGGAGAUCAAGAUUUUAGACAAGGGAAGAAUUUUAAACCUGCUUUUUUCUCUAGAACUCAACGCAAACCUCAAAUUUAUCUUUUUAAAAGAAUUUAAAAAUAUCUAUAUAAAAGGUGAUUUUUUACCGAUCACACUUAACAAAAUUAAAAAAAAAUUGAAAUUUAAAGUGAUCUAAAAACAUAUUUUAAAGUGCUUUUGACCAUCUUGUGCUGAUUUCUUUAGUAAUUUGAUUUGUUCAAUAUAGAUUUUGGUGACUUAAAACAAAAUUAAUAAAAAAAUAUUUUAUCAGAUAUCUUUUUAAUGUUUAAUAAUAAGUUAAUUUAUAAAAUAUACUUUCAUUGGACACAGGGCCUCCAAGGCGGUGAACCACUAAUCAAAUUAAUUUUGAGAUACUUAAAUUUGUUUUCAUCAAUUAAGAAAUUAAAAAAAUUUGUUGAGACCUCAUGAUUAUGUUUUAUAAUUUCAGGCUUAUCAACUAUUUUGAAAAACAACAAAACGUCUUACACCAAAAACUAAAAAAAUAAAAACGUCGACAUUAAAUUUGUUGCCAUGCAAUCAAUUUUAAGAUGGUUUUUGGAGUUAUAUAUCACCUUAGCAUUGACUUACUUUUCUACACUUAGUCUUCUCCAACAAGUUAAAUAUUUCAAUUUUAACAACAUUGACAGGUCUUUGGGGUAGGGUCGAGCAAAACUCAAUAUAGGCUGAGUUGGCUCGGCCAAGUCGAGUCGACUUGUUCAAAUUAUUUAAAUUCGUAAUUUUUAAGGUGCAGUUAGAAUUUUUUGUUUUGAGAUGCUAAGAUUAAAAUAUUUCAGUUGCUAAAACAAAAUAUUUGUAUUUAAAAAGGCAUAAAUUAAAUAAUUAAGUUUUUCGAGUUUCCAUUUAAUCAAAGGUUAAAAGGACUAAAUUGAAGCUUUUUAUUUUUAAGAAAGGCUGAAUGACAAAUUGCCCAAAGCCAUGCCCCUAGCUAUACAACUAACUUCUCUAUGAUUAGUCCUUCGUUUGCUUUGGGUGAAAUCUUCCAACUAGCCUCAUCCUUGGUUUUACUUUCCAACAAUUAGUGUAUCACGAGUUUUGUUUUCUUUAAAAAAUAUUUGUGGAUAUUAGGAGAUAAUGAAAAUUAUUUUACUAUGAAAUUUUAAUAAAACUGGAAAAUAAGUAAUUUAUUUUAAGAGGUCGCAAUUAAACGUUAGAUUUCCAAUUUUUAAAUUUUAAUUUUUUUUUGACAAUUGCAUAAUAUUUUGAGUGUUGUAGGAAUGCCAUAAUAUAACCUUCCCUAAACAUAAUCGACUCUUGAGCAUGAUGGAUCCUAGAACUUCUCCUCUAUUCUCGUACCGCAAAUUGCUUCAAGUGUGGGUUCGAACAAUCACAAAUUAAACACAAAACCAGAAAUGAUUUAUUACUUUCAAUAGCAAGGUAAUUCUCUCUCAAUAGAAACCAAUAGAAGUGUAAUUCUUAGAAAAUAAAAUUUAUUUUUUGAAAAUAUAUUCUCACUACUUUCUAGCAGAAUAACAAUAUGUGAAACUUAUGUCUUGUGUUAAUAGCUCUACCAGUACUCUCUAUUUAUAGGGAGAGAUACGAGAAUCCUGGUUGAAUUAGUAAAACACGAAUAAUAUUUAUUUCAUAGAAAACAAUAUUCCACCCUAAGUAGAUCAAGUUUGUAUGACGCAUGGAUCAAAGCUCAAUCUAGGAGGAAAAAAAUAAAGGAAUUUUCUUUGUAAAGAAAAUUUGAGAUUGUACUAUUUUCAAAGUUAUAAAUAAAAUUAUACGCCAAAUUUUUAAGUCAAUUUCAACUCCAAUUUUGUAUGCACAAAUUUCUAGUACACUUGGUGGGACAUUCUUUGACUUUUAUCUAUUCUCUCAAAAAGUUAAAGUUCAAAGUUACAUUAAACUCAAAGAAGAUAAUCAUUAGUAAACCACCUCACAAGCCUGCUCAAACUAAUCCUACAACUCAUUCCACUUCAUCAUCAAACACCAAUGUUCUUGCUUAUCCUUAUGGAAUUAAACAGUCUCAUUUUCUGCAUUUUGGGUACACACCUGGUUUUAUUUGAUGCUAAAACAGUCCCCGAGCACUCCAAAGCCUAUAAUUGAACAAAUAAUACUAAUUUAAUCUUACAUAACAUGAUCCCAAAUUGAACUUGUAUCGAGGUUUUAACCCAUAAGUGACUAAACCUUACCUUCAACCGAGUGAACAGUAAUUCCCACACAAACUAAGACUCCGAUUGAAGAUUACGAGCCAUUGAAUCCUCCCCUAAUUGGCAUAAACAAAACACUUCAAAAGAAAGUCAACAAAUGGAGACAAAUCACUUAUCUAAAACUUACCGAACGAUCACAGACAAACGUGAAGCGACACGAGGCAGAGUGGGAAAAGAAAAAUCAAGAGGAUGAAGGGUGAAAGAGAGCAGAAAUUCGGUAGCAAUGAAGAGAAAAACGGCAAGAAAGUGGAGGGAUUUUGGGGAAAGUAAAAAAAAAGAUGAAUAGAAUAUUUGAUAACUACCCCAAUCCCUUAUUUCUCUCUAUCAAACUCCCCACUAAAUCCACUACUCAAAUUUUUAGUCCAUCUCAAACUCUCCUGGACGCACGAGCAAAAAAUAAUGCCCAUGCCAAAAUUUAAACAAAAGACCUCCUUCACACCAACACUCCACUUAUCCACCAGACCAAUAGGCUCAUUCUUUUAAUUAUUUUCCAACUUUUACUUAAAAGCCUACUGACCAAAGAUAGGGCUUAUUCAUAAAAAUACCAAAUUUUGCCCAAGACCUGGCUUGAACUUGGGACCUCCCAAACACACCCAGAACACAUAACCACUAAAGCAGACAUAAAUUUUGUGUCACACAUUCACAAUACCCAAAAUUAAAAUUUUAGGGCGUUACAAAAACACAUUAAAUAAUAUCGCAUAAAAUAAUCACAGUUAGAUAACAGUUCAGAAUGUCGAUUUUACAAUUUAACCACCAAUAGUAUCACAGUAUUCACAGUUGUAAUUUCAGAAUAUCAAAUUUCCACAUGAUUCACAAUAUUCACACAUAUAUAAAUAUAUCAUAAUAGAAUUCCAGAUUUGUAUGCACAUGAUUUAGAAGAUGCCAUACAAUUUUGGUUUUUAACAGAAUAAAUCCUACCCCACGUUACAUACCAUAAUGGGAGUUCCCCUAAACUCCCUUCUCCAACACACUAGGUUAUGGAUAAACCACUAUUGGUUCACAAAUAAUAACUGUCAUUUGGCUGUGGACACACAGCAAGUCCCCACAAUUGGAUUCUAGAUUUGGUUGUGGAUUCACAGCAAAAAAAUCCUACAAAUGAAGCCUGCUUUUGCCUGUAGAUUAUACAACAUAUACCCGCAGUUGGAAUCUGUCUUUGGCUGUGGAUGCAGUGUAACACCGCAAACUCGACCUGGACAUUAUGGCUGAAUCUUGAUGAUUUACUUUAACUCGCUAGAAAACCCACGAAUUUACUUUAAAAUCAUGUGGUUAAACUAGUGUUCACUUUGAUAAAUUGUUUUCCAGUUUUAGAGAAAUUUCUUGUUAAAACUGUUACUUUAUUACAAUAAAACAUUAAAGUAAUUGUAUCAUUUUGUAGUGGAAUCUACUAAGCUAUAAGGUUUUGAAAAUCGUGAUUUAGUUUGCAACAAAUCAUUUUGCAAAUAGAAAUUUAAUACUACUUAAUUUGGAAAAUCACGCUAAAACGAAAGCAAAGUCCAAAAUAAUUUACGGUUUGAAAUUCUAAAAAGCCCAAAUUAGACAUAAAGUCUAUUUAAACCAAUUUAUUGAAAGUGUAACACCCUAAACCCGGCCUAUAUGUUAUGGCCAAAUCUAGAUGUGUUACGAAAAAAAGUUUAUAAAAUGACUUCCUUGUUAUUGGCAAACCAUCGUAACCAUUAUUACUUAGUAUAUCUGAUUUGUUUGGAAAACUUAUUGAUAUACUUAUUUGAUUUAAAAUCGUUGCUCGCUUAUGCCUUUUUAUUAAACCAAAUAUUUUGCAGCGGAGUUUCUUUACAACAUCAUAUUUUGGAAAAUCAAAUUGUUUCUUGAAAAUCGUUAUUUUAGAAAAGUUUUCAUUUUCAGAAAAAUUAUUUUAUCAGUUGUUAUGCUGAGAAAACAAAAUAAAAUCCAAAACCAAAAAUAAUCGCAAAAAGUCUAGAGAGUCCCAAAAUGACAAUACUCUUAAAACUAGACAAGCUUAAACUAAUUUUAAAAGAAUGAAAUUUUACAGAAAUGUGGACACCACUGAGCUUCCGUCGCACCGACCCACCUAAAUCUGAGGGUUACUUGAACAGAACAAACAAACAGAGAGUGAGUUUUGAAACUUAGUGUCUAACGCAUAUAUAAACAAAAAUUCAGAAUCAAUCUCAUGCAGAACAGAUACAAGUGUAAACCUUUUAUAAAAUUAGAAUUGUACAGAUACAAAUAUGCAACAUCCUACCCUCAUCCUCUACACACCAACUCCGACCAUCCUAUCACACCACGUGGGGUAUAAAAUACCCAUCCAGCCCUACACACCGUAUAGUGUUUAUAUGACACUUUUUGGAAUAAUCGCAGCAGAGUUGCCAGUAUAUAUGCGAGAUAUCACCUCACAUAGAACACUUCCUCCUCAUAAUACAAAUCCCGCCUCAUAGCUAGAUACAGACAAAAUAUGAUGUAAAAUAAAUUAACAGAUACUAGAGUUAACAUAUCACGCGUGAGCGUAUAAUAGAUAUUACACAUGCUUAUGCAUAACAAAAUAGAUCAUACAUAUUGUAUUCCAUAAUACUCAUAUAAAUGUUAUUUACGUCAAUCUCAAUCUAACAGAGUAGCAGAUUUCAUGCUUUAACGCUUAUACCACACAUAUAGACCCUAUAGAAGGCCCACAGUCGAUCGAGACAACAUGUAUGUCGCUAGGGAAAAAAUUUGUAAUUUGGGCCCAUAUACAUGUAUGAGCCCACACACCCAAAAUGGCCUUGCCCAUGUGGCUCACCAACCUAGCACUCAGCCCAUACGGUCCAAAAUGGCCUAGGUCGUGUGUCACACACAGCCGCAUGUUGCACACAGCCUACCACAUAGCCAGUCACAAAACUGUUUGGAGUUGAAAAGCCCAAUUUUUGGCUUUCGUCAAUCAUCAUUUUCUUACGUUUUCAUUACACACCUGGUUUGAUUCUGACGCAAAAGCAACCCUAUGUCCACCGAAACCUAAAAAUAGCAUUCCAACGCCCAAUUUCAGUGAACAUUUACAAAACUCAAACAAAAACUAUCCAAAAACAUAGCCUCACAAUAGCAUCCAACGCACUCGCACACUUAUCGUCAACAAAUAGGAAACACCCAACACUCAAUUCGUUGGCGGAGCACCAAUUAUGAUAAUGCAAAAAUUUUAUGGAUUCUCAACACUAUCGAUCCGAAUGUAAGAUUGAUGCUUUCCAAUUAUGAUAAUGCGAAAAUUUUGUGGGAUGGUUUACAUGAAUUUUUUUUGUUGUCAACGAUCAACGUAUUCAAUAAUUAAAAUAAAAUAUUAGUCGUUUUUAGAAAACCAAGACUAUGAGUGUUGUAGUUUAUUUCAGUAAAUUAAAGGUUUUGUGGGAUGAACUAGAUAAUCAUGAACCAUUGAUUUGUUGCAAGUGUGGACAAUGUUUAUGUAACUUAGGGAAGGCGCAUGAACAAUGUCGUGAGCAUGAUUGACUUCAUCAAUUACUUCUUGCUCUCUAUUGUAAUUGUUAUGCUCAAACUAGGUUUACACUGUUUUACCAAGAUCCUUUGCCUUCCUUAAAUCAGGCAUUCCAACAAAUUACUUAGGAGGAACAUGUACGUGGAAUUACACUGAUUAAGGAAGAGAAGUCUGAUAUUUUAGGCUUUGCUAUGCGUACAGAGGGUCAUAACAAAGGCCGAGCUAAUUGUAUUGAUAAGUCAACCUUGUUGUGCACUCAUUGCCAUCGCAAAAGGCAUGAGAUGGCUACCCAUUUUGAAUUACAUAGCCACUUGGAUUGGCGGCUUAAGAAGUAUGGGAAGCCAGAGAAGAAAAGUGAUGAUCGUGGUGGUAAGACAAGUGCCACAUCUUCCACGUAAGUGUUUUAUUUCAAAGGAUCACAAUUAAACAUUAGAUUUCUCAUUUUUAAUUUUUUUAUUUUUUUAACAGCUACGUAAUUAACGAGUACCAAUUUUGGGUGUUGUAGGGGUUCUAUAACUUUCCCUAUAUGUAAUCGACUCUUGCACCCACUUUUUUUUCUCUAGAAUUCAAUGCAAACCUUAGAUUUAUCUUUUUAAAAGAAUUUUAAAAUCUCUUUAUAAAAGACGAUUUUUUUAGGUGACCAAUCACACUUAAGAAAAACAAAUCGGUGGCAACUCCUUUCUAAUAAAUGUAAAAAACUUUUUAAACAAAAUAAGGUUGAAAUAAUCUAGUUGUCGUUAUACUUUGAUAAAAUUUUAGAUUUAGUCCUUAUACUUAAAAGGUUAAAAAUUAAGUCUUGUUUUUAUUUAAAAAUCUUAGUCCUAUCGUUAAUAUUGUUUUUUUUUGUCAAAAUUUGUCAAGUUGACAUAUUAAUUAGGUUUCUCUUAUAUAUCGUGGUAUAUGACUAACACAAAAUAAACAAGUUGACAAAAUCUACAAAAAAUAUCAAAGAUGAUAAUAGUUUAAUUAAAAUUUUUAAAUUAAAAAAGUAAGGGAUUAAAUUUAUAACUUUUAAAGUACAAUGAAUGAAAUUAUUGAAAUACAAGAACUAACAACAUAUUUUAAAAUAUUACUAGUAAAUUAUAUAUCUACAACAAGAAUUGUAACCUCUUAUAUUAUAUUCUUGUAUCUAUUUUUGCAUCUUUCAUUAUAAUAUGAUUUAUUAAUUUUAAUAUUUUUAUAGAAUAAUAUGCUUUAAAUAGUUUUUUGUAUAAUUUAUAAAAAUUAUAAUAAACUUACAAAAUAAUUUAAUGAUAUUUAAUUAUUAACCAAAAAAAAUGAUAUCAUAUAUAUUAUGUAUAUAUUAAGAUUCCGAAUCAUUAAUUAUAUAUCUACGCAUUAUAAUAAAUUCAUCUUUCAAAAUUUUCCUUAUAAUUAAAGCAUAAAUUAUAUUUAUAAUAUUAUAAAUAUAUUUUAUCAUAAAUAUUCUUUCAAAUAUUUUUUAAUGUUUAAUAAUAAGUUAAUUUAUAAAAUAUUUUUUCAAUAAAUUAAUGUGAUGAGAUCGUUAGGUGCUUGGAUUUGGUGAAGGGGGAUGAAGAGAAAAGGGAUGGAAGUGAAUAAAAAUGUUGAGAAAUCGAAAGGGUUAGCGAGGGAAGCCGCCAUGAAAGGUGGUUCAAUGGAUAUGAACCAUCAAGCUUUUGUGGAUGAUGUUACUCAAGGUUGUUGCAAGUAAAUUAAAAAAUAUUUUUUUAAAUUAUUUUUUUGUUAAAAAACAUUUUUUAUUUUUUAUGUGGCAUGCCACAUUAUCAUAGUAUCAUGUGACAACUUCUGGUGAUUUCUGUCUGUAACAUUAGUCAAAUCAACAGUUAAAUCGUUCAACUCACAGUUUUUGUUAAAUGAAGAGGUCAAUUGGUUUUUUUGGAAUCAUUGAGUACUCAAUUGGUGCACUUUUAUCAUAAAGGCUAAAUUAAUUUUUUUAAUUUGUUAUUGUUGAGGGCUAUAACAAUAAAAAAAUUAAUGUAAAAUGAAAAAAAUGUUAGAGCUAAAUUUGUCAUUAUAACUAAAAUGUAAAACCAAAAUUUUUUGAAAAAUGAAAAAAAUGGAAAAUCACAAAUUCUAUCACUUAUGUUUGCUUAAAAUUAUAGUUUUGGUCACCAAUCUUUUGAAGUAAAUAUAUGGUCACCAAUAACUCACCUUAAAGUUAUACCCCUACGCAAGAAAGGAUUAAAUGACAUUGGAAUACCAUAAAACUUGUAUCUUUUUUUAUUCAUCUAAUACCAUUUUAACAUUUUCAUUUUAAAAAAUUGACAUAUCAUUUUGAAUUUGAUCUUUUUCAUGGUAUCUCAAAUUCAUUUAAUCUUUCCCUCUCUAAAAAAGCUAAUGUAACACAUUAAUGACAUCAUUUCAAACAAAGUUUUAGGUCAAAUUAUUCAUCUAGUCCUUGUAAUUGUUUUUAUAGGUGAAUUUCAUUAUUAUUCUUUUAUUUUCUUAGGCUUAAAUACACAUUUACCCCUAAUUUUAUCCCAUUCUCCUUAAUUGGUAUUUAUGGUUUAGAAAAUUUUAUAAAUAUAUUAUUUUUUAAGAAAUUAUAAGAAGAUUACAAAAAUUCCAAAAUAAUAUAAAAAAGCCAAGGAAAACCUAGAAAUUCAAAAAAAAAAAAAAAACGUCGACAUUGAAUUUGCUGUUUCACAUUCAAUUUUUGGAGAAGUAGAAUUUUCUAACUUAUUUUCCAUCAACUUGACUUCAAUUUUCAAUCACAAUCAAUUGCAUUCAAGAGCACCACAUCUGUUUGGAUGAAACAAACCUCUCAAUUUUAAGAUAAACGGGUCUUUAGGGUUAUAAAUUGAGGGCCUUUUCCACAAUUGCGGGUGAUUCGUUGAUAAUAACCUCAACAUUUCUGUAUCACAUUUCAAUUUUUAAUUUUUAGAGAGAUGAUUGGGUUACAAGACUGGUUUGAAGUGAAGAUAUUUCAAAAGAAGAUCGAAUACUCUACCAAUAGUCAUAAUUUAAAAUUCAGGUUAUGUUUCAUUUCAGCUAAGUUAAAUGUUAAGAUUGAGGUUAAACCUUUUAGAGGUUGCUCACAAAAGGAUCAAACCUUUAUAAAAUUGCCUAAAUGAAGGUUAAACCUUUUAAAAUAGACAAAUAAGGGCCUAACCUUUUAAAAGGUGUUCAAAUAAGGGUUUCUCAAACGUUGUAUAUCAGGUUAUGUGUUUUACUCUAAACACAUCGACAUUUACCUAUUUUUUCUAUAAAUUUGGUUGAAGUGCAUGAAAAAUCCUUAUUUGAGCACUUUUGUAAAGGUUAAUCUCUUAUUUGACCAUUUUGAAAGGUUUGAUCCUUAUAUAAGUAACCUCUAAAAGAUUGAGCACUAAUUUGACAAGUUUGAGAAAUAUCUAAAUUUGUUUUCAUGAAUCAAGAAAUUAAAAAAGAAAUGUUGAGAAAUAUUUUAGAGAUUCUUAGCUUUGACAAGUUCCCUCCACCAUCUCCCUGCCUCCAGUCCCACCUCUUCUCUUAUGCUCCUUCCAGCUUCUUGCCUUUUGUGUGUUGAAAAUUCAAAGGAACAAAAUAUCAACCUACAUCAUAAGGCACGAUCGCCAGAACUUUACUUUCUAGCCUGUCGAUCCGAUCCAAUCCAAUGAAAGAAGAACAAGGAGUCUUAAGAUCUGUCAACUUUAUUUCAUUUUCAUUUUCUUUGUCAUUUUCUAUGUUUCAUGUCGAAUACAAUGAAAGAAGAACAUAGAAAAAUGUGGCCUAUUUAUUUCCCAAUCAUCAUGAAAUUACUUGCCAUUGACUUAGAAUUUUCUCACCAAUUUUCAAGCAAUCUGACAUGAUUUCUCAAUCACAAUUAAUUGAAUUCAAGAUCUUUUUAGAUGACACAAACAUUUCAAUUUUAACACAAACCAAUAUUUCGGUUAUACUUCAGUGCUUGACAAGCACUUUCACAUUUGUGGGAUAAGAACUCUUAACAUUUUAGGAUCACAUUUAAUUCAAUUGCAUUUAAGACCUCAUGGUUUUAUUCUAUAAUUUCAGUCUUAUCAGCCUUUUCGGAAACAAUAAAACGUCGACAUUAAAUUUGUUGUUGAUGCAUUCAAUUUUUUGAGGGGUCUUUGGAGUUAUAUGUGACUUUAGCAUUGACUGACUUUUUUAUAAUUUAUCUUUUAUAAUAAGGUAAAUAUAUUAAUUUUAAUAACAUCGACAUGUUUUUUAGUAGGGUCGAGCAAAACCCAAUUAAAAUCGAUGAUAUUGGCUUAGUUGACUCGGUCAAGUCCAUUAGAUUGAUAAAAUCAUUUUUAAAAUCAGUUAUAAUGGAUAAAGGUAAUUAAUUAUCGAGUAAUGAAAUACAUAAUCAAAUCAAUUGAUUUUGUUAGAAACUAAAAGAAAAAGGGCUAAGCUGAAAAUUGAUUGCCCUUUAUUAAAAUUAACGAAUCUGUCUUUUACGUAUUAGAUAAUAUGAACAUCGCAUAUAUAAUAAGAAAAAUUACGUAUGAUUAUUUAUUAUCAUAAAAGGUUAGUUUAAAUUUAAAGUAAUCUAAUAUGUUUAUUGAACUUCAACUAUUAAAUAAAGUAUAAGCUAAAUAAGUAUAAAUAUUCUAGAAACCAUUUCUAACUGAUGAUAGGCUAAUUCGAUUAAUUUAUAAAAACUAGAUAGUAGGGUUAUAGUCCUCAAACUACACCUAAUUUAAUAACAUUUAUAUUUUUUUUAGCCUUAAACAUUUAUAGUUUUUGUUAAUUUGGUCCUUACUCUUUAAAAUUACAUAAAAAUUGCAAAAAAAUUAAAAAUUAAUUUUUAUCAUGAUUUUAAUAACAUUUAUAUUUUUUUUGUGGUUUGGUAACUUAUCAACUUGACUCUUACUUGUAACCAACUUUUCUAACCUUUUUCGUACCCUUAACCUAAGUCCCGUUACAAUUUCUAAAGACCUCUUGAUUGGUGUAUCAUCUCGAUUUGUUUUUAUAGUGGUGGAGAUUUGUUUUUUGUAGUGGCAUGAUUGCCAGAACUUUACUUUCUAUCCUGUCGAUCCGAUCCAAUGAAAGAAUAACAAAGAGUCUUAAGAUCUGUCAACUUUAUUUCAUUUUCAUUUUCUUUGUCAUUUUCUAUGUUUCUUGUCACAUACAAUGAAAGAAGAACAUAGAAAAAUGUUGCCUAUUUAUUUCCCAAUCAUCAUUCUAACAGGCCGAAUUAGCCCAGGCCCAAACAUUAAUAAAAUGUCCAGAUUACAAAAUAACCAACCAAAAAUUAAAAGCCCAAAAUAAUAAAAUAAAACCCAUUACAUUAACCCAAAACUCCAGCCCAAUUACAUUGAAGCCCAAAAAAAUAGUUUUUAGAAACCCCUAGGGUUUCUGGAACAAUCCGCGCCGCUCCUCCAUCCGCUUCUCCACGCACGCUGCACCUUUCCACGUGCGCCUCCAGCUGGCAGUGUACCUCCAAUGCAACAAACAAAGCAACAAGCAGCAAAAGAAAUGGAAAAACAACAAAAAAAAAAAGAAAGGAGCAACAAUGUAUAACAGAUUGAUAACAAAUAAUAGAAAAAAUAGCAGUAAAUAGGAAAAAAAAUUAAAAAAUAAUGAGGGUAAUUUCAUUUUUUUCUCUGUUUUGGCUAUAAAGAGAGCCGGUCAAAAUCUCUAAAGGGGGAUUUAGAAAUCAAUCAGAAAACAAGUAUUUUGUACCAACAAUUAGAGAAAAAAAAUACAAAAAUAGGGAUUGAAGGUUUUUUUUUCUUUCGUUUCGAUUUAUUUUAAAAUAGCAUAGAAAAUAAAAAGAAGGCUUACCUUGCGACGCCUUCAGAUCCUCUCGAAAAGGGGCUAAAAGGCCCUAUGUGGCACAGAUUUGACCACUGUUCACGGUGGAACCGCAGCGGAGGCGCAGAGGAUUGGCAUCAAUUUAGGCAGGGUUUGAAACCCUAGCAGAGAAAAAAUUAGGGUUGAUAGAUUUUUUUUAAAAAAAUGGCAAAAUGUUGUUUUAAAAAAUUUUGUUUUAAAAAAAAUUGUUGCUUUUAUAAAGGGUGUAAAACGGCGUCGUUUAGGGCAUGUUUCGAUGGCCCCAAAACGGCGCCUUAUAAGGCAACCCCCGACGACCCGACCUGCUCCAUGGGGGAUCCGCGUGGUUUUUGUUAAAUGGGUUAUGUCUAACCCUGGCCCUUCUACUUUUUAUACUUGUUUUAAUUUGAUCCUCUUUUUAUUUAUUUUUAUUUCUUUAAAUUAAGCCUGAUAAUUUUUUUCCAUUACAUUUUAAUCCUUAAUGAAACGGCGCGUUUUAGAGGAGAAGGGAAAAUUACCCUUCUAGUCCCUUCUUGUUAUUCGAGUGUUCAGAAGGGUCCUUUUUUGUUUAUUUUUUAUUUGCCCCAAAAUUUUGUUUUAAAGCUUAAUUUAGUCCUAUUUUGUUAUUUUAGCUAUUUUAUUAUUAGAUUAAUUAAUUUAAUAUUAUUAUUACUGCUAUUAUUUUACCCCUAUUAUUUAUAUAUUUAUUAUUAUAACUAUAUCAUUAAAUCAAUUAGUUUUUACAUUAUUAUUUCCAUUCUGUUUUUUAUUUACUUACUUAAAUACUUUAAAUGCAUUUAUUUUAUUUCUUAUUUUUUUAUGAAAUUUCAAAACUUUAGACUAUUUUUUUGUUACUAUAACCCUAAUUUCAUUCAUUUUAUAAUAGUUUUUUUUUAAAAUAUUUCUUAGAUUAAUUCCCUCGAUGUUAUUUUGUAUAUUUAUUUAUCUUUUUAAAUUUUCGAUAUUGUCUUAUUGUAUUAUUGUUGUUACUAUCAUUAUUCAUUAUUAUUGUUGAUUUUAUUCUUCUUUGAUUAAUGUUUAUGUUAGAGUAAUAGGUGUUAUGUGAUCAUUGUUAUUAUAUGUUAUAAUUUGUUGACACUCGUAUUGUAGUCAUUCGUCAGCUUAAUAUUUUGAGUAACAUUUUAAAUAUUACAUUAAUUUUGACCCAAAUGCAUAAUUUUUUAAUAAGUAAUAUUUCGUAUUGUGGAAUUUGAGAGAUCAUUCCCUAACUUACGGGGUCUCGAUUUUUUUGAUAAAUCUGAAUAUAAGAACUAUUUUAAAAAAAUACGUUUUAAAAUUAUCUCGGGAAUUUAAAAAGAAGCGUGUUCUAACUUACGGAAUAUGAUCUUUUUUUAAAAAUCGAGAUAAUCAAAUAUCUUUCAAAUAAAUAAACUUUUCGUGUUUAUUCUCGUUUUAGGAUUUAAGAUAUUGUGUCCUAACUCACGGGACACAAUUCUUUUUCUCGAUUAACGUGAAAUACGCCCUUUUUAAUUUUAUCUUUUUAAGUGAUUUUAACAAAAGGAUUGUAUUUUAAAUCUCUUCAAAAUUUUCAAUUUUUCGACAUUGAGACAUUAACUAAUCAAUUAGGUACCAAUUUUGGGCGUUACAAGGGUGUUAACCCUUCCUUGUACAUAACCGACUCCCGAACCUAUUUUUCUGAAUAUUAUAGGCCAAAAUUGUUUUAAUAAAUUAAACCCUUAAGAGGUGACUCGAUCACAGCUCAUAAAAAUUAUCGGUGGCGACCCUUGUUUUAAAAAAGGUGGUUUCAACAGCUUGGCGACUCCGCUGGGGACAAAAAUAAGAGUCAAGCCGCGAGUUGAUUAUUUCUUAUCUUUUUGUCAGAAAUUGUGAAUUCGAUUUAAAUUUAUGAUCUUUUCAUUGCAUUUUAUGGUCUGCAUCAUUUUUAUAUGCUUGCUUUACUACUUCGAGUCUUUUAAUCUUCGCAUAUUGUAUUGCAUAACCGUUCGGUUAUACCCUUUUAAGCGGGAGUGAGAAAUUAUUCUUUCGUGAGGUUUUCACCUUCGUAUAGGAUAGUGGAUUACUUUCAGGAUACAUCCAUACCUAUGUCUUCGUGAGAUUCUCAUCUCCGUAUAGUCAUAGGGAAAUGUAUUCCCCUGAACUGAACUCAGUCCGUAUGAGCCUAUAAUGGGUGAGGAUUGAGGAAUCUGCUGGUUCAGGUACCCUUUCUUUAGAACUAAACCGCAUGUAGUGAGCCCUAAGAGCAUACCCUAGGUAGAACCACUCCAAACCCCUAGUGGUCACCCAAAUAGGUGCUCUAUUUAUUUUUGCUUGCUUGUUUUUGCCUUGUACUAACCUAUUUGUUAUGGUUAUGAGUGCAUUGCAUUUUUAUCAUAAAAAAGAUGUGUUGAUUCACGUUCAGUUGCUAAAUAGAGAGCUUGUCAUGGAAAACGAAUUUCUUGAUAAAGUGGAAGACAAUGCGGUUGUCCGGAUAUGGUCCAAGAAAAUGUGAAGAAAGAAGGGUGAUAGUCUAAUGGAGGACUACACGACCUUGCUUUGUUGCCUGAUGAUUCAAGUUGACAAAGAUUAUUCGAGAGUCUUCAAUGUCCCGACCUUUUUAAAGAAGCUAACGAGCGUCACGAGGAUGAGCGAGUAAUGAGUUGCGGCCCGGAUCAAGCAAAAAAAAGAUAGAGGAGACACCCUUUUUGAAGAGUUCACGAGAUUUAUCUUAACAUCUAGACGAAGAAAAAGAUCAAUCUCUUUGCCUAGAGUAUGAGGGCAAAGCCGUAUAUAUCCGCUUUAUGUAAAUAAAUUUGUUUUCUAGUAAAGUUUUUCUAAUAGGAUUGAAUCAGAAUCAACGUCUCUUUUUGCAUUCAUUCCAUUCAUCUGCAUUGCAUUUCAUUGCAUCUAGAAUUUCACAAAAGGACCCUAAUUAAUCGAAAUUGUUAUAGCUACCUUGAAAAACUAACGAAAAUUUACCAAUUAAAUAUUCCUAUGGUACCCAUUGCAAAACUAAAGUAAUGGAUCAAAUAUUAGAAAGAUUAGAACAAAUGCUGAAGGAUAAACAUAACUGCUUUGGCUUAGGGUACAAGCCAGAUACAAGACAAAGAAGAAAUAGGAAAGGAGAACACGUUUGAGCGGGGAUGAGGUCAAAUGGGAGGGAUUAUUCAUCCCAGGCGAAGAAUGCCAAGAGAAGAAAAUAUUGAAAACAUGUUGGGAAACGUUCACAUCAAUGCCAUAUACGAAGAAGCAAUUGAAGGAGUGACCUUGUUAGAUAUCCGCCCUUAUGAACCUAAGAGUGUGCUAAACAAUUGGACUGCAGAAGAAAUUCUUGUAGUGUUUAGAGCUUACUCAUAGUAAUGUUCAGAACACACUUGUUGCUUUUAGCCUAGAAGUGAUAAGAAUCCCUCUGUGAAAUAGGCUCAUGUAUAAACAUCAUUAUUUUAAUGAAGUACAUCUUUGCAUUCAUUUUGAGCAAAUAUUCUUUUAUUCUUUUCAUACGAGUAAUUAUUUUGGAUUCUUUAAUUCUUUUGGGAUUUUCUUCCAAAAUCAUUCUUUUAUUACAUCCAUAAUCAUACUGUACAAAUAAUGUAAUAGCCUGAAUUUUCAGUGGUGUCGGAAUGGUGAUUCAAGAUCACUAAGUCUGACAAAUGAGUAGAAAAUAUUAUUAAUUUAGUAAGAAUAAGUAAAUGUGAAGUUAGGAAAAUUUUUGAAAUAGUGAAUAGUGUACUAGGAAUAAAUAUUAAAAUAAUUAAAAUAAAAAAUGAGGUAUCGAGACCUCGAAGAUUUUAAACCAAGCCAUAAGUACUUUUAGAAGUAUUUUUAGAGUGUCAUUGAGUUGGUAUUAAAGUUUCGUUAGAAAAUUUUAACGCUCGGAUAGUUAAUUAACCAAAAAGGACUAAAUUGAAAAUAGUGUAAAAUUUGUUAAAUUGUGAUUAAAUAGCUUAAGUGAUUAAAAAGGAGGGAUUUAAAAGGCAAUUAGGCCCAAAUUAUAUGGGCUGGACGGUUGGGUAAGAAAAAUCAGCAGAAUGUAAGGAGAAACAGGGGCAAAAUUGGAAACUUAACAAAUUAAACAUAUAAAACAAAGACAAAAGUGAAAAAUCUAGAGAUCUGCUCACAAUUUAUCAGCAAAAAUGCCAUAGGAGGUCUGAAAGAAGCUGGUUUUUCAUAUAUUUGAAUCAUGUAAGUUUAAUUCUUGAUUAUUUCUUCUAAUUUUUGUGAUUUUGAUACUUUUACAAUUAGGUCCAACUAAUUAUUUCAUUAGUUUUUGAUUUCAUGGCUGAUUUUGAAAGUUACCAUUGAUGAGUGUUGGAUUUUUAUGAUGAAUAAACAUGGAAUUAAAGCUUUAAUUUUGUUAUAUGAUGAUUUUAUUAAGUAAUUUUGAUAGAAAUUGAUUUUUGGGACCUAAUUGUGAAAAAGUUUGGAAUUAGGGUUUGGUGUUGCGGUUUUGAAUAUGAAAGUCUAUGUAGUAGUCUAAAAUAGUUGGAAAAGGUGUUAAUUGAGAAAAAUUAGAUCAAUUGAGGGGUUAAUUGAGUAGGACCAAAUUGUAAAAACUGUAAAGUUUGAGGUAAAAGUGUAAUUUCGAAAAUUUAAGGGCAUAAAUUGUGAAGUGAAUUAGAAUAGAAUUAUAUGCUGAUGAAUGAAUAAAUUUGUAUUUUAGAUCGAGAACCCGAAGCAAGCCGAGGAAAAGAAAAAGUAGUUGAUUAGUCCCUGAACUUUUACAAAUUCUGCAAAUCGACCCAGGUAAGUUCAUAUGGCUGAAAUUUAAUGAUUAAAUGUUAAUUUCAUGAAUUAUGUAAUGUAUGAUGAAAUGUAUUUAGUGUUGAAAUGAGAGUAAAAUAAAAAUGCGAAAAUCGAAUAAAUGAUCAAAUUAAGCGGAACGCCGGAUUUGAGUACUUCUGAUCAAGAGACAAAGUGAUAAGUGGUAGCUUUAGCUACACUUAUCUGAUCAAGUGAAAAAGUGAUAAGUGCUACACUUAUCUGAUCAAGAGACAAAGUGAUAAGUGGUAGCUUUAGCUCACUUAUCUGAUCAAGUGAAAAAGUGAUAAGUGCUAUACUUAUCUGAUCAAGUGACAAAGUGAUAAGUGGUAGCUUAGCUACACUUAUCUGAUCAGGGCCAAAUGAUAAGUGAUCAUACGUAAGACCAUAGUUAUACUAUGGCCAAGUGAAAGUGAAGUACUCAAUUUUCCGUAACCGUUCCUUAAUUUUGAUCAAGGAUGGUAAGUGACAAAUAGGCCCAAAGAAAUUAUGGUAAAAGAAUAAGUAGUAGUGAGUUUAUACCAAGGAACUCUCCAAAGAUUGUGGUUGACAAGUAAACUUAGUAAUGGUGUAUAUUGUAUAAGUGUACAAAUGUUUGGUAAGAUUUAUGUUUGUGCCUAUGAACUUACUAAGCUUUUCUAUAAGCUUACAUGUGUGUGUUUAUUGUUUUUCUAGAUUAACGUAUUUAUACAUUCGGAGGAUCGGAUCUACUUCGAGAAUCACACUAUCCAGAUAUACUCCGGUAGAUUUUGUUAAACAACUUUUUGGAUUUAUAUGGCAUGUACAUAGAAUUGAAGUAAAAAGUAAUAGAAUGAAUGACUGAGUAUGCAAAGUAAAUUUGAAUGUGAUGGUUGUGUUAGAUAUUGAAAAAUACAUGUUUUUAGUUUGAAAUGGUUGAUUGGCUGAACUUCGUUAGUAUUCAAGUGAAGUAGUUGAAAUACUGGAAUUGGUUGUGAUUUGAAAUUUGCAGGGAAGGUUAGAUAAAUAUAAAGGGGUUAUAUUGAUUUUUUUUAAAAAUUUCAAUGGAAUAAUUUUUGGACAGCAGCAUUGAUGUAACUUUUAAAAAUCACCAAAAAUAGUGGAAAUAGAAUUAGAAGUUGAAUGAGAUAUGAAAUUAAAUCUGAAUGAGUCUAAUUUCACAUGAAAGAAGUAGAAUAAGAAAAAGAGUUAUAUAUUUUUAGAUAUUUGAAUUUUAGUGAAACAGGGCAAGAAUGUUUUUGAAGUCCCCUGUUCUGACUUUAGAAAUUUAGUAAAAAUUGUACAAAAGGAAUUAUGAAUUAUAAUUUAUAUGUUUAAAUUCCGUAAUGAGUAUAUUUUAAGUAGAAAUAAUUGGAACCACCAUAUGAAGUCUUUGCAAUGAGAUAAUUGAAUUUUAGCGACAAGAGGUCAGGAUAGUCAAUUAGUGAAAUAGGGGAGACUUCAACUAAUAAACUGUAUUAAUUUGCUAAACCAAAAAUUCUGAAAAAUUUAUGGUGAAUAUACAUAUGAGUCUAGUUUGAGGGAAAAUUUACGGAUCUAAAUUUUUAGUUUCGUAUCUUGAGUUAUAAUUAUUUUAGUGACUACUGCGCAUGUGGACAGCUUUGUUGUGAAUGGUGAAAUUAAUUUUUAAAGUAAAUUUUUAUGCCCCGAACUUUUAAGUUCAGUCAAGUAACGCCUUAUGCUCGACUCCGGCAACCGUCUUGGGUAAGGGGUGUUAUAAAUAAUUAUUCUUAAAUUCAUACAUUCUUUGUAUAUUAUUUUGUACCUACAAUAGGUCCCUAGAUAUUAACAACAUGAGUGACGUUGCUACAGACUCAGAAUUUCCUUUUAAACAAGACAUGUGUUUAGAGGGAUCCCAUGGCUUUGAAGAUGACGUAGACUGUGGCUUAUCUCUGAAUUUGUUAAGGAUGGUAAAACAAGAGGAGAAGCAAAUCCUACCUCACAAGGAAUCAAUGGAAAUUGUGAGCUCAGAAGGGGGAAAAGAGGUGAAGAUUGAGACUAACAUUGCCACAAAGACAAAGCAUGACCUCGUUGAGUUACUCCAAGAAUUUAAAGAUGUCUUCGCAUGGUCAUACCAGGAUACUCCCGGGUUAAGUACUGGCAUUGUAGUACACUACCUUCUUAUAAAAGAAGAUUGCAAGCCAGUUUAGCAGAAACUCUGAAGGAUGAUGCCUGAUAUUGUGCUAAAAAUAAAAGAAGAAGUUAAAAAGCAAUUUGAUGUUGGGUUCUUACAAGUGGUUAAAUAUUCAGAAUGAGUAGCCAACAUCGUCUCAGUCUCUAAAAAAGAUGGGAAAGUACGAAUGUGCAUAGAUUACAGAGACAUGAACAAGGCCAGCCAAAAAGAAAAUUUCCCAUUGCCUCACAUUGACACUUUGGUGGAUAAUACAGUAGGCUACUCACUGUUUUCCUUCAUGGACGACUUCUCUGGAUACAACCAGAUAAAGAUGCAUCCCAAAAACAUGGGAAAGACUACAUUCGUGACCCUAUGGGGAAUGUUUUGCUAUAAAAUGAUGUCAUUCGGAUUAAAGAAUGUGGGAGCGACGUAUCAAAGGGAAUGGUAACCUUGUUUCAUGACAUGAUGUACAAGGAAAUCGAGGUUUAUGUUGGCGAUAUGAUUGCAAAAUCCAGAACAGAAGAGGAACAUGUGUAGGCCCUAAGAAAAUUAUUCUUAAGACUGAGAAAGUUCCAGCUCAAGCUUUCCAACGAAAUGCACAUUCAGAGCUAGGUUAGGAAAGCUGUUAGGCUUCACAGUUAGUGAAAAAGGAAUCGAGAUCAACCCAGAUAAAGUCAAGGCGAUACGAGAUUUACCUCUACCAUGCACUCAGAAGGAAGCUCGAGGUUUCCUAGGAAGACUGAAUUACAUUGCUCGAUACAUUUCACAACUAACCGAAAAAUGUGACACCAUAUUAAAAUAAAAAUAGAUUAAAUUGUAAGUAAAACAUAAUUUAAACAUAUGAAUACAUCAAAUUAAUAAUACUAAAUGAAUACAGUUAUUUAUGAUGAUGUUGUUGCCAAUUCCUAAUUUGGUGUCUAGUUAAUUUGUGACAUCAUAAAUUUAAGUGAUAAAUUUAAGGUUUUAUGUAUUGAUGUGGAUUCAAAUAUCACCAUAAUUUUUGUAAAUAAAAAACUAAUAAGAUAACUUAUAUUAAGUACGAAAGGGUAUUUUUAUAAUUUCUCUAAUCGAGUUGGUGCCCGGUUGACUCAUGACACUAACUCAAUCAGAAGCUUUAAUAAUAAUAUAGAUAUUCAUGUUAAAAAAACAAAAAAAAAGUACUUUAGUUCCAAAUAAUUAUAUAACAAGUAAAUUUAUAAUUGAUGAAUAAAUUUAUAAAUAAUAUAUUUAUAUGAUCUAAUAUAUUAUAUUUAUAUUAAUUAUAUAUCAUCUACAAACUUUGAAGAUCAAUUUAUUAAGUAAAAAUGAAAUUGUUAACACUAAAUCAAUUUUUAGAUUUUGUAUAGAUGAUUUAGUGAUGAUAAAAACAUUAUUAACACUAUUUUUUAAUUAACAAAAAAUUAGUGAUAUAUUUAAAUUAUAUUUAUCAUUUAUUAUUUUUAAUAAUAUUUUUUAAUUAUAUGAAGUAAAAUUAUAUUGUAUACUAAAUAUGGUACAUAUACUCUAAUUAUAACUUGAAAUUUUAUUAUAUAAAUUAAUAUAAAUUUGAAUAACAAAAUAAAAAAAAACUAAUUAGAAUAAUUUUAAAAAACAUUAUUUAAAAGUAGUUAAAAAUCACGUGCAACAGGUGAGAUCAAUGGUCUUUAGAGAAGAAAUGUUGAAGAUCAAAGUUGGAAUCUGGCCUAUAAGGCCUUUAAUUGCUUUAAUAUUAAGCAGUUCCAAACCAAGAAGAUUACCGAUUUCCUCAGGAAUUUGACCUGCACACAUGGUCGAAAAAUCAAUGUGUCAAACUACCUAUUUUGUUAGCAUAAGUCAAAGAGGUUUUCUUUUCUAUUCUACAUAAUUUGCAGAUGUUAGAUUUUAAUAUUUUUAAGCAUAUUUGUUUUCAUCAAAUUAACUAUUUUGAACUAUUUUGCCUUGAAUGAAAUAAAAUGCUCUUACUUUUGUUAUCUAUUACUAAUCAAACUCUUUUAUAAAAAAAAUACUUUAAACUAAAGAAACCAAGAAAAUUCAAUACCUUCUAGGUUAUUCAACCCCAAAUAUAAUUCUUUGAGUCGUGUCGGAUUUCCAAUACUUCUUGGAAUGAUCCCCAUCAAUUGAUUAUAGGAAAAUGACAAAAUUUUAAGGUUGUUGCAUUUGCUUAUACUUGACGGAAUGUUACCAUAUAAUUCAUUCCGACUCAAGUAAAGCCCUUCAAGCUUGGAAAGAUGUGACACAUAUCAUUAGGCAAGCUACCUGAUAGGCUAUUGUUGGAGAGAUCAAUGGCCUUCAGAGAAGAAAUGUUGAAGAUCGAAGUUGGAAUCUGACCUGUAAGGCCUUUAAUUGCUUUAAUAUUAAGCAGUUCCAAACCAAGAAGAUUACCGAUUUCCUCAAGAAUUUGACCUGCACACAUGGUCGAAAAAUCAAUGUGUCAAACUACCUAUUUUGUUAGCAUAAGUCAAAGAGGUUUUCUUUUCUGUUCUAUAGUAAUUUGGUGAUGUUAGAUUUUAAUAUAAUUCAGCACAUGUUUUUCAUCAAAUGAAAUAAAAAGUUUUUCCUUUUGUUAUCUAUUACAAAUCAAGCUCUUUUAUUAAAAAAAUACUUUAAAUUCAAGAAAUCAAGGAAAUUAAUUACCUUCUAAAUUAUUAAACCCCAAAUAUAAUUCCUGGAGUCGUGUUAGAUUUCCAAUACUUCUUGGAAUGAUCCCCAUAAAUUGAUUAUGGGGCAACAACAAAUUUUUAAGGAUGUUUCAUUUGCCUAUGCUUGACGGAAUGUUACCAGAUAACUCAUUGCUAUGCAAGUGAAGCCCUUCAAGCUCGGGAAGAUGUUGACACAUAUCAUUAGGCAAACUACCUAAUAGGCUAUUCCUGGAGAGAGCAAUAGUCUUGAGAGAAAAAUGUUGAAGAUCGAAGUCGGAAUCUGAUCUGUAAGGCCUUUAAUUGCUUGAAUAUUAAGCAUUUCCAAACUAAAAAGAUUACCGAUUUCUUCAGGAAUUUGACCUGCAGACAUAGUCGAAACAUCAAGGUGUUAAAUUUCCUAUUUUGUUAGUGUAAAUCAAAGAGGCUUUUUAUUUUUUUUCGUUAUGAAAUAAUAUGGAUAUGUUCGAUUCUAAUCAUAUUUAAGUAUAUAUUAGUUCUUGAAAGAAUGAGUUCUUAUUUUUGGUAUUUAUAUUGCAAAUAUAUAUUUUUUUAAAUUUAAAAGAAGGGAGGGGGCAAAUGUGUUUAAACUAAAGACAUCAAGGAAAAGGCAUACCAAGUAUAAUUGUUUAAGUUGUGUCAAAUUCCCAAUGCUUUUUGGAAUGAUCCCACUAAAUUGAUUAAUAGACAAUUCCAAAAUUUGAAGGUUGCAGCAUUUGUCUAUACUUGAUGGAAUAGAACUUGAUAAUUCAUUUCUACUCAAGUAAAGCUCUUUCAGCUUGGGAAGAUGGACACACAAAUCAUCGGGCAAGCCACCAGAAAGACUAUUAUCACAAAAAUGAAUCCUUUUCAAAGAAGAAAUGUUAAAGAUGGAAGAUGGAACCUGGCCAGAUAAUUGAUUGAAUCCCAAGUUCAAGAUCUCUAGAUUGGACAAGUUGACAAGUGUUUGAGGGAUCGUGCCUGUGAAGUUAUUAUUUCUCAUUUCCAACCUUUGAACUCUGUGCAAGUUCCCAAGCCAUGGUGGAAUUUCCCCAUUAAGACGGUUGUAGCUUAAUCGAAUGAUCCUCAAACGAUGCAAUUGGCCUAAUUCUUUAGCCAGAUGGCCGUAGAAAUUGUUGUUGCUCAAGUCGAUAGAAAAUAGAAAUGAAAGAUUUCCAAGGUGUGGAGGGAUAGUACCCCUAAGAUUCAUGUUUGUAAGAUUAAUCAAAGCUACAACUCUUUCAUGGAUGAUGCCACAAGAAACACCAACCCACUUACAGACAGAGGUAGAGUUCGUCCAAUUGUUUGCCAACACAUUUUGAGGAUCGACAAUGCGAUCUUUAAACUCAAAGAGUGCAAACUGAUCGGAGUUGAGAUUCCGGACUGUCAUAGCCAAGGAAACAAUAGAACAUUGUAUGAAUAAAAGUGAAAGAAGAUGAAAGCAAGUGUUGUAGUUCAUGAUGGCAAGACGAAAUAAGCCAGGAAAAGGGAAGUUGAAUUGAUGAAGAAAUAGCCAGCCAACAUGCUUAAAUAGGCUUCAACCCUUGCACACUUCUCAUACAUAAAGUUCGCUGCCAUUACAACAAGAAAACUCAUAUCUCCAUUCGUACCUAUCCAUACUUUAUUUGACUAACUUUUCCCUAACAAGUGUUCAGUAAGGAGAUAAAUCAGUUUGGAGCUAUUCACCGGCUUCUCCAAUCUUGGUUUCAAACUCCUAACCCAUCAAUUCACUUUAAUUGAAACGAUAUACACGAGUCUUUCGGCUUAUAUUUUUAAUUUAAUUUUUGUUACUUUUCAUAAUAUUUUUUGAGAAAUCCAAAUAUUCCAGUCUGAAAUUUCUUCAUUGCCACGUCUAUCUCCUGGGUAAGUCCGUGGUUAGGCAGCCCACUUUGGGAGCAGGAUUGUAAUUGUAAUUCUAUCCGACUCAUUUUACUAUUUAGAAAUAUAAAAGUAAUAUUAUAUUAUUUUUUAUAUUUUUAUAAAUUUAAUUUUAAUUAUAAUUUUUAAACAAUAAAACGAGUCAUUUGUAUUUGCCUAGUCUAAAUUGAAUCAGGAGUCAAAAAAAUUUUAAUCAUAAUUUACUAUUAUUUUAAUUAAUUAAAAUUUAACCUACUACAACUAGUAGUUGCAGAAAAAAUGUCAUUCCUUUAGAAAAACGAAAAUCCUUUAGAAAAAUGAGAACUUAUGAAGCAUUCAAUAAGAGUCAUUGGAAUAAAUGGUAACGAAAUCAUAAUUCAAUAUAAAGCUAAAAAAUGUACCAAUCUAUAUAAAUAAUGUAAGAUUUGUGAUACCUAAAUUAUUAUAUUUUCCAUAAAUAUAUGAAGAUAUUUUAUUAGGAAAUAAUUUUAUAUAUAAAAUUUUUUAUUUUCUUUUGAUAGAAAUUUAAUUAUGUUAUCUGUAGAAAAAAAUAUUUAUAGAAAUAUUAUUAGUAGAAAAUCAUAAAUUUGUGUGUGGCAAAAAAAAUUCACCACCAAGAAAGGGGCAAAUUAAACAACUUGAAACAAGUCAUUGGUUGUUUAAAAUAUUAGAUAAUAAUUUCAGUGAAGAAUCAUUAAAAUUAUGACAAAAUAACCCUAGAUAUUGUAGUAUUAAAUUGGAAAAUCUCAAUAAUAUUAUUAGAGUAAAACCUAUGAUCUAUCUAAACAAGAUAUAGAAGAUUUUGAUAUACAAAUUAAGGUUAGAAAUCAUGCGGAAAUAAAAAAGAAAAAAAAGCUAGUAUGGUCAUUAAUUAUAAAAGAUUAAAUCAAAAUAUUAUUUUUUUAUAGUUACUUGAAUUAAUCAGGCUAAACAAACAAAAUAUUUUAGUAAAUUUGACUGCAAAUCAGGAUUCUAGCAAAUCAUGAUAACAGAAAAGUCCAAACCUUUAACGGCUUUUAGUGCACCCAAUGGACAUUACCAAUGGAAAGUGAUGUCAUUUCAAUUAUGUGAUGCACCACAAAUCUUCCAAAGACGAAUGGAUUUUAUAUUUAAUAAAUAUAAAAAAAUUCUAUGUAGUCUACAUAGAUGAUAUUUUUUAUAUUUUUAGAUACACUAGAAUUACAUAAGAAACAUUUAAAUAUUAUUUCUUAAGAAUUCAUAAAAUAUAGAAUCAUAUUAAACCCUAAAAAUAUAGAGUUAGAAAAAAGAGAGAGAAUUUUUAUAAUAGUGGAAAUAAAAAAUUGUCCUCAAAAGAUUGAAGAAAAAAAGAACUUCCAACAAUUUCUAAUAUAUUCCUCCCAAAUUUUCAGUUUCAAUUUUAUUACAGAAUUUCUUUGCCGACAAUAAGAAAUUAAGAGCGCUCUUUAAGUUGAAUAUAGUCCGUCAGAUAUGGCUAUCUAUAACAUGGAACCUUUGGUUUUCAAGCUGAAUAGGAGAAUUGAUUCACUUGAUAAGUAUGAAAAAUUGAAACUGCUAAAUUUAAGUGCACUAACUCUGGAUAUCAUCAUUAUUUUUCUGUACAUUAAAGUACCUGUUUGAUAUGCGAUUUCUGCCUCAAACUAUCAACAUCUUUAACAUCCUUUUGCUAUAGUUAGCAUGGGUACUUCCUUUUAGAUUAACAGUUAGGUUUGAACUGUGAAUUAGAUUUCUGUGGCUGCUGGGAUUGAAGAAGUUAGUAUGCGAAUGACAUUGGACAAAUUUGGCAAAGUCUUCUCCAUCAGUGAAGAAAACCCCUUGGCGUAUGAAAAAUGUUCACCAUCUUAGACAUUUGUUUUCUUAUUGUAAGAAUAUUUUUAACAUUGUAACUUUUAACAUUAUUGUAAGAAUAUUUUGAAUUAUACUUCAGUUAUCAAUUUAUAUCAUAUAUCUUUUGUUGAAUUUGAAGUAUAAUUUAUAUUUGCUGUUUUUGGUUAGAUUUCAUGCUAUAGGAAGGGUUGUAUAUGGAUAGAAAUUGAAUGUUACAAAUCUGCCAAAGUUAGUGGCGUUUUUUCAUAAGAGCUGCUAAAGAAUGCUAUUUUUGGCGGUGUUUGUAAUAAAAGAGCCGCUAAAGGUCAUGUUCUUUAGCGAUGUUUGUGGGUAAAGCGCCGCUAAAGAUCAUGUUCUGUAGCGGUGUUUGUGGAUAAAGCGCCGCUAAAGAACAUGACCUUUAGCAGCGUAUUUUCACAUAAACGCCGCAAAAUUUAGCGGCUUUGUCUAUAGCGACUUUUUUUGCAGCGCUUUAAGUUUUAGCGGCGCUUUUAGGCCUAAAAAAGGGCCGCUAAAAGCCUGUUUUGCUGUAGUGAGCAUAUUUACAUUUUCGUCCCAAUUUCAACUAACACCCCAUCUAUUUCCCACUUCCCUUUUUCGGGCAAUUUCAACUAACACCUUCAUAUCAAACAUAACUAUUUUUCAAUUUUUCUUCUUUAUUUCAUUAAUAAAAUUAUCAAUCUAUUUGUUUUUAAAUAUAUAAUUUCAUUAAUAUUUUUUAAAUUAUAAUAUAAGAGUUGUUGUUUAUUUAUAGUUUUAUUACAUUAUUUACUCUCUCUUUUCUAUCAAGUUUUUUAAAUUAUAAUAUAAGAUUUAUUUUAUCAAUUUGUGGCUUAUCCAGUAUUCAUCUAUUUUAAUAAUAACUUGAGUUCCAGUCAUUAUCAUACCAGAAAGAGUUCCAUUUAUUCUUUAUCGUAAAUUUUAUAAAAAAAUAUACAUUUUAUUAUAAUACUAUAUGUGUUACGAAUAAUAUUUUAUUGUGGAUGCCCAUAAUUUUCAAAGUUGUAACCUCUAAUGUAGUAACCUUAAUGAAAUUAUGAGGCUUUUAUAUUGUAAUCAAGCCUCUAUUUAUUCUUUGUAACUUAAACAGAAGCAUAUUUUCUAUUAUAUUGAUAUUUUUUAUAGAUAUAUAUAUAUAUAUAAGGAAUCAAAUAAAAAGUUAUUUACCUUUCUAUUAUAUUGAUAUUUUCUAUUUGAUUUGUUCUUUUCUUUCACUAUUCCAUAAUAUAUUAUCAGUACGAUUUUAACCAAGAGUAACAUGUUAUUAGAUUGUGUCAAAAUUUUGUUGAGAAUCAUUAGAUUGUUUCCUUUUUCUUCUAUUUAGCCCCAAAUUGCACCCCUACACAAAAUUCAACAAAAACAUGGAAAAAUUAGUGGUGCACUCUCAUAAAUUAACCAAUUUAAUUACAUAAAAUAUGUAACUUUAGCAUUUUAUCAAUCAUGUUCUUUAGCGGCAUUUGUGGGUAAAGCGCCGCUAAAGGUCAUAUUCUUUAGCAGCGUUUGUGAUAAAAGUGCCACUAAAUAUCAUGUUCUUUAGCGGCGUUUGUGGAUAAAGCGCCGCUAAAGAACAUGACGUUUAGCAGCAUUUUUUUACAUAAACGUUGUAAAAUUUAGCGGCGUUGUCUAUAGCGACGUUUUUUGCGGUGCUUUCAAAUAGUUUUAGCGGCGCUUGUAGGCCUAAAAAAAUGCCGCUAAAAGUCUGUUUUGCUGUAUGAGCAUAUUUACAUUUUCGUCCCAAUUUCAACUAACACCCCAUCUAUUUCCCACUUCCCUUUUUCGGCCAAUUUCAACUAACACCUUCAUUUCAAACGUAAUUGUUUUUCGAUUUUUCCUCUUUAUUUCAUUAAUAAAAUUAUCAAUCUAUUUGUAUUUUAAAUAUAUAAUUUUAUUAAUAUUUUUUAAUUAUAAUAUAAGAGUUUUUGUUUAUUUAUAGUUUUAUUAUAUUAUUUACUCUCUUUUUUCUAUCAAGCUUUUUAAAUUAUAAUAUAAGAUUUAUUUUAUCAAAUGGUGGCUUAUCGAGUAUUCAUCUAUUUUAAUAAUAACUUGAGUUCCAAUCAUUAUCAUACCAGAAAGAGUUCCAUUUAUUCUUUAUCGUAAAUUUUAUAAAAAAAUAUAUAUUUUAUUAUAAUACUAUAUGUGUUAGGAAUAAUAUUUUAUUGUGGAUGCCCAUAAUUUUCAAAGUUGUAACCUCUAAUGUAGUAACCUCAAUGAAAUUAUGAGGCUUUUAUAUUGUAAUCAAGCCUCUAUUUAUUCUUUGUAACUUAAACAGAAGCAUAUUUUCUAUUAUAUUGAUAUUUUUUUAUAGAGAUAUAUACAUAAGGAAUCAAAUAAAAAGUUAUUUACCUUUCUAUUAUAUUGAUAUUUUCUAUUUGAUUUGUUCUUUUCUUUCACUAUUCCAUAAUAUAUUAUCAGUACGAUUUUAAUCAAGAGUAACAUUUUAUUAGAUUGUGUCAAAAUUUUGUUGGACUUCAAGUAUUGGAAUUUAAUUGUUUAAGUUAAGAAUCAUUAGAAUCAAUGGCUAUUUGAGAUAUGCUUGAGGAUGAUCUCAUUCUCUUCAUCACAAAGGUGGAGGUUAGAAAAUCUUUAUGUUUAAACAUUUAUAGCUUUAAAGUUAUUUUAACCUCUUAUUGUGACCUUAUAAUAUUUUGUAAUUUUUUGUAUUAUGGUAUAUAAAAAAAAUCUAACCAUAGUGAUUGAUUAGUAAUAUGAAUUUGUUAUUUGUUAUGUUUAAUAUAUAUUUUAUUUAUACUUAUUCAUUUUAUUUUUAUAUGAGUAAAUGAAGUGUUUGAAGAUUCGAAAUUUUUAUCAUCCAAGUUGAAAAUAAGUGCAAAAGUGUACAUUAUUUAAAAUAAAUUACGCAUUCAUUAAUGUUAUAUGAUAAAAUCAUUACAUGUUCUAAAGAACUAAUAUUGCAUCAAACUGUAAAAAGCUCUUGAAGAGUUAAUAUUUUACCUCCUUGUGAUACAAAAUCAUAUACAAUAUGAUAUUAUUUUUCAAAUCGAGUAGAUAUAUGUUGAGGGAAAUCUUUAUGUGGUUUACAUUAAAACCAUGGAUAGAAAUGACAUGAGAUACUCGUGUAUUUUUAUUAUAAAUAUUCCUUGAAGGAAGACACUUCACUUGUAUGAUUGACAUAUGAGAUAGUGGCAAGAAGUUCAUAGUGUUGGUAUGGUCGUCUAGAUCAUCUCAAAUCAAUAAUGAUGCAAAAUAAUUUGAAGAGAAUUUAUAUGAUUUUAUUGAAGAAUGAGAAGAUAUUUUCAUUUUGAUAAUUGUCAUCAAUACUAGUUCUUUGGAAAAAAAAUAUUGAACUAACAUAAAGUUAGAGGUUGGUUGCAUUUUUUGAUGAUAUCCAAAUAAUAUAUGAGCUCAUGUAUCACAUGUAUGCAACCCAAAGUUUACAGUAUUAUUUCUUGAAAUAAUUUGAUUCUACACAAUCUCUAUAGUAUGCAAUUUGUGCUAACAACGUUGGUGCAUUAUAUCCUAAGCUUGAUUUUCGUAGUUUUAGCUGAGAUAAUAUUAAGUUGUCUAUGCCUAUAUAUGUUAUACUUAAUGGUUAGCAAAAUUGUGCCUCCAUUUAAUUGCUUAACCAUUAAUAUAAGAAUAACUUUAAAAUAAGCAUGUAAUUUUAUUUGCAUAGAGUCAACAUGUAAGAAACAUUUGCCCCAUGAGAAUUGGCUUUCAUUUAUAAGCCAAUAGGUUUCAUAUGACUAUUUGGAUGUAAAAUAUCUAUUUUAUAUUCCACCAUAAUGCACUAAGAUGGUCCAUCAAGUAUGAAGUUGAGAAAAUUUAGAAUUUUUAUUUGAUGGUAAAAGUUGAAAAGAGAUAUAUACUUAUAAUUUUGAAAAAAAUAGUCAUGUUGCAAAUUUUUCUCAAUAUUAGGGGGAGACAAGUUGGACAAAUAAGGAUAAUUAUGUCAUCACUUUUUGUGAUCCCUCACUAAUAUUAUGUGCACAAAGUUUGAAGGAAAAAAGUAUUUGCUAGACAUGUUUAGUGAUGACACUUAGAGAUUGUAUAUACUAGAUGAUACAUAUACCAGCUAAAAUGUUCCAAAUAAUUAUGAGUCCUAGAAGGACAUAGUGAUAAAAAUAAUUUUUGGGCACGCUAGAAGGAUAAAAAACUAGUUCAUUCUAUAAAUCAAAAAAUUCUUGAAAGAAAAGAGUAAGAAAUGAAGCUGGCCACACAUUAAAGGAAACGAGUACUCAUGAAGAGACCUAAGGCAUAACUUUUAAUAAAACCCCAAAAGAGGUUCAAUACAUGGAAUUAUGAAUAUAAUAAGAUAUCUCGAUUAGUUAUAUCAUAACUAAAGAUGAUGGGGUUGAUAAAAGGAAAUUGUUGUUAACAACGAUAAUCUAAGUAGAACAUUUCAAUAUUAUGGUAAAAUGAGUAUUUUGAAUGAAAAUAUACUUGAAAGUAUUUAGAUGGGAACAACUCAUCAAAAUAAAUAGACGUUUCUAUUAUAACUUAUGAAAUGUGUCUCGGACAUGAAGUCCAAACAUUCGACAGGUGUAAAGCCAAGUGGAGUAUAUGUUAGCAUAAUAGUGAAAAAAUACAAAUCAUAAUAUAUAAAAUUGACUUGUAAGACAAACUUUCCCAAGACACUUGAUUUUGAUUAUGAAAAAUGAUUAAUUUGUGAUCUUAUCAAUUGAACAUACUUUGUAUAAUCAACAAAUUAUUAAUUAACCUCAUUUAACCAAUUUCCUUCAACACAUUUCAAAUCAAAUUAAUGUGUUGAGCACGCCCUUAACCCUUUUUCUUGAUUCAUUGCAUAGUCUAUUUCCAAGUACCAUAAUCAUCAACAUUUCAAUAUAUAAAGUCAUAACAUAAUGAAUCAUAGUUAGAAUUUUUUUUACCCUAUUAACCAAGUAUGGAACAAAAAUAAAAACCUAAUUUGUCAAGCUCAUUCAAUCAGCUUAUAUAUUAUAAGAAGAGCCUAAGUAUAAAUCCUAUACAUGAUUUCAAAUUCAACUAUUUAUAUUUGAGAUUCAAUUUAAAAUUCAUACUGAAAUUAUCAAAUUAACUCGUAAGCUACUCACGCUAAACAUUAAGGUACUCGAAUUCAAGUGGCUAGAUAUCAUAAACACUUUUAGCUUGUAAAACUAUUUCUAAGGGUCAGCCCAGAAUCAUGGUUGAACCCAAAAUCUGGUAACAAAAAUUUAAUUGAGCCAUCAGCCUAAAACAAAUAAGGCUUAAAAGGUUGGCACCCGAACAAUCAAAGAUAAACACCACCAUAUGCCACUCCCUGAAUCCGAUACAUACAAUAACACCCUUCACCACUUUUAUUCUUCUCCUUUUUUUUAACCUCAAUUUGGAUGGUCGCAUUUCUCUUUUUAGUGCUUUAUAGGGUUUGGGCUUUCAGAAUCCUCAGAGAUGCAAUUCAUGGAUCCCUCUAAGAAAUGCAAGCUUGAUGAAAAUGGUAUUAUUUCAACGGCAUCAGAACCUGACCCAAUCACCAAACUAACCCCACAAGAUGGCCGCAAGCUAAUCGAGCAAUUUAUCGUCGAUCAACUCCUUGACGUCCUCCAAGAUGCUGUUUGUUGUCACCUUGAUGUUCUUUCCGCCGUACACUCUAUUGCCGAUCAAGAUCCAUCUCAAAGGAAGCUUUUCAUCCGUGGUUGGGUUGGGAUACUACAACCCAACCCAACCCACAUUAGCAUACUACCAUGCGGUAACUUCUAGUGAUUUCUGUCUGUAACAUUAGACAGGUUAACAGUUAAAUCGUUCAACUGAAAGAUUUCUUUGAAGGAAGAGGUCAAUUGAUUUUUUUUGGAAUCAUUGUGUACUCAGUUGCAUUUAAGACGGGUAUCAUUCAUAAAGUAUAUAUCUACAUCAAGAAUGGUAGCCUCUUAUAUUAUAUUCAUGUAUUUAUUUUGCAUCUUUAAUUAUAAUAGGAUUUUUUUUGUUUAUUUAUAGUUUUAAUUAUAAUAUUUUUUAAAUAUGCCAAAGUAAAUUAUGUACCAAUUUUAAACUUCUCCUAGGUAAUUUAACGUAAGGGCAUUUAUGUUAUUUUACCACUUAUGAUAAAACUAACCUAAUUUUAGAUCUAAGUGUUUACCAACCUUCUUUUAGUCAAAUUAUGCAAGCCUAAAAUUUUUAGCUUAAUUUGAGUUUGUUUACUAUGUCUAAUUCAAGUUUUAUUAUUAAGAACUAAAUUGUAACUUAAACAAAUUAGAAUACCAAUUUAAAGAGACAAAAAUUCAAAGCCCCAAAACCCACACGGGCAUGUGGGUAAGUGACACAGGCGUGUGGAAACUGGAGCUAUCACACACGGGUGAGUGGGACUGAAAAAUAUGAAAUAAAUUAAUCCAUUUAAAUUUCCAACAACCAUGCUAUACUACCAAACCAAAUAAUGUUAGAAGCUUUGAAUAGGGGCGAAUCUUAAAAAAAAAUAGAAGAAUUAGAAUUAAAUUAUAAAAUUUUGAGAAGUUGUCAUGUAUUAAUUUAUUAUUUUUUAAAGGGUCUUAAUAGAUUUUUUUUCCCCAUUUUGGUUUGGCCAAUACCCCUGUCUGCCUCUUUCAAUUUGCUUCAACCCUUAGCCCAAUAUUCGAUUUGUUGUGGAAGUUUGACGCAUAAAAAUUCCUUUUUUAGAGGUUUAAAUUAUAAAUUUUUAUUAACAAAAUAUAAAAGAAAAAAACAUGUGUAGACAAGCCAAGAAACCUUUGGGAUCAUACAGGUGAUUUUGAGAUGUUCAUGGUUAUUUUGGUGGAGAGGGUAAAAAAGAAACAAAUGAUUCAUUAUAUAUGAUAUAAUUAUGAAAUUCAAGCCAUAUAUUGUAUGUUUCAUCCAUACAAAUUUCUUGUAGCAUUAAAUGACUCGUAGGCUUGCUGAAUUUCUUUGAAAGGCCCAAAGGCAAUUUAACAUUCACAAAAUAAUCUCUAAAUAGUGUAAAGACAAAUCAAAUCCACAGUAGCAUUAGAGUUGAUUAAGCUAAGCAUUGGCAAAUAUUACUUUGAUUUUGCAUGCAAUAUUGGCAAAACCCCCUCUUACAUUAGAAAAACAACAUAAUCCAUGAAACAUUGAUAGCCCAAUACAAAUUUCAUCGAGAAAAAAGUCUCUUUGUUUUGUAGAACAUGAUAGUAAAGAUGUGGAGUUUCGUUCUUCUUAUUGGCCUCCUUUAGUUUUCCUUGAUCAACAACCACUAGCCAAAAACACAAUUAGAUUAGAUUAUGAAUGAUACUUUCAACUAUGACAAUAUUAAAUACAAACCACUCUAAAUAACUCUAAAUAAAUGGAAAGCAGCAAAUUACCAGACGAGGCAAGCUAGCUCAAUUAAGACCAUUGUGUUAUACUUGUCUCUGAAUUGAAAAAUUUAGAAGGAAAUAAAGAGAAAGACUUAGAAAAUACUUGAAAACAGAAAAAAAAAUUAUGUCAUUUAAAAUAAAAAAUUUCUAUUCAAGCCAUUUAAAAUUUGUAAGAUUUUUAAAAUUUUAAAAUGAUAAAGGUAAAAUUGUACUUUGGCACCCCAAAAAUGAUAAAACUUUGAUUUAAUUAUUUAAAAAUUAUAAAAAUAUAGGCUAUUAAAAUGGUGAAAUUAUAUUUUUACUAUAGUAAAAAUUACAAUUUAAUUUCACCCCUAAAAGGAUUUUCUGGCUUCGCACCUAAUAAAAUCUUUGGCAAAAGACUAAAAUAAAAUUAUACCAUGAAUGGAAAAAGAAACUAAUAAAAUCCAAUCUAACAAAGAAAAUAACUUGAUGUCCAAAAGCUACCAUAAACCGUAAUUCAUGGGAAGGCUUGUUGCUUAUUUUAUUGGUUUCCAUUUUGAAAGAAGUUUGAAUUUUGAAGAGAGCCUACUACGUGAAAGCAAAAGAAAAAAAAAUAGUUUAUAUGAUUAAAAUUCCAGAAUAGAUUAAAAAUGUUGAAUUAAAGAUAAAAUUAAGUGUGAAUUAAUAACCACAAGUGUACUCUUUACUCACCAUCUCUGUUAAAAAUGUUGGAUGUUGUUUAGCAACCUUUGUUUGAUUUUCUUCAGCUCAACCACAACAUCUUUCAUAUCUUUUCUUUCUUCUGGUAACUCAGCUGAACAAUUCAAAGCCAACUCCAUGAUAGAUGAAAUACAAUUUGCUUUAACAACAAUGUACUCAUCCUCUCUUCUUAAUAAAUCAACAUCUGCAAUUUCUAUCGCUCCUUUAGGCAAUGAUCUUUCCAUCCAAUGCCUUAUACUCUCUUCUUCAACAAAAACCUUAUCAGUUGGCUUUUUCUUUGUGAAAGUUUCUAUAAGGACGAUCCCAUAACUAUAGACGUCAGAUUUUAUAGAAACAAUUCCUGCUGAUCCAAAUUCUGCAUUUCAAGUAUAAUUAGAACAUCAUUCAUCCUCAAUUAUUUCUAAAACGCUUAUUCAAAUAUCUAUCCACAUACACGUGAAACAAAAAUAUAAAAUACAAAUUAGGAAAAUAAUCAUACAAAAAUAAAAAAAAGAAUUCACCUGGUGCCAUAUACCCAAUAGUUGCAAGAGUCAUGGUUUGCUUCAUUACUUCACCUUCUCCCAACAAUUUGGCAACGCCAAAAUCUCCAACAUGUGCAACCAUGUCUUCAUCUAGUAAAAUAUUGCUUGGUUUUAUGUCACAAUGAAUUAUAGGUGUUGGAUGUCCAUUGUGGAGGUGUUCUAUAGCUACCGCAACAUCUAUCAUUAUGUCGACCCUUUGUAUGAUACCAAGGAAACAAUUUUCAGAAUGUAACCAUUUCUCAAGGUUUCCAUUAGACAUGUAAUCAAGCACCAAGGCUUUGAAGUCAACACUUGAGCAGUAAGUAAUGACCUUCACAAUAUUACGAUGAACUAUAUUAAGCAUAGCAUCACAUUCAAUGUCAAAACUCCUAAAUGCUCCCUCUGUUUGCAAAUUGAAAACUUUUAUUGCAACUUCCAUUCCAUCUGAAAGCCUCCCUUUAUAUACAUAUCCAAAACUCCCUGAACCAAGCGUAUUGCUUUCCUCAAAUCCAUUAGUUGCUCGUGAAAGUUCAGCAUGUGAAAUUCUUCUCAGUGUCUUCAAAGACAACAAAUCAUCUUUAACUGGUAGAGCUGUACUCCUUUGGCAUCUUCUAUACAUAAUAGUUAAGACUAUUAGUACUAGGACAAUACCAAUUGUUGGUAAACCAUACCUAAAAGCAUGCAAUAUAAUCAUUUGGGAGUUUUUGUGGAUGUCAUUUUUGCAAGGUGGGACUAGCAAUCUAGGUGGACCACAAAGUGCACAAUUAUUCAUGAAUGAUGUGCUAGAAAAGUUUGAAAAACAUCCUUUGCUGGGAAUUUCCCCUUCAAGUCUAUUGAAAGACACAUUAAAAUACUUUAGAUAUAAAAGCUUUUCCAAAGAUUUGGGAAUGACUCCAGAGAGAUUGUUAUUGCAUAAAUCCAAGAAUUCCAAACUAAUCAACCCUUCAAAUGAUUCAGGGAUAUGACCAUAUAGUAUGUUAUUUGAUAAAUCUAAUGAAACCAAAGUUAUAAGACCCCCAAAUGUGGAUAAGAUAUCGCUCGUGAGAAGAUUCCUUGAUAAAUUUAGUCUCAGUAGACUCCUAAAAUUUCCAACAUCAAUAGCAUGUGAAUUGUGAAGACGGUUUGAUGAUAAAUCUAUUUCUAAGAUAUCUUUAAGACUCCACAAAGUUGAGGGUAUUGUAGAACUCAAUUUGUUGGAACCUAACCAAAGAUAUCUCAAAGCAGAAAUAUUACCUAAACAAGAGGGUAUGGAUCCAUGCAGCUUAUUCAACCCUAAAUACAUCUCGUAUAGUCUCUCCAAACCACAAAGGCUUUCUGGGAUAGGCCCUCCUAAUUUAUUAGAGGAAAGACCUAGAAUUUGGAGAUUUCUCAUUCCUCCUAUUGAUGCUGGAAUCAAUCCACUUAAUUUAUUAUACCCAAGAUCUAAAAGCAAUAGGUUGGUUAAGUUACCUAUUUCCAUAGGAAUAAUGCCUUGAAGCUCACACUCUGUGGCAUGAAAGUAUUGAAGGGAUUUUGAAAGGUUCCCGAAAUAAGUAGGAAGAACGCCACUCAAUGGAUUUCCUGAAACAUCUAUUAUGCUCAAAUUCCUACAAUUCGUCAAAGAAGAAAGAAAGCUCCACUCAUGAUCAGUAGCAGAUCCUGUGAUCAAAUUAUUGUCAUAGAUUUGGAGCCAUACAAGUUGUCUUAAGCUGCCAAGCGUUUUAGGGAUUGGGCCAGAGAAUGAGUUAUCUCCCAAGUCUAGUUCCUUAAGCAUGGAAGCAUUGGAGAUAGAGUUGGGAAUGUUUCCGCUAAGUUUAUUUCCCCACAGUAAAAGAAUCUGAAGCUUUGGAGCAUUGGUAAUGGGUGGUAAAUUACCUGUAAAAUAGCAUCUUUUAGAAAACAUUCACAAAAUAUAUAAUACAUUAAAAUAAAAACUUUAAAUCAAUUAAGAAUAAAAUUUUGGCAUGGAAAAAUGUGAUGAAAUCAAUUAGAAAGUUGAGACAUAAUAAGAAGUUUUGAGUAGUAAUUAGUCCUUGUGAUUUGUAUAGACAAAACAUAUAAUACACUGAUAAUUUUUUUAAAAUAUUGUAAAACCUGAAAUAAAAUAAAAAAUAAAAGUUUGGCACGAGAAUGUGGCAUCUAAUCAUUCUUAAAAAUAAGACUAACAUUAAAUAAUAAUUAGUUAUGAUUUGAGAAACAAAAAUGUUAAAGAUGUAAACUGGUAUGAUUUUUAUCUAUUGGGUUAAUUAUUUAUUUUUAUUAAAUUAUAUAUAGUGUAAAAUUUAAAGAUUAUUAUUUGCUCAAAAUUUUUGUAUUUUAGGAUUUUAGGAUCGCAUUUAAUUCAAUUGUAUUUAAGACCUCAUGAAUUUAUUCUAUAAUUUGAGUCUUUUCAACCUUUUGGGAAAUAAUAAAACAUCGACAUUAAACUUGUUGUUGAUGCAUUCAAUUUGAUUUUUUGAGGGGUCAUUGGAGUUAUAUGUGAAUUUAGCAUUGAUUGACUUUUUUAGAAUUAAUCUUUUAUACCAAUUUAAUAACAUCGACAUGUUUUUGGGUAGGGUCGAGCAAAACCCAAUUAAAACCGAUGAAAUUGGUUUAGUUAACUCGGUCAAGUCCAUUAGAUGGAUAAAAUCAAUUUUAAAAUCAGUUAUUAUGGAUUAAGGUAAUUAAUUAUCGAGUAAUGAAAUACAUAAUCAAAUCAAUUGAUUUUGUUAGAAACUAAAAGAAAGUGGGAUAAGCUGAAAACUGAUUGCCCUUUUUUAGAAUUAAGGAAUCAGCCUUUUACAUGUUAGAUAAUAUGAACACCCCAUAUAUAAUAAGAAAAAUUAUGUACGAUUAUUUAUUAUCAUAAAUGGUUAGUUUAAAUUUAAAGUAAUCUAAUAUGUGUGUUGAACUUCAACUAUUACAUAAAGUAUAAGCUAAAUAUGUAUAAAUAUUCUAGAAACCAUUUCUAACUGAUGAUAGGCUAAUUUGAAAUUAAGAUUAAUAUAUAAAAACUAGAUAGUAGGGUUAUAGUCCUCAAACUACACCUAAUUUAAUAAAAUCUAUAGUUUUUAUAGCCUUAAACAUUUAUAGAUUUUGUUAAUUUGGUCCUUACUCUUUAAAAUUACAUAAAAAUUGCAAAAAUAUUUUAGAAAUACAAUUUUUUCGUAUUUUUAAUAACAUUUAUAGUUUUUUUUUUGGUUUGGUAACUUAUCAACUCGACUCUUAAUUGUAACCAACUUUUCUGAUUUUUUCGUACCCUUAACCUAAGUCCCGUUACAACUUUCUAAAGACCUCUUGAUUGGUGUAUCAUCUCGAUUUGUUCUUAUAGUGGUGGGGAUUUGGUUUUCAAGCAAGCCUAUGCUAAUCACAUUUUUCGUUCAACUAUUGAGCACACAGUACUUGAACCUUAAACACUUUGAGUGCUUUGAGUGAAUCUUAGUUAGGGUAUUGAUUAUUGUUGAGUUUGAAUUUUAGGUAAUUAUUGAGAUGGAGGAGAUGCCUAUUUUUUUGUGCUUUACAAAUUUCUGCUUAGAUUGCUUUUAUUCUUUAGUUUCAUGCUAGUUUCAAUUUCCAGUGCAUGAUUAUCUAUAGAUUAUUCAUAAGGCAUUGUCGGUGAAAACAAUAAAUUGAGGGAGAUUAACUUGAAAUAAAUUGAGGGAUAUUAACUUGAAUAAAGGUUGAGAAUUUUGCUUAAGGACAAACAAAUGCUUAAGUGUGGGGAUAUUUGAUAAGUGCUAAAAUUGAUAUGUUUUAACAUCAUUCUUAAUGUGUUUUUGGUUGAUUAUUCGAUGUUAAUGAUGCUCCUAAUCCUUACAAUUCGUGUUUUUAUGCUUAAUAGAACAUUUGGGAGGAAAAUGAGCUAAAAAUGAACGAAAACCUGAAAAUGGGGGCAAACUAUAGGACAUGGGCUGACCUAUUCCUCAUGACCGUAUGACUCACACGAUCAUGUGGUAGGUUGUGUCGAUUUCGUAGAUUUGCACUCUGAACUGUAAAAAAAGAAAAUUUUAGAUUUUUUGAGCAUUUUAAUACGUAUAUAUGAAAAAAAUAAGAAGAUAGGAGAGAACCUUCCUAGAAUAUUUAAGAAAACAACUCCAAAGACACUAUUGAAGUCGACUCUGAAGCAAAUUUUCCUCAAGAUUGAAGAUUCCCAGUUGGUUUCUUAAGAGAUUAUCAUGAGUUUCUUUAUUUCUUCUGGUUAUACUGCCCUUUGGAUGUUUUUAUUUUUAAGCAUGAACUAAUUUUCUAAAUACCGAAUUAGAGAGAUGAACCCUAUGAUAGAUUGUGACACCCCAAACCCAACCGGAUAGACCCGCCCGAAUUCAAAGCAUUUCAUUAGCCACCUAAGUGACUCUCCAGCUAACGACCACCCAAGACACACCUCGACCUUAUAACACCUCAAUCUUAUCUAAUUACUAGUUAUUUAUUAAUGUAGAAGUAAAUUAAUAUGAGCCAAUUUUAAACUUUUUCUAGGUAAUUUAACCUAAAGGCAAUUUUGUCAUUUUACCACCUAAUGUAAAACUAACCCGAUUUUAGAUCUAAGUGUUUACUAACCUUCUUUUAGUCAAAUUAUACAAGCCUAAAAUUUUCAGCUUAAUUUGAGUCCGUUUACUAUGUCUAAUUCAAGUUUUAUUAAUAAGGACUCAAUUGUAACUUAAACAAAUUAAAAUACCAAUUUAAAGAGACAAAAAUUCAAAACUCCAAAACCCACACGGGCAUGUGGGUAAGUGACAAGGGCUUGUGGGAUUGAAAAAUAUGAAAUAAAUUAAUCCACUCAAUUUUCCAACAACCAUGCUAUACUACCAAACCAAAAAAACACUUGAAGUUUUGAAUAGGGGCGAAUCUAAAAAAAAUUAGAAGAAUUAGAAUUAAAUUAUAAAAUUUUGAGAAGUUAAAAUAUAAUUUUAUCAUGUAUUAAUUUAUUGUUUUUUAAAGGGUCCUAAUAUAAUUUUUUUCCCAUUUUGGUUGGGCCAAUACCCCUGCCUGCCUCUUUAAAUUUGCUCCAACACUAAACCCAAUAUUCGAUUUGGAUUAACAACAACAUAUAGGUUAGUAUUUGUGGGAGUUUGACGAAUAAAAAUUCCUUUUUUAGAUGUUUAAAUUAUAAAUUUUUGAAAGAUUAAAAUAAAUUUGUAUUUUUUUAUUAACAAAAUAUAAAAGAAAAAAAAAUAUGUUUAGACAAGCCAAGAGAACUUUGGGAUCAUACAGGUGAUUUUGAGAUGUUAAUGGUUAUUUUGGUGGACAGCGUAAAAAAGAAACAAAUGAUUCAUUAUAUAUAAUAUAAUUAUGAAUUUCAAGCCAUAUAUUGUAUGUUUCAUCCAUAAAAAUUUCAUGGGAGGUCCAAAGGUAAUUAAAUGACUUGUAGGCUUGCUGAAUUUCUUUGAAAGGCCCAAAGGCAAUUUAACAUUCACAAAAUAAUCUCUAAAUACUGUAAAGACAAAUCAAAUCCACAGUAGCAUUAGAGUUGAUUAAGCUAAGCAUUGGCAAAUAUUACUUUGAUUUUGCAUGCAAAAUUGGCAAAACCCCCUCUUACAUUAGAAAAACAACAUAAUCCAUGAAACAUUGAUGGCUCAAUACAAAUUUCAUCGAGAAAAAAGUCUCUUUGUUUUGGAGAACAUGAUAGUAAAGAUGUGGAGUUUCGUUCUUCUAAUUGGCCUCCUUUAGUUUUCCUUGAUCAACAACAAUUAGCCAAAAACACAGUUAGAUUAGAUUAUGAAUGAUACUUUCAACUAUGACAAUAUUAAAUACAAAACACUCUAAAUAAAUGGAAAGUAGCAAAUUAAGACCAUUGUGUUAUACUUGUCUCUGAAUUGAAAGAUUUAGAAGAAAAUAAAGAGAAAGAGUUAGAAAAUACUUGAAAACAGAUAAAACUUAUAUGUCAUUUAAAAUAAAAAAAAUUUCUAUUUAAGCCAUUUAAAAUUUUUAAGAUUUUUUAAAUUUUAAAAUGAUAAAGGUAAAACUAUAUUUUGGUACCCAAAAAUGAUAAAACUUUGAUUUAAUUCUUUAGAAAUUAUAAAAAUAUAGGCUAUUAAAAUGGUGAAAUUAUAUUUUUACUAUAUUAAAAAUUACAAUUUAAUUUCACUUGCUAAAAGGAUUUACUGGCUUCGCCCCUAAUAAAAUCUUUGGCAAAAGAUUAAAAUAAAAUUAUACCGUGAAUGGAAAAAGAAACUUAAGAAAACCCAAUCUCACAAAGAAAAUAACUUGUCCAAAAGCUACCAUAAACCGUAAUUCAUGCGAAGGCUUGUUGCUCAUUUUAUUGGUUUCCAUUUUGAUUUUGCAAAAGAAGUUUGAAUUUUGAAGAGAGCAAAAGAAAAAAAUAGUUUAUUAAUUUUUUACGAAUACCGACAUAUUAUAUACAUGAUUAAAAUUCCAGAAUAGAUUAAAAAUGUUGAAUUAAAGAUAAAAUUAAGUAUGAAUUAAGAACCACAAGUGUACUCAUUACUCACCAUCUCUGUUAAAAAUGUUGUUUAGCAACCUGUGUUUGAUUUUCUUCAGCUCAACCACAACAUCUUUCAUAUCUUUUCUUUCUUCUGGUAACUCAGCUGAACAAUUCAAAGCCAAUUCCAUGAUAGAUGAAAUACAAUUUGCUUUAACAACAAUGUACUCAUCCUCUCUUCUUAGUAAAUCAACAUCUGCAAUUUCUAUUGCUCCUUUAGGCAAUGAACUUUCCAUCCAAUGCCUUACAGUCUCUUCUUCAACAAAAACAUUAUCAGUUGGCUUUUUCUUUGUGAAAGUUUCUAUAAGGACGAUCCCAUAACUAUAGACGUCAGAUUUUAUAGAAACAAUUCCUGCUGAUCCAAAUUCUGCAUUUCAAGUAUCAUUAGAACAUCAUUCACCCUCAAUUAUUUCUAAAAUGCUUAUUCAAAUAUAUAUCCGCAUACACAAGAAACAAAAAUAUAAAAUGCAAAUUAGGAAAAUAAUCGUACAAAAACAAAAAAGAAUUCACCUGGUGCCAUAUACCCGAUAGUUGCAAGAGUCAUGGUUUGCUUCAUUACUUCACCUUCUCCCAACAAUUUGGCAACGCCAAAAUCUCCAACAUGUGCAACCAUGUCUUCAUCUAGUAAAAUAUUGCUUGGUUUUAUGUCACAAUGAAUUAUAGGUGUUGGAUGUCCAUUGUGGAGGUGUUCUAUAGCUACCGCAACAUCUAUCAUUAUGUCGACCCUUUGUAUGAUAUCAAGGAAACAAUUUUCAGAAUGUAACCAUUUCUCAAGGUUUCCAUUAGACAUGUAAUCAAGCACCAAGGCUUUGAAGUCAACACUUGAGCAGCAAGUAAUGACCUUCACAAUAUUACGAUGAACUAUAUUAAGCAUAACAUCACAUUCAAUGUCAAAACUCCUAAAUGCUCCCUCUGUUUGCAAAUUGAAAACUUUUAUUGCAACUUCCAUUCCAUCUGAAAGCCUCCCUUUAUAUACAUAUCCAAAACUCCCUGAACCAAGCAUAUUGCUUUCCUCAAAUCCAUUAGUUGCUCGUGAAAGUUCAGCAUGUGAAAUUCUUCUCGGUGUCUUCAAAGACAACAAAUCAUCUUUAACUGGUAGAGCUGUACUCCUUUGGCAUCUUCUAUACAUAAUAGUUAAGACUAUUAGUACUAGGACAAUACCAAUUGUUGGUAAACCAUACCUAAAAGCAUGUAAUAUAAUCAUUUGGGAGUUUUUGUGGAUGUCAUUUUUGCAAGGUGGGACUAGCAAUCUAGGUGGACCACAAAAUGCACAAUUAUUCAUGAAUGAUGUGCUAGAAAAGUUUGAAAAACAUCUUUUGCUGGGAAUUUCCCCUUCAAGUCUAUUGAAAGACACAUUAAAAUACUUUAGAUAUAAAAGCUUUUCCAAAGAUUUGGGAAUGACUCCAGAGAGAUUGUUAUUGCAUAAAUCCAAGAAUUCCAAACUAAUCAACCCAUCAAAUGAUUCAGGGAUAUGACCAUGUAGUAUAUUAUUUGAUAAAUCUAAUGAAACCAAAGUUUGAAGACCCCCAAAUGUGGAUAAGAUAUCGCCCAUGAGAAGAUUCCUUGAUAAAUUUAGUCUCAGUAGACUCCUAAAGUUUCCAACAUCAAUAGCAUGUGAAUUGUGAAGAUGGUUUGAUGAUAAAUCUAUUUCUAAGAUAUCUUUAAGAUUCCACAAAGUUGAGGGUAUUGUAGAACUCAAUUUGUUGGAAUCUAACCAAAGAUAUCUCAAAGCAGAAAUAUUACCCAAACAAGAGGGUAUGGGUCCAUGCAGCUUAUUCAACCCUAAAUACAUCUUGUAUAGUCUCUCCAAACCACAGAGGCUUUCUGGGAUAGGCCCUUCUAAUUUAUUAGAGGAAAGAUCUAGACCUUGCAGAUUCCGCAGUCCUCCUAUUGAUGCUGGAAUGAAUCCACUUAAUUUAUUAUGGUCAAGUUCUAAAACCAAUAAGUUGGUUAAGUUACCUAUUUCCAUAGGAAUAAUGCCUUGAAGCUCACAAUUAUAGGCAUGAAAGGAUUGAAGGGAUUUUGAAAGGUUCCCAAUAUAAGUAGGAAGAACGCCACUCAAUGGAUUUCCUGAAACACCUAUUUUUCUCAAAUUCCUACAAUUCGUCAAAGAAGAAAGAAAGCUCCACUCAUGAUCAGUAGCAGAUCCUGUGAUCAAAUUAUUGUC